GGAUCGCUUGCAUGAUUUCAACUUAAAGCGCAUAGACACUGAAACGUUGUCUGCGAACCAUAGACUUCGAUGCAGGCGGAAAGACGCCAAUAAUUAUUAUUUGAAUGUGAUGUGAAGUUGAAGUCAAAAAAUGGAUGGUUUAUUUAGAUUGUCUCCUUAUUUAUUCUUGUACAUUUAUUGAGCAUGCAGAAAUUCGGGCCAAAGAUGGUACAUAUGCUGUGAAUUGUGUGUUGAUGUUUCUUUUUUUCUUGACGCAAAUGUGUUGAUGUUUCUAGAGUAACUUGGACUUGUGAGUUUAUAGUAUUUUCUAAUGGACAUGUAAUAUUCAGUGUUCAAUUUAAUUUAUAUGUAUUGACAAUGUAAAACUUAUUUACACAAAUUUAUGCCACGUUUAAUUAGAUAUUACUCUCUUCUUCCAGUGGGAUCAAAAUCCUGUCCUGUUAAUUUUUUUUACGGAUUUUGGGAUAACAGAAGUAACGGCAAAUUCAUCAGAAAUUUUUCUAAAGUACUCAAAUUAAGAGGGAUUUCAAUCGUAAAAGUAUAUGUAAAGAGAAGUGCCAGAUAUUAUGAAAACAGGACAGGUUUUCAAAACUCUAUAUAUAGAUAUGAAGAUAACUUAGUAGGUUGGCUUAGUAAAUUACUAUCCACUACUUCAAGUCAGUUAAUUGUCGGAUAAUCUUCACGUAUAUAAUGUUGAUAGUCUUUGAUAUCCCUUACAAUUCUCAAUAGAAUCAUAUUAUAAUUAUGAAUAUUCAUCCUUAAAACUCAGGUAUUUGGGUUCUAAAAUGUAAAUAAGUUAGCAUUAUAAAUUUGAUUUGGUUAGACUACGCAAUGUAUCUAGGACAUUAUUUGCAAUACAUGAUAUUAUUCAAUUUUUAAGAUUCCAUUGAGAAUAAAAACCGGCAAAUGUUUGGAAACAAAUGUAAGAGCCAUGAGUGCAAACACAACAUAAAAGGUGUUUGUAUAAUUAGAAAGAAAACACAUUUAAACAAAACAAAUGCACUCUUCAUUAGCAUUCGGUGGAGAAAUUGAAACAAACCAAAUCGAAUAAAUAGGAAAAAUGAUAAAUGUUAAUUUCACCCUUUCAAUGGAACCAAAGAGAACAAAGGAGUAGAUGAUAAACAUUAGUUGCAAGGUAUUAUAGAUGGCUAAAUAGCCCAUGUUUGAAAAACAAUCAUUAAUUAAGAUGAUAUUAUUGCAUCAUCCAUAAUACAUCCAAAAUACUCCCCAAAUAAACUAUACAUCCAAAUUGAAAACCAUAAAUUUUUUUGUAUCCAGAACACAUCACAAAAUAGAUUUGCACCAUUUGGGGAUGCAACAUAGGACGAACCUUCAACUUUCAUGAUAAAUAAAUCCCUCUUGCCCUUCGUGUGAAAACUUGCCCUACAUGGCCAAGGAGGAUAAUAUAUAGAGAGAGAGUGAAAGAGAGAGAGGUUUUUUUUCAAAGCAUCCCUACUCCGCCCAAAAACAAUGAAGUGUGGGGACUAAGACUGGAGCUAAGUCCAGGAACUUGUCGCGAGAGGAGCACAUUACACGGCAUCGUUUAAUCAUAUCGUAAUCAGAGACAUUGCCAUCGGACCCUUCAACAACUUUUAUGAUGGCAUCAGUAAACACACACAUAGUCUCUCUUCCUCUUUUUGUUUUUUUGCUUUGAAGUAGAAGAUAACUUCAACCAUUUUAUUGAGUUAUUACCCGAAGAAGUUUCCUCGACAAUAAUUGCUGAUUUUUGUUAUUCUGGAGGAAUUGUAAGAGGCUAUAAAAGGUGGUUUAUGGAGGACUUAAUCGAAUAGAAGUAUAAAGACUGUCCUUCCCGCUUGAAUAUUUUAAAUCACUGCAACACUGUUAUGCAACCGAAACGAGCACAACGGUUAAAACGAGUCAUCUUCAUGCAUAGCAGUGUCGCAUGAAGAUGACUCGUUUUAACCAUUGUGCCUGUUUCAAUUGCAUAACAGUGUCGCAGUGAUUUAAAAUAUUCAAGCGGGAAGGACAGUCUUUAUACUUCUCUUCGGUUAAGUCCUCCAUAAACCACCUUUUAUAACCUCUUACAAUUCCUCCAUAAUAACAAAAAUCAGCAAUUAUUGUCAAGGAAACUUCUUCGGGUAAUAACUCAAUAAAAUGGUUGAAAUCAUCUUCUACUUCAAAGCAAAAACAAGCAAAAACAAUCAGCUUUAGUUUUUCAACUUAUAGAAUUAACUCUAAAACAGUCCCCGUGAGCAUAGCUCAGUUGGCAGGGACAAUGCAUUAUUAUAUGCAGGGGCCGGGGUUCGAACCCCGGACACCCCACUUAUUCACUUUAAAAGUGAAUUUCUAGCCACUAGGCUACCUGACCAAAAAAAAAAUUAACUCUAAAACAUAAGCCACACACACCGACAAUGAACAACACUUACUUGCUAAUGCUACCAAGUCAAUUACUUAAUAGUUUAAAUUGAAAAAUAAGCCUCACUAUCAUUAAUAAUUUUUAAGAUUUUUAUGUAAUUAUCUCAACAAAUGAAAAAGAGUUUAAAUGUAUAAGAUUUUAACUUGUAUCUUUACACAACAAAUCCUACUGUUCCAAACAUAAAAACAAUAGCCACCCAAAUAAUUAUACGAUCAACCACAAACAAAUCUUAUAAACCCAAACAUAGCCAACUAUAACACAUAAAAAAAGAGAAAGACAAACCCAGAUUUUUAAAAAGGUUUCUCUCUCACAAAUGAAACAUCAAAUAAAAAUUUAGGCAAACUCACUCAAAUGCUUUUUUAAGAGAAAAUGGUUUUAUAAUAUUGAAUAAUGUGACUAAUUUUUUUUUUUUUUUUGGUACAACUUAAUGUGACUAAUUUAAUCAUGUGUGUUGUGACUGUUAUGUAAAACUAGCUAUAAAUAAUAAAAUAAAAUAAAAAUACAGUAAAUUGUACUGUACCUCUUAUUACUUGUUUAUCAGGUCCAAGAAAAUAAUGGACCAUUUCCUUUUUUUGUUCAUCAAGAUGAUAACCUCCGUGGCCAGCCAAAAGAAUUAACAAACAAUCUCUUUUCUUGCUUUGGGUGAUGAAACUGCACAAAUUAUUUAAGAGAACACUUGUUUUGUUGUCAACCAAGUUAAAUAGGCUUAAAUUUGUCCUUAGUGUUAUAUUUUCUUCCUUAAAACCGAGAUGUUCUAAUAAACAUUUUUUCAUGUUUAUUGCUACAUUUGCGCCUCCGUACAACUGUCUAUGACGAUCUUUAGGGUAAGAAAAACCACCAAGGAAUGCAUAGGAUUUCGCCUUCUGUAUUUGCGCCUCCGUAUUUCGCCUUCUGUUGUUUGCAUAGGAUUUGAGGGUCCGCCUUCUUCUGUUGUUUCCAUUUUAGGGUUUGAGGAUCUAGGGCUUGAUGGUAUGAAAAUAGUGUUUUAAUUCAAUGGCAGUGUGUGAUUACAAGUGCUGAAAGCAAAUAAAUUUGAAGAGGAGGUAUAGUCUUGGUUUGGGUUAGAGAGAAAGAAGAUGAAGUUGGAGCUGAAGGAGUGUGUAGGGUAGUUCUAUAGUUUAGGCUUUAUAAUAUUGGUGUGCCAGCCUUGUGUAUUAAAAGAAGUACUAAUUAAUAAUACCUAAAACGUCCUUCGAGUUGGUAGAAUAUUAACUUCUUUCAUAAAAAAAACUGAUCUAAUCGCAUUCAAUUACAAAGAGAAUGUGAAAAAGAAAAAAAGAUGUCUUAAAUAUUUCAUUGGCUAAAGAAAAUUCAUAUAUUUUCUUGUUAGACAACUUAUUUUAUUCAUAAAAAUUCAUUCAACUACUUUCCACAAGAUUUUUUAUAAGGAAUUUAUCAGAAUUGUUUAUUAAUGAUCUACCUCAUGAAAACAUAAUUAGCGCACUUCAUAGACUCUUCCUAAAAAAAACUCUUCAAAAUACUCCAAUUUUUUUGUUCCAAAUAGCCUAGUGGUUAUAACUUAUAAUUCACCUUUAAAUGAUAUGUCUAAACCAACCUCGAUCCCUGCAUAUAAUAAUGAAUGUCUCUCCCAACUAAAAUAUACUCACGGGGACAAAAUACUCCACUUAUCCCAUACUAUAAAAAUAAAAAAAUAAAAUAUUAAAUGCACGUCAAUUUAAUUUGGUAACGUUUUUCUUAAAUUUUUAAUAUGUCUAAACCAACUUAAUGUGUCAUGCUUAAAUUUUUCUUUCUUUCUUUUCAUCCAUUCUAGAUUAUAGUAACGUUUUUAAAAUGGGCAAUCACAUGAAAUAUGAUGAUGACAUGUUAGUAAAGGGUGAGGAUUGAUAAUGGGAGUUCUAUUUCCUUAAAAAAAAAAAAAAAAAAGAUAAUGGGAGUUCUAUGAUGGACCAUCGUGCGUCUUUAUAUGCAAAUUAGACUGCAAAUUAGACAGACAAUUCUGAAUUACAAAGUAAACAUUUCAUCUUCUUUUAAUUAAUGUAUUGCACCCCACGUUUAUUUUCCUUUAUCUUCUAGUGUAUAUAGCGUAUGUUCUAUCUGAUUUCAUUAGAUCAAUCAAAGAAAAUUCUAACUGUUUGAUUGGCCUAAAGCUAAAUUCCAACAUUCAAAUUAAUAAUACGUUCCCCAACUAUCAUGAGAAAAUUGAAUGGAUCACAUGCAUGUGUAGUUUAUUUUACUCAAAUUGGUCCAAUAAAGAGUUUUACAACUAUGCAAUUAUAAUCUGCACAUAUUUUAAACAGAUGCCAAACAUAGUAUUUAGUAAAAUAUAUAUAUAUAUAUAUAUAUAUAUUUCUUUGUAAGAUAUUUCUUAACGUCCAUGUAUAAUUGUAAAACUCACCAAAAAAUUUAGUGCUUUAUAAGUUACUCAUUCAUUACCAUACAAAGUCACAUGAAAAAAAAUAUUUAAAUUCAACCGAUGACUCUUUUUUUUUUUUUUUUUUUUAGGUUUAAUAGCAGUUUUGACCCCCUAUGUAUUAAGAAGUUGCGAUUUUGGACCCAUAACUAAAAUAAUUCAAUUUUGACCCCAUAUGUUUUGUCCUCUUUGCACUUUUCGCCCCCUAGAUCAAUUUUGACCAAGUCAAUGCUGACGUGCACGUGUGUUAUUUUUUUAAUUAUUAAAAAAAUACGUUUUUUUAUUUUUUAAUUAAAAAUUAAAAAAAAUACUUUUUUUAAAAAAAAAUUAAUUAAAAAAAUAUAAAUAAAAAAUAAAUAAAAUUACACAUGUGGCGCCAUAUCAGCAUUGACUUGGUCAAAGGUGCAAAGGAGUCAAAACAUAGGGGGCCAAAAUCGAAUUAUUUUAGUUAGGGGGCCAAAAUUGCAACUUCUGUAAACAUAGGGGAUCAAAACUGCUAUUAAGCCUAUUUUUACUAUAAACAUAAAUUAAAGAUACACAUUGUAGUGUCCCAUAAUUGUAGCUCAAUCGGUAGCUACUAAAGAUAUUGUGUCGUUCCAAAGAUAUUUUAUACUCUAUCCGUUUCAAAAUAAGUGUCGCUUUAACUAAUUGCACACAAAUUUUGGAAUGAAAUGAAAUAAUCAUUAUACAUAACACUUUUAUUAAACUGUCUAAGAAAAAGACAAACUUAAAGUUGAAUUGAAAAUUGUGCAAGAGAAAAGUUGGAGGGUAAAGUUGGGAGGGAGAAAAAAUUAAAAUUGUAUUGAAAAUGUAAAGUGACAUUUAUUUUGAAACAAAUUUUUUAGCUAAAAUGACACUCAUUAUGAAACGGAUGGAGUAUGAGGUUAAUGAAUAUGUUUUGGAAAAUGCUAAUGAGUUUAAAGAAUUAAUAUUGUAUAAUGAAUUUUAAACAAUUAUAAAUAAGGCAAGUAUCUGCACUUAAGGCAAUUAUAUAUUUAUCUUUAAUUUGAAUUAUAAAAGUAUGUUAAAAUUAUUUCGCUUAAAUAAUAUUGACUGAUUGGGUAUUUUGAAUCGUCAUAAAAUUGUGUAUGAACAAGAUCGAGUCUUCUGAUUCAAUUAAGUUUAUCAUAAAGACAAAUGUAUUACAGAUAUUUGGUCAUAUGAUCGAGUCAUCCGAUUUAACUUGGUUUAAUCAUGCGGUUCGACCAAUGACUCAAUGACCCAGUACUCUCAUCGAGUCGACCACUGGUCCGAUUUUUAAAACUAUGAACUUAUCCAUGUUUUGGGUCUCCUUCAAUCAUUUUAGUUUUUAUUUAGAAGGGACAUAAAUCAUUGAUGAGACUAUGCCCUUGAGAUUAUUUUUAAUUUCAAAAGGAUUAUGGUCUUAAGAAGACUCUUAAUUCUAAAGGAAGAGAACAAAUGGAUUUGAAAUUUCAUAAUACUUGCAUGGAAUGCAAAAAUAUCUCAAAUUGAGUACUAAGAUAUACAAAAAUAUUUUAUAUUAUGCACCAAAAUACUUUCUAGAAUAUUUUAGCAAAACUUGUAGAUUCAGAAAAUACUUUCUUAAUUAUUUAAUUUAACAUUUCUAAAUAAUAUAUAUAUAUAUAUAUAUAUAUAUAUAUAUAUAUAUAGGUAUGCAUAUUCGUUGUAUCUCACCACUUCAAAAGGAAAAUAAAUGUAUUCAUUGCAUUGUUAUAUUAAUUACUCAUUUUUUAAAGAACAUUGUUGUUAUAUUAGUGUUGGUUAGUGAUAUGAUCCAUUAAUUGUAGAAAUAGAAUACAAUAGCGUGAGUAUGAUCAUUUUCGUAUGAAAAUAAAUGAAAGAAGAUGUCAUUUAGAAAUGGAUACAAAAAAAAAGGAUAUUUUUUAAGUGAGUUUCAUUAUCAUUAAUUUUUUUUUAUGUUUUUUAAAAUUGUAUAUCUUUAUUUAUUUUUAUUUGUAAAAUAGUGUAUCUUUUUCUCUGUAAACGAAAGAAGUAAAACAAACAUAAAUAGAAAGGACUCGACUCAAUUAUAAAAACAUGUUAAGGUUCCAAAUUUAUUUGUUCAGAAACAAAAUAUUAUGGUUCCAGCUAACAUGUUGCCUUGUUACAUUUCAAUAUGAUUUUCUUUCUUUUCUGGUGCAUUUCUUAUCCAUUUUAUCACGGCAAGUUAAAGGAAUACAUGUCUUAAUGAUAUAUUUUAAAAUUGAUAAAAAGAAAUUAAAAAAAUUAUUAAUGUAAAAAAUAGAGAAUCAACUAAAAAAAGGGGAGAGAAUUUUGUACCACCCUUUCAAUUAUUUUUACCGAGACGUGACAGCUGGUCUUUAACUUGCCUUUCUUGCUUUGCAUAUGUGUGUUUUCCUUUUCCAUUAAAAAAAUAUAAAGCAUGCAUAUAUCAUAAUCUGCCACAACACAACUACUCACUAGUUUUCAGUCAUUACUGUCUCUCUGCGCGCAAGACACGACCAUACAUGCUAAAGAAUCUUUAAUUCAAAAUUCAUAGCAAUUAAUAUUUCCAUAUUUAGCUUCAUCUAAUUUAAUAUUUUUUCUCAUUUACUUUUACCCUUACCCUUUUUUCAUUAGUGUGCUUCAAAAAUUAAAGAGACUGCAAGGAACCACAAGUCCACAUCCAAACAGACACACCUAUUUUCUGUAGGAAGGAUUCACUCCAGCACGCAACCUCACGUGUGUGUGUAUAUAUAUAUAUAUAUAUAUAUAUAUAUAGGGUCCGGCUAACCGGUGCCUCCGGGGCACUGGUUAAGCAUACCAUAAAAGGGAAUUAUUACCAUAAAAGGAAACUGCUUUUGACUUUAUUAUAGGUUAAUUACACAAUUUCAAUGCAUUAACUAUUAUAUAAUUUCCUUUUUCAUAUCCUUAACCAGUGUCCCGGGGGCACUGGUUAACAUUUCCCAUAUAUAUAUAUCUUUUAAAAAAAAUACAUACUCCCUCCGUCCCUUAAUAAAUGACCUAGUUGACAAUAUGCAUCAUUGACUUGAUAUACUUUGACCAUACUUUUCUACUAAUUCACAAAGAAAAAUAAUAUCAUGUAAGAUGUUGUUGGAUUCGUCUCGAUGAGUAUUUUUAAAAUAUUAAAUUUUUAUAAUUUUUUUUAGUAGAGAAUUGAAGAUAUCAAAGAUAAAACAUAUGCAUUGGUAUGUAUGUCAGAGUCAACUGGGUCAUUUAUUUAGGGACGGAGGGAGUAUUAUUAUGUGGUUUGCAUACAUAUUAUUCAUUUGAUAUGGACGGAUCAACUUUGAUCAAAGAUAACAUUAUACAUCCUUCAGUCAUUAUUAUAAGCAAAAUUUUACAUUUUGGAUUCAUUUAUUAAAUGAUAUAUGUGGUCUAUAAUAAAGAUCAUAUACAUUAUUAAUUGAAUGAAUUUAAAAUGUAAAAUUUUAUUUAUAAUAGUAACUGGAGUGCAGUCUGUAGAUUGUAAGCUUAUAUGUAUUUCAAUCAUUUUUAUUUUACCACAUUCUUCGUAGUUUUUUUUUUAGGGAUGACUUCCAAUUAUGAAUGAAUAUAAAUAAAAGAUUAGUUCAAAUAUAUAAAUAAAUUAAGUUCAAAUCUUUCCUCACAUUGUUUGGAAAAAUAUGACAUAAAAUUAUCAUUAAUAAAUAAAUCAAAGAGAAAUUAUCACAAAUUAAUUGACUCAUAAUAAGAUAAAAAUGAAGAAUAGAAGAACUUAUUGAUUUUGCAAAAUACAUUGGACUUAAAGAGUAUUUCGUUACCCCAAAUAGAUUACUCAUGCAGUAAUAUUAUUCAUGAUACAACAGUCACUUCUUGCUAGCAUCACACGGAAAUUAACAAGGUUUCAUAAACAACUUUUGAAUACCCAUGGGAACUUAAUUUAAUAACUUGUUUCACCCCUUUUAUUAUAGUACUAUAUCACUAUUUUUGUAAGAAACAUAACAAAUUGUAGAAGAUAAUUUUGUUUUUCGUCCUUUUUCAGGAAAACUCAUCUCCCAUAUAAUUUUGUUUUUCGUCCUUUUCGUCCUGUAUAGCAUAUUAAUUAGGUGUGACCAACAAACUCUACCAAGUAAAUAGGCCACGAUUAAUUUUAAUUAGUGUGUAGCUAAAUAACUUGGUCAAAAGAAAACGGUUUAGAAUAAUACCACGAACAUCGGUGGGUACCGAUUUAGGUUUAGGUUUUUCUUCAAAGUGACCGGUAGGUACAAGUUUAGGUUUUUCUUCAAUGUGGCCAACGUGAGUUUGAAAGGGAAUUUUGACUUUAAACUUCACAUCUAGGGUUGUUUUGACAUUGUCGGAUGCUACGCCAGAAUCUACGUCUACGUUGGAAGCUUCAAUUUUGGCCGGUUUCGGUUCAACGUCAUCAUCCGCCACAUUUUCAACCAUAUCACCCUAUGUCUAUAUUGAAUAAAAAAAAUAACAAGGAAAAAAAUAAAUAAAUAAAUUGUGCAGCAAGCUAAGAAAGGAAGAAAAAUGGCGCAAAUAUUCAAAAACUGGGCAUCACUUCUGCGUGACUUAAGCCACGCCAGUGUUAAUUUCCUACGUGAGUUAAGUCACGCAGCCUACACAACUGCGUGAGUUAACUCACGCUAAGCCCUAUCAUCUACCUCAAAAAAAUGACGAACCAGGCAGAAAAACUAGCAAAAACGGAUGAGUUUUGAUGAUACAUUACCUGUUCUUUGAUGUUUGACGAGCGUAAGAACUUGCUUCCUAACGAUUUGCAAUGAUUUCAAAUGAAGAUUUUGACCCAAAAAAUUGUACUUUUUGGGUUUUAGAGGUGGAGGGAAAGAAAAAUGGUGCGGUGAAUAUGGACUGCCGGGUUUUGUACAAAAACAGUACUUCUGUUGAGUAAAGAGCAGAAUUCAAGUCAUAAAAUCAUAAUUCCAAGAAAGCUAUAAAUACCCAUCUUAAAAUCAAUCUCAAGGCAGGGCCGCUCCUAACAUUUUAGGGGUCUUAGGCAUAGUUUGAGAAAAGCGUCCCUUACAAAUUACAUCGAAAACUUUUUUAGUUUUUUGUUAUGAUUUUAUUAGCGCUUCAUUUCGUUUUUUUUUUUUUUCGCUUUUCACUACAAGAUAAAAGUUUUUUUGGGUAACAUCUUCAAAUAAAUCAAAUGCUCCAUAGAAACCAAAACUAAACAAAAUACCAUAGAAUUAGACAACAAUUGCUCUUGCAAAGUAUACUGAAAUUUCUCUAGUAGGUCCAUUUUCAACUAAAAUAUAAUUUGUUUCGUUGUGAAGAUUCUCACAAUUUUCUGGAUAAUAAUUAUCACAAAUAUUUUUAAUAUUAGUAAGACACAUUAUUAUGAACAAAGGGCCUAAAAAAAUAUAAAAAAUUUCUUGGCACAUUAUUAGGAACAAGGGGUCCAAUUUUUUAUUUGGGUGGGUGUAAAUAGAAAGCUUUGUUUUAUAUGGGGUAUAUAUAGAAAAUUGCAUCAAAAGGGCCAAAACAAUAACAGACUUCAGCCCAGUCUUUAAUGGCAAUGUUGCGGGCCUGUUGGUAAAUUUUACUAUAUAAACCUCUGAAAAUCCAUUUCUUGCUAUAUACACGCCCCACAAAUAUAUUUAUUUUGGGGCCCCUACCUACAUGGGCCCUAGGCCAUCGCACUCCCGACCUAUGUCUAGGGCCCGCCCUGUAUCAAGGCAUGAUCUAAACAGACUAAACCCUAAUUAUUAAUAUUGUACUCACUGCAAAUACACAAAUAUAUUGAAACUAGCUAGAACUAUGCUUAAACUUAGGCUCCAUGGUUGUUCUUUAUGAAGAUUCAGUCUAAAUUCGUAAAAGCUAAAUAUCUCCAAUUUUGGUCUUACGUAAGAUUUAAGUCCAAGUUUAAUUAUAAACAACUAAGUAUGUCCAAAUUUGGUCUUUCUCAACAGCAAUAUUGAAUGAAGGUAAAUCUAUGCUUAGGAAUCAAGAUUAGGCUCCAAUAUUUUCCUUAUGGAAGAUGUAAAUCCAAACUUGAGCGUCUACCCGUGCUUCUGCACACGCACGGAUGCACAUAGGUGCAACUGGGGGCUGUUGACCCCACAUCAUUGUUAUUUUUUUAACCCACAAUUAUGUAUAUUUAUGCAUAUAAACCCACUAUUAUAAUCUUAUUGACCCCACAUUAGUUUAUUCAUCACAAUAAGGAGAAACUAUAAAACUUACUGCAAACAGACACGUAUAUGUUGAACAAAUUAAUUGUUUAAAAAUUAUGAUGAGCGGAAAUGGUAACAUGUAAAUCUUUUCAGGUAGGGAGUUGAAAAAGCUACACACUAAAAUCUAAACUUCUUACAUAAUACACCUCAUUAUCGUAUCAAACAAAAAAUAAACGUUCCAACUCUAUUCAAAGUGUCACACCCUUUUCGAUCUAUCUCAUAAUUUUGUUAGGCAUUUUGCAAAUUGCAAGGGAUUUUUUUUUUUUUAUGACAUGCAAGGGAUAAAUCUCAAAAUACAAUUUUUAGGUUGAUGUUUUCGUGUCUUAAAUUUUAGGCGCGUUAAAAAUUCAUAUUUAAUCCGUCCCUUGUCGAAAAAUUUAAAUUUUUUGUGGGAGAUGUUAUUUUUUUUGUUACGAAACUUUUCACAUCAUCUAUAUGUAUUUUUAUAGAGGUGUCUAUAAAGUUUUGUAGAAUUCUGAAUAACUUUCGAUUUAUUUUGAUUUUUCUACCGAAACGCUUAAAAUCAUAAUAAAAAGCAACGAAGCCAACGGCAGUUAACUGUCGGCGCAUAUCCCAGAGGCAGUUAACUACCGCUGGGGUAAUUUGGUCAUUUACUUGUGUCAAUAAGAAGUAUUCAAUGUCAAAAAAACAAUUUUCAAGUUGUUAUAUAACAAGCAAUCUAACUUGAUCAAGAGAGAAUAUCAUAUUCAAUUGACCGCAACAUUCAAUGUUAUUUGGCUUUUAAUGAAGUUAGGGGUUGACAUUUUGUGACGGUGAAUGGUGAAUGACAUUGACCCCGCUCAUUAAAAUUUCUGGAUUCGUCCCUGCUUCUGCACGGAUCAUAUACAUUGAAAUAAUUACUUAAAUGCAAUAUUAUAUAUUACAUGCUAUUCUAAAAACUUGGAUGACAUAGUAACAAACAAAUAUUAUUUGAUUUCAUAUUUCAUAUUUACACAUUUUGGAAAGAAAAAAAAAAUUGUACACUACAUUUAAAGUCGUAUUGAUGCAAUCACCAUCUUCAUCAAUUAAGAAAAUUAUCAUACCAUUUUUUGAUGUAACUCUUGAUAUAACAAUAUAUUUCUACCACUUAUUAGCUUAUGUCAAUACCCUAAGAUUAACCUCUCAACUGUUAAUGCAUGGAAACUGGCAGAAUUAAUGGUAAAUCGAAACAUGUUCUGAUGUUCACAAUCUAGUUUACCUGCACGUAGAAAACAAACAGUCACAAUUAAUGCUCAAUAAAUCAUCAAUGGCGCAGAGCAAUGGCUAAAACUUGUGCAUGCAUUAACGGUUUCAAUGACCUAAGUUUAACAUCUCAUUUAAACUCUUCAUUCUGAAAAAAAAUGAAGAGCCCCCAUUGAUGAUAUUUGUUUACAGCUUGACAACAAAAAACUACACCCUCCGAUUACUAAUAUAAGCAAAAAUCCAUUUUUUAAAUACAUGAUGUAUGUAGAUUUUAUUAUAUGUCAUAUAUAUCAUUUAUUAAAUGUAUGUACAAAGUAGAUUUUUGUUUAUAUUAGUGACCGGAGAAUGUAUUAGGUUACAAUCAUAACAAUAGAAAAACUGGCAACUAUUUUCAAGGCGGUUGCUGGUAUAAGGGGGAGAUAGCCAUUGCUCCCAAAAAAAAAAUAUUUUUAUGAGCCAAUAAGUCCCAAGGAGAGUUCACUAAAAGUAAUAUUUGAUUACAAUUGCUCACUGCUAAAACUAGCAAGAGACUUCAAACUGCUCAAGCACAACUGCAAGAGAGUUAUAAUCAAACAGAAUUACAAAGAAAUAUGUUUGAGGUUGAACACUUGAUAUACAAUUAGUGGUGUUCACAAUACAAAUCCGAUACAGACUCUUUAAGACUUAGGAAUUUCUAAGAUAUGAACUUGAAAACAGAAAUUCUAAGUGAACUUUGGAUGUGGAACAAUUUUGACAGAGUUUUAGCGCUUUCAAAAUGUUGUAGAGCCUUGUUGUUCUUCAAGUAUUCACUCCUUUAUAUAGAGGUGUGAAAUGAACGUUGUAAAUGCCAGCACAUCCAAAAAGAGUCAUUGUUGAAGCUUGAUCUUUCACCAAUGAUCCAUUGCCUGAUUAAGGUAUUGUCCUAUGAAGGAUCAAUUUCAAAUCCAUUCCUAUUGAGAGGGAACAUUAUAUGCAAGCAAGGUUGUAUUUCAGAGUUGUAUAUCUUGUCUUGUAGCAGAGAUAAAAACAGAGUAGUGGAGAGGUGGUUGUACAGUUCGUACAAAGUACUAUGUCAACGCUCUUUGUAUCUUAGCAACCAAAUGCCUUCAAAUCACUUUAAAAUGACCGUUGCAUAAUUCCACAGUCUUAUGUCAAUCUUAGAUGAAAUUUGGUCUAAAAGACAACUCUUAAGCUUUAAGUUAUGUGACUUCUGACGAACUCCAGCUUCUAGUGAAAUGUAGCUUCUGAUGAGGCUGCUUCUGAUGAGCUUCAGCUUCUGAUGACGUCAUCACUUCAGGAGCGCUAUGUCUUCAUGAACACUUCUCUUCAGAUGCUUUAAGCUUCCUUUUGUUGAUUUCUUUGCUCUUUUUUAUUCAUUCAUAACCUAUUUAAGAUGUAAAUUUUUGUCUAUGGUCAUGUACACUUGAACAAAUAUUAGCAAUUCCAAUUGUCAAUUUUUAAUACCUUGUUAUCAUCAAAACUCUUUAAAGUUUAUUGUUAAACACAUUUUGUUCCAACAAGAAUAACACCCAAAAGAGAUAAAUAAUAAAUAAUAACAAUCUUUUGCUUUAUUUAACAAAUAAAAUAAUUCAAUCGUAGGUAGGCCUACACUCACGCCCACCACACAAUUAAUAAAAGACUAAAAUAUGGUUUUGGUCUCUGUAAAUAUGCUUCGUUUUGGAAUUAGUUCUUGUAACUUUUUUUUUCUUUUGUAUUUUUUGAUCCCUGCAAAUAUACCUCAUUUUGGUUUUGAUCCAUGACCCCACUUUUGUGAUGAUUUGUAUACGUGGCACAUGAUGACUAAACCCAUUUUAUAGAUAAAUAGUCCCUGCAAAAUAUUUUGAUUUUUAAAAAGGUCCCUGCAAAAUAUUUUGUUUUUGGAAAUAGUCCUUCAAGGACCAAAAACUACAAAAAUAAAAUAAAAAUUAAAGAGACUAAAACCAAAACGAGACAUAUUUGCAGGGAUCAAAACCAUAUUUUAACCUUAAUAAAACAAGAUAUUUUUUUUUUUUUUUUACUUUUCACAAACACAACACAACACAAUUACAACUGUGAAUAAUAACAAGAGAAGAGCCACAAACAAACAAAAAGUCGGUGACAACAUGGUGACCUAACGGUAACAGCUAGCAACAAGCAACAUAAUUAGAUUCAAUUGAUCUUAAUUUACAUAGGUUUGAUUUCAAUUCAUAAUAAUCUCAUUUAAUUUGAAACUAAUUUUUUUAUGUUUUGCGUUAGAAACUAUUGACAACUUCUUUAAAGAAUCGAUACAAAUGCUGCAAGCAGUUCCUCUCCAAUUGAAGCAUUCGAUCUCAAUAUAUCACCUCAAAAAAAAGAACAAUCUGAGCCAAAACGACAAAGACUUCAUCAUGAAGAAAUUAGUCGUUCUCAAAUUUAAGCAGAUCCAGGAUUGCGAUUGUUGAUUGGGACUUUCUUGUAAAUCAAAGAGAUGAAAUUCGUCGUGCCCAUCUUAAACACGAGCCAUGCCAACAUAUUCUUAGAACCGAGUCUUCACACCGACAACAGAGAGAGCUUUCUCAUCAAUGAAAAAUCUCAAGACAAAACAAAGAAACAAAAUGAGUGAUGAUUUUCUUUCAAAUAGCUUGGUUAUUUACAUUGAAAAAGACAUUGCAAGUCAGUUUAACUCAGAUGCAAUUAUGGAUGAAUUUGAGUCUUUGAAGAGCCACCGAGUUCAAUUUUCAUAAAUAGCUACUAUUAAUUUUUAUUUCUUUUGUUGUAGUUUUUUUGGUAUAAUCCGCUAUUCUACUGUGGUUUUUUUGGUACAAUUUGUUGUUGCCGCAUUUUUUUGGUAUAAUCCGUUCAUGUUUAGUCAAGUUUAUAUUUUAUGAAGAACAUUUUAUAUAAGUCAUAGUUAUUGUGAUUUUUUUUGCCUACUGGGUUAGAUUAGUUUAAAAAAAAAUUCUUUAUAUGUGGCCAUCUCAUGAAAAUGUUGCUAGCUUCGCCGUUUUUCAAGGCUAGAAUCAUUUACUCCCUCCGUUUCAUAAUGUGUGUCACUUUAGCCAAUGAAUGUUGCUUUACAUUUCCAAUACAACUUUAAUUUUUUUCUCCUAACUUUUCUCUCGCACAAUUUUCAAUGCAAUUUAAGUUUUUCUUUUUCUUGGGCAGUUUAGUAAAAGUGUUAUGUCUAAUGAUUAUUUCAUUCAAUUACUUAAUUUGUAUGCAAUUGGCUAAAACGACAUUCAUUUUAAAAUAAAAUGAGUAAUUUACACAAUUAGUACCUUUUCUUAUAUGGCUUAAGUCACUUGUUCAAAUCACAAUUAUUAUGCGGAUCUGUUGAAAGAAUUAGAACUGAAAGGAGGUUUUCUAGGCACAAAUAAAUAGCUUGGAAUGGCUGGAUACUAUUUUCAAGGUUAAUGAUAGUUUGUUUAGUUUGGAAUUAGAACCACAGAAUACACAUUCUUGCUUGGCACCAAAGCUUCAACUAUCCUUCAUGUGUCUUUUAAUAUGAUUUUUUUUUCGCAUUCAUAAAUGAAUAAAAAAACAGCAUUGAACGUUGCUAAAACAUAAGACAUAAUUCUCAUUUAAAAAAACGAUCAAUCUAUGACCAUAUUUGAUUGCUAAGGGACUUUCAAGAUCUAUGAAGCCCGGAUACUUAGUGCGAUACGGGUACGAAAUGAUACGGAUACGCGGAUACGCGAAAUUUUUAAAAUUUAGGAUACGAUACGGCUAAGAUGUGUUAACAAAAUAUUUAUAUUAAAAUUUAUAUGUGUGUAAAAUACUUAAAAAAAAAAAAAACAUUGAUUACUCAUACUAUAUAAUCAUAAAAAUCACAAUUUACAAAAUAAAAUAAAAUACAUAUGAUCAAAAUAAAAAAUGUAAAGUUUUUGUAUAAAUCAUAUUCUAUUUUCAUUCAUAUGUUAGGAUAUCAACAAAUAUAUCAAUAAAAGAACUCAAAACAAAGUUUGUUUAAUGUUGAUUGAUUAAAUCUCCCCUCUCUCGUUACUUUCAUCCACCAAAAUUAUAAUAUUUAAUUUGUUAAUCGAAAAAUAAUUAUAGUGAUUCGUAUCUUAAAUUUUCACAACACAAUCUCAUUUUUAUACACUUCAUUUUUUUCAAAUACGUCUUUGUGAAGUAAGUAUUUGUGUGUAUCCGUCGAGUAUCUUAUAAGUAUCCUAUAAAAUAUAUAUUUUAAAUUAAAAUAAUUAAUUCCAAUACUUCUGGGAUACGGUAUCCAGAGUAUCCGACACGGGUACGACACCAUUUUAAAGUAUCCAGGCUUCAUAGUUUAAGAUUCAAAUCAAAUUAGCAUACCACGACACCAACAAAUCCAAUAACCAAUUGAUAGCUUUUACAAUGAACAAUAUAACUUAUUUACAAAUUAGAUGGAAUAAAUGUUGAUUCUAGGAAAACAUUGGCGUAAAAGCCAUAUGAAAGGUGAGUGGUGUAUCCCUUCAAGUUCUAUUUAUACGCAACUGAUUAUGGAGCAAGAGAAAUUCUUGUGUAGGAACGAACCUAACUAUCAUUCUUACAAACAACAAAUUAAAUCAUGACACGUCGUUUUUUUUUUCUUUUAACCAUGAUUGGUGGUGGUGAAUACUAACCGCAAAUAAUGGUUGAGAGAGAGGAGGAGCAAUUAUUUUUCAUUUCUUAAAUUAUUUCCUAAUUAUUUUUAAAAAAAACAAUGACGUGUCAUGUUUUAAUUUGUUGUUUGUAAGAAUGAUAUGUUAGGUUCGUUCCUACACAAGAAUUUCUCAUGGAGCAAUGGGAUGAUGGUACACAUGUGUGCAUAUGUACUUCCUCCGGUCUCGAAUAUAGUAGGUAUAUAUACAUGUCAACAUAAGUUAGUGUCUGCGUGCGAUGGAGGAAAUACAAAAAUAUCAAAUGGUUAGAACACCAUAGAUGCACAAUAAUAUUUGUCUGAUAUAGAUGAUGAUUUUCAAAAUAACGAAUACCGGAAAACCUUAAUGUACAUCAUCCUAACUUAACCACUUGACUGAACCGUAUCUAAAGUUCAAGAGAUCACGUGCAUAAGGAACAUCAAGACUCCCCAUUACAAAGUCUGAUCUCAUAUGCUCCGGGAACAUAACUCGGUUCAACUUUUUAAACAACGGAGGAGAAUGUUUUGGAUAUACAAUCUACUCACUAUAACGAUCCUUCACUUGGAUGACGAAUCAAGUUGGUUGAACAUUGAUCAAAGGUAUAGUACCACCGUCUCGUAGGUCGUCAAAGUUAUGGAGUUCAAGACAUCCAGCACUGAAACAUAAUCUUCAGUUUAUCUUCUCAAUUAGGACAUCAAAUUGACUGUAGACAAGAUCAUUCAAAACCACAAAACGUCUCAAGCUCAACCCCAAAGUCUCGAUCAACAAUGUUUGAAGAAUUAAAUAAUUCUGUUACAUAUGAGAAAGGGAUAGAAAAAUAUGAGAAUUGACAUCGGCUACAAACAAAAUCAAUCAGAUAUAUAAAGAUAUUGAGAUUGAAUUCAACAACGAAAGUACGCCGCUUUAAUUGAGCAACUUGAAAAAGGUUGUCGUUGCAAAGAGUCGAUUUUUUGACCUCUUGAUGGAUAAUAUAGUCCAGUAUUUUACAUGUAUUUUUGGGACUACAUUUAUAAUUUGUAGCACAUAUUUAUAUAUUGACAAAGACCCUCCUAAUUUGUAGCACAUCUUCCAUAUAUAUUGACAAAGAUCCUUCUACCAAAGUUGCUGGAAUACAAGAUAAAAACUGCCUACCUGUUUCAUGUGACUGCCUUAUGUAUAAACUAUAUCUACAAUCGAAUAGAAUAUGAAAGUAAACAUUGCAUAAUUGAAAGCAGUUUGUUACAACAGGUUAUUUGGAAAAACUUUAGAAAAUUAUCUGUAAACUACUCAUGGUCAUGCGGUAUUAUAUUUUCAUAAACUAUUUCAAGAUAGGUCCAAAUAAGUUCUUCCAAACACCACAGCAUCAAAGUUCAUUGUGGUUGUAGAAUUUUUAAUUACAAAGUAAAAUAUUUAAACCGACCUAUUCACUUCUCACGUGAUCAUGGCUCUAAACUCAAAUCUAGCUUUAUUCAUAAAACAAAAUAGCCUAUCUAGUAAGAAAGAACCAAGGAGCCAAUCCCAAAUUUUGCAUCUGAAAAAUUAUCACAUUAGAGAAUCCUCAACUCAAAUCUAAACAAAUGUACAAUCUAAACUUCAUCAAUCAAAUCAUGGAACCAAAAAAAAGAGAACUAUUUGGAAUCAACUCAAGUAUAUUCCAAUUCAAAAACUUUCUUGAUUUUUUCUUAUUUGGACAAAGAUAAGAUAACCAUCAUCGUUAGAUAUGCGGGAUUGACUUAGACCGAAUAAGAUUUUUAAGUAGAGCUUUCUCUUCAUCAAUUUUCUGUUUCUCCUUUGCAUCUUUCGGUUUGAUCUUCCUCUUCUCUUCCAAGAUCCACUUGAAGAGUCCACGCCGUUGAUCUUCCGGAAUUUCUCUUUUGAUCCCAGGAUUUGCAGUUGGUGCUGGGGAUACAUGUGUCUCGACAACCGGAGAUGUAAUAUCUUUAAACUGCAGCAGAGUUCAGACAAUCAUCAGUCACAUGUCUAGCAACAAGUUCAAGUCAGGUUUUGAACAUAGAAAUAAACUCAAAUGCACUAGAGUUGAGAUCAGAAAAAACAAAUCAGUAAGAUCAUAUAGUUAAAAUCUGAUUUGCUAGAGAAAAAAAACUUCAAAUUUUAUUAUCAAAACAAAAUUGCAGUUGCAGCUAUCCACUGUGAAACAGUACUGUAGAGGAUAACCCCCUUCCAAAAGAUAAGAGAAGUAAAGACAGGUAAGCCUAUACUAUAAAUGUUUCAAUCUCAUUCAAUCCUCAUGUUCCUACAAUAACGCAUACAGUUGUUAAGAGUAGUGCACCACGGUUGAACAAAAAUACAAACAAAAGCAUCUGUGACAAAUUUAUUGCAUGUUUAAAUCAGAUGGAUGAGUUAUGACAUAAUGAAACAUAUUGCAAAAUACCUUGAUCAGUUUUGCUGACAACAGCCUUCUGAAGGCUGUCGGCGCCCAGUCAUGAUCCUAAAAAAUACAAAAAAAAUAUUGUAUAAGAAAUAUAAAAACAGUGCAGUUUCCAACCAAAUGGAAUGCUAUAACAUUUCAGUUUGUAACAAUCAGUAUUAUGUCGUUUCUUAAACAUAAAAUUUAAAUAAUUAAAAGUUGAAUCAUAGAUCACACCCUACCACAAGGGGCACCUAAGUCUCAAGAUGCACUUAGCAUUCACUCACAAAAACCGCAAGUCACAGUGACCAUGUUUCAGGAGGCAUGAAGUGGAUGCAGAACAUUGGAUAGCUAGUUUACUGUUUACAUGUAAAAUAAUGCUGAAAUGCGUAUUUUCUAUGACUUUGAUUUGAUUACUGAUUAUGUAUUAAGAAAAACUACUAGCAUAAUGGUUUCUCACUCAGCUUAAAUUAGAAACGAACAUAUACUCAGGCAAGGGGCAAACCAAUCAGUUAAGGUUACAUUCAAAAAAGUGUAUGUUUGAUGAAAAUGUAAAGCUAUUUAGAUUUAUAUUCAUAUAUUAAUUAGGGAAACUCUAAUAAGUACAAGGUUAUAGAUCUUUUAGAAAUCUGUAUAGAUAAUGAUAUAUUGAUAAUUUGCAAAAGUAUAAGGAUUACAACCAGUUGUAGUCCAAUACACAGUAGUAAACAAUGAUUAUGAAAACAAUAAAACCUUCAAAGUUACAGUGAUAGGAACCUAGCAAGAUAACUUAAGAAUGUAACUACUAACAAGAUCAAGUGAACAUAAACCGUACCUGAUCCGGAGCAUGCUCCAAGCAUUGUCGAUGGUAGAUGGUGGACCAUGGUGGAGAGCCAAAAACCUGCCAUACCGGCCAACAAAUCGUGCCGCCAUAUCCGAGUAUGGCGUCAUCGUGCCGCCAUCCUUCAAUAAAUUGGCCACGGCGGAAAGCCAAAAUUCUGCCUCGAAAAUUCGCCAUGGCGCUGCCAUGACCGACAUUGGAAAUCUUUGAAUCUAUAAAGUGCAAGUUUUCAGGAGGCAAUGCAAGACCAUCAUCAUAUCCAUACUUUCGAAGUAAAGUCCAUAUUAUCUCAGGACGACCAAAUUGAUUGCAAAUAAGAGUUAUAAAUUCGUUUUCAGUUAUAGUUCCAAGUUCCUUCCUUUCCUCUUCGAGCAAAGGAGCCAUGAAACAAUUAACCUGUCAUAAUUUUUUUUUUUAAUAAGCUUAUAUAAUAAAGCUAAAAUGCACCAUGCUAUAAUACUUGGAUAAUAAACAAGUGGCCAAUGUUAAAAAACUAAAACCUGUAAAUCAUUCAAUUCAUCUGAGCUAAGGUAUCCCUCCUCAUUACCGUCACACUUUUUAAAAAUGGCCCUCAAAGCUUCGGUCAAUUGAGGCGUUGGAGCUACAUAGUUUGACUUCCGAAGAAAUAAAGGAAAUUCUGGAAAGAGAACAGCUCUAUGAGCAUCAUAAAAACCUGCAUCGAUCUGCAAAAAAGGGAAAUUAUAUUAUCCAGAUAUAAUUGUGUCACUUUGAACUAAUUAGAAUUAGAUUUCGAAAGGAGUCGUUACAUUGUCCCGCAGAAAUGCUGAACACAGUUGGUACUUUUCGAACCUGGGGAAAUCUUUCAUUACUUUUUCUACAUCUGAUUUGACCGUAGAAAGAUUACACGCCAGAUCACUUUUACAUCCAACGAGUAUCAAUGGAACAGCAAUUGUCUGUAAAUAGAUGAUUUUACACAAUUGAGAGUGUUUUAAAAAAACAAACGGAAAAAGGAACUGGAGUUGCGGAAAAAAAAGACAAAAAUUGAUAUUAGAACCUUCAAUUCCAAGUUGCUGACACGAUUCAACCAAUAUUGUUUCAGAUUUUGAAGAGUUUGAGGUCGAGCACAAUCAAAAGUGAGUAUUAUAGCAUCAGCAUUCUUUAGUUCGGAAUCAACGGUAGAUUCUUUCUGACUAAAGUCAAUAUAGAGUAAAAAUGUUAUAAAGAAUAAAUUCAAAACGCAUUUCGUUUUCCAUUAUAAGAACUUCAAAUUUUAUACCUCGAAGAGGUGUCGACAAUGGUGGCUUGCACCAGAUCAGGAAAAAAGUUGAUCAGUAACUUCGAGGGUUGUAAUAAGGAUGGGACGCUCAAGAAAUUUGUAUCGUAGACCUCAUCGUAGUCCUCAUCCCCGACAUCGACCUCGGUCAUGCCUAGGGCAUAGAUGAGGGAGGAUUUUCCCGUAUCCUUGUCUCCAGCCACAACAAUUCGAACUCCAAUGCAAUCUUUAGCGAUUGGAUAGAUGUUGUUGGAUGCGGCACUAACCUUUUCCUCCUUCGUAUAAUCAUAAGAUUUUAAAUAUUCAACGGCCAUGAUAGUGUUUCUGCUGUUUACACUACAAGAAAAAUGAGUUUUAGCGCGUCAGCAGAAAAUAUGAUGCUUUAAGGCAAAAAAAUCAAGAUGCCAACAGCUUUUAGCGUCAACAUAGCAUCCUUGAAGCUAAAAACUAGCUUCCUACUGGCCCUUUUCUUGAAUGGCAAAAUAUAUAGUAUAUAAAUAUGAAAACCUGGGAAUUUAACCCCAAAAGUAUAAGUGCAUCACAAAAACACAACAACUACCCAACAUCAGAAGUGCAAGGGAUCCAAGAAAUAGGACAACACACAAAGCGCAAAAACAAAACAUACACAAGUAACACCAAAAGGUCACCAUAAGGAAGGCCCCCCAAAAAACAAAAACCACCCUAUCCUUCAAAAGAAUGCGAGAAUAGAAAGCAAGCUGCCAGGCAAAGCUGAGCAGGGGGCAACCAGUCAACCACCGCUCCACACCCACAACACCACACCCUACCGAUACUAGCACAUGACAUGUUGACCGCGCCUCCCACUUGUACAAGGAGCAGAGGCUAGCAGAACUCUUAUCGUGGAACCAUUUCCAAGAGGAAAACUUCACCCCAUCCACAAUCAACUUGACAGUCGGAGUCCCUCUAGCAAAACCCCAAAAUAGCAUUUACAAAAGUGGACACUAAAAUUGAAGCUAAAGGCCUAUUUAAAGUGCAUCAUCUAAAAGUAGACACUACUUAGCGUUUGGAAUAUGUUGGCGCUAAAAACUUAUUUUAAAAUCGGCUAUGAAUUUAACAGACUUUAAAAUAUAUAUUUUAAUUUAAUAAAGAAAAUAAUCUGUGUUUCUACCCACUAAUAUCCAUAACCAAAAUUUACUACAUAGCCAUAAUUUUAUACGACAUAACUAUGUUUGCAUAAUUUGAUGUCUUCAUUGAUAUCUAGCCAAUAUUCUCAAACAAAGGAAACUCCAACAAUCACAACAAUAUUUGAAAAACAGUUUCUCAAGGAAGAUUCAAAUGAUAAGAGCUAAAAAAAAAAAAAGGCUAUCCUCAAAGCAACUUCCUAGUUCCUACUGUACAAUUACAAGCAAUACGAAAAUCUAGAGAUUCAAAAUUCACAGUUGAGAGACAUAUAAAUAAAAAAGCACAAUUACAAUCAAUAAAUGAAUGCCAAAUCUACACCAAAUGCAACAUCAUCCCCCACCUUAAUAUUUACCGAUACACGCAGAAACUACAGAAGGUUGAAAGCUCCAAUGCGCAAACAAACUGACAUAGUCCAAAUCAUUGUUACAGCCGGCACAAGUAGGACAGGGGAUUUCCAGCAACAACAACACAUAACAGAAUACACAAAGAGGUUAGAAGUGAGUCCAAACUGAAUUUUAAACAAUAAAACUUAAUUUAUGAUGUCAAUAAUGAGUGAUUUUCAGAAAUAAGUUAGAGUCUUUUGUAAAAUGUGGGUGAAGGAUUUUGUACUAGAAAUAAUUUAAACUAAGAAAUUAUGGAAGGAAGAAAACUCACCCUUGAAGAUGAAGAGUCAUCAGCAAAAGGGAAUUUUCUUGCACGGUGGAUUUGAGUGAGAAUUUGCUGUUUUUGAAAAUGAAAAGUAUGGAAAUAAAAUAUACUAAUCAGUCCAAAAUCAAUCAAAGGAAAAAAGAAAAAGAGGAAGAUGAUGAUGAUUUACCGUGAAGGGUGAAAAUGGGUGUUGGUAGUGUUGCUCUAAAUGUUGAUUUCUCCUACCAAAUAGAAAGCCUAGCUAACAAAGAGCUCGGAAAUGCUCUUCAUAGCUCCAAUCAAGGUUUUUGUUUUGAGGAAGUAAAGUAGCAGUAGUUCUAGUACUGUCAGUAGGUUAGGGCAAAAUGUUGAUUUUCUCGGACUUGUUGUCACGUCCAAAGAAUUAGGAAAACAAAUGGUUAUAUAUUUUCUUAUCCCUAUAAAAUUGGGGAUUCUAAUUUUAGUCUAGACUUUUUAAUUCUUACAAAAAGAAAUUACAUGUAAUUUUAUCUUGUUAAAACUAAAUUCGUUUAAUUAUCCCUCAACUAUUAGAAAAUUAUAAAAGGUUUAUUUACUAAAAUUUAUACUUUUUUUAACAUGAGAUAAAAUUAACUUCAAGAUUAAAGUAAUAAAAAUUUAAAUGUAGAAAUCAAAUUUUGAACUAAUUUUUUGUGGAGGAAUUUUUAGUAAUUUUCUUAACACUUCUACAAAAAAAAAAAUUAAAAGUUUAAACAUAAAUAAACAAAUUUGGAUUUAGAAAGGACUAAAACUGAGUAUGAAAUUUUUUUAUAGGGACUAAAAAACUAUUAAAAUUAAGUAUGAACUAAACUUAAAAGGUUCCAUUUUAUAGUGACAAAAAACAUAUGCAUCCCAAAAAAUAAUUUUUGUACAAAAAAGAAAAGAAAAGAAGUUUUAGAACCAAAAUACUCCAAAAGUAUUUGUUGAGAUCUUUACUAAAAAUCAAAAUUAAAAGAGAAUCAUCUUAAAAUCAAAUUAGAUAUAAAACUAACGAGAUAACUAACAAACUGGAUAAUAGCUUAUUAUUUAUUGUUGAUAACAUAAUUUAUUAUAAGUUGAUAGUUUAUGAUUGAUGGAUGAUUUACGGUAGAUAAAUUAAUUAAAGUGUUUUGUAAAAUGACAUAAAAUACAUUCUUAAUUCAUGAUAAAAAGUUUAUCAAUUAUUUUUUAAGUUUAUAGAAUUUAGUAAUUUAAAAUUAUGUUAGCGAAAUAAGAGUACAUCAAACUAAUAAUAGUAUUAGCUAGCAUUAACAAAUUAGUCUAGCAGCUUUUAGAAACAUAUAUUAAAAAUAACAUAGAUAGUAUUAGCUAGCAUGAACUGAUUUUUAAAGUAAUAGGAAUUAAGUUCAACAAAAUAACAAACAUAUAAUUAAAAAUAUUCUCAUGCAUAAGUUCGUGCAACACUGUGUAUACAACCAUGUCAUAUGAUUAAUUUGUGAAACAUUUGUGUUUUUUUGGUAUAAAUUAAUUAUAAUGAGUGCACUAAAUAUGUGCUAGUAUGGGAACCGAUUGUGGAACAUUUGUGUAGGAAAUCGAAUUCGUGAGACCACAAAUAUAUUAGUCUUAGAGGCUAUAAAAUAAGUUAGCUAUGGAGGCUUAAAACAAAGACUUCACUAGCCUUAUGAUUGACUUUAUUGUUGGUUCAUAGUUAUUAAACUCGUAAUAAAUAAUCACUAAGCCAUAUUUUUACAAGUAUUAUAUGUUCACUUAAAAAUAAAAUAAAAAUCAUUUUUUAUUACCAUUUAUAUAGGUCCUCAUAUCACGAACCUUUAUGGUGUGUUUGGUUUUAGAGAGAAGUUCUGAAGAGAGAAAUAGGUGAGAGAGAGAUUGAGAGAAGAGAGAAGUGUGUAAGAAAUAGAGUAGAUUUGAGGGGUUCUUUGUUACAAGAGAAAGGGAAAAGAAUUAGGGAAGAGAGAAAUAUUGUUUAUUUUGAAAAGUACUACAAUACCCCUACAUCAUAUAACAUUUUCAACCAAAUUAAUUUAAUUCUUUUAUUUAAAUUCAUUUAAUUAAUUAAUUAAUUAUUUCAAUUACUUAUUUUAAUUCAACAUAAUUGAUAAAUUUUUUAAAAAUCAGCAGGAACAUACAUUUGGCAAAUCGCAAAAUACCGUGUUAUAAAAAGUACAACAAAAAAAAAAUUACGUAUACAAAAAAUAGCUUGUCCUUGAUACAAAAAAAUAAUAGCUUCUCCUAAAUUCACUUUCAAAUUAUAUAAAGUUGACGGUGGGGAAAAGAAAAAAAAAACUAACAUCAUAAGAGACACAAAAUUAACUAAAUUGGACUAAGGCAUAAAAGGAAUACACAAAAAUAUCACUAAUCUCCUUCACUUUCUUCUUAACUUUGGAGAGAAAGGGUUUUGUGUGGGGUCCACAUAUUUUUAGUCUCUCUCCUAUUUCUCUUCACUACCAACCAGGAGAACUUCACUCUCUCUCUCUCUUCCUUAACUCUCUCUUCUCUAUUUCUACUCUACAAACAAAGUGUUAGAGAGUAACACAUAAACGAAGACAAAUUACAUAAACUGGUUUUUUCACUCUUCAUUUUUCUUUUAAAUAAACUGUUUCCCUUAAAAUGAGCCAACUUCAUACCUAAAAGAGUGUUCAUUAAUUACCGUCAAUCAAAAAACUAAAUUAAGAAAAUAUUAAAUUAAAGGCAUCAUUAAUAUAAAUUUUAAUUCAUGCACACAAUAACUUAGUUUUAGUUUACAUGCACAUGCAACGUAUUCUUUCCUUAGCAUGUUUACAAUGAUAUUAUCAUACACGACAACGACCAUCUUCACGCUAUUGAAUUUUCUUUCCGCAAUUAAUAGAUCAUAUCAUCACUUACCAACAAUGCAACGAAUGCAUGUAUAGCUGAGUUUUGUCAAUACUCAAAAUAAUACUCGUGUGACAUCCUAACGUGCAAGUAGCAAUGCAAACGAAUCAUGCUCCCGUAUAUACCAAAAGUGAAAGUUUCCAUCAUUUCAUUAUGAUAGUAAUGACUAUUUGUAAUUAUUGUGAAUGAAUAUAUAUAUAUAUAUAUAUAUGGAUUUGCUAGAACACACCCACUAGUUUUUAUGUGGAAGUGUUUUAGCAAGCUAUACCUUAAGGUGUAUUUAACUACUUUUUAGUUAUAACUUGCUAAAACACACUUUCUAAAAAAUAAGUGGAUGUAUCCUAGCAAAUGUCUAUAGGAGUUGCUAACAUACACCCAAUUAUUUUUUAGAAUGUGUGUUUUAGCAACAUUCACCUUAAGAUGUAUUUAACAACUUUUUAGUUAUAUCUUUGCUAAAACACACUUUAAUAAAAAUUAGUGGGUGUAUCCUAGCAAACCCCAUAAAUAUAUAUAUAUAUAUAUAUAUAUAUAUAUAUAUAUAUAUAUAUAUAUAUAUAUAUAUAUAUAUAUAUAUAUAUAUAUAUAUAUAGUUUAUGUUCAAAUUAUGUUGUGUCACAUGGCAUAUAUGAAACUUGCUUUAAAAAUGUUAUCGUCCAAAGUUCGGCCUAGGAGGUGGUAAGUAAAGUGUCAAAAAUUGUUCACCUUGAACUUGAACACGGUUUUUCUGAACGAUUCGUUCAUUGGUGGAGCUCAUUAAACACUUAAACUCAUUACUUGUUUAAAAAAAAACAUUCAUGUAUAUCGUGGCGGUUUCACCGCCCGGGCUCCGACCUGAAUUUUUUGCAAUUUUUUAUGUAAAUUCCUCUAAAUUUCUUAUAUAACCCCUUAUAAAUUGGGCAAAUUUUUUUAUUAUUUGCAAAUUUGCUUGCAAUUUCUUAUGUAAACACCUUUAAAUGUGUUGCAAGUUUUUAUUGCCUAGACUUUGUAAUAAUCCUAGCUCCGUCAUUGCAUGUAUAUGCCAUUAAAUUGCCGCAAAAAACGCAUGUUUCACUACAAUAAAGUCCUAGUUACUUUGUAGUUAGUCCAUAGUAAGAAUUGCACCUUUCCUUACAACAAAGUUAGGUUGACGUUGAAGAAAUUUGGUAGCAAAUCUAUAGGGUAUUCAUUAAACUAUGCAAAUUGCUUGAGGAAACUUUCUAUAGAUUAACCUAUUGCAUGUAAAAAUCAUUUGAUUUUUAUGUAAUCUAUAGAUUAUUUUAAUAAUAUUAGCUUUAGUAGCAAUUAUUACGUACUAUUGCAAAUAAAACACACUGAAAUUAAAUUUGAAAAAUGCAAUAUAUUUCAUUAAAUUCAGUGGCUACUGCUAAUACAAAAACAAGAAGUUCCCACUUUCUAUCCUCCUAAAAGCCUAAAACAGACUAUAUAUUACAAGUGAAGACUAGCCUAAAAUCUGAAAAAAUGUAUUCAAAAGUGUACACUAACGUUGCAGAAAUCAAUAUACCAUCUAACCAGCUACCUGCCUAAUAUAUGGACUAUUGAAUAUGGAACUUUAAUAACUUCAGUCACCUCCGCUUCUUUUUCCGCUGGUAAGCAGUGCAUGAAAAAUGUCUUUGAAAUUGUGAUGUCCAAGUUAAUGUAACCUCUUAAUGAACAUUGUUUUUUAUUGACUGGAAUUUCCAAAAAUAGAGAAAUUUAAUUUUGCUUAUAUGAUUUAUUUGAUUCUGUGUGUACAUAAUUUUUAUUUAUGUGUAGGUCCUAAACAGAACUGGUAUAACCAAACAGUUUUUAUUUUUUAUUUUUUUUAUACCUUUCAAAAAUAGCUGUAGUGUUUAUUGAGGUUAAGUUUUCAUCAUGAAUUUGCCAAAUUUCUUGUAAGGUUAACUAUAACUAUUCAAAUGAGCAUAAGUUUUCAUCAUGUUUUCUUAUUCACUGUUUCAGGUAGCAAAGUUUUAGUUAGAUGAUUGUAGUUUCUUUGCUUCUUAGGAAUAGACUUGGCUUGCUUUUUUUAUGUAACCUAACCUCUUUCUUUAUAGGGUUCAGGCCCUCUCCUGCCUUUAUUGCUUUCUUUUACCUUUAUAAAAAAAAUUAAAACUAAAAUGAGCUUAUACACAUAAGCUAUAAACUAUAAGAUAAAAAACAGACCCUAUGUUAUGUUGUGUUUUUUUAAGGAACUUAUCGGAUUCUGUUUUUCUUAAUUAAUAUUUUUUCUUUGUAAAUAAUAAAAUAGUAAUUUAUGUAAAAUAAAAAUAAUAAUAUAUUAUUAAUCUCUCAAAAACAAAAUAUAAUAAUUUAGAAAGAAGAUUACUAAAUAAAAAAUUCAAGCAAAAUACCAAAAUGAGAAAAUUGAAAGAGUAUGCAGAAAGACUACUCUUAUUUACACAAAUUCGGGUCUACCGAGAGAGACUGCUCUGGUCAUUGAUGUAGAGGCAGUAUAGGUUGUGCUGACUUAGAUGAUUUUGGGUAAAGAUUUUCUGAACCAUGAUAAAGGCUUUUUACUAGUUUAUGCUCAAAGAGGAACUAAGAAUGCAUUAAUUUUUUUAGUAUCAUAGUAUUGACUGUUGACAAAACUCACCUAUAUUCGUUGGGUUAUUAUAUUAUUGUUGGUUAGUGAUGAUAUGGUCCAUUAAUUGUUGAAAGAAAAUUCAAUAGCGUAAACAUGAUCGUUGUCGUAUGAUAAAAUUGCCAGCUAACAUGCACCUUUGUUACAUUUCAAUAUAUAUUUUUCUUCCUUUUCUGUUACAUUUCUUAUCCAUUUUCCAUCACGACGACAAGUUAAAGGAACACAUGCUUAUCUAUAUUAAUUGUAUGCGGAGCGGUGGCCUGAGCCAUAAAUCUUAUAGAACUCGGGCAAAAUUUUAACCACAAAUUUACAUAGAACAUAAUAUAUAAAUAGUCAUAAAUCAAAAUAAAAUAGGUUUGUCAUUUUAUCAAUAAAAGUACAAUUUGAAAUAAGAGACAUGACAUAUAACAUAUCCAUAGUGUGCUAAAUAAAAUUAGAUAAAUGCCCAUGCCGAUACCUCUUUGCGGUGAAUGUUCGAAUAAUAUCAACAUUAUCAAAUGAGAAAUUUAUGAAUUCGCCCAAUUUUAUUUUUUUUAAGCGAGUUAAUGAGCUACUGGGUACCACCAUAUAUAAAGCAGGUAUUGAUUGAGCCCGAGCGAGUGCCCGGGGUCGACAGGCGGUAGAACCGGCCAUGAUGCGGAGGAUUUUAAUUUUAUUUAGAUACUUGAGUUGAGUCUAUUUUUCACUUAAUUUUUUUGUAAUUUACAUAAAAUUAUUAUAUAUAAAUAAUAUCUAAUCUAAUAAAGAAGUUAAUAUGUCAAAUAGUGCAUUAUAGUAUAUUCUUUAUGCCUUCCUAAGUUACUGCACCAAGAAUAUAACUUCACCACAUGAUUUGAGUGUAGUAUAUAUAUAUAUGUCUCACUUUCUUGGAUUGGUAUUCCCAUUUGAGAAUUAUCAACAAAAUCCACACAAAAACAAAAGGAAAUUUUCAAGAAAAUGACUUCAAAUUCUAGCACUAAUUCAUAGCUAUCCCAUCAAAACGUUGGUCAUUUUGAUACCUCUUUUAAGUUUUGAACAAUUUUUUGCAGACGUGUUAAAAACAUUACUAAAAGUUCAUCCACAAAAAAUCAUCGCAAAAUUUGAUUUCUAUAUUCAGAUUUUGUUACUUUUAUCUUUAACAUUUCAUAGUGUUCUAAACUUGUGUCAAAAAAAUCUUCAAAAAAUUAAGAGUUUGAGGAUAAUUAAACAAACAUUGUCUUAGCAGAGACUAAAAUUAUAAGUAACUUUUUUUUGUAGGGACUAAAAAGACUAUUAAAAUUAAGUAAGGACUAAACUUAAAAGCUUCAAAUUUUAUAGGGACCAAAAACAUAUUUAACCCUAUAUUUAUUAGGUUUCCUUCUUGGUUUUCCCGAAGACGCAAUUGGUAUAUAUAUUGUCUUCGUAAUAUUUAUGUUUUCACUUCAUUGAACUUGUAAAGAAAUGUUUUCAAUUCCUUGAAGCAUACUCUCUCCGUUUUUAAAUAUAAGUAAAAUUGACUUUUUAAGUUCAUUCAUUUAAUGAUGUAUGUGGUUCAUAAUAUAAACCACAUACAUCAUUAAAUGAAUGAACCUAAAAAAAAAAUUGCUUAUAUUUAAAAAUGGAGGGAGUAUAUUUAUAGGCUCAAUUAAAAUUUGAAUUUUUCUAUUUACACCCCAUAUAUUUUUGGUUACACUCAAAUAUUUUUAAAAGUUUUUUAUGAUACCAAAAUUGUCCUUUUAUAUAAAUUCUCUUAAAAUCUUGAUUUCAUUCAUUUUCAUUCUCUUUCACCCACAAACAAUCAAAAUAUUUUUCAUCCAUACUCGAUUGCAUAAGAAAGUGAAUUUCUACUUCUUUUUUAAUAAUGCUAGUUUCAAUUUUUUCUUCUUUUGUUCAACUGCCUUGUACGACAGUUUCAAUUUACAUGUUGUGGUUAACUUAAAUUAAGUUUAAGCAGGUUCAUGUAAACUUAGUUUUCAUAACCUACUUAAACUGAGUUUACAUGACCUACUUAAACGUUUAAUAUGUACACUUAAUCUCGGUUUACAUGACCUACUUAAACUAAGUUUACAUGACCUAGUUAAAUUUAGUUUAAAUAUGUACACUUAAACUCAGUUUACAUGACCUACUUAAAUUAAGUUUAAACAAACCUACUUAAACUGAGUUUAAGUAUGUACACUUAAACUCAGUUUACAUGACCUACUUAAACUGAGUUUAAGAUUAAAUUACAGUAGAAUCCAGAAAAUAAGAAAAACACGAAUUAAACCCAGAAAAAGCUUAGAAUUAGGGAACCCAUGACAAGAAAAACACAAUCGAUCGAAGAACACAACUUGUUAACCUUAUUUGCUUCGAAUUUUCUUUGAAAUCUUGCAUAGAAGAGAUAAAUCUGCUUGAAGAAGGAAAGACAGAAGAUGAGUUUUGGGGUGUAACCAAGAAAGAAGAAGAGGCUUUUUGAAAAUUAAAUUCUAUGCCAAAGUAAUUUUGUCAUUCUAAAGUGUAACUAGGAUUAUACAGGGUGUAAUUAGAAAAACUCUUAAAAUUUUACUCAAUAAUUCAAUAUUGAGUGAAUGAAUGACCAUUCUGGUUUUCAAUAAUGAAUGAUUGAACAAUUUAAUUAUUUAAAUUUAAAUUUAGGGUUAAAUAUGUUUUUGGUCCCUAUAAAUAUAUCAAGUUUUCGUUUUAGUCCCUUUAAAAAAUUUCUUCAACUUUUAGUCCCUCAAAAAUUUUCCAUCUUCAGUUAUGGUCCCUCCUUUAAAGUAAACUCAUAUGUAGAAUUCAUAUUUUUGAAUAAAAUUUUGCAGAAAAAUUCAUAAUAUUAUAAGAAUGUCUCCAAAAAAAAUUAGAAUUUUUUAACAAAACAUGAAUUUUUAUAUUUUUUGAGGUUAAAAAUUCAUAUUUAAUUUGUGAUUUUUUUAAGUUCUAAUUUUAUUUUUUUUAGAAUAUUUUACACAAUUCUGAAUAAUUUAAUUAAAAAUAGAGACCAAAAGUAGUGAUUGAAAAUUUUAUUGGGAACUAAAAGUUGAAGGAAAAUUUUGGAGAGAUUAAAACAAAAAGAAGGUAUAUUUAUAGAGACCAAAAACAUAUUUAACCUUUAAAUUUAUGAAUAAUGAACUCAUCCACUAAAUUGAAAAAGGUCGAUCAAUUUAGUCUAAUUCAUGAUUUCUAUCCCUCUAUUUUUAAAUUCACGAUUUUGGUCUCUAACUUUUAAAAUUUUCUUACAUUUUUCCCAACUAUAUAUUUGGAGGUGAUUUUUGAUGAAGUGGCAAGUGAAGUACCUAUGUCACAAGUGAGUUGAUGAGAUGAGAAUCGGUUCUCAAAUAUUUUGUAUAUCAAAUUUAGGUGUCCCUGUGAUGAUAUACAUCAACGAAAAUGAAAUUUUUUAUUUUUUAUUUUAUAAGAAAAGUUUAUACUAAUAUGAGUGCAAGAGCUAGUUAAACAUAUACUAGAAGAGACAUAUAGGGUUACGUGCACAUGCAAAGAUACAUUUUUUCUAAUAAUAAAAAUAAAUUUGGUUUGACAUUUUGAAGAUAAGUGCUCUUUGUAUCUUUUUGCUUAUGUGCCUAAAUUCUAAACAUUUAAUUUUGGGAUCAAACAUGUAUUGUUAUUUACUCUUAUUUCGCUCACAAUUUUAUUUAUCACUUUCAGGAGUCUUAGGAAGCUGAAAUUACCAAACUACGUGGUGAUAGAACAAAGAUUUUUCGACAUGUUAUCAAUACCUGGGAAUGACGAUCAUCCAUCUCACGAUGUAGGAGAAGGACAAAAAUUAAUAAAAGAAGUGUAUGAAGCAUUAAGAGGCAGUCCACAAUGGAAUGAAAUGUUGUUUGUGAUUACAUACGACGAACAUGGAGGAUUUUACGAUCACGUGCCAACACCGGUGGACGGAGUUCCUAGUCCAGAUGACAUUGUUGGUCCUGAACCAUUCAAGUUUAAGUUUGAUAGGCUUGGUGUUAGGGUUCCAACCAUCUUUAUUUCUCCAUGGAUUGAGCCAGGAAAAGGUAAGAAUAAGAUGCAUAUGCAUGCAAACAAAAAUAGUUCUUACACUCAUUAUUAUUACACAAAUUAAUCAUAACAUGGUUACAUUAUACAGUGUUGCAUGAACCUUCUGGACCAUUUCCAACAUCACAGUAUGAGCAUUCAUCUAUACCAGCAACUGUGAAGAAGAUAUUCAAUCUCCCUGAAUUUCUGACAAAGAGGGAUGCAUGGGCUGGAACAUUUGAGGGACUUCUAACUUUAAGCAGUCCACGAACUGAUUGUCCAGGUAAAAUAUCAAUAUUUGUUCUUUAUGCUCUUUACCUUUCUUUCUUCUAAUGCAUAAGAAAUUAUCUAAAAUAUGUGUGUUGUUUUGAUGAGCUUAGAAUAAAGAAUGUUGCCUAAAUUCAUGUUGAAUCAGACUCCUCUAAAGUUAACAACUUACUUUAGAGUGUUGAAUAAUGUCGAUCAAUUCAGUUUUCAGUGAUUAUAAUGUCUAUCAUUAAUCAAUUAUUGAUAUUACAUGUACGUGAAUAACAAAUUCGACCAUCAAUCGUGUUUCUUGACUAUUUAAGUGUUCAUUGUGCAGAAAAACUGCCCGAACCGAUUAAGCUGCGAGAGGCUGCUGCUAAAGAAGAAGCCAAGUUGAGUGAAUUUCAGGAAGAAUUGGUACUAAUGGCAGCUACUCUUAAUGGGGAUCAUAAAAAGAGUAUAUAUCCUGACAAGUUGAUCGAGAACAUGUGUGUUUCGGACGCAGUUAAAUAUGCCGAGGAUGCAUUCAAUACAUUUUUGAAUGAGUGUGAGAAAGCCAAGCAAAAUGGAGCUGAUGGAUGUGAUAUUGUUGAUUGUGCUAAUACAUGCAGUAAACUACCCAAUUCCAAAAAUUUCUUUCACAAGAUGUUGUCUUGUAUAACACGUGAUCGGUGAAUAGUUAACUUUGCACAUAAUUUAUUUAUGAAACAAGUGCUUCUGUGUGUAUAAUUGCCAAUAUUGUCGAUGAGGCUAUCCUGAAUAAGAAAGUUUAUAUUCACCUUCCAAUAAUGAAUGAAGAAGUAUAUAUACAGUAAUUGUAAAGCUGAAGUCCCUAUAUGAUGCAUAUAAAUUGCUUUUAUUUGUAUACAAGUUUUGAUUACAAGUCUAGUCAGCUAGAGCGCCCGGCCUCGAAUAAUUCUUGCCACUUCUGAGCAUCAUUUCCAGGACCUUCACCCUGAAACAUAUGCAUUUCAGCAUCAAUAAUAAAGAAAUCUUAAAAUAUUUUCCAGCAUUUGAUUAUUACACUAAAUAGGAAUCAUAAUUUAACAGUAACAAAUAGUUAAGAAAUUUACGGUUUUGAUUCUACAAUGGGGCUUUGGAUCACAGAUACAUAACACGUCCAUCAUCCAUUUAUCAUUAUAUAUACCUAAAAACAAAAUUACCAACAAAAGUUUACCUCAACAGAGUUAACUUCGUAUAUUUGGUUUUCAGUGGCUUCUAGGUCUAGUGCCUGUACGCAAGCUUCAGCAACCACAAUUCUACUGGCUUCGCCCACUAGUUUAUCUCCUGAAAGCCAUCACAAAAUUUCUAACGCUUUAAGCAAAAACACUUUUGGAAAAGGUAUAAAGUAUCAUAUAAAAUUAUGUGAUGAACAUUAUUGACAUACCUUGACCUAUAAGGACUGCUCGUCGUUGCCCAGCUGUUGCUUUGAGUAAUGUAUUGAGAUCAUAAGAUGUGUAUGGUCCAUCUGUCAAUCUUCCAGGUCUAAAAUGCAUUUAAAUACACGAUAUGAGGAGAUUUCGGGAACAUUCAACAUUUUGGUUAUCAAUGUUAUAAUAUCUACAACAUUUUCAUCUUACCUAAUUAUAGUAUAUGGAAAGCCAGAAUUCUGAAGAAAUUCCUCCCCCAUCUUCUUAUACUUCAAGACACCAAAUAGGUUCAUAAUGCUACGUGAAAAAUGAACAUUAACAAGUUUCUGAGAGAAGUCCAUCUAUCAACAUAUUUUACAUAGUUUUUUUCACUUUGCUUACCUCCAUGGCAAUUCGUUACACUUAGUCACACCUAUUGAUGAUACAAGAAUAACUCUUUUCACUGAGGAAGGCAACACAGAUACUAGAUUCUUCACUCCCACCCAAUCUUCAAAUAAAUAAAAAUAGUUGAAAUCAAAAUAUUGAGACGUGCUUGAAAAGUUGACAGUUAAGGAAUUUACCACGCAUGAAUCUUCACCUAACUAACUUUACAUUUCAAUUUAGAUAUGAAACUGAAUGCUGCAAUAUAUAUAUAUACAGAAUGUGAUUCUUACCAACUCUUUCUGGUGUAUUUUCAUCAUCCCACCGCCUUGAAGGAAAAGCUGUUGUUCCUGUGCAGCAAAUCACAUGAGUGACUCCCUACAACGAAAACCAAAGAGAAAGAAACACAAAUUAUUACCAAUUUACCAUACAUUCUCUUGGCUGGAGAAAACGAUGAAUCAAAAUAAAAACAAUAUUAAUGAAACAAGUAUCGAUUAUGUAUAUCUACCAAAAAAAAAAGUAUCGAUCAUGUAUUUGUAAGGCACAUUGAAUUGAAGAGUUUACCUCAAACAUAGAUGGAUCCAAAUCAUCAUGCUUCCUUGUGUCUCCUUUGAAUACCUGUCAUAUUCAAGAGCUCUUUAACUAGAAAAUAUAUUGAGAAUGAAUGACAUAAAAAUGAGCCACGAAGAUUUUUCUUCCUUGGUGGUACCACAAAGGCAAUUAAGGGCAUUUUUGUUAAUGUUCAUACUUGGAAUCACAAAACUGUCAUCUGAUUUUUGUAUUUAUAGGUGAAAAAAAACGAAACAGAAACAUAAAUUUUUUCCCUAAACCGAUCAAGUCCUAGAUUUUUCACUUUGUCUGCUAACUAAAGUGUAGAUGUCGUGAUAUACCUGCAGUUUUUCUUCAUCUUGUUCACCAAACAGUGCCUUGGCUUUCUCAAGAUCCCUAAGUAUCAAGCGCGACUUAAUAUUCCGCUGAAGCAGUGAUGCUACAACUAGCUGCCCUGAAUAUCAAGUUAAGUCAACUGAUUUACAAACUCCCCGAAUCAAAACUAUUGGGAUGGAUUAUGUAUGGACUUCCAAAUUUUUACAGUUGUUUUCUGAAUACAUAAAAUAACAUCACAAAGGAAUUCCUCAUUCCACAAUGACAAUAUGACAUAUUACCAACAAGAAGGUUGUUAAUACUAUUUAUCAACAAUAUUAGGUUGACUCUAUGUCGCAUAAGCUAGUAUAACUCACAUGUCCUUAUCGACGGAGUUAUUGAAUAUUGAGUGAAACACGUCUUAUUUACAAGAUCAAAAGGAGAACUAAAAUAAACAAACUGAAACAGAAUUCUAACCAACUGUAACAGAUUGCUAGCAACUAACUACUAACUGAUCUAACAUAGAGUCAACAUAAUAAACAGCACACCAAAGUAUAUUUAUAAUAGUAAAAAUGUCAGCAACCAUUAAAGGCCUCCAUAAAUUCGCUUAUUAGAGCUUAUCCACUGACACAGAUACUUGUGAUACUGUUUGGCAUAACUUAUGAAAACAACUUAUCACAUGUUUAUGAGCUCUUUCACCUUAUUCCGUAAGCUCUUUAGGGUAACUUAUGAAAACAACUUAUAGAUUUAUACAAAAACAGUUAUUGAAAUAGCUUAUUCAUAAGCACUUAUCAUGAUAAGCACUUAUGCUAUAAGCUGCAAAAUAAGCAGUUUAUCCAAACAUGGCUUAAAUCUUUGAUACCUAUUUCAAUCCUCAAAUAUUUAUCGAGAUUUCACUAAAAUCUUGACCAGGAUUUCCUAGAGUAUAAAAUCCCAACGGUCACUGCAGUAUGCCAAUUCAAGCCAUUGGAUACAAAUAAGAUGGUUCAAGCUUAUUUUUAUAAACUCUUGAAGAUAACUUAUGAAAACAAAUUAUUACUCAUACGAAAACAAUAUAACUUUAGUUUAUCUUCUGUUAUAGAAACACUAAUUAAGUUGUUUAUCCAAACAGGACGGGCCUAAAGCAAGUUCAAAAUGAAACUAAUUCCAAAUGAAAGAGAAGGAAGAAGAAUGAAUGAAUGGUUACCAACACCGCCUGAACCACCAAGAACAAGUACCAGUUUGGAGGAUGAUGAUGAGGGAGUGUUUUGGUUAUUGUCAACGAGAGGUUUCUGUGAGUCAGUAGAAACAGCUUUUGCGUAAACGCGUUUAUAAGUGGAACUCCGUUUAGAAGAAAGGGUGAUUGGGUAGUUAUUAGGUAGUUUGAUGAAACUGAAAAGUUGAGGAUUAGAAGAAGAAGAAGAAGUAAGAGAGUGAAAUUGAAGGAAAGUAGAAGAAGCCAUUAUUCAACACACACAGAUUCACGACACAGUUAGUCAGUUACUAACUUACUUUACAUAGUACACACUACACAGUACUUCAACUCCAACCUUAAUUAAGCACCACAUGUUUUUUUCUUGUCUUUUUUAUUUUCAUUAUUAUUAUAAAAUGUUGACAUCGUAAAAAGAAACUCACAUGUCGUUUUUAUUUAUAAGAGUAAAAACUGAAUUUGACCUUAGUCAUUGACAUUUUCAUUCUAAGGAUAUGAUUCGUUAAAAAGGUUCGGACUUACUUAGACACAGAUACAAAUGAAUAAUAUUUAAAUAUUUGAAUAGAUUCACAUGAAUGAAGAAAAAUAUAUGAGAAAGAAUUUAGUCACAUCAUUCAAUUACUUUCUUCUUUAAUUUUUUCAAUUUAUAUGUGUGUCUAACCAUAUUUUAUUUAUGUUUGUGACCAAGUAAGUAUUUAUCCGUUCAUAUUAAUCUAUACAAUCCAAACUCUAUACAAAGAUCUCAAUUUGUUAAUAGAUGGUUUAAUACCAAUUUGUUCAUCCUUAUUACAAAAAAGAGUGAAGAUGAUCCAAUUUUGUGUUUGAUAAAAAAAAUACCUAAACUAGUCAUUUACAUUUCUACAUUGAACAUAUAUUUAGUUGUUUUUUAAGUAAGACUUGCUCAAAUAUUUUUCAUUUGUAUUUAUGUCUAAGUAAGACUUGCUCUGGUAUGAGAUAUUAAAUCAUCUACUGACAAUAAGUUUUCGAUCUUGGUGAAACGUAAUGGAUAAAUUUAUAAAUUAAAUUAUUUAUAAACACAACACAUAUUAAAUAUCACAAUGACUUUUUCGAAUAGAUGAUAAACAUUAUUUGCAAGGUAUUAUAGAUGGCUAGAUAGCCCAUGUUCGAAAAACAAUCAUUCGUUAAAAUGCCAAGAGAGAACAAGAAAUAACUGAGUAUGAAAGAUAAUGGAUAAGAUGAUAUUGUUGCAUUGCAUCAUCCAUAAUGCAUCCAAAAUACAACCCAAAUAAACUAUAGGCUUAAAUAUGGAAAUGGUCUCUGCAAAUAUCUGAUGUUUUGGUUUUAGUUUCUAUAAAAAUAUUUUUUUGGUUUUAGUCUCUGUAAAUAUAAAAUAUUUGGUUUUGGUCCUCGGUAUUUUGUUUUAAUCAUUGUAAAAUCAUUUCGUACUGAAAUUGGUCCCUAUAAUAUUCAUUUUAAUCCUCAUUUUGAGGGACUAAAAUCAAAUAUUAUGCAUAUUACAAGGACUAAAACAAAAUACCAAGAACCAAAACCAAUUUUUUAUAUUUGCAGGGACUAAAAUCAAAAAAAUAUUUUUACAGCGACUAAAACCAAAAUGUCAGAUAUUUGCGGGGACUAUUUUCAUAUUUAAGCCUAAACUAUACAUCCAAAUUGAAAACUAUAAAUUUUUUGGAUCAAAGUUACAUCACAAAAUAGAUAUUUGCACCAUUUGAGGAUGCAACAGAUGAUGAUGAACCAAAUUGCAAAAAAAAAGGAAAUUAUAUGCUUACUCUUAGAAGUCUAAAAGUUAAGCUACACCACUUAACUCACUAUAAAGAUGAAAUAUAGACGCGAUGUCUUUAUCAAUUAACCAGAUUGUAAUACGUGACAUUGUCACUAGACUCUUCGACAAUGUCUAUGAUAACAUUAGUAAACACAUACAUAGACUCUGCUCCUCUUUUUGUUUGCAGCAAACUAGUACAACCAACUUCAAAAGGUUGUGCACUAUGCAUGAAUAUAACUGGUUUUAACUGUGGUUCCCGUUUUCAAUUCUGUUGCAUGGCAAUGUUGCAUUGCCUUAUAAUAUUCAAGUGUGAUGGGCAGUCUUCGUACUUCUCCUAGGUAAAGUCCUCAUUGAACCACUUAUUCAAGCCUUUUACAAUUCCUCCAGAAUGAAUAAAAUCAACAAUUAUUGUCAAGGAAACUCCUUCGAGUAGUAUGUCAAUAAAAUGGUUGAAUUCAACAUCUGUUUCAUAGCAAAAACAACCAGCUUUAGUUUUUCAACUUAUCGAAGUAACUUUAAAACAUAAGCCACACAUAAACAAUAAACAAUGACCUCAACACUUACUUGCUACCAAGUCAAUCACUAAAUAGUUUAAAUGAAAAAACUGAGUCUUACUAUCAUUAAUUAUUUUUAAGAUUUUUAUGUAUUUAUCUCUACAAAAGGAAAAAAUGAAAAAGAGUUUAAAUGGAGAAGAUCUUAACUCAUAUCUAUACACAACCAAUCCUAUGAUUCCAAACAUAAGAAUAAUAGCCAACCAACAACAUACACAAACUAUAACACAAACAAAUCACUAAAUAAUUAUAUGAUCAACCACAAACAAAUCUUAUAAACUCAAACAUGGUUAAAUAUAACACAUAAAAAAGAGAGAAAGACAUUGAAAAAGGUUUCUCUCACAAAUGUAAUAUCAUGUAAAAUUUGGGCAAACUCACUCAAAUGCUUCUUUUAAGAGAAAAUAGUUUUAUAAUAUUGAAUGAUGUCACUAAUUUAUUUGUGUGUGCCUAAAUAAUUUAAGUUGUGAUUGUAUUAUGUAAAAGAGACUUGCUAUACGGUACGACAGCUCUCGACACACGAAUUUGCACGAUACGUUCAACUACAACUGGAUUUCUCUUUUAAUGGUUGCUACAUUCUAAUAUUUUAUAAUAAAACAUAAUCCUAGUUAUUAUAAAACAUCUAAAUGAGACAAACGGUAAUAUAUAUCUAUGCCUGUGAGCUACAACACAUGUUUCACCGUUUGACAAUCAAUGAAGAUCAAUAUCUUACAAAGCUACAGUGAUGUGGAGUAAAAUGUGUUUUCUCAUAAAUAAACAUAUGCUAGAUUGUACAAAUCAUUUGGACUAAAAUCAUAAUUGAAAGAGAACUGAAACAACAACAUAUAACUCAUUCGUGCAAUAGUGACGAAUUUUUUGUCGUGAACUUUAGCUUUUUCCUAUGUAAAAAUUAGCUAUAAAUUAUAAAAAAGAAACACAAUAAGUGGUACAUGUUAUUCUAUUUAAUUUGGUCCAACAAAAUAAUUGACCAUUUCGUUCUUUUCUUCAACAAGAUCAUAAUUUCCAUGGCCAACCAGGUGAAUUAACAAAUGAUCUCCUUUAUUUCUUUCGGAGAUGAAACUGUUCAAAUUUUCCAAGAGAAAAGUUGUUGUGUUGUUGACAAACUUAAAUGGGCUUAAAUCCAUCCUUAGUGUUAUAUUUUCUUCCUUAAAACCGAGAUGUUCUUAUAAACACUUUUUCAUGUUUAUUGUUGCUUAUGCGGUACCGUACAAUUGUUCAACACCAUCUAUAGGGUAAGAAUAACCCCCGAGAAAUGCUUAUUUUCGCUUUAAGCUGUUUGCAUAUUAGGGUUUGAGGGUUUAGAGUUUGAUAUAUAUAUAUAUAUAUAUAUAUAUAUAUAUAUAGAACAAUAGCCAACCAACAACAUACAGAACCUAUAACAAAAACAAAUCACUAAAUAAUUAUAUAAUCAACCACAAACAAAUCUUAAAAAACUAAACAUAGCCAACUAUAACACAUAAAAAAAAUAGAGAAAGACAUACCCAAAUUAAAGAAGGUUUUUCCUCACAAAUGCAGUAUAAGGUAAAAUUUGAGCAAACUCAUUCAUGCUUCUUUUAAGAGAAAUUGGUUUUAUAAUAGUUAGUGAUGUCACUAAUUUAUUUGAGCGCGCCUAAAUAAUAUAAGUUGUGAUUGUGUUAUGUAAAGCUACCUAUAAAUAAAAUAAAAUAAAAAAACACAAUAAAUUGUAUAUGUUAUUCUAUUUAAAUCAGGUCCAACAAAAUAAUUAAUUGUUUCGUUCUUUUCUUUAUCAAAAUCAUAAUUUUCGUUCAAGUUUUCCAAGAGAAAAGUUGUUUUGUUGUUGACGAACUCAAAUGGGCUUAAAUUCAACCUGAAUGUUAUAUUUUCUUCCUUAAAACAAAAAUAUUUUAAUAAACAUUUUUUCAUGUUUACUGCUGGUUAUGUUGUUCCAUAUAAUUAUUCAAUACCAUUUAAAGUGUACGAAUAACCUCCAGAAAUGCUUGUUUUUCGCUUUCUGUUGUUUGCGUAUUAGGGUUUGAGGGUCUAUGGUUUGAGAGAGGGGGAGAGAGGUUUUUUCAAUGUCUGCUUACUUCGCCCAAAAACAAUGAAUUGUAGAGAUUACAACAUCUAUUAACCAGAUCGUAAUCCAAGACAUUAUCACCGAACUCUUCAACAACGUCUAUAAUGGCAUUAGUAAACAUACACAUAGACUCUGCUCCUCUUAUUAUUUAUAGCAAACCAGUAUAACCAACUUCAAAAGGUAGUGCACUAUGCAUGAAGAUGACUGGUUUUUACUGUAGUUCUUUUUUCUGUUUUCGCUGCAUUGCAAUGUCGCAAUGCUUUAUAAUAUUCAAGCGGAAGGACAGUCUUUAUACUUCUCUUCGGUAAAGUUCUCAUUGAACCAGCAAUUCAAGCCUCUUACAAUUCCUCAAGAAUAACAAAAAUCAGCAAUUAUUGUCAAGAAAACUCCUUCGGAUAGUAUGUCAAUAAAAUUGUUGAAUUCAACAUUUGUUUUAUAGCAAAAACAAUCACCUUUUGUUUUUCAAUUUAUCGAAGUAACUUUAAAACAUAAGCUACACACAAACAACAAAAAAUGACCUCAACAUGAGUACCACUUUCAUUUAUUAUUUUUAAGAUUGACAUGUAUUUAUCUCUACAAAUGGAAAAAAUGAAAAAGAGUUUAAAUAGAGAGGAUCUUAACUCAUAUCUAUACACAACAAAUCCUACGAUUCCAAACAUAAGAACAAUGGCCAACAGACAACAUACAAAAACUUUAACACAAACAAAUCACUAAAUAAUUAUAUGAUCAAUCACAAACAAAUCUUAUAAACCCAAACAUAGUUAAAUAUAACACAUAAAAAAGAGAGAAAGACAUUGAAAAAGGUUUCUCUCACAAAUGUAAUAUCAUGUAAAAUUUGGGCAAACUCACUCAAAUGGUUCUUUUAAGAGAAAAUAGUUUUAUAAUAUUGAAUGAUGUCACUAAUUUAUUUAUGUGCGCCUAAAUAAUUUAAGUUUUGAUUGUGUUAUGUAAAAACUAGCUAAAAGAAACACAAUAAGUGCUACAUGUUAUUCUAUUUAAAUUAGGUCCAACAAAAUAAUUGACCAUUUCGUUAUUUUCUUCAACAAAAUUAUAAUUUCCAUGGCCAACCAGGUGAAUUAACAAAUGAUCUCCUUUAUUUCUUUCGGAGAUGAAACUGUUCAAAUUUUCCAAGUGAAAAGUUGUUGUGUUGUUGACAAACUUAAAUGGGCUUAAAUCCGUCCUUAGUGUUAUAUUUUCUUCCUUAAAACCGAGAUGUUCUUAUAAACACUUUUUCAUUUUUAUUGUUGCUUGUGCGGUACCAUACAAACCCAAAUUAAAAAGGGUUUCUCUCUCACAAAUGCAAUAUCAGGUAAAAAUUGAGCAAACUCACUCCAAUGCUUCUUUUAAGAGAAAAUAGUUUUAUAAUAUUGAAUGAUGUCACUAAUUUAUUUGUGUGUGCGUAAAUAAUUUAAGUUGUGAUUGUGUUAUGUAAAACUAGCUAUAAAUAAUAAUAAAUAACAAACACAAUAAAUUGUACAUGUUAUUCUCUUUAAAUCAGGUCCAACAAAAUAAUUGACUAGUGCUUUUCGGAGAUGAAACUGUUCAAGUUUUCCAAGAGAAAAGUUGCCCCUGAGAAAUGCUCGUCUUUCGUUUUCUGCUGUUUGCAUUUUAGGGUUUGAGGGUCUAGGGUUUGAGACUCUUAAGAAGACUCUUAAAUUUCUAAAUGGAUUCGAAAUUUCAGAAUACUUGUAUGCAACUCUCUAUUUAUAUAAACAGUUCACAACUAAUAUGUGAGAAAUUUGGAAGUAAGUAAUUCAGAUCCAAUACAAAAAUAUCUUAAAUAAGUCAAUCUAAACUGGCUGACGUUAAUGUUUCACAUCAGAUACAUUUAUGAUCUCAUCUGUUGAUUAAAAUCGAAUGGUUGAGACCGAUUUACGAGCCGUCUGAUUUGUAUCCAAUGGCUUGGAUUAGCUUACUGCAGUGACCCAUGGGAUUUUUAACUCUAGGAAUCCUGGUCAAGAUUUUAGAGAAAUCUCAUAAAAUAUUUGAGGAUUGAUAUAGGUAUCAGAAAUUUAAGCCAUGUUAGGAUACUACAACAACAACCAUGUUUGUAUAAACAACUUAUUUUGCAGCUUAUAGCAUAAGUGCUUAUCAUGAUAAGUGCUUAUGAAUAAGCUAUUUCCUCAGCACAAGGACAUGUGAAUUAUACUAGCUAUUAUGUGACAUAGAGUCAACCUAAUAUUGUUGAUGAAUAGUAUUAACAACCUUGUUGGUAAUAUGUCAAAUUGUCAUUGUGGAAUAAGGAAUUCCUUUGUAAAGUUAUUUUAUGCAUUCAGAAAACAACUGUAAAAUGUAGAAGUGCAUACAUAAUCCAUGCCAAUAGUUUUGAUUUGGGGAGUUUGUAAAUUAAUUGACUUGACUUAAUAAUAUUCAGGGCAGCUAGUUGUAGCAUCACUGCUUCAGUGCAAUAUUAAGUCGCAUUUGAUACUUAGGGAUCUCGAGAAAGCCAAGGCACUGUUUGAUGAACAAGAUGAAGAGAAACUGCAGGUAUAUCAUGACAUCUACUCUUUAGUUAGCAGACAAAGUGAAAAUCUCGGAGUUGUUCGGUUUAAGGAAAAAAAUUCUGUUUGUUUCAUUUUUUUUUUCUCCCAUCUAUAAAUACAAAAAUAAGAUAACAUUUUUGUGAUUCCAAGUAAGAACAGAGAAUAUAUUGAUAUUAAAACAAAAAGGCCCUUAAUUGCUUUUGUGGUAACACCAAGGAAGAAAAAUCUUUGUGGCUCAUUUUUAUGUCAUUCAUUCUCAAUAUACUUUCUAGUUAAAGAGCUCUUGAAUAUGACAGGGAUGCAAAGGAGACACAAGGAAGCAUGAUGAUUUGGAUCCAUCUAUAUAUGUUUGAGGUAAACUCUUCAAUGUACCUUACAAAUAUAUAAUCCAUACUUGUUUCAUUAGUAUUGUUUUUAUUUUGAUUCAUCAUUUCAUCCAACCAAGAGAAUGUAUGGUAAAUUGGUAAUAAUUUGUGUUUCUUUGUCUUUGAUAACAAGUCGAAAAAUCUUUGUUCUAUCACCACGUAGUUUGGUAAUUUCCCUUCUUCAUAAUGCUUCUUGAAUGUUAACCCGUAUUCAUGAAAUUUAUCUAUGUAUGUCAGCUUCCCAAGACUCCUAAAAGUGAUUAAUAGAAUUAUUUGUCAGCGAAAUAAGAGUAUAGUAUUAGCUACUAGCUAGCAUGAACUAAUAUUUAAUCUAGCUUUUAAAAAUAUUUUCUAAAACCAAGUUUGUCUCUAAAUUUUUGCUUAUAGGAAAUAAAACUAAUUUUCACUUCAUUAAAAUGGACGUUAAUCUAUAUUACAAAGGCAAUUAAAUUUGAUACAAGAUAUUAUAUAGGUUGAUUGUCACUUUAGUACUCAUUCUCAUCUCAUCAACACACUUGUGAUAUAAGUAGUAAUUCAUUUGUCACAUCAUAAAAAAUCACCUCUAAAUAUAUAUAUAGGUCGAAAAAAAAUGUUAUUUUGAAAACUUGAGAGACCAAGAUCGUGGAUUUAAAAAUAGAGACAAAAAUUACGAAUGUGACAAAAUUUGAUUGACGAUUUUGAAUUUAAGUGAUGAGUCUAUUAUUAAUAAAUUAAAUAAUUAAAUUGUUCAAUCCUUCAUUAUUGAGAACCAGAAUGUUAAUCCAUUCAUUAUUGGAUUCUAGAGCUAAGUUUUAAUUUAGCUUAUAAAUAUAUAUUAUCUUCAAUGGCUUAUAAAAAUAAGCUGAAAACAUUUUAUGAACAUGNUCAAAUUUUCCAAGAGAAAAGUUGUUGUGUUGUUGACAAACUUAAAUGGGCUUAAAUCCAUCCUUAGUGUUAUAUUUUCUUCCUUAAAACCGAGAUGUUCUUAUAAACACUUUUUCAUGUUUAUUGUUGCUUAUGCGGUACCGUACAAUUGUUCAACACCAUCUAUAGGGUAAGAAUAACCCCCGAGAAAUGCUUAUUUUCGCUUUAAGCUGUUUGCAUAUUAGGGUUUGAGGGUUUAGAGUUUGAUAUAUAUAUAUAUAUAUAUAUAUAUAUAUAUAUAGAACAAUAGCCAACCAACAACAUACAGAACCUAUAACAAAAACAAAUCACUAAAUAAUUAUAUAAUCAACCACAAACAAAUCUUAAAAAACUAAACAUAGCCAACUAUAACACAUAAAAAAAAUAGAGAAAGACAUACCCAAAUUAAAGAAGGUUUUUCCUCACAAAUGCAGUAUAAGGUAAAAUUUGAGCAAACUCAUUCAUGCUUCUUUUAAGAGAAAUUGGUUUUAUAAUAGUUAGUGAUGUCACUAAUUUAUUUGAGCGCGCCUAAAUAAUAUAAGUUGUGAUUGUGUUAUGUAAAGCUACCUAUAAAUAAAAUAAAAUAAAAAAACACAAUAAAUUGUAUAUGUUAUUCUAUUUAAAUCAGGUCCAACAAAAUAAUUAAUUGUUUCGUUCUUUUCUUUAUCAAAAUCAUAAUUUUCGUUCAAGUUUUCCAAGAGAAAAGUUGUUUUGUUGUUGACGAACUCAAAUGGGCUUAAAUUCAACCUGAAUGUUAUAUUUUCUUCCUUAAAACAAAAAUAUUUUAAUAAACAUUUUUUCAUGUUUACUGCUGGUUAUGUUGUUCCAUAUAAUUAUUCAAUACCAUUUAAAGUGUACGAAUAACCUCCAGAAAUGCUUGUUUUUCGCUUUCUGUUGUUUGCGUAUUAGGGUUUGAGGGUCUAUGGUUUGAGAGAGGGGGAGAGAGGUUUUUUCAAUGUCUGCUUACUUCGCCCAAAAACAAUGAAUUGUAGAGAUUACAACAUCUAUUAACCAGAUCGUAAUCCAAGACAUUAUCACCGAACUCUUCAACAACGUCUAUAAUGGCAUUAGUAAACAUACACAUAGACUCUGCUCCUCUUAUUAUUUAUAGCAAACCAGUAUAACCAACUUCAAAAGGUAGUGCACUAUGCAUGAAGAUGACUGGUUUUUACUGUAGUUCUUUUUUCUGUUUUCGCUGCAUUGCAAUGUCGCAAUGCUUUAUAAUAUUCAAGCGGAAGGACAGUCUUUAUACUUCUCUUCGGUAAAGUUCUCAUUGAACCAGCAAUUCAAGCCUCUUACAAUUCCUCAAGAAUAACAAAAAUCAGCAAUUAUUGUCAAGAAAACUCCUUCGGAUAGUAUGUCAAUAAAAUUGUUGAAUUCAACAUUUGUUUUAUAGCAAAAACAAUCACCUUUUGUUUUUCAAUUUAUCGAAGUAACUUUAAAACAUAAGCUACACACAAACAACAAAAAAUGACCUCAACAUGAGUACCACUUUCAUUUAUUAUUUUUAAGAUUGACAUGUAUUUAUCUCUACAAAUGGAAAAAAUGAAAAAGAGUUUAAAUAGAGAGGAUCUUAACUCAUAUCUAUACACAACAAAUCCUACGAUUCCAAACAUAAGAACAAUGGCCAACAGACAACAUACAAAAACUUUAACACAAACAAAUCACUAAAUAAUUAUAUGAUCAAUCACAAACAAAUCUUAUAAACCCAAACAUAGUUAAAUAUAACACAUAAAAAAGAGAGAAAGACAUUGAAAAAGGUUUCUCUCACAAAUGUAAUAUCAUGUAAAAUUUGGGCAAACUCACUCAAAUGGUUCUUUUAAGAGAAAAUAGUUUUAUAAUAUUGAAUGAUGUCACUAAUUUAUUUAUGUGCGCCUAAAUAAUUUAAGUUUUGAUUGUGUUAUGUAAAAACUAGCUAAAAGAAACACAAUAAGUGCUACAUGUUAUUCUAUUUAAAUUAGGUCCAACAAAAUAAUUGACCAUUUCGUUAUUUUCUUCAACAAAAUUAUAAUUUCCAUGGCCAACCAGGUGAAUUAACAAAUGAUCUCCUUUAUUUCUUUCGGAGAUGAAACUGUUCAAAUUUUCCAAGUGAAAAGUUGUUGUGUUGUUGACAAACUUAAAUGGGCUUAAAUCCGUCCUUAGUGUUAUAUUUUCUUCCUUAAAACCGAGAUGUUCUUAUAAACACUUUUUCAUUUUUAUUGUUGCUUGUGCGGUACCAUACAAACCCAAAUUAAAAAGGGUUUCUCUCUCACAAAUGCAAUAUCAGGUAAAAAUUGAGCAAACUCACUCCAAUGCUUCUUUUAAGAGAAAUUGAUUUUAUAAUAUUGAAUGAUGUCACUAAUUUAUUUGUGUGUGCGUAAAUAAUUUAAGUUGUGAUUGUGUUAUGUAAAACUAGCUAUAAAUAAUAAUAAAUAACAAACACAAUAAAUUGUACAUGUUAUUCUCUUUAAAUCAGGUCCAACAAAAUAAUUGACUAGUGCUUUUCGGAGAUGAAACUGUUCAAGUUUUCCAAGAGAAAAGUUGCCCCUGAGAAAUGCUCGUCUUUCGUUUUCUGCUGUUUGCAUUUUAGGGUUUGAGGGUCUAGGGUUUGAGACUCUUAAGAAGACUCUUAAAUUUCUAAAUGGAUUCGAAAUUUCAGAAUACUUGUAUGCAACUCUCUAUUUAUAUAAACAGUUCACAACUAAUAUGUGAGAAAUUUGGAAGUAAGUAAUUCAGAUCCAAUACAAAAAUAUCUUAAAUAAGUCAAUCUAAACUGGCUGACGUUAAUGUUUCACAUCAGAUACAUUUAUGAUCUCAUCUGUUGAUUAAAAUCGAAUGGUUGAGACCGAUUUACGAGCCGUCUGAUUUGUAUCCAAUGGCUUGGAUUAGCUUACUGCAGUGACCCAUGGGAUUUUUAACUCUAGGAAUCCUGGUCAAGAUUUUAGAGAAAUCUCAUAAAAUAUUUGAGGAUUGAUAUAGGUAUCAGAAAUUUAAGCCAUGUUAGGAUACUACAACAACAACCAUGUUUGUAUAAACAACUUAUUUUGCAGCUUAUAGCAUAAGUGCUUAUCAUGAUAAGUGCUUAUGAAUAAGCUAUUUCCUCAGCACAAGGACAUGUGAAUUAUACUAGCUAUUAUGUGACAUAGAGUCAACCUAAUAUUGUUGAUGAAUAGUAUUAACAACCUUGUUGGUAAUAUGUCAAAUUGUCAUUGUGGAAUAAGGAAUUCCUUUGUAAAGUUAUUUUAUGCAUUCAGAAAACAACUGUAAAAUGUAGAAGUGCAUACAUAAUCCAUGCCAAUAGUUUUGAUUUGGGGAGUUUGUAAAUUAAUUGACUUGACUUAAUAAUAUUCAGGGCAGCUAGUUGUAGCAUCACUGCUUCAGUGCAAUAUUAAGUCGCAUUUGAUACUUAGGGAUCUCGAGAAAGCCAAGGCACUGUUUGAUGAACAAGAUGAAGAGAAACUGCAGGUAUAUCAUGACAUCUACUCUUUAGUUAGCAGACAAAGUGAAAAUCUCGGAGUUGUUCGGUUUAAGGAAAAAAAUUCUGUUUGUUUCAUUUUUUUUUUCUCCCAUCUAUAAAUACAAAAAUAAGAUAACAUUUUUGUGAUUCCAAGUAAGAACAGAGAAUAUAUUGAUAUUAAAACAAAAAGGCCCUUAAUUGCUUUUGUGGUAACACCAAGGAAGAAAAAUCUUUGUGGCUCAUUUUUAUGUCAUUCAUUCUCAAUAUACUUUCUAGUUAAAGAGCUCUUGAAUAUGACAGGGAUGCAAAGGAGACACAAGGAAGCAUGAUGAUUUGGAUCCAUCUAUAUAUGUUUGAGGUAAACUCUUCAAUGUACCUUACAAAUAUAUAAUCCAUACUUGUUUCAUUAGUAUUGUUUUUAUUUUGAUUCAUCAUUUCAUCCAACCAAGAGAAUGUAUGGUAAAUUGGUAAUAAUUUGUGUUUCUUUGUCUUUGAUAACAAGUCGAAAAAUCUUUGUUCUAUCACCACGUAGUUUGGUAAUUUCCCUUCUUCAUAAUGCUUCUUGAAUGUUAACCCGUAUUCAUGAAAUUUAUCUAUGUAUGUCAGCUUCCCAAGACUCCUAAAAGUGAUUAAUAGAAUUAUUUGUCAGCGAAAUAAGAGUAUAGUAUUAGCUACUAGCUAGCAUGAACUAAUAUUUAAUCUAGCUUUUAAAAAUAUUUUCUAAAACCAAGUUUGUCUCUAAAUUUUUGCUUAUAGGAAAUAAAACUAAUUUUCACUUCAUUAAAAUGGACGUUAAUCUAUAUUACAAAGGCAAUUAAAUUUGAUACAAGAUAUUAUAUAGGUUGAUUGUCACUUUAGUACUCAUUCUCAUCUCAUCAACACACUUGUGAUAUAAGUAGUAAUUCAUUUGUCACAUCAUAAAAAAUCACCUCUAAAUAUAUAUAUAGGUCGAAAAAAAAUGUUAUUUUGAAAACUUGAGAGACCAAGAUCGUGGAUUUAAAAAUAGAGACAAAAAUUACGAAUGUGACAAAAUUUGAUUGACGAUUUUGAAUUUAAGUGAUGAGUCUAUUAUUAAUAAAUUAAAUAAUUAAAUUGUUCAAUCCUUCAUUAUUGAGAACCAGAAUGUUAAUCCAUUCAUUAUUGGAUUCUAGAGCUAAGUUUUAAUUUAGCUUAUAAAUAUAUAUUAUCUUCAAUGGCUUAUAAAAAUAAGCUGAAAACAUUUUAUGAACAUGCUAUAAGUUAUUUUCCUAAAUUUUCGAAAACAGUCUCACGAGUGUUUAUGCUCAAUCCAAACAGCGGAAUAUCAAGUCACGCUUGAUAAUUAGGGAUCUCGAGAAACACCUUUUAUGUUCUGUGCUUGCACCCAUGGCUCUAACACAUGUCGCAUUUUCUUAUAUUUGUUUCCAAACAUUUGAAUGCAGUAUGUUGUGUUGAGAUCAAUAUCAUGUAAAUAAAUAAUGUCCUAGAUACAUUGCGUAGUCUAACUAAAUCAAAGAAUUAUCGAUUGAGAGAAACCCUCUCAGCAAAUUUAUAAUGCUAACUUAUUUACAUUUUAGAACCCAAAUACCUCAGUUUUAAGGAUCAAUAUUCAUAUUGCUAAUUGUAAGGGAAAUCAAAGACUAUCAACACUCCCUGCCAACUUGUGCACAUACAUACAUUAUAUUUGAUCCCACUACCCUCCACGUAAGUUUAUCACGAUUAGGGAAGAAGAGAGUAAUAUGUAAUUAAACGUGCAUAAAUUUAUUUAAAUAAGUUUUUUACAUUGUCAAUACAUAAGUUUUCAAGAGUAAUAUCUAGAAAUUAAAUUGAACACUUGAAUAUUACAUGUCAAUUAGAAAAUACUAUAAACUCACAUGUCUAAGUUACUCUAGAAACAUCAACACACAAUUCACAGCAUAUGUACCAUCUUUGGCCCGAAUUUCUGCAUGCUCAAUAAAUGUACAAGAUUAGAUAUGGAGACAAUCUAAAUAAACCAUCCAUUUUUUGACUUCAACUUGACAUCAUAUGCAAAUGCCAGGACAAUUCUUGGAGAGUUUCCUUCUGCAUGCAAGUUUCCGGUUCGCAGCCAACGUUUUAGUGUCUAUGCGCUUUAAGUUGAGAUCCUGCUUGUUCGUCGUGUAAAACAAAGUUACUGAUUAUUAUUAUUAUUAUUAAACAAAAGAUGUGAUUUUCUAUAAGAUGGGAGACAGCAGCCAUGCCUUAAAAUAUUUAUUUGCCCGUUGAUAGAAAAUUAGCAAGUGUACUAACUUAUAUCGAAGUAAUAACAUUUAUAAGAUUCGUAUCCACAGGGACUGUUUCAACUUCUACUCGGUAAUGUCAUUAUUAUUAAGGAUGUAUGUAAAAUGGGGGUUGCACUGAGGCAAUUUGGUUUGAGUUACAAAUGUAAAUAAAAUGGUUAAGGAAAAAUUGGUUUAAGAAAUAGUAUGGAGAGAUGACUAGGUCAAUCAAUUAAUAUGUUCAUCACUCAUUAGCAACCUGUUUCUUACGUUUACGAACGCUAUAAAGUUUACGACAAAUUAACAAAAUAGUUUAGGUCAAUCCCUUGAUCCUAAGCCCUCUUUUCUGAUUAUAAUUCCCUAAUCCCUUAGGUGAACCUAUAAUCAUAAAAGGUUUUAAGUCCGUUAAUUUAAGUAUCACAACCUAACAACGCUCCAUCCCUAGAUUGUCCGUUAGAUUGAACAGUAUAGAUAUGUCAGAGUUACACGUUGGUGUCAGCAGGCAUAAUAACUCUUGAAUCAAUUAUAUUGGGUCAGAAUCAUAAAAGCAUUAAGAACAAUUUAUACUGAAUAAACUAGAAUUUCAUUCAUAAAGAUUUAGAGUUAUAGGUUACAUAAACAUGAGCUAGAACAAAAUUAUCUCUUGACCUAAUCACAAAAGAUCUAGCUACUCAUGGCUAAAGCACAAAUAACUAAUGUAGAAGAAGGAUUCAUUAUAUGAAAUUGGUAACCGGAUAUGAGUUUUGAUGGUCUCCCACCUUCUCUCCAGAUCUCCUGCUCCAAAAGUCUGUUUCUUUCUCCAAAAUUCCGAACCCUUGGCUCAGAAAACAAAUUCCCUUUUAUAGGAAUAUUCUCAGAUACGCCAAAAUCGUACUCCGAUGCUGUAAAUCGGAGCACGAUGGCUUCAUUAAAGUCAUAUCCUGGCUGUAGCGUCUGCCAAAUCGUAGCCCGAUUUGGUUCCAUCGGAGCACGAUUUUUUACGAGACAAAAUGUCUCAAAUUUGCUGUAAAAUCGGAGCACGAUUUCUUAUUUGUUUGCCAACAUCAAAUGUGUCAUUUGAAGCUUCUAUCUCAUGCAAAAUCACCCGAACUCAACCAAAAUUACAUAAAAACUAUAACAAAAGUGAUAUAUGACCUAGUGUCAUCACCCGUUCAUAAUCUUUCAAUUUCAUCAAGCAGCAUGCAUUGCCCAGAUUACAAGAAUGCCUCAAGCCAACAAUUUCCCUAUCCUCAUCGGGAAAGGAAGUAUCAUACUUUAUAAAGUUCAGAGCCUGCAUUACGGUUUCAGUUUCAGAAAAGAUACCGGAUAGAACCCGCAGAAUGAACAAGGUAAUUUUGUAUAUUACUAUCAAAUGAUAAAUAUGAGUGUAGAGGCUCUACANNNNNNNNNNNNNNNNNNNNNNNNNNNNNNNNNNNNNNNNNNNNNNNNNNNNNNNNNNNNNNNNNNNNNNNNNNNNNNNNNNNNNNNNNNNNNNNNNNNNACAGACUACAAAUGUUCACGGUGAAGGACUGAUUGUAACCACCACUAGUCCCUAUGAGCAAGCUGCUUUUGGUUCGAAGACUGAUUGGCGUGUCAGAGCAAUAUCAGCCACAAAUUUAUACCUUCGAGUAAACCAUAUAUAUGUGAAUUCGGAGGACAUAAAGGUUUCUUCAUUUCUUUAAAUCUUGUUAAUUGUUUUUAUACUCAUUAAGUCACAACUCCUAUCAUGUUUUAACUUUGAAUUUUGCGGUGCAGGAAACGGGCUAUACUUAUAUCAUGCCAAAGAACAUUUUGAAAAAGUUUAUAUGCAUAGCAGAUCUUCGAACACAGAUUUCUGGGUAUUUGUAUGGUAUAAGUCCUCCUGACAAUCCUCAGGUUAAGGAAAUCCGGUGCAUUGUGAUGCCACCACAGUGGGGGACUCAUCAACAUGUCCAUCUCCCAUCAGAUCUGCCAGAACAUGAUUUCUUGAAUGAUUUGGAGCCUUUGGGAUGGAUGCAUACUCAACCAAAUGAAGUUCCGCAGUUGUCGCCUCAGGUUGGAUUACUUUAGUUUCAAUUGCAACUUUUUUUUUUGUUGCCUUUUUUCAAGGAAAUAUAUUAAUGAAUAGUGGUAACAUUGUCUAACCUGAGAAAUUAUCAUUGCAGGAUCUCACUUCACAUGCUAAGGUCCUAGAGAACAAUAAACAAUGGGAUGGGGAGAAGUGUAUUAUCUUGACUUGCAGUUUUACUCCGGGUUCUUGUUCUUUAACUGCAUAUAAACUAACUCCAUCUGGUUAUGAAUGGGGACGUAUUAACAAGGAUACAGGAAGCAACCCACAUGGUUAUCUUCCCACUCAUUAUGAGAAGGUUCAGAUGCUCCUCAGUGAUCGCUUCAUUGGUUUCUACAUGGUAAGCUUUACUGCUUCCUGAAGUUUUCCUACUAUUAUUUCUUCGCAUAUUUUUUAUUUUAUGUUUUAUUUCUUCGCAUAUGAUUGAAUGACAGAAAUAUAAUUAUAUUAAAUUUAUCGUAUUAUCAAGUAAUGGUUAUAUUUCUUAAUGCAAUUACAGUCUUGUUAUUAUUGUCAUUAUUAUUUUACUGAAUGUUUAAAAUUUUUUUUUUUUUUUUUUUUGUCACAAUUUCCUAGAUUCCUGAUAAUGGUCCAUGGAAUUACAACUUUAUGGGAGUGAGGCACGCAUCAGGCAUGAAGUAUGGAGUGAAGCUUGGGACCCCUAGGGAUUAUUACCAUGAAGAUCAUAGGCCAACCCAUUUCUUAGAGUUCAGCAAUAUGGAGGAAGGGGAGACAAUCGCCUAGGGAGAUUGAGAGGAUACAUUCUCUUAGAGUGUGUUUGAGUUGGAGAUUGUAAAAAGGUAAAAUACUUUUGAGGGAUUUAAAAUGAUUUGUCUUAGUUGUAGCACUAUUUCUUCAAACACUAUCAAGUUGUAUGUUGUAGCAUUGCUAUAUUGAACACUGUUCUGGAAAUUUCAACAUGUUCUAUAAUUUCUUUUUGAAUUUUUGUUGGUUGAUUCUGUUUGUGCUGAGAUCAAAGCCUUGAAGCUUUAUUAACUACUUAGUGAAUGUCAUUGAUGAGGUUACCUCUAAUUUCUCAAUUACUGGUAUUUUUGUGUAUUGGUUUUGUGCUCUGAUAUUUAGUAGGUGAAAUUGCCACUGCUUAUAUUCAGUUUCGAAGAUUGAUUGAUAAACUCAGUCAAACAUAGCUCUACUAAGUAAAUAAGAAAUCUAAUGGAAGUUAUAAUUUUCAUUUUCUCUUCAAGUGCCUGUGUGUGAAGUUUCAGCUGUAGAACAAGUUAGAAAAAACACUUACAAGGAGUACUUUUUGAAUCAAAACAUUGUAUUUCUAGCCUUAAAACCUGUUAAACUUGCUUGCAAAGUCUUCGUAUGCUUGCUGGAAUAGAAUACCUUGAUAUAUGUUAACUAGCUAUAUGUUUUUUUAGACUCUUUUUUAGUAAGUUUUAUUCACAUAUAUGUAAAUCAAAGUUUAUCUGGUUUAUCUAGCGGUUCUUAUCCAAACACCAAAUUGAUAGGGGGUUGCAAAUUACUAUUUUUCCAGUUUUCUUGUUAAAACCUAUACAUAGUUUCUUCCUUUUGUUUGUUUUAUAGAUCCACUUAAAUGAAUUCUAUCUUGGGUUAUUGACUCCACUCAUGUACAUGUUUUGAGAGUUUGAACCUCAGUCCCCAUAACUCAUUUUCAACAAUUUUAAAUUUGAUAUUCAAUUAUCUGCACAAGUCAAAAUCUUUAUCUCUUGUGGGUUUUCAAUUUCUCACUUGUUUUUGUUUCCAUGACUUACUGAAUGUAGUAGUCCUUAUUUGUAGUAUAUAGUUUCCUUGUUUAUUAGUUGUGACAAGAUAUAAGCAUAUGGAGCUAUAUUGUCUGGUCAAAGCUAGGCAGUGAUAAAGUUGUGCUUCUUGACAACUAAUGGCAGGUUGGGUGGGAUGAUAAAAUCGUCCUCCCAAAUUAUCAGUUGCUUCUGCCCAUUGGUUUAGAACCCAAUGUUGCAAAAGUUAGACUCAACAGUAAAGGGAAACUUGGAAGAAAUGUAUGCUUAUGCAUUAGUAUUGUUUCCUUUAUUGCUGAGAUUUGAUUAUAUGUAACAAAUUCUGCAUGAAUAUCAGUUAUAAUUGAAUUUGAUAUCUGACUAUAUGCUAGGAUAAUAGCUAAGUUUUUUUUUUUGUUUUUGAAAAAGGAUAAUAACCAAGUUAUAAUUACUCAAGUUCUUUCAUAGUCAAUGCAUCAACUGCUUAAGUAUAUGAUGAUAGUUAUGGGCAAUAGUUAGAUUAGGUUAGUUAUGGGAAAUAGUUAGAUUAACACGGAGAACUUCAUUGUCACCAAGUAAAUUAUAUUUGUAUGGAAACUAUAUAUAUUCAUAGUCUACCAAUCUAAAAUAAUGGUAUGGAAUAGUUAGUGGCAUGUGAAACAUAGAAACAUAGGGUAUUUUGUUUGAUAUUGUUGACGAAGAUGAAGGUAGUGGCAUGUGAAACAUGUGACUGUUACCUUCCUCUCCAGUGUCUCCAAGGAACAUUUUGUUUCCAUGAUCAUACUCCAUGAUAAUAAUUAUUACAGCCAGUAAUUUAUUCAGCUAAAUAUGCCUUUGUUGUUGAAUAUGUCAAGCUUGUUUAAUUUUUGUUGUUGGUGAUUUAUUGAAUGAAUCGGUCUAGCUAGAAGUUAGGACUGCCUUUUCUGUUUUUUUUUUUUUUUACAAGUCCAUGGUUUCAGCCUUUGUUAUAACUUAGAAGAAGCCUUUCACCCAUGGUUCAGAUUUAUUCAGACUGGUUUCAAUGGUUUAGAAUUGUGCAGUAUCUGUGUAGAGAUUCCUUUAUUUUGGUUAACAAAUCUGGAUAUAGGUUGUCUAUUGUGUUACUUACACUCCUCACUUGGAUAGUAGGUAUGUAUGUAUGUAUCUAUUUUUUGUAUACAUUUGGAUUCUUGUUGCGCAUAAAAUAACAUUUUCAAUUUCUAAUAUUUUAGCAUGGUUGGGAUGAUUGUUUUGGAGAUUGAUUCAUCUAUUUAGCGACUAACUGGUUUUGUAUAUUUCUGUAAUGUAGUGGUGAAGAUGUUUGAUUACGGCUGGAUCCUUGUGGAGCUGGGACAGUCUAUAUUAGAUUAAUUUUCAGUGGGGCGUUGGAUUUGGCGGCUGUUUUUGGUAACAAUGUGCUAGAAUUAUCACACACUGUUAUUUUGUUUGUACUAAAUUUACAGGUUUUGCUCAGCUAGAACUUGAAUUACAUAGUCACUGCACAUUGAGAAUGUCUCAACUAUUGUUACACUGAACUGUUAGCAAUACUUGUUGGCAAAUGGUUAGAGAAAUAAAUUUCUGUGUUAGUUUUGUUUUUUAAGUAAUCAAUGUACAACUCCUCCAAAAGUAAUCAUGUACAAUGAAUUUUUGAAUUCUUUAUUUCGCAUGAAUGGUCUCUAUUCCACUAAGCAGGAAUGACAGAACUCACAAGUGCUAAGGAUUUGAGUGCUAAACUCACCUUUCAUAUAGGAUCACGAUUCAUAUUUCUACACGGUACCAAAGGAUCAUAAUUUAACCAAUGAAUCUGUUUUUUUUUUGCAUAAACAAAUUUAAAGAUAAUUUUUUCACAUUUAGUUGAGGAUAAUAGAUAAUUGCAAAAAAUCAGUAAAAAAGCUUAAAAUGAACGAAAGAAUCACUUUUUAUUGUAAUUUUUACUUCCCAGAAACUCUAAUAAAAACAUUUGAGGAUAAGUAUUGAUAUUUGCGAGUGAGCUUGGUCUUGCUAAUUUCAUCCCUGAAAAUUGAUUCAAACUAUAUGCUCUUUUUAUUCAACAACGCAUCAUUAUUGCCAUCAUUUGGCAUUUGGGUUGUUGAGAGAGUCACAUCUUAAUUAGUAUGCAAACAAAUGUUAACAGAGACUAAUAACAUAAAAUAAUAUAUGUGGAGACUAAAAUCAUAUUUAAAACUUUUUUCUAUUACAUUUCUCACGUAGUUAUCAUUUACACCACAUAUCAUUCAAUCAGUACAUAUAACUCAAUAUCAUGGAGAAUCUAAAUCCUUAAUUUUCCUUUUCAAUUUUAUUUAGAAUCACUCACUACUCAAGGACAUAAAUAUCAUUGUUUUGGUGUGGAUUCUUCCCUUUUCAACUUUGCUCUUUUUCUACAAUAUGAUGCCUCAUUUAAUCACUCAUCUAAUUUAUCUCAACACUAUUAUCUAAUUAUGUUGUCUCGUGUACACAAGCCCGACUAACUCCUACAAUAGUCUCCAAACGUGUAGCCGAAUGGUAUGAAAAAGGUUCAAAGUUCGAUCUCUAUGGUUAAUUUUUUUUCCUCCUCCUAACAAAAUUUACUACCAACAUUUGCCUAUAAAAGAAAAAUAAAAACUAACUCUUACAAUAUGACCAUGGUGAAAAUUACUACUUGCCCUGAAUAUGUAGCAUUUAUGCAUCAAUUCAACUAAUGUACAUCAUCAUCACUUGUGUGUAUUAGACUCCAAUAUCAUAUACAUAUCACCAUGUGCAUUCAAUCCAUUAAGACAUUUACAACGGAAUUUCACUUUAUCUAGACUAGUGUUCAACCGUUAUCAAUGUUUGUGGUAUGUCUUGUUCUUUUUUGGACUCAUGAUGCUCAACAAAAUCAUCAUUAUGGUGGUGUUCUUCCUCGCUGCCGCCACCAAAUUCAUCUCCCAUCUCCACAACUGUGCCAAAUUGAACCCGACACUCCUCACCGCCACCACCAACAGGGGAAUGAGAAGGGGAUUUUGUACCACGAGGGCUUCUAACAGCAGUAGCAGCUGUUUGUGGAGAUUUUGGUGUCCAAAUUGCACCAGUAUUACCAUAAUUGUUUGUAUGAUGUUCAUCAAAUUGAACAUUAAUAGGUCUAAUGCAUCUAUAUAUCAAGAUGAGAAACCAAGAUAGCCAUGGAAUUGCAACCAAUGACAUGCCUGCAAAGAGAUACCAUGGUAAAGAUUCAGAAUCUGGUAGGAAUAUGUACAUGCAAAGGAAAAUUCCUCCUUCAUUAUUUUCUUACAAUUCAAUUUCAUCUCUGAAAAAAAAAAGUACACCUGACAUUUUUAAUCUAAAGAUAAAUUAGUCAUUCAUUAUAAUACAAAGACUAAUUUAUUUUUAGUAUGGAAUGUCAAUCAUUAGUUUUAGUAUUAUUUUUUACAGAAAUGUUAACGAAUGACCUUAAGAUAUUUGUUUAGAAGUUUAAAGUGAAAAUUUUAUUUUCAAAAUUGUGCACAUUGAAACAAUAAAAAGUAACUUUUUUGUAUAAAAUUUAUCAAUUUAUUUCUAUUUUUGAAUCCUUAAUAAGAACAACAAUUUUUAAUUUUAUCUUAGAAAUUGUACAUUCAAGACAUUAAAACACUUGUUGGUGUAACCCUAUUUUUCAUCAUCAUAAACUAAAUUGAGAAAAUUGUGAGUCACUAAAAUAUGUUUUCUCUUUUUUAUAAAAGUGAUGGUUAUGAAAUUAUGAUUAUGACAAGUUGACAACAACAAUUUUAUUUUGGUUUGUAAAAAAAAAUAAAAAAUUGGUUACACAUUUUUAGCCUCUAUUAGGGUCUGUUUGGUAAGCACACUAAAUGAGCUUAUAACUUAUAAGUUCGUUUGACAAAAAAGUUCUGUUUGGCAAUGAUCUCUUACCACGAGCUUAUAGCUUAUUUCACGAGCUUAUAAGCUAUUUUUCAAAAGUUAUUUCAAGUAGCGUUUGAGCUUAUAGCUUAUUAUUUUUUCCUCCAUCUUUACCCUUGCUAUUUUCUCUAAAAACCAAUUCUACCCCUAUAGUUUUAAAUAAAAUAUAUAUUUUAAAUGCUCACAAAUGAAAGAUCUUUCUUUCAUUUAAAAAAAAAAAUUGUUUUUACUGUUACAUUUCAUUUUACAUUUUUCUAAUGACAUUUAAUUGUAUAUAAAUACGUUAAUUUUUUUCAAAGGAUGUAAAUUUUUUUUUUCUGGUUAAAUUCUUUGCACAUAAACUAUGCCCAUUAUAUUAAACUUACUUGCAUCUAGUUUUUUUUUCUUUUCAGAAAGACUCACGUCUAGUUUAAUUGUUAUUUUUUUACAAAUAGUUUUAUUGUUAUUUUUUACGUCUAUAUAAUUUACUUUUUUUGUUAUAUUUUAUCAUUAUAUUUAUUAUUUUACAAAGUAUACUAAAAUGAAAAUAAAUACUAAAAUAUAAAAUAAAUAUAUAUUAAAUUAAUAAUUCAAAUUAGCAAAUUUUAAAUACUUAAAUUUUAAUGGAUGCUAAUUUUGUUAUAAAUUAAUAAUGUCUUUUUAUGUCAUUUCACACAUAUCAACUAAUUGAAUCGCUAAUUUUACCAAACACUUCAAUUAGUUUAACAGCUAUAAAUCAUCAAUCAUCAGCUAAGAGCUAUAAGCUAUCAGAUAUCAAUCAUCAGCUAUAAGCUAUCAAGUAACUUAUCAACUAUCCGCUAUUUAAUAAUCAUACUUUUUGAAUAAUGCUAUGUAUCCCAACACAAACAAUAAAGAAUGCCUCGCAAAUAACAUGCCCACAAAAAUCACACGCGUGUAGUGUGUCUUCAAGGCCAUUCAGUCAUCUCAUACGCUGCUACACAACUUAUAUGAUUAACCUUCCAAGCAUCGUCAAUUGCAUCUCUCAUCGCCUAUCACCUCAGCCCUUGCUUUAUUAACUCCUUUUAUAGCCUUCUCCAAUUGCUUUAUUAGAUUUAAGUGUCUUAAAUUGAUCUCAAAAUGACAAAUUUAAGGGUUGUAAAUAAUAAAUCAAUCAAGAUUAAUGUGAUAAUUAAUUUGAUUGCCUUAUCUUAAUAUUUAAUUUGAUCGAUGGUCGUAUUUAAUUUAUGUUUUGCUAAAAUAAUAUAAUUUUUUUAGGAUAAAUUCUUACAAUAUUAAAAUUUUAUUUUAAGGUAUGAAUUUAUUCAAAAGGAGAGAUCAAAAGGGAAAAUUGAAAUUUUUGGAGAACUCAAAGUUGAAUGUUUUUUAAAAGGAUUAAAAUGAAAAAUGAAAAUAUUUAUAUGAAUAAAAAAUAUAUUUAACAUUUUUUUUAGGCUUAAUUGUAAUUUUCCUCCCUAUAGUUUGCCAAUUGUGCGAUUUUGCACCCCAUAGUUUAAAACGUUCGAUUUUAUCCCCUAUAGUUUUCCCCCUUUCUGAUUUAUUGGUCGCCCUUGACAUCCGGUGAUGUGUCUGUUUUUAUGCGCCACGUGUAAGUCAAUUUAAAAAAAUAAAAAAAAGGAAUUUUCACAUUUUUAGAAAAGGAGGCACGUGAGUGAGGCCUAUGUGACCGUUGCAAAAAGGGAUAAAAAUCUGAAAUCCCUAACUUGCAUCAAUCUUCAUUACUCAUUCCUUCGAUCUUCUUCCAUCAAUCUUCUUCCUUCUUCCUCUUUUCCGCUUCCUUCUUCCUUAUUCCUCUUAUCUGCUUUCUUCUUCCUUUUGAACCGGUUUCUCCUGAAUUUAAACCGUUUGAUUUCAUCGUUUUUGGUUGGCAUCGCAAAAUCAUGGAAUAUAGAAAACCCAGUUCGUCGUUCUCCUUUGGUUCCAAAUCUAGUUCUUCAUCUGCAUCAAGCUGGAAGAGGCCACAAUUCAAGUGUAGAUGCGGUUUCUCCUGACAUAUCCGGCGAACGCCAAUCCGGCCAAGACGUCCGCACUCAAAACGGUAUACGUAACCGUUUUUCUAACAUACGCUUUCUUUGUGAAUGAACAAAUGCAGUUGUAGCAUGUCAAGCCGCAAACAUCGUGAAAACCUCACUCGGUCCCGUUGGUCUCGACAAGGUACAAGAUCCAUCGAUUCUCAACUUCUUUCUCAUUUUCAUUCAUUUUUUCACUUCAUUUCCGUUUUUGUUUCUCAGAUGCUUGUUGAUGAUAUCGGUGAUGUCAGCAUCCCGCUGCUAAGGUUAACCUAAUCCCGAUCCUUCGUCGCCAUUUCAAUCAUUCAAAUGAGGGUUUAAUUAUUCAGAUUUUGGUUUUUUCUAUUUUAGGUUUUGGUUGAACUUGCUGAACUUCAGGAUAGAGAAGUUGGAGUUGUUGUAGCUGCAGAGCUUCUCAAAGUAAAUUUCCACUUUUUUAUGUUUUUUUUUUCUUCUAUCCAUUUCAUGCAUUUAUUUAUUUUAUUUUUCUCUUAUGUAACAUGUGUUUUUUUAUUGUGUUUGAGUAGAGAGCAAAUGAUCUUGUUAGGAAUAAGAUUCAUCCAACCUCGAUUAUCAGCGGAUACAGAGUAAGUUUUUAUUUACCUUUUCAAUUUUAUUUGUCAUCUUUUCCAAGAUUCAUCGAACCUUGUUUUUUUUUUAAUUUUUUUUUUUAACUAAUCUGUGUUGAUUGUUCUGAAUAGCUUGCUAUGCGAGAAGCCUGUAAAUACGGAGACGAAAAGCUUGCCGUCAAGGUAAGAUUUCUCAAGUAUACCAUUUUCCUAUACAUUUGUUAGGCGUGUUCUUUUCUCACUUUUCUCGCGUUUUAUGGAGUCAUUUAUGUCCAGAGCAACUUUAUGUUGUAGCUCUACACAUUUUGAGUAUAAUUUUUUGAUUAAUUUUUCCUAUUACUAGGAACAUCCUGAUUUUGUUUUGAUAUGCUUAAUAUUCCUGUUUUCAUGUUUAAAUCACAAUCGUAAACAAAACGGAAGUUUUUAAUGUAAUAUUCAUAGCAUAUGUAUUCACUUCAAUUUUUUUUAUACACCAAUUGAAUUUUGUAGCAUGUUAUGUUAGUAUCGAAGGUUUGAACCCUGGACUUACUUCCCAAAUCCUUCAGAUGUCCCAAAUUAACUACUUGAGCUACACCUUGGGGACUGUAUAUGUAUUCAAUUGAUUAAUUAAUUGAUUAAGUAAAUAAUAAAUAAGAUUAAUGAAAGCUUGCAUAACUUGGCCACUGUUCCCUGUCUUAUUUCCUGGAAAGCAUUCAAUGGUUUCAUUGUUUUGUGACUUUUGUCUGAAAGUUAAUGCAUUUAGAAGCUGUUGUAUUUUGUGUUGCUUAGUCAGAUUGUUCUCUUCACUUGUAGGUUGUGAAGCUUGGAAAAAAGAUUCAUUAAUUAACUGUGCCAAGACCAGCAUGUCCUCAAAGGUGAUAGCCGGUGACAGUGACUUCUUUGCCAAUUUGGUACCUUGACAUUAUUUAUUUAUUUAUAUUGUAUGUUGGGCGUUUACAUCACUUUAAAUUGUUGCAAAGCAACCAUAUUUUGUAAAUACUAGUUUGUUCACAUCCAAUUGUUUAAGCUUAUAUACAUCAUUAUGUUUCGUCUCUCAAAUUUUACUUGGACUAUAAGUUGAAAACUUGAUAUUGACCAUGCUUAUAUAGCAUUUACUUUUCCCCAUCACAGUUAUAAUUAUCAUAAUUAUCGAAUAGCUUUCGUAGGUUUUCCACUUUCUGCUUGAGAGGAAAGAAAUUCAAGUAUAUCGCUGGUCUACUCACGGUUUCUACUCUAGUUGUGCAUUCAAUUGGUUGAUUGUAUCAGUCAGCAAUGUUCUGAGAGAUAUAGAAAUGAUUAUACCAACUAUUAAUUGGGUUUCAUACUAUUCUAGAUAUUUUUUAAAUCAUACUAAAUGGCAUGAAGUUAUCAACUCUUUGCUAUUGUAGUUCAAAUUUUGCAUUUAAUGGCAUGAACGUAUCAACGUUCUAUGAUUGAUUUGAAUAUAUACUGUUGCACAUCGCUGAUAAUUGGCUUUGUGGUACGUUAGGUAACCCAAAGAAAUUGAUGGAAUAGUUUUAUGGAAUGAUUCAUUGAGAUUAGUAGAGAGGUCUCUCCUCCUAAAGUCUCCCCUAAAAAAUGAUUUCUUCAUUCACCAAAUUUUACAAAUUUACAGAAUGGUCCCUUUAUUUAUUUAACCGACACCUUGUAUCCAUUUGAUCUAACCUACUGCCAUCAUUUCCUUACCCCCCUUAGGCAUCCUCCUGUCCUAAUAGUACGAUUGCUUUCACAUGAAACUGCAAUAAAAGCUUUAUCCUUUUUCCUUAAAGUUUUAAAAAUCAAUCCCAAUGAUGUCGAUGUUAGGAUGACCCUGAAACAUUUGUUGUGGAGAGGGUCAUUGGAUAAUAAAACCUUUGAUCUAUUGAUUUCACUGACUGGACAGUGUAACUUUUGUAAUCACGGGAAAUGUAAUUAUUAAAAGCAGUUCUGAUUCUCAUAAGUUGUUCUGAAUGUAUUGAUUGAUUAUUAAUUGAUUAUGAACAAGAUGCUAACUUCUGUUUUUGAUUGAGUUUUCUGGCUGUAGGUUUAGGCACUUGAUAUUCGUUUCAGUUGUUAAAUUUACUUGUGGGUAUGAAAUUCAUGCAGGUUGUAGAAGCAGUGCAAGCUGUAAAGAUGACCAAUGCACAGGGUGAAGUCAGAUACCCAAUCAAGGUUGGUAGUAGAAUUUGUCUGAUACAUUCUCACGAGGCUCUGCUCUGCUUCUGGAUGAAAGAUGUCAAUUUUGAUAUGUUGAACAUCUGUAAUGUGCAGCUAUUUUGCUUAUGUGGUUUAACAUACUUUGAAUGAAUUUAAUUCUGUUUCAUUUUGAUUCGGGUUCCAGGGAAUCAAUAUAUUCAAGGCACAUUGUGAAAGUGCUAGACAGCUUUUUGAUGAAUGGUUAUGCUCUUAAUACUGGACGUGCUGCCCAAGGAAUGCCUCUUAGGGUAUCCCCUGCUAAAAUUGCUUGUCUUGAUUUCAAUCUUCAGAAGACAAAAAUGCAAUUGGGUGUUCAAGUAUUAGUUUCUGAUCCCAGGGAACUCGAGAAAAUUCGCCAAAGGUAGUCUGUCUAGCUUCUACCGUUCUAUGUAUUACCUUCCUAGUUCCACUAUCUUUCCUUUGAUAUAGCAAGAAUAAAUUUAUUAUAUAGCAUGUAAAAGUAUUCAACAGUAUCAGUCUGAUGAUAAAGCACGUAGAUUAUUCAAAGUAUUAAUCUAUAAGCUGGAAAUAUUAUGAUUAAUCAUUGUGGAAAUUUGAUCGUGCUCGAUUUGGGGCAGUUCUUCACCAUUGUCGUUUUGCAGGAUUAAGCAACAUGUAUGUAAUAUGUUUUUAACAAAUCAUCACUUUUUUCCUCUUUCAGAGAGGCUGAUAUGACUAAGGAACGCAUUGAGAAAUUACUGAAAGCUGGAGCCAAUGUUGUUCUGACUACUAAAGGAAUUGAUGACAUGGCACUUAAGGUUUGUUGCUAUUUUCCACUAGUACUUUUUCUAACGAUUUUUCUCUUUAAACAUGGGGAUUUAAUUGCAAUAUUUCAGGCAGUAUUUUUGUAUAGUAUCUUGGCUGCUUAGCCUUUUUUUUUGUUCUUGUGCUAUAUAGGCCCCACUCAUCUUGAUAUCUGAAAAUUACUAACCAACCUUAUCACUUCCUAUAAAAUUACUAACCAAUUCUGAUGAUAAGAACCUCAAUAUUCAAUUCACACUAUACUCUGAGAUCUAUGGAUCUGUAAGCAUGUACUUAUGAUUUUCUUCUUCCUGCAUUAAUAAGAUGUCAUGGGUCAUAUUGAUGGGGGUUAUGUCCUUUUUUAUAUUACCUGUUCUGUUUCUGACGACUUAUAUAAAGGACAACUCAUUUAACUAAGUGUUUAUGCCUCACUAUUUAAUCCUGGUUUCAGUAAUUUGUUGAGGCUGGUGCAAUUGCUGUGAGACGUGUGCGAAAAGAAGAUAUGCGUCAUGUUGCCAAAGCAACCGGUGAAACAUUGGUAUGCCUUUGUUUAAUUUAAAUCUAUUUAUUGAAACUGUGAGAUAAUCUAGUAAGUUUGGCAGUAAAUCAGAAUGUCUAUCACCAUGCACUUUUGAAAAUGCACUGUUUUCCGUUCCUCCCCUUUUCUUCUGCAGUUGAAUAAAAUAUUGGCUAUGUUGUGGACUAGAACUGCAAACCAUGUCUUUGUUUCCAUGCAUUAAGUAGAUAUUGAUGCUGAAUUCUUCCUACAUAAAAUGGUAGUCUUUUGAAAAGAUCGACACUUCUUGAAUUCUUUUUUUAAGCCUGAAUUCGGAUCACUGUAGCUUUUACUUUCAAGUCUAAAAUGAGUAAUGAAAAACAUAGAUAUUUGAUGUCUAUCAAGGGAGAUGUAAAAAACUCAUGAGAACUCGUUCUCUGUCUUACCAGGCCGAUUUGGCUAAGGGAUUUGUGUUCAUUUUAAUUUGUGAUUGCUUGAUGUAGGUCUCAACAUUUGCUGAUAUGGAAGGGGAGGAAACUUUUGAACCGUCAUUUCUUGGAACUGCAGAUGAGGUUGUUGAGGAGUGUAUAGCUGACGAUGCUGCAAUCAUGAUUAAAGGGACCAAAACUUCAAGUACAGUAAGUAAUUUGGGACCCCAGGAUUGGGUUGUUUUUUUUUUUUUUGUUUAAAAGUAUAAAAUUCAUCAAAACAGAAAAAGUACAGGAAUAUUUUUGUAUUUUUUACUAGUAAAAGUACACAAAUAUUGAGCAAGAAUCUUCUACAGACAAAUGGAUAGUUCUCAGAUACUAGGAUAUGUAUCCCUUCUGAACCUAAUAAAUUCAGGACACAUGUUCUUUAUUGCACGAGCAACCAAUUCAGAUUGUUAAGAUACACCAAAUUACUGAUGCAAUGAGCCAGUGAUGAAACUGAUAAAAUUUUAGAACACCAUCCUCUAAAAUAUUACAAUUUUUUUUUGUAGACUUUGUACCUGCUAAAGAAAAAUAAAAAUUCUGUCCAUAGUCUCCUCUGCUGGUUGAACCUACUUAUCCGGCUCUAAAUCCUUAUCAUCCUUUGUCUCCUUUUCUUCAUCCUUGGAGUUGGAAGCUUUUUUCUUUGAAGCUGCUGAUGAUCUUCGAGGAGUCUCCUAAAAUUCAAUAAUAAUUAAUAAUAUAAAUAACAAUAAAAUUCUGGAAACAUAUUUUUGUUUAUAAUUUGGACUAACCUCAGGAAAGACAUUUUUAACUGCAAUGAUAUCAUCUUCAUUCGUUUCUUUUGCGGACAUCAAUUUCCAAUUAAUUUGGUAAUUUGCUUCUUUACUUAUCUGCACUGCCCUAUUUGGGCAUACCACUGUUGUAAUGAAUCCCAAUUUUUGCACGUGCUCAAUCACAUUCUUAUACUUUUUAUCCUCGCCAAUGAAAACAAGAUGAUGAUCAUUUUGAACCACAAGUUUAUCUAUGACUUUUGAUGUUGCCCAAUACUUCAAGAUUUUCCAUGGUGCACCAACUUUUCUCUCUCCCCACAGUACCUUGUAUUGCCAGAGAAUAAUUGCUUUCAUUAUGUCGUAAUCAGUUUCAUCCUUACCAUGCGGUGUAGGAACAUAAUUGAUGCCAUGAGCCAUUUCAUGUGUCAUUCUAUCUGUAUUUGAGUAUAACGUAAUUGAGAGAUCCUCCUCUUCUAUUGACUCUAUGAUCUUAUUAUUUGUCUGAACUUUUUCCAAUCUCUUCUUAAACUGAUCUAGACCAAACCCCAUACCAAGGGAUAAAUUUUCAAAAUCCCAGAUUACAUUAAUUUGUGGGAUUUUCUGAUUUUUGUAUUUCGAAUGGGAGUUUAGUAAAAGAAAUGUGAACAAGUAGCUCAUUUGUUUUUGUUAUAUCCCUCUUUUUGCUAUCAAUCAGCUGGACCACAACAGAUCUCAGUAUUAUAUCAACAAUAUCUUCCAUAAGUUCCAAAUAUUUGUACAACGAAUCUGAUGUAAUCCUGAAAACAAUAAAUUGUAUUCAACUACGUUACUAAAAUUUAAUAUAUGGACGGUGUAAUAGUGUUGUUAAAUAGUGGCUUUAGCGGCGCUAUGCCGCUAUUCCGUAAAUUCUGCUACGGAAUAGCGGCAUAGCGCCGCUAAAGCCACUAUUUAACAACACUAUUACACCGUCCAUAUAUUAAAUUUUAGUAACGUAGUUGAAUACAAUUUAUUGUUUUCAGGAUUACAUCAGAUUCGUUGUACAAAUAUUUGGAACUUAUGGAAGAUAUUGUUGAUAUAAUACUGAGAUCUGUUGUGGUCCAGCUGGUUGAUAGCAAAAAGAGGGAUAUAACAAAAACAAAUGAGCUACUUGUUCACAUUUCUUUUACUAAACUCCCAUUCGAAAUACAAAAAUCAGAAAAUCCCACAAAUUAAUGUAUUCUGGGAUUUUGAAAAUUUAUCCCUUGGUAUGGGGUUUGGUCUAGAUCAGUUUAAGAAGAGAUUGGAAAAAGUUCAGACAAAUAAUAAGAUCAUAGAGUCAAUAGAAGAGGAGGAUCUCUCAAUUACGUUAUACUCAAAUACAGAUAGAAUGACACAUGAAAUGGCUCAUGGCAUCAAUUAUGUUCCUACACCGCAUGGUAAGGAUGAAACUGAUUACGACAUAAUGAAAGCAAUUAUUCUCUGGCAAUACAAGGUACUGUGGGGAGAGAGAAAAGUUGGUGCACCAUGGAAAAUCUUGAAGUAUUGGGCAACAUCAAAAGUCAUAGAUAAACUUGUGGUUCAAAAUGAUCAUCAUCUUGUUUUCAUUGGCGAGGAUAAAAAGUAUAAGAAUGUGAUUGAGCACGUGCAAAAAUUGGGAUUCAUUACAACAGUGGUAUGCCCAAAUAGGGCAGUGCAGAUAAGUAAAGAAGCAAAUUACCAAACAACUAUUAGUAUUAGUAUCUCUUAUUAUAAAAACUAGGGAGAAUUACAUUGACCUCCCCUGAGGUUUUGUUAAAUGUCACAUAUCUCCCCUCUAGUUUCAAAAAAUACAUAACCUCCCCUCAACUUAACCCUGUUAACCAUCUGUUAAGUUGAGAAAAAACUUAUCAAAAUAGCGAUACUAAGAAUUACCAAUUAAGCCUGUACAGCCAUUUAAUUUUAACAACAUUUAAUCUAAAUUCUUUAGGGAAUGGAUACAGGCAGUUUUGCGGUGGCAGUGUGUUCAUGUAGAUAAAUUUCUCUUCCUUUUUAUCUUUAAACUCAAGUAAUUAACUUCAAAUUUCACACAAAAAGAAAAUCAAACUUAAGGUUCGUUUUCCAAACCCACCAGAGGCUCCCAACCAAACCAAGUCUUGGUUACCACGAUAGUGAUUUAUCAAACAUAUAAUUAAAAUUGAACUGGCUUGUGGUUUAUCCUGUUCAUCUGCAAGUCCCCUUUUAAUAUGUUUUAAUAUUUUUUUUUUGUCUUUAAGCUUGUAUGCUUUAGAUGUAGGGUGAAGCUUUGUUUCAGAAAAUUUAGAGCAUCUUGCUAUGAAUAUGAUGGAGAGCUUAACUUCUUGUUGCCUUGCAUAUUCAAUUCAUUGGAGAACUUCUCUCAAGGGUUUAAUAAGCCAUUUGAGAGUGCCGUAGAUAACUCACCCGAUGAAGUAAGUUAUGGACCAAUCCCAUCUAUAUAAAACUUACACGAAAUUUUUGUUCCAAGUUAAGCUUCCUUGAUUUGGUAUGUUUAUUUUGUUGUUUUCUGUUUGUAAAUAGGCUUUACUGUUUGAGGAGGAGAAUAUCUUGAUCAUAAAUCGUCUGCACCAAGUUGAGACCAUUUAUAAAUUUUUAAAUUUUUCGGCCAGUGUAUUUUUAACCAAAAGAACACUUUCAUGAUGGUAGUCCCUAACCCAUUAGUUGCUUUCUCAGCAUUAAGGAUGGAUCUGUAUAAAGGAAAUAUUUAUUAAACAUAUAGUGUAUAUACAAAAAUAAUUGUGUAAAUAACUCAUAAGUUCCCUUUAGUGAAAAAAGAUGUAUCCAGUGUAAUUUGUAACAUUUCUACACUGUGCACCAACUCAUUAGUUUUUAAAUGUUGCUCUUCCACAGAAAUGGUCUUGACAACACGGUCCAGAAAAGGGACCGUGCGAUGGAAACCGACGGGCAAGGCUCUAUACUUGCCAAACCUUGACAUAAUCAGCACUGAUCUUUCUUCAACCAUUCUAACCCUGAUCUUUAGUUUAUCUAGCAAGGCUUCACGACACUGUCCUAAACUGGACUUUUUCACCUUUUUCCUUUUAUUAAUAUCAAAGUUCAUACCCCUUUGUUUUAGUUUAUACGCAAUAAUUGCUCUGCUGAACCCAAAAAAUUUCAUAGCUAUACAAAAUUUUUUCAGUGCUGAUUAUGUCAAGGUUUGACAAGUAUAGAGCCUUGCCCGUCGGUUUCCAUCACACGGUCCCUUUACUGGACCGUUUCCGUGGAAGAGCAACAUUUAAAAAUUGAUGAGUUGGUCCACAGUGUAGAAAUGUUACAAAUUACACCGGAUGCAUCUUUUUCACGAAAAACAACUGAUGAAUUAUUUACACAAUUAUAUACACUAUGUUUAAUAAAUAUUUCUUUUGUACAUGUCCAUAAUGCUGAGAAAGCAACUAAUGGGGUUAUGAAAUACCAUCAUGAAAGUAUUCUUUUAGUUAAAAAUGCCCUGCUGAAAAAUUUAAAAAUGUGCCGUAUGUGGAAGCAGCUCAGAGACAACAAUCGAUAAGCCAAGGCAUUCUGAAACCACUACAUUAACAAGUAUCAAAACUGUUUAGAUUUCCAUUUCCAUUUAUAUGGUUCAUUUAAUAAACUCCGUUUAAUGUCUACUUUUUUACAGAGAUCAAUGAAACAGCAUCUAGAAUACCAUGGGAAAAGGAGAUAGCUGAGAAUUACAAGCCUACAUUAACAAGUGAGUAACUCGUCAUCAUUAAUUAUUAAGGAGAAAUUAUAGUGCAUACAUGGUUCUUGAAGUUUUCUUAUAUUCUUUAUUUCUGAUCAUAAAUUUCCAACUAGUCAGAUACAUUUUAAAUCAAAAUCGUCAGUUAGAAAUCAUUUAAAUAUAUAAAAAUCAGAUAAAUAUUUUUAUGUCAGUUCAUGUGCAAAAAUAAGAUGAAGAUCGAUUAAUCCCAAAAGUCAGUACAAAGCUUUAAGUUAGUCAAUGAAAGUCAUACUUUCCAUCGUGUUGUUCCAGUUACAACAUAUGGCUUAAGGUUCAAAUGUUUCCAUUGACUAAAUACUAUCAAAAGCAGGGAAUGAUGAUGUGAUUUGGAUUGUAAAAUGGUUUUUAUUUGUUUGAUUGUUUUUUAAAAUGGUCUUGGUUUGUUUGACUGCUUUUGAUGUAGUAGUUGGAUUAGGGUUUUUUAGUGGCGGUUUUUGUUGUUCGAUUAAAGCAUUUUUUCUAACAUGCGUUGGGUGUUGGGCUGUUUCGAAUAAUUGAAUUUGGUGGUUUAUGUGCUGCUUGAAAGUAAAGGAAUGAAUUGCGGAGGAGGGGAGCUGGAAAAUUUAGGGUUUGAUUACUUUGAGAAAACUUUUUUUUUUUAUUUUCUAGAAUAUGUUUUUUUAUUUAGGGUCUGUUUACUCUGCGAAAAUAUGUCUUUGAUGAAACUCUAGUUAGGGAUGGUGCAUUAAAUGAUAGAGAAAAGAUGAAAUGCUAGUUAGGAGUUGGGAACGAUGGAAUUUCAAGGGCUAUUUAAUUGUAGGAAAUGAGUGAAGAAGGGAAUAGGGUUGAAAUUCAGAGUUUGCCUGAACUUAUGUGUUGGAAAUUUGUGUUUGUUUGUUACCAUAACUAUGAGCAUGUUUAUUGUUUUUGGCAUGAAGGAAUAAUACAUAUUGUAUUAUUCUGUUUCUAGAAGGAUUUGGCAUUGGCUUCCUAGUUGUCCUUUGCCUGUGAUUCGUAGCUGUGGUUUUAAGUGUUUUUUUUUUGUUCCAAAGUUGUAUGCUGAAGUUUGAAGACUGAAAAGAGUGAACGUUCCUUUGAGUUUCUUGUUUAAGGUUAUUGUGUAUAAGGGUUGGGAUUGUAUUGGGAAAUGAUUACCCAGAUUCAGUUUUGUAAUUUUUUUAAAUUUCCGUGACAAAUUUUGGAACUGGAUUUUGUCUAAGGAGACUGUUUGGCAGAUAUGCUUUCUGGUUUCAUUCAUGUGUGCAAGGUUUUCAAAAAGAAAAGGGAUCCUUAUUUUCACUUUUUGUACUCAUUUUGCUUGGUUUGAGUCUAACAAGUUAACACACACACGACAGAUGGGGUCGCUUACAAUUUGUGUCAGAGGCUUCUAUUAUUGAUUGUACUAUUCUUUUUUGGAUGGAUUCAAGUGUCCAAUCCAUCUAUGCUGAUACAAUGUUUUAUGAUUGGAAUUAUGUUUAAUAUCAAAAGUUUUUCAACGGUGCACACAUUAUUUCAAGAUUUGAAUUGACCAAUGCAGGGCGGAUGUAAAUUUGAAGGCUGUAUAUCUUUUGGGAGACUGGUGGAGGUGGGGUAUCGCAAGGUAUGUUCACUCUGCUUUUUAAUUUGGUUAAGUUGUUCUCGGAGCAGUCAAAUUAAAUUUAUAUUUUUUUGGCAGUGCACUUGGCUACAUCCCUCACUUUACGGUUUUAAGAUUUGGAUCAUUGAUGGACUGCAACAAAGAAGAGGCCUUAAGGGCCAAGGAAAUCGCGGAAAAGAAGAUAGAAAACAGGGAUUUUGUGGGGGCACGUAAGUUUGCUCUUAAGGCUCAGUCUCUGUAUCCUGUUUUGGAAAAUAUAGCUCAAAUGCUUGUUGUUUGUGACUUGCACUGCUCUGCUGAGCAGAAAAUAUUUGGUGAUGAGAUCAAUUGGUAUGGAGUUCUUCAUCUAUAAUGCACAGCUGGUGAUGCAAUGAUUAAGAAGCAGUUCCGAAAGUUUGCUCUUCAACUUCAUCCCGAUAAAAAGAAGUUUGCUGGUACAGAAGCUGCAUUUAAGCUGAUUGGAGAAGCUCAAAGACUGCUUUCAGACAGAGAAAAACGAACUAGGUAUGACAUGAAGCUUAAUGUGAACAAAACUGCUAUGCCGCCGCGUUCUAAUCAACCGAAGGUUCCUACAAAUUUCAAUUCUGCAAUGAAAAACAAUGUCAGGCCCAGUUUUACAAACUCGAAUACCCAGCAGCAGCAGAACGGUGUGCACCGUACUUUCUGGACUGCCUGCCCAUUUUGUUCCGUGAAGUAUGAGUACUACAGAGAAAUUUUGAAUAAAUCUCUUCGCUGUCAACAAUGCCAUGGGCUCUUCGUUGCAUGUAUUCUGGAUAUGCAUGGUACAUCACCAACAACUAACCCAAGUCAGCAAGCUUCCAAGGUGAAUGUUGGAUCUCAAGGUAACUCGCACGCUGAGAAGUCCAAUACAAAGCCUUUCAAGAAAAAAGUCCCUGUUGGUGUCUCUAGAAAGUCAGAUGUGAAGAGAAAGAGGAAUCAAGUGGAAGAAUUUAGUCAAAGCUCUGAUUCUACAAGCAGCAGUGAUUCUGAAGAUGAAAUAGUUGCUGGUAAGAAUGGUUUUCUAGGUGUAGGAGACCAUUCAACUGAGCAGCCACGUAGAUCUGUGCGACAGAAGCAUAAUGUUUCCUACAGUGUUAACAUGAAUGGCACUGACAAUGACUUAUUACAACCUUCAAAAACAGGUCAGGAGAAUGGAUCACAUUAUGGUGAUUGUCAAAGUCACGGGGAGACUGCUAAAACAAAUGAUUAGAAUGGUUUAGCAGCUGAUCCAAAAGAUGAACUUGAAAAGUUAAAACAGAAACAGGCGGAAAAGACAAGGGGAGGCGGAAAAGAAGCUGCGAAAGGGUCAAAGCAGAUGGAUAAAACUAUAGAGCAUUCUUCUCCAGGUUCAACCUCCAAGACAUCAAAUUGUCCGAAUGCUUAUGUUUAUCCUGAUGCAGAGUUCAGUGAUUUGACAAGGACAGAAAAAAAGAAUGUUUUGCACCUGGGCAGAUUUGGGCUAUCUAUGAUUCAAUAGAUGGCAUGCCUAGAUACUAUGCGUUAAUUAGAAAAGGGCUUUCUCCUGGAUUUCAGUUGCAGGCAACAUGGCUUGAACCACAUCCAGAUGACAAUGAUGAAAUCAAAUGGGUAGAUGAGGAAUUGCCUGUUGCUUGUGGCAAAUUUAAACUUUGUAACACUGAAACCAUCGAAGAUCAUCUGACGUUUUCUCAUCCGGUUAUGUUCAAAAGGAAUGGCCGCGAUACUUUUCAAGUGUAUCCUAGAAAAGGAGAAACUUGGGCUCUUUUCAAAAACUGGGAUAUCACAUGGUACAAGGAUGUGGAAUCUCAUAGGCAGUAUGAAUACGAGUUUGUUGAAAUCUUGUCAGAUUAUGUUGAAGGUGAGGGUGUAUAUGUUGCAUACUUAGGUAAGUUGAAAGGUAUUGUAAGCAUCUUCAUUCAAAUUAUGAAAGAAGAUAACCAGCCAUUUCAAAUUCCAUCUUUCAAAAUGACUGGUCAGGAAGGAGUAGGUGUUCAUUUAGGAUAUUCAGAAUUUGAUCCUGCAUCUUUACCAAUGAAUCUUGAAGAGAUUGCUGUUACUCAAAAUUUGGAUGUGAAGACUGGGCAUAGUUCAUGUGGCAGCAAGAAUGCAAGGACUUCAAAAAGAUCAAAACCCUCGAUGUCAGCUGAAGAUAUUGUAUCCAUUCUCAAGGUCAAAGUUGAAACAAGCAAUUUGACUGAGGUAAAGGAUUCUCUUGAUGAUAUGGAUGACUGCCAUGCGUCAGCUUCAACCCCAGAAGCUUUUGAAAUUCCAGAUGCUCAAUUCUUCAACUUUGAAACUGGGAGGUCCCUUGAUAAGUUCCAGGUUGGCCAAAUAUGGGCAUUUUACAGUGAUGAGGAUGGAAUGCCGAAAUACUAUGGUCAGAUUAAAAAAGUUGUCACUGGUCCUACUAUUGAAUUGCAUGUUGAAAGGCAACAGUUAACUACUGCUGAAGCGAGCGGUAGUUAACUACCACUGCAGCCGGCGGUAGUUAUCUGUUGCUGCACUCCACAACAGCUUUUUCCUUCCCGUUUCCCCCACAUUUGAUCAUGUUUAUACAUAAUAUUUUGAACACAUGUUUUUCACUCAUUUUCAUCCAAUUUCAAAUUCAUCAAUUCUAAAAACAUAUAAAAAGUAAAAUUAAUUUUAACAUGAUAAAAAUAAAACGCAAGAAAUAAUAUAAGGUACGAAAAUGUCGUAGAAAUAUCACAAGGUACAAAUCAUGUCAUAAUAAUACAUCACCACCGUCAAAGUCAAAAUGUACAUUAAAAAGCCUAAUGAUCAACCCUGAUGUCUACGAUGCUCAUGCCCCCUGCGCUGCAUGGCAAUCUGAUACAUAAGGGCAAGGCGACUAGUAUUAUUAAUCUGGGUUAAGACCUGCAGUAACUCCUCUCUACUCAGUUGGUCGCUCAUGGCCAACGCUCCAUCCGACAUCUGAACAUCUCACUGAUGAUCGUCAAUGUGUCCGACAUCUCUCUGACAUGCUCCUCCUCUAUAGGAUGCUCCCGUUGCCGACCUGGGAGGAGAUCCUUCAUCAUGUGGGAAAAUUUGAAGCCAUGCGUAUGGUCCCAUGCUCUCUCACACCUUUCUCCUUAAUCGCUAUAGAACCACAGACGGGGGUCUUUCAACACAGUAGCCAGCAUCUCCUUAGGAAUCUCAGGGACAUCUAACGGAUGUAUGGGGAUGUCCUGUACAAACCCAAACUGUCUCUUUAAGCCAAGGUAAAUGACGGCACACCAUCCCUUCCCGCGUAUCAGCCAUCCCGAGUAAGUGUUAAUAAGCUGAAAAGGGUGCACCGCUCGGUGAUCAUCAUAUGUAGACCACUUCAUGUCAUACACCUCUAAGCGAUCCAGCCGUGAGCGGUAAUGGUGCACAACUAUAUGCCCUCUGGUAGUAAGCCAUCUCCCCGCGCAUGAUCUCUCCGGCUUCCAACUCCUGUUAUGUUUCUUUGGGUACUGACUUGGCAAAUGCUUCAAAAUCUAUCCCUGCAAAAAAAAAAAAUACAAAAGAAAAAAUAUUCAAAUUAAAUCUUAAAUAAAUCUAACAAAAUGAUAACUUACUUGUUGACACAGUAAACUAUCAUCAAUUCCAAUAGCGUAUUUUUGUCUUCUUAUAUUGUGAUUUGUUGCAUCACGAUGUCUAUGGUGCACAACCCAAAUAGAUUGUGCACAAAACAUUUUUAUGUGCUGGAUAACAAAAUCACACCAUAUCUUUUAUGAGUCCGUCGCACUCGAUCUUCUAAUUUGAAAAUAAUUGGUUUGUUAUAAUUUGAAAACAACGAACAUUUAUAUUUUUAAUUUUAAUCAAAAUCAUUAAAAAAAAGUAUUGUUCAUAGUUUUCAAACGUUAGUCCAAUAAAAGAAGUGGAAAGUAUAGAGGAAUCAAUUCUGCAAAAUGGUGAAAAUAAGGGAAUUAAAACUGCAAGUAAGGCUUCUUUUUUUUAACACAAAAAACAUGUAAAUCCAAAAGAGCUGAAAAAAAGAUAAACAGAAACGCAAACGCCUUCACUCCCCUCACUGCAAUUCUGUGAAGCCCAGAUACGGAUACGAUACUGCACCGAUACGUCGAUACGGAAAAAUUUCAAAAAUCAAGAUACGAUACGGCUGGGAUACAUUAAUAAAAAAAUUAUAUAAUUAAAUGUACAAUAUAAUUAUAACCAUUUUUUUAAUAUGCAAAUAUAUAUUUUUUUUAACAAGCCAAAAUGGAAUUAUAUACGAAUAAGGGUAGUUCCCAACGCACAAGAUGUGCCUUAGAGACUACCACAAAAAUCAAGAGUUACAACGGUUACAAACCAAAACAAUAGAAAAACAUUAGCCAAUACCCAAACAAACAAGAGGGUUUGACCACCACUGCUGAGUCCCAAAAACAAAGGUAGCUUUUUUAGCUUUCAACCAACCUAGAGAUAGCAGCUUAAUCUUAUCUAGUAAACAAGGUAUGGGGUAACAACAUGAUUAAACAUCUGAUUAUUACGUUCAUUCCAAACAACCCAGGCACAAAGAAGCCAUAUAAGUUGCAUAAAAGAACGUCCAGCAACACCACCACCUAUCAAAUGAGUGAACUGUAAAAAAUGAUCUGAAAUAUUAUCUGUGUCCACCCCAAAGCAACCGAUCCAGUCACGCACCAAAUGCCACAGAGAACCAAAAGUAUCACACAAUAAAAAUAGAUGUCGAGCCGAUUCAGGAUGACCACAAUCAGCAACACACGAAGACAUAUCAGGCGACAACACCCGUCUAGCAAUCAAAUUUGUCCUUGUUGGUAAACGAUCACGGAUGAGCCUCCACGCAAAAACGGAAACCUUUAAGGGAACCUGUUUGUGCCACACCAAAUCCAAAUCAUAGUCGGCGACCGGAGGAACCUGAGAGAUUAACAAACUAUAUGCACCUCGAACUGUGUAUCCACCAGAGGGGUCCGGAAGCCACACCCAGCUAUCUGAAACAUUAGGAUUCAAGGAAACAUCAAGAAGUAAAGCCCUACACUCAUCUAAAGACAACUCUGCUAACUCAAUUCCAACACCAUCAAGCGGUUCAUGCGGAUCUCCACCAAUGUCCCACAUUCUCGAUUGUCCUUUCUUAUAUCCAUCUUCUUUCCUUGACAAGAUUCGAAGAUUAGUAUGCACAUAAACCAAAUCUUCUACCCUUUUUCGAUCCAUUUUGUUUCUUUUCAAAGAAUGGAUAAAAGAGAAAGUACCCCAAUUUCUCUCACAACAUGAGGAAGAACAAGGUUGCACAAGAAGCUUUACACCAUAAUUUCUCGACGGUGGCCAAAGUGUGGUGUGGUGUGGGUCGUACUAGCACCAAAAUAAGAUAAAGGAAAUGUAUAUAUAUUAUAGUAAUAUAAUAUUUUUAUUCUUAUUUUUUACAAAAAAAAAAAAAAAACAAAAAUCAAAAUAAUAUAAAGAACACAAGUAUCCGUGCGUAUCGAGACGUAUCGGAUAAUCAUUUUUUAAAAAAUAAAAUUUCAUAUUUGGAUACUCUCCGGAUACGUAUCGGGAAGUAUCGGGCAGGUAUCGGUGCAGGAUACGCAGGGGAUACGGUACGUCAUCCAUUUUGAAGUAUCGGGGCUUCACAACUGCAAUUUCAUCUGCCCUUGCCCAUGGCCACUUCUGUCAUUGAAUCCGACAACUGUCGAAUCUGAAACCUCCGCCCAAUCUGAACAAGACUCGCAACUUCGCCGCCGCCAAUCACCCUCAUCGCCUAUAUAUUCGUUCCAUAUUUUGCUAUUUUCCUUUCUCCUAGACAAUGUUUCCUCUUUUUCUACCUUCUCGUCUUUCUCGCAAGGUUUUUACUAGGUUUAAAGGGUGUGGGUUCUCAUCAUCAUCUUCUCCUCCCCAGUGAAAUCCCUCAUAUGAAUCUGAGUACUUUAAAAAAAAAUCUGAUGAAUUUGCCAUUAUUUUUGCUAACCCAAAAUCCCUAAAAAAAAUUAACAGGACAGGAUUUUGAUCCCACUGCCCUCCUAAAAACUUGAACCAAACAAUUAUAAUUUAAAGGGUUAAUAAUGUUUUACCCCCUGUAAUAUAGGUCAUUUUCGGUUUUACCCUCUGUAAAAUAUUUUUUUUGGAUUUAGUCCGUGUAAUUUGAAGAUUUUUGGUUUUGGACCUUCAUGAAUUUUGACUGUACAAAAUCGAAGAUAUGACAGGGGAUAAACCGAAAUUUGCUCAAAUUAACAGGGGGAAAAACUGAAAUUUUCUCAAAUUACAAGGGGGGUAAACCUAAAUUUACUCAAAUUACAGGGAUAAAAUUUUUCUUGAAGGUCCAAAACCAAAAAAUCUUCAAAUUACAAGGAUGAAAUUCAAAAAAUAUAUUUUACAGGAGGAAAACCGAAAAUGACUUAUAUUACAGGGGGUAAAACACUAUUAACCCUAAUUUAAAAUAUUUGAUCCCAUAACUGUUUUGGGGUGGUUUAGGGAAGAAGAGAGUAUUAUCUAAUUAAACGUGGCAUAAGUUUGUGUAAAUAAGUUUUUUACAUUGUCAAUACAUAGAAAUUAAAUUGAACACUGAAUAUCACUUGUCCAUUAGAAAAUACUAUAAACUGACAAGUCUAAGUUACUCUAGAAACAUCAACACAUUUGCGUCAAGAAAAAAAGAAACAUCAACACACAAUUCACAGCAUAUGUACCAUCUUUGGCCCGAAUUUCUGCAUGCUCAAUAAAUGUACAAGAAUACAUACGGAGACAAUCUAAAUAAACCAUCCAUUUUUUGACUUCAACUUAACAUCAUAUGCACAUGCCAGGACAAUUCUUGGAGAGUUUCCUCCUGCUUGCAAGUCUCCGUUUCGCAGCCAACGUUUUAGUGUCUAUGCGCUUUAAGUUGAGAUCCUGCAUGUUCGUCGUGUAAAACAAAGUUACUGAUUAUUAUUAUUACUAUUAUUAUUAUUAAACAAGGUGUGAGUGUGAUUUUGACCACAAAAAAAAAACAAGGUGUGAUUUUCUAUAAGAUGGGAGACAACAGACAUACCUUCAAAUAUUUAUUUGACCGUUCAUAAUCUUUCAAUUCCAUCAGGCACGAUGCAUUGCCCAGAUUACAAGAAAACCUCAAGCCUACAAUUUCCUUAUCCUCAUCGGGAAAGGAAGUAUCAUACUUUAUAAACUUCAGAGCCUGCAUUACGGUUUCAGUUUCAGAAAAGAUACCUGAUAGAACCCGCAGAAUGAACAAGGUAAUUUUGUAUAUUACGAUCAAAUGAUAAAUAUGAGCGUAGAGGCUAUACAAGGGUGGAAUAACAGAAUGAGAGAUAAACCAGAGUCAAAGACUCCUAAAGAGAGCACUAUGCUCAUAACUAGCGAAGCUCUAGUAACCAACUCUAAUAAUACAUCAGAAUGCCUUCUCCACUAUCCAUCCCCUCUCUUUUAUCUCCGUACUCACAUGAGAUUGGUGCACAAGUCACUAACCUAUGAAGCACGGACACCUCUAGGAUUACGCAUGUCGCGGUCUCCGACACGCCUAUGACACUCAUACAACACGUGUCAGACAAGUGUACUAAAUAAAUGGUUUUCUUCUUUAUUUUGACACUCCUUGGACUGGUGUCCAACACCUAUAUAAAACUUAUACUCCCUCCGUCCCAUUAUAAAUAAGCUUUUUGUUCAUUUCACAACUAUUAAGAAAAGGUGAAUAAGUGAAAGAAAGAGAAAAAUGGUUCAGUGUUUUGUCAUUUAUUGAUACAUUCUUCCUUAUCAUAAAUGCAAAGUAGAAUAUAUUGAAUUUAGAGGAAUGAAAGUAGUAUUAAUUAGAGUUAUAAUUGGUAAAAAAUAAUUCAUAUUGUAUUGAAAAGUGAAACGGGUAAAGUUUUUCUGAACAAUAUUUUUUUGCAAAUGGCUCGCUUAUUAUGGGACGGAGGGAGUAUGAGGCAUGUUAGACAACUCAAACAAAUGUCUGAUUUUUUUUCUAUGCUUCCACACAUAGUAUAUUCAAGAGUUGAAGACGUGAGGAAAAUGUUGAUCAACGAAGGGCUAUAAAGUUGAUUACAACGUGUUUAAAUUUUUCAAUAGUAGAUGGAUAAAUAAAGGCCAAAUACUAUUGUAUCUUGUUAUAAACCUUUUUUUAAUGAACUAAAUUGCUCAAGUUAGAUACAUAUGUGAUUCUCAAUUAAGAUCUUUCAUAAAUAGAUUAGUAUACAGGUGGCAGUGUCGGUGUCCUAUGUUUUUUUUUUACAUUAGCGGUGUCGACGUGUCUUUGUUGGUGUUUUGUCAGAUAUCCGUGUCGGAGUCGCUAACUAACUUAUUAUCUCACUAGCCCCACCUUCCGUCCCCUCAUCCACUCCUAGAUGUUGGGCUAUGCAGAUUUAUCCUAAUGCUUACCUCAUCAUGUGAACCAUGGGAUUAAGUGCCCUAUCACAUUGUAGUGGAUGAUGGUGAAAUAUAUUAAUGUAACCUGGUUACCUUCUGAAAUCUUUUAGAAGCUCUUGCAUAUUCAGCAGCAUAAACUAAUGCUACACCUUCUUGUCGCUUCUCAAGAGCAGCUUCUAUCUUCUCUUCGGUGUUCAUGUCCGAUACCUCCUUAGCCUAAAGUAAACAAUGAACCAAGGUAUAAAUGCAUAAAGAAAGUUGCAAUGGUAUCCAACCAAUAAUUAUUUGAGAGACAGAAGUCAAGGAAAAAAAUACAUCGUUCUUACUUAAAUCCUGCUAACCAUUGUCCUAAAAACACUUUUAUUUAUUUAUUGAAAAGUGUAAAGUUUAACACAGCUAUAACCAAUGCUACAUUAUUUCUAAGGAACCUUAACCAUAAGAGCCCUGUAAACACAGUUAAGCAUUUGGUUUUUUUUUUUUUUUUUGGGACCGGAGUUCAAACCCCGGUCACGGCGUCCGGCCUAGCAAUUUGGGCAUUCUUGCUAAACCAGGAAGAUGGCAACGAAACAACUAUCAUAUUUAUGUCAAGAAAUUUAAUUUAGGUUUGACAAUAGAUACAGAUUAUAAAUAAUGAACACAGAAAUGAAAAGAAAAAAAUACCAGACUUGGCAAUUGAAGUAAGUAGAAUAAAAAUAAAAGGCAGAUCCCUGCUUUGUUAAACAACAUCUGCUAGUGUUCCUUUUCAAUAAUAGAAUUUUAAAAAACAACAAUGAAAUAUGUCACAAUGCACAAUUACUAAUUAUCAUCAAGUUAUUUAUAUACCUUUACGAAUGAUACUAGCUCAACCUCAUAAUACACGGUUGAAUUAGGAGGAACCACUGCCAAUUCCUGCUGAGACUCUGAUGAACCAAAAGCAUAUUCAGGCGCAAUAGUCAACAAAGCUACCUCAUCCUUCUUCAUGGUCAGUACAGCUCUAUCAAGCCCAUCAAUCACUUGCUCUGCUCAAUACAAAAAGCAUUCACUUUAGUUGAUAUAAAAACAAAUUAUGGUGAGAGGGUGAAACAUGGGGAAAAUUAAAAUUACCCUCGUCUGUUUUAAAUUCAAACAGCUCCACUUCAUCACCAUCACUAUAUCCCUUCUUAAAAAAUACAGUGCCAUCUUGCAGCUUACCAAUUAGUUUCACUACAAAAAUGCAAAAUGAGGAUAUAUCACAUCAGAACCCAUGCACUAAAUCCAUUAAAAAAAAAAGAGAGAGAAAGCCAUCAUAUAAUAAUAUAUUAGCAUGAAUCAAUGGUUUACAUUUCACAAGAGCUCCCUCAUUUGGACAGUCGUCUCCUUCUCCUUCCUUGAGGACCAUCUUACGAAAAGGUCAUUCCUUCCAAGAAACAAACUCGAGAAUAAUCUGCAAUGUUGCGUUAGGUGGAACUGAACCUUCAUCAUGGUGAGCUGGCUUGCCCUUGUCACCAAAUCCAUCUAUAACAGAAUAUGAAGAUUACUAGUUAUAUUCCGUUCUUAAAGAGUAGUGAUACUUGUUUUGCAAAACUUGUUUAGUUAAUUUGUAGACUACUUACAUUGUGGCUUAACAGUUAAAAUGACUUUUUCUCCGAUCUUCAUGGUCUUAAUAGCGAUUGACAAUGCAGGACAAAAAUGACCUAUGAGAUGGUGUAAAACAAUGUAAGAGCGACCCGGAAAAGGAAAAUACAAGAGAGUAGUAUGUAUAAUAAAAGUUGUAGGCAGUGAAAGAACGACUAACUGACCAUCGUUGAGUGUGAACUCCACUCCAUAAUCAUCAGAUUUUUUAACAAGAGUUCCAUCAUCAAGACGUGCUUCAUACUUAACUGCAAAGCAAUAACACCAAUUAAGAUCUGGAGAAUGAGAAAAUAAAAAUUGAAAUAUGAUCAUGAAUGUAUUUAUUUAUACCUAAAACAUAAUCAUCAACAUGUUGAUAUUUGUCAUCCCCGGGCUUGAGUAUCUUUUUUACCAAACCUCCAUCCUUACAAAUAUCCUCCGGCUCCGUCAACACAAGAAAAGAAAUACCGGAAGAAGUACUUCCAAUCAUCUCAUUGUAUUUGCGAAUUGGAUUAGUGUAUUCAACUUUCUUCUUGAAAUUGCUGAGUGGCAUGAUAUAUCUAGCUGGCCAAAUGAAUGGUAACAAUAUGAAUCUCAACUUAACAAGAAAAAUUCAAUAAAAAAAAACCUUAACCUAAUUAAUUGUAUUUGAGAAUAGAAUAGUAUUACCAUCAUAUUCUUCAGCAGAAGGAGCAGCAGCUUUCUUCUUGUAUUGAAUCAAAUCCCAUUGUGUGAUGUGUGUCCCUAUAAAUUCAAUAAUUUAAAUCAAUUUAAAAUAAUACAAUCAAUCAUAACGUUUGUUUGUUUAAUAAACUCACUCACUUUUUCCAUACGUAGAUUCAUCAAAUUGAUUGUUAGCGACGCCGCCAUACAUUUCCAAAUCAAUCUUCUUAUACCAAAUCCUGGAAAAUUAAAAAGAAAAAAAAAACCUAAAUAAUUCUGGAAUGUUAACCUGUUGAGUCGAAAUAAAACGUAAAACCAUUGGCAUGAGCUUAAACCUCCAAAAUCAUUAAUACAGCUAUGAAAUACAAUCCCACUAGGUUUUUGUACCUCAAAUUUAAGGAACUUACUUGAUAUUGAAGAAUAUGAGAAAAACUCUUAUUUCACAAAAUUCUGUUGUUCUUCUAAUCAAAAGCACGUUUUCGUGUACGGGAACUCUAGAAAACAAGGUUUCUUUGGUUUUUCAACCGGUAUUUAUAAAGAGCAAGAGAAUUGUUGUUCCUGCGUGUUGUUUGGCUGUGUCACACGAGUAAAAUACCAAAAUGCCCUUCGGCAGUUUGCCACCGAAGUUUUUAGUAAACCGACGACAGUUAACUGCCAAGGCCGUUCCUAGCGUUUUAAGGGUCUUAGGCAUAGUUUGAAAAAAAUGGGCCCUUGCAUAAUAUAUCAUAAACUUUUUUAGUUUUUUGUUAUGAUUUUACUAACACUUAAUUUUUUUUCUUCGCUUUUCACUAUAAGAUAAAAGGUUUUCUAGGCAACAUCUUCAAAUAAAUCAAAUACUCCAUAGAAACCAAAACUAAACAAAAUACCAUAGGAUUAGAGAACAAUUGCUUCUGCGAAAUAAACUGAAAUUUUAGCACUUAAAUAGUAGACACUGAAUUUUUGACAUCUAAUGAUAGUAAAACCAAAAAAAUAGAGGUAUAUAUAUCAACACGUCAUUAAUUAAAUUUUAGACAUUUGGAUACAAAAUUCUCCAAUAUUAAACUCAUAACAACAAUAAUACUUGAUAAAAAAAAAAAAUCACUGUUAGAAUUUUUAGAGAAAUCUAAGAUACAAUAACUCAUUUGUAAUUGUAUACUACAAAUAAAUCACUCUUCUUUUUAUAUGCUACAAGUACCAAGUUUAUAUUACUAUAUUGAUAUAAUUAAUUUAUUUUGGAUACUUUAAAGGCAAGAUUAAGAUUAAUUUUUCUAGUAGGCCCAUUUUCUACUAAAAUAUUAUUUGUUUUGUUAUGAAGAUUCUCCCAAUUUUCUGGAUAAUAAAUAUCACAUAUAUUUUUAAUAUUAGUAAGAUACAUUAUUAGAAACAAAGGGCCCCAAAAAAUAUAAAAAUGUUAUUGGCACAUUAUUAGAAACAAAGGGCCAAUUUUUUUUGGGAGGGUGAAUAUAGAAAUACUUGUUUUAUAUGGUGUAUAUAUAACAAAUUGCAUCAAAAAGGCCAAAAUAAUAACAGCCCAACUUUUUGUUAAUGUUUCGGGCCUGUUGGUAUAUUUUACUAACUACCGUUCGCGAGAUAGUUAAUUGUCAUUCAUCACUUUUUAAAUUGGUUAAAUCAAUCUGGUCACACAUGCUCCUUCUAUGAAUGGGGUCAUGAACCUAUUUUGUGUUGACAUUGAUAGUGUCAUGUGGCGGAUUUGUUUAGGGAUUUGUUGAGUAAGGGUUACUAUCGUAGUCUUCCUCUUGUUUGACUAAGGUUGGGUGUUUGUAUUUGGUGGUUAGUUGGUUUUUUAUUCCAGUGUUGUUUUAAUUUUUUGUUAUCGUUAUACAGGGAUCAUUUUGUUUUGUUUUGGAUUGACUUGCAUACUUCUUGUACUUAUAUAUUUGUAUAUGUCUAUGGUUUUGUAUCUAUCUAUGCUCUUUUAGGAGUUUCCUCCUUUUUAAUAUAUAUAGCUUUAAAAAAAAGGAGCUUCUACGGUACACCUCAUAAAUUGAGGUGUACCGAUACUCUGUUUCAUAAAUUUAUAAGUUAAUGAUCAUUUUUUGAAAUAAGUUGUUAUUUAUCAUUAUUUAUAUUUUAGAAAACACCAUCUCAUGAGAAAAAAAACAUCAUUUCAUUGUUUAUAUGAAUUAUAUUAAAUUUUUAACAUUUUCUCAUAAAAAAAAUCAAUAUUCUUCAUUAUGAGCAAUAAAAAUUCAAAAAAGUAAAUUUUAUUUCAUCGACGCUUUUGGUAAAUAAGAUUUAAUUAUUAUAAUUGUCAAUGAUAGAAAAUAAUUAUUUUUUCUUCAAAAAACAAUCAAUUUAAUUAUUAAUUUAAUGUUUGGUGUACCGGUACACUCAAAAUGUUGAGUGUACCAUAGAAUUUGCCUAAAAAAAAUUACAUUUUAAAUAAAAGCCAAUGGUUAUUUCAUUCAUAUCUUGCUAAGAAAAAUGUUUUGUAAUAAGGCCUGUCAACAAAACAUGUACUCGUUCAUACCUACUCAAAUUUGAUGGAUUUUUUUUCGUUUUGAUUGGAUUUGAAUAUGAGUUUUCCCCGAUUUCAAAAUACGGGUAUGUGGCGUGUGGCGGGAUAUAAGUAUCCACCGUGAACUUGUCCAGAAUGUUCAAAAUUACUUUAUGUUGGCUACAUGUUGAUGUGCAAGAUGAAAGCCUCUAAGUGUCAUCCCUACUUUUGAGAUGUUUUUAAACUUUUAAUCAUCGUGAACAUGUUAUAAGGUUACCUUCUCUGAUUUGAAUUGAUAAAUACACAUGGUGUUGGGUGUUUUCUUACCCAAACGUAUUAGAUCAAUGGAAAAAUGGUGGAAAACAAUUUUUGGUUGUAGGUUUGGGUUUGAGUUUGGGUCAAGGGUUUGGGGAAAAUUCUAGGUUCACAACGGGUUCAGGUUUAAGCCUCGAAAAACUUUUUGAUUAUAAAAUGAUGAUUUGAUUAAGGGAUGGGAUAGAGACGUGGUUCAAUUUUUCAUCCCCAUUAAAGAUCGGGUAGGGUGACAUAUAAUUAAUGAGAUCUGGGGACGAGAAUAAGAAAGGUAAAACUAGUCUCCGUCCCACCGGGGAUUGUAAUGCAAUUAUUAUUGUGUCACUAACAAAUGUUUGUGAGAGAAAUUAUUGUGGUAGAAGAAAAAAAUAUGGCAAAUGAAUUAACUUGAAUGUCAUUAUACUAACAACCCCCACUAAGUGAAAACUGAAGGCAAGGAAAGAUUUUGUGUUGAUGUCACAAGAAUUAAAUUAACACGCAGUAAAGUGGGGCAAACAUGAAUAAGUGAAUUUCUCUUGAUCUAAAUAAAUUUAUAUUCUAAGUAAUACAUGGAAAAAACUUAGAAACACCUCAUACUUUAAAUACCGUUUAUUAUUGUUCACCUAUGAAGCACUACUAUACUUGAUCAAUUUAGUCCACGACAAUAACUUGAAUUUUAAUAAAAUUAAUAAAACUCAUACAUUUUCUGCAAACAUGGUCGAGCAGUUGGAUUGGAAGAAGAAGAGCACACCAGUGAAACAAGAGAAGUUGGAUGACCCUGUCACUAUCAUGGUAAUAUAAAAAAUGAAAUUAAACAAGAAAAUUCAGAACAAACAUUUAUAACUGUAAAAAGAAAGUGUUGAACAUCUUUGGCCCAUAUUUCUACAAGUUAAGAAAAUGUAGAAGAUUACAUAAGGAGAGAAACAAAAUAAAAAUCAUAUUUGACUUCAACUUGACAUCAUAUGAACCGUCUAGAACCACUGGCAGUGUAUUGUCCAGAAGUAAAACUAUACUACAUAAUCCAAUAAUAGAUACCCCCUUCUGCGUGAAGAAUGCCCCCGUAGUACUCCUGCGGCCGCUGCUUAACCACUCAAUAAGUGUAUCUGUUCCAAACAUUUGUGCCCUCCUUAAGCUCCUGGAUCUGCUUGUUCAUAUAAAACUUGGUUAUUGAUUAUUCGUACGCAAGAGAUAUAUAUGAUUUUCUAUAAGAUGGGAGACGACAGCCAUACCUUAAACCAAUUAGCUGCAUGUUCAAAACCUUCCCAUACCGUCUUGCACUUAUCAAAGUCCCUAGUGAAAUUAGACCUCAAGAUCUUAACAAUUUUGAACUCCUCAUGAUAGAACACACAAAACGAACAUGGUAAUUUUGUAUAUUAACAAAUGAUAAAGACGAGCACAGAGGCUCUACAACGGUGGAAUAACAAUGUAACCUCGGUUACCUUCAUAAAUCUUUUAGAAGCUCGUACAUCUUCCCCAGCAGCAAGCAAUGCCAACCCUUGUUUAUGCUUCUUACGAACAGCUUCUAUUUUCUCUUCAUUGUUCAUGUCCUCGAAAUCCUUUUCCUAAAGCAAAAAUUGAACCAACGUAUAAAUGCAUAAAGAAAGUCGCAAUGGUAUCCAACAAGUACAUAUAUUUUGAUAGACGGAAGUCAGAAAACAGAAUGAGGAUAAAAAAAAAACAUAGAUUUUUUUUUAAAAAGGUUCAUUGGAAAGUGUAACCUUUAACUAUGCUAUCCAAUUGAAAAGAAAAGGAAAAAAAAAAAAAAAAAUCAGCUUUGUAAAUUAACUAUAACAAACUAAGACGAUUGCAAAAGCAAGGAUCUUAUUUAUGUCAAGAAUUUCAAUUUAGGUUAGACAAUCUUGUUAAAUAAUAUAAUUUUAAUAAUCAACAUUGAAUCAAGUUAUUUAUUUACCUUUACAAAUGAUGCUAGCUCGACCUCAUAACACAAGGUUGAAUUAGGAGGAACCACUGCCAAUUCCUGCCGAGACUCUGAUGAACCAAAAGCAUAUUGUGGCGGAAUAGUCAACAAACAGAAACGCAAACGUCUUCUCCCCCCUAACUGCAAUUUCAUCUCCCCUUUGCCCAUGGCCGCUUGAAUCCGACAAGCUGUCAUCGAAUCUGAAACCGCCGCCCAAUCCGAACAAGACUAACAACUUCGCUGCCGCCAAUCACCCUCUCUGCCUAGAUAUUCGUUCCAUAUUGCUAUUUUCCUUUCUCCUCGACAAUGUUUCCUCUUUUUCUACCUUCUCGUCUUUCUCGCAAGGUUUUUACUAGGUUUAAAGGGCGUGGGUUCUCAUCAUCAUCUUCUUCUUCUCCUCCCGAGGUUUCAGUAUGGUGGCACCUUGACAGCUGUCCCGUGCCCUCAGGGUUUAGCUUUUCCAAGGUAGCACCUUCAAUUACGGCAGCCGUUAGAGCUAACGGAAUUAUGGGUACAAUUCAUAUUCACGCUUAUGGUGAUGUCGACAAAGAGGCUUUUAAUUCAACCAACAUUACUCUACACUCCUUUUCCGACGAUUACCCUUUUGGCAUUCACAAAAGAUAUAAGGGUUCGUUCCUUUCUCUCUCUCUCUCUCUUUUGUUUUGAUUUUUGUGUUAAUACUUCAUUUUCUUUGUAAAAUUUUAGUUGUCAUAUAGAUAACACAACUCUUUCAAAUAAUAAAUAACAACUAUAUUGUUGCAGAUACAAAGAACAAUACCUAUAAGCAUUUUCUUAUGGAUCUCAAUGACUGGGUUUCCACAAAUCCUCCACCACUACACCUGUUUUUGAUAUUUGGUAAUAGAGACUUUUCUAGCAGUGGCAUAUUGCACCGGUUAAGAAUGUGCAACUACAAUAUCUUGCUUGCAUGUCCCGGAAGGGCUUAUGUUGCUGCUCUCUGCCAUGCAGCAACUAUAAUGUGGGAGUGGUCUUCCAUGCUCAAGGGGGAUGACCUUACAGGAAAACAUUUCAACUAUCCUCCUGAUGGUCCCACUUAUUCAUGGUAUGAAAACUCAAAUGUGCCUCUUGAAAACCCCUUCUCAGUUGUUGAGUUACACACAUCUUCACAAAAUUCGGAGGAGGAGAUAUACAAACCUACCUUGGACAUAAAGUUAAGUCAAGCUUCAAAAUCAUUUUCUAGCCAGGUUAUGAAAAUAUUGUGUUCGCAUCCAAAUGGGAUCUCCAUAGGAGAUCUUCGUGCAGAGUUGACAAACUGUGAUAUGCCUUUGGUUAAACGUUUCUAUGGAAAUAAAAAGUUUUCCAACUUCCUAAUAUCUAUGUCAUAUGUACAACUCCAGUAUUUAGGAGGAGAUAAUUUUUGGGUUUGUUUGGUCCCAUCAACGACAUCUGCUGUUAAGAAUAACCAGAACGAUGGUGCCGCAACUCAAAAGUUGCCCAAUGACGGUAAAAAUAUGGAUAGAAGUGCAGACGGGGUUCCCAAAAUAUCCUCAUCGUGUGUUAACAGCGAGGGUGAUGAUUUAAAAUCAUUCCAAUCUAUCCCUUCACAAGGAAAACCUCUCGGGGAAUACGCUGAUGGUAAAUCAUCAACUCCUUUGUUCAUGGACAGUAUUGUGCAUCAGCCUCCAAAUGAGUUGCAGAAAAAAUCUUUGGAGUUGGAUGUGGCCUGUGCACCAUUGCCGCAGAUUCAACUUCUUCCAAAUGACAACAAUAUUUCCAAAAAAUCUGACAAUGACGUUGUUAAGUCUGAUGAUGGAAAUCCUGAAAUCCUUGAAAAAAUAAUCCCUUCACAGAAUCCGUCUACUUCUAAUGAUUGCACCAUAUUGGAAAACAACCAUGAGAUUCCAACUAGAAAGGAGGUUGAUGAAGUUUGUCGUAGCCCAUUUACUUCAACUUUCUGUAGUUGGAUUAGUAGUUGGUGGACAUUUUGGAAAAGCAAUGCUAAGUCCGAAAUAGACCAUAGUGCUAGUCAUUUUGAAGAGCCCAAGUCAUCAGAACUGCAACAGGAUCUUAGUCAUCCUCUGCAACCUCAUUGGGAUAACUUUAAAUUUAGGGUUGCAGUAUGGUGGGACUUUGACAGCUGUGGCGUCCCCUCCGGCAUUAGCUUUUUGAAUGUAGCACCUUCAAUUAUGGGAGUUCUUAGAGCCAACGGGAUUAAGGGCCCAAUUCAUAUUGACGCUUAUGGGACAAGAAGCAUUUUUCCAAUCUGGCAUUGUUCUCCACCACAUUCCAGGUUCUUUUUUCUUACCUUAUAUCUAAAACUAUUACCAUCUUCAUUUUCAGUUCUAUUGUUUUUCUUUCUUUACCAGAAAUUAAGGGGUGUAUUGGUUUUGGAUUUUAUAGGACUGUUUUAUUAGGAAAAAAGUCCAAUAGAUUUUAAAAGACUUUGGAGAAAUUUCCCGAGUUUAAUGAUUCCGCCGAGCUUUCAAAACAUUUUUGUUUCGAUUUUACAGGCGUAAAAAGAUUAUUAUGGCAUAACCCAAUUACAUCAAAAGAAACUUCAUCAAAAAAAAUUAAGAGAAAACUUAUUAAGAUUAUUAUUGCAAUAGGAUUUUACUUCUUUUUUUUUUUAUUUAUAUUUUUUAUGUGAUCUCCUUAUACUUUUUGUUUUUCAGUUUUUGUUAUCAUUGAUCAUUAUCUCUAUAUGAUUACAAUACCAAGGGUAAAAAUAAUGAGAGCACCUAACAAAGUUUGCUGAUAGCGAGAUUAAGAAAUUGAGAGCAGAGUCAAGAGUUGUAAAAGAGCAGUUGCUGAUCACAUUUUUUGCAAUACAUAGGAUAGGAGUUAUAAUGAUGGAUAAACUUUGAGUAUAAAAAGGAAGAGAGAGAUAGAAAUACUCACUUGAAGAGGUCUACAAGCAGGGAAUGAUAGAGUUUAAAAGUCCCAUGAGUUUAGGUGGGAUUGUUUGCUGGGUGUAGUGUUUAUAGAUUGUACUUGUUGAAUAAGAGAAAAAAGAGAGACAUAUGCUAAAAACUAUGUCUGAAUAACACUACGGAAGGUCUAUUAUAUAGGAGAUUACAAAAGGAAUAUUCUACGUAAUAUUUUAUCCUAAAGUAAGCUAGAAUAUAUUUACAAUGUAAAUACAAUUGUUUACUAUUUAAUUAAAUAUUAACGGUACUAAAAAGUCUUAUACAAAAUCUAUUUAGUAAAGUAAUUCCUCAAAAUCUGUGUUUUCUUUCUUUCUUUCUUUCUAAUACCGACGGAUUCUAUUUUAAGUUGUAAAAAGUCUCGAAUACAAUUGAGUUUUGUGAAACUCUCUUUAAAAAAUCUUGAAAAUCCAAAUUGAAUAUCAUAAGAUUUUUUAUAUUAUAUAAAAGUCCUGAUUAAAUACCGCAAGAUUAUUUUGUCCAAAAAAGUUUUUUAAAACUCCAUUCUAAUACACCCAUAUCAAGAAUCAAUUUUUGAAAUGUUGAACAUUGCUCUUUAGUUAUCACAAUUAGAUAGACGACUCUUUUGUAUUUUGAAUGUAGUGUCCUUGUUUGUUAUGGAGCUUGGUUCUUAUGGUUUGAGAUGGAUGUGCAGCUAACAAAUCAGUUUUAGAAUCUUGUCCAUACCGACGACUUGCUGAAAUGUAUCAUUCAAUCUUAUCUACUUUAUCUUUUAAAAUAAUAAUGACCUUUAACUACUCUGUUACAGGUGGAAAGAACAAGAGCAAAUGCUUUGCGGAUUGGUUUUCUCAAAAUCCCUCCUCACCCAUGCACCUCUUUUUGAUAUCUGGUGAUAAAGACAUAAACUUCUCCUGCAUAUUGCUUCGAAACUAUCAUAGGAGGAACUUUCAUAGGAGGAACGAGAACCUCUUGCUUGCAUGUCCAGGAAAGGCUGAAGAUUAUGUCAGCAGAAGAGCAUUUAUAGUAUGGCGGUGGUCUUCAGUGCUCAAGGGGAAAUAUCUUACUGGAAAAUAUUUCUGUUAUCCUCCUGAGUGGUAUGUUAAGGCGCGGGUGCCUCUUGAAUAUCCUCCAGAGUGGUAUAGAAACUGGAAGGUGCGUCCUAAAAAUCCCUUCUUAGCUGCUGAGGAGCCCACAUCUUCACAAAAUGCAGAGAUCCAUAUACCUUCCUCGUUUUCUCGUGAAGGUCAAAGGGUGUGGUAUAGGCCGGUUAGGGAGGUAUUGAGUUCGUACCCGAACGGAAUCCCCGUCGGAGAACUUAAGAUGAGAUUGGGUAUUUCUGGUGAUACUAAAAUGUUUUCCCAAGUGAUAGCAUCUAUACCACAAGUGCAACUCUUGUAUAUAGGAGAUGAUAAUUUUUGUGUACGUUUGAUCCCAUCAACAACAUCUACCGUUAAGAAGAAGAAGCAGAGGGUUGCUGAUCAUUCAGAAAUGCGUGAGUUAUUUUCUACUGAUUCUUUUGGGGAUGAUGUGGAAACUUUUGUUUUCUCAUCUAGAGGAUCACGUCUUAUUUCCCGAUCAAGAAGCAGGUUUGCUAGUUUUGUAGUUCUUUUCUUCAUAACUAUCCCUUUCGCUAUGCAAUAUUUUUUAUGAUCAUUAUGUAGCUACUUGUUGAAGGAAUAAUUCAAUAGUAAUAAUUUGCUACAUGUUUUUUAUGUUGUCAGGGAGGAUCUGGCUCAUAGAUUACAAAGGCAUGGACCCAUGAUUUUUAUGUCUCUCACCGAAAAUGAAAUCCUUCAAUUGGUGGAAUUGUUGAUAACAAAGUUGAAAUGGUUGAAGGAAAGCCCUUCAGAAGUAUUUCCUUUUAUUCUAACUCAAUCUGUUGGGCUAACUAUGCCCUAACUAUGCCUACUUUAUAGGUGAAAGAGCUGCUAAUUGAUGGCACAUGGCGCAGAAUUCUUGAGAUCCGUCUUUCUCAUCCUCUCCCUCUGCUUAGCGAGCCCGAUAAGUUAGAGGACUAAAGGAUCAAUUAAACCAAUAAGAUACUACGUUCCUUAAAGCAAGAUUUAAGUACUUUAGCUUUGAAUUAAACUUUGUAACAAGUUUAAGAACUUGUUCUGCAUUAAAGGCUAUAGCCCAAUAUAUGAAAAUAAAUCGUAAGAAUAGGUAUAAAAAACCCUUUCGAAUUUGAAUGAGAAUUAAAUAUUAGUUGUCCAAUCCUUAUAUUUAUUCUGUUCCUGCCCCUUAGUCUUUUACUAAUGUUUUGUUCAAAUAUAUUGCAUUUCUGAUUUAAUUAGUCAUUUUCUACAAAUGCUAGAUAUCGUAUUUUUCGUGAGCUUCUUUAGAAUGCAAAACAAGAAGAGUAUCAUUUUACCCUACUGUAAAAUCAUGCAUUCCUCUUGGGUUACAUCUUACAUGUAAGAUGUUUUUGGCUUAAAUGCAAUUUUGGUCUCCAUAUUUUCAUAAUUGUUAACUUUUGAUGCCCUUCUUUUCAAAAUUUGAUAAUGGAAGAGUGUGUGAAGUAUGUAUAAGAAAAGCUUCGUCUCUCCAACAAACAUGUUCUCUCAAAAAUGUCUAAAUUUUAUAAACGAGGUGACCAAAUUGAAAAUUGAUUUUUUUUUCAUCGUCAAUAUUUUUUUUUUUCUUCUUAUAAAUAUUUCUAACAACAUUAUUGGGACACCCAUUAUUGGUGUUCCACGAGUCAGCCUAUGUAAAUAAGUGAUUUACAUCGUCAAUACAUAGAAAUUAAACACUUGAUGGAAUAUUACAAGUCCUUUAGAAAAUACUAUAAACUCACAAGUCCAAGUUACUCUAGAAACAUCAACACAUUUGCGUCAAGAAAAAAACAAACAUCAACACACAAUUCACAUCAUAUGUACCAUCUUUGGCCCGAAUUUCUCCAUGCUCAAUAAAUGUACAAGAUUAGAUGCGAAGACAAUUUAAAUAAGGAAAUGUUAAGAGUGCCCCCGGGCACUCUUUAAGCACUUUAAAUACUACCUCCGUUCCUUUUUAAUUGUCACAUUUUAACAUUUUACACAAACCAAGACAAUCAAUAAAUGUUGCUACUUUUGAUACAAUAAUUUCUAUUUUUACUUUAAUAACCUUAUUUAUUUAAUAUCUCAUUACAUAUAUUUCUCUCUCCACAAUAAUAAAUAAGGGUAAUAUUAGUAAAGUAACAUUUAAUGUUGCAUUGAACUAUGUAAAGUGACACUUAAAUAGGAACAAAAAAAUUCUCCAAAAGAGACACUUAAAAAGGAACGGAGGGAGUAGUAAGUUUUUAAUGAAACGUUGUGCAUUGAAUGAAUGCAUUGGAAAUUAUAAUAGUUAACUUUUUAAAAAAAUAAUUACUAAAUAUGGGAUGCUUAAGAAUGACUUGAGGGCACUCGUUAACGAGACCCUUUAAAUAAACCAUCCAUUUUUUGACUUCAACUUGACAUCAUAUGCAAAUGCCAGGACAAUUCUUGGACUGUUUCCUCCUGCAUGAAAGUUUCCUGUUCGCAGCCAACGUUUUAGUGUCUAUGCGCUUUAAGUUGAGAUCCUGCUUGUUCAUCGUGUAAAACAAAGUUACUGAUUAUUACUCCUAUUAAACAAGAGAUGUGAUUUUCUAUAAGAUGGGAGACAGCAGCCAUACCUUAAAAUAUUUAUUUGCCCGUUCAUAAUCUUUCAAUUCCAUCAAGCACGAUGUAUUGCCCAGAUUACAAGAAAACCUCAAGCUAACAAUUUCCCUAUCCUCAUCGGGAAAGGAAGUUUCAUACUUUAUAAACUUCAGAGCCUGCAUUACGGUUUCAGUUUCAGAAAAGAUACCUGAUAGAACCCGCAGAAUGAACAAGGUAAUUUUGUAUAUUACUAUCAAAUGAUAAAUAUGAGUGUAGAGGCUCUACAAGGGUGGAAUAACAGAAUGAAAUAGAUAAACCAGAGUCAAAGACUCCUAAAGAGAGCACUAUGCUCCUAACUAGAGAAACUCUAGUAACCAACUCUAACAAUACUUCAGAAUGCCUUCUCCACUACCCAUCCCCUCUCUUUUAUCUCCCUACUCACAUGAGAUUGGUGCACAAGUCACUAACCUACGCGUGUCACGGUGUCCAACACUCGUACGACACUUGUCAGACAAGUGUACUAAAUAAAUAUUUUUCUCCUUUAUUUUGACACUCCUUGGACUGGUACCCAACACCUCUAUAAAACUUAUACUCCAUGAGGCAUGUCAGACAACUCAAACAAAUGUCUGAUUUUUUUUUUCUAUGCUUCCACACAUAGUAUAUUCAAGAGUUAAAGACGUGCGGAAAAUGUUGAUCAACGAAGGGCUAUAAAGUUGAAUACAACGUUUUUAAAUUUUUCGAUAGUAGAUGGAUAAAUAAAGGCCAAAUACUAUUGUAUCUUGUUAUAGACCUUUUUUUAAUGAAAUAAAUUGCUCAAGUAAGAUACAUACGUGAUUCUCAAUUUAGAUCUUUCAUAAAUAAAUUAGUAUACAAGUAGCAGUGUCGGUGUCCUAUGUUUUUUUUACAUUAGUGGUGUCAACGUGUCAGUGUCGGUGCUGUGUCAGAUGUCUGUGUCGGAGUCGCUAACUAACUUAUUAUCUCACUAGCCCUACCUUCCUUCCCCUCAUGCACUCCUAGAUGUUGGGCUUAUGCAGAUUUGUCCUAAUGCUUAGCUCACCAAUGGACCAUAGGCUUAAGUGACCUAUCGCAUUGUAGAUGGUGAAAUAUACUCCCUCCGGUCCUAUUUAUAAGAGAAUUUUGGGUCAACAAAAGUUGAUGUAUCUAGUUAAAAAUUCAGUCCAAAUACAUUCACUUUUGUUGACCUAAAUUUCUCUUAUAAAUAGGACCGGAGGUAGUAUUAAUGUAACCUUGUUAAUUACCUUCUGAAAUCUUUUAGAAGCUCUUGCAUAUUCAGCAGCAUAAACUAAUGCUAGGCCUUCUUGUCACUUCUCACGAGCAGCUUCUAUCUUCUCUUCAGUGUUCAUGUCCGAUACCUCCUUAGCCUAAAGCAAACAAUGAACCAAGGUAUAAAUGCAUAAAGAAAGUUGCAAUGGUAUCCAACCAUUAAUUAUUUGAGAGACAGAACUCAAUGAAAAAACACUUUUAUUUAUUUAUUGAAAAGUGUAAAGUGUAACACUGCUAACCAAUGCUACAUUAUUUCUAAGGAACCUUAACCAUAAGAGCCCCGUAAACACAGUUAAGCAUUUGGCUUUUUUUUUUUUUUGGGGCUGGAGUUCAAACCCCGGUCACGGCGUCCAGCCUAGCAAUUUGGACAUUCUUGCUAGACCAGGAUGAUGGCAACCAAACAACAAUCAUAUUUAUGUCAAGAAAUUCAAUUUAGGUUUGACAAUAGAUACUGAUUAUAAAUAAUGAACAAAGAAAUGAAAAACGGUACAAAAAUGACAAGAAAAAAAUACCAGACUUGGCAAUUGAAGUAAGUAGAAUAAAACUAAAAGGCAGAUCUCUGCUUUGUUAAACACCGGCUGCUAGUGUUCCUUUUCAAUAAUAGAAUUUUAAAAAACAGCAAUGAAAUAUGUCACAAUGCACAAUUGCUAAUUAUCAUCAAGUUAUUUAUUUACCUUUACGAACGAUACUAGCUCAACCUCAUAAUACGGUUGAAUUAGGAGGAACCACUGCCAAUUCCUGCUGAGACUCUGAUGAACCAAAAGCAUAUUCAGGCGUAAUAGUCAACAAAGCUACCUCACCCUUCUUCAUGGUCAGUACAGCUUUAUCAAGCCCAUCAAUCACUUGCUCUGCUCAAUACAAAAAGCAUUCACUUUAUUUGAUUUAAAAACAAAUGAUGGUGAGAGGGUGAAACAUUGGGAAAAUUAAAAUUACCCUCGUCUGUUUUAAAUUCAAACAGAUCCGCUUCAUCAUCAUCACCAUCAUUAUAUCCCUUGUUCAAAAAUACAGUGCCAUCUUGCAGCUUACCAAUUAGUUUUACUACAAAAAUGCAAAAUGAGGAGAUAACACAUCAGAACCGAUGCACUAAAUCCAUUAAAAAAGAGAGCCAUCAUAUCAUAAUAUAUUAGCAAUCAAUCAAUGAUGAAUGAUGAUUUACAUUUCACAAGAGCUCCCUCAUUUGGACGGUACGUCAGCUCCUUCUCCUUCCUUGAGAAGCUGCUUAUGAAAAGUUGCUUUGUUCCAAGAAACUAACCUGAGAGUGAUCUGCAAUGUUGCGUUAGGUGGAACUGAAGCUUCAUCAUGGUGAGCUGGCCUGCCCUUGUCACCAAAUCCAUCUAUAACAGAAUACGAGGAUUUCUAGUUAUGUUCCGUUCUCAAAGAGUAGUGAUGCUUGUUUUGCAAAACUUGUUUAGUUAAUUUCUAGACUACUUACAUUGUGGCUUAACAGUUAAAAUGACUUUUUCUCCGAUCUUCAUGGUCCUAACAGCGAUUGACAAUGCAGGACAAAAAUGACCUAUGAGAUGGCGUAAAAGAAUGUAAGAUCGACCCGGAAAAGGAAAAUACAAGAGAGUAGUAUGUAUAAUAAAACUUGUAGGCAGUGACUGAACGACUAACUGACCAUUGUUGAGUUUGAACUCCACUCCAUCAUCAUCAGAUUUUCUAACAAGAGUUCCAUCAUCAAGACGUGCUUCGUACUUAACUGCAAAGCAAUAACACCAAUUAAGAUCCAGAAAAUGAGAAAAUAAAAAAUGAAAUAUGAUCAUGAAUGUAUAUAUUUAUACCUAAAACAUAAUCAUAAUCAUCAACAUGUUGAUAUUUGUCAUCCCUGGGCUUGAGUAUCUUCUUUACCAAACCUCCAUCCUUACAAAUAUCCUCCGGAUUAGUAUAUUUAACUUUCUUCUUGUAUUUGCUGAGUGGAAUGAUAUAUCUAGCUGGCCAAAUGAAUGGUAACAAUAUCAAUCAAUUCAAUAAAUUGAAUGGCACAAGAAAAUAAAAACCUUCAUCUAAUUAAUUGUAUUUGAGAAUAGUAUUACCAUCAUAUUCAUCAGCAGUAGGAGCAGCAGCUUUCUUCUUGUAUUGAAUCAAAUCCCAUUGUGUGAUGUGUGUCCGUAUAAAUUCAAUAAAUUAAAUGAUUUAAAUCAAUUUAAAAUAAUACAAAAUAAACAAAAACCAACCAAUCAUAACGUUUGUUUAAUAAACUCACUCACUUUUUCCAUACGUAAGUUCAUCAAAUUGAUUGUUAGCGCCGCCGCUAGUCAUUUCCAAAUCAAUCUUCUUUUACCAAAUUCUGGAAUAUAUAUUACAUGAGGUGUUAUGAUGUGAUACUGGAUACUUUCAAUAAAACAAAACAAGGAAUUAACAUGUUCAAUCAAAUUCGACUCUAAUUAUUCAUACUUGUCUUAAACAUAUAAGUACAAGGUACAUAACCAGAAUACAACAUAGUUCUUCACAAUGGAUAAUCAAAACACAUGUCUUAAUCAUUAAGGACAUAAUAUGAUUAUGAUAUAUAGGGAGCUACAUGAUAACUCAUAUCAGUCAACAUGAAAUUUCAUGAGAUAAAACAUAAGACACAACUAAGCUUCAAGUAAAUGGCCUUCUCCUUCCCUUUUGAUACUUGCAGUUCAUAUGAAAUAAAACGUAAAACUAUUGGGAUAAAAUUACAUCUCAGUAAAUUCCUUACUAAAACCCAAAUCAGUCUAAUUCCUGACUAACUACAUUGUAGUCUUCACUAACACAAUUAAUCAAUAUGUAUUCAAGUGAUAUAUGAAAAUUGUAAAUGUGUAUCAUAGAAUAUAUAAUCUUGUCAAUUUUAACUCCGGAUACCCUAAGAGCGAAUAAUCACAGGGUCCCCGCCAACCGGGUGGAAUCAAACCCUUUAUGGUGUAUUUCCCUCACAAUUAUUAUUAAUCAUAGAAGAUAAACUUUCUUGAUUAAUAUAAACACUUCUCAUUAUUCAAAUUCUAGCAUAUUUGUAUAACUUACUACGUACCUUGAUUUACUUUCAAGUAGUCAUAUCUAGUUCAUAUUAGAAUUUCGACGUACCUGCUUAAGUUUUCUACUCAUUGUAGUUACUUACCUAAUCCCUAAGUCUCUAAACUUAUCAUAACAAAGUUUCUACUAAUAAACUAAGAAUUUCCUUUAUACUCAUACACUUUAUACAGGGAAUCAAGCUUAUUGAUAUGAUGAAACCCUAAAUAUUCAUAAAUCAUUAUUAGGAGGUUUGAAAUUUAUCUACAUUCCAAAUAAGUGACAUGUCAUUCAUUUAAUACUCAUAUUCAUUUAAACCCUAAUACCCAGUUCAAAUUUAAGGAACUUACUUGAUAUUGAAGAAGAUGAAUGAAUAUGAGAAAACCCAAGUAUUUGAUUAUAGGUUUCAAAACCCUUGAUUUCACAAUUUCCUCCUUUUCUUCUUACUAAAAAGAGCAGAGAGAGGGGUUGAAAAAGGAGAGAAAGGAGGGAAUUCUGAAAACAUAGGUUUCUUUCUACGGAAUUUAUUCAGUGACUUAAUAUCGGCAGUGACGGAGUCAGGAAAAAAAAGCUUGGGUCGGCCAUAAAUAUUGAUGGAGCUUGAUUUUCUUAUAACUAUAUUUUAUCAUUUUUUUUAAAGGAACUAUAUUUUAUCAUUGGUUAGUUUGAAUAACUAUAGACUUGUUAUUUGUUGAAUAUAGUUCAAGCUAGCAUUUUAAAAUCUGAGUCGAUUAUCAAUCCAGACAAAAUACAAGAUAAUUGAUCGAACAACUAGGUCAUCGAUUGAACCUCACGACUGAAUUGAAUAACUCGCCUUCAUAAACAGACGACUAGUAUUAAAUCAAAUUGAAUCAAACGACUGAGUCAAAAAAAAGUUAAAAUAAAACUCAUGGCAUAUAGUGAUGUAAAAAAUAACAUUACAUAAGAAAGUAUACUUAUAAUCAAGUACAAUAAUGAAAUAUAUAUUUAAUUUAAUGAAGAAUAUAGUUUUUUUUUACCUAAAAAAUAGUGUUUAUACAAUUAAAUAUUUUUAUGAUAUCAUAUUUUUUUAAGGGUAUUUUAAUGUUUAUGUUAUAUGUUAUAAAAGUUAGUUGAGGUCCUCUUUUGAAUAAAAAAUAUGCUAUAUGUUUUAAAAAAGAUUUUUUUUAAAUAGAAUAAAGGAGUUAUGUUUUAUCAACAAUUAUGAAUUUUAAGUUUAGACUUUGCAUUCCCUAAAAAAAAAAAAAAAUUUAGACUUUGCAAUUUGGUUUGGGCAGGAGUUGAACCAAGCACAAAAAGCUUGCCAAAAGGGGGACCAAGUGAAAUAUUCCUUUUUGAAGGAAGAAAGUGAAAUAUUAAAAACAUAACAAAUCUUAUUUCAAUUAUUAUUAUUAUUUUUUAAAAAGUAACAAAUCUUUUUUUAAAAGAAACAAAUUUUUUCACGCUUAUAAAUAACAACAAAUCCUAUUUCUCAAUAAAUUGAUCACACAAGUUUCUAUUUUCAACUAAGUUUCUUCUUCUUUCGAUUCUGAACUCUUAAACCCUCAAAAUCCAAAACCACCGUUUCGCACAACCAUCGCCACCGUGAACCACCUUCAACCCAAAUUCCUAAUCGUUUCGAAGAACAAUCGCCACCGUCAACCCAAAACGCUUCGAACAACCACCGUCAUGUCGAACAACAACCACCAUGUUUCACCACCGGGAACCACCAUCCCUCACUUUCCUCCGCCACCGUCCGAUUCAGAAUCACUUCUCGACGAGAGAGCUAGAAAAUGGAAGAAACUGAACUCAAAUCGUUACUGCGAUAGUCGAAAGUUAGGGUUCAUCGAAUCUCAGAAAGAACUCAUGCCACCGGAACACGUUCGAAAAAUCAUCCGCGAUCACGGUGAUAUGUCAUCAACGAAAUUCCGUCACGAUAAGCGAGUUUAUCUCGGAGCACUGAAAUUCGUACCGCAUGCUAUUUAUAAGCUUCUGGAAAAUAUGCCAAUGCCAUGGGAGCAAGUUCGAGAUGUUAAAGUUCUGUAUCAUGUUUCUGGUGCUAUUACAUUUGUGAAUGAAAUUCCGCUUGUUAUUGAACCAAUUUACAUCGCUCAAUGGAGUACAAUGUGGAUUAUGAUGCGGAGAGAGAAGCGUGAUCGACGAUGUUUUAAGAGGAUGAGGUUCCCACCGUUUGAUGAUGAGGAGCCUGUGAUUGAUUAUGCUGAUAAUCUGUUGGAAGUUGAACCGCUCGAAGCAAUUCACCUUGAGUUAGAUGAAGAGGAGGAUGGUCCUGUGUUUGAUUGGUUUUAUGAUCAUAAGCCACUCGUGAAAACUAAAUUUGUUAAUGGGCUGAGUUAUCGAAAAUGGUGUCUUCCGAUUCCGGUGAUGGAAACUUUGCAUAGGCUUGCUGGGCAGCUUUUGUCUGAUUUGUGUGAUAGGAAUUAUUUCUAUUUGUUUGAUGUGGAGUCCUUUUUUACAGCUAAGGCUUUGAAUAUGUGUAUACCUGGUGGGCCGAAGUUUGAGCCUCUGUAUCGUGACGCGGAGAAAGGAGAUGAAGAUUGGAAUGAGUUUAAUGACAUUCACAAACUUAUUAUAAGGUCAAAACUUAGGACUGAGUAUAGGAUUGCUUUUCCGCAUCUUUAUAACGAUAGGCCGAGGAAAGUAAGGCUUGGUGUUUACCAUACUCCCAUGGUUGUGUAUGUGAAGGCUGAUGAUCCUGAUUUACCUGCAUUUUAUUAUGAUCCCUUGAUACACCCGAUAGCUGGUGCUGGUAACAAAGAGCGGUGCGAGAUGGAAAUCUGCAAUGAGGAUGAUGAUGACUGGAUUUUGCCUGAUGGUGUGGAACCUUUUCUCAAAGAUGUGGAGCUUUAUACCGACACUACCACUGAUGGAAUGUCAUUGCUUUUUGCUCCCCGUCCUUUUAACAUGAGAUCGGGCCGAAUGAGGCGUGCAGAAGACAUUCCUCUUGUGUCAGAAUGGUACAAGGAGCAUUGUCCUCCAUCGUAUCCGGUUAAAGUGAGGGUUAGUUAUCAAAAGUUGCUCAAGUGUUUUGUGUUGAAUGAACUGCAUCAUAGACCUCCUAAGCCUCAACAAAAGAAGAACUUAUUCAGAUCACUUCAAGCGACAAAGUUUUUCCAGACCACAGAACUUGAUUGGGUUGAAGCAGGUCUUCAAGUUUGUAAGCAGGGGUACAACAUGUUGAAUCUGUUGAUACACAGGAAAAAUUUGAACUACCUUCACCUUGAUUAUAAUUUUAAUUUGAAGCCUGUCAAAACCUUGACUACAAAAGAGCGUAAGAAAUCACGAUUUGGUAAUGCUUUUCAUCUCUGUCGUGAGAUCCUUCGUUUGACGAAACUUGUGGUGGAUGCCAAUGUUCAGUAUCGCUUGGGUAAUGUUGAUGCUUUUCAGCUGGCGGAUGGCCUCCAAUAUACUUUCUCUCAUGUUGGUCAAUUGACCGGUAUGUAUCGAUACAAGUAUAGGCUUUUGCGACAAAUAAGAAUGUGCAAAGACUUGAAACACUUGAUUUACUACCGUUUUAACACUGGCCCUGUCGGGAAGGGACCCGGUUGUGGGUUUUGGGCACCGAUGUGGAGGGUUUGGUUAUUCUUUCUUCGUGGUAUUGUGCCCCUUCUUGAACGAUGGCUUGGAAAUUUACUGGCACGACAGUUUGAGGGACGCCACUCUAAAGGAGUGGCGAAGACCGUAACUAAGCAACGUGUUGAAAGCCAUUUUGACUUGGAGCUUCGGGCAGCUGUUAUUCACGAUGUGGUUGAUGCCAUCCCGGAGGGUAUGAAGGAGACCAAGUCAAGAGUUAUAUUGCAGCAUUUGAGUGAAGCAUGGCGAUGCUGGAAGGCAAAUAUUCCUUGGAAGGUCCCUGGUAUGGCUGUUCCAAUAGAGAAUAUGAUCCUUCGAUAUGUGAAAUCAAAAGCAGAUUGGUGGACAAAUGUCACCCAUUAUAAUCGUGAGCGUAUAAGAAGAGGAGCAACUGUUGAUAAGACUGUUUGUCGCAAGAAUCUUGGAAGAAUGACUCGUCUUUGGCUGAUGGCAGAGCAGGAGCGCCAAUGCAAUUAUUCAAAAGAUGGCCCAUAUGUUACUCCUGAAGACGGUGUUACUAUUUAUACAACUAUAGUCCAUUGGUUAGAAUCUCGGAAGUUCUCCCAUAUUCCAUUUCCACCUCUAUCAUACAAGCAUGAUACAAAGCUGCUUAUCCUUGCACUUGAGAGGUUGAAGGAAUCCUACAGUGGUUCAGCAAGAUUAAAUCAAUUUCAAAGAGAAGAGUUGGGGCUGAUUGAACAAGCUUAUGACAAUCCACACGAGGCAUUAUCACGAAUCAAACGACACCUCCUCACCCAACGUGCAUUCAAAGAAGUUGGAAUAGAGUUUAUGGAUUUAUAUGGUUACUUGAUUCCGGUUUACGAAAUAGAGCCUCUGGAGAAAAUUACAGAUGCAUAUCUUGAUCAAUAUCUGUGGUAUGAAGGGGACAAACGUCAUCUAUUUCCUAACUGGAUCAAGCCAGCAGAUUCAGAGCCACCACCUCUUUUAGUUUACAAAUGGUGUCAAGGUAUAAAUAAUUUGGAAGGCAUCUGGGACACCAGUGAUGGUCACUGCGUUGUGAUGUUGCAGACCAAAUUUGAGAAGUUUUUCGAGAAGAUUGAUAUACUAAUGUUAAAUAGGCUUCUCCGUUUGGUUCUAGACCACAACAUUGCUGAUUAUAUCACUGCAAAAAACAAUGUUGUGUUGUCAUACAAGGAUAUGAGCCACACGAAUAAAUAUGGUCUUAUACGUGGACUACAGUUUGCCUCCUUUGUUGCUCAGUAUUAUGGCCUGAUAUUGGAUCUCUUGCUUCUUGGAUUGACUCGAGCGAGAGAGAUUGCUGGUCCGCCGCAGAUGCCUAACGAGUUCAUUACUUAUUGGGACACUAAAGUUGAGACCAGGCAUCCAAUUAGGCUGCAUUCCCGGUACAUAGAUAAAGUUUAUAUGUUAUUUCGUUUCACACAUGAGGAGGCUCGGGAUCUCAUUCAGAAAUAUCUCACUGAACACCCUGAUCCUAACAAUGAGAACAUGGUGGGGUACAAUAAUAAGAAGUGCUGGCCAAGAGAUGCAAGAAUGAGGCUCAUGAAGCAUGAUGUCAAUCUUGGGAGGAGUGUCUUUUGGGAUAUGAAAAACCGUCUUCCUCGAAGCAUCACAACACUGGAAUGGGAAAACAGCUUCGUUUCUGUUUACAGCAAAGAUAAUCCAAACUUGCUUUUUAGCAUGUGUGGAUUUGAAGUGCGGAUACUUCCUAAAAUUAGAACGACUCAAGAAGCAUUCGGUAACACAAGAGAUGGUGUUUGGAAUCUCCAGAAUGAACAAACCAAAGAAAGGACAGCUACUGCUUUCUUAAGAGUUGAUGAUGAACAGAUUAAAAUGUUUGAGAAUCGUGUGAGGCAGAUUCUUAUGUCUUCGGGUUCUACUACAUUCACAAAAAUUGUCAAUAAGUGGAAUACAGCUUUAAUAGGACUCAUGACUUACUUCCGAGAGGCAACUGUACAUACUCAAGAGUUGUUGGAUUUGCUUGUCAAAUGUGAAAAUAAAAUUCAGACCCGUAUCAAGAUAGGACUCAACUCAAAGAUGCCUAGCAGAUUUCCGCCUGUCAUUUUCUACUCGCCCAAGGAAGUUGGAGGACUUGGGAUGUUGUCUAUGGGUCACAUUUUGAUUCCACAAAGUGAUAUACGUCACAAUCAGAAGACAGAUGUUGGUGUAACCCACUUCAGAAGUGGGAUGAGUCAUGAGGAGGGUCAGUUGAUUCCCAGCCUUCAUCGUUAUAUACAGCCCUGGGAAAGGGAGUUCAAUGAUUCACAACGUGUCUGGGCUGAAUAUGCAGUGAAAAGGCAGGUAGCACAAGCACAGAAUAGGCGCUUGACCCUUGAGGAUUUGGAAGACUCAUGGGACCAAGGGAUUCCACGUAUUAACACUUUGUUUCAGAAGGAUAGACACACUUUGGCUUAUGAUAAAGGAUGGAGGGUACGUUUAGACUUCAAGCAGUAUCAAGUUUUAAAACAAAAUCCCUUCUGGUGGACACACCAGAGGCAUGAUGGGAAGUUGUGGAACUUGAAUAAUUACCGAACUGAUGUUAUUCAAGCUCUUGGAGGAAUUGAACAAAUUCUUGAACACACUUUAUUCAAAGGAACAUAUUUUCCAACUUGGGAAGGUCUCUUCUGGGAAAAAGCAUCAGGUUUUGAGGAAUCUAUGAAGUAUAAGAAGCUCACCAAUGCACAAAGAUCUGGUCUCAACCAGAUACCCAACCGUAGAUUUACGCUUUGGUGGUCACCAACCAUUAACCGAGCCAAUGUUUAUGUUGGUUUCCAGGUGCAGCUAGAUCUGACUGGUAUUUUCAUGCAUGGGAAAAUUCCAACUUUGAAGAUAUCUCUUAUUCAGAUAUUCAGAGCUCACUUGUGGCAGAAGAUCCAUGAGAGUGUUGUCAUGGAUCUUUGUCAGGUAUUGGAUCAAGAGUUGGACGCUUUGGAGAUUGAAACUGUCCAGAAGGAAACAAUCCAUCCUAGGAAGAGUUACAAAAUGAACAGUUCUUGUGCAGACAUCCUUCUCUUUGCUGCCCACAAAUGGCCAAUGUCAAAGCCUAGUCUUGUAGCUGAAUCUAAGGAUGUUUUUGAUCAGAAGGCAAGCAAUAAGUAUUGGAUUGAUGUUCAGCUUCGAUGGGGUGAUUAUGAUUCUCACGAUAUUGAGCGUUACACCAGGGCUAAAUUUAUGGAUUACACAACAGAUAAUAUGUCUAUAUACCCAUCUCCUACUGGGGUUAUGAUUGGCCUUGAUUUGGCAUAUAACUUGCAUUCUGCAUUUGGGAACUGGUUCCCUGGAUCAAAGCCACUACUUCAGCAGGCCAUGAAUAAGAUUAUGAAGUUAAAUCCUGCAUUGUAUGUUUUGAGGGAACGAAUCAGGAAAGGUCUGCAGUUGUACUCUUCUGAGCCCACUGAACCAUAUUUGUCUUCCCAAAAUUAUGGAGAGAUAUUCAACAACCAAAUCAAAUGGUUUGUUGAUGACACUAAUGUGUAUCGCGUUACAAUUCAUAAGACUUUUGAAGGAAAUCUUACAACAAAACCCAUCAAUGGUGCCAUUUUUAUCUUCAAUCCAAGGACUGGGCAGUUGUUUCUUAAGGUUAUCCAUACGAGUGUAUGGGCCGGUCAGAAGCGUCUCGGCCAACUGGCGAAGUGGAAAACAGCAGAAGAAGUUGCUGCUCUUGUAAGGUCUUUGCCUGUAGAAGAAGAGCCAAAGCAAAUUAUUGUUACCCGUAAAGGAAUGUUGGACCCGUUGGAGGUUCACUUGUUGGAUUUCCCCAAUAUUGUUAUCAAAGGAAGUGAGCUGCAACUUCCUUUCCAAGCAUGCUUGAAAAUUGAGAAAUUUGGGGAUCUUAUUUUGAAGGCCACAGAACCACAAAUGGUUUUGUUCAACAUUUACGACGACUGGCUGAAGAGCAUUUCCUCAUACACUGCAUUCUCCAGGCUGAUUCUUAUUCUGCGUGCACUUCAUGUGAAUAAUGAAAAGGCAAAGAUGUUACUGAGGCCUGACAUAACUGCUGUCACUGAACCUCAUCACAUCUGGCCUUCUCUAAGUGAUGACCAGUGGAUGAAGGUGGAGGUUGCAUUAAGAGAUCUUAUACUUUCUGAUUAUGCAAAGAAAAACAAUGUGAAUACUUCAGCUUUGACCCAGUCUGAGAUUCGUGAUAUUAUACUUGGAGCUGAGAUUACUCCCCCUUCACAACAGCGGCAACAGAUUGCAGAGAUUGAAAAACAGGCACGCGAAGCAAAUCAGGUGACAGCUGUAACAACACAGACUACAAAUGUUCACGGUGAAGGACUGAUUGUAACCACCACUAGUCCCUAUGAGCAAGCUGCUUUUGGUUCGAAGACUGAUUGGCGUGUCAGAGCAAUAUCAGCCACAAAUUUAUACCUUCGAGUAAACCAUAUAUAUGUGAAUUCGGAGGACAUAAAGGUUUCUUCAUUUCUUUAAAUCUUGUUAAUUGUUUUUAUACUCAUUAAGUCACAACUCCUAUCAUGUUUUAACUUUGAAUUUUGCGGUGCAGGAAACGGGCUAUACUUAUAUCAUGCCAAAGAACAUUUUGAAAAAGUUUAUAUGCAUAGCAGAUCUUCGAACACAGAUUUCUGGGUAUUUGUAUGGUAUAAGUCCUCCUGACAAUCCUCAGGUUAAGGAAAUCCGGUGCAUUGUGAUGCCACCACAGUGGGGGACUCAUCAACAUGUCCAUCUCCCAUCAGAUCUGCCAGAACAUGAUUUCUUGAAUGAUUUGGAGCCUUUGGGAUGGAUGCAUACUCAACCAAAUGAAGUUCCGCAGUUGUCGCCUCAGGUUGGAUUACUUUAGUUUCAAUUGCAACUUUUUUUUUUGUUGCCUUUUUUCAAGGAAAUAUAUUAAUGAAUAGUGGUAACAUUGUCUAACCUGAGAAAUUAUCAUUGCAGGAUCUCACUUCACAUGCUAAGGUCCUAGAGAACAAUAAACAAUGGGAUGGGGAGAAGUGUAUUAUCUUGACUUGCAGUUUUACUCCGGGUUCUUGUUCUUUAACUGCAUAUAAACUAACUCCAUCUGGUUAUGAAUGGGGACGUAUUAACAAGGAUACAGGAAGCAACCCACAUGGUUAUCUUCCCACUCAUUAUGAGAAGGUUCAGAUGCUCCUCAGUGAUCGCUUCAUUGGUUUCUACAUGGUAAGCUUUACUGCUUCCUGAAGUUUUCCUACUAUUAUUUCUUCGCAUAUUUUUUAUUUUAUGUUUUAUUUCUUCGCAUAUGAUUGAAUGACAGAAAUAUAAUUAUAUUAAAUUUAUCGUAUUAUCAAGUAAUGGUUAUAUUUCUUAAUGCAAUUACAGUCUUGUUAUUAUUGUCAUUAUUAUUUUACUGAAUGUUUAAAAUUUUUUUUUUUUUUUUUUUUGUCACAAUUUCCUAGAUUCCUGAUAAUGGUCCAUGGAAUUACAACUUUAUGGGAGUGAGGCACGCAUCAGGCAUGAAGUAUGGAGUGAAGCUUGGGACCCCUAGGGAGUAUUACCAUGAAGAUCAUAGGCCAACCCAUUUCUUAGAGUUCAGCAAUAUGGAGGAAGGGGAGACAAUCGCCAAGGGAGAUCGAGAGGAUACAUUCUCUUAGAGUGUGUUUGAGUUGGAGAUUGUAAAAAGGUAAAAUACUUUUGAGGGAUUUAAAAUGAUUUGUCUUAGUUGUAGCACUAUUUCUUCAAACACUAUCAAGUGGUAUGUUGUAGCAUUGCUAUAUUGAACACUGUUCUGGAAAUUUCAACAUGUUCUAUAAUUUCUUUUUGAAUUUUUGUUGGUUGAUUCUGUUUGUGCUGAGAUCAAAGCCUUGAAGCUUUAUUAACUACUUAGUGAAAGUCAUUGAUGAGGUUACCUCUAAUUUCUCAAUUACUGGUAUUUUUGUGUAUUGGUUUUGUGCUCUGAUAUUUAGUAGGUGAAAUUGCCACUGCUUAUAUUCAGUUUCGAAGAUUGAUUGAUAAACUCAGUCAAACAUAGCUCUACUAAGUAAAUAAGAAAUCUAAUGGAAGUUAUAAUUUUCAUUUUCUCUUCAAGUGCCUGUGUGUGAAGUUUCAGCUGUAGAACAAGUUAGAAAAAACACUUACAAGGAGUACUUUUUGAAUCAAAACAUUGUAUUUCUAGCCUUAAAACCUGUUAAACUUGCUUGCAAAGUCUUCGUAUGCUUGCUGGAAUAGAAUACCUUGAUAUAUGUUAACUAGCUAUAUGUUUUUUUAGACUCUUUUUUAGUAAGUUUUAUUCACAUAUAUGUAAAUCAAAGUUUAUCUGGUUUAUCUAGCGGUUCUUAUCCAAACACCAAAUUGAUAGGGGGUUGCAAAUUACUAUUUUUCCAGUUUUCUUGUUAAAACCUAUACAUAGUUUCUUCCUUUUGUUUGUUUUAUAGAUCCACUUAAAUGAAUUCUAUCUUGGGUUAUUGACUCCACUCAUGUACAUGUUUUGAGAGUUUGAACCUCAGUCCCCAUAACUCAUUUUCAACAAUUUUAAAUUUGAUAUUCAAUUAUCUGCACAAGUCAAAAUCUUUAUCUCUUGUGGGUUUUCAAUUUCUCACUUGUUUUUGUUUCCAUGACUUACUGAAUGUAGUAGUCCUUAUUUGUAGUAUAUAGUUUCCUUGUUUAUUAGUUGUGACAAGAUAUAAGCAUAUGGAGCUAUAUUGUCUGGUCAAAGCUAGGCAGUGAUAAAGUUGUGCUUCUUGACAACUAAUGGCAGGUUGGGUGGGAUGAUAAAAUCGUCCUCCCAAAUUAUCAGUUGCUUCUGCCCAUUGGUUUAGAACCCAAUGUUGCAAAAGUUAGACUCAACAGUAAAGGGAAACUUGGAAGAAAUGUAUGCUUAUGCAUUAGUAUUGUUUCCUUUAUUGCUGAGAUUUGAUUAUAUGUAACAAAUUCUGCAUGAAUAUCAGUUAUAAUUGAAUUUGAUAUCUGACUAGAUGCUAGGAUAAUAGCUAAGUUUUUUUUUUUGUUUUUGAAAAAGGAUAAUAACCAAGUUAUAAUUACUCAAGUUCUUUCAUAGUCAAUGCAUCAACUGCUUAAGUAUAUGAUGAUAGUUAUGGGCAAUAGUUAGAUUAGGUUAGUUAUGGGAAAUAGUUAGAUUAACACGGAGAACUUCAUUGUCACCAAGUAAAUUAUAUUUGUAUGGAAACUAUAUAUAUUCAUAGUCUACCAAUCUAAAAUAAUGGUAUGGAAUAGUUAGUGGCAUGUGAAACAUAGAAACAUAGGGUAUUUUGUUUGAUAUUGUUGACGAAGAUGAAGGUAGUGGCAUGUGAAACAUGUGACCGUUACCUUCCUCUCCAGUGUCUCCAAGGAACAUUUUGUUUCCAUGAUCAUACUCCAUGAUAAUAAUUAUUACAGCCAGUAAUUUAUUCAGCUAAAUAUGCCUUUGUUGUUGAAUAUGUCAAGCUUGUUUAAUUUUUGUUGUUGGUGAUUUAUUGAAUGAAUCGGUCUAGCUAGAAGUUAGGACUGCCUUUUCUGUUUUUUUUUUUUUUUACAAGUCCAUGGUUUCAGCCUUUGUUAUAACUUAGAAGAAGCCUUUCACCCAUGGUUCAGAUUUAUUCAGACUGGUUUCAAUGGUUUAGAAUUGUGCAGUAUCUGUGUAGAGAUUCCUUUAUUUUGGUUAACAAAUCUGGAUAUAGGUUGUCGAUUGUGUUACUUACACUCCUCACUUGGAUAGUAGGUAUGUAUGUAUGUAUCUAUUUUUUGUAUACAUUUGGAUUCUUGUUGCGCAUAAAAUAACAUUUUCAAUUUCUAAUAUUUUAGCAUGGUUGGGAUGAUUGUUUUGGAGAUUGAUUCAUCUAGUUAGCGACUAACUGGUUUUGUAUAUCUCUGUAACGUAGUGGUGAAGAUGUUUGAUUACGGCUGGAUCCUUGUGGAGCUGGGACAGUCUAUAUUAGAUUAACUUUCAGUGGGGCGUUGGAUUUGGCGGCUGUUUUUGGUAACAAUGAGCUAGAAUUAUCACACACUGUUAUUUUGUUUGUACUAAAUUUACAGGUUUUGCUCAGCUAGAACUUGAAUUACAUAGUCACUGCACAUUGAGAAUGUCUCAACUAUUGUUACACUGAACUGUUAGCAAUACUUGUUGGCAAAUGGUUAGAGAAAUAAAUUUCUGUGUUAGUUUUGUUUUUUAAGUAAUCAAUGUACAACUCCUCCAAAAGUAAUCAUGUACAAUGAAUUUUUGAAUUCUUUAUUUCGCAUGAAUGGUCUCUAUUCCACUAAGCAGGAAUGACAGAACUCACAAGUGCUAAGGAUUUGAGUGCUAAACUCACCUUUCAUAUAGGAUCACGAUUCAUAUUUCUACACGGUACCAAAGGAUCAUAAUUUAACCAAUGAAUCUGUUUUUUUUGCAUAAACAAAUUUAAAGAUAAUUUUUUCACAUUUAGUUGAGGAUAAUAGAUAAUUGCAAAAAAUCAGUAAAAAAGCUUAAAAUGAACGAAAGAAUCACUUUUUAUUGUAAUUUUUACUUCCCAGAAACUCUAAUAAAAACAUUUGAGGAUAAGUAUUGAUAUUUGCGAGUGAGCUUGGUCUUGCUAAUUUCAUCCCUGAAAAUUGAUUCAAACUAUAUGCUCUUUUUAUUCAACAACGCAUCAUUAUUGCCAUCAUUUGGCAUUUGGGUUGUUGAGAGAGUCACAUCUUAAUUAGUAUGCAAACAAAUGUUAACAGAGACUAAUAACAUAAAAUAAUAUAUGUGGAGACUAAAAUCAUAUUUAAAACUUUUUUCUAUUACAUUUCUCACGUAGUUAUCAUUUACACCACAUAUCAUUCAAUCAGUACAUAUAACUCAAUAUCAUGGAGAAUCUAAAUCCUUAAUUUUCCUUUUCAAUUUUAUUUAGAAUCACUACUCAAGGACAUAAAUAUCAUUGUCUUGGUGUGGAUUCUUCCCUUUUCAACUUUGCUCUUUUUCUACAAUAUGAUGCCUCAUUUAGUCACUCAUCUAAUUUAUCUCAUCACUAUGAUCUAAUUAUGUUGUCUCGUGUAUGCAAGCCCGACUAACUCCUACAAUAGUCUCUGAGCGUGUAGCCGAAUGGUAUGAAAAAGGUUCAAAAUUCGAUCUCUACGGUUAAUAAAUUUUUUCCUCCUCCUAACAAAAUUUACUGCUAACAUUUGCCUAUAAAAGAAAAAUAAAAACCAACUCUUACAAUAUGACCAUGGUGAAAAUUACUACUUGCCCUGAAUAUGUAGCAUGUAUGCAUCAAUUCAACUAAUGUACAUCAUCAUCACUUGUGUGUAUUAGACUCCAAUAUCAUAUACAUAUCACCAUGUGCAUUCAAUCCAUUAAGACAUUUACAACGGAAUUUCACUUUAUCUAGACUAGUGUUCAACCGUUAUCAAUGUUUGUGGUAUGUCUUGUUCUUUUUUGGACUCAUGAUGCUCAACAAAAUCAUCAUUAUGGUGGUGUUCUUCCUCGCUGCCGCCACCAAAUUCAUCUCCCACCUCCACAACUGUGCCGAAUUGAACACGACGCUCUCCACCGCCGCCACCAACAGGGGAAUGAGAAGGGGAUUUUGUACCACGAGGGCUUCUAACAGCAGUAGCAGCUGUUUGUGGAGAUUUUGGUGUCCAAAUUGCACCAGUAUUACCAUAAUUGUUUGUAUGAUGUUCAUCAAAUUGAACAUUAAUAGGUCUAAUGCAUCUAUAUAUCAAGAUGAGAAACCAAGAUAGCCAUGGAAUUGCAACCAAUGCCAUGCCUGCAAAGAGAUACCAUGGUAAAGAUUCAGAAUCUGGUAGGAAUAUGUACAUGCAAAGGAAAAUUCCUCCUCCAAUUGUGCAUGCAAAGAAAAAACAAGAGAUGACGUAUAUUCUAACAUCUCCCUUUCUAUCCCCCAUUGAAGAGGAAGAUCAAUAACAAGGACAACAAUUUUUUUCUAUAUUAAUUGUUUUGUUGGAGGAUUUUGCAGAAGAUGAAUGCAUGGUUGUUUGUUAAGAACCAAAGAUUAGAAAGUUUCAAAGAAGGGAGGGGAAACAUUGAAGCGUUGAAAUCGGGAGAUAGUUUGUUGCUCAAGCAAAUAUGACGUUUGAGAUUGUCUAUAUUUUAUAUAUAUACAAUUAAAUAAAAUGAAUAGGCUCAAAAUAUUUAUGUGCACAGUAUAUAUUUUCACGAUACUUUGUUAAAAUAAACACGGUGCAUUUUUAACUCGAUACGAAGCCUUUUGAAAUUAUUAGUUGUAUUCACUAUAUUUUCUCCUUUUUUUCGUAACGGUGUAAACACCUUUUACUUUUUUUUCACUUUCAUUAAGAAAAAAAUGGUAGUGUAGAAGUCUUAGUUCAAGGUCGGACGUCGUGAUCCGGGUUUGAACCCGGGACCUCACAGUUAUGGGAGUUUAAUUUCAAGUGGAUUACCACUUCGUCUAAGACAAAAAAGAAAUGGUAGUGUAGUUAAUGCGUGCAUUUUAUGUAUACAUAUAUACCUAAAAUGUAUAUGAUAAACUUUACUUUUUCUUAUUUCAAGACAGUUAGUGAUAUCUGUUACUAGUUUAUUGGAAAAAGAAAGAAUAAAUGUACCUAGUGAUUUAUAUGACCUCGCACGUUGCGUUGCGUGGGGUUUAUUUUAUCAAAAUGAUUAUUUGUAGGUUAUAAGUGCUCAUAAUCAAAUAUACCAGCAAAUUCACUACGAAACAAACUCUUUGUUGGCAUUCGCAAACAAGGAAACAAAUUUUGUCAACAUUAACAAAGAAGCAUAACUACAACAAAACUAUUGAAUUAAACUAGCUGGAACUAUCUAUAAGGUUAGGCUCCAAAGACGUUGUUCUUUAUGAAGAACCAUAUGGAAACAAGAUAAAUCUAUGCUUAGGCUCCAAUAUUGGUCUUAAGCAAGAAAUUCAUUGCAUAGAGAUCAUUAAUUUUGUAAUAUGGAAACCUAAACCACUUGUUAAUUUCAUAACACAUUGGUUACAGUUUUGUGUUUCAAUAUUAAAUAGUUUUCUUCUGUCCAAGAUUACCUUUUGCUCUGGCUUCAUAUACAUAUUUAACUGUAAAUAGUGAAUUGAAACCUGAUUGAGUCUUUUAGUUAUAUACUCAUGCUUGAGCAAUAUGUUAGUAUCAAAUCUGAUCAUGAAUUCAAACUGAUUGAGAAUCAAAUCUCACUAGUUACUACUUUUACAAAUUGAUUAGGCACAUGAUUCAAAAUAGGAAAUUAUUGUAGUAUAAAGUAGAUAUGACAACACCUCUUUCAUGCUAGACAUGAAAAACAAACACCAAAGGAUAAAAUCACAAAUAUGAAAAAAGCCAAAUAGUUUUUUUUUUUUUUUUUGUUCAAGUAGCCUAGUGGCUAGAGCUCACACAUUUUAAUGCGGAGAAGUGGGGUGUCCAGGGUUCGAACCCCGGCCCCUGCAUAUAUUAUGCAUUGUCCCUACUAACUAAGCUAAGCUCAUAGGGACAAAGCCAAAUAGUUCUAUUAGCCUACAAAAAUAAAGACCACUAUGGAAAUCUUUACUUAAGAUAAAAUCAACCAGACUCUUAUGUUCCAAGUAUAAAAAUAGCAUUAACAAUACGAAAAAACACACCAACAAACUAUCAGAAAAUUUAAAAUUUACCAUCUUUGGUGACCAUAAAAGAGGGCAGAAACAAAUCCUUAGUCCAUGAUAUUUACCUGCCAAAAAGGUGUAUAUGAAAGUAAUAUUACACUCUGCACUAUCUUCACACAGCUACAGCAGGUAUUUGUUUAGCACAAGCAAACCUAUCCAUUUUUCAUUUCUUCUAUAAAAUCAAGUGUUUCUUAUCUAUUCUUACAAAUCACUGGAUAAUAGCUCAAAUCAGUAUGAGAGUCUAUAAACAGAAAUCCUGGAGUAGAUAAUUUUCAAGAGUAUAAUAAGAAGAAAUUGGUCUAAUAAAAAUGGCAUGCAAACAACAUUAUUGGAAAGAGAAAUAAGAAAAGGUGAAAGGAGCUUAUAACUAUCUAAUACUACCUGUAACACAAAUCUACCUUCUAUGCAUAACAAAAUUACCUAAUGAAUAAGAUCUACCUAGUUAAUUAGUUGAAGGCACGUAUAUAGUUCAGAAACAGGAACACUAGGAUUAUGAUAUGAUAUAAACCAGUUGAAAAUCCGUUUUAUGAUAGUAUUAGAAAAAUACUCACAGCCAACUACUUUGAAAAUCAAGAAAAUUGAAACCAUUUAAUUUUGAGGGUACAGAUAUUAGAAGCCAUUUACUAUUGAAAAUCCAGAAAAUCAAAGAAUAGAAACAAUUGUUUUCGGAGGAUAUGGUACCUUUCUAAAUGACAUCCCUUAAGAUUAUGUUUGGGAUGUGAGCAACUUUGGGCCAAGUAGCAUUUGUUUGCGCCUCACACUCUUUAACUAACAGGGGACAUCCAAUGAUUUCUAGGGUCUUUAAUUUAGCAAGGCGAGGCAUUCCUUCAGGCACCGAUGCUAAAUGUGGGGAAUACCUUAUGGUCACAUGUUGAAGUGAUGAGAUGCUACACAUCCAGUCAGGCAAUGCCUUUAGGUCAUCACAAUAUUGUAAGGUAAUUUUUUGUAGAGAAGGGAGACAGUUGAAGUUGUUAUUAAACCAAAUUGCAAUUUCAUGAACUUGUUGACUUGAAAAAAGUUCAAUUUGAAGAUGUUGGAGAGAAGGAAGAUUUUGCAUCCAAUUUUCUGAGAUGUUAUAGACAGCAAGUUUGUGCCCACCAAUACACAGGGAUUUGAGCAUGGAAAGAGGAGGAAAUGAGAGACUCUGAUUGUUUAGUGUUGCAUUCAAUACACAGGGAUUAUGAAGAGCCUAUUUGGAAAAGUGGGCAUGCAAGUCAACCUCUGACAUCCUUCGAUUGAUAACUGAGAUAGAAGAGGAAAGGGUGGAAAGGAUCUAUGAUGUGAUUGUGAAGAGUCAAUACCAUCUCCUGUCCUACACCAUCCCAUCAAGUAUGAGCAAUCCUCCAACCUGAGGCUUUCCAAAGAUGGGAAAAAAAUUUCAGACAAAAUAGGCUCUUCAUAAUGUAUGUAUUUCAGCACACGAAGAAAACUUAUAUAAAGAGAUUUAAGGAAUGGGAGACGCUCCAAAGGAGGGAGAAACUCCAAACCCUCACAGCAAGUGAGAGAAAUUUCAACAAUAUUUGUCAGUGAAGAAAGCCAGUUUGAAUAGAUAAUACCAUCAUACCGCCACACAUUAAAUUCCCAUGGAGUGAUUUCACGCACUCGCAAUUUCAAUGUUUGUAGGCAAACAAGUUUGCUUAUGGAUUUGAAAAAAUCUAUUGAAACCUUGCAAUCAUAUAAGUUAAGGCAUCUUAAAUGCUUUAAUUUUCCAAUUGAACCAGAUAGCUUGGAUAAAGAAGAAUCUGACAGUUUCAAGACACACAAGUAUUUGAAAUUUGAAAUAACUGACGAUUCCUCCCCGUUCAAUCCUGUCCACCCGGGAGACGAGGACAAUAGAACCAAAGUUCUCAGCUUGAUUGCAUCCAACGAGUCCAACAAACCAAUGGCAUUACGUUGAAACGAUACAUGCAUCGGCCUUCCUACUAGUUUAUUUGCAUCGCCAUCCAAGGAACAGCAAUCUAUUCCUGCUACUUGCAUUGCUAGAUCAUGAAUUAAAUCAUGCAUUUUGAAACUAUAUAUAUCACCAUCUUCAUCCAUUUUCGCAUCUUGAAAAAAUGACUUUGUCAAGAAAAUUUUCACGAAUUGGUUACCAAUAUCUUCAUUGAGCUCAACUUCAGGCGAGCAAUCAAGAUAACCUUGUGCAAUGCAUAGUUGAAUCAACUCAUCCUUCUCUAUUUCCCAAUCCUUAGGAUAUAUAGAGCAAUAUGCAAAACAUUGUCUCUGUUGAGGUGACAAGUUUUGGUAACUCAGUUUCAGAACCGGCACGAUGCUAUUUUCGUCUUGGCAUAAUCUCCAAAAGUCACCUUGUAAGACAUUGUUCCAUUCACUUUGUUUACUCUUACCUUGCAAUAGGCCUCCUAAUGUUCUAAUAGCUAGUGGAACCCCACUGCACUUUUCUGCUAUCUCCAUACCAAUUGAUUCAAGAGUUUCGUUCACUGCUUGGGCCUCAUUCCCAUAUGUAAUGAUGUUCUUUAACAAACUCCAUGAUUCUUCUGGAGUCAAACCAUUCAAAACAUAAGGGUCGCAUACACCCAUUGUCUGUGCCACAGUUUUACUACGAGUCGUCACUAAAAUCUUGCUGUCUUUAGCACCACACAUCAAGUAAGUCCUCAACUCGAUCCAUUUUUGGUGACUCUCAUUCCAAAUGUCAUCUAGGACUAACAAGUAUUUUCUUUCUGAUAAAUUUUGACGGAGGUUAUUUUGCAAGUUGUCCAAUGAUAAGUUUUCGUCAACUUUCCCAUUUAAUAAUGACUCCAAUAUUUUCUUCAAAAUAGUUUUGACAUCAAAGUUUUUAGAGACACACACCCAUAUCUUCUUUUCGAAAAUGUUUUCUACUUCCUUAUCAUUGUAUACCAACUGAGCAAGAGCUGUCUUGCCUAAACCACCAAUACCAACAAUAGCUAUCAAGGAGACGUUGUGGUCUCUAUGAUGCUGCCUCAAUAAACUUAUAAUCUCUUUUUUGUUAUUUUCUCUUCCGAUGAUAUCAGUUUGCAUAACCACCAUUACAUUUUGGCUUAAAUUCAACUUGGACAUUUCGUCCACUACAUCGUUAAAUAUUUUUCGAAUUUUUUCAAUUUCAUGAGCCAUCUUAUAGCGGAAAGCAAUUCGGUUUGGUGAUAAGGAAUAAAAUACCUUAGUCACUUUCUUCUUCUGACGUACAUCCGAUUUGUGUCUCAAAUCUUCAAUAACAAAUUCAUCUAGCAAGUUGUCAGCAAAAUUCAGCACAUCUUUGAGUCUUCUAAUCCAGUUUUUUACAGCAUGGUUUUGUUCUUGUUUGUCCUCAGCAUCAAGGAGUACAUUUCUGAUAGACUCAACUGUAUUCUUAAGCCUUUCCAACUCAUUCAUAACACCAUAGAUUCCUCCAAACUCACGAAAGGCCGCAGAUGCCAACCUGUCAAAAUUUAAAACUUCAGUAGAGCAUAUACUACUCGGUCUCGAAUAGAAGCAAAAAAAUGUCAAACAAAGUAGAUGUACACUGUUCAAAUUUUUAACUAAAUACAUCAACUUUGUUUGAAUUUUUUUUUUGCUUAUAUUCAAUACCGGAGGAGGGAGUAACUUCUAUUCCAUUUGACACUUUCUUUCUAGUCAUUACAAUUUACAAAAGAUAUUAAAUAAAGAACAACCAUGUAUGCAACACAUAUAUGUUGGAUGUGACAGUUUUAAUGAAAUGAGUAAAGUUAUAAGGGAUGAGAAUUUGUUCACCUUUUAAUGAGGCUUUCAGCAAGACCAUAUGGAAUUAGCUCAGCCAUCCUUUAAAAAGAUCAGAUUGAUCAAGAGAAGAUUGAAAAGUUGUAGAGUUUGACUUUUGUUAAAGGAAAAACUGAAGAGUUUGAGAAUGACAAAGGGAAGGGACAAAAAUGGAAUUACGCUGCUAGCAGGACCAACCAAUAUUAUAAGAGAAAUCCAACACAUAAAUUGAGUUUGACUAAAGUGCACGCUUAGAUACUAUUUUGUGAUUUCACUCUAUUGAAAAUUAUUAUGGUUAUUUGUUACAUAUUUGAUGAUAAAAAUGAUUACAUUCCCUUGAAAAUAUGGACACUUCAAUUUCUAUAGAGUCGUGAAUGCCAUUGAUUCCUUUUGUGGAGUCAUUUUGGUUGGAUGUGUUUCUUACACCGUAAUGAUAUUUAAACAACUAUAAAUUUGUAAUGUAUCUCCAUAUGAUAUAAAAAUACAUCGUUUAUAAUUUUUUAUUUAUUUUAAGAAUUCACUUGUAACUAUUGAUGUGACUUGAAGAGAAAGAAACAAAUAAUUAAGAAAUCAAGAUAACAUUUCUCUUCGCCAUGCAUUGGGGUAAUACUUUUAUUAAGUUUACCUCUACUUACGCCCAACUUAAUUUUGUUUUUAUUUUUAAUUUAUAAUCUACUACAAAAUUAAUUAUUAAUUAAUUUAUAAAAAUCGAAACAAACUAGAAUUAUACAGUAUCUAUUUUGAUUUUGAGUAAACAAAAUGAAAAAUAUUCUUAAAAAAAGAAAGAAAAAUAAAUGCAAAAUAAAAAAUAAAAUAGAAAAAACUUGCAGUGUGAUAGGUCUUUUGGUUUUCCAGGUACUGUUGUUUUGGCAAGGCAGGGAGGGACUUAAAUAAUGAAAUGUUCAUACACAUAUUCAAUCUAAUUUUAUUGGACUUAGUAGUUAAACUUUUUAAGUCUGCAAAGUCCAAAAGAUCAUCAAAUCAAAUAGAAGAAAAGGAAGCAAAAUGUUGUAGACAGGUACACAGAAGUAAUUCAGCCAUACAGUAAUAACAAAGGUGUCUGAUCAUGGUUACAAACCACUUAGAAGAUAAAAAAAUUAAGAGAACAAGAAAACUUAAAACAUAGGCCGUAAAGUCAUGCAGAACUUAGGAACUCCUCAUCCUCAUAAAAAAUCUGUAAAUUCUUGGACUACAUCAGAAAUUCAGUUUCUUCAUUCUUGAGUUUCAGCACAAAACCUCAAUGUGAUCAGUUAAUCAUGAUUAUCGCACAACAGAAGCAAAUCAUCGGUCCAUGAUAUUUACCACCUGUCCAAAAGUCGCAAAUGAAAAUAAUAUUACACUCUAACCAUCUUCAUACAUCUAAAGCAGGUAUUUGUUUAGCAGGCACAAGCCAAACCUAUUCAUUUUUUAAUUCUUUUAUAGAAUCACGUGUCUCAUAUCUGUGUUGACAAAAUAUAUGCGACAGGAUAAAAACUCAAAUCAAUAUGAAAGUCCGUCAAACACAAUUCCUUGAGUAGAUAAUUUUAAAGAGUAUUAGAACAAACUGGUGUAAUAAAAAAUUGAGCGCAAAUAACAAUAUUGGAUAGAAAAAUAAGAAGAAUGGAAAGAAGCUAACAGCUAUCUAAUACUAAAUUUAAUAUAACACAAAUCAAUUAAUAAAUAGGAUAUACCUAGUUAGUUAGUUCAAGGCACAUAUAUAGUCCAGAAACAGGAAUACUAAGAUUAUGAAUUAUAAACCAGUUGAAAAUCAGUUUUAUGAUAGGAUUAGAAAAAUAUUCAUAGCCAAUUAUUUUGAAAAUCCAGAAAUUUGAAACCAUUUACUUUUGUGGUUGAAAUAUUAGAAGACAUUUACUAUUGAAUUUCCAGAUAAUCAAAGAAUGGAAACGAAAAGAAAGAAAAAAAAUAAAAUAACAGUUGUUUUAAGAGGAUAUGGUACCUUUUUAAAUAAGAUCCCUUAUGAUGUUUGGAAUGUGAGCAAUUUUGGGCCAAUUUUCACUUGAUUCUGCCUCACAUUCUUUAACCAACAGGGGACAUUCGAUGAUUUCUAGGGUCUGUAAUUUGGUGAGACGAGGCAUUCCUUCAGGCACCGAUACUAAGUGUGGGAAACACCUUAUGGUCACUUGUUGAAGUGAUGAGAUGCUACACAUCCAGUCAGGCAAUGUCUCUAGGUCAUCACAAUAUUGUAAGGUAAUUUUUUGUAGAGAAGGGAGACAGUUGAAGUCCUCAUUAAACCAAAUUGCAAUUUCAUGAACUUGUUGACUUGAAAAAUGUUCUAUUUGAAGAUGUUGGAGAGAAAGAAGAUUAUGCAUCCAAUUUUCUGAGAUGUUAUAGACAGGAAGUUUGUGUCCACCAAUACACAGAGAUUUGAGCAUGGAAAGAGGAGGAAAUGAGACACUCUGAUUGUUUAGUGUUGCAUUCAGGGCCUCUACAUGAGUACCAUUUAACAUCAAUCUCUUGUCAAGUUUUGUAAAAGCAGGCAUGCAAGUCAACUUCCGACAUCCUUCGAUUGAUAAUUGAGAAAGAAGAGGAAAAGGAGGUAAGGAUAAAUGGCGUGAUUGUGUAGAGUUAAUAUCGUCUCCUAUCCUAUACCAUCCCCUCAACUCUAAGCAAUACUCCAACUUGAGGCUCUCCAAAGAUGGGAAGAAUUUUUCAGGAAAAAGAGGCUUUUCGUAAUGUAUACAUUCCAGCAUACCAAGGUAACCUAUAUGAAGUGACUUAAGGAAUGGAAGAUGUUCCAAUGGGGGGAGAAACUGCAAACUUCCACAAAAAGUGAGAGAGAUUUCAACAAUAUUUGUUAGUGAAGAAAGCCAUUUUGAAUGAUUAAUAAUACCAUUAUACCGCAACAUCUGGAAUUCCCAAGGACUGAUUUCAUGCACUCUCAAUUUCAAUGUUUUUAGGCCAACAAGACUGCUUAUAGAUUUGAAAAGAUCUAUCGAAGCCUUGCAAUCAUAUAUGUUAAGGCAUCUUAAAUGCUUUAAUUUUCCAAUUGAACCAGAUAGUCUAGUUAAAGAAGAAUCUGAUAGUUUCAAGACACGCAAGUAUUUGAAAUUUGAAAUAACUGACGAUUCCUCCCCAUCCAAUCCUGUCCAAAAGGGAGACGAGGACAACAAAAAUGUUCUCAGCCUGCCUGCAUCCAAUGAGUCCAGCAAACUAAUUGCAUUACGUUGAAACGAUAUAUGCAUGGGUCUUCCUACUGGUUCUUUUGCAUCGCCAUCCAAAAAACAACAAAAAUUUCCAGCUACUUGCAUUGCGAGAUCAUGCAUUAAAUCAUGCAUUUUGAAACUAUGUAUAUUACCAUCUCCGUCAAUUCUUGCAUCUUGGAAAAAUGACUUUGUCAAGAAAUUCUUCACGAAUUGGUUACCAGCAUCUUCCAUGGGCUCAAUAUCAGGCAAACCUUCGAGAUAACCUUGUGCCAUGCACAGCUGAAUCCACUCAUCCUUCUCUAUUUCCCAAUCCUUAGGAUAUACGGAGCAAUAUGCAAAGCAUUGUCUGUGCUGAGGCGACAAGUUUCGAUAGCUCAGUUUCAGAACCGGCAUGAUGCUAUUUUCAUCUUCGCAUAAUCUCCAUAAGUCACCUUGCAAGACAUUGUUCCAUUCACUCUCUUUACUUUUACUUUGCAAUAGGCCUCCUAAUGUUCUAAUAGCUAGUGGAACUCCUCUGCAUUUUUCUGCUAUCUCCAUACCAAUUGAUUCAAGAGUUUUGUUCACUCCUUCAGCCUCAUUACCGUAUGUAACAAUGUUCUUUAACAAACCCCAUGAUUCUUCUGGAGUCAAACCAUUCAAAGCAUAAGGGUCACAUACACCCAUUGUCCGUGCCACAGUUUUACUCCGAGUCGUCACUAAAAUCUUACUGCCUUUAGCACCACACAUCAAGUAAGUUCUCAAUUCAAUCCAUUUUUGAUGACUCUCAUUCCAAAUGUCAUCUAGGACUAAAAAGUAUUUUCUUCCCGAUAAAUUUUGCCGGAGGUUAUUUUGCAAGUUCUCUAAUGAUAAGUUUUCAUCAACUUUUCCAUUUAAUAACGACUCCAAUAUGUUCUUCAAAAUAGUUUUGACAUCAAAGUCUUCAGACACACAUACCCAUAUCUUCUUUUCAAACUUUUUUUGCACUUCCCCAUCAUUAUAUACCAGUUGAGCAAGAGCUGUCUUACCUAAACCGCCAAUACCAACAAUGGCAAUCAAGGAGACAUUGUGGUUUCUAUGUGGUUGCCUCAAUAAAUUUACAAUCUCUUUUUUAUUAUCUUCUCUACCAAUGAUAUCUGAUUCUAAUACAAAAGAGCAAGUUUCUCUCCUUACAUCGUCACUUUGCUUCACCACCACAACAUUUUGGCUCAAAUUCAACUUAGUCAUUUCAUCCACUACAUCAUUAAAUAUUUUUCUUAUUUUUUCAAUCUCUCGAGCCAUUUUACGGCGAAAAGCAAUUUUUUUUGGAGAUAAGGAAUGCAAUACCUUUGACACUUUGUUCUUCUUACGUGCUUUCAUUCUGUGUCGCAUGCCUUCAAUAACAAAUUCAUCUAGCAAGUCAUCAGCAGGAUGAAGCACAUCAUUGAGUCUUCUAAUCCAGUUUUGUACAGCAUGGUUUUGUUCUUGUUUCUCCUCAGCAUCAAGGAGCACAGCUUUGAUGGAUUCAACCGUCUCCCGAAGCCUAUCGACCUCAUACUUAACACCAUAUAUCCGUCGAAAUUCACGACAGGCCUCAGAAGCCAAGCUGUAAAAAGAAACAAAAAUUCAGUACACUAACUAAAUGUUUUCAUUUUGAGAUUUUUCUUCUAAAAAGGUAUUAAGGGACCAAAAGAAAACCCAAAAAUAAGUUAUGGGACUGAAACAAAACUUUUAAUAGUUAAGGAACCAAAACGAAACUAAAAAAUAAGUUAAGGGACCAAAAAAGUAAUUAAGCCAUAAAAAAACCAUGUAUGUUAGAUGUUACAAUUAUAAUGAAAUGUGCAGAGUAAGGGAUGAAAAAUUUGUUCACCUUUUAAUGAUACUUUCAGUAAGGCCAUAUGGAAUUUGUUCAACCAUCCUUCAAAAAGAGCAGACUGAUCAAUAGGAAGAUUGAAAAGUUGAAGAGUUUGAGAGUGAGAAAGAAAGAAUGUAGGAAAAUAAUUGGUGUCCAAUGUACAUACAUAGGGAAGGGACAAAAAUGGAAUUAUAAGGUGAAAAGUAGUCAAGUUUGUGCUGCUAGGUGGACCAACCCAACACUACCUACCAAACAAUUAUUGUAAAGUCUCUGUCGUUAUUAUUAUACUUUUCACAAGUAAAGAUUGGUAUAAAUUAUUGUGAAUGCAUCAAUUUCCACAAAUUUGAAUUCUAUUGGUUUUUUUGAUCAGUUGAUGUGGGCCUCUUAUGAUGUUGCUAUUCUAUUGGUUGGAUGUGAUUCUCUGACCUGCCCAAUGCUUCUUUGGGAUAGUAACAUGGCCCAGCAAUCAAAAACAAAAUUAAUUAAUUUAUAAAAAUCAGCAGAGUAAACAUAAACUCUCCAUCCCUUUGAGUUAAAGAGAGAACACUCCAAAAUUUAAUUAUGUUCACCAAAAUAAUACAAUUUUCUUGAAAAAAUUAACUUGAUGACUAACAAGGAAAACAAGUAACUAAAGUAUUUACAUACAAAUUAAUGAAGCCCUUUUACCAUAUAUGAUCUGAGGUAUAUGAAAUCGUUGACGAUUUUCUCUCUAAUGUUUGGUUACUAUUGCUGGACAACAUGUUAAGUAUACCUUCGAAUCAGUCAAAGCUUCGAGAACUUUGUUGAGGUAAUGAUCUACCUCUGAUGAUAGAAAAUGUAUCAUGGUAUGGACAGAAUUUGAUUUGAACUUCUUCAAUAUUCUAGGGUUAAAUUUCUCAUCUGAAGGAACAUAGAUAGCAAAAUUCAAAGCUUGUGGCUUGUUCCAAGUUGAUUGACCUAAAGUUUUCCAUAUAGAUAUCCAUUAACCACCAAUCAACUCAAGUAUUGUCUCGUAGAAUAAGUAGGCUAUUUUGCAGAAAUAGUGUAAUGUUGACCCUUUGAUUUCUUAGAACUGCAUUCAGGUGUCCUGUGUCCGACUCUGAAACAUAGUUACAUUCAAUUCAAUCACUUUCACUUUCCUAAAUUGUUAGCAGUGUCAGGUAUCCGUGUAUGUGUCCGAGUUUCAUAUUUUAUAGGCUAUUAUAACCUUGAGCCACCAGAGAUAUGUGUAAUAUGCCGUGGACCUUUUUGAGGACCACCAAGGUCACUAUAGUUAUAUCAAUCAUAGUCAAAGCUGUCAUGGCUACAUAGUUUUGUAACUUCCAGCAAUGUAACAACACAAAAUUAGCAAAUAAAUUAAGUAUAUAUAUCUUGGGAGGAGACUAGCUCUAUUUCAGAAAAUAGUGCAUAAGAUUUUGGCUUUCAUUGUGUAAAUCCAAGAAUUGUACUCAAAGUGAAUGAUGCCACUGAUACAAGUCUCAAUAUAGAUGCAGAUUAAAGAAAUAUUUUCUUCUUGUAUUUGUUCUUGAAUUGUUUAGAAUCCAAGAAUUAAGUAAGACGUUCAGCUUGUUAAAACGAAUAACAUGAGUACUCUUUCAUAUUAUUUAUUUGAUAAUCCUUUUAAAAAAUUAUAUAAUUAAAGAAAUUAAUUGUAAGUUCCAGUAGAGCUUUAAUAUGGGAGUCUAAGCUCAACCUGGUCACCCAGGUUAUUAUGACAGUAUUGGCUGUAUUAUCCGUUUGGCAAAAAGAAAAUUUCCGUAAGAGAUCGCGCUCCAAUUGAUCAAUUAAAAUCAGUAUAAAGUUUGAUGGCAUAAUUUUCCCAUGUUCAGGAAAGUAAUUGGUAUAAUGAACACCAAUACUUCUAUACAAAUUCUCACAAUUAUGUUCAUGACUUGACAUGGAAAUCGCAAACAUAGUCAAGCAUUAAAUUUUCCAUAAAGUACAUAGUUAUUAGCAAAAGGAUGUUCAAUAUGAAAAUUCAAUCAUUAAUAUCUUAUGCUUGCACACCAAUUUUUUAAGGUUUGUAUUUCAUGCAGUUAAUAAAAAAUUUCUUAGUCUGUCAAGUCCAAAUAGCCAUCAAAUAGAAGUAAAGGAAGCAAAAUAUUAUCGACAGGUACUCGUAAGUAAUUAGGUCAAACAAUAAUAAAUAACAAAGGCGUCUAUCUCAACAUAGUCACAAACCACUGAAAUGAUAAUAAAAUGAAGAGAACAAGAAAACUUAAAACAUGUUCUGUAAACAGACACGCGUAGUAACAGGAAAACUAAUGCAGAAUACUUAGUCAGAAGGGAAGGAAGAACUGAGGAACUUCUCAUCCUCAAAGAAAAUCUGUAAAUUCUUGGACUCCAUGAGAAAUUCAAUAUCUUCAUUCUUGAAUUUCAGCAUAAAACCCAAUGUGAUCAGUUCAGAGAGAGCAGGAACAAGAUCAUGAUUCUCACACAAAACACCUUCUGAUAUUGCUUCAGAGAAAUAUGUGGCAUAUUUCAGUGCAUUACCCAUAGGCUUAUCCAUCUUCUGGAUGAAGAACUUAGAACUUUUCUUUUCCCAGCGUACCAUUUUGUCUUCUUUCUUUGUAAUGAUGUCCCCUGAUGACAGCGACAAACUAUAACUUACCGUGACCGGCACCACUGUCUCAAGGAAGGUGAUCAGGUUAAUAAGACCUUGAACAGCUUCAUGCCUCUUAUCUGGUUCCAUUUUCAGUCUUGAACAAGCAAGGAAACCAAGAACGAGCUUAACCAAACCUUUUAAGUUGAAAAUUCUAUUAUGAUCAACUUGCACCGGACCCUUUCAACACCAUCAUUAACUAAAGAUGAUACUUUUUUGCACAGCGAUUCAGAGAUAUUUCGAGCACCAAUGUUUCUGUAGAUGUUAUAUAACUUUGAAAUGGAUGAUGGCCCAAAGUUUUGCUGAGGAUACCACACAAAUAUCUUCUCCUGCUCAAAAAGCUUCUUCAGAUGAAGAUUAUCAGGAAUAAACAAGUCUUUUUUAUGCAACAGAAAUAUUUCUUUGCUGCCUGUUGUUACAGGUAGUUUGAUCAGCCUCUCAGAAAGUUCUUUCUCUGGAUUUUCGCCCAAGUGUUUCAGGAUAAACAUCCAGAAUUUCCAGCACUUUUCAUAUGACAAUCCUUCCGAUGAUCUUUCCCAGUCAUUCCACACAUCAACAUAAUCAUCAAGUGAGGGCUUAAUCCUGACUUCCAAGGAAAAUUUUAAAAAGGGUAGAAGCGCCCAUUCAUAGAUAUCUUCAAGAACAUAAAAUUUUAAUCUAAAAAGUUUAUCUGGGUCAUGUAUGAUGCAUUUUCCAGAUUUGACCCACUUUCCACCUUUAGUUCCAUUCGGAAUCCAAAUUUUCUUGUCGGCUUUCUGCUCUGGUUUCCAAUUGUAUGCUGCAUAUUUUUGCAAUAUUAUCAAGUCAGAAAGAAUAUUAAGGUGACUGGAAAGAAAGAAGUAAAAAGAGAUGCAUAACAUGUUGUUGGUUAAAUGAAGUACCUAUAUGUUUUGACAAUAUUAUCAGUGUCAGAGAGAUUAUGAAGGUGUCCGGAAAGCAAGGAGCACCCUUUCUCUAGUUCAAUAGUGACUCCUAUUGCACCGAGUUCUUUCUGGAAAGAUGCUAUCUUAAUUCCAUAAAAAUUUUCAUCAAUAAAAGGUCCGUCAGUUGGAUUAAAGAAAGAACUCCACUUGGAAUCAAACAACAAACACAUCUCUGGAGGCCUAUAACCAGCACUUGUCUUUAACCAAUUUCUGGACAGUUUCUUGCUGAACUCAUCUUUAAUAGAAAGACUAUGCUCUUGCACAAGACUUCGGAUGCAUUUCAGCAAAGAAAACACACUGUCAGGACUAAUGGUGGAGGGAUCUGAAGGAAAAUUCAAACAUGUAGGCACAAACCUCACUCCAUUUUUCAAUUCAGUAACAACACCAAUGCUCUUCAGAUCUUCUUUGUAUUCAUGUAUAGCCAUACCAUAAAAUUUGUCACUGUCGUCAAUGAAAGGGAGACGAGUAACCGAAGAUAUAGAUUUCCACUCCGGACCGUAUAAAAUGCAAUAUCUUGGGCACAUAUAACAACCUACCUUAGUAUACAGCCACUUCUGAUUACGUAUGAUGGUUGAGAAAUCGGAAGGAAAUUUAUAUGCAGUUCCUUUCAGCAGCCUCCGACAAGAGAGAAAUGACAUAACAUGAUGUUGGUUAAAUGAGGAUUGUGAUGCCUUCUGUUUGAAGAGAGAAGCAAAUUUUUUGAUAGCAUCUCCAAAAUCAACCACCGCACCUAUUUUCCUCAGUUCAUCUUUGUAAUCGAAAAUCUUCUCUCCAUAAAAUUUAUGGUCAAUCACAGGAAGGUCAUUGAAUACAUACAAAAUGCAUCCCCACUCCUGGUCAUACAGGUAACAUUCACUUGGUAUUUGGAAACCCAUAUUUGUCUUCAAGCAGCAUGUUCCAUUCAGUGAACUUAACAGUUUACUAGGUGCAUUCAAUAAUCGGAUGCACUGCAAUAUCAAAAGAACAGCCUCGGCUGUCAAAGAGGCCAAAUUUGAGCAUGAUUUUAAAUGCUCGAUAAACAAUUUGGUAAUUUCCAGAUAAGCCAACUAUCACUCCUAGCAACUUGAGCUCCUCUUUGUAAUUAUAAAUUUCUUCACCAUAAUAAGAUUGAUCGAUAAAAGGGAUAUUACUAAUUUGGGAUGCAACUUGCCAUCCGGAAUCAUUCAAUACAGAUCCCACAGGAGAUUUGUUCAAAAAAAAGAUCCCACAGGAGACCUACGACCCCAAGAUGUCCUAAGCCAAGGCUCAUCUCUGAUGCUGUUCACAAAUUUGUCCAGAGGAAGAAGACUUUUACUGAGAUAUUGGAUGAAGUUAAGCAUUAAAAUAACAUGAUUCUUGCUUAAAGCGGAGAAAGAUGCAUGAGACAUAAGUUCCUUUCCGAUGAAAUUGCAUGCUUCCUCACAACUGGACAUCACUCCAAUUGUUUUCAACUCCUCUUCAUACUUAUUUAUUUUAUCCCCGUAGAAGCUCUCAUCAAUCAGGGGAAUAUCGACAAGAACUGAACCACUUUGCAAAAUUUUCCCCAAUGGUUAGCGAAUUAAGAAUGACUUUGAAGGAGGCCUGAAUUCACCGGCUGUAACUUUAAGCCAGCUACGAUCUUUUAUACAUUUCAAAAACCUCUCUGGUAGGUGUACUCCCUUGUACUUCAGAUUCCGAAUCCAAUCCAAAAGCAAAAAGGCAUUGUCUUUGGUAAGUGGUGUAUCAACGGCGGAAAACCCAGCAUUUGGAGGAGAUAUAUAAGGUAUGUCAGAAGCUCCAACAUGAGUUGUGAGGAAAUUAAUUAGCAUCUCGGAACCUGUAAAUUGACCUGCAUGAGAUGAUGAAUUUAGGUAAUCAUUUCCAAGCUCGACAUAAUUUUCAUUCCUCCAAGGAUUAGAAACAAUCAAGUCUGCCCAUUUGCUCAUAUUUGCAGGCACAAGAACCCCAUUUCUUCUUAGUGUGACACACCCAUAGUUGUCAACAAGUGGCAGAGAAUUACAUAGACUAUCAACUUCCCGCUUUGAAAAAAAACCUUGUGGCAAAGAGUGGUAUAAGAAAUGAGCUUAUGUAAUGGCAUGUUUUUUGUUAUUUUUAGCAGAACUGUAUAGCCCGUGGGCAAAAUCGUGCAUACUCAAAUUAGUAACAGAAACUUCUUUUGUAAGCCAUUCCAUCAAAGUCUGUUUAUGGGCCAAAGACAAUAUAGAUUUUUGUGUGCUUUCUGGCAUGAAAAACCGAUUUUCUGCACAUGCAAACUCCCUGUUCCAAUUGAUCAUCCAAGAGACUUGAGUCUGUUAUCACUACUCGCUUACCACCUGCAUAGUGCUGUGUGCAUUCAUGAAGACUGAAAGAGGAUAGAGUUCCAUCAGAAGCCACACAUUUUAUCAAUGGAAUGCUAUUAAUAUUUGUGCCCUUAAAUCUUGAAGACCAGUAUUUCGCAACAAACAGUAAAAGUUGAACAUAGAGAUCUUCUGAUACUCCAUCCACAAGAUCAGAACUCUGGAUGCACUUUGCAUACCAACCAUAAGUCACCGAUUUAACCCCUAAAAAAUUGAGUACAUUAUAAUACUCCCUUUUAUCAAAUGAAGAGCUCAAGAUUUUCCUCCCAUCAUGAGAAGAUAGGUUAAGCAAGUGCACGCUUUCGUCCCUGGCUUUAGUCAAAAUAUUCCAGAAUUCAGGCAGCAACCUGCUAACUUCACCAGGCUUAUAGAAGUGCUUCUGCUUGGAGUACGUCUCAAUAGGAACAAUACUUUCUUCAACCAAUUUUGCUUUGAUUUUGUCCCUCACAUAAUUAAACUUCUCAAAUGUAGAACUUUCAAUGGGAAGGAACUUGAACAUACUAGCCAAACUAGAUACUGGAGCUUGAACUGAUCCUAUGACAAGUGUUUUGAAUGCAUCUAAAAAUGCUGAUGGAACACAGUCAAGUAUUCCUUGGUUCCAUUUAUUAUCCAAGAGAAUUGUCUCCCUUGAUGAGGCAAGGACAAAAUCUGCUUGAAUAAUGAAAGGAAAAUUAGUGACCAUCCCUGUAGGAAGAAAGGCAUAGACCCCUGGUGAGCUUUUGCCUCUAUGAAGUCUCUCCUGAUUAGGGAAGGCUAGUGUCACAACCCAUUCUUCCACAUCUGUUCUCCUUUCGACCGCAUUUUCUGGCCUGACCGGAAACUUUUGCUUCCACAUGUAGUAGCUGCAUUCCUUCUCAGCAUCACUAUUUUCUUCUGCAGAGAGAUGGAUUGUGUAGGAUUCAGCAUUCAUGUUUUUUCUAGUCACGAAGUUAAUCUCACUUGAAAUAGACACAUCAGUUACAGUGUUCUGUUUGGGAUUCUCACUAACUUCCCUGACAGAAAGGUGUCUGAUUUUCGUAAGGAACAGAAGGACUUCUGGAUGAAAGCUUGAGAGCUUCUGUUUAACAGGUUCGACCUUAUCCGACUUCAGAGGUAAGACAAUUGUUGUAGUUCGAAGGGAACCUUUACCAGCGCCAUAUAUCUUCUUUAUGUCAACAAGGGUUGGCUUCUCCUCAACCCAUUCAGGAACUAUAUACCCAAGACUGCAAUGUGGACAAGGCUUCUCAUUGAACCUUAUCUGAUAUCCAUUGCUAAAAACAUAAGGCUGAGCCGUAACCAGAAACACACUCUUGAAACCAAUUCCUGAAAUUCAACCAUAGCAAAGAUUCUGUCAACUUUUUCAAUUUGGCCACUCAAAUAUAUAUCCAUAGUCGAGAAUAAUUUUAUAGUAUUUCUUGAGUAACAAGUAUUUCUAAUAGAAAAGUAAAGAUGUUUAAGUUUUACAAAAUAGAUUAACUGGCAUUGAAAUCAUUCAAACAAAUUAGAUCCAUAUACUUACAUUUCAGAUAUUAAAAAAACAAUGAAAACAUUAAACUAAUUUUCAUUGAAAGUAAAUAUUUUAGCAACAGUCCUUGAGAAUGUAAUGUACCUUUCUCUCCUAUAUAACCACUGCUCCUAUUGCCUUUCUUCGUUGACCGUCCAACACUACAAAUGGAGUCAAUGUUUUUUGAAAAGAAGCCCUUUUCAUUAUUGAAAAUAAGCAAUGUGGCUGGAGCACCAGUACCAGUGAUGUCAUCAGAAGUUAUGACAAACUCAAGUGUUGGAUUCACUCCUUCAUUAUAGUGGUUGUCUUCAGCAUUCUGUAAGAAUUGACAACAACAAAAAUUAUGGAAAAGAAUUUUAAGCACUAUAAUUCAAAAAUAGAAAUGUUAUAUUGACAACAAAAUUGUGGCCAGCACCAAAUAUAUAUAAACAGUUGCAAUAUAUUUUGACUUGUUAUAUUAUUUUUCUCUUUCCCAGUCACAUUGUCAAUUUUUGAGGUGUAUAAUCUAUUUUGACUCCAUAAUUGAUUCUAACUUGAAGUUAGGGAUUGUCGUUUUUGACUUCAAACAUGAUUUUUACACUCAAAUAUAUUGAUCAACUCACUUUUACAUAUAUGUAUCCAAACAUAACUCACUUUUGACAAAAAAUCAAUUUUUUACCAAAUCAACAUUCAAAAUCAAUUUUUGUCACUGCAAAAUCGAACAUACACAAAAUAUUGUAUUUUUACAGCAUAACAAGAUAUUAGUUUAUUUAUUUUCAAAUAUAACAUCCCUCGUUUAGAAACAUGAUUGCAUAAUUCUAAAUAGGGAUAAUGAUAAUGAUAUAACCUCUCUGGCACCAAUACUUCUGAUCGAAAGUGUGUCACAUUAAAUUAUGUCAUUUUUUUCAAAUUAUUAUCAACGUCGACGGUGUCCAUGUUGUGUCCCGUGUAUGUGUCUGUGCUUCGUAGGAUGUAACUAAAUAUAGAACAUCACUCAUUUACAUGUAUAAGUAUUCUCAUCAGAAUCGUGCAUCGUAUCAAAACAAAAUAAUCGAAACAAUUCCUUCAACAAAAAAAAAAAAGAAAAUCGAAACAAUUAAAAAAUAAAAAUCAGAAUAAGAAUGGUCUUAAUAUUGUGUAACUCAAAACCUACACCAAAAAAACAAAUUUUCACAACAUUAUCAUUCAUAUUCAUGCAUGAUUACACUAUAAGAAAUAAAAAUAUGAAAAAUUAAAGAAUGUGUACUUGAAUGAGUUCCAUGAGGAAGUGAACAUCUUUGGCGUAAAGUUCCGCAAAGAGAUUUUUGACAGCAUGAUGAAGAUCUUCAGUCAAUGGAUUAGGUUUCCCACCAAUGGAAACUUUUUUCUUCGUAUCUCUUCUAUGUGUUCCUUUGGCGUUGCCGUUAUUCUCUGAUGGCAGUGAAGCGCAAAUACUGACAGUGAAAACUGUAAACGAAGACUCCUUUUGGAGAAGAAAAGUUAAAAAAUAAAGGCUAAACCCUAAAUUUUACUUUAUUUACGAACAAAAUAUAAUAUUAGGCCAUAAAAUCUAACUUGUCUCAUUUUUUUUUUUUUCAAAGGAAAUUGUCUCAUGUUUUAAAAUGUCACGAACUAUGUGUAAAAAAAAAAAAAAAAGUCACGAACUAAUAUUUUUUUUAAAAUAUUCGUCCAAAAAAUCGAUUAAUCUAAAUGAUCAAUCUCAUUGGUCAUUAGGAGAGACUCAUUGAAACUAGAGCGAAACUAUAUAUGAAUUCAUGACCCAACACAAAAAUUGUAGACAUCUACAUGAUAUUUAAACCUCAAAUCAAAAGAGAAACACAAUUUUAAGUUCCAAACUUACACCAUUAACCCAAACCUCAAGUUCAUGGAGUAAUUUGUUCUUACUUAAUAGACUAAUUUGUUGUUAUUAUUUUUUAUCAAUGGCUAAAUUGAUUUGCUAACCAAUUACAAGUGACUAAAUUUGGUAACUUUUAUAAAAAUAAAAAUCAAAACUAAGAGAUUAAAAGAAAAUUCUUAAGUCCGAAAAUAUCAUCAAAAAGGAGUUUUAAAACUCACUAAACAGAAGACUCCAAAAUAUAUAUGUUUAUUAAAUUGAUCAACUGAAAUGAUGGAAUUCAUAAAUCAAUCGACAUUUCAAUUAGUCAAAUUCACUCUCUUAUUCCACCAAGAAGAUUUUUUUUUUUUUUUUUGUGGUCAUUCUAGUUUGGUUUAUUUGCAUCCUCCUUCAGAUAACGUGAUUAAAGUUAAUGUUGAUGGUAGUUCGAUUGGUAGAUAACCCUGGUAGAAUAAGAUUUAGGGGUCUCAUCGUAAAUACUCUGGGUGGUUGGAUUAUUGGUUUUGCUGGAAGUUGUGGUUAUGUUACUAAUAUUAAUGCGGGGGCAUCGUGCUAUUUCUUAUGAGUUACAAAUAACUUAGGAUCAUGGUUUUAGAGAUAUCAUUUAUGAGUCAGACUCUCAAACGACAUUGAAUGUUAUCAAGUACGGGAUCCUACUUACUUACUCUUAUGCACAUCUUAUUGAUAAAAUUCGUUCUUAUAUAUGUUGAGAGAUUAGAAUGUUGGUUUUGGUCAUACCUUGCAUGAAGAGAAUUCUUCUGCAUAUUAAAUCGCUAAAUUAGACGUCUCGCUUACUCAUGAGCUUAGAUCACCCUACUUAUCCUUCUCGUCUAUUCGGAUAUUGUCUAAUUGAGACCAUGGGAACUCAAUUCCUGUUUGUAGUUUUUAUUUUAUUUUAUCUUUUUUUUUUUUUUUUUUGCUUUAGUUUUCCUUUUGAUACAAAAAUCAAUUAUCAUUGACUAUGACUAAUAAUUGAUUGCCUAAUCAAUUUUUUUGACAAGUGAUUGCCUAAUCAAUUAUUAGCAUACAUAUUAGCGUAGAUAUAUUUUAACAUUUUAUUAUUAUGAUCUAUCAUAUUAAUCUAUUAUUCAUUCAUUUUUAUAUUUUAUUUAAUAAUAUUUAUUUUUUAAGUUAAUCUAUUUUUUCUACUACUUCAUAUGUUAGAAACAUAAUCGAUCAUUGUCAUUUCAUGAUUUUUUUUUUUUGGUGCAAUCAGGAUAUUAAUUUUUAAUAUAUUAAAAAAAAAAAAUUGACAAAACUUAAAACUUAUUAUCUGUCCUCUAAAUUUUAAUUUUACUAUCUUAGUUGAAACAUGUUAAAAAUUAAUUGAAAAUAUUUAUGUCAUCUAAUAUUUAUCAGCUAAUUCAACUAGUCCACUCAAAAAAUAAAAAAUAAAUAAACUAGUUGACUAGUAAUUAAUUUUACCUAACACUAAAGAUUCUAUCCUACCUUAUUUUUUGUCAAACAUAAUAUAAUUAUAAAAUAUAUAGAUAGAUACACAUGCCAAGUUCAGUACUGAUUUUUUGUCUUAUUUCACAAUUUACUUAAACUAUUAAACUUAUAAUUAUAAUAUUUUAUCCAAUCAAAUAAAUAUUAUUUUCUUAAAAUAAACGUAUAAAAUUGUAUACGUUUAUUAUAUUAUUUACCAAUUAGAAUUAAAAAGAAAAAUAUCAUCGAUAAUAGACAUUUAGUGAUCAUAACCAUAAUCAUGGAACAAAAUCCAAGGACUUUAGAUGAAAGAUCUUUGAGUCUGGUGCAAAACAAAAAAACACCAGGAUUCUAAAGCUCAGAGUGUGAUCCUUGGUAUGGUUACAUGUGCCCCCCUUUUUUUCUUUAUCAUGAACAUUAGCACAACUAAUUAUCUUCUUAAGAACAAUGUACAAUUCGAAUGAAAGGUUUAUAAAGAGAUGGAGCCAGAUAGUAUGUAGAAAAGGUUUACAAAUGCAUUCAAUCAUAUUUUGUCAUCGAGAAUAGUAGAGAUGAUACAAGUGAUAGAUAUUUGAGUCUCUCAACAAUUUGUAACCACAUUUUAUAGUUUUCAUAAAAAAGAAAAUUUUACAACAUUAAGGGACAAAAUUUAAAUAUUACUGGAAAAACAUGUAACAUUUAUUAUACUGCAGAUAUUUAUAUUGUCUUAGAAGUUUACUCUUCAGAUGGAAAUUAACUAAAUUUUUAUAAUAGAAAUAUUGGAGGUAUGUUAGUAGAGAAAAUGAAACUGACAAAAAGAUGAUGGUCCCUAACAUUUACUAACUGCUCAAUGACAAAAUUAAUUGUCAUAUUACUCAUACAAUGUUUAAGUCUAGAAAACUUUCUUAUACAACUAAAGGUAUAGUGAUUUACAAUAACUGCUACUGUGUUGGGUGGAAGAAAAAAAUCUGGCAUAUGUUAGAGUGAAGUGGUUUUAGCAGUUAUGUUUUAUGAAAUCAUGACAGUAGCAAUUGUAUCAACACAGUGAAAUUCAACAAACCAUAAGUGCUGUCUUAUAAAGACCAAAUGUUCAUCAGAUAAAAGUAAAGAAAGCCAAUAUUGUAGACAAAAUAAUUAGAUAAUUCAGUCAUUAAGAUAAUGACAUAUCCACUGAAAGGAAAACAAAUUGAAAUAAACAAACUGAAAAACACAAGUAAGCAGUGGCAAGAUAGACUUAGUCAAAAGGGAAGGCAGAACUGAGGAACUCCUCAUCCUCAAGGUCAAUCUGAAGAUUCUUGGAUUCCAUUAGAAAAUCAAUUUCUUCAUUCUUAAAUUUCAGAACAAAGCCUAGUGUGAUUAGUUCCGAGAGUGCAGCAACAUGAUCAUGAUUCUCACGCAAAAUACCCUCGGAUAUUGCUUCAGAGAAACUUGUAGCACAUCUCAAUGCAUCACCAGGAACUUCCUCCAUCUUCUGGAUGAUAAACUUGCAGCUUUGACUUUCCCAACGUACCCUUUUGUUUGCUUUCUUUGUAAUGAUUUCCCCUGAUGACAAUGACAAACUAUAGCUUACAUUGAUCGGCUCUGUUGUCUCAUGGAAACUCGAGUUGAUAAGACUUUGAACAGCUUCAUGUCUCUUCUUUGGUUCCAUUUUCGGGAAAGCACAAGCAAGAAAACCAAGAAUAAGCUUAACCAACCCCUUUAAGUUGAAAAUGUUAUUUGGAUCAACAUAGUUCAGUUUAUCACUGUCAUUCACGGAGGCUGAUUCUUCUUUGCACAGUGAUUCAGAGAUAUUUCUAACACCAAUUUUUCUGUAAAUGUCAGACAGCUCAGACUUGGAAAAUGUUUUCAUGCUAUGCUGGGGAUACCAUACAAAAACUUUCUCCCUCUCAAAAAGCUUCUUCAUAUGAAGAUUAUCGGGAAUAAAAGCAUCUUUUUUAUCUACCAGAAAUAUUUCAUUAUUUCCCGAUGAUGUAGGCAGUUUCAUCAAACUCUCUGCAAGUUUUUUCUCUUGAUUUGUGCUCAAAUGUUUUGAUAUAGACGUCCAGAACUUGCAGCACUCAUCAUAUGACAAUUGCUCCAUUGAGCUCCCCCAAUCAUUCCAGAGGUCAACAUAAUCUUCUACAUAGGGCUUACUUUUUAUAUCCAUUGCAUAUAAGAAAAAAAGAAGAAUAUCUUCGUCAUAGAUAUCUUCUAGAACAUAAAACUUUGAACCAAAAAGUUUGGCAGGGUCAUGUAAGACGCAUUCUUUAGAAUCAACGAACUUACCACCUUUAAUUCCAUCAAGAAUCCAAACCUUCUUUGCAGCAUUCUCCUCAGCUUUCCAGUUGUAUUGAUAUAAAAACUUGUAUAUUUUCACAAUGGUAUCAUGAUCAGAGAGAGUAUCAAGGUGACUGGCAAGCAAGGAGCACCCCUUUUCAACUUCACUAAUGACCCCUAUCGCGUUGAGUUCUUUCUGGAAAAAUGCAAUAUUUGGUCCAUAAAAAUUCUCAUCUAUAAAAGGUCCAUCAGUUGGAUUCAAUAAAGAACUCCACUUGGAACCAAACAACAAACACUUCUCUGGAGACCUAUAACCAGCAUGUGUCUUCAACCAAUUUUGGGACAAUCUUCCUCUGAAAUCAUCUUCAAAUGCAAGGUUGUUAUCUUGUAUUAGAAGUUGGAUGCAUUCCAAUAAAGAAAACACACUUUCAGGACUAAUGGUGGAGGGAUUUGAAGGAAAAUUCAGACAUUCAGCCACAAACCUCAACCCGUCUUUCAAUUCAGUAACAACACCAAUGCUCUUCAGCUCUGCCUUGUAACCACCACAUUUGUCACUAUAAUCAAUGAAAGGGAGACGAGUUAUAGAAGAUAUUGAUUCCCACUCCGGACUGUAUAAAAUGCAAUUUUUUGGGCACCUAAAUCCACCAACACUAGUAUGCAACCACUUCAUUUUACGCAUGAGGGCUGAGAAAUCAGAAGGAAAAGACCCCUCCAGCUGCCUGCAACAUUUUAGAAAUGAGAUAACAUGUUUUUGGUUAAUUGAAGUUUCCAAUGCCUUUCGUUCAAAGAGACUUGAAAACUUUUUUAUAGCAUUUCCAUAAUCAACCACCACCCCGAUUUGCCUCAGUUCGUCUUUGUAAGAGAAAAUCUUCGCCCCAUAAAAGUUAUGAUCAAUAACAGGAAGAUCAAUGAAUACCUCCAGAAUGCAGCCCCACACUGGAUCAUACAAGAAACAUUCAGCUGGUGUUUUGAAACCCGUGUUGGUCUUCAAGCAGCCUGUUCCACUUAACGAAUUCAAGAGUUUAUCGGGGGCAUUCAAGUGUCUGAUGCAUUCCAUUAUCAAAAGAACAGCCUCAGCGGUCAAUGAAGCCAAAUUUGAAGGCGACUUCAAAUGCUCAAUGACGACUUGGUAAUUUCCAGUUAAGUCAACUAUCACUCCUAGCAACUUGAGCUCCUCUUUGUAAUUAUAUAUUUGUUCACCAAAAUAAGCACGAUCAAUGAAAGGGAUAUCACUAAUUUGUGAUGCAACUUGCCAUCCUGAGUCAUUCAAUACCGAUCCCACAGGAGGCCUAAGACCACAAGAUGUCUUUAGCCAACUUGCCUCUUUGAUGCUGUCAACAAAAUUGUCCAAAGGAAGAAGGUUUGUCCGGAUAUAUUGGACGAAGUUAAGAAUCAAAAGAACAUGACUCCUACUUAAUGAGAAAGAAGCAGCACGAGACAUUAGUUCUUUUCCAAUAAAUUCACAUGCUUCCUCACAAUUGAACAUAACUCCAAUUGUUUUCAAUUCCUCUUUGUACUCAUUUAUUCUCUCUCCAUAGAAGCUUUCAUCUAUUAAGGGAAUAUCCACAAGAACUGAACCACUUUGCAAAAUAUUUCCCAAUGAACCAAUUAAGAAUGACUUUGAAGGAGACAUGAAUCCAUUACCCGUAACUUUAAGCCAGCUGCCUUCUUUUAUGCAUGCCAAGAACCUCUCUGGUAGGUGCACUCCCUUAUGCUUCAGUUCCCGAAUCCAAUCCAAAAGUAAAAAGGCAUUUUCUUUGGUGAGUUGAGUAUCUGCAGCUGAAAACCCAGCAUUUGGAGGAGAUAGAUAAGGUAUGUCAGAAGCUCCAACAUGAUUUUUGAGGAAUUCAAUAAGCUUCCCAGAAUCUGUAGAUUGGUCUGCAUAAGAUGCAUUUAGGUACAUCUUUCCUAGCUCAACAUAAUUUUCUUUUCUCCAUGGAUUAGAAACCAUUAAGUCUGCCCAUUUGCUAACAUUUUCAGGCAGAAGAACACCAUUUCUACUUUUAGUUAUACGUCCAUUCUUGUCCACAAGUGGCAUAGAACUACAUAAAUCGUCAACCUCCUGACAUGACAAAUAACCUUCUGACAAAGAAUGGUAUAAGAAAUGAGCAUAUGCAACGGCAAGCUUGCGGUUAUUUUUAAUAGAACUGGAGAGGUCCUUUGCAAAAAUGUACCCAUUCAGAGUGUGAACAUUAACAUCAUUUACAAGCCAAUCGACCAAAGCCUUCUUAAAGUUCAAUUGCGAGAUAGCUUGCUGUGUGCUUUCUGGCAUAAAAAACUGGUUUGCUGCACAUCUAAAUGUUUUGUUCCAAUUGAUCAACCAAGAAGUCCGACUUAGGUCCGCCAGCAUUACUCGCUUGGCACCUGCUUCGUUCUGUUUGCAUUCUUUGAUAGUCAAAAACGACGGAAUCUCAUCAGAAGCCACAUAUUUAAUCAAUGGAAUAUUAUUAAUGAUGUUGGAAUUCUUAAACUUUUUCCAAUUUUUAGCCAAAAACAGUAAAAGCUCAAGAUAGAGAUUUUCUGAUACUCCGUCCACAAGAUUAGUACUCUGGAUACACUUUGCAUACCACUCAAACUUCACAUGUUUCACCCCUAAAAAUUUUAGUAUUGCCUCAUACUUGCUUUUAUCAAACGAAGAACUUAAGAUUUUCAUCCCAUCAUGAGAAGAUAGGUGAAGCAAGUGCACUCCUUCCACCCGGGCCAUUGUCAAAAUAUUCCAAAAUUUAGGUAGUAGCCUGCUAACUUCACUAGGCUUGUAGAACUGCUUCUGCUCUGUGAAUGUCUCAAUAGGAACAAUUUUUUCUUCAGCAAGUUUUUCUUUGAUUUUCUCCCUCGCAUAAUUGAAAUUCUCAAUCGGAGAACUAUCAAUUGGAAGGAACUUGAACCAAUCAGGCAAACUGGAUACUGUUAAUUCAUUUGAUUCUGUCACAAGUGUUUUGAAUGCAUCUACAAAGGCUGAUGGAACAUAUUCAAGUAUCCCUUGAUUCCACUUAUCAUUCAAUAGAAUUGUUUCCCUUGACGAGGCAAGAACAAAAUCUGCUUGAAUUAUGAAGGGAAAGUUAGUAACCAUCUCUGUAGGAAGAAAUGCAUAAACCCCUGGAGAGCUCUGAUGCUUGCGAAGCUUCUUAAUCUUCUGAAGCCUCUCCUGACGUGGGAAGGCCAAUGUCACAACACACUCUUCCACAUCCUUUCUCCUUUCCACCACAUUUUGCAACUUGACAGGAAACUUUUGUUUCCACAUGUAAUAGCAGCAUUUCUUUUCGUCACUACUCUUUUCCCCUGCAGAUAGAUUGAUUGUGUAAGAUUCAGCAUCCAUGUUUUUCCUUGUCACAAAGUCGAUCUCGCUUGAAAUAGAUACAGAAGUUACAGUGUUCUUUUUGGGAUCCUCGUUGUCUUCUCUGACAGAAAGAUGUCUGAUUUUUAAAAGGAACAGUAAAACUUCCGGGUUAACGCUCGAGAGCUGCUGUUUCACAGGUUCGACCUUGUCUAGCUUAAGAGGCAAGACAAUUAUUGUCGUUGGAAGGGAAUCUUUACCAGCACCGUAUAUCUGCUUUAUGUCAAGAAGGCUUGGCUUCUCCUCAACCCAUUCAGGAACUAUAUACCCAAGACUGCAAUGUGUACAGGGCCUCUCACUGAACCUUAUCUGAUAUCCGUUGCUAAAUAUAUAAGGCUGAGCAGUAACAAGAAACACACUCUUGAAACCAAUACCUGAAAUUCAACCAUAGGAAAGAUUAUGUCAAAGAUUUGUAUCAUCUAAAAUUUGGCUACUCUCGUAGAUAUCCAUUGUCAAGAAUAAUCUUACAGCCCUUGAUUCAGAUACUUCUUGAAUUAUACUAAUCACUAAAUUGAUUAAAAAGGCUUUACAAAAUAUACAAAACUGUCUUCGAAAAAAUAGCAUGUUUAAAUUUCAGAAAUAUAUUUUUCACAAGAAAUACUAUUGUGGAAACACUGUUAAAUUAGCCAAUGUUUCUUUCCUAUGAUAUAACGGCUGAAAAUAUCCUCUGUAUAUGAACAAAUUAAUUGAUAUUAAAUUGAUUCAAGAAAGUUAAAUGCCUAUACAUACAAUUCAACCAGGUACUAAAAUAUCAUUUAACUAUCAUUCAAUGAAAGAACCACAUAAUCACUAGUUCUUCUCAAGGAAAAAGUACAAAAUAAAUUAAGAGACAUUUAAAGGUGACAAUAUACCUUUUUCGCCUAUGUAACCGCUGCUCCUAUUGCCUUUCUUUGUUGACCGUCCAACACUGCAGAUAGAUUCAAUGUUUUGGCGAGAGAAACCCUUUUCAUUGUUGAAAAUUAGUAACGUGGCUGGAGCACCAGUAGCUGUUAUGUCCUUUGAAGUUAUGAUGAACUCCAAUGUUGGACUCACUCCUUCAAUAUAGUGGUUAUCUUCAGCAUUCUGUAUAAGCAAAGCAAAAUUUUAGGGUGAUGAGUGUCAACCAGUAUAAUUUGGAAAUAAAAUUGCAUCAUUCUAGAUAGAGAUAGAGAUGGACAUAGAACUAGAGAAACCAUUCUUUUACACUGCUAUCUAGCACUAACCAGUUACUGUUGGCAGCUGAAACAACAUACAUACUCAACUGUUAAGCAUGAUCACAUGAUCAAAAACUCAGCUUCUUAUUAGAAAUGGUUCAAAAGAAUUUCUAAUUCUUUUCUACAUUGUAUUGAAAGUUAAACAAAUAUCCCACAUUUGAUCCAACUAUAAUGUAGCUUAGAAGAAGAUGUCUAGAAAUAGAUUAUUUUCCAAAUAUAAAUAUUUGAAAAACUUGUUUAGAAACAUUGGUUAUUUUUUUGAGGCAAGGAACCUUGGUUGUUAAAACUUUUCUUUUUUGGCUUUAGAAGAAUAAGAUCUUAUAAACACACAUGUGACAGCAAAAAGAUUAAUUUAAUGAAUAAUUACAAAUGAAUGAUGAAAAAAAAAAUGGAUAUGAAAUGAGUGACUUAACAUUUAACAAAACCUCAAAUUUAAUUAAGGGGGAAAAACCUAGUUAACCAAUCACACCAGAAGUUCUAACAACAUUCUCUCCCACACAUUAUACCCAAAAUACUCGGUCAUUGAGUCAUCAUUGAUAAUCAAACCGGUCUCACAAUUUUAAAUAGAGUGCGUGUUGCUAGCACUCCUCUUUUAAAAAUGGAUCCUACUAAAUUGUGUGUCCUACAUAAAUUUGUUGGGAUCCAUAUGAUUUUUAAACACAAGAAAAGUCUGUGCUCGAAAUAGUGUGUUACAAAAUGGGUUGCUAAUAUUUUUCUAAACAAUAAUAUAACAAAAAGAACAGUGUAAAAAUGUUUUUCAUGUGUCUAACUAUAUUUCACUAUAGUAUCAUGUCAUACGUUAUUUCCUAUAUGCAGAAAUAUCUACAUAGGAAAAUUUAAUUUUACAUGGUCAUAAAUUUUAUACAAUCUAUCCGUGCAAAUGUUAAGGAAUAAAGCUAUAUUUUAACCUCCAAUAAUAAUACUAUAAUGAAAAAUGCAAUAUUACAACUUCAUAACAAAGAAAAAAAUAUGCAUUAUUAAAAAACUAGCAUAGAGUUUGUAUGUAAGAAAAGAAGUGUAAAAGAAAAGUGAUGAAAAGGUGACUAGGUAAGGUACCUGAAUGAGCUCCAUUAGGAAAUGAACAUCUCUGGUAUAUAGUUCAUCUGAGAGAUUCUUGACAGCUUGGUGAAGGUCCUCAGUCAAAGGGUUUGGAUUGCCACCAAUGGAGAACUUUUUCCUUCGUAUCUCUUCAAUGUGUUUUUUCUGUGUAGCCAUUUUGCUCAUAUCUCAAUCCUCAAAAUCAAGUGCCGCAAAGUAACUGGUAGUGAAGUACACUGUUUGAAAUGUGUAAGAGAAUACAAGAAGAUCAUUAAGCCGGAGAAGAAGAAAAAAAAUCAAGUUUUAAUUUUACUUGAAAGGUUUAACACACUUCAAAACUAGUGAUUACUUCCUCAAUUUUGCAAUUUUUAUCUAGACAAUACAUAAAUAAUUUUGAUUUUAAUGAAAUGUUAAAUAUCUGAUUACCAUUCAAGUAGUUUUUAGAAAAAGGAAGGAAUGAACAAUUUUUAUAUUUAUUUGUUAUUUUUAAAUUUUAAUGUUAUAUUAACUACUUUUCUGUCAAUUACACCCUUACUUUAUGAAAUAUUUUACACUUACAUUAAUAGACAUAGUAAAUCAGUGAGUAGACUAAUAACAUGUAAAGAGAGUAGUGUCCUCCCACUCUUUUGUUGAUAUUUUCUGCGAGUAACAGCCGAGUCUAAUCCAUUCGAGGAUUUAGCAUGUUUAAAGGUUGUCUCUUUUGUACGUCUAAGUCAGAAAUUCAACUCAUAGUCCGCAAACAUAAAGGACUCAAAUUACUUAUCAUUUGAACUAUACAAGUUUGGUCCUCUCCAAUUUCAGUACAACAGCCUUAAAACAUGAAAAGAAACAAUUGUAAAGGUUUAUUAAUGUUUAGGUUAGUUGGGAUGGGAUCAGAAUCUCAAAAACUAACAAUGGUUGAGAAAUUAUAAUAACAAAAGAAAUCUUGAUUCUUUAAUUAAAUUAAUGCAUGAAAACUGAUGAUAUAGUAAAUAAUACUAAUCAAUCUUGCAUGGAGAAAGUCUUACCUAUUUAGAAGCUUCUUGCUAGCAAACUGAACAAGUGCAGCUGAUCCUACAAGUUUGAGAAUUGUUUCUAUAUCUACAAUUUGAGGAACAUCAAUAAACAAGAUAUGAGUAGAGUCAAACCAAAAUGGAUUAUUGCUUAUUGGAAAAAAGGCAACAACGCAAUCAAUCAACCUCAGAUAAAGUUAAUACAGAUAAAUUCAGUGGCUGCAGUAAUCCAAGAGCAACAUUCAAGCCAUUAUAGUUAUCCUGCAAUAAACUUCCAUUAAUUAGAAACACUUAGAAAAGCUAAAAUUUAAUGUCAUGAAAAAAAGUACUAUUUAUUUUAAGGCAAGCAAGCAUGUACAAGUGGGUCAAUCACCAUAUUUUAUAAAAUUAUCACACUUUCAUAUUUAACUGUCCUAAUGAGUAAGUCGUUUUCAAUUCUGCUCUUAUCCCUUCAUUGAUUACAAUAUUCCUCAAUUUGAGAAAGCUAAAAUAUCAUUUCUCUCAAAACAUAGUGCAGGUGAAUUGAGACAUGUUGAAGAGCUAAUGUAGAACAUGUUGUGAUAAGCUGUUUUCACAAGUUCACUUCAACAAUCUUAAAAGUGCUUACAUCGGCAAAGAUAAACUCAAAUAAAUGAAUCCAAACAAGAUGAUUUAUGUAAUUUGAAAAGUAAUAGUACAUACUCUAAUUGCACUAUUGAUAACAAUAAUUGUGAGAUUAGCAAACUCCAAACUGAAUGCUUGAUUUGGUUGUAUCCAAGAAGGAAGAUAAGUAUUCUGCAGAAAAUAAAUUCAAAUGUAAGUGAAUUAAUGAGCAGAGAAAAUUUGGUAGUAUGAUAAAUGAUAAAUAUGAAACAUAAAAGAGAAAAGUGUUGUUUUAAUUAGAAGUUAGGUGACGGCAGUGACGACGACGGAGGGAGGAAGAGGAAGAGGAGGAUUUGAGUCAUCAUCAAUGAAGACCCAGCAGAAUACAAAGAGUGUGGGAACUAAAAGUUUUAUAUUUUUGUGUGCGAAUAAAAUUGAAAUGAAUGAUAAAGUUUUUUCUCAAAAUAUUUAAUAUUAUUGUCAAAAGUGAAAUAAAAACUGAUUUUGGUAAAAUGUCUAUAUAACAAAAAAAUUAAAUUUUGUUAAAUCUUAUGAAAUUCUAAAAGAAAUUAUGAUAAAUGUUUUUGGGACAUUCUUUAAUGAAUCAAGAGAUAUCGUAUAUUUAUGACUUUAAUAACUAUUUGACUUAUAUUUUUAAAUAAAAUUUUUAUUUUUAAAGUUUCUUGAAUAAUGUUCUUUUGACACUUAUUGUUUGUUAGCAUGACUCAUUCUAAUAAGAUUAAAGGGAAAAUAUAUUUUUAAAAAGAAAGGAAAUAAUGAUUAAAAUGUUGUGUUUCAUUGGACGAGGUAUGUUAUUUAUUUUUUGAAAGGCAUUGAGGUAAGUUAUUUAAAGUUUCAAUUUUUUUCCCUUAAUAUAUUUAAGAUCCCAUUAAAUAAAAUGAUUGAUAUCUAAGUCAAAACUUUAAACAAUUUUUUUUUGUCAGAGUUUGAACCCCAACUUUUCAUAAUUAUGCAUUGUCCCUACCAAUAUCAAGUGAGCUAAGCUCACGAGGACAAACAAUUAUUUGAAAGAAACUUUACUCUCCUUUCCUUUUCUUCUCUUUAUACCUCUUUAACCAUAAACCACUAAUAAUUGUGACAGCCCAUAAGGUAGAGUUGAGUAUUAUUACGAGGUAUAGAAAGGUUUAUAAUUUUUUUUUUAGGGAAAGAAUAUUUUCUUUUAACAAUCAUAAAAAAUGUUAAAUAUGUUUUUGAUUCCUAUAAAUAUGUCAACUUUUUCGUUUUAUUCCCUCUAAAAAAUUUCUUCAACUUUUAGUCCUUCAAACAUAGAAUAAAUUUUUAUUACGUAGAAUUCUUACUUUUGAAUAAAAUAAAUUUUGCAGAUUUUUUGUUGUUGUGGUGCCAGGGGUUUGAUGCCCAGCUCAGGUCUUGCAUAUAUUAUGUAUGACCAUACAAACUGAGUUAAGCUCACGGGAACUGCAGAAAAAUUUAUAAUAUCUAUUUUUAGCCUACCCCACUUAGUGGGUUAAGGCUUGGUUGUUGUUGUAUAAAGAUCACUCCAAAAUAAAUUGGAAUAUUUUACCAAACCACGAAUUAAGUAUGAAAUUUUUAUAUUUGUGGUGGUAAAAAAUUCAUAUUUAAUUUAUGUUUUGUUAAAAAGUUCUAAUUUUUUAGAAUGAUUUUUACAAUAUUCUAUACAUUUCUGUACAAUUUAAUUAAAAAAUAUAAAAAUUUAUUUAAAAAUAGGGACCAAAAAUAGUGAUUGAAAUUAUAAGGACUAAAAGUUGAAGGAAAAUUUUUAAGGGACUAAGAGAAAAAAAAUUGGUAAAUUUAUAGGAAUCAAAAACAUAUUUAACGCUUAUAGAAAUGGGUCUCAUAUAAAGUGAUUAAACUCUCUUCUAUUGGAUGAAACAUAUAUGUGUCCCACAUAUUGGAAAUGAAAUCCACACUUUUAUUGGAUGAAACAUAUAUAUGUCUCACAUUUUGGAAAUGAAAUCCAUGUAAAGUGAUGGGACACACAUAUAUUUCAAAAAUGUUAUAUUCCCAUAAAUAAGGUAUCAAAAGAGGCGACAUGGACCUAGAUUGAUGACCAUAGUCGACCUUGUUCUAAAUAAAAUAAAAAAAGGGACCGUUUUAAUCAACAUGAUUGCGUCAUUUUCAGACUGCACUGCUCUUUGAAGGAUACGGUUUUUACAACAAAUCUCAUGUAAUUUUGUACCCAUAAGCAUUGAAUAAAAUUAUAUUUCAGUCAAAACAAACCCUAAAAUCAAAGAGAACACCACUUAAAAUACGAUAGAGGUGUGAUUUACCCAAACAAACCCUUAAAUCUUAACCCUAAAAAUAAAAAUAACGUUCCAAUAAAUAAGACAUCAAAAUGAUUUGAGGUAGACCUAGAUCGACCUUUUCAUGCAUCAUGUUCGUUAAAAGACAUACAAUAUCAAAGGCGAUAUGAAAACUUCAAGAGAUCGAAAUAGAACUCCUUCAAUGGCUAUAGCCUAUAUAUAAUUGCAUGCAACGUUUGAAUAUACUUAGGAUCAACAAAACCUAGACAAAUUUGAGAAUGCUAUUCUAAUGUUACAUAUACGAUUCAGAAAGAAAUUCACAAAAGAAAAAACAUUGACAUACUAAUAAAUAAAUAAAAUAGUCUAAGAAAUGGUACUAACCCUAAUGAUCGUGACAAAACCUUGAGUGUUGAUCGAUGAAUGGAUCCAAUAUCGGCGGUUCUGUAAUUCAGUCCCUCUAAUGCUGCUGUUUUUUGUGAUUUGUUGCCAUUUAAUAAUCGAUGCCUCAAAAAUGAGUUAUGUAUGGAAGUUAGUUUUAAUUUGAGGCACAAUUUAAGGAAGUUACUACUGUCAUUUUUUCUUGGUUAAAUUCAAGCGGUGAAUUUUAAUUUUGAAUUUCAUAUUCUUUUUAAUCACCGCUUAAUUUUCAUUUUUUAGGGAAUUCUGAAUUUCAUAUUUUUGGGUCAGUUUUGGUACAUAGAAUUUCAUAUUAUAUUUUUGACAUUUGGAUUUCAUAUUUAAAUCAAAUGAAAUUGAGUUUUUUGUUAAUUUAUAAUUUUUUUACUUUAAGGUUUUCAAGUUCUGAUCCUUCUAGUGUAUAGGUUUGAGACUUUAAAGUGGGUUACUCUCAAGCUUUUUCAGGUUCAAAUGAUCUUGGUGAUAAUUUAUGUGGGGUAGUUUCUAGCCUUUAAAUAUAGUCUUAGCAAGUAGACGGUAAGAUUGACCUCAAAAUUUAGAAGAAAAAAAAAAACAUUUUUAGUGGAAACUCAAGAGAAAUAAAUUAUUUGAAUUAAGUUAGGUAUUCUUUUAAUGUUAUUAAACUAUAAUCUUAAUUUAAAUACUUUUUUAUAUAAUUAAUUUCAUAAAUCAACAUUAUUCAUUUAGUUUACUUUUUAUUUUAAUAAUUUAUAAAAUACUUAGGCUAUGCUCCCUCAACAACAAAAAAAAAUACUUAGGCUAUGCUAUAGACUUUGCAAAACUUGAGUAUGAUCUAAUUAAAAAUGUUAGGUAUGAGUCAUACAUAUUAUCUAUCAUACUCUCAUAUUUAUACUUGAUCUGCCCUUUUUAAAGUAUUGCAAGACCUAAAAACAUGAAUGUAACACCAAUAUUGUCAUUAAUAAUAAGAAGAAAAAAAAAUUAAGCAACUUUAUUUUUAUUGGAAAAAAAGGACUUAAUAAGGGUCGUCUCUUCGCCUUCAAAUAAAAGGGUCGUCUUUUAUAAGUGUGGGUUUUUUUAUAAAAAAAAUAUGUUUGGUUAACAAUUGUCUCAUUCCUCCGAAUUAUUUAUAAGGGUAGGUAUUAUGGCUAGUUAUUUCAAUUUCAUUUCUAUCUACCUGGGAACCUUCUAUACCCUAUCACUUUCUUGAGAAUGGAUAAAUGGUAGUUAUAUUUUACCUACAAACAUUUUAUUCCUGGAGUUAAUCUUUAACUUUAAUUUGAACCAUACAUCUGACCUUUAUAUUUCUAAGAGUAAUUUUUCCAACCUUCAAACAAACACCUCGUAAGGGAAAUGAAGUAGGAAGGUAUUUUAUUCCUUGAAUGCUUUAUAUAUGUGAAUUAAUUUCCUUACUUUGUGAGAAACAUAGGAAUCUUUUUUCUUUAGAAUAGAAAUCCAUCUUUGUAAUAUAUUCUGAAAAUAAUUUUUACAACAGUGAAAUAUAUGUGUAUAUAAAUUAAGAAAUUAAUAAAUUAAUUUUAAAAUGUGAGACAAAGUUNACAAAAUCUUGGAAAAGUUAAUUAAUGGUAAUCAUUUUCGAACGGAUUCACAGGGUUUGAAUACCUUUCCUACGCAUAAUCGACCACCGAGUUUAAAAUUUGGUUUCAAAUACCAAAUUCUUUUAAAGGGCUUUCAGAUGAUCUCUUUAUUUUCCUUCAAAAAAAAAAAAAAAAAGAUGUUCUCUUUAUUUAAAUAAACUUUUGUAGUGAUUUCAUUGCUUUUGAACAACCCUCAAAUUUAUGCCUAAAAUUAUUAUUUCUCAAGUGUACAGCACCAUUUCUGGAACUUAGACAGGGCAAUUUUAUCAUAUGGUUAUAUGAAACUCAAUACAAAGAAAUGGUUGAGGUAUUGAUCAGUUGAAGUUGUGUAAUGGUUCCAACUUCAAACUGUGAUAGUAGCAAUUGUUAUCAGAACAUUGGAGUUCAUCGUAGAAAAGAUAUACUAUCAAUUCAAUCAAAAUAGUAGACUUAAGCUAUCAAUUAAGCAUAUAUAUAGUUGAGUUUUAUCCAAAUCUAAAAUUUUGAUUUUGAUUCUACAUGUACUGUAAAAAAGUAUUCAAAGAAAGUAUUUUAGAAACAUAAUUUUCUUAGAAAUGAACUUCAACGCUGAAAUUCUACAAGUACUGUAUAAUAAAACUCCAACAGGGUGCUCAUCAGAUAAUAAAGUAAAACAAGCAAGUUAUUGUAUCACAUAUAUAAUUGGAUAAUUCAGUCAUACACUGAGAGGAAAACAGAAAUAAACAAACAAAGAAAAUUCGAAAAAAAAAAAACAUUUUGAUCAGUUCAGUGAGUGCAGGAACAUGAUCAUGAUUCUCACGCAAAACACCCUCAGAUAAAUUUUUAGCAUGUUUCAUUGCAUCAUUGCGAACUCUAUCCAUCUUCUGGAUUAUAAACAUAGAUAGAACUUUGACUUUCCAAACGUACCCUUUUGUUUGCUGAUGAUAAUGAUAAACAAUAAUAGCUUACAUUGAUUGGCUCCUUUGAACAGCUGCGUGUCUCAUUUUUGGUACCAUUUUCAAGCCCUUUAAGUUGAAAAGGUCAUUUGCAUCAACAUGCAUGCUUCAGUUUCGCCUAUGUAACCGCUACUCCUAUUGCCUUUCUUUUUCGCCUAUUAUAAUCUUCCCCCAAUAACUGUUUCACCAACUCCACUAAUUAAUCAUUAAGUCGUGAUUGAGAUGGAAGCCUUCUUUUUCUUUUUUCUCUCUCCAAAAAAAUACAAUAGUUAAUUUAACCUUGAAAUUACCCUUCAGAAGAAAAAAUUAACCUAUAAAUUUAGAAGUGACAACAAUUAUGAAAUUUUAUUUCUUAAUAUUUAUACUAUUCAUUUAAAAAAAUUACAUAAGUUAUUCUUCAUUAUUUCUUGAAAUCUUAUAUUUUAUCUGACCAAUACCUUCGACUAUACCUCUGUAUUUUAAGUAACCAAGUGAAUUACUUCUAAUAAUCAUUUGACAUUACAUAAUCAUAGUUUCACAAAAUUUAGAUAUAUUAUAAAAUUAAUGCACAAAAUAGAAAAUGGUGGCCUAAAGAGUUAAGGGUUCAUUGUCGAAAAAAUUCUCAAAUUUGUUGGAAUAAGCCACACUAGUAAAUUCUCAAAAUUUAACUCAACCUACAUCCUUACUUUUAAAUUGAUUAAACAAUUUCCAUUAUGAUAACUGCUAUAUUUAUUUUCUUACCCAAUACCUUGGUUAGCAUUUUACAAUGGAAAAAUAGAAAGGAUCCCAACUCGUUCAUAAUUUGAUAUACUUCACCCUCCAAAAUAAAUUGCUUACUAAAAUAAUCUUCAUAAUUUAGUGUGGCAAGAGCACACAACAUUGUCACUUCCCUAUAAUCAAGGAACCAUGAAUUUAGUGCUUAAAACAGUUUUUUUUUUUUAAUAAAAUGAAAUUCAAAAUAGUUUCGGAUAGACUAGAAGUCCAAUAAACAAAAUCCCAAGACAAGCAGGACCCGCGAAAUCCUAUGCACCUUGGCUUUACCACCCUCUCCACGUCAUCUCCAAUGGCUCCUUAAGAUGACGCCGCAUUUCCCGUAAGUUGUUAUCACUCUCGACGUCUAUAUAAGGGUGACUCAACUACUAAAAAAACUAUGAUCCAUAGUCCAAAUAAAACAAACUGGUCUCUUUCAUGCAUCAUAUUCAUUAAGGUCAUAAACACAUUUAGAGUAUAUGGAGAGCAUGUGAAAACAAGAUAUCAUACUAAUGGAAAAGAAAAAAACUUUGACAUUUAAAGUAUAUACUCGAUCGAAAUCAAAAUAAAUUCACAUAACAAACUUUUACAUUGUAAAAUAAUAAUCUAAAAAAAAAGUAUUACUAACCCUUUUGAUGGUGAUAACUGAUGAUAUUGGAGUGGAUCUCUCUUUGACUUCAACUUGAGUCGUUUCCUUCUUUCUUUGAAUCAAAAAAUAAGAAAUGUUUGAAUUGAUUUGAAUAUGUCCAUUCACCUAAAUCAGCCUAUAAAUCAGACCAAUUUUUAAUUUAUAAAUUCAAAUAUCAAAGUUGAAAAAGUGUUCACCUAGUAAAAAAAAAGGUCAAUAAAAAACAACACGCCACCUAUUCCAUUUAAAUCCAAGAUUUCAGGAACUAUUCCAAAUCAUGGCAUUAAAUGUAGUUGAUCUAGUUUUGCCCAUAUAGCAAAUUAUGAGGAGGAAAAUAAGGAGCUAUCUCUUGUUUGUUACUCAACCGAGACCUAUAGCUCUUCGCAACGUUAGCUACAGGAUUAUAACUAAAGUAAUUAAGCAAAGGGACUUAGACAAGGUGAUCCAAUUUAUUCUUGCGCUAGAAAGACUUGGACGUAUUAAGAGACUGUGAUGAUGUCUUGGUUGUCAAAAAAAUUUCGAGUGUGAUCCUAUUACAUUAAUGCUAAAGAAGGAAGUUAUUGUUUUCUCCUUAAUUGGAUAUUUGGAUUUAUUUGAAUUGAAGAGGGUGCACUUUAACGAGUGUGCAUAACAUUGCGUUAAUUAUAUAAAAAAUAAUACUCCCUCCGUCCCUAAUUAUAGGACCCUUUUAAAAAAAUAACGGGAAUUAAGAUAGUUGAUAUUUGUAUUAAAUAUGUUUGUAAUUACUAUUGUUUUUACAAUUUUAUCCUUUAAGAGAGAAUUGGUUUAUGUUUUCAACAUGAUAUUUAUUGCUGAUUGAAGAAAAUUAUAUAUAAUAAAUAGGGGCAUGCAUGUAAAGAAAUAAUUAAUGUAGUUGGAAAUAGCAAAGGGGUCUUAUAAAAAGGGACAAAAAAAAUUCUCAAAAGGGUCUUAUAAUUAGGGACGGAGGGAGUAAUUGUUUUUGUAAUAUUGUGAAAUAUUUAAACAUAUUUCAUGGAUAUUAUCUUUAUUAUCAACAUUAAUGUAAUUUUUUUAUUAAAUAUUUUUUUCUUUUAUAUGCAAAAUUUCGUAUCGGAUUUAUACCUAGACCAUUAGAAUUACAAGUCACUUGCGAAGGCUGAAACAAUGGAAGAUCAAACCUCCGCCAAAGGUGAAAAAUCUUGUUUAGAGGGUAUGUUGCGAUUGUUCUUCUAUUCAUUCAUGCGCGGCUUAACUAAGUGUGUUGUUUAUAGUGAGAAUAUUGAGAAUACAUUACAUGCUCUGUUUACUUGUCCUUAGACGAUUUAGGUACGGUGAGAAAUAAACCUUUGGGAUUGCAUGAUUAUCAUAAUCGGGCAGUGGUUGUUUUGAAUUUAAUGUAUCAACUCCAAUCACCACAAUGUGCUUUAUUUGCAACCAUUCUUUGGAGUUUAUGGAAGCGCCGAAAUUUGAAAUUAUGGCAGACGAAACAACCUCUCAAGUUAUUGAGCUUCUGCAUAUGCUUGACCUUAGUUAAUUUACAUAUUAUCUGUUGUAACUUCACCUGUCAUUAGCUAACUUAUCUAUUAUCAGUUUUUUUCCAUCACAAAAACCAAAGCCAUUAGGUUUACCAUCUUAAAAUAUAUAUAUAUAUAUAUAUUUUAAAAAGCAUUUAUUUUAUUUCCAUUAUUAGAAUAUGCAAGAUCUGUUAACAAUAUUUUUUUGAAAGAAGAUCUGUUAACAAUUUAACACCAAGCAAUAACAACAAUGUAGUUAUGCUUCCUAUUCACCUAAAAAACAAUGUAAAUACGUUUUCUAUCCCAAAGAAGAAAAAAAAACAUAGAUACUUUGUGUACAGUGAACAUGCAGUGGUGCAUCCAACAUAACAGAAUAGUAGCAAAAUUACAGCUCAAAAUCCAGUCAUACAAUGAUAUCAAGAGUCUAAACAUGAUCACAUUUAUUGAUAGGGAAACAAAAGUACAACUCAAAAACAUAUUCAAAUAAAAACGACAAGUAAGCAAUGGCAAUAAUAAACUUAGCCAGAAGGGAACACAGAACUGAGGAACUCCUCAUCUGCAUGUUCAAUCUGCAAAUUCUUCGAUUCCAUGAGAAAAUCAAUUUCUUCAUUCUUGAAUUUCAUCACAUAACCCAAUGUGAUUAGUUCAGCCAGUGCAGGAACAUAAUCAUGAUUCUCAGGCAAAAUACCCUCGGAUAUUGCUUCAGAGAAAUUUGUAGCAUAAUUCAAAGAAUCACCGGGAACUUCCUCAAUCUUCUGGAUGAUAAACUUACAGCUUUGACUUUCCCAACGUACCCUUUUGUUUGCUUUCUUUGUAAUGAUUUCCCCCGAUGAUAAUGAUAAACUAUAGCUUACAUUGAUCGGUUCUGUUGUCUCAUGGAAACUCGAGUUGACAAGACUUUGAACAGCUUCAUGUCUCUUUUUUGGUUUCAUUUUCAGGUUAGGACAUGCAAGAAAACCAAGAAUAAGCUUAACCAACCCCUUUAAGUUGAAAAUAUUAUUUGGAUCAACAUGCUUCAGUUUACCACCAUCAUUCACCGAGGAUGAUUCUUCUUUGCAAAGUGAUUCAGAGAUAUUUCUAGCACCAAUUUUUCUGUAAAUGCGGGAUAGUUUAGACUUGGACAACGGUGUCAUGUUAUACUGAGGAUACCAUACAAAAACUUUUUCCUUCUCAAAAAGCUUCUUCAUAUGAAGACUAUCAGGAAUAAAAACAUCUUCCUUAUCAACCAGAAAUAUUUCAUUAUUCCCUGAUGUUGUAGGUAGUUUCAUCAAACUCGCAGCAAGUUUUUUCUCUUCAUUUGUUCUCAAAUGUUUCGAGAUAGACGUCCAGAACCUGCAACACUCAUCAUAUGACAAUUGCUUCACUGAACUUCCCCAAUCAUUCCAAAGGUCAACAUAAUCAUCUAGUGAGGGCUUCUUCUUGACUUCCAAUGCAUUGAAAAAAACAAGAAUAUCUCUAUCAUAGAGAUCUUCAAGAACAUAAUAUUUUGAACCAAAAAGUUUAGGUGGGUCGUGUAUGAUGCAUUCUUCAGAAUCAACCCACUUACCACUUUUAAUUGCAUCCAGAAUCCAAACCUUUUUUGCAGCUGUCUCCUCCGGUUUCCAGUUGUGUUCACAUAAGUACUUGUAUAUUUUCACAAUACUGUCAUGAUCAGAUAGGGACUCAAGGUGAUUGGCAAGCAAAGAGCACCCUUUCUCAACUUCACUAAUGACCCCUAUGGCAGCGAGUUCUUUAUGGUAAAGGACAAUUUCAGGUCCAUAAAAACUCUCAUCAAUAAAAGGCCCAUUAGUUGGAUUAAAGAAAGAACUCCACUUGGAAUUAAACAACAGAGACUUCUCUGGAGGCCUAUAACCAGCAUGUGUCUUCAACCAUUUUUUGGACAAUCUUUUUUUGAAAUCAUCUUCAAGAAAAAACUUCUUAUCUUGCAUUAGAAGUCGGAUGCAUUCCAUCAAAGAACACACACUUUCAGGAGUAAUAGUGGAUGGAUUGGAAGGAAAAUUCAGAGAUUCAGGUACAAAUGUCACUCCAUCUUUCAAUUCAGUAACAACACCAAUGUGCAUAAGCUCUUGCUUGUACUUGUGUAUUCUCGUACUAUCGUCAAUGAAAGGGAGACAAGUAAUUGAAGAAAUAGAUCCCCACUCCGGACCAUAUAAAAUGCAUUCUCUUGGUCUCCUAAGAUCACCAACACUACUAUGCAACCAACUCAUAUUACGUAUGAUGGUUGGGAAACCAGAAGGAAAACAAUAGCGAGUUCCCUUCAGCUUCCUGUAACAAGAGAGAAAUGAGAUAACAUGUGUUGGGUUAAUUGAGGUUUCUGAUGCCUUUUGUUUGAAUAGACUAGCAAAAAUAUUUGCGGCAUCCUUGAAAUCAACCAGCACCCCUAUUUGCUUUAAUUCAUCUUUGUAACUGAAAAUCUUCUCUCCAUAAAAUUUAUGGUCAAUAAUAGGAAUACCAUUGAAUACCUCCAAAAUGCAUCCCCACACUUGAUUGUACAAGAAACAUUCACAUGGUGCUUUGAAACCCAUGUUUGUCUUAAAGCACCUUGUUCUCUUUAUCGAAUUUAAGACUUCAAUAGGGACAUUCGAGUAUUUGAUGCAUUCCAUUAUCAAAAGAACAGCCUCAGCUGUCAAAGAGGCUAAAUUUGAGGGUGAUUUUAAAUGUUGUGUAACAACUUGGUAAUUUCCACUUAAAUCAACUAUCACUCCCAGCAACUUAAGCUCCUCUUUGUAGUUAUAUAUUUCCUCACCACAAUAAACACGACCAAUGAAUGGUAUAUCACUAAUUUGUGAUGCAACUUGCCAUCCGGAAUCAUUCAAUACAGAUCCCACAGGAGACCUAAAACCAUGUGAUGUCUUUAGCCAACUUCCCUGUUUGAGGAAGUCGACAAAUAAGUCUAAACAAAGAAAAAGACGACUUUUCUGGAGAUAUUGGAUGAAGUUAAGCAUCCAAAGAACAUGGUUCCUGGUUAAAGAGAAAGAAGCCGCACGAGACAUUAGCUCUCUUCCAAUGAAAUAACAUACUUCCACACACUCAAACCUCACUCCAACUCUUUUUAACUCUUCUUUGUACGCAUUUAUUCUUUCCCCAUAGAAGCUCUCAUCAAUCAGGGGGAUGUCAACAAGAUCUGAACCACUUUGCAAAAAAAUUCUCAAUGAUGAAUGAAUUAAGAAUGAAUUUGAAGGAGGCAUGUAUCUAUUAUGUGUAACUUUAAGCCAGCUGCCUUUUUUGAUGGAUUCCGAGAACCUCUCUGGUAGAUCAUACUCCAUAUUCUGAAUCCAAUCCAAAAGCAAAAAGGCAUUUUCUUUGGUAAGUGUUGUAUCUGCAGCUGACAACCCAGCAUUUGGAGGAUGUAUAAAAGGGAUGUCGGAAGCUUUAACAUGGCUUUUGAGGAAAGCAAUAAACAUCUCAGAAUCUGUACAUUGGCCUGCAUAAGAAGAUGCCUUUAGGUACACCUUUCCUAGCUCAACAUAAUUCUCAUCUAUCCAUGGAUCAGAAUUAGUCAAUUGUGCCCAUUUGCUCACAUUUGCAGGCAGAAGAACUCCAUCUCUUUCCUUAAUUAUAAGUCCAUAAUUGUCCACAAGUGGCAUCGAUUUACAUAGAUCACAAACCUCCCGACUAGUCAAAUAACCCUUUAACAAAGAGUGGUGUAAGAAAUGAGCAUAUGCAACGGCAAGCUUGCUCCUGUUAUUAAUAGAUUUGCAGAGGACUUUUGCAAAACUAUCCACAUUCAGAGUACAAACAUUAACAUAUUUUGUUAACCAAAACAACAAACUUUGCUUAUUGAGAAAUUGGUGGAUAGCUUGUUGCGUGCUUUCUGGCAUAAAACACUGGUUUGUUUUGCAAGCAAAUACAUUGUUCCAAUUGAUCAUCCAAGAACAAAGAUAAGUCUGACCUGAGUCUGCUAAUACUACUCUCUUGGUGGCACCUUGUUGUCUGCAUUCAUCAAUACUGAACAAACACGGAAACCCAUCAGAAGCCACAUAUUUAAUCAAAGGAAUGCGAGCGAUGUAGGAGGACUUAAACAAUGGCGGGUUUUUAGCAAUAAAGUGUAAAAGCUCAAGAUAGAUAUCUUCUGAUACUUCAUCCACGAGAUUAGAACUCUGGAUGCAAUUUGCAUACCAAUCAAUAAUCACCGGCUUCAACCCUAAAAAAUUGAGUACGUCAUCAUACUCACUUAUAUCAAAUGAAGAGCUCAAGAUUUUAAUCUGACCAUGAGAAAAUAGGUCAACAAAGUACACUCCUUCCUGCUGGGCCUUUGUCAAAAUAUUCCAAAAUUUAGGUAGUAGCCUGCUAACUUCAUGUGGCUUACAGAAGUGCUUCUGGUUCGAGAAUGUCUCAAUAGGAACAAUUUUUUCAUCAGCCAAAUUUGCUUCGAUUUUCUCCCUCACAUGAUUGAAGGUCUCAACAGGAGAACUAUUAAUUGGAAUGAACUUGAACACAUAUGGCAAGCUGCACAUUGGAGCUUCGUCUGAUCCUGUGACAAGUGUUUUGAAUGCAUCUAUAAAAGCUGAUGGAACAUAUUCAAGUAUCCCUUUAUUCCACUUAUCAUCCAAGAGAAUUGUCUCCCUUGACGAGGCAAGAACAAAAUCUGCCUGAAUUAUGAAUGGAAAAUUAGUGACCAUCUCUGUAGGAAGAAAUGCGAAAACCCCUGGUAAGCUCUUAUCCUUGUGAAGCCUCUCCUGGUGAGGGAAGGCCAAUGUCACAACACACUCUUCCACACCCAUUCUCCUUUCCACAACGUUCUCCAACUUGACAGGAAACUUUUGCUUCCAUAUGUAGUAGCUGCAUUCCUGUUCGUCAUUAUUGUUUUCCCCCGCAGAUAAAUGGAUUGUGUAAGAUUCAGCAUCCAUGUUUCUACUUGUCUCAAAGUUGAUCUCGCUUGAAAUAGAUACAGCAGUUAAAGUGUUCUCUUUGGGAUCCUCACUAUUUUCUCUGACAGAAAGGCGUCUGAUUUUUGAAAGGAAGAGUAAAACUUCCGGGUGGAUGCUUGAGAGUUGCUGGUUCACAAACCUUACCCUGUCCGGCUUCAGUGGUAAGACAAUUAUUGUAUUUGGAAGGGAAUCUUUACCAGCACCAUAUAUUUUCUGUAUGUCAACAAGGGUUGGCUUCUCCUCAACCCAUUCAGGAACUAUAUACCCAAGACUGCAAUGUGGACAAGGCCUCUCGUUGAACCUGAUCUGAUAUCCGUUGCUAAAAAUAUAAGGCUGAGCAGUAACAAGAAACACACUCUUGAAACCAAUUCCUGAAAUUCAACCAUUGGAUAGUUUCUGUCAAAAUAUUUGGAUCAUCUUCUACUAUUUGGCUACUCUAAUGGAUAUCCAUAUUCAAGAAUAAUCUUAUAGCCCUUGAUUCAUAAGAUUUAUGAAUGAUAUUAAUCAUUAUACUUUAUUAAUAAGACCUUUCAAAAGCUACAAAACUGUCUAUAAAAAAUAGCAUUUUUAAAUUUUAGAAAGAUAUUUUGCACAAGAAAUACUCUAUUUAUGCAAAUGAAUUAAUGGUAUUGACAUUGAAUUGAUUCAAGCAAGUUACAUGUUUAUACUUAAAAAAUUACCCAGGUACUAAAACAUCAUUGAAUAUUGGUAAAAAGAAAUAUAUCAUUCAAUGAAUUAAGCAACCACAUUAACACAGGUCUUUCAUUCAUAAGGCAGAAGUACAAAAAGAAAUUAACAGACAUUUAAAUGUGAUAAUAUACGUACCUUUUUCACCUAUGUAACCGCUACUCCUAUUUUCUUUCUUUGUUGACCGUCCAACACUGCAGAGGGACUCAAUGUUUUCGCGAGAGAAACCCUUUUCGUUGUUGAAAAUAAGUAACGUUGCUGGAGCGCCAGUAGCUGUUAUGUCCUUUGAAGUUAUGAUGAACUCCAAUGAUGGACUCACUCCGUCAUUGUAGAGGUUAUCUUCAGCAUUCUGUAGAAGUUAAGAAAAAAUUUAUCAUGAUGAAUAUCAACCACUAUCAAGGUUGUUAAACUCUCAAGUUAACCCUUACGAAAACAAGUUAACUUGCACGUAAACUCUCUUUUUAGUAAACAAGUUACAAGUUCGAUUAAAUUUUGAUCAAAUUGGUAAACCCUUUAUUUCACUAGUUGCUUAUGAGUUUACAAUUAUAAAGGAGUAGUUUAUGAGAAACUAUUCCUUUACACUACUGCCUAUCGCUAACCAUCGACGGCAACUGAAACAAUGCACAUGAUAGCAUCAUUCUAGAUAGAGAUAGAUCAGAUGAACAUAGAAAUACAGAAACUAUUGCUUGACACUGCUACCUAGCACUAACCAGUGUCUGCUGGAAACUGAAACGACUCACAUACUCAACUUUUAACCAUAAUCACACACAUGACCACAAACUCAGUUCAUUAUUAGGAAUGGUUCAAAAGACUUUCUUAUUCUCUUUUAUAGUAAAAAUUAAACAAAUCAGCCAGCAUUGUAUCCAACUAUAAUGUAGCUUAGUUGAUAUCUAGAAAUAGAUUAUUUUCCAAAUAUAAAUAUUCAUAAACUUGUUUAGAAACGUUGGUUAUUAAAACUUUUCUUUUUGUUUCAGAAUAAGCUCUUCUAAACACACAUGUGACAUGUUAAAAAAAAUAAUUCAAUCAAUAGUCACAUAUAAAUGAUAUUCUUGUUUUUUGGAAGAUGAGCUUGAGAAUAUAGGUCAAGUCUGGAUAAACAACUUUUUUGCAUUUUAUAGCUUAAGUGUUUAACAUGAUAAGUCCUUAUGUAUGAACUAAACAGUUAUAGCAAAAGAUAAAAUAACGUUAAAUAUUUUUCGUAUAAGCUAUUAGCUGGUUUCACAAGCUAUCUUUGGAGAACUUACAACAAAUUGAUAACAACAUGUGACCAUGUCAUAAGCAGGUUUCACAAGUACUCCCAAAAAAAUCUCACAAAUAUUAUGCUAGUAGAUAAAUUCAAAUAAGUCAAACCAAAAACAGACCUAAGUGACUAACAAAAUACACAUUUGAAGACCAAAACGAGUAACUAAAGAGACGGUGGAGUAGUUCAUAAAGUCUGGCUCAACUGAUAAAUAUUGAUAUUGUUAGAUUGGACGUCGUUACCUGGAGUCAGUUUCAAGCAAUGAUUGUCACUCAUGCAACAAAAUAAGUGACUGGAGAAUUUGUUUGCAAUUUCAAUACAUUCAGCGACCAAAAUAAUUGUUUACUGGUUUUUGGUUUGAAUCAAGUUCUCAUUUCACAAAUUGUAUAUCAACACAAUAUAUUGAUUCUAAACACACAUUCAUUCAGCUGAAGAUGACAAAGUAAUUUGGGUGCAAUAAUUGAGUUUCUAUCUACCAGCAAAAAUUUAUAUGUAUGUUAUCUAGAUGCAGGGCCGUCCCUGAGAAUUCGGAGGCUCGGCUCUGGAAAUGAAAAGAGGCCAGUGAUAAAAUCAAAACAUAAUUUUUUUUUAAAAAGAGCAAUGUUCUAUUUAUAUUUUUUAAAAGAUAAAUACAAAGUGCCGUAUAUAUGCGGUACACCCAGAGAUGAAAAUGACUACCGUAUACAUGAGGAACCCCCACCUAACACCAAAAUCAAGAGGAACUAAUUCUAAUAAUCCUAAAAGAGGCCCAUCCUUGUGAGGGAAUGAAAUAAUCUUAGGGGGGCCUAAGAGAUAUUAAGGGGGCCUAAAAAGAAACCACCAUUAUACUGGAUAUAAAAAAAAAUGAGGCCCAUCCUUGAGGGAGGCCCAGCUCGUUUGAGCUGUUUGCACCCCCUCAGGGACGCCCCUGUUUAGAUGUAUGUUAUUCGAACAAUCGUUUUGUGACGUGACAACUUAUAAAACAAUUAAAUACAUACAAAGAAAUAUAAGUAUUGACAUGAAAACCAAAGAAAUAGUGAGAGAGUAAGAAAACGACGAGAGUAUAAGAGAGGCAAUUGUUUCAAAAAUCGUCACAAAAUAGUUGUACAAAUAUCAUUUUUUGUUAUGCAAUCAGAUUAGAAAGAGAAAUACUUAGUUAAAUACAACCCCAAAUAAAAAAUAUUUGAACACACAUAUUUAAAUAAAAAAAUUAAGUUUUAUCACAUCUCUUCCGUUAUUUUUCUUUUAAGUUUUAUCAGUUAUGUGUGUGUUCAAAUAAAUUUUAUUUAAGAUUAUAUAGUUGUUCAAGUUACUAAUGACUCUCUCGGAUACUCUUUCCGACAUACUAAUAAAAAUAUCACACUUUUGACCCAAAAUAUAUAUAUAUAUAUAUAUAUAUAUAUAUAUAUAUAUAUAUAUAUAUAUAUAUAUAUGUAUGUAUGUAUAUGUAUAUCACAUUGCUAAAUUAUGUGUUGCUAACAUUGUUUUAAGAGAGAGAAAAUGGUGGAUACUUUUUUUUUACGAGAAAUGGUGGACACUUUAUUCACCUAAAAAUGGUGUCUUGAAGGUGAGAAUGUGGAACUCACCCGAAUUGUAGUGUCUAAAUAUCACAACCUUCUUUUUAAACAAUGAUAAUUCAGUUAUGCCAUAAUAUUUCAUAAAAAUAUUAAUAGUAAUAUUUCACCGCGUUAUGCCAUAAUAUUAAUAUUUCAUAAAAAUAUCUACAUGAAUAUCCAGUAAGUAAGAUAUAAUUUGAUGGAGGUAUAUAAAAAAAUGGUAGAGCUGGAAAGGUUAAGGAAUAAAGUAAUAUCGUAAACACCAAUAAUACUAUGAUUCAUAUGCAUUAUUAAAUAAAUAGCUAGCAUAGAUUGUGCAUGUAUAAAAAUAAGUGAAAAAUUAAAAAGAUGAAAACUGACUAAGUAAGGUACCUGAAUAAGCUCCUUGACGAAAUGGACAUUUGUGGAAUAUAAUUCAGCCGAGAGAUUCUUGACAGCUUGAUGAAGAUCUUCAAUCAAAGGAUUUGCUCGUUUCUCACCAAUAGAGAACUUUUCUCUUCGUAUCUCUUCAAUGUGUUCCUUCUCUGUGGUCAUUUUUUCCAUAUCUCACUUCUCAAAAUCAAAGGUGGCAAAGUAUCCAGCUAGUAUAGUGAAGCACACACUCUCUGAAGUGUAUAAGAAAAUACAAGAAGAUCAUUUAUUUAGUAGAGAAAAAAUAUGUGUUAAGGUUGUAAGAACAACUAAGAUGAUUGACAAUUGCAGGAAUGUUAACAUGUAGGAAUUUGAAUUCCGACCUAAUUUUUUUUAUAGGUGUGUGUGAUCGUAUAAUAAGUUACUAAAUCUAUCAAUGGCUGAAAAAAAUAAAAUUAAUAACAAAAGAAUUUUGAUUCUCCCUUCACUAUAUUUUGUUGGCAAAUUUACUCAUGUUUCUUUUAACAUAAUUUCAGUUUAACGAUUUUUCCUUUUAACUUUGUUUCAUGUCAUUUUUGUCAUUUUAAUCAAUUUACAUAUAAAUUUUCAAGAUUCAAAUUUAUGGUUUUAUUUGGAUAUGAGCUCUUAGUAUUCAAAUAUAUGACCGUCAUCAUGUUUUCAUACAAAUUUUAAAUUUGAUACCUGAAAAUCCAUAUGUAAAUAGUACAAAAGGACGUGAAAAAUAAAUAAAUAUCGAAGUCGUUAUCUGAAAUUUGUUAGGGAGUCUGGGUAUAUAUGGGUCUCCUCUCUUAUAUAUCCAACAUUUUCUCCAUUCCUAGUCGAUGUGGGAAAUAAUCACUCACACUUGAAACUCAACAAUCUCCCCCUCAAGUGUGAGUCACCCACAUCACUAGCUUGAUCCACACUAGGAUCUUGCUCCCACUCCCCCACCGAGCCUAACCAAGGGCUCUGAAACCAGUUGUUGGGAAGCCCCGGGAGCGGCAAUGGGUCAAACGUCCAGGACCAAUAAGAGACUUAGACGCCACAUCUCCACCGAAAACCUUAAGGCAUCAGGCAUAUGGGUCUUCUCUCUUAUAUAUCCAACAUUUUCUCCAUUCCUAGUCUAUGUGGGACAUAAUCACUCACACUUGAAACCCAACAAAAUUAAGUUAAACGACAAGGAACAUAAUUUUGUCUAAUAUUUUUUGUUUUGAGCUUAAUACUAUUCAUUAAAACAUUAAUCAGUCUUGCUUGGAAUACAACCUUACCUUGGCAAAUCUCGAGCUUCUUGCUAGAAAUUUGAACUAGAAUAUAGAGUAUCCAACAAGUUUGAGAAUUGUUUCUAUCUACAAAAUGAAGAACAUCAAUAAACAAUAUGUUAGUAGAGUCAAACCAAAAUGGACUAUUGCUUGUAAAGUUAAUACACCAAAUUCAGGGUUAGCUGCAGUAACCCACGAGUAAUAUUCAAGUAGUCAUUCUAGGUAUUCUCCAAGAAUAAGACUCAAAAAAUGAAAAAACAAAUGUUAUAUUUUUCUUUUUAUUCCCUAUCAAAUCAAGAACUUUUAAAUUUUGUCCCCAAAAGAAAUUAUUCACUUUUAACUCUUAUCUACAUUUUAUAGGGCUAGGCCUAAAACUAUCCAUUUUUUUAUAUAAAGUUUUGAAAAUAAGGUCAAUUUUUUUUUUUUGGUUACAAAAAUAAGGUCAAUUGAUAUCAAGUAAUUAAACAAAGCAUUUAUUAAUUACUCUUUUUGUUCAUUUUACAUUUUUUUGUCGAACUUAAUUCUUAUUUAUUUUUAAUUUUGAAAUUUAAGGUUUGAGUUGACUACAUUUUUUUAAUUAUACCAUUUCCUUAGAAAUUAUUUUAGACUUGCAUUAAUGAAUAGAGAAUGAACGAGUGAAUGGGUCAAUAAAAGUUAAAAGUGUAAUAUUUUAUAAUAUUUGUUUAUUAAUAAAGUUAUUUUUAUUUUGUAAAAAAGAACCUUUAAAAGUCAGGUGUGUAUAAAAAAGAAGAGAAUAAUUGUAUAAAAGAUAUAUAAAUGUAAAAAAUAACAAUUGUUUUUAGAAUAACAAAAGAACACCAGACUUAAUAAUUUUGGUAUUUUUGUUGGUUGAAUCAAAACUUAAAAAAAAUAUAUUAUUGCUCAAGAUAUAUAUAUAUACUCAUGUCUGCAAACACUGACUAGCUACGAAGUGUAGGAGUUAACAUUUUUAAAUGGUGAAUUUGGAUAAGCAUAAAUUAUAGAUCAAACAUGUGAUCAAAAAACUCAUACCGCUUUGGGACACCAUCAUAUCACCCUAAAAUUUUGUAACAAAAAAGAGACUCACAUUGCUUACCAUUUGAGGGUCCGUUUGGUUCAACGAAGGGGAGGGGAGGGGAGGGGUUUUAGUGGAGGGGAGGGAAAGGGAGGGAAGGGAAGGGAAGAUAUUUCAAUUAAAUAUAUGUUUGGUUCAAAUGAUGGGAGGGAAGGGAAGGGGAGAGAUUUUAAUCAAAUAUAUGUUUGGUUCACAAGGGGAGGGUAGAGAUUUUAAAACUAAAUUACUUUUUUAUCCCUCUAAUAUUAAAAUAGUAUCACGAUUUUUAAAUUAUCCACUUAAUAAAAAAUUAAACAUGAAAACUUAGUAACCGUAAACACCAUAAAUAAUCAUACACAAAACUUCUGACAAGAUAUUGGAUAUUCAUAAAUAUUAGAGCACUGAUUUAUAAAAUAUAUUUAUAAAAUAAUCUACGAAAAUAUAAAAAAAUUUAUAAAAAAAUUAUUGUUAGAACUGAUUUAUAAAAUAUAUUUAUAAAAAAUACCGCACAAAAUUUGUUGAUAACGUUUUAAUAUAUAAUACAAUUAAAAAAUAUUAAAUAAAAAAAAUGAGAACAACGUUAGUACAAAGAAAAAAGAAUUCUUGUAAAAAAAAUAUUAGAAGAAAAGAAUAUGUGGUUCUACUUUAAAAAAAAAAUUAAAAAAAAAAAAAAGGAUGAUAUAGGCAUGUUAAGAAAAAAGGGUAAUAAGCAAUAUAUUGAAAACACUUAAAUUUUUAAUAAGGACGAUUUUGUCAUUUAAAAAUGAAUAUGAGGAUAAUUAUGUCAAUAUAAUUAAAAUUGCAUUAAAUCAUUUAUCUUUCCCUCCCCUCCCCUCCAAAAAACUCCAAUUUGAGGGGGAGCAAUAAAUGAACUUAUAAGGGAUUUUGCUCCCCUUCCUCUCCCUCCCCUCCCCUUCUAAAAAUUGAACCAAACACAAGAAAUUUAAAAUAUUCCCUCCCCUCCCCAUCAAAACCCCCGAACCAAACGGACCCAAGCACACCAGUUUGGUCCUCUCAAAUUCAAGUAAAAAAAAAAAUUUAAAAUAAUAUCAAUCAACCAUUAAAGAUUUGCUUAUUUAUUUAUUUUCAAAUAAAAAAGUCAGAAUUAUAAAAGUUUAUUGAAUAUAUUAAGGCUCGGUUGGGAUCAGGAUCUCAAAAUCUAUCAAUGGCUGGAAGAAAAAAAAAAUAAAAAACAAAAGAAACUUUGAUUCUCACUUUACUAUAAUGUUUGUUUUGAGCUUAAUUAAUAGUAGUACUAUUCAUUAAAAACAUUAAUCAGUCUUGCAUGGAAAAACCUUACCCUUAGCAAAAAGAAGCUUAUUGUUAGAGAACUGGACGAGAGAUGAUACAAGUUUGAGAACUGUUUCUAUCUACAAAAUGAGAAACAUCAAUAAGCAAAAUUUUAGUAGAGUCAAAAACCAAAAUGGGUUAUUGCUUAUAGGGAACAACUCAAUCAUAUCAACCUCAAAUUCAGUAGUAGAUGUAGUGAUCCAAGAGUAAGUACCUGCAAUAAUAAACCUCCAUUAAUUAGAAACACUAAUGUCAUGAACAAAUUAACUUUGAGAUUGUAAAAUAUUAAUAUUCUGGAUUGCUAACCUUUCUUGAUCGUCCUUUCUCUAAUAUUGCUCCCAGGAUGAUUAUGUUUCUUUCAAUCAAAAUAAUAAGAAAAUUGAAUUUCUUUUCUUUAGAGGAUUGAAGAAUAUAUAUUGUUUCUCCUAAUAAUUCACGUCAAUAUAUCAGGCUAUUUCCUAAUAUAUUUUUAUUAAGAAUCUGUCCGAUAUAUUAGUCUAUAUGAGAAACUUUUUUUUAUGGAAUUUUAUUUUUAAUUUUUUACUUUUUAUGGGGAAAAAAAUUGGUAUAAUUGACCGGCAACCAUAGCUUUUACAUGUGAUAUGUAGAGGUCAGGAAAAAAAUUAAAUCAAAUUUGAUUCUCGUCAAAAAUAAAAUAUUUGCAAGUUUUUAUUACUUAAUAUAUUGACUAAGGUCAAGUACAAAUCUUUGGAUUUUAAAAUCUUAAGGCCAAACAUUAAAAUUUGAAUCGAUAAAUAUUCAUAUUUUUGGUAAUACAAUAAAAUAUUUAUAUUUUUACCUAAUUCAAAAUUGGUAAAUUUUAAAAUCUUAAAAGAUUACGUUUGAACUUGAAUCAAUAAAAAAAGUAAAACAUUUAAAUCUUGUUUGCCUAAUGAAAAAUCAAAUUUGAAUUUUGAACGCACUCAUAAUUUGAUAGGCAUAUGAAUGUAAUAUUUAUAUUCGAUUCAAUAUAAAAUAUUUACAUAAGAUUUGUUAACCAAUAGUUUCUUUUUUUGAAGGAUUAUAGUUAAUAAUACAUUCUCAAAAUCCUACACUUAACCUAUUAUAUUUUAAAAAAUAAACUGCAAUCUAUCAAAAGAAAGAAAAUUAAGACAAGUCUUAAAUUUCUAGACAGAAAGUUUUUGUCUCUCAUAACGGUGCUACCUGUUUUAAAAAUUAAUAAUAAUCUAUGCAGGUUCCGUGCAGAGAUAUUUUGGGAGAAAAAAAUAAUAUAUAUAUAUAUAUAUAUAUAUAUAUAUAUACACACACACACACACACACUAAACAUAAACGAUUUGAGUACAUUUUAAACAUUUUUGUAAGUUCUCGUGAGCUUAGUUCAGUUGGUAUGGACAAUGCAUAAUAAUAUGUAACAUUCGGGGUUUGAAUCCUGGUCACCACAAAAAAAAAAAAAAAAACAUUUUUGUAAAAAUUAUUAUAUUGAUAUAUGAAAGUUUGAAAGCUAACAAUAAUUAAAGAUAGUAUUGUAACAAUUGCAAUAGAUGCAAGAGCUUUCCGUGAAUAUCAUAAAAAAAUUAAAUGUUUAUUUUUAACAAGCCAAAAUGGAUUUAUAAUAUUAUAAUAGGUGAUGCAACUCACACAAGGCCUGCAAAAAAGAACAUCACUAAGAAAUUUACAAUGUCAAGUCAUCGAUGUCAAAAGAAGAAACACCGCAAAAAACUGAAGUAAUAACAAAUUACACCAUAACACUCAUACAAACUAAGGGGUGCCGCCAUCAAUCGUGGUACCUAAAAACAAAGAUGUGCAUAUUAGACUUUAGUCAAACGAAAGAAAGCCUUUUAACCUUGCCCGCCAUGUUAUGUGAAUCCACAGCCUUGUUAUUAAAAACUCUAUUAUUACUUUCCUUCCAAAUAACCCAGACAUAAGCUAGCCAGAUUAUCCUAAGGAAAGUGUGAGAAGAACACGGUAACCACGCAAGGUGCCUGAACUGAUGCAGAUGAUCCUGAGCCAAACUUGGGAUGACGCAGGAGAUGCCAAGCCACCUAAAAACCAAGAACCAAACACUACAGAAUGUGUAGCAGCCAAAAAACAAAUGAUCCAUGGUCUCAGGUGAACCCCACCCCACACACACACUCUGUCAUCACUUCAUCACUUUGAAGGAUGCGUCGUUGCACCAAGUUGUCUUUUGUUGAAAGUCGAUUGCGAAGAAGCCUCCAUGCGAACAACGAAAUCUUUAACGGUGCUUGUCUGUGUCACACAUCGUCAAACAUUCCCCUUUCUGGAGGUACAUCUACCGUCGUUAGGAGAGCUCUACUCUCUAGUACAAAGCGUGCAAAGAAGAGCAAAGCAAAAUAUAGCAAAGUAUUCUGAAUAUAUACAAAAAAGACACUCAACCAAUUCCUAAACAGACAAAGAGGUUGCUGCCACCACAUAUGGUAACCAAAAGGAAAUUAAAACAUACACUUUUAGCUUUCAACCACUGUAGAGAAGUAAUUUUGAUUUUUUUUUUCUUCAGAAGUUGCAUAAUUGUUUUAGCAUUGUUAGAGAACAGCCUAUGAUUCCUUUCGUUCCAUAUCACUCAAACACGCAAAGCCAAAUAAAUUGCAAGAAUGAUCGGUGGGGUUUAAAGCCUCUUGAAGAAUAAGCCAAAUAAUGUCCUCGAGGCUACCAACGUUUUUUGUGGUGCUUUAUGUGGUAAGGAGGAGGACAGAGACCAUUUAUUCUUUCAAUGUGAUUAUUAUGGUCGGUUAUGGCUUAUGCUAUCAGAUUGGUUAGGUUUUGUCACGGCGCUCAAUGGAAACUUAUAUUCACAUGCUAAUCAGUUUUGUGCACUUGGAGGAUUCUCAAAGCAUUCUAUGUAAACUUUUUCUAUUAUUUGGAUUUCGGUCUUAUUUUCUAUUUGGAAAGAUCGUAACAGGAGGAUUUUUCAAAACGAAAUUGUUCAUAUGGAAGUUCUUCUUGAAAGGGUCAAACUUCAAACGUUUUGGUGGUUGAAAGCGAACUACAUAUUGUUCGUUUUUGAUUAUUCUUAUUGGAGGCAAAACCCAUUAUCUUGUUUACAAACUAUUGUGUAAAGUCUGUUUUUUGGUUUUUGUUUUAUGGCGGAUGUAGCCUUUUUGUAUUCUCUGUAACUUUCUCAGCUCCCUUUGGCACAUCUUGUGCUUAAGGGACUGAUUAUUUUAUCUAUAUAUAUAUCAUUUAGCUUCUUCAAAAAAAAAUCCAUUAUAUAUUGGGUAUCCACUGAAUACACACCAAUCCAAGUUUUGAUAUGUUGUCAUAGUUCAUCGAAAGUGAGACAAUGAAUUAAGAGAUGGUAUGUUGAUUCAUUGUAACCACAUCCGUCAUACACAAUUGAGAAUCAAAUGGAAUGAUGCCGCGACGAACAAAAUUAUCCUUGGUAGACUACCUGUUGCGAAGAAGAUGCCAUGCACAAAUUAAAACCUUCAUAGAAACGUUUUAGUUUAUAAUAUUGAAAAUAAAAUAAAAUUAUUAACUAUCACCGAGAAGAUUUGAACUCUACUUUGAGUUUAACUUACAAGUACAAUCUAUUACCAAAAAUAAUUGAGUUCAAAUCCUAUAUCCGUAAAAAUUAUUUUAAAGUUAUUUUAAAUCUAUAGUAAUUACAAUUGAAGACACCCGUAAAUCUAUAUCCGUAAAAUUAUAGAAUUAAAAUCCUAAAAUAAUUGAGUGCUCGACUUAUAUCCGUCUACCAAAAAUUGGUGCUCCCAUUAAUAGUUAUAAUCAAUCACAUAAAUAUAUGUUCUUGUUUUAAUUUAUCAAAAGAAAAUUAGUUGGUUCAUGUGCUGAACUGAAGCAAUUAUUGGUAUAGUACGCCGACGAUGCUUAUAACAUGGUACAAAAUUUGUCAUUGCAUUAUACAAAAUUUUCCAAUUCUUGACAAUUAAUUUUAUCCAACUCAAUCGGCUCUUUGCUAAAUAUUUGUCUUUGUCAACUAGUUACAAACCCGUGCUUCGCACGGGUUGAAUAACGUAUCUUGUAAAAAAUUUGUUCAAAAAAAAAUGUGCAAAUUAAUGAAUAUUGAACAAACUCGGAUAUUCUAAAUAAAUCACUUUUACUGUAUUUUAAAAAAAAAAAAACUUUGUUUUUUUUAGGGAUUAAAAUAGAAAAAUCUUUGUUAUAAAGAAGAAAUGAGCAAAUUAAGGGAAAUAGCUGCAUUUUUUUAAGAAAUUGUUGUCGUUCAUAAAGGACAAUCUAAUGAAGAACCACAAUGAUUUUUAAACAAAAAUUACAUCUAUAAGAACAUUAUAAUCAGAGAAAACACGUAAAUAAAUUAAAGCACAUAACUAUAUGAUAUAAAACGUCAGUUUUGAACUUUCCAUCUUGAAUUUCCUUAAAUAACUUAAAGCAAAAUUCAUGAGUAACAAUGUCAGUUAACUUGUCAUACUUCUACACUUUUGUAUCAGAAGCAAAAACAACAUUAAUGUCCAAUCCAAGAAUCCACACAUAAAAAUAGACAUACAAAAUCAAAUAAAACAAAUAUGAUUUGGACAUUUGGAAAAUAGGAUUUGGAGUCCUUUGAUUCUCAUUACCACCAGUCACAAUCCAAGAAUCCAGCACUCCAAAUCCUAUUUUUCAAAUGUCCAAAUCAUUUUUGAGAUCCUUAAUGUAGUCAUAAUCCUUUGACAUUGAAAGUCCUAUAUGGAAAUACAAUAAUACAUCAUUUAAUUUUAUUCCCUUUGUUCAUUCUCAUAUCGAAAGAAUCUAACAUAUUUCUAUGUGAUCAAUUUUUGUAUCAUGAAAUCAAUGUGAACUUAAAUGCACAAAAUUAUGUAUCAUCAACUUUCUAGACCUCAAUGAUGUGACCAAAACAAAUUUUCACCAAUUUUUCAAUAAUCAAUGAUAUGGGAAAAAAUUAACCAAAUAUGAAAAUUGUUACAACUUUAGGAUUACUCACAAAAACUAAAAUAACCCACAUGCAUCAAUUUUUCAACUACAGUACCAGAAGGUAAAAUAACAAUUGUGUCAAAACAUUACCACUAAAGGAAAAUCAAAUUCAAAACAGAAUAAACAGCGGAUAAAAUUUUCGAUUUUCUUUCCUUGGAUCAUUACGAAUUAUACAUGAAUCAGUGAUCCGAUUGUUACCUCGAAGUGUGGAAUCUGAAAGCUGAAAACUGGAAACUGGAAUCACGAUCACAACAAAGCAAGCAACAAGCAGCAAAGCCUCUAGCAAGUCCAAACGAACAGUGCUCCUCCAAAACUCGGUUCUAGCCAAGGAAUCAGAAGUUUCAGAUAGCUAAGGUUUCUAAAAAACGUGCAACCUCAAACUUCAGCAAUAGGGUUCUAUUUAUAGAACUCCUUAUGUGCUCUUCAAGUCAGAAGCCACUAUUGGGCUUCAGUAAGCCCAAUAACUUGUUUAGUAAUUCUGCUAACUAAUUAAUGUUAUUUACUAAACGCACCCUUAUAUAAGUCAUACUUAUAUAUUUAUCUUUUGACUGUUCUGUUCUUUUUGUGUGACCCUAUAGGUUCUAGUCACGUUGGUAAUAAUAUUAAAUCUAAUAUUUAUUACUAUAAAUAAUGAGCAGUAUCUAACAACACAUCAUUGCUACCCAAGUGACAAGAAUGUCAAGUGAUCUAACGAAACCUUUUCCAUGAUAAUAAUUAUGUGUACAAUUACUCCUUUUUCUCGAUAUCUUUAUUGAUCCAAAUGCAUAGAUAUUGUCACCCUUGUAUAGAUCAAUGUUUAUAUUUCUUGAUUCCGAAAUAUACUGAAUAACGAAUAAGUCCAAUAUCUCAUAUUGACUUAGUUCGGCAUGGCCAUGCAAUUUUACAGUCAUAUUUCAUCAAGAGACCUAAAGAUAUAUCUCCUGUUUAUGAGGAGGGACAGAUCCCAUCUAGGACACUCAUGUCCCUCAGCAUGAUUCAUCAAGUAACCAUCAACCAACGUUAUGGUUAUCCUUUUGCAGACAACGUUAGAAUGGAAACAAAGUACUUGAGUCCACGUCUAGGGAUCAUAGUGGUUUCAGGUCUAAGAGGGAUAUACGCUAUUAUCAUUGUGAGAAUAUCUUAUGACAAUUAAUCUCAUAAUGUACUAUGUAGUAUUCUCGCGGUAGGUCUAUCCAGUAUAAAUAUUACUCCUAAUAUUUAUACCUAUGUAUAGACUUAAUAUCUCAUAUUUAUAACCCAUGAGAUACGGUCAUUAGUCUACAUACAUAAUAGUCUCUACGCUUUAUUAUUAUCCUAAUUAUAUUAAAGUUUGACACGAAUACAUUUAAGAAUAGUGUUCUUUAUGAUAAUGUAAUCUCAUGAUUAAGUCACACUUAAUAUAUUAUUACACGAACUAUCUAUUCUAAGGACUUUAUUAAACAUUACUAUAAAUAUAAUAAAAAGUGUCAUAUAUUAUUCAAUAAUAAAAAUCAUGAUACAUAAGAUAAGUUUAACAUAAACUAUUGGCAUCUAGGGCUUACACCAACACUAUAAAGGUGCAAUAUAUAUAAGUAUAAUUUUUUUAGGCAUCUAUACCUUUUUUGAAGAAAAGACAUCUACAAUUUUACUUUUAAUUUAAAUAAAAAAUAUUAUAAAAAUAAUCAUACGUAUUAUGCAAUGCCAAAAAAAAUAAAAAAAUACGCAUUAGCGUAACAAAAAAAACGACACAUAAAAAAUAUUACUCUAAAUGUUAAUGUGUGUGUAUAUUAGUGAGGUUGAAGAAAGAAAAUAGAAAUAUUUGCUAUCAUUAAAUGACAGCGUGAAUAAAAAUAUUUGUGAGGUUGUGAUAAUUAAACGAUAUUGAGAUUAAAUAUAUAAGUGAUAAAAAGAUCAUAAAAUUCCUUUGAAAAAAGGUAGAAAAAUUAAGAGGAACAUCCUUAAACAAAAUUAAAUGGAACGGUUCCAAAAAAAAAAUUAAAUGGAAGAAAAAAACAUAUUGAAAUAUAAUAUUAAAAAAUAAAAGAAUAGGUUUCCAAUGUGAAUUGAAGAGAGAUGCUUAUGAAAUAAAUUGUCGAGAAGUAAACCAAGUUGCUUGGACUCUAGUGGCAAGUAGCUCCUUCCAAGAACGUACCCGGGGAAUACCGUGUUCGAUUCCGAUGAGGAACAACGCUUGGCCAAUGUGCAUGCCUCUACGCACGAACCGGAUUAGUCGCCCACCUUUGGUGGGUCAGAAACCGGUGCGAAAGCCAAAAAAAAAUAAAAAUUGUCGAGAAGUAGUUUUGUGAAGUAGCAUUCAAUAACUUUUGACCAAAGCUCAUUCCAUUCAAUUUUACGCAUUAAAAAAAGUACCUUUUUUAAUAAGUACUAAUUGAUUUUGUAUUUGGCUUAACUUCUCCUUAAAAAUAUAGAGAAGUUGAAAAACAACCGGGUCAAAUGGUAUCUUAAUCUCCCACAACGGCGGUGUAGAUAGCACCUAACGCAACACUAAAAAAAAUUAUAUGCAUUAGCAUAACAAAAAAAAAAACAGACAGACGGACGGACAUAAAAUAUUACUCUAUACAUUAAUGUGUGUGUGUCUAUAUUCGCGAGGUUGAAGAAAGGAAAUAAAAAUAUUUGGUAUCAUUAAAUGACAACGUGAAUAAAAAUAUUUGUGAGGUUGUGAUGAUUAAACGAUAUUGAAAUUAAAUAUAUAAGCGAUAAAAAGAUAAUAAAAUUCCUUUGAAAAAAAGAUACUAAAAUUAAAUGGAACCUCCUUAAAAAAUUAAAUGGAACGGUUCAAAAAAUAAAAUAAAAUAAAAUGGAAGAAAAAAUAUAUUGAAAUAUAAUAUUAAAAAAUAAAAUAAAAUGUUCCCAGUGUGAGUUGAAAAGAGGUGUUUGUCAAAUAAAUUAUCGAGAAAUAAUUUUUUAAAGUAACUUUCAAAAACUUUUUGGCCAAAACUCAUUCCCUUCAAUUUUAGGCAUUUAAAAAAAUAUUUUUUUUAUUAAGUACUUAAUUGAUAUUGCGUUUGGCUUAACUUCUCCUUAAAAACGUAGAGAAGUUGGAAAAAAAGUCGGGUCAAACGAUAACUUAAUCUCCCACAACGAUAAUGUAGAAGCAACUGAAUUUAGGUUUAUUUUUAUUCUUAUAAAAUAAAUAUAAAAUAAAAAAGAAAAUAAUAUAAAAUAAAUAAAAAAGAAAUUUUUUUGGAUGAGGUGGCACUCACCAAGAUUAAGGAGUUAUAGAAUUACUAAAUUGCCCCUUCUAUGGACAAAAUUGUAAUUUUACAUAGCAUCAAUUUUAAUAAAUAGUUAGUAGAUUGUCUGCUAAAUAUUUGUCUUUGUCAAUUGUUAAAGUCAAGUAGAAAAUUAAGGACCAUGCAAUAACACAUGAGGGUUCUAUUCUUUUAAUCAUUGAAGUUAUUUAUUCACGAUUCGAUUCUGAAUUUGAAACAGAUUCUAAGUUACCUAUGUGAAUUUUUUAGUGUUGUUGUUAUGACAACAAACACUUCAUCGUUUCAGUUAAAAGAUGUAUAUCUAUAAUCUGAUUUAUUCUUCUUGUAUUUAGGAACAAUGAAACCGUAAGUAAUUUCUUCGGUAGAUAUAGCAGUCAAAACGUCUUAAAAUUGUUGUUUUUGGAUUUCGAAACUGCUGUAUUUGAAUUUCCAAAUUCUAUUUUGAAAAGAAAUAUCCACCAAAUUUGUUACUAGGUGAGUCACGACCAGGUCGCUCUCUUUAAAACGUUUCGUGGCACUGCCUAAAAUUGUGCAAGACACACUAUCAACCACACCGCCUCUAGGAUAAAACAAGUCCAGCUACAACUAUGCAGUUAACUACUGCACUGUAGAAAACCAUUUGAGAUUUACACCCUCAAAUAUGGUACUAAGACCACUCUUUAAUACUAAAACUACUUUAAUAUAGUAUUGUUACCACUCUGUUAUGGUGUUGAGACUACUCAAAUAUGAUGUUACCACCAUUUUAACGUUAAGUUCUCUAAUCUAUCGAUAUGGUACUACGCCCACUCAAAUAUGGUGAUACCACCAUUUCGACUUUUUAAUUUCUCCUCAAGUAGAAAAAUAAAUAUUGAAAGAAUAUUUAUAUACUGUUAAAAUCAUUCUUAAUUUCGACGGGACAUUAUUGUUUCAAAAAAGGACUAUGAUCUUAAAAAUACUUUUUAUUCUGAAGGGACUAUGUUUUUAAGACCGUUCUUAAUUCUGAAGAGACGUUAUACCGAACAGGGACUAAGGUCUUAAGAACACUCUUAUUUCCUAUGGGACAAAAAAAGAAGAUGAAGAGAAGAAUAACUCGUCAACACAAGCUGGAGGGAGAAGAGAGAAAGAAUUCUCGACAAUUUAAUAGAAACUCUUUGGUGUGAUUUUUGAACUGAGUAGUCUUCAAUUUAUAUAGAGAUUUUGUAACUGCUUUAGCAAAAAUUGCGGCAGCAGGCCACAAAAGUGGAUCGGAUCAAAAGAAACAAAUCCACAAAAGUGGAGGAAACAAACUCAUUGGAUAUGAAUGAAGGAAAGAUAAAAAAAUUUAGUUGAAUUCUUAUUCUUAUUAGAACCACUGUAAGGUAAAUUUAUAGGAAGUGAUAUUCACGAAUAAAAAUAAUAAUUACUAUAAUUUUUAUCAUUAUUAAGUAUUUAAAAUUAAAUACCGCAAUUUAAACACUACUAAUGUGUGUGUUCUAUUUUAUAUGGGACCCUCACACUCUAUUUUUUCAAUUCCCAUAACAUUAGAUAAAAAUAUAAUUAUUUGAUGUUUAAUCUUCCAAUUUUUCUUCCAACAUCACACCCAGCGGUGCAGGCAACACCCAGCUAGGCUGGGCUAUAGCCCAGGCUCUGCUGCUGCUUGCUUUGUAAAAGCCCAGCCCAAUGUCAUUUUUUCUACUAAAAAAUAAAGAGACAGGAUUUAGUGUUUUUGAGCAUGUUGAGAUAAGACAUGCAGAUUUUGCAGUAGAGAUGGUAGAUGAGAUAGAGGAGAGUCACAUCCCUAAAGUUAGGAGUACACUUAGAAUUACUUUAAAAAAAACUAUUAUGCAGAAUCUAGAGAUAAAUGAAUUAGAUAAAAAUAUGAUUUUUGAUAAAACACUGUGAUUUCAUUUGAUUCAUGUAGUCGAUCUAUAAGACUUAGUAGUUGUUGUUCUCUGCCAAGCAACUAGUAAAUUGGAUGUAUGAAAUGGAAUUUGAGAGACUUUGAUAAAUCCAUUUUGCUUUCAUUGAUUCAUCAAUAGAAGACUUUUGCGAAGAAUGAUGAAAUGGGAUUUUAAAUACUUCAAGACUGCGUCUCCUUGAUCGGAAUGGUAAGGAGUUGUUUACUUCAGCCAUUUUCUGUUUGUAUUUAUAGAAAAAACGGAAAUAGGUUGUGAAAAUAUGUUUACCUGAGCUUUUGAAAAUAUUGUGUUAAAACGUUUUCUGAAAACGGUCCAUUUUUAGAAAGAAAAAAAUAGUUUCCAUUGUAAAAAAAGGAAAGCAUGCUCUUCUUCGAGAUAUAGAACGGAUGAUGAAUUUAAAGCAUGUUUCAGUUAAUGGAAUGAAUCAAAUGGCUGCAAAGAAAGAAGGAUCUGUAAUAUUUGAAAGGUACCAUGCUUUUGUAUAGAUGAUGGUCAACAUGGCUUCAUAUUGCAUGUUUCAAGAAGUGGCUUCAAUAUAGUUUCAUAGCAGUGCUAGCUCCUACAACAUUUACAAUCCUUAUAUUUAUUAUUCGCCUAGUAGUUUUGAAAUCAUCUCAAUUGUUACCGCGUUAAACAAUUAAAAAACAUAAUUGGCAUGAGAAAAACUUAAAAUCAUCAACUUGUUAUAAUUAAUUAAUUUAAAGGAUCUAAGUAGAAGGAAAAAAACUUAAAAAACAAUUUGUUAGGAUUAAAUAACUUAAAAGUAAAAAAACAAAACAUAACUAAUUUACUAAUUUAUAGUAGAUGAAUUUAUAGAUGAUCGUUGAUAAUUGAUUUUAGGCAAAAUAGCACAAUUAGUCCCUUAACUUUAUUUUAGGUAACACUUUCGUCAUUUAUCUUAUUUUUGUCACGAUUUAGUCCUUUAUGUUAUAAAAUGACAAUAUCUUAUCAUUUUUUUAUGAGAUUUUUUUCAAAGAAAUUUGAUUUUCUAUGCUUCUAUGAUGAAGAUUUAUGUUUGCCUAUGAGUUUGAUGAUUUUUUUUGGAGUUUUUGAUUAUUUUUUUCAUAAAAAAGGAUAACUAUGUUGUUAUUUUAUAACAUAAAGGACUAAAUCGUGACAAAAAAAAGAUAAAGGACGAAAGUGUUACCUAAAAUAAAGUUAAGGGACUAAUUGUGUAAUUUUGCCUUGAUUUUAUACUAAUUGAAUUUUUUUAUUUAGCUUUACAAUUAUUAAAGAAAAUGGUUAUUAUGACGGAUAAAGUGUUCGAACCCAAAACUUCGAUUAAGUUAGAAGAGACUCAUUACCAUAUCAUUUAAGCGUUAAUUAUUUAUUGGUGGAUCAAAAAGAUGUACAAUAAAAAAAAACUUCAAUCCAUUGGUGGAUUAAGAAGAGAUAUAAUAAAUUCAGUAUUACUCUCUCUCACCCACCUCAUUCUCAAACUCCCGCCGUUGGUACUUUCUUUUUCUUGUCUAUUGAAGAUGAGUGAUUUAUGGUCAAUUUUGACUCAAAAUCACCUCUCCUCCGAGUUGUUUUUCUUUAUAUUCUAAUUAAAUAAGUGAUUUUCACAUAUUUUUAGUUUUCUUUCGUUUGUUUUUGUGAUUUUGUCGUCUCUGCACAACUUUGUUUGUUUUGAUUUUCCGUUUUUGUGCGGUGUGUUUUUUAUUUUCCGUCUUAGUGCGGUAUUUAUUUGAUUCAGGUUGAAAGAUCCGCUUUGAGCAAGUGCAAAUCCGAUCAAUGACUUUGGUGUCAUCAGCAUUGCAUAUCUGGAGACAUGCGUAUUCCGGACUUUAAUAUAACCGUAUUUGUAGGCAUAAGUACUUUGCCGUUUUAUGUUAUUAAGAUGGAUGAUAUGUGUUUGUUCACAGAUUCAUUCUUAUCGUUUUUAACGACUUUGAAUAUGUAUUGUAUCGAUGUACUCUAUCAAUUUGAAUGAAUGAAUAUCGUUUAUUUUUUUGUAAAAAAAAAAAAGAGAUAAUAAAUUUAAAAACUUAAAAAAUUCACUUUCUUGUUUUUUUUUUUUUUUUUUUUUUUUUUUUUUUCACUUUCUUAAUAGUAACAUUAGCAAACAAUUGGUUUCAAUCAAACGAUCUCAUAAGCAUAAACUAAGUUAAAAUUAAAAUUGAAUUAUUGCCAAACAUACCUUAAAUAUUGAGUCAUAACUGAAUUUAACCACAUACCAUAAAAAAACAUCCUCACAUCACACCACCCAUUCUCACUCUCAUCCUCCUCCUUUCAGCAAUAUGACGACGGAAUUCAUCGAUCUCGAAACCCAAGACGGCGUACGGAUGCCAUGGAACGUAAUCCCCGGCACAAAACAAGAAUCCGUAAACGUCGUUGUUCCCGUCGCCGCCAUCUACACUCCGAUCAAACACUUCCCAACAAUGCCAAUCCUCCCAUACUCCCCUCUCCGUUGCCGCACUUGUCGCUCAAUCCUCAACCCUUUCUGCAUCGUCGAUUUCGCCGCCAAGAUCUGGAUCUGUCCGUUUUGCUUCCAACGCAAUCAUUUUCCUAAUCAUUACGCUUCAAUCUCUGAAGAUAAUAUGCCAGCGGAACUUUUUCCUCAAUACACUACCGUUGAAUAUGAUUCUGUUAACGAUUCUGGACCGCACGUGCCGCCGGUGUUUUUGUUUGUUGUUGAUACGUGUGUCAUUGAGGAGGAGAUUGGUUUUCUUCGAUCUGCGAUUUCUCAAGCUGUUGAGCUUUUGCCGGAUAAUUCGCUUGUUGGUUUGAUUACGUUUGGGAGUUUUGUUCAUGUUCAUGAGUUAGGGUUUGGUAUUGUUCCCAAAACUUAUGUGUUUAGAGGUAAUAAGGAUUUGUCUAAGGAGCAGUUGUUGGAGCAGAUGAGUUUUUUCGCUAAGAAACCAAAGCCGGCGGUUGGUGUUGUUGCCGGUGCGCGAGAUGGACUUUCAUCUGAGAGUAUUUCGAGGUUUUUGCUUCCAGCUUCGGAAUGUGAAUUCGCCCUUAAUUCGGUAAUUUGCAUGUUGGAUAGUUUGGUUGUGUGUUGAUCAAAGUUGUUAGUGGCACAUUGCAGUUCAAUUCCGCUGCUAUAGCUGCUAUUUAACAACACUCACGUAGUGUUGUUAAAUAGCAACUAUAGCGGUGGUAUCAUGCUAUUCUGUAGUAUAAUUUGAACAAAUCACAAUUGUUUCAUGAUACCCUAUUUACUAUUUGGGAUAAAAUGUUGUGGAGUAGCGGCUAUAGUGAUGCUUUGACAUUGUUUUCUAGCAGAAUUUGAACAAACUACUAGUUUUUGCGAUUGAUAACAUUGCGCCCACAGAACAAUAGUGAUUUGUUUAGAUUUUGUUAUACUAUAGCUGCAAUUUGACAACACUGGUAUUGAUGAAUUGAAUUGUGUGAGUUUUGGUUUGGAUUGUUUUUGCAGGUUUUAGAUGAGUUGCAGAGGGAUCCCUGGCCGGUGCCGGGUGAUCAACGGGAGGCGAGGUGCACCAGCACGGCGCUGAGCAUUGCGGCUAGUUUGUUGGGUGCUUGUGUUCCUGGUUCUGCCGCAAGAAUAAUGGCGUUUAUUGGUGGACCGGCAACAGAAGGACCUGCUCCUGUAAGCGUUUCUCUUCUUACUUACAGAGUGACAAUAUAGUUUCUUUUUUUGAAACAGACAAUAUAGUUGGUUUGAUUUGAUAGUAUGUUGGACAUGAAGGUGUCUGGCCGAUAGAAAGUAUAGAGUAGCUUUACUUGUGUCUAGCCAGCAAAGUAGAGACUAGAUAGUAGCUUUUUCUCAAAUGCAUUGGAAAACGUGUGGAUUGAAAUCCAAACACAUACUAUAUAGUCAAAUUAACUGUGAAAGAUUUAGACAGCAUCAUUUAUGGUGUUAGUCCUUAGAUAAUUGAAAAUUUGUAAUUACAGAUGUUGUACUUGAAUGCAUAUUUAAUAUUUUGUUGGUUAAAUUAGUCUCAGGACCUCAGGUUAGAAUAUUUUAGUUACCAAUUCACCAGGGUAUGUUUGGAUGGAUGAUUUUGAAGAAGAAGGGCGGGCUGUGAUUGAAGUAUUAUAUGACCAUUUAUCAUACGGUUCUUUGAUAUAUAUAUAUAUAUAUAUAUUUUUUUUUUUUUUUAAAUAUAGCCUUCGCCCUCCAAAACCCCCUCCCAAACACACCAAAGAUUACACAUUUGAGGACUAAAAUGUUAUUCAGGAAGCCUUCGAGAUAAUAUUUCGAUUAUUUUGGGACUCACAUGAAAAUAUUAUAUCUUUCUAAAAAUAGUUCUACUAAUUACUCUAUGCUUACAUCUAUCAGAGACUAAUUUUACUUGACAUCUAUUCAUGUUGUAAGGUAAAGCAUAAUUCCUCCAACAAGAAUAUGCAUGUGUGUGUGUGUAACCUUCGGAAUCUGCAUAUUAAUGUACUGCAUACAUUUAGGAUGAGUUAUUGACUGUAAGCAAGAGCUAGUGGUUUUGUAUUUUUCUUCAUGACACAAAAUCCCCCUAAUUUGGGGGAACUUAAAUUUAUUGAAGGGAGAUUUUGGAGGGCGUGGAUAAAUUAUUCAAACCCAAACAAUGUUGUUAUAAUAUUCCUAAAAUUGAAAAUAUAUUUCUUUUAUCAUUCUCUACAAGCUCUCUCUCUUAGAAAAGAUGAAAAAUUUCUCUCUUUUUCCCUCUAAUCCCCUCCCCCUAAAGCCCUCCCCUCCAAUCUCCCAAACAUACCCUUAGGCUUUAUUUACAUAAUAGAAUCUACCUUUUCAUUUGUAAGUUUUUUCUGACAAAGUUAUCCAGUUUCAGUGGAUAGCAGCUGUUGUAUCUCCAUUUACAUUUCGUCUUAUGAUUCUGGAGAGUUUUGUGGUUUCUUUUGUGGGUUUUUUUCUUCCUCAGUUUUGUCCUUUUGUCAUUGCUUUUGGGCCCUCUCCUGUACUUUUUCUCUGUCUAUAGAAAUUCAUUUUUAUCUAAAUAAAAAUAUAUGUCGUGGAGGCAAUUGUUCUGUUGUCAUUUUGACAUUAGUGUGUAUGAUAAUGAUUGACCUCUAUUUUUUGAGUGCCUGUACCAAGGGAAUGUAUUUGACUGUUUAUGAUCAUACUGUUAGGUAUUUCAUUUACUUCUACUGAUGCUAUGGAUAGAAAUGAUUUCCAUCUCUUUUCAUUGGUUGACACUCAACUGUUUCCGUCCGUACGAACUAUUGUAUAUUGUUGUAGAUUGUAUCCAAACAACUUUCUGAACCAAUUCGCUCCCACAAAGAUCUGGAUAAAGAUUCUGUGCCACAUUACCAUAAAUGUGUGAAAUUCUAUGAUGGGCUUUCAAAGCAGCUAGUACAUCAGGGUCAUGUGCUAGAUCUCUUUGCUUGCGCUCUUGAUCAGGUAAAGUUCUCCUUUUUCAACUGAUCUUUUCUGGUUGGCGUACAUCAUUAUGCUUGUUUGUAAGCUGGCAAAGAGAUCCUUUAAACCAGUUCACUCAUUUUAUAAUCAGAAGUAGUUACCAAACAAUGUUUACAAUUUCUUUUCCAUGAAUAUUUUUAUAUUUGACCAAGUUGUUUUUUUCACCUGUUUUCUUUGUUCUAAAGGCAUUCUUGAUGUUCCUUGCUUGUAACCUUGUCAACUAAGAUUGUAGUUUCAUGGGAAAAAUUGUUUAAUUUUUUUUUACAAAGCUUAAGUGUUGUUUUAUAUGACGAGUUAAUUCUGAAAUGAUGCCUCCUACAGUCGUACUAUUAAUAACUUGAUUGUCCAACUUUAUAAUUCCUGUUGUCUAAAAUCCUUGGCUAAUUUCAAGGAGAUUAGAAUAGAAAAAUGUUGAACAUUUUGUUAAAUGGCCUACUUGAUUUUCUUCCUAUUGAAAUAUGCGUUAUUGUUUAAUGGCUUCAAAUGUUUGUAAUCAUAUUCUGGUGGUUGUUUUUGCUUUGUCUAAUGUUCUUAUAUUUGAAAAUAUAAUUUUUUUGGUCUACUCUUUAUCUUUCAGGUUGGCAUUGCUGAGCUUAAAACUGCUGUUGAAAGGACCGGGGGCCUUGUUGUACUUACUGAAAGUUUUGGCCAUCCAGUGUUCAAGGAUUCACUUAAGCGUGUUUUUCAAUCUGGUGAUUAUGAUCUGGGCCUCGCAUCAAAGUAAGUAAUAAAAGAUUUUAAUUUUUCUAUGAUAUGGAUCGUCUUGAAUUUCUUGUUUCUUGCUAUGUGUAGUUAAGUGUUAACCCUACUAUUCGUUCUCCCCUUAUAUUUGGUGCUCUAUAUUCAGACACUUAAGCUGUCUUUUUCUGUCCAUGGCCUCCCCAGUGCCACAGAUCCAUUUAGUCAGCUUUUCUUGCAUCAAAGACUGUUCUUGAGCCUUGUCCUGUCAUCAACCUCCAUAUGCCUAAAGACCCAAAUCUUUCUCAAAUGACUAGAUCUCUCACCUCUCAAACCUCCUUGUUAUUUAUAUUCAGCAUUUUCCAUCUCAAACAAUUCUCACCUGACUAAUGGGGACAAUCUAUUGUAUGCGCAAAUUUAUUAUUGUUAGAUAAGAUACGACUCAUUUAUAUUCGGUGAGCAGUACCAGUUACAUUUGUGUACCAGAUUUUAGGGUUAAGGAAUGAGGAAAAAAGAUAGACGGCAGACUAUAAUUGGGACAAGUAAGAUGAUUUUGGAGUUGAUCAGACGUAGUUUUAAACAUUGUCGAAGGUGGUCUAGAACAUGAAACCAGUUAAAUGGUAUAUACACGGUGAGUAGUCGACAACCAUUAUAGUAGGAUUCUAUUUCUAAUUACUGAAGGACUAUCUCCUGUUAACAUAGUAGGAUAAAAAGCAAAUAAUAAUGAUAUCGACAGCCACCUUAAUUCUAUGAUACGAUUUAUAACAAUAAUUGUAGAAUUUGAAGAGUAUCACAUAAUAAACACCAUGGAAAAUAGUCGCCAACAAAUUAGGAGUACCAAACCAAGGUUGCUGGAAUAAUGCAAGUAGGUCUGUGGCAUCUGGAUCCAGAAACAUGAUUUCUGGCUAUGAAUAGUUACGAGGUUACAUAUUACUUUUUGUCCAAAUCUGAAAGAUCCCUGUAUUCAUAAACAAAAGCGUAUUCUUUUGGCUUCUGAUUCCAGCCAGAUACCAGAAACACAUGUUCUCUAACCAAAACAAAUCUAUGAGAAGUUGACUGGCACUUAACCUUAUUUUAUCUACUCUGUGCAGUGGAAUAUUUGAGAUAAACUGCUCUAAGGACAUCAAAGUCCAAGGGAUUAUUGGCCCUUGUGCUUCUCUUGAAAAGGUAUGUCUAGAAGUUUUGUUCUAUCUUUUUCGCAUGUUAAAUUCCAUAUAGCCUCUCCCAAAAGGAAAACAAAAUGUUUAGCUGCUUCUUUGUAUAUGCAGAAAAGCCCAUUAUGCUCAGAUGUUGUUAUUGGUCAAGGGGGUACUAGUGCAUGGAAGAUGUGUGGCCUUGACAAAUCGACAUCACUGUGCCUGUUUUUUGACAUUGUGAGGAAGGAAACUCCAGACGCUACAAUGCAAUCCACAAGCAAUCAAUUUUACUUCCAAUUCUUGACUUAGUAUGAAAACUAUCUUAGUGCGCCUUUGAGUAAUCUGUUGUCUUUUGUGGUAAUGUGGUUGAAAUAUUUCUCACUCAUCACAGAUUUUUUGCUUCAGUUAUCAGAAUAACAGUGGACAAAUGAGGUUUCGGGUUACAACUCUUUCACGUAGAUGGGUUGCUGGACCAGGAAGCAUACAGGUAAGCUUUCAUCUACCACCAUUUGAUUCACCAAAUUUAGUUAUUUUGAUAUCCAUUAUUAAUACUGCAAAGCAAUUCAUUUGGGUAAUACUGCAAAGCAAUUCAUUUGGGUUUGUCAUUUUGUAAAAUUUAUUAUAAAAAAUGGUCUUGGGAAUUAUAUACAAUGCAUAUUUAGUUAUACAGAAGGAAUUAACAAAACAAAGACUUUUCUUUGAUUAUCAUUAUAUUUCUUCCCUUGCAUAUUUAUCAGUAGUUCAGGGAAAUUGAUAGAGACAUCAUUUUGAGCUUAUUUUGGGUUAUUUAUACACAAUUUUUCUUUAAUUGCCCUUUUUAUUUUACUCAUUUCUUUGUUGAAUUGGAGUUUUAUGUUUAUUGUGUUUGGAUAAUGACCAAUGCUAGUUUUAUGUUCAUUAACUUUUACAAUUAGUUAACGAUAGUAUGAUAUGAUUUAUCUAGUAACAUGAGCACUCUAUUCAUUACUGUAAUUACAAUUUUUUUCCCACUUGUUUUUAAUAAAUUCAUCAUUAAAUUCAUUUUCUGGAAUUCAUCAAUGUUUUAUAUCAGUUAUAUGUAAAAUUUUGUAGGAUUUGAUUUCUGGAUUUGACCAAGAAGCAGCUGCUAUAGUCAUGGCACGCCAAGUGUCUUUCAAAAUGGAAACGGAGGUGAGUGCUGGAUAUUUUCUGCUUCUUUUUAAUUGUAUUUUGGAUAAUUGUAUCUUAGCCUGUUCGACAUGUAUUUAGCUGGAUAUAAUCCAAGUCAUUGGUUUUUGUUUCUCUUGCAGAAGUUUAUUUUCAUACACCAGUUAAGAAUAAUUUUAAAAAGGCUCUCUCUCUCUCUACACACACACACACACACACACACACACACACACACACACACGCACGCACGCUCGCGCGCGCACACUCACACACACACACACACACUUUUUCUGCACCAUUUCUCUAACAUGCUUUACUUGGAUUAUUAUGGAUUAUUCUUCUGUAAAUUGAUUAUUCCAGUGGAACAUGAAUAAUGGAAUUCAGUGAAUCAGAACCCAUUACAGAUUACACUUUUGUAUUAUAUUGUUGAAUUGUUGACUAGUACAUUGACACAGAAGUAUUCUUUGCCAGUUUGUUUAUGACACAUCCAUAGUUGUGAGAACUGUGGACCUGCUUUUCUCUCUCACUGAUUAGCUUGAUAUGUUUUUUGUGCCUGCUUAUGAAAAAUGUCAUUGUUUUGACACCCUGUGAUGGUGCAAUUUCUGUAUCAGGCUGAAUUUGAUCCUAUCAGAUGGUUGGACAAGGCAUUGAUAAAUUUGUGUUCCCGUUUCGGAGAUUUUCAAAAAGAAACCCCAUCUUCAUUUAGUUUGUCUCCCAGGUUGUCAAUAUUCCCACAAUUUAUGUUUCACUUGCGACGUUCUCAGUUUGUUCAGGUAUUCAUUUUGUGUUAUCAGACCUCUUAUAAAGUUUUUCAUUGUUGAUAUUUCGUGCUGCUAUAUCUGUACUUCCACAGUAUUUAUUUUUUCCGUUAAUUAUAUAAUUGUAGGUCUUCAACAACAGCCCAGACGAGACUGCUUACUUUAGAAUGAUUUUAAACCGGGAAAAUGUUACUAACUCUGUCGUCAUGGUUCAGCCUUCAUUGAUUUCAUAUUCAUUCCAUUCUGGUCCUGAGCCUACUCUUCUCGAUGUCGCAGCCAUUGCGGCUGACAGGGUUCUGCUUUUGGAUGCAUUUUUCACAGUCGUUAUUUUUCAUGGUUCAACCAUUGCCCAAUGGCGCAAGGCUGGAUAUCAUAAUGAACCAGAACAUCAGGUAUUCUCUGGACAUGUUAUUGCUGAUCUAAUAUCAUGUCUGCUAGUUAAUUCUGAUGAACAAGAGUAUCCGGCUGAUGGGGACAAUAUACAUUGUGAAAGUAUACGAGAAUAGGUGAAAUCAUUUAGUGUUUUGACACGGUUUCAUUGUCGGGAUAAAUUGUACUAGUAGUAUAUGGGCUUUACCUGAUGAUUAUGAGUCAAGAUUAGGUUGAGUAAGGCGCCUGCUGCUUCGACAAGGACUUUCAGUUUAUUGGGCCUUGUAUUAGUUUCUAAGACUUUGUGAUUGUUUGUUUGUUAGAUUAUUUUGGGAGUUGGGGGAUGAAUACAUUUUGGUAAUGAAAGAAUCAAAAGAAUAAAACAUUAAUGAACUCAAUGUGAAUAUAAGAUCAGUACCACAACAUGUUUUUGUGGACAACUUUUAUUUGAUAGAGGUUUUGCAAAAUUAUACAAAUUUUGAACUUCUUAAGCAUCCUAUCUCAAAGCCUUGAUAACUUGAAACAUUUAACUAUUUGGGGCAUAAUCAAAAGGUUUUAACUAUGAAAUCCAUGUUAUGGCCUGUGCCAAACCUACUUGAUAGUUGGAUUGGUUGUUCGACACCUUUCCUAAGUCAUAAUGCAUCACUGAUGACCAUAGGAAAUUUGUGAUGAGUAAUGAUCUUAUCUUUGCAUUGUCAAUUUGGUUAACUUCGGUCAAAUAUUUUUGCAGGCAUUUGCUCAGUUGCUACGAGCUCCUCAUGAUGAUUCAGAUUUAAUAAUGAAAGAGAGAUUUCCUGUGCCUCGCCUGGUUGUUUGUGAUCAGCAUGGAUCCCAGGUUUACAUUCUUAUACUUUGAUCUGGCUUGUUGCAUAUUAGUAUAUUUUUUUGGAAUCUGACAUGUUUGGCAUUCAUGCACAUUGUGCAGGCUCGAUUUCUUCUAGCAAAGUUAAAUCCUUCUGCAACAUAUAACACCGAAGCUUCACUCCCUGGAGGGGACAUUAUCUUUACGGAUGAUGUUAGCUUUGACGUCUUCCUUGAUCAUUUACAGAGAUUAGUUGUUCAAUAGAAUUAUAUUGUGUCUUACGACUUUUGUAAAAAAAUUCUUGGAUUGCUAUUAUUAUUUCCUAUUUAGUGCAAAAUCUUGUAAUUAUUUGGUCAAUGACAGGAAAGUUUACGUCUACUUUUUACGGCCCAAUUGACUGACCUUGGUGACUAGCGCCUUAUGCAAAUGGCAUUUUGGCUUUUGUUUGCAGAACCUUGCCAAAUAAUUUAAGAUCCUUCAUUUGGUGGUUUGACUUGUUCUUAAUCAUGCUACCUUAGAAAUAUGAGAAAAAUGUGGGGUGUUAUGUAAUUGAAAUAAAGAAGAGGGGGUUUUUAAUUAUUUUUUUUUAAGUCUGCUAGCUUUGGUUAUAAAGAUUGUUUGAUUGGUUAUGCAGUUGGAUUAUCAUUGUUGUAUUAAAUUGGUUUGUUAUUUCGAAAGUUUGCAUAAACAGUCGUUGGGAUGAUCUGAUUAUUUAUUUAUUAGUAACAUAAGCAUUUCAUUAUCAACAAAUUCCUAAAAAAAAAAUCUCCAUCAUGCAUGGUCAUUCAGCGAUGAUUAUGUACUGAUCAUCACUUGGUUUUCCAUUUAAGUGAACAAUAGCCCAAAAAUGACAGAUUUAGAUUUGCUAUAAUCACAAAUUCACACCGUUAGCACAUAAUUGACCAUUGGACCGAGGUUGAAGGUUUUAGAUUUUCAGCUCGACGUUUUAGAGUGCUAUGAAAAAAUAAAUUCUGCUUGCUUUAUGCAAUUUUUGAUUUUGAUCCAACGAUUAUCGAUAUAUUAACUGUGUGGAUUUAUGGCCGCGACAAAUCUAAAUCUUAGGAUGAACUAGUUACCAAUUAGAAAGUCAAAAUCAAAAUCAUUUUCUUUUAAUUAAUCCUAAAUUCUACUACUUAACUUUCAAUAACUUUCAUUGUAUCAUCUACGAACAACAAAAUGAGAUAUAUUUCUAUAACUUAGAUAACUUUUUGUUUAAAUCUUGAUUGAAAGCUGUGAUUUCACUUUGUAUUUACCAUUAUCUGAAAUAUGAUUACAUCAGAACCUAUACAAUUCUGAAAUAAAAUCUCAUCUAUUAAUGUUAUUGUAAGAAGCUUGGUUACGUAAAUACCAAACAAGAGUAGACAAGAUAUUUAUAGUUCAUUAUUUAUAUCUACCAAACAAUAGUACUUUUCAUUAUUAUUAUUUCCUACUCUUUCUUUACUCAUGCUGUAACUUUUUAAUGCAAUGUGUAGAUAUGCAACAACUCACAGCGACGACUUGAGAUCUUUCAAGUCAAGGUUAAAACAUCAAUUUUAUUAUUUUUACUUCUGCUGAGGAUAAUUACAUUUGUCUGCCUUCCCUUGGUCCUCAUUUUGUUGUAUGUGUAUAUACUACUUUUCCUACAUUUACAUUUCACAAUCACAACCAAUCUCAAACUCUCCAAAUUUUACAAUCUUCUGAUCUGCUAAUUGCCUUGUGUGUCUCUUUUUGAAGGAUGGCUGAACAAAUUCCAUACAGUGUUGCUACAAGUCUCGUUAACAGGUGACUUCAUUUUCAACACUUUUUUUUCAGUUAAAUUAGUUAAACUAACUAUAUAUAUAUAUAUAUAUAUAUAUAUAUAUACACACAUAUAUGCUACUAAUUUACACUCAUCUAAAAAUACUAAGGCCUUGUUUACGACUUUAGAGAAGAAGGAGAGACGAAAAGAAGUUUGAAAAAAAUGAAAGAGUAAAUCAUCGACCUAAACCUACACCUAUUAGUUUUUUUUACCAUAAACCAAUCUUUCUUUAAAACAACUAAUGGGUAUAUAUGUAAUUUUCAUUUUUUUAAAUCAAAUAUUUAAUUCAUCCCAAACUUGUUUAAUAACACCGGAAAAGUAGGAAGCGUCGCUUCCUUCAUAUAUUUGUUUCAACGUCACACAUCACGUAAAUAUGCUUAGUUUUUUUUUUUUUUUUUUUUUAAAUAUGAGUUUUGUUGCAAUAUAUGAGUUCUCAUGUUGUCCUAAUUUCAUUUGAGCUCACUUUCAGUUUUCAAUCAAGCUACUGCUUGAUAAUUUUUCUUUUGAAAUAUACAUGUUCGUAAAAGAAGUUAAUGUGCUUUCAAAGGGGAAGGAUCUAGGAAUACAUUUUAAGUAUGGCUAAACAUUUUUUAUUUUUUAUUUUUUAAAUUCAUGUGUAGCUAUAACCAUACAUAGACAUGAUGCAGAUCUGCCCGACUUUCAACAACAAAAAAAAGUUAAUGUGCUAAAAAAUGUUAGAAGAACAAAACACUAACGUGAGUAACACACAAGAUUUAUAAAAAUGUAAUUGUAACAUGAGAGAUAAAUUUUUAAGAAAACAAUAUUCUGAACGAUGAAAGUGUGUGUAAAUAACCAGCAAGGUGGAUAUAAAUAAUUAAGCGGGUGUAUGUUACUAAGUUACUUUUUAGGUAGAUGUAAGUUGCUAAUCUACUCUAAUGUUUUUAAGUAGGUGUAAAUUAUAUAUAUAUAGACACACACAUCACAGAGCUUGUUUGCUGAAUAUUUUCUUUACGUAGGUUGGCUUCUGUUGCCUUACGCGAAUUUGGACGGAUUAAUAAUGUGAUGGAUGAAUUAGAAAGACUUAAAAACACAAUUGAAGUCAUCAGAGCUGUACUCCUUGAUGCUGAGGAGAAACAAGAGAAAAGUCAUGCUGUACAAGUCAUGUUGUGAAAGAUAUGUCUGUGUUGAAUCUUAACUCCAAUGUUGUGGUGGUUGAGAAAGCUAACAAUGUAAGGAGGGAAACUUGUUCUUAUGUGUUAGAAUCAAAUAUCAUUGGAAGAGAAGAUGAUAAAAACAAGAUUAUAAGCUUGUUGAGGCAAUCACAUGAAAAUCAACAAGUUUCUGUGGUUGCUAUUGUUGGUAUUGGUGGUUUGGGAAAGACGGCUCUUGCUCAAUUGGUAUACAACGAUGAAGAAGUGCAGAAUUUGUUUGAAAAGAGAAUGUGGGUAUGUGUCUCUGAUAACUUUGAUGUCAAAACUAUUCUGAAGAACAUAAUGGAGUCAUUAACCAAUAGGAAAUUUGAUGAUACGUUAUCAUUGCAAAACUUGCAAAACAUGCUUCGUGACAAUUUAACUGGUAAAAAAUACUUGUUAGUCCUAGAUGACAUUUGGAACAAGAGUAAUGAAAAGUGGGAUCAAUUGACGACUUAUUUGAUGCGUGAUGCUCAAGGCAGCAAGAUUGUAGUGACAACUCGUAGUGAAUCAGUGGCACAAACAAUGGGUGUAAGUAGCCCCUAUGUUUUGAAUGGCUUGACUCCCCAAGAAUCGUGGCGAUUGUUAAAGACUGUCAUUACAUAUGGGAAUGAGAAACAAGGAGUGAGCCGAACUCUUGAGUCAAUUGGUGAGAAGAUAGCAGAAAAGUGCAAAGGAGUUCCAUUAGCAAUAAGAUCAUUGGGAGGCAUAUUACAAAGCAAAAGGGAAGAAAGGGAGUGGAUUGAAGUCUUACAAGGUGACUUUUGGAAAUUGUGCGAGGAUAAAGAUAGCAUCUUGCCAGUCCUAAGAUUGAGUUACUAUAACUUGUCACCUCAACAAAGGCAAUGUUUUGCUUAUUGCUCUUUAUUUCCCCAGGAUUGGAAAUUUAUGAAGGAUGAAUUAAUUCAAAUGUGGAUGGCACAAGGUUAUCUUGACGGUUCAGUUGAAAAGCAAUGCAUGAAAGAUGUUGGUAAUCAAUUUGUAAAUAUUUUCUUGAAGAAUUCAUUCUUCCAAGAUGCAACAAUGAAUUACCAUGGUGAUAUAGAUGGUUUUAAAAUGCACGAUUUAAUGCACGAUCUUGCAACACAAGUAGCUGGCAAUGAUUGUUGUUACUUGGAUAGUAAGGCAAAAAGAUGUCUAGGAAGACCUGUGCAUGUAUCAUUGAAAUGGGAUGCCUUUUGUAUGUUGGAAUCAUUGGAUUCAAGUAGGCUGCGUACUUUGAUUAUGUUGGAUUCCAAUUCGGAAAAAGUGGAUGAAGAGGAAUUAUCAGUUAUUUCAAAUUUCAAAUACUUACGUGUCUUGAGGCUUGUGACUUCUCGUCAUCAUAGCAAGCUAGUUGGUUCCAUUCAAAAAUUGAAGCAUUUAAGGCAUCUUAACUUGUCAAAGCGUGAUGGACUAAAAAGUCAUCCCAAAUUUAUCAGCAAUCUUGUUUGUUUACAGACAAUAAAUUUGUUAAUGAAUGAUGAUGAUGUACUUUAUACAGAAAUUCUUUCAAAAUUAAUCAAUUUGAGACACCUUGAGAUAUAUCAUUUGACCUUCAAAGACGAGACACUCUCUGGAUCUAGAAAAUCGAGCAUACAACAACACAAGGGUUUGACUUUGUCCAAUUGGCUUUCUCCACUCACAAAUAUAAUUGAAAUAUCUCUUAAUUAUUGCCAAGGUUUCCAACAUCUCCCACCAUUGGAACGCCUUCCGUUCCUUAAGUCACUCGAGUUACGUCACCUUUAUGAAUUGGAGUACAUAUAUUAUGAAGAGCCUAUUCUUCAUGAAUCAUUCUUCCCAUCUUUGGAGAGGCUUGAACUUUUAGUUUGUGGGAAGCUGAUGGGAUGGAGGAGGAUAGAAGAUGAUUUGAGUGAUAUCAACUCUUCACAUCAUCGCUUGUUGCCUCAGUUUCAGUUUCCUUGUCUCUCUAAAUUGGAUAUUAAUGGGUGUGACAUGUUGGCUUUCAUGCCUACUUUUCCAACCAUUAAGAAGAGAUUAAAAUUGAGGAGUUGCAGUGCAGAGAUAUUGGAAGCAACACUAAAUAUAGCAGAGUCACCAUAUUCGAGUGGCUUCCCUCCUCUUUCGAUGCUCAAAUUCUUGAUAAUUACUGAUACCAUUAUGGGUAUGGAAAAAGCCCCAAAGGAUUGGUUUAAAAAUCUUAUUUCUCUUGAGAAUCUUGAAUUUUACUUUCUUUCAAGUCAAAAAUUUCAAGUAAUUGAAAUGUGGUGGUUUAAAGAUGACCUCAACUGUCUUCCUUCCCUCAAAAAAAUCACUUUUUUUCAUUGUGACCUAAAUGCAUUGCCAUAUUGGAUAUGCAACAUCUCAUCACUUCAACACAUUGAGGUGUGCGGUUGUAGAGAUUUGGAAGAUCUGCCUGAGGCAAUGCCACGUCUUACAAACUUACAUACCUUAGAAAUCAUUGAAUGUCCAUUCUUAGCUCAACAAUGUGAGACAGAAACAAGUGCAACUUGGUCUAAAAUUGCUCACAUCCCAAACAUAAUCUUAAAAGAAAGUCUUUGGGAUUAGAAAGGUACCGAUUAUUAUUUUUGGACUCCGUUAUUUUUUAUUGAUACGCUCUUUAAUUUUUUGUUUUUGUACUAAUUUAUAUUAUGAUUUUUGUUUCUUCGCUCAUUGUUUGAAUGCAUAUGGCUGGGAAAAAAAACUUUUCUUUUGGCAAAAGAAAAUGGAAAGAAUCAUAUUUAUGCAUCACGACUAAAUACUGAGAUACCAAAGACAUUUUAAUAUUUCUGAAUUUCCUUAGAUUUGUACACCACUUAUUUAGAAACUUUGUUUGUUUAUUCUCUGAUAAACUUUUAAAAAGUGACUACAAAUAUUGAUUUUAAAAGUUCAAUAUUGUUACUUGUAUACCAUUUUGUUCUUUUUAUCUUCUUGAAAAUGAUCUAUUGCAAGAUUUAUGCACUAUCAUACUGAUUUAAUGUGUGCUUGUUUUAAGCUAGCUUGCUCAAUAAAAGAAAUGGAAGACUGAAGGAGAUGCGUGAAGAUGGCUGCUCUAGAUAUUAAGAGUUUUGACUUUCUGAAUGAUUAUAAGUUAACUUUCUUUUCUUGUUAUUGUGUUAUUUUGUACUUGCUCAUAAACAUGAGACUGAUUGAUCAAGGGUUCUCUUUGUUAAGAGUUCUCUUUUUCUGUUGUUUUUAUUGUUGUUUGUUCUGUGCUCUUUUUUCCUGAAAAGGUUUUCAAUGAGGCAGAUCAUGAGUGUUUGGUUGGUUAUUUUGAAUUGUGUUUUGUUCUAGCUGCCAAAUACUUUUGUAUCUUUAUUUUCUUUUUAUUUAAUAAUAAGAGUCUGAUUGAAAAUUAUAUUGUGCUUUAUUUAUUUUUUUGUUUUUUAAAAUAAAAAUAAGAGUUUGAUUGAUCUACUCUAGAAAUUUUUCAUGAGUAGUCUUCUUGUGAUGAGUUCUAACUGAUGGAUGGACAUUAGUUUUUGGCUUUAUCAUCUAUCUUUUUUCUUUUAAACAUAUUGCUAGACCAUAUUAGUUUAGAUUUUGUUAUCUUUGUUUUAUCAGUUGAUUCUCUUUAAUAUGUUCAUUUGUGUCUUAUAUUUUCUCAUAUAUUCACUCAUCUAAAUCACCAUUGUACUUGAGAUUGAACCAGGGUCGAAAAAAGUUUUUGCAAUAGAGGUCUAUAAUUAAGAGGCUUAUUCUAGUAGGUGGAUGGUUGGGGUCUGUAUCUUGAAUCCAACAUUUUGAAUGACUGUGGAUUUGGAAAUUGUUUACAGUAGAUAGACCUGAAUUUUGAUUUUUUUCUUGAAGCAAAAGAGAAGUUCGUUAAAAAAAAGCACUGUGAGUGUAUAAAAUUACAAUCCAAAAGAAAGAGGUAUGAGAAUGAAAGAAACCACCACUAUAAUUCUCAAAGAUACAACCAACACAAGCUUGAGCAACUCAAAUGACUUUAGCAAAAACACAUAAACUAUAAUUGAUAAUCUGAAACCAACUCCAAUUGCCUAUAAAAGUUGCAAGUUGCCCCAAUGCUACAUCAAAGAAACUAGCUCCAAUGCCCCAUGCAACUCGAGUAGAUCAACUAACUUAAAGAUAGACAAAAUCGGCCCUUGAAAUAGGACUACAGUAUCAAAUUUACUGAAUUUUAACCACCCAUGGUGAAAAUAAAUAACGCAUCGCCCCAGUUACACAGUCAUCUCAUUAGAUGCUUCCUAACACCAAAACAAAUCAUCUUAUCCAAAUCAGCCACACAUUAUCACAAGUAAGUUGCAUCAAUCAUUAUGUUAGUUUGUUUAGGUUUAAUUUUUAAAAAAAUUAGAGUAGUUUGCAUGUGGUUAGGGUUGAUUUUAAAAUUGACAAUUUGAUGAUUGCAUGUGUUGUUAAGAUGUUAUAGAUGAAUGUAAUUGAUCUUUGAAUGAUUUUUAAGUAUAAUGUGGUUUUGAAUGAUGCCAAAUAAACACAAUUUGAAUAAGUUUCAUACUUUGCACACAAAGUGUUUGAUAAAAUGCCUCAACGACAAUUAUAUUGAUUAUUUAGUUAGUUUAGGUUAUGGAAAUGAUGAAAAUGAUGUUAAUUAUAGUUUGAUAAAGUGUAUAUUGAUUAUUGAUUAUUUAGUUAGUUUAGGUUAUGAGAAUUGUAUCGAAUGAUGUUUAGGUUAUGAUGGAAAUGAUGCACACAAAUUAUAUUGAAAUGAUGAUUAUAUGGAAUGGUUUUAGGUUAUGGAAAUGAUGUUCAUUGGAAUUUUAAUGUGUUUGAUUAUGUUUAUGUUUAUGUUUAAUUUAGGUUUAAUGUGAAUGUUUAUGUUUAGUUUAGGUUUAAUGUGUUUGAUUAGGUUAUGGAAAUGAUGUUAAUUUUUAAUUUUUUGUGUAGAUAUGUCUGAUCAGGACCAGGGGCAGCUGAUUGAUCCAUCUAAGAUGAUUGGUGGUAGGCGUGGUAUGACACAAAGCCAUCAGAAGAAGAGGAAAAACGCACAAAUACCGAAGAGGGGAAGAGGUCGGAGGGGGGAUGGUUCAGGGACUUCUUAGGCUACACAGCCUGAAAGUCACAGGUGGUUGACCCGACCCAGGAGGAGUACCUGAAUUAUCAGGAUUAGGUACACCACGAUGUCACUGAUGGUGGGUAUGACCAGCAACAUAUACCAGAGCAGCAUAUACCAGAUCAUGAUGACAUUGCAGCAGCAGCUGCCCCAGCGGCGUUACCUGAUCAACCUCCCUUUUCUGGAGGACCAGAAGAUACAUCUUUGCUGCACUCUUAUGCCAACUAUAUGACAUUGCCGCUUUGGUAUAAUUCUAAUAACGUAAGUGUUUUUGUUUAAUUAUUAUAUUAACUUUUAUAUGUGUUUUUGUUUAAUUCUUUUCUUUAUGUUUAAUUAUUUUCUUUAUAUUUUCUUUAUAUCAGCUUUAAUUAUUUUCUUUAUAUUUUCUUUAUGUAUUAAAUUAAAAAUACGUGCGACAAUUUAAAUUUGCGAUUUUUAUUUUUACAUGUGUUAAGUUUUAUUUUGUUUAGUUAAAUGUUUACGUUGUUUAAAAUAUGUUUAUUUUUCUAUUAUUUCAGGUUCGUAAGUUGCGUAUUGUAAAACCGAUUAAUCAUGGGACUAAAAUUUUGAGUCUUCGGCGUCCAAACAAUAAUCAUGAUUGGUUUUGGCAACCGCUUAAGGAGAACGGGUUAUAUGAUUUGGUUUAUUUGGACUACGUCACUAUACCAUCCCGAGAUCAGCAGUUUUACAUGAUUUUUAAUCAUGCUACGGUUUUUCAUCUUUUUGUUGAUGUAUAGGAAAACCUGUUCAUGUAUCGGGUGAAUUUGAUGCCCUUUUUCUACUUCUCAUUAAGCAAAUAUUUUCCCUUUUCUCUUAAUGUUUUCCUUGGUUUCUCUUUAUCUGAUUAACUCUUCUAACUAUUUUUGUCAUGUUGUCUGAUCAAUUAAAUAUAACCAUUUUCUUCUGUAAUUUGUUGAACAUAAAUAGCAAAACAGCCACUGGUUUUUGUUGCAAUUUAAUACAAUACUUAAUUCAGCUUCAUGGAUGCACAAGAGCCGUUUUCUUGGAUUAGCAGUUUGGUCUAAGUUCUACCUUCAUAGGAAAUUUUGCUUACAUUUUCUGUUUCUGCUCACAUUAAGGAAUAAAAUCUGUUAAUUGAAGUCCAUAUCCAGUGGUUGGUGUAAAUAUUUUAUUAUGAAAAUAAAACAAACUUUUGUAGCCACAUUGUACAUAGUCAGUUUCACUUCAGACUUUGCAGCUGUUUAAUAUAGGUUACUAUAUAAUACUCCCUCCGUCUCUGAAUAAGUGACCUAGUUGACUCUGACACACAUACCAAUGCAUAUGUUUUAUCUUGAUAUCUUCAAUUCUCUACUAAAAUUUAAUAUUUUAAAAAUAUUCAUCGAGACGAAUCCAACAACAUCUUACAUGAUAUUAUUAAUCUUUGUAAAUUAGUAGAAAAGUAUGGUCAAAAUAUGUCAAGUCAAUAAUGUAUAUUGUCAACUAAGUCAUUUAUUAAGGGACGGAGGGAGUAAUUAACAAUAAAAAGGGUGUGUGAGUGCAACACUAAAAUUCUUCGACAUUAGCAACUAAUAAUUUCUGAUCUAUUAAUUUAUUAUGGUAAUCCUUGAGGUUGUUCUUCUCUAACUAGAAUCCAAAGCAAAUCACUCAUAUUAGGAAAUGAAAGUGUAACUCACUUAGAAUUGAUGCCUCAAUUUUUUUUUUUUUUUUUUUCUAGAUGCUUCCACUUUUUCUUUUUCUUUUUGACUAAAUGGCUCCACUUUUCUGAAAGGUCACCGAAAGGAGGAACUGACAUAGACAUAAAAGAAAAAGGGUAAUAAUUGUUUUGAUUUUUUGAUGCUAGUUAUAAUAGUCCUUUAAUGCAUCAAAAUUUUAAAAUAGUUUAUGAUGUGCAUUUUGUUAGUCAAAAUAGUAUUUAAUGUUAAAAUGUUUCAUUAAUACUAUCAUAUUAGUCUUUCAAUAUACUUACUUAUUGUCAUACUAGUCCUUAUAAGUAUUUAUUUAUUGUUAUUUCAGUCUCUAUAUAAAAAGAGUUAUUGUGAGCAUUGAUAUAUUAUUUUACCUCCAUGGACUAUUCCGACUAACAUAGUUUCCAAUCAGAGACUAUUUUAAAAUUUUGAUACAUUGAGAACUAUUGUGACUAAUCGUUUCACAUUUAGGAACCAAAAUGACUAUUACUCUAGACAAGUAAAGUUAUCUGCAUACAUAAUUAUUUAUUAGCCAUUAAGAGUAAAAUUGUAGCUUGUCACUGUAGGAGCAUUCAUGAUAGAAACCAAAAAAGUAUUUUCCUCAAACAUAACCUGACUUGAGAAUCAGGCAAAAUUGAGGGGAACGGGAAAUUGGAAUUUGGGAUAAACCUUAGGAGUCAAUUCUUGUAAAACUAAGAGACCAAAAUCGCAAUACUUGGAGACGAAAUUGUAAAAAUUGUAAACUAUUGAGGUUCUUUUAUUAAAAAAACUUGAUUUUGGAUAUUUUUCUUAAAUAACUUUAAUAUGUUUGAUUGGUUAUGCAGUUGGAUUAUCAUUGUUGUAUUAAAUUGGUUUGUUAUUUCAAAAUUUUGCACAAAUAGUCGUUGGGAUGAUCUGAAUAUUUAUUAGCAAGAUAAGCAUUUCAUUAUCAACAAAUUCCUAAAAAAAAAUCUCCAUUAUCAUGCAUGGCCAUUCCUCAGGGAUGAUUAUAUACUGAUUCCAUUUAAGUGAACAAAAUAGCCCAAACAUGACAGAUUCAGAUUUGGUAUAAUCACAAAUUCACACCGUCAGCACAUCAUUGACCAUUGAACCAAGGUUGAGGAUUUAGAUUUUAAGUUCAACAUUUUAGAGCUUUGGGAAAAAAAAAAUAUUCUGCUUGUUUUCUACAAUCUUCGAUUUUGAUCUAACAAUUAUCAUAUAUAAAGAUAUUUAUAAUUCAUUAUUUAUACCUAUCAGACAAGAGUACUUUUCAUUAUUAUCACUUCCUACUUUCGGUGGAGGAUAUCAUAAUAGCAACCCUGAGGACUUCAUGUCUCUCAAUUAAUUAAUAUGUAAUCACAAUAAUGUAUUAAUGAAACAAAAUUUUAAAAUAGUGUUUAAUUGUGUAAUUCGUUAAUCAAAAUAGCAGCUAAUAAUAUAAAUUUUUUGUUAAUGUUGUCAUAUAAGUCAUUUAAUAUACCUAUUAUUGUCAUAUCAACCCUCACAAAUACUUUUUUUUAGUGACCCUCAUAAAUACUUAGUUAUUUUCAUUUCAGUUCAUAUAUAAAAAGAAUUAUUGUGAGUAUUGAAAUAUUAUUUUAGCGUCAAUGACUAUUUUGACUAACAUAGUGCAUAAUUAGAGAUUAUGUUGAUACAUUGAAUGACUAUAAUGACUACUCAUUACAUAUUCAGAGACCAAAGUAACUAUUAUCCCUUAUUAUAUUUAUAACUUUUUUACACUUGAGUGAGGAUAAUAUUUGUUUUGUUCUUAAAAAUUAGAGACAACAUACUAUCUUUGUAAUUUAUGUGGACAAAGAAGUAAUUACUUUUGUAUCCCUUCCUUGGCGCUCCUUAUUUUGUUGUAUGUAUGAUACUUUUCCUACAUUCACAUUUCACAAUCACAGCCACUCUCAAACUCUCCAAAAAAAAUUCAUUCGAUCUUCAGAUAUGCUAAUUGCCUUGUGUGUCUCUUUUUGAAGGAUGGCUGAACAAAUUCCAUACGGUGUUGCUACAAGUCUCGUUAACAGGUCUGACACUUUAUUUUCAACACUUUAUCUAUUUUUUUAGUUCAAGUUAAAAUAGUUUAACCGACGAAUAUAUAUAUCAUACAAGCUUGUUUACUGAAUAUUUUCUCUUCAUAGGUUGGCUUCUGCAGCCUUUCGUGAAUUUGGACGAAUUUAUGGUGUCAUGGAUGAAUUAGAAAGACUUAAAAACACAAUUGAAGUCAUCAGAGCUGUACUCCUUGAUGCUGAGGAGAAACAAGAGAAAAGUCCUGCUGUACAAGUCUGGGUAAGAAGGCUCAAAGACGUGCUUCUUCCUGCAGAUGAUUUGAUAGAUGAGUUUCUUAUUGAAGAUAUGAUACACAAACGGGAUAAAGCUCAUAAGAACAAAGUGACACAGGUAAUUCAUUCCUUCUUACCAAGCAGAACUGCUUUUCGCCGUAAAAUGGCUCAUGAGAUUGAAAAAAUACAAAGAAGUUUUAAAGAUGUUGAGGAAGAUAUGUCUUAUUUGAAACUUAACAAUGUUGUGGUGGUUGCGAAAACUAACAAUGUAAGGAGGGAAACUUGCUCUUAUGUGUUAGAAUCUGAGAUCAUUGGAAGAGAAGAAGAUCAAAACACGAUUAUAAGCUUGUUGAGGCAAUCACAUGAACAUCAGAAUGUCUCAUUGGUUGCUAUUGUUGGUAUUGGUGGUUUGGGAAAGACAGCUCUUGCUCAACUGGUAUACAAAGAUGGUGAAGUGAAAAAUUUGUUUGAAAAGCAUAUGUGGGUAUGUGUCUCGGAUAACUUUGAUUUCAAAACUAUUCUGAAGAACAUGGUUGCGUCAUUAACCAAAGAUGAUGUUGUAAAUAAGACAUUACAAGAGUUGCAAAGUAUGCUUCAAGUCAAUUUAACUGGUCAGAGAUACUUGUUAGUUCUCGACGACGUUUGGAAUGAGUGUUUUGAAAAGUGGGAUCAAUUGAGGCCUUAUUUGAUGUGUGGUGCUCAAGGCAGUAAGGUUGUAAUGACAACAUGCAGUAAGAUUGUGGCAGAUAGAAUGGGUGUAAGUGACCAACAUGUUUUGAGAGGUUUAACUCCAGAAAAAUCAUGGGUUUUGUUCAAGAAUAUUGUCUUUGGGGAUGUUACUGUUGGAGUGAACCAACCUCUUGAAUCAAUUGGUAAGAAGAUAGCAGAAAAGUGCAAAGGAGUUCCGUUAGCAAUUAGAUCACUAGGAGGCAUAUUACGAAGUGAAAGUAAAGAAAGUGAAUGGAUCAAUGUCUUACAAGGUGAAUGUUGGAAAUUGUGUGAUGGUGAAAAUAGCAUCAUGCCGGUCCUAAAAUUGAGUUACCAGAACUUAUCACCUCAACAAAGGCAAUGUUUUGCUUAUUGCUCUUUAUUUCCUCAGGAUUGGGAAUUUGAGAAGGAUGAGUUAAUUCAAAUGUGGAUGGCACAAGGUUAUCUUGGUUGUUCAGUUGAAAAUCAAUGCAUGGAAGAUGUUGGUAAUCAAUUUGUAAAUAUUUUCUUGAAGAAUUCAUUCUUCCAAGAUGCAAAUUUUAAUGAUGAUGGUGAUGUAACUGGUUUUAAAAUGCAUGAUUUAAUGCAUGAUCUUGCAACACAAGUAGCUGGCAAUGAUUGUUGUUACUUGGAUUCAAGUAAGGCAAACAAAUGUUUAGGAAGACCCGUGCAUGUAUUAGUGAAACAUGAUGCCUUGUGUUUGUUGGAAUCCCUGGAUUCAAGUAGGUUGCGGACUUUGAUUGUGAUGAAUUACAAUCACUAUAUGCUCCCUAGACCAAAACUAUCGGUUAUUCGAAAUUUCAAAUACUUACGCUUUUUGAAAAUGCAAAUUAGUAGUAGCCAGCGAGCUGGUUUCAUUGAAAAAUUGAAGCAUUUAAGGCAUCUUGACUUGCGCAAUUAUGAAUCAGGAGAAAGUCUUUCCAAAUCUAUCUGCAAUUUUGUUUGUUUACAGACCAUAAAAUUGAAAGAUUUUGUGGUAGAUUCUCCAGAAGUUGUUUCAAAAUUAAUCAAUUUGAGACACCUUAAGAUUUAUAAUGGGACCUUCAAAGACAAGACACCGUCUGGAUUUAGAAAAUUGAGCAUACAACAACCCAAGGGUCUGUCUUUGUCCAAUUGGCUCUCUCCACUCACAAAUAUAAUUGAAAUAUCUCUUAGUUAUUGCCGAGGUUUCCAACAUCUCCCACCAUUGGAACGCCUUCCGUUCCUUAAGUCACUCGAGUUACGUUUCCCCUAUGAAUUGGAGUACAUAUAUUAUGAAGAGCCUAUUCUUCAUGAAUCAUUCUUCCCAUCUUUGGAGAUCCUAGCCUUUUAUGGUUGUGAUAAGUUGAAGGGAUGGAGGAGGAUGGGAGAUGAUUUGAAUGAUAUUAACUCUUCACAUCAUCUAUUGUUGCGUCACUUUCCUUAUCUUUCUCAAUUAGUUAUUUAUCGUAGCAAGAUGUUGACUUUGAUGCCUACUUUUCCAAACAUUAAGAGAUUAUCAAUGGAGUCUUGCAGUACGAAGAUAUUGGAAGCAACACUAAAUGUAGAAGAGUCACAAUAUUCAAAUGGCUUCCCUCCUCUUUCCAUGCUCAAAUCCUUAAAAAUUGAUGGAACGAGUAUGGAAAAUGUCCCAAAGGAUUGGUUGAAAAAUCUUACUUCUCUCGAGAAUAUUUGCUUCAGUUUGUCAAGUCAACAAUUUGAAGUAAUUGAAAUGUGGUUUAAAGAUGACCUCAUUUAUCUUCCUUCCCUCCAAACAAUCAAUUUUACUUAUUGUGGUUUUAAGGCAUUACCAGAUUGGAUAUGCAAAAUCUCAUCACUUCAGCAUCUUAAGAUGUUCCGCUGCAAAUUGGUAGAUCUGCCUGAAGGAAUGUCACGUCUUACAAACUUACACACCUUAGAAAUCAUUGGAUGUUCAAUCUUAGAUACUAAUGAAUUCCUGACAGAAACAGGUGCACUUUGGUCUAAAAUUGCUCACAUCCCAAAAAUCAUCAAACGUAAUUAUUUUGUUGCUGGCGAGUAUGAAUGUACCUCCAACACUUAUCCUGACGGUAUCCUCUAUUUUUGAAGUCAGAAAGGUACCGACUAUUAUUUAUUUUAUCUCUGUUGUUUAUAAUUUUAUUUGUUAAAAAGUAAAAUGGAUUCCAUUAUUUUUUAUUGAAACGCUUUUUAAUUUUUUGUUGUUGUACAAAAAAAAUACUGAGAUGUCAAAGACUUUUUAAUAUUUCUGAAUUUCCAUAGUUUUGUACACCACUUAUUUAGGAACUUUGGUUGUUUAUUCUUUAAUAACAUUUUAAAUAUUGAUAUACUCCAUAAGAUUUAAAAAUAUGCAAUAUUGUUACUUGUAUGCCAUAUUUUUUUUUUCGUUUUUUAUACUCUUAAAACUGAUCUAUUCCAAUAUUCAUACACUAUCAUACUGAUUAAAUGUGUUCUUGUGUUAAGCUAGCUGGCUCAAUAAAAGACAUGGAAGACUGGAGGAGAUGCGUGAAGAUGGAUUUUCUGAAUGAUUAUUAGUGAAUUUUCUUGUCUUGUUAACGUUAUUUUGUAUUUGCUCAUAAGAGGAUGAUUGAUCACGGGUUCUCUUUGUUAAGAGUUCUUUUUUUAUCUGUUGUUUUCUCUGUACUCUUUUUUCCUGAAAAGGUUUUUAACGAGGCAGAUUGUGUGUGCUCACUUGGUUAUUUUGACUUGUAUUUUGGUCUAGUCCCCAAUACUUUUGUAUCUUUAUUUUCUUUUUAUUUAAUAAUAUUUAUAGAGUAUUGCAAAUUAUAUAUGAUAGCCAAAACGUGUCAACAUAGUUAGGAUGCCUUAGUUUGUCAUAAGAUGCUAUUGCAUUUUUUUUUUUUUGUUUUUUUAAAAUUGAAAUAAGAGUCUGACUAGAAAUUUUCACAAGUAGUCUUCUUGUGUUGAGUUCUAACUGGUGGAUGGACAUUAGUUUUGACUUUAUCAUAUUGCUAGACCAUAUAUUAGUUUGGAUUUUGUUAUCUUUUUUUAUCAUUUGAGUCUCUUCAAUAUUUUCAUUUGGUCGAAAAAAGUUUUUUCAAUAGAGGACUAUAAUUAAGAGGCUCAAGAGUUUGGAGCUUAUUUGACAAUUCUAGUUCUAAUUGCUGGAUAGUUGUGAAGAUUUGUCCAUUGUUUGACUUGGAAUGGGAGGUAGUGAUGCAUCACUCUUACCAUGAAGCCAAUCAAUGUGCUGAUGUCUCGACAAACUUCGGAUACUUGAAUGCCGAUUACAUAAACUAUAUACCUCGGCAACACAUAAACUAUGAUAUCAGUCCUACAUCCAAAUCUGAACCAACUCCAAUUACCUACUAAAAGUUGCAGGUUACCCCAAUUCCACAUCAAAAAAACUAGCUCCAAGGGCAUGGGAAAGCGAUACAAGGGUGCAAUUUUUUCUAAUUGGACAUUUUCACUUGCAAAUAUUGUUGAAAUCACUCUCUAUGAUUGUAAAGGUUUGAAGUACCUCCCACCAAUGGAAUAUCUUCUGUUCCUUAAGUCUAUCACUAUAUGUUAUGAAGAGCCUUGUUUGAAUGAAACAUUCUUCCCAUGUUUAAAGAUUCUCUUUAUAUGGAAAUGCAAUAUGCUACUAUAUUCAUUAUGAAAAUAGUAAGUUUUUUAUUCUUUAAUAUUAGCUGCUAAGAUCCUAAUGUUUUUCCAAAACUCGGAAAAUUUCACUAAUAUUGUGUAACAAUUUUUAGGUAGAUAGCGUCUGUUGAUAAAUAUUGUACUGAUGCAAUUGUUGAAGGGUGGACUACGGUUGAGGAAAAUUGGAAUAGUGAUGAAUUGUCUGAUAUAUAAUGUAUAAAUGUGGUUUCAAGACUUAACAUUAUUACUAUGUCAUUUAUUAGAAGUUUGCUAUGAUGCACCGCUACAGCUGAAUGUUGGAGUGCUGGUAUUGAUGUAUAUAUAUGAUAGUUGGCUCUCUAUAGUGAUUCAACAAUUCAUUGAUCUCAUCAAUUAUACAAGAAAUGAUUUCAGUCUUCUCUCAAAUUCCGAAAACUCUAAUGCUUUUCAGCUCCCUCUUUCAACAUGACCCCGAAAAUUAGAGCUGUAACUCUAAUAUCAGUCGAUUUGCGGAUUUGGUAAUUAUUAGAUGAUGUAGAGAAGAAUUCCCUGGAUUACAUACUAGAUUGCAAACUUUAAAGAGUUUGCACAAAUGUUUUGCUGUUUCUUUAUAUAUGCAGAAAAACCCAUUAUGCUCAGAUGUUGUAAUUGGUCAAGGUGUGCAUGGAAGAUUGUGGCAUUCACAAAUCGAUAUCACUGUGUCUGUUUCUUUAUAAUAUCGGUUGAUACGAUCGGGUAAUUAUAUUACUUCUCUCUGAGUAUUUUUUUUAACUCAAACCAAAUUAACAUAUAUCAUUACCGCAAUCAGAUCAUUCCAAACACAAGCACGAGUUUAAUGAGAAAACUCUUGAAUUGAAAUUAUACAAUGGUUUAGAUUACAUAAUAUUGAAGAAUAACACAGAUCAUAUGGAAACACAAAUGAUCAAAGAUAAAGAGAAGGAACAUACUACACACCAAUAACUUGUGCAACAAGUUAACUAAACUCUUAGCUAGUUUUAUUGUUCUAACAACCUUCAAAGUUAGUUACAAUUAGAGUUACAAUCAUAUAUGUAAGAUUCAUAUUAGCUUAGUGUACACUACCUUAUGAUACACUAUAAAUAAUGGUUCUCUUGUAAUCUCUAUUCAUUCAAUGAAAAAUCAUAGUUUCUUUUCUAUUUUUCUCUUUCUAUUAUUUUCUCUUUCCUUUCUGUUACAAUUCAGUUUCUCAAUAUGGUAUCUAGAGCCUCUUGAUCCAAAGAGUGCUUCUUCUUCCGCUACGAUUCUCUCUUUUCUUCUUUGUUUUUCUUUCUCUGUUCUUCAGUUUUCAUGGCGCCUCGCAACAACAAUGGUGCAGGUUCUUCCUAUGAGAUUGCUCUUGAUCAAACAAGCCCGUAUUUUGUUCAUUCUAGUGAUGGUCCUUCUUCUGUAACAGUUACGCCAUUAUUGAAUGGUUCUAACUAUCAUUCUUGGGCUCGUUCGAUGCGAAGAGCUCUUGGGGGAAAAAUGAAGUUUGAAUUUGUUGAUGGAACUAUUCCUCCGGUUACAGAUUCGUUUGAUCCUUCUUUUCGUGCUUGGAAUCGGUGUAAUAUGCUGAUUCACUCAUGGAUCUUGAAUUCAGUAGAUCCUUCAAUUUCUCAAUCUAUUGUUUUCAUGGAAAACGCCAUGGAUGUGUGGAAUGAUCUUAAGGAACGGUUUGCUCAAGGUGAUUUGGUUCGUAUUUCUGAACUUAUGCAAGAAAUCUAUUCUUUACAACAAGAUUCAAAAUCUGUUACUAAUUUCUACUCUGAAUUGAAAGUAUUAUGGGAAGAGUUAGAAAUAUAUCUACCUAUGCCUAGCUGUAGUUGCAGAAUCCAAUGUUCUUGUGAAGCUAUGCGCACUGCUAGGAAAAAUCAUGUUCUGUUAUAUGCUAUGCGUUUUCUUACUGGUCUCAAUGAAAAUUUCAACAUGGUGAAGUCUCAGAUCCUUCUCAUGGAUCCUCUUCCACCAAUGAAUAAGAUUUUUUCUAUGGUAUUGCAGCAUGAAAGACAGGGUAAUUUUGCACCUAUUAUUGAAGAUUCUUUACCUUCUAUCAAUGCUGUGAAUUCUGGAAAACCUAAGUAUGGUAAUUCUGGAAAUAUGUACAAAAAUACCAAUCAAAGUUCUAAUUCCAACUAUAACAAGAAUAGGUCUUGUACUUUCUGUGGUAGAAGCAAUCAUACCAUAGAAACUUGCUAUAAAAAGCAUGGAUACCCUCCUCAUCUCCAGAGAAAUUUCAAUAAUUCAUCUUAUGCUAAUCAUACUGCAUCUUCAGAGACUGAAAAUCCCACUCCUGAUGAGCCUGGGAGAGUUGCUUCUACAUCUAUCACAAAUGAACAAUAUGAAAAGUUAAUGAGUUUACUUCAGGUUUCAUCUUCUAAACAAGAUUCAGUAACUGCACAAGCUUCUGCAAAUCAGGUUUUUUCCACUCCAUCUGGUCAUACAUCAAAUGGUAAGCACAGUACUAGUUGCAUCCUUUCUUUAACUUGUCAUAGUUUUGCUUUAAACUCCUGGAUCAUUGAUUCAGGAGCUAGUGAUCACAUUUGUGGAAAUCUUCAAUGGUUUCAUUCUUACAAUGAAAUCACUCCUAUGCAUAUUAAAUUGCCUACUGGCCACUAUGCAAUAGCCAAACAUGCUGGAACCAUUAAGUUUAGUUCAAAUUUUUCAAUAUCUCAUGUAUUAUAUGUGCCUGAAUUUCAUUUCAAUCUGCUAUCUGUGUCCAAAAUAUCUGAUUCACUAAAUUGCAUUGUCAUUUUUGAUGGUUCCAAAUGUCUUAUUCAGGAAAAGAAUACUCAGAGGAUGAUUGGUUCUGGUGAAAAGAGAGAAGAAUUAUAUUACUUGAAUCCACCAGAUAAGAUGGUUUGCAGUUCUAGCAUUGUCCAAUCACCCUCCACUCUUUUACCUGAUAGUGCCUUAUGGCAUUUUAGACUAGGUCAUCUUUCUUUUUCCAGAAUGAAUGUUUUACAUUCAAAAUUUCCCUUUGUAAAUGUUGAUAGCAAAGCUACUUGUGAUGUAUGCCAUUUUGCUAAACAUAGGAAACUUCCUUUUACUCCCAGUUGUAAUAAAGCUGAACAGCCUUUUGAGCUAAUACAUCUUGAUAUUUGGGGUCCUAUUUCUAUUAAAUCCAUACAUGGUCAUUCUUAUUUUCUCACUGCUGUAGAUGAUUUCAGUAGGUAUACUUGGUUAACUUUGAUGAAAACCAAAACUGAAACCAGACAACACAUUGUUGAUUUUAUUACUCUUAUUGAAAAUCAGUUUUCUUGUAAAGUUAAAACCAUAAGAAGUGAUAAUGGUCCUGAGUUCCUCAUGCCAAAUUUUUACUCUUCAAAAGGAAUUUUACAUCAAAGAAGUUGUGUGGAAACUCCUCAGCAAAAUGCUAGAGUUGAAAGAAAACAUCAACACAUUUUAAACAUUGUGAGAGCUUUACUUUUUCAAUCAAAUCUUCCUAAACAAUUUUGGUCUUAUGCUGCUAUUCAUGCUGUCUUCAUCAUGAAUAGAGUGACCAGCCCUAUUAUUGAUAAUAACACUCCUUAUUUUCUAUUGCAUAAACAGAUACCUGAUUUAAAUCAACUGAAAGUUUUUGGUUCUUUAGUUUUUUCAUCCACUUUACAAGCAAACAGAAACAAACUUGCUUCUAGAGCAAGAAAAUGUGCUUUUUUAGGCUAUAAACCUGGCAUGAAGGGAGUUGUUUUGCUUGAUAUAAUUACAAAGGAAAUUUUUGUUUCUAGAAAUGUUACACAUCAUGAAAAUAUCUUUCCUUAUCAACCUGCAUCAUCCCCACCUCUUUGGAACUACUACUCCAGCAUACCUUCAAAAUCAUUAGAUCAAAAUCUUGAUUCCAAUUCUUCUGUUUGCAAUGAUUUUACUUCUUCUGACCAAAAUUCUCCAACACAAACAUCCCUUGAUAUGCACAUUGAUAAUGCACCUAACCCUGAUAUUACAGACACUUCUUUACCAUCAAUUUCCAAACCUACCAGAAUUAGAAAUGCACCUUCUUAUCUGACAGAUUAUGUCUGUAAUUCUUCAUCUGCUUUUGCAUCAGCACCAAAAUCCUCAGGUACUCUUUACCCUAUUGCAUCAUAUCAUUCUUAUGCACAUUUAUCAUCAUUCCAAAAGUCUUUUUCUAUGUCUGUCACACAAUGUACUGAGCCAAAAACCUACAAAGAAGCUAGUCAGUCUGAAUGUUGGUUAAAAGCUAUGGAAUCUGAAUUAGAAGCAUUGGCUAAGAAUGGAACUUGGUCUAUUGUUGAUCUUCCUCACAAUGUGAAGCCUAUUGGUAGUAAGUGGGUUUAUAAAAUUAAGCACAAGGCAGAUGGCAGUAUAGAAAGAUACAAAGCUAGACUGGUGGCUAAAGGAUAUAAUCAAGUUGAAGGAGUUGAUUUUUUUGAUACUUUUUCACCAGUAGCCAAGCUUACCACAGUAAGAAUUUUACUUGCCAUAGCUUCAAUAAAAAACUGGCAUUUACAUCAGUUGGAUGUAAACAAUGCUUUUCUACAUGGUGAUUUGCAAGAGAAUGUUUACAUGAAUAUACCAGAAGGUAUCUCUAGUGCACCAAACAAGGUUUGCAAGUUACAUAAGAGCCUAUAUGGUUUGAAGCAAGCCAGUAGGAAAUGGUAUGAGAAGUUGACAUCUUUAUUGAUAGCAGAAGGGUAUACACAGUCACCAUCAGACUAUUCACUUUUCACUAUUCAACAAGGUUCUAAUUUUACUGCAUUAUUAGUAUAUGUAGAUGACAUUAUUCUUGCUGGUUCAUCUAUCACUGAAUUCACUAGAAUCAAAGCUACACUUGAUGCUCAUUUCAAGAUCAAAGAUUUGGGAAUUCUAAAGUAUGUUUUAGGAUUAGAGGUUGCUCAUUCCAAAGAAGGGAUCUCUAUUUCUCAAAGAAAGUAUUGUCUUGACCUAUUGGAUUCUUCUGGACUUUUAGCGUCUAAACCUGCUUCUACUCCUCUGGAUACUUCCAUAAAAUUGCACCAAGACAAUAGCAAACCCUUUGUUGAUGUGUCUUGUUACAGGAGACUCAUUGGAAGACUUCUCUAUCUCAAUACUACAAGACCAGAUAUCACACUAGCAACUCAACAACUCAGUCAGUUUUUAAAUGCUCCUACUGUAUCACAUUACAAAGCUGCUUGUAGGGUCAUUAGAUACUUGAAACAUAACCCUGGCCUUGGUUUAUUCUUUCCUAGACAUUCUGAAUUACAAAUCCUUGGUUAUGUAGAUGCUGAUUGGGCUGGUUGUAUUGAUUCUAGAAGAUCAACAACAGGUUUUUGUUUCUUCUUAGGUUCAUCAUUGAUCUCAUGGCGUGCAAAGAAACAAGCAACUAUUUCUAGGUCAUCCUCAGAAGCAGAGUAUAGAGCACUUUCCACUGGCACAUGUGAACUUCAGUGGCUGCUAUAUCUCUUGAAAGAUUUAAAAGUUACUUGCAUCAGACAACCUGUGUUAUACUGUGAUAGUCAGAGUGCAAUUCACAUAGCUUCCAAUCCAGUGUUUCAUGAGAGAACUAAACAUUUGGAAAUAGAUUGCCAUCUUGUCAGAGAAAAGGUGCAAAAAGGAAUAUUAAGGUUGCUUCCUAUACCUACUGAAGAACAGCUUGCAGAUUUCCUUACAAAACCUCUGCCACCUCCAAAGUUCAAUUCUUUUGUAUCCAAGCUUGGAAUGAUAAAUAUUUAUCAUGCUCCAGCUUGUGGGAGGAUAUUGAAGAAUAACACAGAUCAUAUGGAAACACAAAUGAUCAAAGAUAAAGAGAAGGAACAUACUACACACCAAUAACUUGUGCAACAAGUUAACUAAACUCUUAGCUAGUUUUAUUGUUCUAACAACCUUCAAAGUUAGUUACAAUUAGAGUUACAAUCAUAUAUGUAAGAUUCAUAUUAGCUUAGUGUACACUACCUUAUGAUACACUAUAAAUAAUGGUUCUCUUGUAAUCUCUAUUCAUUCAAUGAAAAAUCAUAGUUUCUUUUCUAUUUUUCUCUUUCUGUUAUUUUCUCUUUCCUUUCUGUUACAAUUCAGUUUCUCAAUACAUAACAAGGAUGGUGAAGCAAUACUUUUUGACCAUCAUGGUGGAUUCAAUAAUAAACUAGACGAUAAUGCGCGGUAAAAUUUCAUAUAUAUAAUUUUGAGUCCAAAAUAUUGAUAUAUAUAUGCUUUAAAAUAAUGUAGUUUUUGUUGUUAGAGUAAGAUAUACUAAGCAUAUAAAAGGUAAAUAUAUUUUUGAAUCAUUGUUGACAAAAUACAAUCCAUACAAAUUAUAUUGUUAUAGUAUACUAUUAACCUUACCCGGUAUUAGUGAUUAUUUGUUAACCCAUGCAAAUUGACAAAUUAAAAUAUAUUAUAAUGAAGGAAAUGUAAAUCUUUGGAGGACUCACAUUCCCCGGUAUUUGAGAUUAUUUGAGUCUUGUGAUGUAUUCUAACAUUCAACAUUCAUUAAUCAAAAGAAAAUAACAACAAGCAACAACAACAAUAAUCAAGUGCAUAGCAAAAUCACAAUCUAACCAAAGAAUAAACAAGAUAAAGAGAGUAGAGAAAAGAUAUCAACAUCAAGAAAUGUUUACUCAGUUCGGUCAAACUCGCCCAAGUUGCUCACAAUUGACUCUCUACUCAUGUGUUUCUCAUCCCCAUGAAUCUUUCCCCAAAAGACACCAACCAUAUCCCAAGAACCCCCUCUUUUGGUUCUCCAAGAUUCACAUCUUGAAGCUUUGAACAUCACCCAAAGACCCUCAACCUUUAGUAUCUAAAUUCCCUAAAAGUUCUCUCCUUUGGUUUCUAUGAGAUUCACCAAGGUUUUUUCAACAAUUGGGUCAUAAAGUGCUUAAACAGUGUUUAGGAUUUCGAGAAAUCGUACGACGAUUUCUCCCAUCGUACUAGGAUGGAGCAGGUGACAGUACAAUACUAUGCCUUGUCCAUCAAAAUCGUACUACGAUUUCUCCCAUCGUGCUACAAUUUUUCCAAUGACAACUCAAACCUGAACCAUCCAAAAUCGUACUAUGAUUUUGAGUCGGACUUGCUUGAAUCGAUACGCUUACCGCUGUCUAUUCAAUUGAUUUUGUUGCCCCCGGCCCAGGCAUUGUCUUAGCUCUUCACCCAACACAUAUGAUAGAUACGGAUGGGGGGACAUAUGCCCUACUAGAUGAUGCCUUUACUUUCACUUUAUAAGGUACCUUCGAGACCUGAAAUUACUGCCUGCCCUACGAGAAUGAUUUACCUUUCUUUCCUAACAGAAUUACUCCCUCCUACUCCUACCUUGCUUUACAAAGGCUUUCUCAUGCUUUGAAUGCCGGCUGGGUCCACGGCCGUCUAAAUCGACAGAGACUUGUACCUCAUUCUCAGCACCCCUUACAGUCUCGGGCUAUUUCGCCCUUAGCUCGGUGUUCAUCUUUCCGGUCUAGCUCAACGAUGAGCUCUUUAGAUGUUCAGUCUGUUCGGACGGAUAUGAUGUUGCAUGUCAUCAUCAUGGGAACCUCAUCAUCGCAUGUACCAAAAUAGUUGUUCAAAUAUCAUUACUCUAUACAAUAUAUACAUUACAACAGCUAUACACUAUAUUAGUGAACCAAUGCAUCAUCUAUCUAUGUUGACCCUUUGGUUCCUUUGGGGUACAAGAUCCUCUGGACCAAUUAUCAUCUGGGAUUGAUCCUUUGUACCUCUUGUAUGAAUUAUUCAAGUCCAAACAUGGGACACCUUGUAUUCUACUAAUAUAAUAGUACUUUUUCAAUAUAUUUAUAUUUUUUUUUGUUACAAAUAAAAACAAUUUAGACUAAAACAAAAGACCGAUAUGAUAAAUAAGUGAUUUGAGGAUAAGAGAGAUUGAGAGAAAAUCAAAUGUUGAAUGAUUUGUUUUUUUUAAGGGAGGAUGAUUGUUUUCAUUAACAUAUUUAUUUGUUUGACGAAUAUUUUAUAUGUUUUCAUGUCUUUAUAUAAUAGUAAAAAAAAAAUGGUAAAAAUAUAUUGAAUAAUGCAUAUAGUCAAAGUCGAUUAUUUUGGAAGAGAGACUAAGAGCCUGUUUGAAACACUUCCCAAAAACUCUUUUUUAGUUUUUAAAAACUUGAAAAUUAAAAACUUAUUUGCUAAACUAUUUAUAAAAUUACAGUUUUGGAAACUGUUUUGAAUUUUUUAGUUUUGAGGACUAAAAAACUAAAACAUGUAAAAAGAUAACCAUUGUGAGAAGAGGACUUGUAUAUUUCAAAAACUGAAAAUAAAAACUAUUUCAAACAGAUCCUAAUUAUUUGGUUAUUGUUCCUUACUUUUUUUUCUUUCUUUUCAUUGAGAUAAUAUUAUAUUGGUCUUAUGGACGAUAUUAUAUUAUUAUUGAUGCAACAUGUAGAUAAGCGACGACUUCAUUUGCAAACUACUAGGCACUUCCCUUGGUCCAUCAAUGUUUUUCCUACAUAUUGAUUGCAAUUAUCAAACUCUGCAAAAUUUUCAAUCUUCCUGUUAAUCCAUCUGCUUGCCUUUGUCUUGUGUGUCUCUUUUUUAAGGAUGACUGCACAUAUUGCAUACGGUGUUGCUACACGCCUCAUUAAUAGGUGACUUCAUUUUCAACCUUUUAUUAUCAUGAUUCAUACAUAUGAGUUUUCUUAAAAUUUGUACAAGGGAUGUCAAAAUGAAAACAGUGAUUUUAUUUGCUGAAAAUUUUGUUUUCGUAGGUUGGCUUCUGCAGCCUUUGAUGAAUUUGGAAGGAUUAAUGGUGUUAUGGAUGAAUUGGAAAGGCUUAAGAACACAGUUGAAUCCAUCAAAGCUGUGCUCCUUGAUGCUGAAGACAAACAAGAGCUCAAAGACGUGCUUCUUCCUGCUGUUGAUUUGAUAGAUGAGUUUCUUAUUGAAGAUAUGAUACACAAAAGGGAUAAAGCUGAUAAGAACAAAGUGACACAGGUAUUUCAUUCCUUCUCUCUAAGCAGAGCUGCUUUUUGCCAUAAAAUGGCUCUUGAGAUUGAAAAAAUACAAAAAAGUUUUAAUGAUGUUGUGAAAGAUAUGUCUGGGUGAAUCUAAACCCAAAUGUUGUGGUGGUUGAACAAAAUUACAAUGUAGGGAGGGAAACUAGUUCUUUGGUGUUAGAAUCGGAUAUCAUUGGAAGAGAAGACGAUAAAAAGGAGAUUAUACACCUUUUGAGACAACCACAUGGAAACCAAAAUGUCUCCUUGAUUGCUAUUGUUGGGAUUGGUGGUUUAGGAAAGACAACUCUUGCUCAGUUGGUAUAUAAUGAUGGAGAAGUGCAAAAUUUGUUUGAAAUAAGUAUGUGGGUAUGUGUCUCUGAAAACUUUGAUGUAAAAACUAUUGUGAAGAACAUGGUUGAAUCAUUAACCAAUAGCAAAAUUGAUGAUAAGUUGUCACUUGAAAACUUGCAAAAUAUGCUUUGCAAAAAUUUAAAUGGGAAGAGAUUUUUCUUAAUCCUCGAUGACAUUUGGAACGAGAGUUUUGAAAAAUGGGCUCAAUUGAGGACUUAUUUGAUGUGUGAUGCUCAAGGCACCAAGGUUUUAGUGACAACUCGUAGUAAAGCUGUGGCACAAACAAUGGGUGUAAGAGAGCCCUAUUUUUUGAAUGGUUUGACUCCAGAAGAAUCAUGAAGUUUGUUAAAGAAGAUUGCGUUUGGGGAUGAUACCAUUGGAGUGAAUCAAACUCUUGAGUCAAUUGGUAAGAAGAUAGUGAAAAAGUGCAGAGGAGUUCCAUUAGCAAUUAGAUAAUUGGGAGGCAUAUUACAAAAUAAAAGUGAAGAAAGGGAAUGGAUCGAUGUCUUACAAGGUGAAUUUUGGAAAUUGUGUGAGGAUAACGGUACCAUUUUGCCGGUCCUAAAAUUGAGUUACCAAAAUUUGUCAUUUCAACAGAGACAAUGUUUUGCUUAUUGUGCUUUAUAUCCUAAGGAUUGGGUAAUUGAGAAGGACGAGUUGAUUCAAAUGUGGAUGGCGCAAGGUUAUCUUGAAUGUUCAAUUGAAAAGCACUGCAUGGAAGAUGUUGGUAACCAAUUUGUGAAUAUUUUCUUGAUGAAAUCAUUCUUCCAAGAUGCAAAAUUGAAUCUAGAUGGUGAUAUACAAGAUUUUAAAAUGCAUGAUUUAAUGCAUGAUCUCGCAACACAAGUAGCUGGCACUGAUUGUUGUUACUUGGAUAAUAAGUCAAAAAGAUUUAUAGGAAGACCUGUGCAUGUAUCCGUAGAAUUUGAUGCAUUUUUGUUGUUGGAAUCAUUGGAUGCAAGUAGGCUGCGAACAUUGAUUAUGUUUUCUUCUUAUGACGACAUCAAACUAGAUAGAGAGGAAUUGACAAUUAUUUCAAAUUUCAAAUUCUUACGCGUCUUGAAGCUGAGGGAUUCUUUUUUGAGUAAGCUAUCUGGCUCAAUUGAAAAGUUGAAGCAUUUAAGAUAUCUUAAUUUAUUGUCAUGUCAUGAAUUAGGAUGUCUUCCUAAAUCUAUAGGCAAUCUAAUCUGUUUACAAACAAUAAAAGUCUCAUUGGCUGAAGAAGUUAUACUUUCUACAAAAAUUGUCUCAAAAUUAAUCAAUUUGAGACACCUUGAGGUUUAUAAUUGGACCCAUAGAGACAAGAAACGAGGUGGAUUUGCAAAAAUGGGCCUACAACGGUACAAGGGCAAGGGGGUGAUCUUUUCAGAAAGGCUAUCUUCACUCACAAAUAUUAUUGAAAUACAUCUUGGUUAUUGUCAAGGUUUCCGAUAUCUCCCACCAUUGGAACGCCUUCCAUUCCUUAGGUCACUUCAAUUACAUUGCAUUAAUAAUUUGGAGUACAUAUAUUAUGAGGAGCCUAUUCUUCUCGAAUCAUUCUUUCCAUCUUUGGAGAGCCUAAAACUUUGGGAAUGCCACGAGCUGAGGGGAUGGCAGAGAAUGGGAGAUGAUUUCGAUGAUAUUAAUUCUUCACAUCAUCUCUUGUUGCCUCAGUUUCAUUGUCUAUCUAAAUUAGCAAUUAGAGGGUGUCAAAUGUUGACUCACAUGCCUACUUUUCCAAACAUUAAGAAGAGAUUAUCAUUGACAGAGUGUUGUGUGGAGAUAUUGGAAGCAACACUAAAUAUAGCAAUGUCACAAUAUUCGAUUGGCUUCCCUCCUCUUUCCAUGCUCAAAUCCAUAGAAAUUGGCGAAUUCAGUUCAGACGUGAAAAAACUCCCAAAGAAUUGGUUGCAAAAUCUCACUUCUCUUGAGAAUCUUGAAUUUUUCUUUCUUUCAAGUCAACAAUUUGAAGUAAUUGAGACGUGGUUUAAAGAUGACUUCAUCUAUCUUCCUUCCCUAAAAAGAAUCAACUUUUAUAAUUGUUUUCAUCUAAAGGCAUUACCAGAUUGGAUAUGCAACCUCUCAUCACUGCAUCAUAUAGAGAUGAUCAACUGCAGAGAUUUGGCAUUGCUGCCACAAGGAAUGCCUCGUCUUACUAACUUAUGCACCUUAGAAUUCAUUAAAUGUCCACUUUUAGUUGAAGAAUGCCAGACAGAAACAAGUGCAAUUUGGUCUAAAAUUGCUCACAUCCCAAACAUAAUCAUGAAGUGAUUUGCAAUAGAAAGGUACAUUAUCUUCUUAAUAAAAAAACUUGUAUUUUUUGUUUCUGUUGUUUGGUUUUCUUGAUUUUCGAAAGUAUGUCUUUUCACAUAUAUAAUUCUAUAAUAAUGCAUAAAAGGAAGAUCAUUCUUUUUGAAGAAGAUAAAAGACAUAUCAUUCAAUUAAUUAUUAUCUUCUUUCUUUCCACUUUUUCUACUUCUGUUGGCAAUAGCGCUAGUUGUAUGCCAUUUUCUUCUUAUACUGUUGAAAAUAAUCUAUUCUAAGAUUUAUAUGGAUUAUAAUACUGAUUUAAGUUAUUUUUUGGACAUAGAAGAGUUAUGUUUGCUUAUAUUAAGCAAAUACCUGCUGUAGAGUUAUACAAGCUUGCUUGCUCAACAAAAGAAAUGGAAGCAUGCAUGGAGAUGAGUGAAGAUGGUGCAGAAGGUUGUUUGAUGAUUUGUUUUUGUCUUCUUUUGUGAUUGCCAAAGAUGGUAAAGCUUUUGAUAAUUUCUGGAAUGAUGAUCGGUGAAUUUCCUUGUUUUGUUAGGAGGAAGAAAUGUUGUUAAUUUGUGGAUGGAUAUAUAGUUGGAAUCCAGGUGCAUGAAAUUGUGUAUUUUGAAUCCAAUUUUUUGGAAGGACAAGAGUUUUGGCUUAAAAAAGUAUUAAUUUCAUGCAAUUUCAACCUUGUUCAUACUUUCUUAUGUUAUAAAAACAAUAACUUAAAAAACUCCAUUCUGACCUGACCUGUUUAUACUUGCAACAAAAGGUACAUGUUGUGAAUUCGAUGAAAAUCACACCAAUAAAAUACUUGAUGUGUGGAGCAAGUAAUAAUCAAACAACCAAACAAAGUGUAUGGAAGUUAUAAAUACAAGAAAAGGUACAAACAACGAGAGAAGAAAGGGAGAACACAAGAAUUUGUUUACCCAGUUCGGUCCAAAACUGACCUGGUCUGGGGGAGAGAGCACCCCUCCGUUCCACUAUAAUGAUGAGCAACUUUACAAAAGAGAUAUCAAUGGAUUACAAGAAUAAGUCUCCCGCCUAAUUCUACCCAAAGUCCCAAUCUCUUUCCGUGACCAAGAGACUCAAUGCUAAUAGUGUUUUCCAAAGUGAAUCAAUCCAACCCUAUUGUUUGUUGUUAAGAGCAAACUCUAUACAAACUCUAGUUUGUUAUUUGUUUCUAAACCCUUGUUUCCAGCCCCCUCUAUCUCAAGGUUUACAAAUUGUCUCAAAUGUGUGUGGCUAUUACUAGAUUACCCUUAAUUAAAUAUUACUCCCUCCGUCCCGGUAUGUAAACACCUAUUUGACUUUAUUUUUGUUCCUAAAUGUAAAUCUCUUUUCAAAUUACUAGAUGAAUUUAUUAUUUUCUUCCUAAAGAUACCCCUAAUUAAUAUUACUUAGGGGUGUUCAAAACCGAACCAACCCAAUAGAAAAACCGCAAACCGAACCAACCCAAACCGAAACAGCAAAAAUCCGCACUUGGUUCGGAUGAGUUCGGAUUACUUUUAGACUGAACCGCGCGGUUCGGUUUGCGGUUUGCAUCUCAGCAACCGAACCAAACCAAACCAAACCAAACCGCAAAAAUACUCAAUGUUAUUAAACUAAGUAAGUACUGUACUAGCCCAAUACCAAAGUGAGCCCAAGCCCAACACUAUCCAGCUAUUUUUUGGUUCUUAAAUAUUAUUUUGGUACUGUAAUGUUAUUUUAGAUAAAUAACUUUUAUUGGUAUUGUAAUGCUAUUUUGGAACUUCAAGUUCUUUUUUUGAAUAAUUAAAUUGCUUGGUACUAGUUGGCAAUAUUAGAGUUAAUGUAAUUUUUUUAUUUAUCUCGCGAUUAACCGCAUCAACUGAACCAAUCCAAACCGCAUUGGUUUGGUUUGGUUUGGUUUGGAUGACUUUUUAAAAAUCAACCGAACCAAACCAAACCGCAUGCUUUUUUCUCUCGCGGUUUGGAUGAUUAUUAUGCUUGAAACCGAACCAAACCGCACCGCGAACACCUCUAAUAUUACUAACUAUAAAAAGUCAAAUUUUAUUACAAGUCAAAUAUAAAAAUAUAAAUCCUAAUAGAAAUAUAAAAAGUCAAUUUUAAUACACAUACAGAUAAAUGAUAAUUUAGUAAUAUUAACACAUAAAAUAGACAUAUUAAUUAUACUAACAACUUUUCUUAAGAAAUAUGAAGAAGAAAAAAAACAAAGGGGUCUAUUCACAAGGAUGAGAUUGGAAGAGUCACUGAAUUUCCAUCCCUAAAUUUGUAAUGAGAGAGAAAGAGAAAAAAAGGAAAAGAUGCAUUUAAGGGUGGAGAUUAAUACUCGAGAGAGUCAAGUGAAAACUUCAAUGGAAGGGAUCCAUUCUCGGACGAGAUUAUCAUGUAAAAAGCGAUGGAGGGAGUAUUAAUAUUUGUAGAAUACAAUCAUUUUAAUCAAGGUUUUACAACUCGAGAGUUUACCUCAACUCGUUUUGCCUAGCAAAACUCGAUUCGAGAAUUCGUACGAGUUUACCUAAAAUUAAAAUCAAUAUAAAAUUUAUUAUAUGCAAGAAAUAUAUAAGCUAAUAUAACAUCGUAAAUAAGUCAAUAGUGCAAAACAUGACUUAAUUACAAAGACAAAUUAUACCAAACUAUCAUAAUAAAACGUUAUGCUCAACUUAGCAUCAAAAUACAAAAAUUAAUGCACAAAAUUAUAAGUUUCAUAAGUCUUCCAUCCAUAGAACCAUCCAAAAAAAAAGUUUUACAAGUUCAUAAAGUUGUUAAUAAAACUAUAUAAAAAAUAAACUAGUUAAUUUCUUCAAAUGGUCAACAAACAACACCACCGCAACUCUAACCGGCAUCGAAAUCUAAAUUUUCAUCUUUGGAAUCCCAACCCUAACUGAUAUGUACUCUCUUGUUCAUAGUUUGAGAACUUAAAAAGAAAAAGAAACUUUUCAUUCUGAGAACGUGUUAUUGUAGAAAAUGAAUUGGGUUUUGAAAAAGAAAGAAUCGGUAAACGCUUAAUCCAACUUUUUAUUUUGUAUUUUUAUUAAUUUUUUAGUACUACACGCUUACCGAUACUCAUUAUAUUAUACAAGGAAGUAAGCUUUUAUCCAACGAACAAUUUUGUUUGUAACUCCCCUGACUGACUCCUAGAAGAACUCAUUUACAGAACAGAACAGAGGAGCUUUGCACCUAAACUAAACCACCAACAAGAGAAACAGCCAACAAAAAUCCAAUCCUAGAAGCUGUGUCGUUUGUUUCUUCAGGUAACCAACACUUUGUUUUUUGUCUCUUCACGACACAUUUCAGUUUGUGUAAUGUGUUUGUGUUUCUUCAUUACAGAAGAAGAAGAUCAAUGGGUACACCGAAAGAACACAUUGAAGAGAUACGAAGAGAAAAGUUUUCUAUUGGUGGGAAACCUAAUCCAUUGACUUAUGAUCUCCAUCAUGCAGUCAAGAAUCUCUCUGCCGAGCUUUACGCCAAAGAUGUUCAUUUUCUCAUGGAACUCAUUCAAGUACACAUUCUUUAACUUUUCAUCUUUUUCUGUUGAACCUCUUUUCUAUUUUUUUUUUUAAUUUUUUAUUAUAAUAAUGCAUUGUAAAUGUGAUUUUUUAGUUCUAGUAAAAAUUUUCAGCAAAGGAAAAUGUUAGAGGGACUAAAAAAUGCAAUUUUUUUUGUAGGGAUUAAAAAUUAUAUUAUGCGUAUUUAUAGGGGCCAUUUACUUAAUUAACCAUUGAUUAUAAUAAUAAUAAUAAUAAUAAUAAUAAUAAUAAUGACUUUAAGUCAAAACAUGUUUGAAUGGAUAUUUGGCAGAAAGUUCAAUUUUUGAGAGGAUGCUCGAGCUGUAUUUUCAUUUUGAAGUUAGUCUUGAAAGGAUUUCAUGGUUGUGCUUUCUUGUAAGUUAUUGCCUGCAAUGAUCACAUCGUCAACCUAGAUCAAAAUAGUAGUGAAGGAUAAAUUUAAUCUUUUUAUGAACAAGGAAUCUUGAACGAUGCAAUCUUGUUGUCAAAUCAUAGUUGUUUAUAUUCAUGACCAUAAUUUUCUUGUCAACUUCAACAGAAUGCUGAAGACAACCAUUAUAUUGAUGGAGAGAAUCCAACUCUAGAGUUUGUCAUAACUUCUGAUGACAUUACUGGUACUGGUGCUCCAGCCACGUUGCUAAUUUUCAAUAAUGAAAAGGGUUUCUCUCCAAAAAACAUCGAGUCUAUUUGCAGUGUUGGACGAUCAACAAAGAAAGACAAUAGGAGCAGUGGUUACAUAGGAGAGAAAGGUACAUCACAUUCUUAUUUAAAUGUUUCUUAAAAUGUUGUGUGCUUUUGACUUAAGAAGGAAAUGUGCUGUUGUGCUAAUAUGACUACUUUCAAUGAAAAUUAGUUGAAUGUUUUCAUUGGUAUUGGUAUUUUAAUAUCUGAGUUGUAAGAAUAUGCUUUUAAUAUGUUUGAAUGAAUUCAAUGUCAAUUUUUUUUUUUUUUUUUUUUUUUUUUUUUUUUUUUUUUUGUAAAGAGGACAUUUUCAUAAUUGAAAUGUGUUUCUUUAGUUGUACUCCUUGUGCAAAAUUUAUGAAAUAAUGCUGGACUAUGGAUAUCCAUUAUAGUAGCCAAAUUGAAGAAGAUAAUGGAAAUCUCUGACAUAAUCUCUUCUAUGUUUUGAAUUACAGGAAUUGGUUUCAAGAGUGUGUUUCUUGUUACUGCUCAGCCUUAUAUUUUUAGCAAUGGAUAUCAUAUAAGGUUCAAUGAGAGGCCUUGUCCACAUUGCAGAAUUGGGUAUGUAGUUCCUGAAUGGGUUGAGGAGAAGCCAACCCUUGUUGACAUACAGAAGAUAUAUGGAGCUGGUAAAGAUUCCCUUCCAACUACAACGAUUGUGUUGCCUUUGAAAUCAGACAAGGUCAAACCUGUUAAACAACAACUAUCUAGUAUUCACCCGGAAGUUCUGUUGUUUCUUUCGAAAAUUAGACACCUUUCUGUAAGAGAAGGUAAUAAGGACUUCAACCAGAACACUGCAACUUCUGUAUCUAUUUCAAGCGAGAUUAACUUUGUGACAAGGAAAAACAUGAAUGCUAAGUCAUACACAAUCCAUCUAUCUACGGGAGAAAGUAGUAGGGAUAAAAAGGAGUGCAGUUACUACAUGUGGAAGCAAAAGUUUCCUGUCAAGCUGGAAAAUGUGGUGGAAAGGAGAAGGGGUGUGGAAGAGUGUGUUGUGACAUUGGCCUUCCCACAACAGGAGAGGCUAGACAAGGAUAAGAGCUUACCAGGGGUUUAUGCAUUUCUUCCUACAGAGAUGGUCACUAAUUUUCCAUUCAUAAUUCAAGCAGAUUUUGUUCUUGCCUCGUCAAGGGAGACAAUUCUCUUUGAUGAUAAGUGGAAUCAAGGGAUUCUUGAAUAUGUUCCAUUAGCUUUUAUAGAUGCAUUCAAAACACUUGUGACUGGUUCUGAUGAAGCUCCACUAUCCAGCUUGCCUUAUAUGUUCAAGUUCCUUCCAAUUCAUAGUUCUCCUUUUGAGAUCUUCAAUCGUGUGAGGCAGAAAAUCAAAGCAAAGCUGGAUGAAGAAAAAAUUAUACCUAUCGAGACAUUCAUAAACCAGAAGCACUUCUAUAAGCCCCGUGAAGUUAACAGGUUACUACCUAAAUUUUGGAAUAUUUUGACAAAGGCCCGCGAGGAAGGAGUAUACUUGCUUGACCUAUCUUCUCCUGAUGGGAUGAAAAUCUUGAGUUCUUCAUUUGAUAAAAGUGAGUAUGAUGCAAUACUCAAAUUUUUAGGGGUGAAACAUGUGAAUUGUGAUUGGUAUGCAAAGUGCAUCCAGAGUUCUAAUCUCGUAGAUGGAGUAUCAGAAGAUGUCUAUCUUGAGCUUUUGCUGUUUGUUGCAAGACACUGGUCUUCAAUGAUUUCCAAAUCCAACAUCAUUAAUAUUCCAUUGAUUAAGUAUGUAGCUUGUGAUGGGAUUCUGUCCUUUUCUAGUCUUCAUGAAUGCAGACAGCAAGGUGCACGGAGAUUAGUACUAGCAGACUCAAGUAAGACUUGUCCUUGUUCUUGGCUGAUUAAUUGGAACAAUGUAUUUGCAUGUGCGACAAACCAAUUUUUUUUUAUGCCAGAAAGCACACAACAAGCCAUCUCCCAAUCCCCCAAUAAGCAUAAUCUGUUGGGAUGGCUAGCAAAAGAAGUUAAUGUCCGUAUUCUAGAUGUGAACAAUUUUGCAAAUGUCCUCUGCCGUUCUAUUAAUGAUAACUGCAAGCUUGCCAUUGCUUAUGCUCAUUUCUUAUACCACUCUUUGUCAAAGGGUUAUUUGUCAUGUCAGGAGGUUAAUGCUUUAUGCAGUUCUAUGCCACUUGUGGACAAAUUUGGACGUAUAACUAAAAGCAGAAAUGGGGUUCUUCUGCCUGCAAAUGUGAGCAAAUGGGCAGACUUGAUUGGUUCUAAUCCAUGGAGAAAUGAAAAUUAUGUUGAGCUAGGAAAGGCAUACCUAAAUGAUUCUUCUUAUGCAGGCCAACAUAUGGAUUCUGGGAAAUUUAUUGAAUUCCUCAAAACUCAUGUUAAAGCUUCUGACAUACCUUAUAUAUCUCCUCCAAAUGCUAGAUUUUCAGCUGCGGAUACACCACUUACCAAAGACAAUGCAUUUCUACUUUUGGAGUGGAUUCGGGAUCUGAAGAAAAGGGGAGUUCACCUACCAGAGAAGUUCUUGGAAUGCUUAAAAGGAGGCAACUGGCUUAAAGUUACAGGUAAUAGAUACAUGCCUCCUUCAAAGUCAUUCUUAAUUGGCUUAUCAUUGGGAAAACUUUUGCAAAGUGGUUUAGUACUUGUUGACAUUCCCCUGAUUGAUGAGAGCUUCUAUGGGGAUAGAAUAAAUGAAUACAAAGAGGAGUUGAAAACAAUUGGAGUGAUGUUCAAUUGUGAGGAAGCAUGUGGAUUCAUUGGAAGAGAGCUCAUGUCUCGUGCAGCUUCAUUCUCACUAAGCAGGAGUGAUGUUCUUUUGAUGCUUAACUUCAUCCAAUAUCUCAAGAAAAGUCUUCUUCCUUUGGACAAUUUUGUCGACAGCAUAAGAAAGGGAAAUUGGCUAAAGACAUCUUUUGGUCUUAGGUCUCCUGUGGGAUCGGUAUUGAAUGAUUCCGGAUGGCAAGUUGUAUCAUCACAAAUUAGUGAUAUUCCUUUCAUUGAUCAUGCUUAUUUUGGUGAGGAAAUAUAUAAUUACAAAGAAGAGCUCAAGUUGCUAGGAGUGAUAGUUGACUUGAAUGGAAAUUACCAAGUUGUCAUUGAGCAUUUAAAACCACUCUCAAAUUUGGCCUCUUUGACAGCUGAGGCUGUUCUUUUGAUAAUGGAGUGCAUCAGACACUUGAAUGCCCCCGAUAAACUCUUGAAUUCUUUAAAUGGAACAGGCUGCUUGAAGACCAACAUGGGUUUCAAGACACCAGCUGAAUGUUUCUUGUACGAUCCAGUGUGGGGCUGCAUUUUGGAGGUAUUCAAUGGUCUCCCUGUUAUUGAUCAUAAAUUUUACGGGCAGAAGAUUUUCUCUUUUAAAGAUGAACUGAGGCAAAUCGGGGUGGUGGUUGAUUUUGGAAAUGCUAUCAAAAAAUUUGCUAGUCUGUUUGAACAAAAGGCAUCAGAAGCUUCAAUUAACCAACAACAUGUCAUGUCAUUUCUCAAUUGUUGCAGGCUGCUGGAGGGAACCGACUAUAGUUUUCCUUCUGAAUUCGCAACCAUCUUAUGUAAAACAAAGUGGUUGCAUACUCGUGUUGGUGAUUUUAGGUGCCCAAGAAAAUGCAUUUUAUAUGGUCCGGAGUGGAAAUCAAUAUCUUCUAUAACUUGUCUCCCUUUCAUUGAUUAUAGUGACAAAUGUUGUGGUUAUAAGGCAGAGCUGAAGAGCAUUGGUGUUGUUACUGAAUUGAAAGACGGGUUGAGUUUUGUGGCUGAAUGUCUGAUGUUUCCUUCAAAUCCCUCCAUCAUUAGUCCUGAAAGUGUGUUUGCUUUGCUGGAAAGCAUCCAACUUCUAAUGCUAGAUAACAAGAAUACAAUUGAAGAUGAUUUCAGAAAAAGAUUGUCAAAAAAUUGGUUGAAGACAAAUGCUGGUUAUAAACCUCCAGAGAAGUGUUUGUUGUUUGAUUCCAAGUGGAGUUCUUUCUUGAAUCCAACUGAUGGGCCUUUUAUUGAUGAGAAAUUUUAUGGACCUAAAAUUGCAAUUUUCCAGAAAGAACUGAAUGCAAUAGGGGUCACUAGUGAAGUUGAGAAGGGUUGCUCCUUGCUUGCCAGUCACCUUGACUCUCUCUCUGAUCAUGAUACCAUUUUGAAAAUAUACAAGUAUUUAUGUCAACACAACUGGAAACCUGACGAGAAAGCUGCAAAAAAGAUUUGGAUUCUUGAUGGAAUUGUAGGUGGUAAGUGGGUUGAUUCUGAAGAAUGCAUCGUACACGACCCUGCUAAACUUUUUGGUUCAAAGUUUUACGUUUUAGAAGAUAUCUAUGAUAACAACGAUAUUCUUCUUUUUUUCUACUUUGCAAUGGAUAUCAAGAAUAAGCCCUCGCUAGAAGAUUAUGUUGACCUUUGGAAUGAUUGGGGGAAUUCAAUGAAGCAAUUGUCCUAUGAUGAGUGCUGCAGGUUCUGGAUGUCUAUCUCGAAACAUUUGAGCACAAAUGAAGAGAAAAAACUUGCUGAGAGUUUGAUGAAACUACCUACAACAUCAGGAAAUAAUGAAAUAUUUCUGGUAGAUAAGGAAGAUGUUUUUAUUCCUGAUAGCCUUCAUAUGAAGAAGCUUUUUGAGAAGGAAAAAGUUUUUGUAUGGUAUCCUCAGUAUAACAUGACACCAUUGUCCAAGUCUAAACUAUCCAACAUUUACAGAAAAAUUGGUGCUAGAAAUAUCUCUGAAUCACUAUGCAAAGAAGAAUCGUCCUUGGUGAAUGAUGGUGGUAAACUGAAGUAUGUUGAUCCAAAUAAUAUUUUCAACUUAAAGGGGUUGGUUAAGCUUAUUCUUGGUUUUCUUGCAUGUUCUAGCCUGAAAAUGGAACCAAAAAGGAGACAAGAAGCUGUUCAAAGUCUUAUCAACUUGAGUUUCCAUGAGACAACAGAGCCAAUCAAUGUAAGCUAUAGUUUAUCAUUAUCAUCAGGGGACAUCAUUACCAAGAAAUCAAACAAAAGGGUACGUUGGGAAAGUCAAAGUUGCAAGUUUAUCAUCCAGAAGAUGGAUGGAGUUCUUGGUGAUUCAUUGAAGUAUGCUACAAAUUUCUCUGAAGCAAUAUCCGAGGGUAUUUUGCGUGAGAAUCAUGAUGAUAUUCCUGCACUGGCCGAACUAAUCACAUUGGGUUUUGUGAUGAAAUUCAAGAAUGAAGAAAUUGAUUUUCUAAUGGAAUCCAAGAAUCUUCAGAUUGACCUUGAGGAUGAGGAGUUUCUCAGUUCUGCCUUCCCUUUUGACUAACUCUUAUUGGCACUGCUUACUUGUGUUUUCACUAUUUUGCUUAUGUCUGCCUUAUCUAAUUAUGUAUCUACAAUAUUUUGCUAGUUAUACUGUUAUUAUCUGAUGAGCAGUCGUUGGACUCUUAUGAUAACCCUUAAUUAUGGCAGUAGAAAUUCACUCUGUUGAUACAAUUGCUACUAUAAUAGUUUGAACUAUUGCACAACUUCAAUGCAUCAACCAUUUCUUUUUAGAGUUGAAUAAUGUUAGCAACUUAUCUGCAUAUGUUCAUAAAACCCUCUGAUGAAAUGGUGCUAUAAACUUUGACCAGGCUCUAACAAACCACUUCAUUCCAACACGUCAAAUGAUUUAAAUUUCAAUAGCACAAUAGCAGUUAUUUAAAUUUCACAUCUUAUUUUGUAUCAUGCAGAAGCACUCUUUUCCUUGCUUGCUUGCAAGCAUGGAACAAUUCAUUAGUGCUUUAAUUAAAGUUAUAAUAAUAAUAAUAAUAAUAUUUCUUAAGUUUUGGUUCUGGAAAAAAGUACAUUUGAACCAUCGAACAGUGGUUUGAUUCUGUCAAGUGUGAUAAUAAAUGUUGUUUCAAGGUUUAUUGGAUUAGAUUAUUUAACACAGGAAGCCAGUGUUGAGUUCAAGAUGCUGUGUAACUUUGAACUUGGUACUAGUAUAGUGUCUAAAAGUGAAGUCUUUUUACAUUUGUCUCUUAGUACAUGUACUUCUUUUUAUUGCAUGUAUGAUAUUUGUACCUUCUUUUAUGAAUAUGUUUUUUGUCCUCUUUUAAUUCAUGAUAUUUGUCUUAAGAAAGAAGAUCAAUAUGCCUUUAAAUGAACUUAAGAUCAUUGAAGCUUUGCUUGAUAUGAGAAAAUUUAUUAAUUAAUUAAUUCCUUCCAAGUGAGUGGUUAGGGAACAAUUAACACAACUUUAAAAAAAUAAAAAAUAAAAACUUUGAAAAUGCUGAACAACACAUCAAUUAACAUAAAUUAAGAACAUGAAAGUGAUGGCUUUGGUUCUUUAUACUAACAAGGAUUCGUAGCAUUUUCCUUGCUAGAACAAAAUCCCAAGGCAAGCAAAGUAUCAGAUUCCAAAACGUGUAAUACAAGGCAAGUAUUAAAAUUUCAAACACAACUAAUAAUAACUGCAAAACUCAAACAUGAUGAUUUAUAUAUACACAAACAAACACUAUCACUAAGAGAAGCAUUCAUGAAUGGAAGCCUCAAAAAGGCCUUCUUCUUGUAUCUCAAAGUGGCAAUACUCAUCAACCAAAAGCAAACUUGUGAGUAACUUCAAUCCUGUUUGCCAAGCUGUCCAAAAAUUAACAUUCAGAGGAAAGUUUGUGAUCAUCUUGAAUCAAAAGAAAUCAAUACCUGGAAAAUUCAUUUCUGUUCAGAUUUAUAGUGGCUCAGAAGUUGAUCCUAGUAAGUACAUUUUACACACUAACACUGUCAAUGUUUUUUUGAUUGAAAAAUUUAAUUUAGUUUAUCCUUUUCAAUUGUAAAUUUUUUCUUUAGCUCACAAAUUCAAAUCAUUUUUUUAAUCUAAAUUGUAAGACUUGGAUUUGGUCCAAAAAUUUAUAAAGUGAUAAAUUAAUCUAUGAAAUUGAAGAAUGUCAAUCAAUGUAGUCAUCUGUCAACAAUUCAAUUAAUUCAGAAAAAAUCUGAAUUACAUAAUAGAAAUGAACUAAAGUUCUAAACCAAUUUCUAUAAGCAUAAUCCAAAUGAGCUGCUCUAAACAAAUCGCCCUGACUGCUACAAUUUUAAUGACCAAAAUAAUGAUUCGCUGAUAUAACACUAAAUUUCAUGGUUGGGCCCUUACGUUUAUUUUAAGUUUCAAGUUGGUCCCUUACAUUUAAGACGUGGCUAACAAAGACGUACACAUGGAUAACUUUGAGGGUACCAUAUGGACGUUUUAGGCGGAAUGAACUCAAAAUUUGACAUCAGUGACAUAAGGGAUCAACUUGAAACUUUUUAAAGAUGGGGGACCAACUUGAAACCUAAAAUAAACUUAAGGGACCAAACAUGCAAUUAAACAUAUAAUAUACGAUUUUACUUAUGAUUUGUUUGAACAAGAUGAACAACUUACUUUGUUUUCAACUUUGUAUUGCAAUGAAAAGAUACUGGUAAAGGGUGGUUGAGUGAGAAAGCAUAUUUUAAGGAAUGUGGGCGCAAGAAACCUCACCAUGAUGACGAUGUUGAUGAUGCACAAACAAAGGUUAAGACAUAUAAAAUUAAACUACAGGUUGACUCACAUUUUGGAACUCCAAGGGCUUUUGUAAUUCAAAACAAACAAAACAGGAAAUUCUAUCUUCUGUCUGCAUCUAUUGAGACUUGUACCAAUAGAAUCAUUCACUUUGAUUGCAAUUCUUGGAUUUAUCCAAUCAAGAAAACCAAAUUUGAUAGACUAUUUUUCUCGAAUAGAGUAAGUUCCAUUAUAUAUAACAAUGUACAUGCUUGAUAUAUUGAUUGAUUUUUUGUUAUUAAAUUACAUUACACGAAAUUACAAAAUGGAGUUCAUCAUGAUAGUGCUAUCUUCCAAGUCAAACACCUAGAGCAUUAGCGGAACUAAGAAAAGAAGAGCUUGACAAAUUGAGAGGUAAUGGAAUGGAAGAAAGAAAGGAAUGGGAUAGAAUAUACGACUAUGACUACUACAAUGACCUUGGCGAUCCUGACAAAGGUUCGGAGCAUUUUAGACCUAUCUUGGGUGGUUCAAGGUUAUAUCCAUAUCCACGUCGAGUUAGAACAGGUCGAAAACAUAGUGCAACAGGUACUUUAUUUAUUUGCCUCUCAAUUUUAGUUUAAGGUGGCAAUUUCAAUUGUCAUGGACCAUUGAAACAAUAUUUUCAGAUUAUUAUGAUUCUCGAUAUUACAAAAACAUCUGCAGUCGUAAUUGCAGUUGCGUCGUUAUUGCAGAGACCUGUAUUACCAUGAUGUUGAAUAUUGCAAUUAAAACUACAUUGGAAUUGCAGCAUUUUAACAUGCUUUCAUUCACAAAUGUUUAGGUCCAUCAUCUGAGAGCAGGCCACAAGCAACGAACUUUGAUAUAUAUGUUCCUUCAGAUGAGAUAUUUAGCCCUAACAAAUUGAAGGAGAUCAAAUCAAAUUCUAUCCAAGCCAUUGUACAUUUACUAUCUUCAAAGACAGAAUCAUUACCUCAACAAAGUUCUAGAAGCUUUCAAUCAUUUAAAGAGAUACUUGACAUGCUCUCUACCAAUAGAAACCAAACAAUAGAAGGAUUGAUCAGAGACAACUUAAAGAAAUUGGUACCAAAUAAGUACUUAAAGGAAGUAACUCAGUCAAUCAAGGAAAAUCAUUGGCAUGUUCCUAUCCCUCCAAUCAUACAUGGUAAAAGAAUUAGUUUCACAAAGGUUAACUUUGAGUUACUUAACGAAUUUAGACAAUGAUCAAAUCAUGUGUGACUUUCAAAGUAGUUAUGAUUAAAGUCAAACUUUUUUAAUGAUCUGACGACUAUGAAUGACUGUCUGUAAAAAAACUCUACACUGAUUGUAAUUUUAUGUCAAUAAGCCUUUGAUGGGAAAACUUUACACUGAUUGUAAACUUUACACUAUGAAUUUGUGUUCUAUCUGACCUAUUAAUUAAUGCAAAAUAAUUUUAUGACAUUUUCUGAGAUGUCUUCUGCAAAUCAGAAAAAGAAUGGGCUUGGAAUGAUGACAUGGAGUUUGGAAGACAAAUGCUUGCAGGAACGCAUCCUGUCCGAAUCCAGUGCUUGAUGGUACUUCAUACACUCAUGAACUAUGCUCUAGAAAUAUUUUGUUAUCGUGUAUAAUAUACAACAAUAAAUUUGUGUAAUUCGUAAGUUUUCACACACAGUUAUUUAAACUCACAAUUUUGGCCUAAUCAUCAUUGGUUUCUAUACAUAACUUUCAGACAUUUCCACCUCAAAACAAAUUUGGAGUACAGAGUUCAAUUAAGAAAUCAAUCAUAGAACAGAUGCUUGAAGGAUGGACGCUUCCUCAAGUAAGUAACAACUGUCCAGAACACUUGAAUUUCAAGACUCCAGUCAAUUUUUAUUUUAGAUUUUAUUAGAAAUGAUGUAAAUGUCUAACGUUUGUAACUUAAGAGACCAAAAUGGAACAAAAAAAAAACAGAUAAAGUGAACCAUGAAAAACACUUGAGGGAUCAAAAGUGUAAUUCAGCCAAAACAUUAAUAUGCAUGUAAUUAGUACCUGUGAGUAGUUAAUGUGUCCUUCUUGCAAUGUACUCCAUCCUAGGAUGAAAAUCUUAUUUUAAUUCUCUCUCUUUCACCACAAAAUUGUGUUUAGGCUUUGGAACAAGGAAGAAUAUUCAUGUUGGACCACCAUGACUAUCUCAUGCCAUACUUGAACAGAAUAAAUGCAAAUGGGGUAUCUGCUUAUGCAUCAAGGACACUUCUAUUCUUAAGAAGUGAUGGCAUGCUUAAGCCACUGGCAAUAGAACUCAGCUUGCCGGGAUCAUCUCUAGCUCUUGAAAUCCAAAGAGUUUUUCUUCCAUCAAAGCAAGGGACACAAGCAGCACUUUGGCAGCUUGCUAAAGCUCAUGUUUUAGCUAAUGAUACUUUUUACCAUAUACUAGUAAGCCAUUGGUGAGUUAAACUCUUUAUGAAGUCAAAGAGAUUAUUUCCCCUUUUAAGUGGUUUAAAUAAAGUGCACAUGUACAACGGGAAUAGCUUAACAAUUAAACAUGGGAUUGUAGAUUUGAUCAUGUUUAUAUAUGAAAUUUAAUUAUUGAAUUACAGUGUUAUUUAUGCCAUCUAAUAAUUCUGCAAUGAAAAGUUUUUCAGGUUAUACACACAUGCAGUUGUUGAACCAUUUAUCCUUGCUACCAAAAGAAGGCUAAGUGAAAUGCAUCCAAUCCAUCGAAUAUUGAGUCCUCAUUUCAAAGACACCAUGCAUAUAAAUGCCUUGACUAGACUUAUCCUUAUUAACUCUGGAGGAAUUCUUGAGAGAAUGUUAUUUCCUGGUGAAACCUGUAUGCAAAUAACCUGUGAUCUCUAUAAAGAGUGGAAAUUUACUGAACAAGGACUACCUGCUGAUCUAAUCAAAAGGUACAAUAGAACUAUUAGCUAGUUAUAGACAAUAUUUAAAUUUUCAUGGCAUAUUUCUCUAAUUUCGUUACCAUGAUAUGGUUGAUCUUGUUUACGAUUUCAUGUUUUAGGAUAAAAAUGACAGGUUUCUAAUAGGAACGUAGGUAUUUUGGGCUGCCUAAGUCGUAUGUUGAGUAGUAUGGGAUGCUCGGUGGUGGAUUGUGGUUUCGUUUUUUCUUUUUGAUAGCUAGCUUUUAAUAGAGAGUUCUCCUAGUUCUUAUAUACUUAUCAAUUGGUAUCAUAAUUAGUUGCCGAUGGCUCGGAAAGGGCUACCGAGUUAUCGAGAUUCAGGAUAAUGACUCAUGAUUCAAGAAGGAAUUUGUGUCCAAAUAGAUACGCACUUAAGAUUCGUAUCGAUUGGGUUCAAUUUAGUAUCAAAACGAGAUACGACUAGCAUGUAUUGUAAGAUACUGAUAACCAAGAAUUGAUUUUGCAGGAGCAUGGCUUUAGAAGACCAAGAUGAGAACAACUCAACUGGGAUUCAACUUCUCAUGUUGGACUAUCCCUAUGCCAUUGAUGGACUUGAAAUAUGGGUUGCCAUCAAAUCAUGGGUCAGGGACUUCAUCUCAUUCUUCUACAAAGACAAUGAAGCCAUCAUAGCUGAUACUGAACUCCAAGUAUGGUGGUCAGAGAUUCGAACUAUAGGCCACGGCGACAACCACAAUGAGACAUGGUGGUAUCAAAUGACAACACUCUCAGACCUUGUAGAAACGCUAACAACUCUCAUAUGGAUUUCUGCGGCGCGUCAUGCAGUUAUAAACCACCAAAAACAUGCACAAAAUGGUAAUUACCCUCCUAAUUAUCCUACACUAUGUAGAAAGUUCAUUCCACUAGAAGGAACAGUUGAGUUUGGUGAGUUCCUCAAGGAUCCUGAUAAAUUCUUUAUGAAGAUGUUUCCUGAUAGGUUUGAGAUGAGUCUUGGUUUGACAUUGGUAGAUUUUCUAUCAAGAAACAGUUAUGAUGAAGUGUACUUGUUGAGAUGUCAACCAUCACAUGGUUGGAUAGACAAUGAAAUUGUUCUCAACAGAUUUGCUGAGUUCAAAGAAGAACUUAAGGAGAUUCAGACAAGGGUUUUGCAAAAGAAACAAAGAUCCAAAGCUUAAGAAUAGGCGCGGCCUUGCAAAAAUUGAUCACAAUAUUUUGUAUCCUAAGAUGCCUAGUUCUGGAUCAAGAAGAUGGAAUCAUGGGAAGAGGAGUGUCUUAUAACAUAUCAAGUUAAUUUGUUCAUAGAAUUUGUGUUCCCUAACUCUGCAUGCCAUUAGUAAUAUGUAAUCUCUCACUCUCUUUUCUUAUUUUUGUCUUUAACUCUCCUUUCCUCGGACAAGAGAGCCAUGAUAAUUUGGAGUCCGCCCAAAAAGUAAGUAAACUUUGGUCAAUGAUUAAUCAAGCCAGUAUUCGUACUUGAAUUCUCCCUAAGCGAUUUGUAGUUAUAUGUAUAUGUUAAACUCUAACUCUUAACAAAUAGUUCUAACGAUCAUGGAAAAAUUUAUCAAAAAUCCAAUUUUCAAAACGCCACAUAUGUGAUAAAAUUGAACAAUAUCCUAAAACAAUAUAUUCAAUUAGUAUAGUAUUAAGAUAAUCAUGCGACAAACCAUCUAAAACAGUGCAUGGUUGUUAACUAUUCAAAAUGUAAUGCCUAAUGAUAGAACCAACAACUGUCACUAUUUAAAAUCCAACGCUAAUCAAAUUUAAGCUUAUUUUUGCACUGGCCUAAAUUUUUGUUUUGGUUAAAUACCAUAGACGGAUUUGCAUUUGGUCAUUUACUGUGCCAUGCAGUUUUACAUCCCAACCGUCCAAUCUCAAAUUAUCGAUCGAGAUUUAUUUAAGAUGAUUUGUUAUUGUAUAUUCUGAACCGUCCAAUCUCAAAUCGAUGAAAAGUAUAUUAAUCUAAUUGCCAUAACCUCACUUCAAACAUGAAAAUUUGGAAACAAUUAAAUCUAGCAAUAAAUUAGAGAGGUAAACAUAGUAUACAGAUAUAAUAAUAUAAUGUCAACAUAUACAUAUACCCACAAAUCAUCUAUAUAGUUCAUGGAAUAUCCAUAGCAGUAUCACUGUCUCAUAUUGGGGAUCCAGCCAGAAAACGUUUAUAAAAAUCCAAUGCCUCUUGUGGUUUGUAUUCUGGAACAGUAUGUCCAGCUCCCUGUACCAAUGCAAUCAAAUAAAUAUUUUCAGGGCUUGAACCAGGUACAUCCGAAGCUAAGACUUGUUUUUUCACAGAUUAAACCAACUCCUUGGAAUUCUUAACUAGUAUUAUCUUUGGUUUUCAUAUUCUAUUUAUUUUUUCAUGAUUUGUUUUCCAAUUUAAUCAGGAUUCAUUAAUAAGAAACCAGUAUUAGUAUUAAAAAAAGUCAACAAUUAGCAUAAAUAAGAGCUAAUGCUAAUCUUUUAUAAUUAAGCAUGGUCCUAAUUCAAAGUCUUUAUACUUUCUCUGUCUCCUCCUUAGCUCCUUUUAAUUCUUAUGCUCUCAAAUGCCAUAAUCCACACACACACACACACGCACCAUACAUACCUUUAUGGUCAGAAAAGUAAGAUUAUGGUCAUAUCCUUGAGUAUACCUGCAGCAAAUAAAAGUAAUUAACUCAAUUUCUAACCAAGAUUGGUAUUUUAUACUAAAUAUACAUUGUGAAAAAAGUUUACAGAAAUGAUACUUGGACCCACAAAUAUGACAACAACAAUUUGGAUGGUUAACUUAACACCGUCUAGAUAUGUGGUUAAUUACGUUUAGUGCAUGGCUGAUUAGCAUAGUGUCAAAACUCAUUAAUUAUCCGCUGAAUGUAAUUAACCAUGAUAUUUACAUGUUCAAAUAUAAAUUAAAUCUAUUAUAACCAUCCAAAGUAUGUUUUAUACAUGAUUUUCAGGUUUUUUAAAUAUAUGAUAUCUAUUAAUCACAAUUUGUGUUCAAAUAUACAUCUGAAAAUCAUGAGUGAUAACAUACAAAAUCAUGUUUAAUUGUGUUCUGUGAAUGAUUAAUGAGUUGCAACACCUUAUCAUAUUCAUUAGUUAUUUACUAAAUGUAAUUAAUCAUGUAUUUGAAUGGUAACCAUCCAAAUUGUUUUUGAAUUCUAGUGUCUCAUUUUGUGUAAAAAUAACACACGCAAAAGUUUAUGAGGCAUAUUUUGACAGCAGAUUGCAAUCUUGACGCCUCAACUCCUACUGCGAAGGUGGACUAAUGCCACAAAAGAAUACAAGUAUUCAUAGAUCCCAUACCAGAAGAUAAUAUGCUUCAUAGAGCAUGGAGUAGAUUAUUAAAGAAGAUAAUUUUAAUUCACAUCUAUAAACUAUUUCUGAAACAAUUCCAUAAGGUCGUACAAAGUCCUUUCAUAUAAGAGAGCAAAAUAUUUGAAAAUUCAUUAAGUAAGGUAAGAUAAGAAGGAAUAAGUACCCAACAACUUGACCAUUGGAUAACCAUGGCCUCCAUUCAUCAACAAUCUUGUAUCCAAUUGAUCUCGUCCAUGCUUGACUCCCAGUAAAUGGAACACACAUGUCAUGAUCACCACUGCAAGAAACAUGAAACUUUCAAUUUCUCCAGUAUGUUCUGUAUUUUUUUUUUCAGUAGUCACAGAAAAGAUCAGAGACAGUUGCAUUGAUGCAAAUGGAAAAAGUAGUAAAUCCCACUUUCUAAAAUACCACAAAUAAUAAAAGAUUGAACAUCCAACUUUUAUAUCUCAUAUUUCAUACAAUCAAUUGGAACAAUGAACUGCACCUAAACGUAUAGCAAUGGAGUAGUUAUGUCUAUCAUAAAUGUAAGAAUACUGUAAUGCUGGAAAUUCACCUGAAUAUAAGAGCUCGAUAUCCUCUGGAAGUUAGGUUCUUGUGGUAUUUUAUCAUGCUUCCAGCAUCAUGAUCGAAGGAAAUUUUGUCUGUGCAUAAAUCCCAACUACUGACCACACUUUUCUGUUUCAUCAGAGAGAUAAUAAUUUAGUGCUUUGACAUUCAAAGUAUAGAGGUAUCUUACAAGAAACUUCACCUCUGCAGUGUGAAUUGCUUUCCUAACUUCUUCAUUGUUCAACCAUGCAUUUGCAACAGAGCCAUCCUAAAGAUAUUGUUAGAUCAUGUUACUUGUUUUUGGCAAUAAAGAAUUAGCAUUUCUAAGGUUUAUACAAGUAUGCAAUAAUAAUCAAGCAAUUAAAUCAAUUAGUAGGUAAUAUGUAGAUAUUAAACGGUAAAUAUAGACACUUAGAUAGUAGUAAAGAAACAUACUGUGCAUGGAACAUUGUUGCUAUUGAUAAGUUGUGGCCAUGUUGGUACGUUGCCAUCUCUCACAGGUGCUCUAAGGGGCCAAGCGCGACCGAACAUUCUUUUCCUCACGGGAUGAGGUUUCUCAGUCUCACCUAACUCGCGGAAACUAGACGGCAACCUAAUAUAGGAUGUGAUAAUCUUAUCUGCCUCUGUGCCGUGAUAGCAUGGUUCUAGAAUGUUAUAUACGUUCAACCCAUCAAUGUCCUAAAAUAGUAAGAAUCAUCAAUGAGUGCCAAAUUCACUUAUUUCUUAUAAUCUCAGAAAUGUAGUAUAAUUAAAUCACCUCAUCAAUUUUUGCAAGCUUGUUUGUACAAUUAUCACUGAGUGAAUUAUAGAAAUUCCCAUUACACUCGCGGUUAACCUCCUGCAACAGAACGCAACAUGACUUAAAGAAACAUACUUACAAGACAAUAUAUAGCAAGGUUUCAAACAAUAGAUAUAGUUCCAAACUUGCUCUUAAAAGGGUUUAUUUUCACCUCAAACAAUUCAUCUGAGAUAAGACCCAUCCCAUGUACAAAUGGAACAAGAGCAUUGCCAUCAAUUUGUUCAUCUGUAACACCAUUUCCAACUAUGUAACCCUGCACACAAGGAGUUUCAGAUGUCAGCUGUAGCCAUGAAAUCAAAAACAUAAAUUGAUCACUUAAAGAUAAAUACCUUAAAAUUCAGUUUCGGCUUCACACCAGCAUCAAUCCCUGUAGAAGAUCAAGAAAGUGGAUCUUAGUAGUGAUUCUAACACAUUAAUACAACACAUUUUUAUGGACAUAACUUUCUACCUUUCAUUGCUUCAUAGGCAAGAGUAGGCACAUAAACUCCUGCAUAUGACUCUCCAGCAAUGAAGAAAGGGUUGGAAAGGAACUCGGGAUAUAGUUCAAACCACUGGUUUUAUCAAAAGAAAGAUAUGUAAGAAAAUUGAUGAGAAUACAGAUUUGUUGAUUCCAAUAAUACAUCAAAAUCUACUAGUUGUUUCCUUAACUACCUUAAGGAGAAAGGCAUGUGUAUCAGACGCAGUCUUUAUGUCUCCGGUUAUGUAAUCAGUUUCAUUCUUAGAGUAUGAAAACCCAACACCAGCAGGAGAGUCCAAAUAUAUAAUACUGGAAACCUAUAAUGCAAAUUCAGAAUCAUAUACCAUUUGAUAACAAGAAAAAAUAACUAGUAAUUGUUGAAUUACACAGGUCUUGUUUGGAUAAACAGCUUAACUAAGUGCGUAUAGCAUAAAUGUCUAUCAUGUAAGGGCUUGCAUAUAAAUUAUUUCUAUAACAUAAGAUAAAGUCAAACAGUUUACAAGUUACAAGCUGCUUUCAUAAGCUAUCAUGAAGAGCUCAUUCUUUUAAAAAGCUCUCUCAAACAGUCUCACAAGUGCUUAUUAUACAUAAACUCAAAUAAGUCAAUACAAACAACCCUAUAGAGUCUCUACCGAAAACCGAACUAUGAGAAGAAAUCAUUCUUCCCUUUCAAAAUUCAACAAAGUUCAAAAAUUUGGUACCUUGGUCCAGCUGUAUGGAUUGAGGUGCAGAGUUGGCAGGCUUCCCUUUGUCUUUGCUGCUUCAAAAUUGAAAGGACCUGAAAAAUCAUCAAUUGCCACAUGAUUUAUAAAUUGAAUAACAAUUUGCAAUGGCAGAAGAAUUAUGGAAAACUCAAGACAGAAACUAUCAAAGCCACUGAACCAUAACUACUUCCUGCUGAUGUUUUAUCAAGAUAACCAGGAAAUCUACACAUAAAAGUCUGUUGAACCAGUGUACUUAGUAGCUAGUAAUUAACAAAAAGAAAUUAGUGUGAUUGAUUGAAAACCAUUUCACUGUAGCAAUUCCUCGUGUUCGUCCUAAUAAUAUGUUUGGAAGGAGGCAAUUGGAGGAACAAGAAAAGGACUAAAAAUUUCAUUUCAACUGAACAUUCUGUGAUUUGAUACUGUUCCAAACUGAAAGGAAUAAAUGAUAGACAAUGAUCGUAAAGCUUAAUUUAGUAAAUCCUUUAAAAAAAAUAUACAUCUCUUAAUUCAAAAUAAAAAAAAAAAUUAAGAAUCCUAGAACAGCGUGUUCACUGUUAAUUGAGGCUAGGUUAAACAUAAUCAUUGUUUUUAUAGAAAAAAAGUUUAGGUGAGUUCAGCUUGGGGUUCACUUGGGUCAGGGAAGGCCUCAAGGCCUAUGAAGCACGGAUACAACACGGACACCGGCAUUGCUAAUAAUUUGAGAAAAUCACAUAAUUCAGUGUAAUUAUAGGUGUCAGUGUCGGACACGACACGUGUCUGACACUGUGACACGGCUAAUCCGAGGAGUGUCCGUGCUUCAUCAAGGCUCGAUGGGCGUUAACAAACGUACUUAUAGAUCACUCAUCAAAGAGGUCAUUGCACUAGCAACAGGAGUUAAACCCACAACCUUGUAGGUGAGUCAACUCCUUACUAACUGAGUCAACAUUCAUUGGCUUAAACAUAAUCUUUUAAGUAUCUAAAUUUAAAAAUGAAGCAUAUUAUGUGUUUGAUAAAAUGCCUGAAUAGUAUGAUCAUUAUUUUCUUGUUUGAUGCAUAUUAUAUUUACUUAUAUCGAGUUAUCCCUCAAUGUAACUGCAGGUACUAAUCCCUCGACUGAAAAUCAUUUAAGGCAUUGACCACUUCCAACAUAUGUUUUUCCAUAUGCACUGGCGAGGGCUCGAACUCUUAACCAAAUUGUUGAUGGGCACAAGCAUCUACUACAUGUGUCACAUCUACUUUUUUUAUAAUACAUCAUUCAUUGCAAGGGUUAAAACACUAAUUUGUAUUAAAAAGAACAAGACAAUCAAAUGAGAAAAAUUACCAUGCUCAUAUAUGAAUCCAUCAAAGCUAGAACAUCCAGGUCCACCAUUAAGCCAAAGAACAACUGGAUCCACAGAAGGUUUACCUUCAGACUCAACAAAAUAGUAAUACAAAUUCCUUCCAUGACUUUCAUCCACAGUCACAUACCUUCAUUCAAGGGUCAAUUAAUCAAAACAUAACAUAAUGCGUUUCUUCAAAUAAGUCAAAAAAACAAAGAAUUAAAAAAAAAACCCAAAAUUUAUUAUAAGAAAACAUGAAUAAAAAUUACAAAAAUUUGGAAUUUUUAAAUCUACAUACCCAGCAUAAUGCUUGGAAGGUAUUGUUCCAUUGAAACCAGGAACCUGUGUUACAAUGGCAGUUUCAGGUGCUGAAAUUGUCAGCACAAUGCUGAGGUAAAUCUGAAGUAAGACCAAACAGACAGUGCUACGUGUUUUGUUCAUCCUUGUUUGUUCCAAAACAGGAAAUAAAUUAGAAACAAAAAACAACCUUAUAAAAAACAAGACAGGUUGAAGUUAAAUUUAUAGAGUAAUCUAAGAAAAGAGUGAUGAUGGGUCCACUUUGCAACUUGUGGGAGCUAGAUAGAUUAACUUGAAAGCUAAGAGUUGUUACAAAUAGUAAUAUGAGAGAGAUACUCCAUUUUAUUAGAAUAUCUCAAACGAGUUUUGCGUGAGAUUAGUAUUUAAGUUACCAUAAAUAGUUUACUCAAAAAAAUAAACCUUAGGAUAUUUACAAUGAUUUUACUAUCUUUCUUUAUAAGUAAAUUUUAACUAAUUUUGUUAAUUAAGUAAGAUAAACACUCAAUAUAUCUUUAAAUUAAAAACUCUAAAAAAAUAAAAUAAAUGAGUUCCACAAAUAACUUAUAUUAUCUAUAUAUAACUCUAUAUUAGAGGUAUUCUUGUAUGUGCACAAACAUAAAUGAAUAGUAUUUGGUCACAUAUAUAUAAAAAAUAUUUUUCUUAAAAUACUAAAUCAUUUUAUUAUUAAAAAAAUAUGUUAGAGUUUUCUCAAUAAAAAAAAAAAACUUUUUAAAGGUUUGGACUAGUCGUAAAAAGAUAAGUCUUUAAUUCAAGAAAUCUUAUAUCUAAGUCAUGUUAGUGCCUAUGAAUGGGGUAAGUGUUUUUUGAACUUGAAAGUCUUCUCUAUCUUCAAUUGGAGCAUCAUCCCCUCACCUUAAAUUUACUUAUUCCAAAAAAAAAAAAAAAUCAAUAUUUAUAUUUAUUUUAAAAUAAAUUAUAAAAAUAUAGUAUAUCAUUGAAUGAUGAUAUUUAACUAAACUAACGAAUAUCAUAGGGUUCACCUUUUAUUAUAUACAAUACAAUGUCUUUUUUUUUACAACAAUACAAUCUUCUUUUAGAUUAUACACAACGUUGUCCAAAAAAUAUUUACUAUAUGCAAUGUUUUUUUAGGGGUUUUAUUAUACACAAUGUUGUUUUGUCAAAAAAAAAAUUAUACACAAUGUUGUCAGAAAAAUACAAAUCAAUUAAUAUCUAACAAUACUUAUUCUUGUCAAAAAAAAAAUCUAACAAUACUUAUUUUUAUUUAAAAUCAUAUUUAGAAAAAUGAUAGGUCGAAAUAUGAAAUACGAAGAAAAGGAAUAUUACAUUAGAAAAAUUGAAUGAGAUUAAUUAAUAUUUUAAAUUAGGAUAUAAACUGUUAUCUUAUCAAUGGCAUGUAAUGUAUGUGAUAUUGUGAUGUGACUGUUUUGGAUUUUAUUGUAACGGAACGCAGAAGAUAAGCAAAGUGGCGUUAUGGAUGGGUCAUCAUAUUUAUAUUAAAAAAAUCUACUUACAAGAUAGAAGGCAUGCAACUAGUCAUCACCAUCGAUAACAACAUAUUCUAUUGUCCCUUUCUCUCCUCCGUCACCAAAACAUUUGUUUCUUCUCCUUCAUUCAUUAAAGAGUAGUGAUUCAUGAUCAAUUUUUGUUUCAAAAUCACUUCUCGAGCUUGUUUUUCUCUUUAUCUUUUAUUGAAAUAAGUGAUUCUCAUAUAUACUUCGUUUUAACGUGAUGUUGGUUUGUUCGUCGUCUUUAUGCUGCAUUGUUUGUCUUUUUUAUUUUGUUCAUGUAUUUGUUCGGUUCAGAUUGUUAUCAGGUUCGAUCUAGUUGCAUAUCCAGAGACAUGAGUAUUCUGGAGACUUGAAUAUAGUCAUAUGUGUAGACUUUUGUACUUUGUCAUUUUAUGUUAUUAACAUGGAUGUCUUCAUUCUUUUUGUUUUUAGAGAAUUUGUAGUAUCAAUAUAAUCUAUCAAUUUGAAUGAAUAAAUAUCAUUGAUUUUUGUCAACAAAAAACAAAAACUAGUCAUCGUCGACUUCACCCAAAAAAAAUGUUGUUAAAAAAGAAUAAGUUCACUCAAAGAAAAGUCACCAUACAAUUUCCUUAAAUUUCAAUUCAAUUUUAUCUGCAAUAUUUUUCACGCACACAAUGAACAAAGUAUAUAUAUAUAUAUAUAUAUAUAUAUAUAUAUAUAUAUAUAUAUAUAUAUAUAUAUAUAUAUAUAAAAGUCAGGAUCCGUUGACACCAGGUGUAAGUUAAAAGAGUUACACCAAAUCUUAACCGUUAAAUUUAAUUGAUCGUAUAGUUUAAAUUAUAUCCACGGAAGAAACGGAAGGAACACAUAACAAUUGAAAGCAUGUCAUCUACACCAACUACAACCUUCUGUUAGUUUCGCUAAAAAGAUCAGAUCAGAAACCAAAGGAUCUAGAUGCAAUUGAAAGCAUUGAAAUCUCAAAACAAUCAUAAUUGAAAAGAAACGCUAAAAGGGGAUAAAAAGAAAAAUUGAAAUAUUUUAAUUACUUUUGGAUUCAUAAAAUUGAUUGAAUCUCAUGAUUUUUCAUCCAUAGAAAAAUUUGUUGUCACAUUAGGAGGUUUAUCGAAGACUAAGAACAUUUAGGUCUUGAACCAAUGAAGAAUGGAUCUCAAGUGAUGGUAGAUGUGAGAUUGUUGGUGAGUGGUGACAUAAUGGAUCUCAAGCCAGAGUAAACGGAAUCGCAAGUUUCAUUGUUAGAGAAAAAACUACUAUGAGGAAGGAGAAAGAAUGAGCCGUGUUCCAAUAUUCAAAUUUAAUAAUGACCGUACGAUUUAUUAGUUUUAACGGUUGAGAUUUGGUGUAAGUCUUUUGACUUACAUCUGGUGUCAACGGAUCCUAACUAUAUAUAUAUAUAUUAUAAAUUAAGAGCAUAUGACAAGAGAAUAGAGGAUGUCCAACUAAAUUGUUAAAACAAUUUAAAUUUUGUCAAAUGUUUAAAUAUAUUAUUAAAAAAAGGAAAAAAAUACAUAAAAAUUGGGGGACAUAGAACCAAACUCAGUCGAUCCAAGUGAAUCAACCCCUGUAGGUAAUACAACCAAUAAAAACUACACAUUUGAUUCAAUCCUAAUCAAUUUAAACAAACUAAUUGAGUUUAUAACUUGGCAAAUGAACUGAUCGUCAACACAAACUGAUCAUGUACCAUCAAUUCCCUACAACAUCAACAAGAUGCAUCAGAGAGUCUAAUAAUGAGAACACUAACCCGACACAACAACAGUUUCUUGACAGACCCUCUCGGGUUUUCUAUCAACCCAUAAAACUCGAACUUUUCGAUGAUGGUGGUGAACUCGAUCGCCAACACGAUAACGAAUCCAAAACCAAACAACUAACGGUGAUCAACAACCGUAAGCUAACAAAAUGCUCAACCCUCCCAUGUAUCCUUAAAGUGACUUCUCCUCCUCUUACUCACAUCUCAACUCUUCUAUAUUACAUAAUAAAAAAAACCCCAAAUUCUCUCUUAAUUUUCUCAAUCAUCAUCACACUGUACAACAAAACAAAUCCCAAAACAAAAAUUAUGAUGAUAAAAAUUUGAAGUUGUGACGAUCAAGAACGAGUAACACUCGAUAAUCCAAACACCAUAACCGUUUCAGAACUCAAAUCAAAAGACGGAUUCAUGUAACUAACUUGAAGUUAGAUCAUUUUAUUCAAUAGAUUCAGUUAAAUUGAUUCUUCUCUUGUUCUUGAUCUCAUAAUAAGUCCAUCACCUACUUUUUUUUUCUUUAAUGGCAACUUGUGAAACCUUGGUUAGCUUCAAAGCCAAGAAUGGUUGCAGAAUAGAGACAAAAUGAGCAUGAGAGAGAUACAAUGUAUCUGCAACAAGUUCUGCGUGAGACAAAUACUAGUUAGUACUACAAGAAAUAGUUUCUUCAAAAUUUAAGAUAUAUCUAUAAUGAAAUAUUUUACCUUCUUGAUUGAAAUAUUCUUGGCUUAAAUAUGCUUUUGGUCCCUGCAAAUAUGACUCAUUUGAGUUUUGGUUCCUGGUAAAAUUAUUUUUUGAAAUCCGUCCCUGCAAAUUUUUUUGUUUUUAAAAAUAGUCCCUAGACUCACUUUCUUGCUUAUUUGGCAAGUUUUUACUUAGAUGUCACAUGUUGACUGUAUCAUUUUGUACAAGUGGAUUUUAAUUUAAGUUAAAUAUAUAUAAAAUAAAUCAAUAAAUCUAUAAAUGUUUUGUUUUUUAUUAAUUUCCUCUUCUUGUUUUGCUGCAUUUAUCUCAGCUUCUUCUUCUUCCCCUUCCAUGGCAUCAACAUCCACAACAACACAACAACAAUUCUUCCAUUCUCAAAUCAACCCAUUAUUCAUACACUCACUAUUACCAAGAUCCCAAAUCAAAUUCAUCAAAAUACAUCCUCAUUGUUCUCAGUUGCUACCCUCCUUCCAUCAAUUGCUUCUCCAUCUUCAAAACCUGCAGAUCUACUAUCACUGUUUCUAGGUAAUUUUUUCAAGUUCGAGUUGAGUUUUUGAAGGUGGUGGUGGCUGCAUAUUCAGAGAGAAGAAGCGCCACUAUAGCCUCUGUUACCGCGGUGGUGGCAGCGGCGGUGUUACGACAGCAUGGUGAAACAAGGGGUGAUGAACCCAAACCUCUUUUUAUUGUCGAACCAUUUAACCGUCCCAGUUAAUUUUGACCUGCUAAUGAUUCUCACACAAACCCUUAAAUGCAAGGCAGCAACCAAUUCACUCUACCUCUCUUCUAAGGCCAAAUUUCAAGAUAAGAUUUUUGUGAGAGAAUGAUUCUGACAUUGUUUUGGAUCAAUUUUUAGUGUUGAAUUUUUGGGUUUUAGUGAUUGAAUUCAUUGUUGAAGAUUGGGGUUGGAUGAAGAAUAUAUACAAACUCUAAUUUCCAAUUGAAAACUAUAAUUAAAAUAAAUCAAAAAUUAUUUUAUGUAUUUUUUAUUUCUAAAAAUGUUUUUUAAAUAUGUUAAAUGACAUAAUUGCCACCUUGACGACACGUGGCCAACUUUACACAGUCAGCAUCUGUCACAUAGACUGAAUUGUGCCAAAUAAACAAGAAAUUGGACAUAGGGACUAUUUUAAAAAACAAAAUUUUUUGAAGGGAUUGAUUUCAAUUUUUUUUUUACCAGGGACCAAAACCUAAAUGAGCCAUAUUUACAGGGACCAAAAACAUAUUUUAGCCAAUAUUCUUCACUGAAAAAAUGCAUGCAAUUAGACACCAUGACCCUAAUUACACUAUCUCUCGUGAGAGAUCAUGAUAUCACACUUAGCUCUCCUAUUAUGUUUAAAUAUAUACUCAAUCUGUUAUUUUUUUUUUCUAAGUGUAGUUUGAGUACAAAUUUUGUGUUUCUAUUCGAUCAUCGUUUUGAUUACUUAAGACUAUAAUUUAUCAAUUAUAUCAUUUUUUUUAAUUACUAUUGCUUACUACUUUUUAACUAAAUUAAUUAAUGUUAUAUGUUUGGAAAAUUCAAGUUUGAUUUUAAAACAAAGUUUGUUUUUUGAAACAAAAUGUUGUUACCUACGAUAAUGGAUCUAGAGUUUGAAAUUCUAUAAUAAUGCCACAAAGUGUAAAUCUAGUAUUAUUUAAAGUCAUACUUGGAGCCUAAGUGUUGAUUAAAGGAGUUGAAGGGAAGUUAAGAUUUGCUUAGGUGAAUAACAUUUUUUUAAGGAAGGUGAAGAACAAGUUUAAAGUUUGAUUAAUGUGAAAUUUGAUUUUGCUUUACUAUUAUUAAAAAAAUUGUGUAUAAUAAUGAGACCAUUGAUAAUUGUUUGUAGAGUUUUUCUAUUUACACCCCAUGUUUUUCUGGUUAUACCCAAAUUUUCUUAAUUUUUUUUUAUAAUACCAAAACUGCCCUUUUAUAUAAAUUUUCUUAAAACUCUAAUUUUAUUCAUUGUCAGUGAGUUUCACCCUCUUUCACCCCACAAAGCGAUCGAUCAAACAAUUUGAUGUUCAAUAUCAAUCUCCAUGAAAAUUAAAGAGUGAAUCAAAAUAUUUUUCAUCCAUACUCAAUUGGAUAUAAGUAAGUGAAUUUCUUCUUCUAUUUGAUAGUUUCAAUUUUUUUCCUUCAACUGCAAUGAUGCACUGUACGAUUACGGUUUUAAUUUACAUUGGCAAGGUUAACUUAAAUUCAGUUUAAGUAGGUUCAUGUAAACUUAGUUUACAUGAACCUACUUAAACUGAGUUUACAUGAACCUACUUAAAUUGAGUUUACAUGAACCUACUUAAACUGAGUUUACAUGAACCUACUUAAACUGUGUUUACAAAAUCACAGAACUGUGAAUCGCAGAACAAGGAAAACACAAUCGAUUGAAGAACAACACUUGCUAACCUGAUUUGCUUCGAAUUUUCUUUGAAAUCAUGAAUGAACGUGAGAAAGUAUGGUUUUGAAAAUCUUCGCAGAACACAAUCGAUCGAUUGGAGAAUUAUGGUUUUGGAAGAAGGGUUUUGGGGUGUAACCAAAAAAGAAGAAAUAGGCUUUUUGAAAAUCAAAUGUUAUGAAAGGGUAAUCUUGUCAUUUUGGGGUGCAACCAUGAUUAACUAGGGUGCAAGUAGAAAAACUCUUGUUUGUAAUGGGAGCGAGAUGGAAUGUACGUAAAAAUAAAAAAAAUAAUUGUUUGAGAGACGAAGAGUGUAUAACUUGCUUGUUAUGGGAGGAAAAUAAGAAUUAUCGGUAGAUUAAAAUGAAGGUAUUAAUUAUUGAAAAAAAUGAUACAAAAAUUCAUUUUCUUAAUUUGAGUGUAGUAUUUAUUAAAAACGACACUUUAAAAAAUUGAGGGGUACAAUUUAGUUCAUUUAACUUAAUAUUGAUAGAGAAUAUUUUAAAAAUAAAAUAUACUUCUAAAUUUUAAAUAUAUGCUAAAUUAUUCAAAAAAAAAAUAUAUAUGCUAAAUUAAUUAAAUUUACAAUACUAUCCUUUCUAAUUUAAGUUUAUAAAAAUAGAAUUGUAUAUUCAAAGUUGCAUAUUCUAGAGGUUUUCUGUGAAAAAGGGAAGAAAAGUGUGUCAUACGUUUGUUAUCUCCCAAAGUCUACAUAGAACAUUCAAACAUAGAAAGACCAGUAGAGACUUACGUGCUUUAAUUUUGAUAGACACGAAAAAAUAUCUAUUUACUACCAAAAUCAUAUGGACCAAAUUGAUUCAGAAGGCUUCCUCUCUAAUUUCCUUUCUCCUCUAAUCACUGAUUCUUCAAUUUAUCUUUGUUGUGUAGCUCAGUGAGGUGAUGUGGCAAAAAAUUUAGGGUUUUAACCUAAAAGAAGUCGUGUUGGAAGAAAACUAUAAUGUGGCAUAAAACUUGAUCAAGGUCCAAGUCUACAAAAAUAUUAUUCAAACGAUAGAAAGACUAAUGAAUAAGUGCUGGAAUUUUUAUGGAAACAGACAAUAGCUAUAAUACUAUAAAAAAAAAAACUAUAUGGAUCGAAUUGAUUACAAAAUCUAAACAUGGCUUCCUCUCUACUCCUUUCCUUUCUCCUAUACUCGCUGAUUCUUCAAUCCGUCGGUGUUGUAGCUCAAACCAAUAGUACUAUAGCCAUUGGUGAUUCUUUUACUGCUGAAACCAGCAACUCUACAUGGUUACUUUCACCUUCUGGUGACUUUGCCUUUGGUUUUCUUCCAAUACAAGACACUGACCUUUUUUUGCUUUCCAUUUGGUAUGCAAAAAUUCCUGAAAAAACUGUUGUGUGGUAUGCUAAUAGAGAAAUUCCUGCACCAAAAGGUUCAAAAGUGGAACUCAAUGCCGAUGAUGGGUUGGUGCUAACUUCUCCAAAUGGUGUCGGGUUAUGGAAUACUACUGAGGAACUUAGUGCUAAAGUUUCCCAUGGUGUGUUCAACGAUACUGGUAACUUUGUGCUCGAGGGUGGUGGUUGGGAGACUUUCAAGUAUCCUAGUGACACCUUGUUGCCUUCUCAGUUUCUUCAAAAAGGUGGAAGCCUUUCUUCAAGGCUUAAGGAGUCAAAUUUCAGUAAAGGAAGGUUUGAGCUUGUUUUACAAAAUGAUGGUAAUCUUGUUAUUCAUUCUAUUAAUUUACCAUCUGGUAGUGCUAAUGAAAACUACUAUGAAAGUGGAACUGUGGAAUCCAAUACUUCAAGUGCUGGAACUCAAUUGGUCUUUGACAGAUCAGGGUACUUGUAUGUCUUGGGAGAGAACAAUGAGAAAUACAAUGUGUCAGAGCAAGAGAGUAAAGUCUCUACCACUCUUUAUUAUCUUAGAGCAACUCUUAAUUUUGAUGGUGUGUUCGCAGUUUACAAGCAUCCGAAGAAUUCAAUUGAUGGUGAAGGUUGGACCACAGUGUGGUCUAAGCCUGAUAAUAUAUGUACUUAUAUUGUUAGUGCAGGUAGUGGUGUUUGUGGAUAUAAUAGCUUAUGCACUUUGGAAGUUGAUAAGAGACCGAAAUGUCAGUGUCCAAAACGAUACUCGCUGGUUGAUCCUGAAGAUCCAUUUGGUAGCUGCAAGCCAGACUUCAUACAAGGAUGUGCAGAAGAUGAACCAAGUAAAAACAGAAAUGAUCUCUAUGAGUUUGAGACUAUGACUGACAUUGAUUGGCCUUACUCAGAUUUUGUGCUUCAAAAGCCUUUUAAUGAAAAACAAUGUAAGGAAUCUUGUAUGGAAGAUUGCAUGUGUUAUGUGGCUAUUUUCAGGUACGGUGAUAGUUGUUGGAAGAAGAGGUUACCACUUUCAAAUGGGAGAGUUGAUGCAACUCUUAAUGAUGCUAAGGCUUUCUUGAAAGUGAGAAAAGAUAAUACAUCCCUUGUUCCUCUAAAUCCAACCAUUGUGAACAAGACUAAUAAUAGGGAAACGUUGGUUUUGGCUGGUUCUGUGCUUUUGGGUAGUUCUGCUGUUCUCAAUGCUGUAUUGAUUGUAGCUAUCUGUAUCAGCACCUCCCUCAUUUUUAAGUACAAGAAGAAGCUUAGAAGAGUUAGCAAAAGUGACGCUAGUUUUGAAAUUGAAUCCCAUUUGCGUUGCUUCACUUAUGCAGAGCUUGAAGAAGCUACUAAUGGAUUCGACAAAGAGCUAGGAAGGGGAGCUUUUGGUAUUGUUUAUGAAGGAGUCGUCAACAACAACACCGCUUCCAAAGCUCGUGUGGCAGUAAAAAAGUUGAACAGUUUUAUGUUGGAUCAAGCUCAUAAGGAAUUUAGGAAUGAACUGAAUGCCAUUGGUCUCACUCAUCACAAGAACUUGGUUCGUUUACUUGGAUUUUGUGAGAGUGGAAGUGAAAGACUGCUUGUUUAUGAGUACAUGAGCAAUAGCACUUUGGCAAGUUUUCUUUUCAAUGAAGAAAAACAGAAGCCAAAUUGGAAACUAAGGCUAGAACUUGCAAUAGGAAUAGCUAGAGGACUUGUGUAUUUACAUGAAGAGUGCAUCACUAGGAUCAUUCAUUGUGACAUAAAGCCUCAAAACAUACUCCUUGAUGAUUACUUCAAUGCAAGAAUUUCUGAUUUUGGAUUAGCAAAGUUGUUGAACAUGAAUCAAAGCAAAACCAACACCGGCAUAAGAGGAAUAAAAGGGUAUGUUGCACUUGAAUGGUUUAAAAACAUGCCUAUCACAGCUAAGGUGGAUGUGUAUAGUUAUGGUGUAGUGCUACUUGAGAUAAUUUCAUGUAGAAAAUGUGUUGAAGAAAUGGAUGAAGAAGAUGAAGACAAAGCAAUUUUAACUGAUUGGGCUUAUGAUUGCUACAAUGAUGGUGCUUUAGAUGCAUUGGUUGAGGGUGACAAUGAAGCAUUGGAGGACAAGGAAAAUUUGGAGAAAUUGGUAAUGAUUGCUCUUUGGUGUGUUCAAGAGGAUCCAUGUCUUAGACCAACCAUGAGAAAUGUGGUACAUAUGCUUGAAGGUACUGUUGAAGUGCAAGUUCCACCAUACCCCUCACCAAUUAGUAUUCAAUAUUCUCUAAAUUAAUAAGUUGGGAAGCAAAGAUUGGCAACUUGUGCUAAUACUUGCGCUCUUUUUAAGUGUACCGUGUAAUAUUUGCAUUUAUGUUUGUGUUCAAGAUGUGAUUUCCAUAUUAAGGUAGGUCCCAAUAUAGAAUAAAAAUAUUUAAUUUUUAGGUUAUGCUAGGCAUUUGUUAAAGAUUCAAAAAGGAAUUAAUUAUUAAAUUUUAUGUGAAAAAAGUUGUUUUUUAAUCUUUUAAUAAGUUGAAUACACAAUUUUUAAGAUAAAGUUGCUACUUUAAACUUAUUAUCCAGUGUCUUAGAGCAUCCGUUAGCAUUUCCCUUAAUUUUAUUAUAAAAUAAUUAUAAAGUAAUGUUCAUUAUAAAGUAUUAGUGAAAUAUUUGAAAUGUAAUUUCUUAUUUUGAAACUUUAUGUAUAAUAUUCAUUGUUUUAAGGAUGUAUAAUAUUCAUUUUUUAUAGUCUCCUUUAUUUGCAAAUGUUAUACGUCACUCAACUUAUACUACACAACUUAACAACAAUAAAAAUAUUGUGAGAAUCGGUUUUUCCAUCUCUCUGAAAACGACUGUCAUGUAAGCACUCGAAUCUAUGCUUAUUUUCAACUCCUUGAGUUAAAAAAUGAAUGACCAAAAUAAAUAUUAUGUACCUUCAAAAUAAAAAUAUUAUGUAAAAAGUAAAGGGAAAAAAAUAUAUUUUACACAAACUCCAAAAAAAUGCCAGCCCGAGUAACUCAAAUCACCGGGAGCACUCAUGAUUUCAUCAAUUAAAAGCGGGUAUAAUAUCAAUCAUUGAUUUGUGAUUAAACAAAUCAAUGGUUGAUAUUAUAGACACAUAUAUAGGAGCAAAUAUUGACUAGUUAUAAGUUGUUAUAAUAUUAAUCUUUAAUUUUUUUUUACUUUACAAAUUACUCAAUUCAUAGGUCCCUAAAAUAUACCGUGUUCUCUCAUUUAUUUUGCUUAGUUAGAUAUUAAUUUGAGACGGUUAUGGUGGAACCAUGGAGGUAUUAUCUUUUCUCAUUUUCAAGAAAGCCUUAGCACCAUUAAGAGUUGCAUCAACUCUCCCAUUUGAGAGUGGUAAAGUUAAAUUCUGGCUUGCAGCUGCCAGAUGGAUCACCAAGAAUAUUUUUGCUAUGUUUCAACUUUUACUUUAAACUAUCUUAGUUUAUAGUCUUACAGGGUUCAAAUUUGAUGCAAUCACACAUUAGUAGAGUAAUAAUGUGCUGAUUCCACUUUGCCAUUCUAGUGAAAUUAAGAAACAAAGGUUUUUUUUUUUUUUUACAAAAUUUUAAGAAACAAAUAUUGAGAAACAAUUAACUACUCCUAGCUAGCUUGUACAUCAAGCUACUUCUAUUUCCUUCUCAACCUUACAGUUAAUUAGUGCGUUGCCAAGAAAAUAGAAUGCAACUAAUCUGCAAGGUUUAAUUCAAGGAAAAGAGGGGGAGCUCAUCUUAAGACAAUGGGUUUAUGGGGGAGCUCAUCUUAAGACAAUGGGUUUAUGAGUCCUCUUACUUAUAAGGUGUUCAACAUUUACUAUUUCAUCCGAUGUGGAACAUAUAUAACUCACACUUUCAAUCCAUUGCUGCUUUCUACGCAAACGGACCGGCUGCCUUGGUCCUACCUUUUGUCGAACGGGGCUCUGAUACCACUGUUGGGUCACUGAGGGGGAGCUCGGGGGACCGUCCACAUCGAGGCUAGAACAACCACACAAGAUAGAGAGACGCCAUACCACUGUUGGGUCACUGAGGGGGAGCUCGGGGGACCGUCCACAUCGAGGCUAAUGGAUUUAUGGGUCCUCAACACUCCCCUAAAGUGUGAGUCCAUCAAUUCAUCGAGCUCCCCCUCAAGCGGAAGCUCUUACUUGCUUUGUAUCGCCGUUGCUGGUUUCUCCUCAAACGGACCGACACUUUCUACGCAAACGGACCGGCUGCCUUGGUCCUACCCUUUGUCGAACGAGGCUCUGAUACCACUGUUGGGUCACUGAGAGGGAGCUCGGAGGACCGUCCACAUCGAGGCUAGAACAACCACACAAGCAAGAGAGAUGCCACACUCUUACCCAAAACCUUAAGGCAAUGGGUUUAUGGGUCCUUUUACUUAUAAAGUGUUCAACCUUUACUAUUUUAUCCGAUGUGGGACAUAUAACUCACACUUGUACACAACAACAAAUAUCAUUGAGCAUUUGUCUAUUUAAUUUAUGUCACGUCAGAUUAUACAGUGUAUUGCACAUCUGUCCAUAAGGUGUGUCAUUAUAUCUUUACUUAUUGCAAUUGUGUCCCUGAUUAAAUCAAAAUUAAACUUAGAUUCCCAUUUAUGCACUAAGAUUGAAAUUCCCUUAAUAUUUUGUAUGAUGAUUGAUUUGUAAUAAGGUAAAGUUUAGUUUUAGAGUGGUCCACCAGCAAGACACUUGUUGACAUGACAUCAGCAAUUCUACUAUUGGCUAAACAAAAUAAUUUUUUUAAAAAAGUCAAUUUUCUGACUGCACUGUAAAAGUCUCCUUAAUUCAAUUGAUAAAUAUCGAUAUUAUUAGACUAGAUAUUUUGACCCUAGUUCGAACCCGUAACUUUGAAGUUUCGUACGGGUUUCAUCGUUGAUUGACACUUCUACAUACCAAACAAAAAUUAGCAUGCAACUAGACCCCACAACCAUACAAUUUUCUUAAAUUUCAAUUUUACUCCCAUAUUUUUAAUUAAAAUAAAAAAAAUCUCUGGAAUUUUUUAAAAAUUUCUUUCAAGUGUUUUAAAAUUACGAGAAAUAGUUAUGACACUACCUCACAUCAAGAUUAUUUAGUCACAUUACUUGAUAUAUAUAAUUUCUCUUUUAAAUUUUAUUAAUCAUGGUGUACGCCUAAAUAAAUUUUAUUUGAGGUUAUGUCUAUGGAGAAAUGGAGAGGAUACAAAAUGAAGAAGAUCUUGACUCUCUAAAAUUACACUAUCUCUUGUAUUAAACCCUCCUCCUCUACUUCUCUUCCUUGACCAUUCUCAUUGGGUUCUUAGCAGUUCACAAAAACAGAAUGGUCGCAUAUUUCUAUAGAGGUUGUAUGUGUUAAAGGGAAGGAAAGUGUAUCAUACGUUUGUUAUUUCCAAAGUAUAACGAGACUUGUGCGUUGAUUUAGUAUGAGUUGACCAAAGUCUACACAAAGAAUAUUCAACACAUAGAAAGACUAGUAGUGGUGACUUUCGUGCUUUAAAUUUGAUGGACACAAAAAAUAUCUAUUUACUAUCAAAAUUAUAUGGACCAAAUUGAUUCAGAAUCUAGCUAGACUUCAUCUCCACUUCCCUUUCUAGUCUAUUCACCCAUAUAUUGUGGCUCAAUGAGGUGAUGUGGCAAAAAAUCUAGGUUUUAGUUUUAGACCUAAGAGAAGUGAUGUGGGAAACCAUUUAUUAACAUGGCAUAUGACUUGCUUUUGAAAAAUCAUUUACAAAUUAACCAAGUACUUAUGGUCAAAUGAUAAAUGAAUAGAAUAAUUCUUGUUCAGGUUAUACUUAUCUCACGAUCAAAAUCUGAAUUACCAGAAUCCUCGUCUCAUGAGAACUGUUAAUACCAAAAAAGGAAUCAUUCAGAUGAAUUUCUAUCAGCUAGGUUUUAUGAUACAUCAAUAUUUUUUUGUUUUCAUAUAACCCCUUUUGAAUCUAUAUAACUUAGCUAAGUAUCAAAAAACUGGAUUUUGAAAAGGGAAAACCAAUUUAGAAAAUGUGAUAAUAGGAGAACAAAACUAUAAUUAAACUUACUCUAUUGUCGGCAAAUGACAUUUCUCUAGUAUAUCUAAUAGAACAAUAAAAGUAUAGUUCAUAUUUUACCCUGCUCGAGGGUGGCGGUUGGGAGACUUUCAAGUUUCCUAGUGACACCUUGUUGCCUUCUCAGGUUCUUCAAAAAGAUGGAAAGCUUUCUUCAAGGCUAAGGGAGUCAAAUUUCAGUGAAGGAAGGUUUGAGCUUCUUUUAGAAGAUACUGGUGAUCUUGUUAUGUAUUCUAUUAAUUUACCAUCUGAUUAUGCUAAUGAAGUCUACUAUGAAAGUAAAACUGUUGGAUCCAAUACUUCAAGUGCUGCAACUCUACUGGUCUUUGACAGAUCAGGAGACUUGUAUCUCUUGAGAGAGAACAAUGGUAAAUUCUAUAUGUCAGGAGAAGAUGGGCCGGGCAGAAGAUGAAGAGAGUAAAGUCUCCACAACUGAUUUUUAUCUUAGAGCAACAAUUAAUUUUGAUGGAGUGUUUUCACUUUUCAAGCAUCCGAAGAAUUCAACUGAUAUUGGAAAUUGGACUACAGUGUGGUCUCAUCCUCGAAAUAUAUGUCAUUAUUUUGUUACUGAAGGUAGUGGUGUUUGUGGAUAUAAUAGCAUAUGCACUUUGGGAGAUGAUACGAGACCAGCAUUUCGGUGUCCAGAUAGUUACUCACUAGUUGAUCCUGACUAUCCUUAUGGUAGCUGCAAGCCAGAUUUCGUACAAGGAUGUGCAGAAGAUGAACUAUGUAAAACAAAGGAUCUAUAUGAGUUUCAGAUUUUGAUCAGAUGCCGUGCUUCUAGAGCCUUUUACUGAAGAACGAUGCAUGAAAGCUUGCAUGGAAGAUUGUUUGUGUUCUGUGGCUAUUUUCAGGGACGGUAGUAGUUGUUUUAAAAAGAAGUUACCACUCUCAAAUGGGAGAGUUGAUGCAACACUUGAUGGUGCUAAGGCCUUCUUAAAAGUGAGAAAAGAUAACGCCUCCACUCUCAAAUGGAAGAUUGUUUUGUGUUCUAGAGGUUUACUGUGAAAAAGGGAAGAAAAGAGUGUCAUACGUUUGUUAUCUCCCAAAGUCUACAUAGAACAUUCAAACAUAGAAAAACCAGUAGAGACUUACGUGCUUUAAUUUUGAUAGACACAAAAUAUCUAUUUACUACCAAAAUCAUAUGGACCAAAUUGAUUCAGAAGGCUUCCUCUCUAAUUUCCUUUCUCCUCUAAUCACUGAUUCUUCAAUUUAUCUUUGUUGUGUAGCUCAGUGAGGUGAUGUGGCAAAAAAUUUAGGGUUUUAACCUAAAAGAAGUCGUGUUGGAAAAAAACUAUACUGUGGCAUCAAACUUGAUCCAGGUUGGUCCAAGUCUACAAAAAGAUUAUUCAAAUGAUAGCAAGACUAAUGAAUAAGUGCUGGAAAAUUUAUGGAAACAAACAAUAGCUACAAUACUAUAAAAAAAAGGUUUAUUGAUGUGUUUAGCCCUUGCAAUUAAGCGGCAUUUAAAAAUUCGUCCAUGUAAUUGCUAAUCCUGGCAUUUUAACCCUGCAAUUGUUAAUCGUUUAAAAUUUGGUCCUUGGACCAAAUUAAUCACUGCCACGUCACUAAUUUGAUGACGUGGCAAUCACUGUCACACAUAAAAUUCCAAUUUUGACCUUAAGAAGAGGACAAAAUAUUGAAGAAAGAAUUGGAAACACAGGGGUAAAUUUGGAAUUUCAUGUGGCGUGGCAGUGAUUAAGUGGGGAGAGGGACGAAAUUUUAAAUGAUUAACAAUUGCAGGGUUAAAAUGCCAGGAUUAGCAAUUACAGGGACGAGUUUUUAAAUGCCGCCUAAUUGCAAGAGCUAAACACAUCAAUAAGCCUAAAAAAAACUAUAUGGAUGAAAUUGAUUACAAAAUCUAAACAUCGCUUCCUCUCUACUCCUUUCCUUUUCUCCUAUACUCGCUGAUUCUUCAAUCCAUCGGUGUUGUAGCUCAAACCAAUAGUACUAUAGCCAUUGGUGAUUCUUUUACUGCUGACACCAGCAACUCUACAUGGUUACUUUCACCUUCUGGUGACUUUGCCUUUGGUUUUCUUCCAAUACAAGACACUGACCUUUUUUUGCUUUCCAUUUGGUAUGCAAAAAUUCCUGAAAAAACUGUUGUGUGGUAUGCUAAUAGAGAAAUUCCUGCACCAAAAGGUUCAAAAGUGGAACUCAAUGCCGAUGAUGGGUUGGUGCUAUAACUUCUCCAAAUGGUGUCGGGUUAUGGAAUACUACUGAGGUACUUAGUGCUAAAGUUUCUCGUGGUGUGUUCAACGAUACUGGUAACUUUGUGCUCGAGGGUGCUAGUUGAGAAACUUUCAAGUUUCCUAGGGAAACCUUGUUGCCUUCUCAGUUUCUUCAAAAAGGUCAAAAGCUUUCUUCAAGGCUUAAGGAGUCAAAUUUCAGUAAAGGAAGGUUUGAGCUUCUUUUACAAGAUGAUGGUAAUCUUGUUAUGCAUUCUAUUAAUUUACCAUCUGGUUUUGCUAAUGAAAACUACUAUGAAAGUGAAACUGCGGGAACAGAUACAUCAAGUGCCGGAAUUCGACUGGUCUUUGACAGAUCAGGGGACCUGUAUGUCUUGAGAGAGAACAAUACGAAAUACAAUGUGUCAGAAGAAGAGAGUAAAGUCUCUACCACGCUUUAUUAUCUUAGAGCAACUCUUAAUUUUGAUGGUGUGUUCGCAGUUUACAAGCAUCCGAAGAAUUCAAUUGAUGGUGAAGGUUGGACCACUGUGUGGUCUAAGCCUGAUAAUAUAUGUACUUAUACUGUCAGUGCAGGUAGUGGUGUUUGUGGAUAUAAUAGCUUCUGCACUUUGGGAGUUGAUAAGUGACCAACAUGUCAGUGUCCAAAAAGUUACUCACUGGUUGAUGCCGAUGAUCCACUUGGUACUUGCGAGCCAAACUUCAUGCAAGGAUGUGCAGAAGAUGAACUAAGUAAAAACAGAAAUGAUCUCUAUGAGUUUGAGACUUUGAUUGACGUUGAUUGGUCUAUGUCAGAUUCUGUGCUUCAAAAGCCUUUUACUGAAGAUCAAUGUAUGAAAGUUUGUAUGGAAGAUUGCUAUUGUUCUGUGGCUAUUUUCAGGUUAGGUGAUAGUUGCUGGAAAAAGAAGUUACCACUCUCAAAUGGGAAAUAUGAUCCAACUCUUAAUGGUGCUAAGGCCUUCUUCAAAGUGAGAAAAGAACUGAACACAAAUAAUAAUAAUAAUAAUAAUAAUAAUAAUAAUAAUGAGUUAGGAUCCGUUGACACCUGGUGUCAACAAAUUCAUUGACACCAAAUCCUAACCAUUCUUUAUUUUGAUCUUAAUGGCUCCCAUUUAUUCACUUAAUUGUUAAUGUGGGGACUCUUCAAAGAAAAACAUAUCACACUCUCAUCAUCUUCCUCCUGAGGUCGGGUAUUCUUAUGGUUCGGGUUCUUCCACACACCCAAAUACCAAUUGAUCAUCCCUUUGUUUUCUUGUUUUCGAUUCCAUUCUCCAUCCAAAGUACAAUAAAACUCAUUUUUUUCCUUCACCCAAUUGUCUUUUAUGGGAAUGAAACAAAUCGCUAAAGCUAUUGCAAAGUCGAUUAAUGCAUGGUUGAUUUUUUUGCUUUCUAAUUCCAAUUGCUUACACCAUGUCAUGUAGGAUUUAUUGCCCUUUGCAAGAAACUCUAAUACAUCGUGACAAAAAAAUCCCCCUAUAUAAUUGAAAUUCAAAAUUACAAUUGAAAUUCAAUUUGGGACUAAAUUAAGUUUCAAAGGCUUAAUGUUGGUCCUUACUUCAUUCUUUAUUCUUGUGUGCUCAAUAACAAAAGACCGUCAGGGAAGACUUUCCGGGACAAGGAUUAAGCGGUUUGUUUUUAUUGGAGUAAUUUUUGGGAUUAAUUAAAUCAACAAAUUAUUAUCACGUGAUACACUCACAUAUAAAUCUUUAGUUUCCAUAUUUUCAACCAUUAGAUUAAUUAGAUUGAACGGUUAACAUUUGGUGUCAACGAAUUCGUUGACACCUGGUGUCGACGGAUCCUAACUCAAUAAUAAUAGACAAACUAUGGUCUUGUUUGGUUCUGUGCUUUUGGGUAGCUGUUGAAAUAUAUAUUAUUUCCUUUUAUUAUUAUUAUUCUAUUUUAAUGGUUGUUUAUUUUUCAUUUUUCAUUGGGAAAUGAUAGAUACAGUGACAAAUAACAACUUUAAAUAAUAGAGUAAUUUCUACAUGGCAUCAGAGCCCUCGAUUUUGGUGGCCUUGCUUCGGCAUAAACCUUAGCCUCCAUCACUAUGGCAUCUUUCGUUUUUUUUCUCUUCUGGAUUUGAUAUCCAGCAACAUUGUUCACCAAGUACUAUUCGCGCGUGCAAUGUUCAUCCACGUGGUACUGUUCACGUGCACUAUUCAUCGGAAAGAAGAAGGAAAAAAAAAACUCAAUUUCGUAGCUUACAGUUUGAGUCAGAUCAAAAAGUGAAAAUAAAAAAGGAUGAAUAAAUCUAAGACCAUUUAGGUAAGACAAUCUAAGAGAGAAGGUGUGACGACGGUGGUGAUGGGUAAGACAAUUUUCAACUAAUCAACCGAAGGUCGUGCACUCCAAGAUACUUCUGAUCAAGGGCAGCAGUCUUUCUCAAACUCACUUCCGUCCACUAAUGAACAAUUGUACAAGCUUCUUGAGUCUUAAACAACUUCUCAUAUGUUUUCUUUCGGUUCCAUUGCCCAAAAAGGCAAUUCUUUAGAGUCAGCCCUUCUUAGUGUCAAACUAAGUCGCACUUGGAUUGUUGAUUUAGGGGCUACCGAUCAUAUGACAGGAGAGUCUAGUAUGUUUUCUUCAUAUAGUCCUUGUGCAGGUAAUUUAAAAAUUAAGAUUGCCGAUGGUUCUCUUUUAGUCGUGGCAGGAAAAUGUUCUGUCAUUAUUUCUCCAUUAUUAACUCUUCAAGAUGUUUCACAUGUCCCAAAUUUAUCCUGUAGCCUGUCAGUAACCUGGAAUUAAAGGUGUCAAACUCAUUUUUUUGAUACUUAUUGUUUGUUUUGGGAUUCAAUCUCUGGGACAGUGUAAGCAGAAUGGAGGACUCUACUACAAGAAAUAGUUUGUUCAAAAUUUAAGGAUAUAUUUAUAAUUAAAUAUUUUACCUUCUUGAUUGAAAUAUUCUUCACCUGGAAAAAUGCAUGCAAUUAGACACCAUGACCCUAAUUACACUAUCUCUCGUGAGAGAUCCUAAUAUCACACUUAGCUCUCUUUUUAUGUUUAAAUAUAUACUCAAUCUUUUUCUUUUACAAGUAUCCUUUGGGUACAUAUUUUGUGUUUCUAUUUAAUUAUCGUUUUGAUAGUUUAAGAAUAUGAUUUAUCAAUUAUAUUAUUUUUAUAAUUACUAUUGCUUACAACUUUUCAAUUAAAUUAAUUAAUGUUAUAUGUUUGGAAAAUUCAAGUUUCAUUUUAAAACGAAUAUUGUUUUUUGAAACAAAAUGUUGUUACUUACGAUAAUGAAUCUAUAAUAAUGGAGCAAUAAAGAGUUGAAAUUCUAUAAUAAUGCUACAAAGUGUGAAUCUAGUAUUAGUUAAAGUCAUACUUGGAGCCUAAAUGUUGGUUAAAGGAGUUGAAGGGAAGUUAAGUUUUACUUAGGUGAAUAACAUUUUUUUUUAAGGAAGGUGAAGAACAAGUUUAAAGUUUGAUUAAUGUGAAAUUUUCUUUUGCUUUACUAUUAUUAAAAAAAUUGUGUAGAACAAUGAGACUAUUGAUAAUUGUUUGUCAUGGGAGAGAGAUGGAAUGUGUGUAAACAAAUAAGAAUAAUUGUUUGAAAGAUGAAGACUGUAUAACUUGCUUGUUAUGGGAGAAAAAUAAUAAUUUAUCGGUGAAUUAAAAUGAAGGUAUUAUUGAAAAAACGAUACAAUAAUUCACUUUCUUAAUUUGAGUGUGCUAUUAUAAAACAACACUUUAAAAAUGGAGGGAGUACAAUUUAGUUCAUUUAACAAUAUUGAUAGAGAAUAUUUUUAAAAAUAAAAUAAAAUAAAAUAUACUUCUAAAUUUUAAAUAAUUUUAAAAUAUAUGCUAAAUUAGUUAAAUUUACAAUACUAACCUUUCUAGUUUAAGUUUAUAAAAAUAGAAUGUAUUCAAGGUUGCAUAUUCUAGAGGUUUUAUGUGAAAAAGGGAAGAAAAGUGCAUCAUACAUUUGUUAUAUCUUCCAAGCUAUGAAGCUCUGAUACCUGACAUGAUACAUAUACGAUAUCGAUACGGGCAAAUUUUCAAAAUUUCCGAUACGAUAUGGCCUCGAUACGUUAUUAAAAAAUUAAAUUUAAAAUUAAUAGUAUAAGUGCACAAUGUAUAAUAACUAAAAAUGAUAAUAAAAAAACGUUCACAUUAAUGAAAAUGAUCAAAACAAGUGAUAAUUACAUAUUUUUUCAGCACAAAUUAGAUAGAAUACAACUAAGCAUCAUUAGUACCAUCCAAAGAGAACAUCAUAAGUACUAUAAAAAAAAAAUAACACCUUUGUCUAAUGUUGACUACUUAAUAUUUAACACUAAUUUAUAUCAAAAACAAACAAUUUUUUUCCCAAUUUGAGAGAAGAACCAAAGAAACAUGGCAUUAGAGCAAAGAGAAACAUAGUAGAAUUCAAUUGGUGGUAAUGGUUAGAAGAGGGAAUAGUUAUCGUUAUGUGGUGACGAGAAACCCUAUUUUUUUGGGUUAGAAGAGACAAUAUGUUUUUGAUAGCGCUGCCAAACUUAUAGUUUUAUUUCUAAUUAUUUUCUUUUUCUUUUUUUUUUAAAGGAAAUAUGUAAGACAGAGGUAUCGGUGUCGGAGUAUAAAUUAGCUGUGUCGGAGUACAAGUUAGCUGUAUCAGACACGUAUCGGUAAAUUUUUUUCGAAAAAAUAAAUAUUAAUUGCCCAAUACUUCUCCGAUACACGUAUCGGGACGUAUCAGUAUCAAUACGUGUCGGACAUGAUUCUUCACCAUUUUAAAAAUAUUGGGGCUUUAGAACUGCCAAGGUAUAGCGACUUGUGUGUUGGUUUAGUAUGAGUUGACCAAGUCUACGCAGAACAUUCAACAUAGAAAGACCAGUUGUAGUGACUUACGUGUUUUAAUUUUGAUGGACAAAUAAAUAUCUAUUACUAUCAAAAUUAUAUGGACCAGAUUGAUUAAGAAUCUAGAUAAAGGCUUCCUCUCUACUUUCCUUUCUCCUCUAAUCACUGAUUCUUCAAUUUAUCUUUGUUGUGGCAAAAAAAAUUAGGUUUUUGACCUAAAAGAAGUCGUGUGGCAAAAAAAAUAAAAAUGCGGCCUAAAACUUGAUGAUGUGGAAUCAUCGGAUGAACCGAUACUAUACAGGAUUUAUGACACGUCAAUAAAAGAUUGAAUUAUACAACCACAAAAUUCGAUCAUAUAAGAAUGAUUAUAAUUUUUUCUCUAUUUUGGCGUAGAUACAUUGGACUAUGAGGAUGGAGGGGAAAAAAAUGGAAGUUAUUAGAUGUUGCGAGUGCAUAGUAUGAUAGUAACAUGCUUCUCAAAUCCAACGUUUGGGGUUGAAAUCUAACAUAUUAGACCAACAAAAAUAGUUAUGGAGAUAAAAUUGAAAAUACAAAAUAGGUUAAGGGACCAAAUACGAAAUUUAGUCUAGAAAGACUAAAACUAUAAUUAAUUAGUCCUUAUCUUAUGUCAAGUAUAACUUGUUGCACUACUUUAUCUGAAUUCUGUUCUGGUUGCAUGAGUUGCAUGAUAUCCAAGAGAAUAACUUGUUGCACCAUUUCUAAGCUAUUGAUCUUCACAUGCUGUCAACAUGAUUUAAAUUAGUAUACCAUUUGGAUAACUGAAGAAAAACUUGACCACACUCAAUGUGAUUGAAGAAAGUGAAUCGCGGGCACGAUAAUAACAUUUGCAUCCUAAGUACUAAAAUUUCCAAUUGGAUUUACAUGUACAAUAUGAUGUAAAAGUUUCAGUUUUCAUUUUGAAAUUGACAAUGUAAUCUUUAAAGAAUAUUUUUCUCUUGAUGAAAUUCGACUUAGGGAAAGUGUUGUGCAUUGCGACUAGUCUAUUACUUGCACAAAGUAAUUGUUGCUUUUGCAGAAAUAAUUUAUUCUACAGUAAGUGUCGUUUUACUUUUUCAAUAUAUGAUUAUCAGAAUUAAUUUAUUUAUUUAUUUCAAUUUUAAUCUCGAAUUAAUAGCAGAAAAAAAAUAUGAUUAUCAGUUGCACCGGUAUAAUACACUUGCAUAUUUUUAUUCUAUAUUGCAGUUUACCUUAAUAUGGAAACCACAGUCACAGCCGUAUACACGGACACACUACUAGUCUUGAAGGUACAUAAAACUACAGGUUGAUACACACACAUAAAAGCAAAUAUUACAGUACACUUGCAACAACAUAAUAAGAAUUAGCACAAGCUGCCAAUCUUCCUUACAAAGUUAUUAAUUUAGAGAAUAUUCAAUACUAAUUGGUGAAGGGUGUAUGGUGGAACUUGCACUUCAACAGUACCUUCAAGCAGGGCCGUCUCUGAGAAUUCGGAGGCUCGGCUCUGGAAAUGAAAAGAGGCCAGUGAUAAAAUCAAAACAUAAUUUUUUUUAAAAGAGCAAUAUACUAUUUAUAUUUUUUAAAAGAUAAAUACAAGGUGCCGUAUAUAUGCGGUACACCUAGAGAUGAAAAUGACUACCGUAUACACGAGGAACCCUCACCUAACACCAAAAUCAAGAGGAACUAAUUCUAAUAAUCCUAAAAGAGGCCCAUCCUUGUGAGGGAAUGAAAUAAUCUUAGGGGGCCUAAGAGAUAUUAAGGGGGCCUAAAAAGAAACCACCAUUAUACUGGAUAUAAAAUAAAUAAAAAAUGAGGCCCAUCCUUGAGGGAGGCCCAGCUCGUUUGAGCUGUUUGCACCCCCUCAGAAACGCCCCUGCCUUCAAGCAUAUGUAUCACAUUUCUCAUGGUUGGUCUAAGAUAUGGAUCCUCUUGAACACACCAAAUAGCAAUCUUUACCAAUUUCUCCAAAUUUUCCUUGUCCUUCAAUGCCUCAUUGUCACCCUCAACCAAGGGAUCUAGAAUACCUUCUUUGUAGCAGUCAUAAGCCCAUUCAGUUAAGAUAGCUUUGUAUUCAUUUUCUUGAUCCAUUUCUUCAACACAUCUUCUACAUGAAAUUAUGUGAAAAAAAGAUGUUUUUUAAACUUUCAAUAAAUUGAAUACACAAUUUCUAAGAUAAAGUUGUUACUUUAAGCUUCUUAUCAAGUGCUCUUAGAUAGGUAGGGGAGCCAGUAAUUUUGAAUAGUGGAGGCACCAUUACACGAAAUUUGUUAGGAGGAAAAGUAUGCGUGUUUGAUUUUAUGGUUGCAUGAAACAAGGAGGAAGAGUUUUCAUUUUUCUCAUUGAGAAAGAGAUAAUCAUAGGUGGAUUUAAAAAUAAAAUCUCACAAAAAUGGAUGUGAUAUGAAUAUUGCUCCCACUUUUAAAUAUUUAUCCAUGUCAUCUCUCAACCGAUGUGAGACAUUUUAACAUAUAGUGAGACGGGGUGUAAUAAAAACUACUUAUUUUAACUUAAAAAUAAAUAAAUAUAUGAGAGAGUGUAACAUGAUUUGUUUGUGUGGAUAAAUUGCCGGCAAAAUAAAGUGAAUAAGUUGAGUGCAAAAUCUAUAUGGGGUAUAUUCCAAUUCAUAUAUUUAAUUUGCCUGCAAAAUCUAAUAGUGGUAUAUUACAAGUAUGGUGUGUGGCUCCGUCACUACUCUUAGGGCACUUAGUAGCAUUUUCCUUAAUUUUAUUAUAAAAUAAUUAUAAAGUAAUGUUCAUUAUAAAGUAUUAGGGUGUGUUUGUUUCAAGUUUAUCAAAUUUAUUCAUAGGAAUAACAUUCCUUGAAAUAUAAAGAUGGGAAUUUUAUUCGAAGGAAUUUAGAAAAAAUAUGUUUGGUUAUCUUUAUAAUAUUCCUAGGAAUCAUAAAAAUAGGGAUUAUAAUAGGUAAACUAUUUAUGAAUUUAUUCUCAUCUCCAUGGGAACUUUAUUCCCACCCUUUUCUUUGGAAAUUUUUUUCUAUUCCCAGGAACAUUUUAUACCCGGGAAUAAAAUUUAGUAAACUUGUAACAAACAUAGGCAUAUACAUUCCUAUCAUUUUAUUCCCGGGAAUCAACAAUUAUAACUUGAAACAAACGCACAGUGAAAUAUUUGAAAUGUAAUUUCUUAUUUUGAAACUUUAUGUUUAAUAUUCAUUUUUUCAAGGAUGUAUAAUAUUUUUUAUAGUCUCGUUUACUUGCAAAUGUUAUACCUCACUAAACUUAUACUACACAACUUUUUUUUUUUGAGAGGGUUAUACUACACAACUUAACAACAAUAAAAAUAUCGUGAGAAUCGGUUUUUCUAUCUCUGUAAAUUUAUGGACCCUAAUUCAAUUGAAAACGACUGUCAUGUAAGCACUCGGAUCUAUGCUUAUUUUCAUCUCCUCAAAUUAAAAAAUGAAUGACCAAAAUAAAUAUUAUGUAAAAAGUAAAGGAAAAUAUGCAUAUUUUACACAACUCCAAAAAAUACCAACCCGGGUAACUCAAAUCAUUGGGAGCACUCAUGAUCUCAUCAAUUAAAAACGGCUAAUAUCAAUCGUUGAUUAAAUAAAUCAAUAGUUGAUAUUAUGGACACAUGUAUAACAAUCUUGAGUAGUUUUUUUUUUUUUUUGAAGGAGCAACUCUUCUUUUUUUUUUUGAGAGCAAAAAGGAGCAACUCUUGAGUAGUUAUAAGUUGUUAUAAUAUUAAUUUUUAAUCUUUUUUUUUACUUUACAAAUUACUCAAUUCAUAGUUCCCUAAAAUAUACCGUGUUGUGUCAUUUAUUUUGCUUAGUUAGAUAUUAAAUUAACUUUAUCCAAAACAAAACAACAAUGGAAUAAGGUUUGUUCAUACAAAGACAUAACUUAUUUAGAGAACAAUUAAUACUAAUUUGAGACAGUUAUGGUGGAACCAUGGGAGGCAUUAUCUCUUCUCACUUUUAAGAAAGCCUUAGAACCAUUAACAGUUGUUGUGAAUUGGGACUCAAAUCUCACACCAAUAAAUAAUGAUGUGUGGAGUAAAGAAAAGUAGUAACCACAAUCAAAGCAAGCAAUCACAAGCAACAACAAUAAUAACAACACCUAGAUCUAAUCUAGAAAUUAAAGUGAAAAGCUCAAAACCACAAGCAUAAGAAAGCAAGAAAGAAAACAACAAACACACCAAAGAUUAGUAACCCAAUUCGGUCUAAUAUAACCUCCUCUGGAGGAGAGAGCACCUCUCCAAUCCACUAAGAUGAAAGUGAUACAAAUGAGUUACAAGAAAUUAGCAUAAGAGCUCACAAAGAACAAAACUUAAUUUCUACCCAUUUUUCAUGUCACUUACACUCUCAAUGAAUCCUAAGAGAAAGCACAAAAGGAAGCUUUUUGAUCUUUCCAAUGGUGAAAUCUCACUACCCAAGAUGUUUACAAUGUUUCCCAACUCAAGAGAACCCCACUACAAAGACACUCAACCCUAAAGUUCUCUCCUUUAUAGUCCCAAGUUUCUCUCUCUUCAAGCUCUCUUUCAAAAUCUGCAUAGAAACACUUAUAUAGUACUCUGCAGCUAUCAAAAUUGUGUCACGAUUGCCAAAUUCGUGUCACGAUUGAUGCAUACGACCCAAUGUACGACCAACCUUAUCUUGAAAACGUGUCAAACAUGCCAAAAAUCGUGUCACAAUUGAACAUCAAACAAAACCAUGCUCACGGUCUAGAAAAUCGUGACACGCCUACCAAAUCAUGUCACGAUUCUGAACUUUCUCAGAAUCACAAUUUCAAGGCAAUUUCAACAAGUUGCAUAAACUCUCCCGUUUGUGAGUGGUAAAGUUUAAUUCCGGCUUGCAGGUGCUAGAUGGAUCACCAAGAAUAUUUUGUUUUCAUUUAGUAAAGUUAAAUUCUAACUCAAAAGAAUCUCAGAAAAUCAAUGCUAAUGUGAGUAUUUGGAGAGACUAAAAACUUACUCGUACCGAAUCUAUGUAACCAAAUUCCUCUCUUUUUACUAUGUUUCAACUUUCUAAUUUUAACUAUCUUAGAUUAUAGUUUUACAGGGUUCAAAUUUGAUGCAAUCACAUUACUAGAGUAAUAAUGUGCUGAUUCCACUUUGCCAUUCGUAGUGAAAUUAAGAAACAAAGGUUUUUUUUUUUUUUUUUUUGACAAAAUUUUAAGAAACAGUUAAAACAACAUAUAUCCGUAAAAGGGACAAACCGGAAACCAAUGCGCCGUGAGCCAUCUUGCCUUCUUGCUGCCACUCCUGCUGCCUCUGGAUGUCGCCGUUCCAACGCUGCCAACAGCCGUCCAUCCCCUACACCACUGGCUAUCUUCACCACUUUGUCCUUUUAAACGACCAUAGAUUGGCAGCGAGAUGGUAGAAUGGGUCACAACGUUGGGGUUGCUGAUGUGGUGGUGUUUCUGACUCAGGUUGGGGAGCAUGCCCUAAUGCUACACGCUCCACAAUAUACAUCCCGAGAACAUCACCGCAUCCAGGUUGAUUCAAUGACUUGCACAACAAGCUUGAAAUACUUGACAUCUAUUUCCAGCUUGAAUUAGAAGUAGUUGAUGUACAAGUUAGCCUAGGAGUAGUUGCUAACUUACUGUUUCUCAAUACAGUUUUAGGAAUUAGUUAUAAUUAGAUAUAAGCUCGUGCGUUGCGCAAAUAUCUUGAAUGUUUUAGUUAUGGAAAAAAAAAAUUAGAGAAUAAAUAACUAUUCUAUUUAUAUAGUCAAGUUGUUGAUAUCAUAUGAAAUUGAAGAUAAGAAUAAGAAAUAUAUAUUGGCAUUAUUAAUUAAAAUAGUUGCAAGUAAAUCGUUGUACCUUGGUGUAAAUUGCCGAGAAAAUAGCAUGCAACUAGUCUGCAAGGAUUAUUAGACGGCAAAUUCUAUGGUAUAUCCAAUAAAUUUGGAUGUAUCGGUACACCAAUUCGUUAAAUUAAUAAUAAAUUAGUUAUUUUUUUGAAGAAAAAUAAUUAUUUUCUAUCAUUGACAACUAUAAUAAUUAAACUUUAUUUACCAAAAUCUUCGACGAAAUAAAAUUUAACUUUUACAAAUUUUUACUACUCAUAAUAAUAAAUAUUGAUUAUUUUUUAUGACAAAAUAUAAAUUUUUUAAUAUAAUCCUUAUAAACAAUGAAAUGAUGUUUUUUCUUAUGAUAUGACGUUUUCUAAAAUAUAAAUAUUGACAAAUAACUUUUUAUUUCAUAAAAAUGAUCGUUAAUUUAUAAGUUUUGUGAAACAAGAGUAUCGGUACACUAAAAUUUCUGAGUAUACCGUAGAAGUUCCCUUAUUAGACUAGAUAUUUUGACCCUAGUUUGAACCCGUAACUUUGUAAUUUUGUACGAGUUUCAUCCUUGAUUUACACUUCUGCAUACCAAAAAAAAAUUAGUAAAUUACGAGAAAUAAUUAUGACACUACCUCAAAUCAAGAGUAUUUAAGCAUACACACAUAAAUGAUAAAAUUUAAAAGAGAAAUAAUUUAGUCACAUCACUUAAUAAAAUUUCUCUUUUAAAUUUUAUCAAUCAUGGGUGUACGCCUAAAUAAAUUUUAUUUAGGGUUGUGUCUAUAUAUGAGUUGCUCUAAAAUUACACUAUCUCUUAUAUUACACCCUCCUCCUCUACUUCCCUUCCUUGACCAUUCUCAUUGGGUUCUUAGCAAUUCACAAAAAUAGAAUUGUCUGCAAGGCUAAUGCAGGGUUGCAUAUUUCUAUAGAGGUUUUAUGUGAUAAAGGGAAAGAAAGUGUACCAUACGUUUGUUAUUUCCAAUUUCCAAAGUAUAACGACUUGUGUGUUGGUUAAUUGGUUUAGUUGACCAAAGUCUACGCAAAGAAUAUUCAACACAUAGAAAGACUUGUAGGAGGGACUUACGUGCUUUAAAUUUGAUGGACACAAAAAUAUCUAUUUACUAUCAAAAUUAUAUGGACCAAAUUGAUUCAGAGUCUAGACAAACUUCAUCUCAUCUAUGUUGUAGCUCAAUGAGGUGAUGUGGCAAAAAAAUCUAGGUUUUAGUUUUAGACCUAAAAGAAGUGAUAUGGCAAACCAUUUAUUAACAUGGCAUAUAACGUUACUUUUGUAAAAUCAUUUAGAUAAAUUAACCAAGUAAUAUCCAGAAGUUCUAGCUCAACUGGCAAAAUGCCGAAAUUGUUAGGCCGGAUGCCAUGACUGGGUUCGAAACCCGGUGCCUCCACUUGUGUGUGUGAGUUUUAUAAUGGCUUUGUCAUUUCGUCUAUCUACCAAAAAAAAAAAAAAAUUAACCAAGUAAUUAUGGUCAAAUGAUUUUGAUCAGACUAUACUUAUCUCACGAUCAAAAUCGAAAUUACCAAAAUUCUCGUCUCAUGAAAAUCAGAGAGUUGACACCAAACAAAGAAUCAUUCAAAUGAACCUCUACUAUGUAGGUCUUAUGAUACAUCAAUAUUUUGUUUGUUUUCAUAAUUCCACUUUUGAAUCUAUAUAUCUUAGCUAAGGAUCCAAAAACUGGAUUUUGAAAAGGGAAAACCAAUUUAGAAGAACAAAAAUAUAGUUCAUAUUUUUAACCAUGCAAAGUCCACUUUAAAAGAACACAAAUCCUUUGUUGAGAUUGUAAAUUAUUUUCAUUUUUAUUUUUAUCAAAAAUGGAAGUAUAUCAUACGUCUGUUAUAUCCAGAUGGUUAAACCAACUUAUGACUUAUGAGUUGACCAGGUCCAAGUCUACACAAAGAUUAUUCAGCAGAGUAAUGACUAAGUGAUGAAAUUUUUAUGGACAAAAACAAUUGCUAUUUUCUAUAAAAAUCAUAUGAAUAAAAUUGAGAUAGAAUCUAAACAUGGCUUCCACUCUACUGCUUCCCUUUCUUCUCUUGUCACUGAUUCUUCAAUCCAUCCAUGUUCUAGCUCAAACCAAAAACACUAUAGCCAUUGGUGAUUCUUUUACUGCUGAAACAAGCAACUCUACAUGGUUGCUUUCCCCUUCUGGUGACUUUGCCUUUGGUUUUCUUCCAAUUCAAGACACUGACCUUUUUUUGCUUUCCAUUUGGUAUGCAAAAAUUCCUGACAAAACUGUUGUGUGGUAUGCUAAUAGAGAAAGUCCUGCACCAGAAGGAUCAAAAGUGGAACUCAAUGCCGAUGAUGGGUUGGUGCUAACUUCUCCAAAUGGUGUCGGGUUAUGGAAUACUACUGAGGUACUUAGUGCUAAAGUUUCUCGUGGUGUGUUCAACGAUACUGGUAACUUUGUGCUCGAGGGUGGUGGUUGGGAGACUUUCAAGUAUCCUAGUGACACCUUGUUGCCAUCUCAAUUUCUUCAAAAAGGUGGAAAGCUUUCUUCAAGGCUUAAGCAGUCAAAUUUUAGUAAAGGAAGGUUUGAGCUUCUUUUACAAGAAAAUGGUGAUCUUGUUAUGCAUUCUAUUAAUUUACCAUCUGGUAAUGCUAAUGAAAACUACUAUGAAAGUGGAACUGUGGAAUCCAAUACUUCAAGUGCUGGAACUCAAUUGGUCUUUGACAGAUCAGGGUACUUGUAUGUCUUGGGAGAGAACAAUGAGAAAUACAAUGUGUCAGAGCAAGAGAGUAAAGUCUCUACCACUGAAUUUUAUGUUAGGGCAACUCUUAAUUUUGAUGGAGUGUUCACACUUUACAAGUAUCCCAAGAAUUCAACUGAGAGUGAUGUUUGGACCAUAGUGUGGUCUAAACCUGAUAAUAUAUGUAAUUAUAUUGCUAAUGAAGGGAGUGGUGUUUGUGGAUAUAAUAGCUUCUGCACUUUGGGAGUUGAUAAGAGACCAACAUGUCAGUGUCCAAAACGAUACUCACUGGUUGAUCCUGAUGAUCCACUUGGUAGCUGCAAGCCAGACUUCAUACAAGGAUGUGCAGAAGAUGAACUAAGUAAAAACAGAAAUGAUCUCUAUGAGUUUGAGACUUUGACUGACAUUGAUUGGCCUAUGUCAGAUUCUGUGCUUCAAAAGCCUUUUACUGAAGAUCAAUGUAUGAAAGCUUGUAUGGAAGAUUGCUUUUGUUCUGUGGCUAUUUUCAGGUUAGGUGAUAGUUGCUGGAAAAAGAAGUUACCACUCUCAAAUGGGAAAUAUGAUCCAACUCUUGAUGGUGCUAAGGCCUUUUUGAAAGUUAGAAUACAUAAUACCUCCAUUGCUAUCUUUCCUCCAAAUUCAAAUUCAACAAUUGUGAACAAGAUCAAUAAUAGAGAAACUUGGGUUUUGGUUGGUUCUGUGCUUUUGGGUAGCUCUACUAUUCUCAAUGUUGUAUUCAUUGUAGCAAUAUGUGUUUGUACCUCCUUCAUUUUUCAGUACAAGAAGAAGCUUAGAAGAGUUAGCAAAAGUGACACUUCUGUUGAAACCAAUUUGCGUUGCUUCACUUAUGAAGAGCUUGAAGAAGCUACCAAUGGAUUUGACAAAGAGCUAGGAAGGGGAGCUUUUGGAAUAGUUUACGAAGGAGUCAUCAACAACAACACAACUUGCAAAACUCGCGUGGCAGUGAAGAAGUUGAACAGUUUUCUGUUGGAUCAAGCUCAUCGGGAAUUCAGGAAUGAGCUGAAUGUCAUUGGUCUCACUCAUCACAAGAACUUGGUUCGUUUACUUGGAUUUUGCGGGAGUGGAAGUGAAAGAUUGCUUGUUUAUGAGUACAUGAGCAAUAGCACUUUGGCAAGUUUUCUUUUCAAUGAAGAAAAACAGAAGCCAAAUUGGAAACUAAGGCUAGAACUUGCAAUAGGAAUAGCUAGAGGACUUGUGUAUUUACAUGAAGAGUGCAUCACUAGGAUUAUCCAUUGUGACAUAAAGCCUCAAAACAUACUCCUGGAUGAUUAUUUCAAUGCAAGAAUUUCUGAUUUUGGAUUAGCCAAGUUGUUGAACAUGAAUCAAAGCAAAACCAACACUGGCAUAAGAGGAACAAAAGGGUAUGUUGCACUUGAAUGGUUUAAAAACAUGCCUAUCACAGCUAAGGUGGAUGUGUAUAGUUAUGGUGUAGUGCUACUUGAGAUAAUUUCAUGUAGAAAAUGUGUUGAAGAAAUGGAUGAAGAAGAUGAAGACAAAGCAAUUUUAACUGAUUGGGCUUAUGAUUGCUACAAAGAUGGUGCUUUAUGUGCAUUGGUUGAGGGUGACAAUGAAGCAUUGGAGGACAAGGAAAAUUUGGAGAAAUUGGUAAUGAUUGCUCUUUGGUGUGUUCAAGAGGAUCCAUAUCUUAGACCAAACAUGAGAGAUGUGGUACAUAUGCUUGAAGGUACUGUUGAAGUGCAAGUUCCACCAUACCCCUCACAAAUUAGUAUUCAAUAUUCUCUAAAUUAAUAAGUCUGUAAGCUAAGAUUGGCAACUUGUGCUAAUACUUGUUGUGCUCUUUUCUAAGAUUGACAACUUGUGCUGAUACUUGUUGUGCUCUUUUAAGUGUACCGUAAUAUUUGCAUUUAUUUUUGUGUAUCAAGAUGUUGUUUCCAUAUUAUGGUAGGUUCCAAUAUUAGUUCAUCUCCACGUACCCCUCAAUCAUAUGUUGUUCAUCUCCACGUACCACACACUAUGCAGUUGUCCUUCGGAUUAUUCAAUAUAUCAAGGGUACCUUAUUUUAUGAUCUUCAUUACUCAACUACAUCCUUAUUAAUUAUUAGAGCCUACUCUAAUGUCGAUUGGGCCGGUGAUCCUAGUGAUCAGUGUUCCACCACUGAUUUUUGCAUUUUUUUUCUUGGAGAUUGUCUUAUAUCUUGGUGUAGCAAGAUACAAGCUUUGGUGGCUCGCUAUAGGACUGAAGUUGAAUAUCGUGUUCUUGUUGAUACUACUUUUGAGAUAUCGUGGCUUCGUUGGCUUCUUGCUGAUUUAGAGACAUCAUAGUCUUCACCUAUAUUGUGACAAUCAUAGUGCCAUUCAAAUUGCUCACAAUGAUGUUUUCCAUGAGCGAACCAAACAUAUUGAAAUUGAUUUCUACUUCAUUUGUCAACAUUUCCUUUGUGGUGAACUUCUUAUCUCCAUUGGCAUUCUUGACCAGCCGGCUGAUUUGUUCACGAAACCCCAUUCUCCAGGACGUUUCCGCACUUUAGUUUUCAAACUCAAGUUAGAUGUUAAGAUAUAUUAUGAUUCUCUAUUUAUUGUAAUUAUGCUAGGCGUAAUCAAUAUUUAUGUGUAACAUUUUUCUUGAAGAAGCUAAAUAGCCCACCUAAAUUGACGCCGAAGAGAAUCGAACCUGAGACCUUGCAGAGGAGCACACUCCCAAGACCCAAACCAAUACCACCAGACCAACCCAAAUGGGUUUAAUAUUUAUGUGUAAUUAUUUUUUGUUUUUCUUUGUUUCCAGUCCUAUAAUAUAAAUAGGACCACCUACUUGUACUUGAGACAUACAAUGGAUAUACUAACAUUUCUCAUAUCUUCCUAAGUUUCUACAAAUGGUUGAUAUUAUAGACACAUGGAGCAAAUCUUGAGUAGUUAUAAGUUGUUUGUUACUGUUGAGACAUUGAGAUUUCAGAUGUACACAAUAGUAUUUUGUGAUAUUUUAUGUUUUCUUUUAUUUUAAUGUAGUAGUUGAAGUUACCUCUGCAGAAGUAUGGUGACCCAUACUUGUUAGAGUGUUUAAGACUUUGUAAUCUUGGUUAGGUGACAGACUACUAUGCUGUCCUGCUGUUCACUUUUUCUGUUUUUUCUAUAUAUUGUAUCAGAAACUUUAUUUUGAUGCAGAAUGAAAUUAUCUUCAAGUUUCUGAAAUAACUUUUAGUUCUUACAAAUGGUAUCAGAGCUUCUUUCUUCUUAAAGGGCCUGUGAUUAAAAACCCUUGCUUUCUUGACACCCAACCAUUUUUCUUGAUGGCUUUAAACAAUAUUACCCUUCCAGCACCUCCUGUAUUUACAGGAAAGAAAUAUGAAAUCUGGUCUGUGAAGAUGAAGACUCAUUUGAGGGCAUAUGAUCUUUGGGAAGUGGUGGAAACAGCUGCUGAACCACCACCUUUGCAAGAAAAUCCAACUGUUGCUCAAAUGAGAUACCACAGUGAGCAAGUUGCCAAGAGAGCUAAGGCUCUUACCAUCCUUCACUCUGCUGUGAAUGAUGAUGUUUUCAUGAGAAUCUCACACUUAGAGACAGCAAAACAAGUUUGGGAAAAGCUAGAAGAAGAGUUUUUUGGGAAUGAAAGAACCAAGCAGAUGCAGGUUCUAAAUCUCAAAAGAGAGUUUGAAGCCUUAAAGAUGAAUGAGGCUGAAAACAUAAAUGAUUUCAUGACGAAAGUUAUGAAAGUUGUGAAUCAAAUUAGAUUGUUGGGAGAACAAUUUCUUGAUAGCAGAAUUGUAGAAAAAGUCUUGGUGGUUUUACCUGAAAGAUUCGAAUCAAAGAUUUUUGCACUUGAAGAAUCAAAAGAUCUUUCCAAGAUAACCUUAACAGAGCUUAUAAAUGCUCUUCAAGCUCAAGAGCAGAGAAGACUUUUGAGACAAGAGGAAGCAUCAGAAACAGCUUUACAAGUCAAACACAAAGGAAAAUCCAUAGCAACCAAAGGUGAAAAGAAAUUUGUUGGAGAGCACUCUGGGAAAGAUACAAAGAAGAAGGAAAGAUUUCCAAAAUGUGGAAUUUGCAAAAGAACCAGCCACAAGGAAAGUGAUUGUUGGUACAAAGGAAAAACACCACCACCAUUUCAAUGUAGAUACUGCAAUAAAACUGGGCAUAUUGAGAGGUUUUGUAGGCUGAAACAGCAGCACCAAAAUCAACAAAAUCAUACUUCUCAAAAGGCAAAUGUAACUGAAAUUGAAGAUAGUGAAGAACUCUUGUUCAUGGCCAAUACUACAAGGAGUUCGGAGGAUGGAGACACAUGGUUUAUUGAUAGUGGCUGCACACAACACAUGACUAGCAAACCAGAACUGUUUUCAGAGAUCAAACCCGCUGCAGGAUCUGUAAAGAUUGGAAAUGGACAGAAAGUUGCCAUCACAGGUAGAGGAACGGUGAAAAUUCACACUGCAACAGGUAUUAAAUACAUUUCUGAUGUACUUUUAGUUCCUGAACUUGAUCAAAACCUGUUGAGUGUGGGCCAAAUGAUUGAAAAAGGUUAUUGUUUGUUAUUUAAAGAAGGAAGUUGUGUGGUUACUGAUGUUAAUGGUCAUGAAUUAUUUGAAGUAAAUAUGAGAAAAAGAAGUUUUCCUAUUAACUGGAAUUUAGUUUCUGAACAUGAAUGUAAUAUGAGUAAAGCUGAACUUGAUUCUAAGCUUUGGCACAAAAGAUUUGGCCACUAUAAUUUGAAAUCUAUUCAAUUUGCUCAAAAGCAAGAGUUAGUCAAAGACUUGCCCAAUAUUCAAACUUUUUCGGAGGUGUGUGAAGGUUGUCAACUUGGUAAGCAACAUAGGUUGCCUUUUCCAAGUUCAGCAACAUGGAGAGCAAGUGAAAAACUUGAAUUGGUUCACUCAGAUGUUUGUGGACCUAUGAAUACUUCUUCACUCAAUGGAAGCAAGUAUUUUAUUCUUUUUAUUGAUGAUUUUACAAGGAUGACUUGGGUUUAUUUUCUGAAACAGAAGUCUGAAGUUUUUUCUGUUUUUAAGAAGUUUAAGGUCUUUGUUGAAAAUCAAAGUGGUUGUUUAUUGAAGAAACUUAGAACUGACAACGGGAAGGAGUAUACUUCUGCAGAAUUCAAUAAAUUUUGUGAUGAUUUGGGUGUUGAACGUCAACUUACAGUCAGCUACUCGCCUCAACAGAACGGAGUUUCUGAAAGAAAGAAUAGAUCUGUCCUUGAAAUGGCUAGAUGCAUGAUUUUUGAGAAGAAAUUGCCAAAGUCCUUCUGGGCAGAGGCAAUAAACACUGCUGUCUAUCUCCAAAAUCAACUUCCUACAAAGGCGGUAGAAGGGAUGACACCUAUUGAGGCUUGGGGAGGUUUCAAGCCGUCUAUCAAGCAUCUGAGAGUGUUUGGUUCGCUGUGCUACACUCACAUACCAGAUGUGAAAAGAAGCAAAUUGGAUGAAAAGGCUGAAAAAGGAAUUUUAAUAGGCUAUAGCUCAAAGUCUAAGGGCUAUAAAGUCUAUGGAAUUGAUUCAAAUAAAAUUUUCAUUAAUAGAGAUGUUAAAGUGGAUGAAGAUGCAUAUUGGAAUUGGGAGACCUCUCAAGUUGAUAGAGGUUCAACUUUGUCUUCUCUCGAGGAUGCAAAUGAAGAUCAAGAUGAAGAAGUUGAUGAUGACUUUGCUGUUAGAGGUACCCAACCUCUUUCAGAGAUUUAUCAAAGAUGCAAUAGUGUUGUCUUUGAACCUACCAGCUUUGAAGAUGCUAGUAAAGUUGAUGAAUGGUACCAGGCUAUGAAAGAGGAGAUGGACAACAUUGAAAAGAACAAGACAUGGCAGCUGGUUGACAAGCCUAGAGACAAGAAUGUCAUAGGAGUGAAAUGGGUCUAUAGGGUCAAGAUGAACCCAGAUGGAUCCAUCAACAAAUACAAGGCCAGACUUGUUGUCAAGGGCUAUGUUCAACAAUCCGGGAUUGACUACACAGAAACAUUUGCACCGGUAGCAAGAAUGGAUACUAUUCGAAUUCUUGUAGCGUUGGCAGCACAAAUGAAGUGGAAAAUUUGGCAUUUAGAUGUCAAAUCAGCAUUCUUAAAUGGUAACCUUGAUGAAGAAAUUUAUGUUGCUCAACCUGCUGGUUUUUUGGUGAAAGGGAGGGAAGACAAGGUGUAUAAGCUUAAUAAAGCUUUGUAUGGGCUGAAACAGGCCCCUAGAGCUUGGUAUAGCAAAAUUGAUAGCCACUUUCUUAAUCAAGGAUUCAAAAGGAGUGAAAAUGAUGCAACUCUUUAUGUAAGAAGAUUGUUGGAUGGUGGUUCCUUAAUUGUCUCUUUGUAUGUUGAUGACUUGCUAGUAACAAGCAAUAAUCAACAAGAAGUUCAACAACUUAUGGAGGAGAUGAAAAACCAGUUUGAGAUGUCUAGCUUAGGGGAAAUGAACUAUUUUCUCGGCUUGGAAGUGCAUCAAUCUGAGAAUGGAAUUUUUUUGAAUCAAGAGAAGUAUGCUCGUGAAGUUUUGAAGAAGUUUAAAAUGGAAAGCUGCAAAUCUGCUCCAACUCCUUUGGUGUGGAAUUUGAAACUCUCAAAGGAAGAUGAAGCUGGAAAAAUUGAUGCUUCUCGUUAUAGAAGUUUGAUUGGGAGUCUACUCUAUCUUACUUCAUCUAGACCUGAUCUUAUGUAUGCAUCAAGCUUACUCUCAAGAUUUAUGCAGAAUCCUACCAAGACACAUUUUGUUGCAGCAAAGAGGGUACUUAGAUAUGUUAAGGGUACUACUCAAUUCGGAAUAUGGUACAAGCCAAGUGAAAAUGAAAGUUUGUUAGGCUAUGUUGAUAGUGAUUGGGCUGGAAAUAUAGAUGACAUGAAGAGUACUACAGGCUAUGCUUUUUCUUUAGGCUCUGGCAUGUUCUCAUGGAACUCGAGGAAACAAGAAAUUGUAGCUCAAUCCACGGCUGAAGCAAAGUAUGUAGCCGCAGCUGCAGCAGCAAACCAAGCUAUUUGGUUGAGGAAAAUACUCUAUGACUUGGGCAUACAACAGCUGGAAGCAACUGUGCUUUAUUGUGAUAGUAAAUCAGCAAUUGCUAUUGCUGAAAAUCCAGUUCAACAUGGAAAAACAAAGCAUAUUCAAGUGAAGUACCAUGCCAUACGCGAGGCUGUUAAAAAUCAAGAGAUCAAACUUAUUCAUUGUUGUUCUGACUCUCAAGUUUCUGAUAUAUUGACUAAAUCUCUUCCAAGAGCUAAGUUUGAAAAGUUUCGAGAAUUGCUUGGAGUGUCCAUCCAAAAUCUCAAGGAGGAGUGUUGAGACAUUGAGAUUUCAGAUGUACACAAUAGUAUUUUGUGAUAUUUUAUGUUUUCUUUUAUUUUAAUGUAGUAGUUGAAGUUACCUCUGCAGAAGUAUGGUGACCCAUACUUGUUAGAGUGUUUAAGACUUUGUAAUCUUGGUUAGGUGACAGACUACUAUGCUGUCCUGCUGUUCACUUUUUCUGUUUUUUCUAUAUAUUGUAUCAGAAACUUUAUUUUGAUGCAGAAUGAAAUUAUCUUCAAGUUUCUGAAAUAACUUUUAGUUCUUACAGUUACAAUAUUAAUCUUUGAUUUUUUUUUCAUUUUACAAAUUACUCAAUCUAUAGGUCCUGAAAAUAUACCAUGUUCUGUCAUUUAUUUUCUUAGUUAGAUAUUAAAUUGACUUUAUCCAAAACAAAACAACAAUGUAAUAAGGUUUUCUCUCAAAAAAAACAAUGUAAUAAGGUUUAUUCAUACAAAGUAAACUAAUCUUGGACCUCAAAUACUAAUGUUGAAGGAAUAUAAAGUCACAUCUUAAUACAAAGCCAUACAUUCAAAUUUUAUUAUUGACUUUAAACAACACAACAAGGACCAGCAUCUAACACCGGCUAACCAACUUGUUUAGAGAAUAUUUAAUACUAAUUUGUGACAGGUACGGUGGAACCAUGGGAGGCAUUAUCUUUUCUCACUUUCAAGAAAGCCUUAGCACCAUUAAGAGUUGCAUCAACUCUCCCAUUUGAAAGUGGUAACUUCUUCUUCCAACAACUAUCACCUAACCUGAAAAUAGCCACAGAACACAAGCAAUCAUCCAUACAAGAUUUCCUACACUGUUCUUCAGUAAAAGGCCUUUGAAGCACAUAAUCUGAUAGAGGCCAAUCAGUGUCAAUCAAAAUCUCAAACUCAUAGAGAUCAUUUCUCUUUUUACUUGGAUCAUCUUCUCCACAUCCUUGGACGAAAUCUGGCUUGCAGCUGCCAUAUGGAUCAUUAGGAUCAAUCAGUGAGUACUGUUUUGGACACUGACAUUUUGGUCUCUUAUCAUCUCCCAAAGUGCAGAAGCUAUUAUAUCCACAAACACCACUACCUGCACUAACAGUAUAAGUACAUAUAUUAAAGGGCUUAGACCAUACUGUGGUCCAACCUUCACUCUUAGUUGAACUCUUAGGAUGCUUGUAAAGUGUGAACACUCCAUCAAAAUUAAGAGUUGCUCUAAGAUAAAAUUGUGUGGUCGAGACGUUACUCUCUUCUUCGAACACAUUGUAUUUCUCAUUGUUCUCUCCCAAAACAUACAAGUACCCUGAUUUGUCAAAGACCAGUUGAGCUCCAGCACUUGAUGUACUGGAUUUAAUAGUAUUACUUUCAAAGUAGUUUUCAUUAACAUAACCAGAUGGUAAAUUAAUAGAAUGCAUAACAAGAUUACCAUCACUUUGUAAAAUGAGUUCAAACCUUCCUUUACUGAAAUCUGUCUCCUUAAGCCUUGAAGAAAGCUUUCUUCCUUUAUCCACAACCUGAGAAGGCAAUAACGUGUCACUAGGAAACUUGAAAGUCUCCCACAGACUGUUGAAUUUACCAUCCUGAAGCACAAAGUUGCCAGUGUCAUUCAACACACCGCGAGAAACUUUAACAUUGAGUCCUUCAGUAUUCCAUAACCUGACACCAUUUGGGGAAGUUAGCACCAGCCCAUCAUUGGCAGUGAGUUCCACUUUUGAUCCUUUUGGUGCAGGACUGUCUCCAUUAGCAUACCACACAACAGUUUUCUCAGAAAUUUUGGGAUACCAAAUAGAAAGCAAAAAAAGAUUAGUGUCUUUGAGUGGAAGAAAACCAAAGGCAAAGUCACCAGAAGGUGAAAGCAACCAUGGAGAGGUACUGGUUUGUGCAGUAAAAGAAUCACCAAUGACUAUGGUACUUUUGGUUUGAGCUACAACACAGAUGGAUUGCAGAAUCAGUGAGCAGAGGACAAAGGAAAGCAAAGAGGGAGUCAUGUCUAGAUUGUAGAAUCAAUAUGAUCCAUAUGAUUUUUAUAGUAAAUAAAUAUCUCUUGUUUCAAUCAAAAUUAAAGCACUGAGCCACUAGUCUUCCAAUUUGGUCCAUAUGAUUUAUAGAUAUUUUUUUGUGUCCAUCAAAAUUAAAGCCAUUAGUCCUUAUAGUCAACUCAUACUAAAUCAACAAAGAAGUUGGCUUAACUUUGGAGAUAACAAACGUAUGAAAACUUUCCCUUUUUGAUAGAAAAUUAAAAUAAAAAUACAUUACAAUUUUGACCAUGGACUUCUGUAAAAUGGACUUUCAGGACAGUUUUUUUUUUUCCAGAUAUAUAUUUAUUAUUUUUUCUAAACAAGAAUAUUAUUAUAAAUUAUAGUAGGUUACAGACAAGAAUAUUUAUCUAAUUUAGUAAAUUUAACUUCUCACUCUCGAAUCCAGGUAACCAUAUCUACAAGUUCCUCGCUCUUUGUUAUUGACUUUUUAACUACAUUAGGUUAUAGUUUUACAGGGUUCAAGUUGGAUGCAAUCACAUUGCUAGAGUGACAGUGGCUGAUUGUUGAUUAUUGAAUAUGUUUGUGUCAUUGCAUGUUUGUACACAUGCAAAUUUCAGUGUAGUUGAACUAGAACAAUUACGCUAUGUAUGUAGUGCUUCAUGGCCUAAUUACCUAUUUUCUGUGCUGGGUGCGAAAACUCUAAGUUUGCGCGGGAAAGGUACUCUACCGUUCACUAAUUUUUCCGUUAGAUCAAUCAAAACAUUGAGAUGAUUAGUGAUUUUAAGGAACAAAACUAAAAUAACAUAUAUGAUAAUAUCUGUAAAAGGGACAGACCAGAGACUCACCCUGUCGUCUUGGAGCCACUCCAGCUGCCUCCGGCCAUUUUCGUCCUAAAACCAUCCUCACCUCUUCUUCUGUCAUGUUCAUUUUUCUUAUUUCAAGUAGAACUUGUUGUACUACUCCAUCUGAAUUUCCUUCAGUUUCCACCCAUUUACUUUGGUUGUGGAUGAAUUGGAACAACUUGCAUGAUCUCCGCAAAAAUAACAGACUAGUUGUUUCAAAUUCAUCAUUUCCAAGCUAUUGAUCUACAAAUGCAGUCAAAAUAUUUUAAAUUAGUAUAUCAUCUGGCCAAGUGAAGCAGAACUUGACCACUUUAAUGUGGUUGAAGAAAAUAAAGCACAUCCACAAUUAUAAAUUUGCAGAAGCUGUUAUAUCCAUAAACACCACUACCUAAACUAACAAUAUAUUACACAUUAUCAGGUUUAGAUCACACUAUGAUCCAACCUUCACUCUCAGUCGAACUCUUUGGAUGCUUGUAAAGUGUAAACACCCCGUCAAAAUUAAGAGUUGCUCUAAGUUAAAAAUGUGUGUUUGAAACUUUACUCUCUUUUUCUUACACAUUGUAUUUCUCACUGUUCUCUCUGAAGAUAUAUGAAGCACCGACAUAGACACGGACACAUCACCGACAUGUUGACACAGGUAAUAAUUUGAGAAAAUGGAUUAAUUGAAUGUAAUAACAUGUGUCGGUAUCGUGUCAGGGACUGACAUGUGUCAGACACCGGACAUGCCUUAGAUCAGAGGUGUCAGUGCUACAUAGCCCAACACAUACAAGUACCCUGAUCUUUCAAAGAUUAAUUGAGUUCCAGCACUUGAUUUACUGGAUCCCACAGUUUUACACUUUCAUAGCAGUUUUCAUUAACAUAACCAAAUGGUAAAUUAACAAAAUUUAUAACAAGAUUACAAUCAUUUUGUAGAAGGAGUUCAAACCUUCCUUUACUGAAAUUUUUCUCCAUAAGCCUUGAAGAGAACUUCCACCUAUUUCAAGAACCUGAGAAGGCAACCAAAUGGAAAGCAAAAAAAUAUCGUAUCUUCUAGUGGAAGAAAACCUAAGGAAAAGUCACCAGAAGGUGAAAACAACCAUGAAGAGGUGUUGGUUUGUGCAGUAAAAGAAUCACCAAUGGCUAUAGUACUUUUGGUUUGAGCUACCUACAACAGUGUUUAGAUUAUAGAACCUGUUUAGAUUAUAGAAGCAAUUCGGUCCAUAUGAUUCAUAGUAAGUAGAUAUUGUUUGUGCCAUCAAAAUUAAAGCACUUAGUCACUAGUCAUUUUUGUAUCCUUGUGUAGACUUGGUCAACUCAUACUAAACCAAUUAACCAACACACAAGUUGGUAUACUUUGGAGUUUGGAGAUAACAAACGUAUGAUACACUUCCCUUUUCAUAGAAAAUUAAAAUAUAUUACAAUUUUGACAUGUAUUUGUGUUCUUCUAAAGUGGACUUUACACAGUGAAAAAAAUUCAGAUAUAUAUAUUUUUUUCUAAACAAGAUUAAACAUUGAAGUAGAAUCCAAUCUGAAUUUUGUUCUGCUUCCACCUAUUUACUUUUGUCUUUCAUGAAUUUAGAACAAUCUCAUUAAGUUUGAUUGAUAAAUUUAUUUUAAGUGAAUUUGAAACAUUGCUGCAACAAAGUUGCAUGAUAUCCAAGAGAAUAACAGAAUAAUUGCUUCAAGGUUGAAGGAGAAGAACUUCACCAUCUCUAAGCUAUUGAUCUCCAAAUGUUGUCAACAUGAUUUAAAUUAGUACCAUUUGGGGUAAGCGAAGCACAACUUGAUCACUCAAUGUGCUUGAAGAAAGUGAAGCAAAUAUACAAUGAUAAAAUUUGAUCCAUAUGCACUAAAAUUAGCAUUUGGAUUUACUUGCACAGUAUGAUGUAAAAGAUUCAAUUUUCAUUUUGAAGUUGGCAUCUGAAAAAAAUUAGAGAAUAAAUAACUAUUAAUUAUUUAUAUAGUCAAGUUGUUGAUAACAUGUGAAAUUGAACAUCAAGGAUAUAUCAAAUAUCAAUGUGCCAGAAUAUAAACAAAUAAUAAUACAUGCAGUCUUCCAUACAAGCUAUAAUACAUUGUACUUCAAUAAAAGGCUUUAGAUGCGUAUAAUCGUUUUGAUGCCAAUAAGUGCCAUUCAAAAUCUUAGAGUAGUACAGAUCCUUUGUUUCACUUAGUUCAUCUUCUGCAUAUCCAUGUAUGAGGUCUGGCUUGCAGCUACCAAAUGGAUCGUCAGGAUCCACCAGUGAGUAACUUUUUCGACACCGACGUGUUGGCCUCUUAUUCUCUCCCAAAGUGCAGUAGCUAUUAUAUCCACAAACACCACUACCUAAUUUAGGAAAAUAAUGACAUAUAUUUUCAGGCUGAGACCACACUAUAGUCCAACCUCCACUAUCAGUUGAACUCUUUGGAUGCUUAAGAAGUGUGAACACUCCAUCAAAAUUAAGAGUUGCUCUAAGAUAAAAAUUAGUAGUGGAGACUUUAACCUUUUCUUUUGACACAUAGUAUUUCUCAUUGUUCUCUCUCAAGAGAUACAAGUCCCCUGAUCCGUCAAAGACCAAUUGAGUUCCCACAGUUUCACUUUCAUAGUAGUUUUCUACAUUAACAUAACCAGAUGGUAAAUUAAUAGAAUGCAUAACAAGACUACCAUUAUUUUGUAAAAGGAGCUCAAACCUUCCUUUACUGAAAUUUGUCUCCUUAAGUCUUGAAGAAAGGCUUCCACCUUUACGAAGAACCUGAGAAGGCAACAAGGUGUCACUAGGAAAGUUGAAAGUUUCCCACCGACUUUUGAAUUCACCAUCCUCAAGCACAAAGUUGCCAGUGUCAUUGAACACACCGCGAGAAACUCCAACACUGCUCAGUCCCUCAGUAGUAUUCCAUAACUUGUAACCAUUUGGAGAAGUUAGCACCAACCCAUCAUUAGCAGUGAGUUCCACUUUUGAUCCUUUUGGUGCAGGACAGUCUCCAUUAGCAUACCACACAACAGUUUUCUCAUAAAUGUUGGCAUACCAAAUGGAAAGCAAAAAAUGAUCAGUGUCUUGGAUUGGAAGAAAACCAAAGGCAAAGUCACCAGAAGGUGAAAGCAACCAUGGAGAGUUGCCGGUAUCUGCAGUAAAAGAAUCACCAAUGUCUUGGAGUAUACUUGUGAAAUAUUUACUGUUCACUAAACGCAGCUACUUGUUACUCUAGGUCCCUCCAUCAGAAAAUUCAAAACUAAUGAGUUUUGGCUCAAAUCAUCAUUAUCUUGAAUGUAUUAAGGCUGCUUAUAACUUUGCAAGUGGUGAACUCGUGAAUCUCAUCAAGGAAAAGGUGAUUUUGAAUAUGAUUAGGCUUUUAAGUUCUCAGCUUACAGUUUAAUACUUCUGCAAUAUUUAUUAUUGUUAAAAGGCUUAAAUAUUGCACUCGUCCCUGCAAAUAUGGUCCGUUUAAGUUUUGGUCCUUGUAAAAUAAAAAUUCAGAAAUCAGUCCCCGCAAAAAAAUCUGUCUUUUAAAAAUACCCCUGGACCCAUUUAAGUCAUGACAAGUCACCAAAAUGCCUACGUGGCGCACGCUGAUUGAACCCAUUUUGUAGUUUUUGGUCCCUGCAAAAUAUUUUGUUUUCUAAAAAGGUCCCGGCAAAAUUUUUUGUUUUUGAAAAUAGUCCCUGGAGGGACUAUUUUCAAAAACAAAAAAAUUUGCGGGGACUGAUUUCUGAAUUUUUAUUUUACAAGGACCAAAACUUAAACGGACCAUAUUUGCAGGGACGAGUGCAAUAUUUAAGCCUUGUUAAAAAUCCAAGUUCUUAUCGUGAAUUGUAUUUGUAUGUGUAGUACGAUCUAACAGGAAAAUUGCGGUCUAUAAAACACUACCUUCUGCAUGAUAUCCAAGAGAAUAGCAGACUAAUUGCUUCAAAGUUGAAGGAGAAGAAAUUCACAAUUUCUAAGCUAUUGAUCUCCAAAUGUUGUCAACAUUCAACAUGAUUUAAAUUAGUACCAUUUGGGGUAAGUGAAGCACAACUUGAUCACUCAAUGUAAUUGAAGAAAGUGAAGCAGAUGCACAAUAAUAAAAUUUGAUUCAUAUGGACUAAAAUUAGCAUUUGGAUUUACUUGCACAGAUGAUGUAAAAGAUUCAAUUUUCAUUUUGAAAUUGGCCAUCUAAUCUUUAGAGAGAGAGAGAGAGAGCAACUAUGUAGAUAUAGAUAUUAGAUAUAGAAACUACAGUCGCACCCAUAUACACGGGUACAAAACACAACUACUCUUGAAGGAACAUAAAACCACAGCUUGAUACACAGACAUAAAAGCAAUAUCACAGUAUGCUUAAAACAGCGAAACAAGGAUAAGCACAAGCUGAACCCCUUGCUUAGCAACUUAUUAAUUUAGAGAAUAUUGAAUACUAAACGGUGAGGGGUUUAACGGAGCUUGCACUUCAACAGUACCUUCAAGCAUAUGUAUCACAUUUCUCAUGGUUGAUCUAAGACAUGCAUCCUCUUGAACACACCAAAUAGCAAUCUUUACCAAUUUCUCCAAAUUUUCCUUGUCCUCCAAUGCCUCAUUGUCACCCUCAACCAAUGCACCUAAAGCACCAUAUUUGUAGCAAUCAUAAGCCCAAUCAGUUAAGAUAGCUUUGUCUUCAUCUUCUUCAUCCAUUUCUUCAACACAUUUUCUACAUGAAAUUAUCUCAAGUAGCACUACACCAUAACUAUACACAUCAACCUUAGCUGUGAUAGGCAUGUUUUUAAACCAUUCAAGUGCAACAUACCCUUUUGUUCCUCUUAUGCCAGUGUUGGUUUUGCUUUGAUUCAUGUUCAACAGCUUUGCUAAUCCAAAAUCAGAAAUUCUUGCAUUGAAGUAAUCAUCAAGGAGUAUGUUCUGAGGCUUUAUGUCACAAUGGAUGAUCCUAGUGAUGCACUCUUCAUGUAAAUACACAAGUCCUCUAGCUAUACCUAUUGCAAGUUCUAGCCUUAGUUUCCAACUUGGUUUUUGUUUCUCAUCAUCAGCAUUGAAAAGAAAACUUGCCAAAGUGCCAUUGCUCAUGUACUCAUAAACAAGCAAUCUUUCACUUCUACACUCACAAAAUCCAAGUAAACGAACCAAGUUCUUGUGAUGAGUGAGACCAAUGGAAUUCAACUCAUUCCUGAAUUCCCUAUGGGCUUGAUCCAACAAAAAACUGUUUAACUUUUGCACUGCCACCCGAGUUUUGGAAUCUGUGUCGUUGUUGAUGACUCCUUCGUAAACAAUACCAAAAGCUCCCCUUCCUAGCUCUUUGUCAAAUCCAUUGGUAGCUUCUUCAAGCUCUUCAUAAGUGAAGCAACACAAAUUGGAUUUAAUUUCAACACACGUGUCACCUUUGAUAACUCUUCUAAGCUUUUUCUUGUGCUGAAAAAUGGAGGUGCUGACACAGAUUGUUACAAUCAAUACAACAUUGAGAAUAGCAGAGCUACCAAAAAGCACAGAACCAACCAAAACCAAUGUUUGUCUAUUAUUAUUAUUAUUAUUAUUAUUAUUAUUGUUAUUAUUAUUAUUAUUAUUCUUAUUAUUGUUAUUGUUAUUAUUAUUAUUGUUAUUAUUAUUAUUAUUAUUCGUGUUCACUUCUUUUCUCACUUUUAAGAGAGCCUUGGCACCACCAAGACUCGCAUCAACUCUUCAAUUUGAGAGUGGUAACUUCUUCUUCCAACAACUAUCACCUAACCUCCAAAUAGCCACAGAACACAUGCAAUCUUCCAUACUAGCUUUCCUACAUUGUUCAUCUGUAAAACGCGUUAGAAGCACGGCAUCUGAUAGAGGCCAAUCAGUGUCAUUCAAAACCUGAAACUCAUAUAGAUCCUUUGUUUUACUUUGUUCAUCUUCUGCACAUCCUUGUAUGAAAUCUGGCUUGCAGCUACCAUGUGGAUCAUCAGGAUCAAGCAGUGAGUAACGUUUUGGACACCGACAUGUUGGUCUCUUAUCAUCUCCCAAAGUGCAGAUGGUAUUAUAUCCACAAACACCACUACCUGAACUAACAAUAUAUUGACAUAUAUUUUUAGGAUGAGACCACACUGUAGUCCAAUUUCCACUAUCAGUUGAGUUCUUUGGAUGCUUGAAAGGUGAAAACACUCCAUCAAAAUUAAGAGUUGCUCUAAGAUAAAAAUUAGUAGGGGAGACUUUACUCUCCUCAUCUUGUACUCCAUCUUCUCCUGAGAUAUAGAAUUUCUCACUGUUCUCUCUCAAGAGAUACAAGUCUCCUGAUUUGUCAAAGACCAAUUGAGCUCCAGGACUUGAAGUAUUGGAUUCCACAGUUCCACUUUCAUAGUAGUUUUCUUCAUUAGCAUUACCAGAUGGUAAGAUAAUAGAAUGAAUAACAAGAUUACUAUCAUUUUUUAAAACAAGCUCAAACCUUCCUUUACUGAAAUUUGACUCCUUAAGCCUUGAAGAAAGCUUUCCAUCUUUUAGAAUAACCUGAGAAGGCAACAAGGUGUCACAGGGAAAGUCGAAAGUCUGCCAAAGAGUGUUGAAAGCGCGACCUCCAAGCACAAAGUUCCCCGUGUCAUUGAGCACACUGGAAAAAACAUCACUACUGAGUUGCUCAUUAUUCCAUAACCUUACACCAUUCGGAGAAGUUAGCACCAACCCAUCAGUGAAAGUUAGCUCCACUUUUGACCCUAUUGUUACAGGACUGACUCCAUUAGGAUACCACACAACAGUUUUCUCUAAAAAAUUUGCAUACCAGAUGGAAAGCAAAAAAUGAUCAGUGUUUUGAUUGAAAGAAAACCAAAGGCAAAGUCACCAGAAGGUGAAAGCAACCAUGGAGAGGUGUUGGUUUCUGAAAUAUGAAAAUCACCAGCUGCUAUGGUACUUUUGGUUUGAGCUACAACACUGAUGGAUUGAAGAAUCAGUGAGAAGAGAAAAAAGGGAAGAAGUAGAAAGAAAAAAAAAAUUAUCAAAGCACUAAAAUAUAAAAGACAGGAGAUGCCUGAACCAAUACAACAAAGUCAGUAAGUGUAUAACCUGCGAAAAGGAAAAUUAGAUCUAUCCCUGUAACGGAAACAUCUAGAGGAAAGAGGUGGCUAAGUCCACCAUAAUACAGAAAAGCUAAACAGAUUGUAGAAUCAAAUUGAUCCAUAUGAUUUAUAAAAAUUUCAUCAUCAUUAGUCUUUCUUCUUUUCUUUUUUUUUGGCACCAAGUCAUUAGUCUUUCUUCUAUUUGUUAAAUAUUCUGUGUAGACUUGGUCAUCUCAUACUAAUAGACAAAAAAUGUUAUAGAAAAAGAAAUGAGAGUAAUAAUAGACAAAAGAUAAUAAAUGGUGGUGAUUAUAAUAGAAAAAAGACGUUAAAACCCAUUGAAAAAAAAUAUGGUUCUACAUGAAAAAUUCAAGAUUUUUUCCAUACAUGUUUAAGACAUUAAAGUAUGGAUUUGCACAAAAAAAAAUUGGAAUUUUUCAACUAGGAUAAAUUAAUUAUGAAUUUUUAAAACGGUAAAAACUUAAAAAACAAAAUAACGGAGAUUUUGACUUAUAAAUCAAAUUUUUAGUUAUUUGUUUGGAGAGACAUCUAUAAAAAUACAUAAAAAAGAUUUGCAUAGUUUCAUGAGAUUUCAAAAAUGUUUUGAUUUAUUUUUACUCUCAAACCAAAAUAUGCAAAAUUGUAAUUUUGUUUCGAAUAAAUGUAUACUCAUAAGUCAAAUUUCAUUCUUUAAUUGUGUAGUCAUGGCUAGAACAUCGUAAGAAUCUUCACGAUAAAAUUUUAAAGUUUUAAGAAAAGAGAGAGAUUAAUCAUGGCAUAAAAAAUCAUAAUUAUCAGUCCCUAGUGGAAUUUUUUUUGUGUGUAGUCUUAUUACAAGGUUAGUAUAUUUGUUUUUUUAUUUAUUUUACUGAGACAUUUUUCAGACAUCAGGUUAAUUUGAGCAAUUGACCCUGUAAAUAAAUUAAAUAUAAAAGGAUCCCUAAAAAAAUUAUAUAUAAAAGGAAUACAUUAUUUGAAUUGACUUUUUCAUUUCUUAUUAUAUCUUGUAACAAACUUACCUAUAAUCUAUUACUCUCUCCUUAUUUUAUUAAACUUGUUUUGAUAUUUUCACACAUAUUAUGAAAUAUAGUUAAUUUUGUAUUGCAAAGAGAAAUUAUAAAUGAUUUCACAAAAUUAUCCCUUAUUAAUGAUAUGUGAAAAAAAGAUUAAAAAAUUGAAAAAAAUAGAGUAAUAAAUGGUAAAUGGUACGAUAGGAAUGAUGCAUUUCAAUUCUAAAGCGACUUAUAAUAAAACCAAUUUUUUUUCUUUUAAAGUGACUUACAAUAAAAUACGAAGGAUAAUGCCUAUUAAGUAUGCAUAAACAUAAUACACCCAUAACGCUAGAAUUCGGACUCAAAAACACACCAAUAAACUAUCAUAUGUGGAGCAAAGGAAAGUAAUAACCAGUAUCAAAGUAACCACAAUGAGCAGCAACAACAACAACAAACCUAGAUUUAAUCUAGGAAUAAAGUGAAGAGUACAAAACCACAAGCAAAAGAUAAAGAGAUAAGAGAAACAAACACACAUAGAAAUGUUUACCCAGUUCGGCCCAACUUGACCUACUAUGGGGAGAGAUUGAUCUCUCCAAGCCAUUAUCAAUGAGUUCUUACAAAGAGAUACAAAAAUGUUACAAGAAAUUGGGGAAAUGUUUACAAAUGUUUUCCUACCCAAGAAAACCCCUCAAAAGAACCUUAAUCAAAGGGGCAAUGCUAUGUUGUAGGAAAGAUGGCCGCAAGAAUAGCAAGAAUAACAUUGUCCGCUCUUUUCUAAAAAAUAAAAAAGUAUUAAUCCUUAUGUAAUGGAAAUCACGCCCAUGUGUUGGUGAAAAUGCACGGCUUGGAUAUUUUCGUGCGUUUUGUCUCUUCGGGUUCCCUUAAAAACAAGCAUUAUCCUAAGCAAAAACCCUUAACUCUAAAGUUAUCUAAUUUGAUUUUUUUAAGUUUCUUUCUCUUGAAGCCUUUUAUAGUGCUCAGACCCGGCAAAAAUGUGCCCCAAUUUCAGCAAAUUGUGCCCCAAUUUACCCAAUAGUACCACAGUACACAUAUUUCCUUAUCCAAAAUCGGACUUCGAUUUUACCAAAUUGUGGUCUGAAAAAUGUCGAAAGAACACUCCAAAAGUGGGCCAAAAUCGUGGCCUGAUUUUGGCCUACCCUCUAUUCAUCAAAUUUGAGUCAUAAUACAACAUUUUUUAUGUAUUUUUCUUUUCACAUUUUAGCGUACUAUAUUAAGGUUAAAUAUGUUUUUGAUCUCUAUAAAUAUAUCACAUUUAGUCCUCAUAAAAAACAUUGACAUAUUUAUGUCUCCAUAAAAAAUAAAAAAAAAUUAGCAUGCUUAUGCAAAUAUUUUUAAAAAAGGCUAACCAUAUUUUUAAAAAAGACUAACGAGUGUCUUUGGGGUAUUGAUUAAAGUAUUAAAAGUGGUAAAUUUAUCUAAAAAAACGUGUAAUUAUUGGAGUAACUUAUAUUUUUAAGACAAAAUUUCAUUUAAUGAAAUCAUUAAAUAAUGUCCGUAGGGCAAUCGUUAACAAGAUGUACCAAAGGAAACUUAAAAAAUUCUUAUGGCAAUUAGAAACGAAAUGUAAUGUAAUGUAUUUAUAUUUAUAUAAAUUAUAAAGGUGUUUAACCCGAUUUAAGUUUUCAAAUCCACGGUGGUAGUUGAGAGCUUGAAACGUGUUUCUUCUAACGUAUCAGGUUUGAUUUUUCCCGAUAUCAAUUUCGAUGAGUUUUUUUUUUUUUUUUUUUUUAAGUUUUCAAGAUUGAUACUAUUAAUGAGAAAGAAAAAAAAAAAGAGUAAAUUACACUUCCCUCCCCUCAAAGAUGCUUGAAUUACACUACCCUCCCCUCUUAUGUUAAAAUAUACAUUCCCCUAUCCUCUUAUUCAAAACUUAUUUGAAUUUUUUUCACUCCCCUCCCCUAAGAGAAGCUUGAAUUACAUUCCCCUCCCCUCUUAUGUUAAAAUAUAGAGUAAAUUACACUCCCCUCCCCUCAAAGAUGCUUGAAUUACACUCCCCUCCCCUCUUAUGUUAAAAUAUACACUCCCUUCCCCUCUUAUUCAAAACUUAUUUGAAUUUUUUUCACUCCCCUCCCCUAAGAGAAGCUUGAAUUACAUUCCCCUCCCCUCUUAUGUUAAAAUCUACACUUUACUCCUUCAAUAUUAAUUUUUAUUUUAUUUUUAAUAAUCUAGCAAAAAAAUAAUAAUCUAACACACUUCAAAAAAAUAGUAUUGUGGGUCUAUUUUAAUAUAAUAAAAAUUGAAUACAUAUUUUUCGCUAUUUUUUAUUCACAAUUUCAUUAACAUGUAGUUUUAAACCCUAUUAUAAAAUAUAAACAACCAAAACUAAAAUUAAAAUAUGUGAAAAAUUACUAAAGACAAAUUAAAAGUUAAUUUUAUACUCUAAAUUAUAAAAUCAGUAGCAAAAUGUUUAAACUUAAUUAUCAUUGACAUUUAAAUUAUAAAGAAAUGAAUUAAUUUUUCUUAAAUGGUGGUUUAAAAUUGAAAUAUAUUAUAAAAAUAUUUAUUUAUGUUUAAAUAGAUUAAAGUGUAGUCCAUAGUUAAUUAUUAAGGGAGAGUGUUGUAAUUUAAACAUCUUAUAAGGGAAGGGAUUAUAAAUUUUAUUUUUCAAGAGAGGGGAGUGUAUAUUUUAAUAUAAGAGGAGAGGGGAGUGUAAUUCAAGCAUCUUUGAGAGGAGGAGAGUGUAAUUUACUAAAGAAAAAUAACUUGGACAAUUUCAGAGAUAAAAUCAAAGUGAGUUUUUGACUUAAAAAUAAAUAAAAUAAAAUAAAAUAAAAAGGAGUUAUUUUGAAAAGUGAAGAAUGGAAUGGAGAGAUUCCUGAAAAGAAGAAACCAGACAAAAUUCAAAAUAAUAGAGAGAAUAAAGAAGUAAGAAGAAAAUCUAGUGAGUUAACAACUUCACUUCACUCUCUCUGCAUUUAUCUUCCCAUAGUUCAUAACAUCUCUUUCCCAUUUCGAUUCGCAAAUAAUCUUUAAAAAAGCGAUUACUGAAAAGCGCUUUUUCUUCCGAUCUGCUUUCACUGCAUUUCAACAUGAAUCAAACCGCCGCCGCAGGGUUUGAAAAUCUUAUCGGCUAUUACGAUCCUCCUGUUCAAGUACGUUCCUCCCUCUCUCUCUCUCUCACUUAUCGAACCAUUCUCAGAUCUAUUGUCACCUAUCAACUUUUUGUUCUCUUCAUUUUGGUGCUUGUUUUUCGAAUUUCUGUGUAGUCUCUAAGAAUGUGAUUGCUCAAGUAUUCUCUAGUAGUGUAAUUGCCUUCGAUUCUAUUCAAUUUUUACCUAACAUUUUAUCUUAGUUCAAAAACCUAACUUCAAUUCAAAAUACAUAUGUUUAUACUGUAUAUAAGCUUUUUUAUACGGCACAUUGCUCGGAAUUAAGAAAAUGUACUAUUUGUUAUGCCAAGGGAAGGACCUUUUUUUUUUCAAUUUUUUUUUUUUAACAAAUUAGACAAAGUGAACUAUGCUAUGAUUAUUGGUAAGAAAUUAAGGUCCUGGCUAUGCUUUGUAGUGUCAUCAAGUAGCGGCUAUAGCAGAAACAGAAUUUUAACAUAUCGUUAUGGUUUUAUGACACACAUUUUAGUUCAAAGUAUCCUCAAAUAUCGGAUAUAGGAAAGCAUAGCAUAAUUUGAACAAACUACUACAUUGCAAUCUGUGAUUGACAACAAUGUUAUUCUUUCAUCAAACUGCAUAGAUUAGGUUUUUUAAAUAUUUUUGAAAAUUAUUUCACUUUGUGUCCUCUAUAUGCUGCCAUCUUAUUUGGCUUGGUGUUGUAUUGGUUUUUAAAGUUUUCUCUUUGUGUGUGUAUGUAUUCAUUUCUAUUCAUAUGUAUUCAAGUACUGUGUAUAUCUGCAUUCAUAUUCAAUUUAGGGUUUCAAGAUUUAAAAAUUUAAGCUAUUGUUUUGUUCUACUGAAAUAUAGGAGCUUAUUGUUAUUGAUGAAGUCCUCUCUGCUAUGGUUGGAGUUGAAGGGCGUUACAUUUCAAUCAAAACACUUCGUGGAAAGAAGGAUGAGAUUAUUAAUUUCCUGGUUGACCCAUCUAUGGAUUUGGCACUACAGGUGAGAUUUGCAUAAUUUUUCGCUACCAUGGUUUGACCCGCAAUCAUAACAUUAAAGGUGUUAAACCUCCCCCUUUUUCUUUAUGGUGAUAAUAACUGAUAACUGAUAGGAAGUUUAGAUGGCAAGCCAAACUAUAGCGGUAACGGAAAUACUUUCUAUACAUUUUUUUUUUUAUAGACUAGAAGUUUAUAAGGUGUUUAAUAUGUUCAGUAUCAUAACCUAGUGCUAAAAUAAAAUAGGUUCAUUAAAGCCAUUUAGGUUUUACUUUCAUGUUUCUGUAUUAUUAUUUUUUGUAAACUUUAGAAAUGGAAUAUGAAGCAUCUAUCUUGCAAUUCAAAUACUGCAAUGCUUUUUAAUUUAAGUUGCACUCUGUGUUUGGCAGUAAUUCAAAAUAAAGGAAAUUAUUUUCUGCAACCAUGUUUUCUAUAUUCGGUCAUUGUUUCAAACUGUGAUUUGCAUCCAUAACUCUGCCCCCGAAUUGUGUUUUUGGAGGUAUCUAUUUACUAAGAAAGCUGAUGGGGAAUGUAAAUUGUCCUAUGCUAUAGCUGUAUUAUUCAGAUUAGAUAAUGAACAGUAUAAUUUAAUACAAUGAUAGAGCUGAGUCUGAGCCAGUUUUGUUGUUGCAGGAGUUGGCAAAACGGAUAUUUCCUCUAUGUAGGAGCUUUUUGUUGAUCAACCAAUUUGUGGAAUCAAGGUCUCAGUUCGAGAAUGGCCUAGUCAAUCAUGCCUUUUCUGCCGCACUUAGGGCAUUCCUUCUCGUAUGUUUUUCUGAACAGUGAGUCAGUUGGUUGAUUUACAUUUCGCAUGAAGUAAUUGUUUGCUUCUUGAAAAUAUGUUUUCAUGUGUCUGUGUGUCUAUAUAUAUUCACCUUUUAUAAAUGGCCCUUAACUUCUUUUGGUAACCUGUUAUUGUCUGGUAGACUAAUUAUUUUUCUUAAGUAUUUCAAGUGUUAAUGUUUAGUGCAUGAUGCUGGCUCAGUAUACCUGAAGUAGCACCUUCUGAUUCUUUUCCGAACGAAGCUUACAGCACACUACCUUUAUUUAUCUUCUGUUGGGGGCAGGGGAUAUAAAUAGAUCAUAGUUUCUACGAGGAACUGUUGUUUAGUGAUCACUUUUAUUUAUUUAUUUACUUUGAGAAUACUCUUUCCUAGGGAAUGGCAAUCAAACUUUAGUUAAAAGUGUGCAUUUAGUUUGUUAAUUUUCUCCCCGGUGCCAAUUUUGGUGGGCUAGUUUAGCUUCUUAAAAAUAAAAGUUUGGUAAUUUUCAUUUUCUGGACUACAGAUUUCUAAGAUUGAAAAUCAGUAGAGUUAGUUGUCCUGUAGUGUUAUGCAAAACCGGCGCUUUAGGUUUAAGGUGUGCCCGACACACACAUGACAUGUGUCUGACACUCAAUUUUAGUGUUGGGAUAUAAUUUGUUUAGGCUUCGAUAUGUCGAGGACACUGCUCUGACAUCUAGCAUACCCUUCCGUUUGGCCUGAAAUUAAAAGGAACAUGGUUGGUACCAAAAACUUUUUUUUUUUUUUAAAUGGUGAUGAAAGUCCUUUCAUUGACUUAAUAUACUUUUUCACUAUUUGGUAAUAGAUGGAUGGAUUAAAGGUGAUAGACAAAGGUUCAAUAUCUCAUCAUAUUGUAUUGAAUCUUUUUUGCAAAGAAUUUAUCUAAAAAAAAAAAGAAUAUUUUGUUGCAAAGAAUCAAAGUGCUUAACUAACUAGUAUUUUUAGGCGUGACUCGUUAUGGUAGGAAAAUGUAAUACUUCAAGUUCUUUCUGUUUGUGUGUCAUGGAGUGCUAUAUUUUGGACAUUGCCGGUGUUUAUGUGUCUACAAUGUGUCGGUUUCAGUGCAUCAUGAGGUCAAGUCUAAAAUUUUAUUUAGUAUCUUACCCACUUGAAUUUUCAAACUCAUUUAGGGUCAAAUAUUUUGUAGAAGUAGUAGGACUCAAUAUGUUUGAAAUGUGCUCUAGUUUAGUUUGGAAUGUAGUGUUUUUAUUUUCAAAAAAUUUUGGUAGAAGAAUUUGUAGGAUAAGGGAUCUUCCAAAAAAAGAUGAAACUUCAAUGGGCCAAAGUUGCCAGUGCCCGUUAGUGAAAUCCCUCCACAAAGAUGAUACCCCGGGGGUAUUACCCCCUUUUGUUGAACUAAAGCAGUUUGUUUGAUACUCUCGUAAUCUUAGAACCAAGGUUCUGCUGAAUAGCUUCCUUCUCCAAUACAACAACCAAGCCAUGUCCCAUUAAGUGGGUCGGCUACAUGGAUCAAACCACUUCAUAAUGUCUAUCAAAUACCAUAUGUGUAUCCAACUCAUCAAUCCCCAGAUCUUUCUUAAUAGUUUCUCUUAUAGUUAUCUAGGUCUUCCUUUACCUCUAGUGAUUUCACUCCCCUUCAUCUGAUCUACUUUCCUUAUCACAAAAUCAUAGGUCUUCUCUCUACAUGCCGAAACCACCUAAGCCUAUGUAAAUAUCUGAUUUGCAGGUUAUUACUUAAUGAGAAAGCUAAAAUGAUUUUAAUAAGCAAAAACUAGUAGCAUAGCAUAAAUUAACAAAAUAAAUCUUCACAUCUGUUUCAGUUCUGCCUGCGUAUAUGAUAUCUUUUGAUUAAAAUGUGCAAUUUGAAUACGAAAUUACUUUUACCAUUAAGGCAUGCCAUUAUCUUUACCAGGAUUACCAGGCCAUGGUGGCACAACUUGAGCACCAGUUUCGGCUUGGGAGACUUUCCCUUCAAGGAUUGUGGUUCUACUGUCAGGUAUGAAUUUGUUUCGGAUUAAAUGUAAAUCAGUAAAUGUUUGUCAAAUUAUUGCUGAUAAUACCUUCAAUGAUGUGUUUCAGCCCAUGUUGAGGUCAAUGCAAGCAUUGUCUACUGUCAUACAGAAGGCUUCAGUCAACAAUUUUACUGGUUCCGCCGUUCUUAACUUACUGCAGAGCCAGGUAAUGAAUAUCUCUUGUAAUUGUCACCAUUUUCUAAAGUCUUCACAUGUUAAAAAACUUCCCUUUAGUUUCAUGUAUCAGUUUCUCAAGCACUUAACUCUCUCUCCACUAUGGAUUCAAUUGUAUAUAGGCAAAGGCUAUGGCUGGAGAUAAUGCAGUUAGGUUGUUGCUGGAGAAAAUGACACAAUGUGCAAGUAGGGCCUACAUGAGCAUUUUAGAAAGGUUUCUAUUUAUCUCCUUUAAUAUGCCAUUUAUCAUUGGCUAGCAAAUGCAUAUGUUAUUUUCUUCUCCCGUAUUCCAUCUCCUUUGGGUUAUUGGGUAUGUUUGGAGAGAAGGGAACCAAAUAAGUUAAAGUAAAAAUAUGGAAGAAAAGAGAGAGAAAAAAAAAUGAGGAACGAUAAGUAAAUAAUUUACUUCCUUUUGUGUGGAUUUUAAAAAAAAUGUUCAUAAAAUUUAAUAUAGGUUGAUUUUGGAUCACCUGAAAAUCCUUCAUUCGUUUCUUUUCAUAUAGUUCACAAGGUCCAAGCAAAAUGAAGGAUUGACCUUCUUUUUCCAUUCUCUUCGAUCCGUUUACCUAGAUCUGAUAAUUAAUAUGUAGAGAAAGCCCUAUGUUGAAUCAGAUUAAUAUUCUACUAUUAUGCUGUUUGUAUUGGAAUUUUGCACAAAUAACAAUAAUUAAUCUUGUACAUUGGUAUGAUCUAUCUAUAACAUGUAGAAAAGCCAUAGACUUACACCAAAUCAAAUUAAUAUUCAGUUAUACUGUUUGUAUUGGUUUUUACAUGAAUCUCACUAUAAAUAAAUAUUUAAAAGCCAUGUCACCGUCUUUUGGCGUCCAGACCAUGCUUAUGGGGACACAUACAUCUAAGUUCCCUUUUUCAAACUCCUUAUAAUCUUUUCUACAAGUUAAUUUCCCUUAAGUUAUGAUUGUCUUGUGCACUCUUGAUGUUGAGUUAUCUCUAAUUAACAUUCCAUAUUAUUGUUCAUUUGGGAAUCAAACAAUCCUAAAGAUGGGUCUAUGAAGGAGUAAUAGAUGAUCCUUAUGGUGAAUUUUUCAUUGCAGAAGACAAAUCUCUUCAAAAGGUACCCAAAAUUAAUAUCAAAAUAUUCAAUCACUUAUUACAGCCUAAAAUUAAUAUCAAAACUUGUUUUUUCAUAUGACCUCAGUUUCAUAUUCUCUAUAGGAGAGUCUCACUAAAGAUUAUGAUGCUAAGUACUGGCGACAACGUUAUAGCCUCAAAGAUGGAAUUCCAAGCUUCCUUGCGAAUUCUGCAGGAACAAUUUUGACCACAGGAAAAUAUCUAAAUGUCCUGAGAGAAUGUGGACACAAUGUUCAGGUGCUGAUACUGUUGUGCUUGUAUGUAGAAUAAAUUUAUCUUCUCUUUAGCCAUUCAAGUUGGAGUGUGCUUGUGAAAUAUUUACUGUUCACUAAAUGUAGUUACUUUUUAUUCUAGGUGCCUCCAUCAGAAAAUUCGAAACUAAUGAGCUUUGGCUCAAAUCAUCAUUAUCUUGAAUGUAUCAAGGCUGCUUAUAACUUUGCAAGUGGUGAACUCGUGAAUCUCAUUAAGGAAAAGGUGAUUUUAAAUAUAUUUAGGCUUUUUAAGUUCUCAGCUUACAGUUUAAUGCUUCUGCAAUAUUUGUUAUUGUUUAAAAUCCAAGUUCUGAUUGUGAAUUGUGUUUGUAUGUGUAGUAUGAUCUAACAGGAAAAUUGCGGUCUAUAAAACACUACCUUCUUCUUGAUCAGGUAUGAUCAUGUUCGUCUUACAUUGUUCAAUUCGGAGACAAUAACUACCAAUACUAGAAAACCUAAAAAUGGAUAAAGGAUCGAAAUUUAAGGUUGUGUUUGUUUUGUGCGUUUUCCUUAAUUUUCAAUUUUCAGUUAAUAUGUUUUCUCUAAUAAUCACAAAGAUGCUAACCUGUUUUGCUUUGUUUCCUGUUUGCAACAAUUUGCAAAGAAAAUGGUAUAAACAAACAGGAAAGGUGGGAAUAUGUUGGUAUUUUUGCAAUUAUUGAUGAGUGCAAAAACAAAUGAAAUGCACACCAUACGUAACCUAAGUAUUCCUUUACUUCCACCUUCCUUGUAAGUUGUAACGACUUUAGAGAUAUUACGUGAUAUCUUACUGUUUGUAAUCUGAAGACAUAUGAUGGUUUUGAAUGAAGCAAUAAUAAAUGCAGUUCUAAAUGCCCAUGGAAUAUUUUUAUCACUUCAGAAACACUUUUUCUUGACUGAUAUUUUUUAUAUAUGUUCAUGAUUAUACAGGGGGAUUUCUUAGUACAUUUCAUGGAUAUUGCUCGAGAUGAGCUGGCCAAAAAACCUGAUGAAGUCUCUGUUGAGAAGCUGCAGGUAUAGUUAUGGGAUAUUAUUCACUUUGGUAUACAUUUAUUUCUCCUAGAAAAUUUAAAUCGCCAUCUGCCUAUUUUAAUUUUGAAUGGGUGAUGGACUCUGAUUUUCCUUUAUCUCUUGUUUGUUUUGGCUGUCCUCCUGUAUGACUCAGUCUCUUCUAGACCUUGCUUUGCGUACAACUGCAGCUGCUGUUGAUCCGUAUCAUGAAGGCUUAACCUGUAUUGUGGCAAGUAACUAAUUUAUCUUGUAUGGAAUUUUGGAGCUGUAAAAUUCCUUAUUCACUCACAAUGCGAACUUUACACUUUCAGGAAAGAUCAUCUUUGCUUAAAAGGUUAGGUACAUUUAAUGUUACUGAAGUUAACCAGAGAGAUGUAAUUAAUAAUGAUAUUCUGGAAGAGCCUGUUAGCAUCACCGGCCUUGAAACAUUUUCACUAAGUUAUAAGGUAUAUUUUUUCUCUACAAGUUUCUGAGAAAGUCUGCCUUUUAUUCGUUGCAUCAUUCAUAUGGUUGUUUUUGGUUCUCUUUUCAGGCGCACUGGCCACUGUCUAUAGUAUUAUCACGCAAAGCCCUUACAAAGUACCAGUUAAUUUUUCGAUUUCUUUUCCACUGCAAACAUGUUGACCGUCAGCUAUGUGGAGCAUGGCAAACACAUCAAGUAUGGCUACAAAUGCCUUUAAUUCACAUUGUCUUUUGUUUAAUGUUUAUUUCGUUUUACCUUCAUUUUUGGUCCCAUAUUGUAGGGAGUUCGUGCUCUCAAUACACGUGGAACUGCUAUCUCCCGAUCAUCUCUUCUGUGCCGAAGUAUGCUUAAAUUUGUCAAUAGCCUUUUGCACUAUCUAACAUUUGAGGCAAGUUUUUCUUUUCUUUGACAUGCAUAUCGUCUGUUUGCUUUAUCAAAACUAGAUUAAAUACGUUUUCAAAUCUUAUUUUUAUGACCAAUUUGUAUUGCAAAAAGAUAAUUGUAGUCAAGGCUUUCAAAGAUUAUUGGAUUGGAUAUGGGUUUCUUAUUUCUCUCAUUUUCUCAAAUUUGGUUUUUUAACUGAGCAGUUAUGUGUAUCCUUUUUUGACUCUAGUUUAUUUUAUAGGUUAUUGAACCCAAUUGGCAUAUGAUGUAUACCAGACUUCAGUCAGCAAAUAGCAUAGAUGAGGUAAGUUAUUAUUGUCGUCAUAGAUUGCAACACUGAUGUAUAAGUCAUGUUACAUACAUAAUAAUACUAGAGUAUUUUCUCUAUUUUAUCAGAGGGAUGGGGCUGGGGGGCUCUGAUGUUGAAAGUCUGACAUUUUCUGUAUGUAACAGGUUAUACAACAUCAUGAUUUUUUCCUUGAUAAAUGUUUGAGAGAGUGUUUACUACUGUUACCUGAGUUGCUGAAGGUUAGUUUCUUUAUUUAUUUAUUUUUUAAUAAUAUGUGUGUGUGUGUGUGUGUCUCUUCCCGUAAUUUAAACUUUUUAUCAAUUAAAACUAUUCUCUGCCUCACUUUAUUGUCAACCUUUUUUUUUACUUUUGACAAUUUGACAUCCUGAUUGCACAAUUUAAAAAAUCAAAUAUUACUUUAAAACAUCUAUUUGAUCACAGGAUGUAAUCUUAAGGAAAUUAAAAUGGGUAAUUCCAUGACUAACAAUACUCUUCUGAAAUCUCCUAAUGAAACAGAGGGGGAUACAUCAUAUUAGAAUAUGCAUUGGUGACAAAUUUUGAAAGGAGUAAUGUAGCAUCACCACCUUAGCCUCUGAAGGACCAAAUUGAGGGUUUAUUUAUAAAUUCACUGUUUUCCUUAUGUGACUAGACUUGUCUUUGAUCAAUUAAUUCAGAAAUAUUUUCUUGAUCAUUGUUUUAAUUAUGGGGAUGCUGCAUUUUUUGGUCAGAGAUAGUAGACUAUUUGAUAUUUUCCAUCAGCUAAUUGUCAAAGGUUUGAGACUUCUCAUGAUUGGUUUUUAUUGAGUUCUUCAUUGCAGAAGGUGGAGAGGCUUAAAUCCAUGUGCCUACAAUAUGCAGCCGCAACACAGUGGCUUAUAUCAUCUUCUAUCGUAUUACAUAGUCCAGAUGAACCUAAAGUUGAUUCAACUGGAGCUAAACAAUCGAAAUCAGGUCAGGUCCUGAAGUCAACCACCAGAAAUGCGGCAGUCACUGAAUCUAUUCUGUAAGUCCCAAAACAAAACAUUUGUUGUAUUAUUUGUUUAUACUGAUGAAUUCGUGUCAUGCAAGCAUUCUGACCUAAAUAAAUAAUUGUAGAAAAUUUGAGAAGGAAUUUGAUGCCGAGCUUCAGAGUCUUGGAUCAAUCUUGAGUAGUAGCUCACAGGCAGAGCCAUAUUUGGCCCAUCUUGCGAAAUGGGUUCUUGGUGUUAAACACGAACAUAAUGGUUUGUGAUAGGUUUUCAGUGUCGAUUAUCAGUAAGUUGCUUGAGCAAUUAUUGUGCAUAGGUUAAUAUAUUUUCCUGAGUGUGGGUAUUUACAUUCUUGUGAAGUUGUGGUUUUUUCUUUGUAACAAUAUUGAGAAUAUUUUUCUUAUGUGUUUUCUACUAGACUUGAAUACUUACCUAUUGCAAUUUUGCAAGCACUGUACCAGCAAUUGUAACAUCCAAAUUAUAUACCACCUAUUUUUUUUUUAAUAUAUGUGAAAUUAUCGAAACAUGUUUAUAACAAGGGACAUAAGUUGUGUGUGGAUUUAAUUCAUUCAUAUACAAUGUCAUAUCAAUGAUUUUUUGCACUACCAAUUAAUCAGAAUCAUCAAAUCAUUAAAAAUGUUUGACUUUUAAAGUAACUACUAUAAUAGACAUGUGACUGACGGUAAUUUGUUGAUAAUGUAUUUUAUUUUUUGAGUAUUGCGGUUGACACAUUCCCUUUGGCUGAAAGUCACGAGUAAAUUACUCAAAUGUUCCUCGGUAGUUAACUACCGAAAUUUUAAAGAACCGGCUGCAGUUAACUGCCGAGGAAUUUCAACCUUGAAAUUAAAUAAGGAAAUACACCUAAAUUUUCCUUAAUUAAAUUUAAUUCUUUAAUCCUUUUAAGAAAUUAAACAUAAUUAUUUUUAUAAUUUCAUUCAUAUGAUUUUGUUGCCAUAAAUGAAGAAAUAUGAGAGAUGAAUAAUAUCUGCAAUCGGUAGUUAAUGGACUUAAAAUGAUGAUUUAAUACAAAAAAAAUGCAACAACAAAAACGUUAUAAAUGAUAGAAUAAUUAUAUUUGUAAUUAUUAGUAAUUAAUUUCAUUGAUGUUUGUCAUUAUUCAUAGGUUUGACUAACCUAUUAUUACUUUAUACUAAUAUUUCAGAUAUUAUUACUUUAAUUAACAUGAAAAACGCAACAACAAAAAAUAAAAACGCAACAACAAAGAAAAAUGUUUGUCUUCGGUAAUUAAUGGACCUAAAAUGGUGAUUCAAUAAAAAAAAAUGCAACAACAAAAAAUGAUAGAAUAAUAAUUAUAUUUGUAAUUAAUUUUAUUGAUGUCUGUCAUUAUUCAUAUGUUUGACUGACCUAUUAUUACUUUAUAAUAUUUUAGAUAUUAUUAUUCAUCUCUCUUUCAAAUAAUUAUAUUUGUAAUUAUUCUAUUAAUAAAACCUCUCUUUUUUUUUUUGUAGAAAUAAAACCUAUUUUCUAUUACUAGUAAGAAAUGUGAUCGAAUAUGUAAUUUUAGUAUCUCACAUUUCUUCAUUUAUGCCAACAAAAUUAUAUGAAUGAAGUCAGCAACAUAUAAAAAGAAUCAUGUAUUAAAGAAUUAAAUUUAAUUAAGGAAAAUUUAGGUGUAUUUCCUUAUUUAAUUUCAAGUUUGAAAUUCCUCGGCAGUUAACUGCCGAAAUUUAGAUCAGCAAUUAACUGCAGCCGGUUCUUUAAAAUUUCGACAGUUAACUGCCGAAUGACAUUUAAGUAAUUUAUUCGUGUUUCUCAGUUGAACUGAAUGUGUGAAGAGCAAUACUCUUAUUUUUUUCAUUGCUGUAUCAAAAAUUAAUUGUAAUUUGUUGAUAAUGUUGAACUUUGUACAUUGUUGUAUCAAAAUCAUACUCUAUAUCUUCUUACUUCCUAGAAGCUACCUAGAACUUACUUUGUAAUAUAAAUCUCUUAAUACAAUUUGGGAAGGUACUACUCCGGAUUCAAUUUCAAAUGAGAGUUAAAUAUUCUAUGCACAUUAAAUGUUUGUAUUCCAAAAACACCCUUACAUUAAUUAUUAAUGGUGUGAGAUGAUCAUAUUAUAAUUAGGGGUAGGCUAGUAAAUAUGUUUUCAUUUUUUACGAAAACAAGAAGAUUAAACCCACGUAUAUACCACGUUACAAGUGUGAAAGUAGAUUCCCUCAAAAAAAAAAAAAAUGUGAAAGUAGAUAUUUUUACUUAUAAUUAAAAUGCUUAUAAUUAAUUCCAAAGAGAAUAUUAGGUAGAGGAUUUGUGAAUCAUUGCGUGAAUUUGAAAUGAUUCUGGUUUUAGAGGCCAACUGCAUUCAAUCAUUGUUUUUUGCGAUAUAGUUAUGAUUAGUUUUUGGAAGGGUGCUCGAUUAGCCUGAAAUGACUGCUUUGCUCAACUAUUUAUGUCAUCUAUUCUUUGAGAUAUUUUACCAUUAUUUUACUUCAAUAAUGAAUCAAUAUUACCUCUUGUUUUAGCACCAGUUAAUGCAUCAAUCAUGCAUCUAACUUGCAUGUAUAAAUGACUUUGCAUCCGUUUACUUGUUUUGCAAGUUCAUGCACAUACCAGUACAAAUAAUUUUCAUAGGAUUUGACUCAAGUGUACCAUACUUUCACUAUCACUUAUUAUAAACACAAGUGACUAAGAGUUAACUAUCUCACAAUUUAAUAUCAAAUCUAGUAUCCUAUUGUAGUCAUUUAAGUCUCUUUCCAUUCAAAUUUUCAUCUUUGAAAAUAUACAUUUUUUUUUUAUCUUUUAUAUAAUUAGGCCAUGUUUAUAUAAAUUUUUAUUAUUAAUACUAUUAAAACUUAAUAAUUCUAUACUUGUACAUAAAAAUAAUUUUGAAAAAGUAUACGUGUACAUUUUUUUGACCGUACUUGUAUCCGAUAUGGUGCACACCCACACAAAAAUAGUCAAAUCCCCUUACAAAAACACGUUGAAACUGAUUAUUAUAGGAGGUAAUUCCAGGCAUAUUACAAAACUUGGGUUCCAAACUUACGAUAAAAAACAAUAUUUACAUAGCAGUUGCUGGAACAAAAUUUUCUUUGAAACAAAUAAAUUACCUAGUAUCAUACAUUGACCUUUUGAUCAACUAUAAUGAGGGGUUCAAAUAUAGAUAGUAUUAAUAAAAAAAUGGUUCACUUGUGGCAUAUUUACAUGUUUCCAUUUUCAUCAAUAGAUGAAUCAGAAGCAGAAUCAUCAAGUGUUGAAUUUGAUGUAGUCUCCAAUUGACUCCCACUCUCACUAUCUGAAGUUCCUCCCACUGUCCUUUCUUCAUGAGGGUGUUUUAGGAACCAAGACAUGAUGCUAGCUGUUAGAGUAAGGAUCAUCUUUUGAUUCACCUGAUAUUGUAUAACAGGCGUUGUCGCAAAGCAAAAAGCAUAAAUGAUUAGUCAUUGCUAAACAACAGUGGAUACUUCAUACCUAUAAUAUGAUUUUCAGAAGAAAAAAACGCAAGAACCAUAUAAAAAAGUAAAUCUUGUUGAGUAUGGCUCAUAUUCACCACCGAUAAGUGGACGGUUGGUUCAAGGAUAAUCUUGGAAAUCGAACCAUAGGAAUUAAACUAAGCAUUAAACUUUGUAACCCUAAUCCAUUGCGUAAUAGAAAACUACAGUAGUCACUCUACUGUCAACGAUCGAAACACAGUUGACCACACUCUAUGAUCAUUCAUCUUGUUCUUAGAUUAAAACCAAAUUUUCUAUGCUAGCUAAUACUAAUAGACUAUUUUUAAAGAAGAAAUCUCCUAAAAGUUUAAUUUUUCAUAAAAGAAGUUGGUCAAUACCAAAGAAAUAAACAACACUGAAUGAUAAAAGAGAGAGUGGGAGCAAUGAAACAAUAUUGAUUCUUCCAAAUUACCUCAGUGAUGUCUUCAGGAAGCAGGAAUAUAGAACACCCUAGCUUUCUUGCAAUACUGAUGAUGUAGCUGGCAUUCAUCUUUUUCUCUUCAUCUGCAUAGAACAAGAGUUUGUCAAUACAAAUGUUAUAGGAGUGUAAAGCAAGGUCAAGAGAAUAAUACAUUUUUUCAAUAUUUUAUAUGUAUGAAUUGAACAUGAAUGUUAUAAUACUUGAUUACUUGUGCAAUACAUUUGGUCAAAGACAUGAAUUUAGCAUUUAGUUUUAUAAAUAAACUUUGCAUUUAAAACUUCCAUUAAACAUGCAAUAAUUAAAUAAUUGCAAUGUUCAAAUUAUUGUAACAAGAAAACAUACCAGUUACUCCUUUUGUUACAAGACCCCAAUUUACAGCUCUAGGCUGCACAGAACUAAGAAGCUCAAGGAAAAAUAUUCCAUCAGCUAAACUUUUGUCCUGAAAAUUGAGAUUAUAACAAGUAAUAGACUUUACAUGUAACCAUUUAAUCCCUGAGAAUGGGCAGAAAAUGAAAAAAAGUAACAACGAUACAUAGAAGAAAACACAGUACUAGUUAAAUAAAAACCAGUCUAAACAAAUUGCAAGGUUAUCAUCUGAUUUCAGUAAUAAUGAGUGAGAAAAUAUAUCUAAGAGAUUGAAUAUUUAUUGUAUCUGAAGGCAUUAUUUCAAUGUUUAUUAAAUAAUCACAGAUAAUGUCACAUGCUUAAGCUAUUUAUUUCCUUUGUGACAGUUUUGGUGCAGAACCACAUAAUUUUUAUGUGUUCUCUUAUCACUUUCUUUGUGGUGUGCUUGUUUUCAUCGAAGAUCCAUAGAUGUGUGCAUUACUUCGUCAGUGUGUGUGGUUUUCCCUAACAUAUACCAUUCUUAAGGCUGCUUUGAAUAUUGAAAGGAUUUACCUUGAAACUGUUCAUGCUGCUUUGACUUCCUCUGCUGCUAACUUUGCUAUUAGCCCAUUCCAAAAUAUCAGCAUCAGUUAUUUCCUUCCCGCGAGCGUGAAAUCGCAAGUUCUUUAGAAGUUGUAGGAUGUUGUAUCGCAUCAAUUGCCACAGAUAAGCUAAAGUUUGAUAUAUGUGACCAAUGAUUUAGUUAGAUUAUGCUUAACAGAUUAAUUAGUACCGAGUAAUUUGGAUAAUGAUUUGAAUGUCAAGAACCUACCUAGUAUUAACUUUUUAUUUCCCUGCACAAUGUCAUUUCCAGCAACAUUUACCAAUGAGAAUUUAAGCUGUUUCCCGAUUUUAACAACUUGGUUGCAAUUCUCAACUUUUCUAAAUGGCAUCUUAAUUGGAGGCUUGUUAGCAAUCUUCCAGUUAACAAUCCCUGCUGACACCUUCUCAAGAGUCUCCAAAAGAAUCCAUCUGCAAAGAAUCAACACCAUACCAACUCAAUGGAUGUAAACUAUCUUCAAAACAAGUGUGUCACUAUCUAGGCUUAUAGAAUAAGCAUUUAUCAUACGAGAGCUUAUCGAUAAUUCUAUAACGAAAGAUAAAAUAUUAUCGAACUUUUUUAUAUAACUUUAUAAGCUGUUUUACUACGCUAUCAUGGAGAGCUUGUGAAAACAAGCUGAAAACAGCUUACUGACAUGCCAUAAGUUGUUUUCAUAAGAUCUCUAAAUAGUCUCAGAAGAGCUUAUACUAGUAGUAAAUAAAUAAAAAUAAGUCAAUCCAAACAGACCCUACUAUAAAUGCCAGAAUAAUUUCAACAAAGUAAAUGCAACCAAAAGAAAUUACAUUAUUUAGUUGAAAUAUGAACAAUUAUGUUAAUGAAAUGGAGAUAUUUAAGAAGUUCAAUUAAUUGCAAUUUGCAGGUCGUUUCAAUUCCAUACAAGAUCUUUUAACAAAAACAGUCGAAGAAUAAGGUGUGCAAGAAAAAUAGCAAAAGUGUGAGCGAUACUUUACCCGUCUCUAAGAUCCUCAAAGACAUUGUUGAUAUAUGUUGAAUUUCCGAGGCUAUUAAUCCAAAGGCGAAAUGCUCUUUCUUCUCUAGAGUCUUCAUUGUCAUCAGGAAUUGCUUGAAGGAGAGAAAUCUGUUUUGUCUGGUCCGUCAGUCCAUUCCUACAAGCAAAAAAUGGAUGUAUUUAUAGCUAGAAGCAUACAAUUCUCAGAACCAAAAAGAAAAUUUGGAUCUAUUUCAAAUUCUUUUGUCAAUUUAUAAGAUGAAGAAAGGUAAGUAAUGUUAAUCAUAUUCAAAAGCAUUAUAAAAUUAACCACAUGAAUCAGGGUUGUGAACUUGUGACAAUGUUCUUAAACAUCUAAUCCACGUGGGAUAAGUUAACGGAUACUGUGCAUUUUUGUAACAGAAUCUGCUAAAAAGGGUAAUGGUGUGUAUGUUUUAGGACUUAAAGGACUAACCUUUUACCAAAAAACUUAAAGGACUAAUUUCAUACAAUUCCAGUAACUUAAACGACCGCAUAAUGUAUUUUUCCUUGAAUUAAACAUAGCAUACUAUAAUUUUUCUCAAGGGGAAGAUUAUUCUGACCUGUGCUGGAAAAUAUGUGCAACAAAAGCAAGAUUAAGAUUUGGAGAUCCUUCCACUAUGUCUCUUGCAGUUAGGUAUCGCUUGCAGCCCAUCUUGUCAGAAUGUUCAAGAACUAAUUUUGCUCUUUCAAAGGGAUUUUUGAUAGCCAGUGUGGAAGGAUUAGUGUAUUCUGGUGCAAGAACAUUUAGAAGGUGUGCAUAAGCCUCAGCAUCCUGUAGUGUCAGAACCAUACGAAAUUCAAUCAGAGACUAUUUACAAGAAAUGCAUUGUGAAGAAUUAAUCGAAAACCAUAAUUAGUUACCUUGACAUCAGAGGAGAAGUUAGUGACAAUCUUCUUGUACUCUGAUUUCUUCAAAUGGAAAUUCAUCCACCUUAACAAUAUCUUCUCUGGUGCUAGAUUCAUCAACUCUUCCAUAUCCUGUUAGUUCAAAAUAUAUGAAUGCAACACGUUAUGAAAAAUGAAGAAAAUCGGAAAAGAUGAUAAUGAUAGAAAGUAUUUACCUUACUAUCAUCAAGCAACUCAAGAAGCUGAGGAGUUUUCUUUAGAUUGAGGUCUGCCAGUAGUUGUAUCUAUUCAAAACCAUCAGUAACUAGAUUUUUUCAGCAUGAAAAUACAAAACUCAAGAUUUAUUUGUAGGAUUUCACAAAGUUCUUAAAAAGAUAAACAAAAGAUUAUAUAAUGUUCCGUUUAAUCAAUGACUGUUUACCUUGAUAAUCUGUGAUAUCACUCCAAGCACCAGAUGACGCUGAAGCAAGAACAAAAUAAACUAGUUACUAAUGAGCCGAAAUGAAAAAUCGAAAAACAAAAUAUAUAUAUAUAUAUAUUAAACAUACCCUUCCUUCAAUGAAGUCUUGUGUGCCGAUGUUGACCACUGUACAUCCAAUAGCUUUAGCCGAGUUAAGACAAAGUGUAUGAUUUUCAUUCCUUUCCCAUGGAUUGAGUAAUCUUUUCGUAUUGAUUGCCCGUUCGUCAAUAGUCCCUGGAACUGCCACAUUGAUAAGUUUGCUGCAAAAAACAUAUCCAAUUCUUUUAAUUAAAAUUUCCAUAAACAAUAAAAAUAGUAAGUUGGGUGACUGAAAAUGUGUAGUACCAAAGAAGAACACCAUCUUUUGCAAUUUCGAAGAGCUCAUUGGUUGAAGGAUCAAUGGGAAGAUACUUCUUGAGGAACUCAUCUUGUGAAAGAUAGUGAUUUAUAUGUGUAACAUAUGAUGACUUCUCAGAUUCACUUAUUGUGUGAAGCAAUGUAGUAGUGGCUGCCUUUAAGAAUGCCGAGGAAUUCUUUGGACUGCUUCCUGUUCUUGAAUUUGCAAAUGUUUGCAGUUUCAAGUAAACCUGUCACCAUUAUAGCAGUAGUGCAUCAAAAUUUGACAUUUUCACAACAACUUCAAUGGUUUCACAUGAAGUAUACUUAUGGAAAUUUUCCACACUUUGUGUCUGUUUGGAUUGACUUAUUUGAGCUUAUUUAUUGACGCAAACACUUGUGACUAUUUGAGAGAGCUUAUGUAAAAAUAGUUUGAUUUUAUUUGUUGAUUUGUUAUAAACACUUAUGUAAAAAAAAGGUUUAAUUGAGUUGUUAUCUAAACAAAACCUAUAUAUGAGAUAAACCUGUCAAGGUUGUCCAAUUUUUAUGUUUGCUUACUAAAUUCUAAAACAAUUGAAAUACUCUACAGUAUAGUUAAAUACAAACAUAUUAUGCAGCAAGAAAAUUACAAGCAAUGCAAAUUUCUGCAAAAUCAAUGGUGAAAAUAUGCUACUGAGCUCAUACAUACAUCUUAUAUAUUCAGCUCCCCUAUUUAAGAGUGAUAUAAAAAAUAAAACAGUAAGAGGAUCAGAAAAAAGCAAGAAAAAGGUGGUGAUCCUCAAAAAGUUGAUAAUUGAACAGAUGAUAGCAAAUCAAAUCUAGAUUAAAAAACGUACCUUGAGAAACAAUUCAAAAUCAACCUCCUCAUCAGUAUUCUGAUAUAAAUCCUGAACAUAAGAAGCUCUCUCCUUCUCACUCAGAUUUUCUCCCACAACCUUCAAUCUUGACAUCUUGGAAGCUAAAUCUGCAAUCACAAGCUUCCCACUUUCCCUCCUCAUGCUCAUAAACUACACAAACAAUGAUCAUCAUGACCCAGAUUCCAAAUUUCAAUAACAACAUCAAAAAUCCAAUCUUUCAUAGAAAAAAACAACAUGGGAUUGAUUAAAAUUGAACAAUUGAAUUGUAACAAAGAAUUCACUUACAUGUGUUUUCAAGCUUCUAAGUUCAACUUGUGUGAACUGAUUCUGAAGACAUGGAUCUGAAACAAGAAUUCCCCAGUGACCAGACAUAAUGCUUAUGUUUCUAUUUGUGUUUCAAAGUUUAUGUAACAAUUUAAUGCAUCUAAAGAGUUUCCUUAUUUAGUUUCUAUAAAUUUCAAUAUUAAUAAUCACUUUUUAUGAAGUUUUGAAAAAGCUAUUAAGUGAAGGAGAGAGAAGUUGGCAACAUUAUGGGACAGUUUAGAGCUGUCAGAGUUCAAAAGUUUGUUCUAUGAGAGUGAGAGAAAUUCAAAUUAUUAAAAUUAUAAUAAUGUCCGAAGUUUGAAAUUCCUAGUAAUAUUUGACAUGGGACCCAUUUUUGCCCGUUAAAGACAUUUUCAAAUUUUUAGUUCCCAACUUUAUAUUAUGCAUGAUUUUAAUCUUGCCAAUUGCCAUCAUCUUGUUGAGUCAGAUUAUUUUGAAGGGAAGUUACCCAAACCUUGGAAGUAUUGUUUACUUGGACGUAUAGUUUUUCAAUGAUGAUAAUAACCCUUAACAUAUGACAAUAAAUAACUAUAUUGAAAAACUAAUAUGACAGUAUUAACAGAACAUUUUAAUGUUAAAGAUUAUUUUGACUAACGUAAUAUAAAAUUAAAGACUAUUUUAAAAUUUUGAUAUAUUGAAAGACUAUUGUGAGGUUGUCAAAAUCAAGAUUUUACUUUAGGUGGAAAGAGUAGAGCAAAAUCGACAAUCGUAAAACUGCAACAAAAAUUGAAGGAUUUUACUCAAUUACUUUUGUAGGCAUAUAAGAAAUUGUAAAAAUCGCAAUCAAAAUUGAUAGAUUUUACAAAAAAAAAAAAAAUACUAAAUAUAUGUUAUAAAUGGUAUAUAGUCAUAAAUGACUUAGUUUAUAUAAAAAAAAAAAAAAUCGUAAAAUCGCAAUCAAAAUCGAUGGAUUUUGCCUAUUUUAGGAUUCUACUAUGGAUUUGAGUCGUUGAAGGUGAAGAAAGUAGCAAAAUCCUGAAUUUUAAGAUUUAAGUCGAAAUUUUGACAAUGAUUAUGACCACUUGUUACUCGUUCAUCGACUAAAAUUACUAUUUAUCCAUUGUUUUUCUUUUGAAAAUAAUUAAUUUAGUGAAAAUGAUUUUGUUUAAUUGUCUUGCCAUUGUUUUAGAUUGACUUUAAAAAUAUCUAUUUAGUAUAAGACUAUUACUUUUCCUACCCUAUGUCUUUCCUCGCGCCCCCUAUUUUUUUCUUUCUAAAAUUACCUUUGGAGCAUUCCGCAUUUAAUAAUUCGGAAUGGUGUUUUCCUUUGUUAUAGGGUGAAAAAUGGAGUUACGGGUUUUUCCGGAUUUUGUAAUCCGGAAACUUCAAAAAAUAGGGCGCAUUACAUGAUGUUUCCGGAUUACAUAAUCCGGAAACCCCCUAAACACCAUUUUUCAAGGUAAAACAAACAGUUCCGAUUAUAUAAUCUGAACUGUAUCAGCACAAAUUCUAAACAUGUUUGUAACAUGGAUAAUCAUUUUAUGGACAAUAUUAAUCUUCCUAACUCUCAUCCUUCUGUUUUGGGUCAUUGUUACAUGUUCUUAGUCAAAAAUCGAGUUUUCGGACUACUUGAUCGGAUUGCUCCGAAACUUGCCCAGAAAAUCAUAAAAAAUUCAAGGACCAUGACUCCCAUAGGAGGGACUACUUACGCGACUCCACCCCUCAAAAUCCAAAAUUUCAUCGUUUAGACCCAUUUUUCAAUUUUUUUUUAAAUUUUUUUCAUAUUCUCAGAAAAAUCCGAAAAUUUUUGCAUUAGUUUUAUUUGAUUUUUAGAAUUUUUUGGUGCUAUUUUUAUGAUUUUAUUUGACAGGUUUUAAGCAUUUUUUUACUUAGUUUUUUUUGUUAUUUUUAAAAGCAAAACUCAAAACUGUUAAAAUGUGAGAGAGUCUGAUGGCUGAUUAUACAUAAGAAUUGUCCGGAUUAUAAAAUCCGAAAUAGUAAACAUGAAUCCGGAUUUAAAAUCCAAUGAUUUUAAUCGAACUUAGAUUAAGUAACUGUAGAUUCGUGGCAUGAAAAAUUAAUUUUGUUAAUCAAUAUUUUCGGUAUGGAAAUGAUAUACUUCCUCUAUUUUAAAAUAGUGUCGUUUUAGUCAAUUACACACAAAUUAAAAAAUAGAAUGAAAUAAUCAUUAAAUAUGACACUUUUACUAAACUGCCAAAGGAAAAGACAAACUUAAAGUUGCAUUGAAAAGUGUGCGAGAGAAAAGUUGAAGUAUUUAUUGAGGGUAAAGUUGGGAGGAAAAAAUUAAAGUUGUAUUGAAAAUGUAAAGUAACAUUCAUUUUAAAACGCAAUCUUUUUUCGCUAAAAUAAUACUCAUUAUGAAAGUGAGGAGUAAGUACAAAAAAGUAAACAAAAAAAACGGAGGAGUAUGUUGUAGCAAAGAAUAACUCAUAUAGAACACUACAAAAAAAUAAUAAUAAUAAACUCAUGAACUCGUCAUCACCAACAUGUAUUCUGGGCAAAGAGACCUUUAAUCGUUUAAGCCGAUGAUUUCACAAGUCAAUUGUGAGAUAAUUUCUAGUUAUAAUACUCCCUCUUCUGGUAUUAAUUCUCCACUUCUUUUCUUUUAAUCGGUUAAGGUGAAGAUGGAUUUCACACUAGACCUUAACAUAUCUGAUUUUCAACAAUGAUGAAAAAUUGAACAACAUAUUUGAUGGGUUUGAGUAUCCCCGUUUCGUCCCCAUCAUCACAAUCAAAUCAUUUUUUUUUUAAUAAAAAAGAAAUUUUACCAGCCCCAAACGCACCCCGAACCUUGGAUUUUCCCGUACCCAUAACCCAAACAUGAACCUACAGCCAGAAAUUAAUUUCCACGUUUUUCUUUUAAUCUAAUUCAUUUAUGGUAGGAAAACUCUCAAUACUAUGUGUAUUUUUCAAUUGCAAAUCAGGGAAAUGGUGAUAGUGAUUAACAGUUCUAAAAUAUCUCAAAAGUAUGGAUGACAUUUAGAGACUUGUAUGUUGCAUAUUCUACAUUUGAAACGAGUUUGGAAACAGUUUCGGAAUGGAUACAUAUAUCCCCACUACCCACUCCAUACCGGUAUUUUGAAAUCAGAAGAAAAAAAAACUCAAGCACAUACCUAAACCUAGUCAAAAUGGAAAAAACUCAAAUUGAAUUCGGUUCAGGAGAACACCCGAAGAUACAGGUUUUGUUGACAUGUCGUCAUCAUAAAAUGAUGUUUGGUUGAAGCUUAGUAUAUAAGUUAGACUAAUCAGUGGUAUUAGUUCAAUGAUAAAAACUUAGAUACUUGCGACCAUUUGGAUUUGAAUGAAGUCAAUUGAUUACUUUAGUACUUGAGUCUGAUCAAGCUUAGAUACUUUCGACCGUGAUCUCAAUUGAAUUUUAUUACUCACUUGAAUUCAACCACUUUAAUUAAUUUUAUUAAAUGAAUAAAAUUCACUUUUAGAAAAAUAAAAUUUUGUUGUUGAAAGAUUAUACAAGUUUGUCAUGCAGGAAUUUGAUCUUCCCACCAUCUUGUUGAGUUAAAGAGUUGUUUUCAAGCAAAGUAUCCAAAUCUUGGAAGUAUUGUUUCUCUUUUAAAAAUAUUUAAUUAGGGAAAAUGAUUUGGAUAGCUUAUGUCUGGGUUAUUCGACGUGAAAGACAUACUCGAGUUUUUCAACAAAAGAGGAUUACUUCACAUCAUCUUUUUGAAAAAAUCAAGCUUAAGUCUUUUUGAUGGCUGAACUAUCUUAAUAUCGCUUUCAACUUUCAUAUAUGGUGGCUUAAUCAACUUUCGUGUUUGGGAAGUUUUGUAAUGAAAUGUGUCUUUUGACUUUUUUUGGUUUAUAUUACACGUGAGUGUGUGUUUGGUAUAGCAGUGGUGAGAAUUAAUUUUGAUAGAAUUGAGUUUGAGAGAAUUGAUUUUGGUUAAAAGUGAGUUUGAUAUGAAUUGAUUUAUGUUUGGAUAUACUCACUUAAAAGUGAUUCUUAUGAGUUGAUGUUGUUUGGAUAGUUUGAAUCAAAAUUGAUUUUGAACGUGUAUUGACCAAAUUAUCAUUUCAAUCAAUUGUAUAUAAAAUUAAACACCUCAUCCUCAUUUUAGAUAAUUAUUUCAACCUAUCUAAAAUCAUAAAUGAAUAUUUAUUGGUUCAUAAAAUCAUUUUAAAAUAAUAUUAAUGUAUGAGUUUUUUUAAUAUUUUUUUAUCAAUUGAGUUAUUUUUAAUAUAAUAUAAGAUUUUCAAAGGGUGUAAAAAAUUCAAAAUCAAACGAUUAUAUCAUCCACCGUAAAAAAAAAAAAAAAAAAAAACACACUAUACUAAUUUACAAUAUAAUAGAAGUACAAUAUGCGCUAAACAAAUUUUUCAAUUGUACCUUAUAAAAAAAUUAGAGAGCAACAUAUUUCGGGGAAUAAUAUAAGGAGUUCAUGAGGGCAGUUGUGGUAAAUAGAUAAAAGUUAUAUUUGUGUCAGAGCUAUACAAAACAAAAUUGAUUACAAUUGCUACAGAAAUGAUACUUAUUGCUGGGUUGAGUUUGAGUAACAUGGAAGAUGAGUGCAUGCAAUGCUCUUAGAAAUUCUUAAGCCAUAAUAAAUAGCCCAAAUAAUGUUACCCAUUCUGAGCAGAAUUUCCCAUACAACGUGCUAUCAACAUUGAGAACAAAACAAUCUUCUUUCAAUGGACGCCAAGCAGUCCAUUUAGUAGGAAUUUGAGAGAUAGCAUGAGAAGGAAAACAAAUAGAUAACAAAGAUCUUUCAAGUCUUUUAGCUUCGACCACUACUUGGAACAAAUGAAUAGAUUCAUUGCAAAAACAUGCAAGGAACGGAUGCUCGAUCAACUGAGUUAAGUUUAAACCAACUCUCCAAAGAUCUCCAAAAAAAAAAAUAUAGUUAGUAGGUAUUGUAUAAGAAAUAUUUUGUAUAAACAAUUAAACAUCAUGUAGAGAUAUUUGUUUGUCAAAAAAAAAAAAAAUUUUGAACUUUUAUUUGAUUUUAGUUUUAAUAUUUUGUUUCAUUUUCAGAAUUGAUAUAUAAUUCAUAUUAAAACCAUUCUAAUAAGUAUUAAGAUAAUUAAUCAAAAAUCUAAUAUAAAUUUUAAAUAAAAAAUUAUCUUCCGUUUUUAAUAGCUAAUUGAAUAUAUAUAUAUAUAUAUAAGUCACUUUGGAAAGAAAAAAAGUUUUGGUUUUAUUAUAAGUCGCUUUAAAAUACCAAUGUAUCAUUAAUGAUUUUUUUUUCCUAUCAUACCUGAUAUGUUCAAUGAAGAUUGAGGAUGUUAAGCGGUUGUUCGCGGUAUUCCGGUGCAUGCAGACACGUUAGUACUACAACGCUCAACUGAGUAUCUAAAGAGGUGGUUAUGUGCCAAAAUGGUGAAAAGUGAAGUGUACGUUGAGGGUGACGUUAAGCGGCGUCUCCUUAGGGAGUUGUUGGAGAUAUCGUGGACGGUGGAUAUGGGGCUAAGGUGCGCUCAUGUGCGGUAAUCCACAUAGAGCGUCAUGUGUUCCUUCACCAUUUAUAGUCUUGUAUGCCUUGGGUCUUGACUUAUUGGGACAUGCGUUAUUGGGCUUCUAGUUGAUGUGGAACAAUAUCCUUUACCAUUUAUUACUAUCUAUACUUUCCAUUCUUUUCAUCUCUUUUUCUCAUAUCAUUAACGAGGGAUAAUUUUGUAAAAUCCCUCAUAAUUUCUAUUUCCAAUACAAAAUUAACUUUUUUGAAAGACAAUGCAAAAUUAACUAUAUAAUUUUCUUAAACGUGUGAAAAUGUCAAAACAACUAAUAAAAUAAAAAAGGAGUAUUAAGAAUGAUGUAUUUGAUGAAAUAAUUCCAAAAUACUUCAAUAAGCGUGAACGUGGUAAGGACAUGAUAAACAUGCAUUGAUGAUUGCCCUUAUAUUUUAAGAUAAUCCAAGCCAACAUACAUGACAUUUUGCGCUUUUCAGUUGAUUACGACUAUAAAAUUUCAAGAAUUUGAAUAAUGCCAAGAAAAACAUAUUUUUGACAUUACCCAAAUUCUUAAAAUUACAAAUCCAUAGUCAAUUGAAAAAGAAAAUGUCAUCUUUGUCGACCUCAGUUAUCCAAAGAUGUGAGGUUAACUACUACUAAAUGUCGUUCAUAGCCGUAUCCAAAGAUGUGAUCAUUGAAGAUUAGAGAUCAAACCUUGAUAUCAUUGAAAGCUAAGUUUAAUUAGUAUUGGUGAUUUCUGUUUUUUUUUUCUUUGAAGGAAGGUGAUUCCUUGUUAAAAGGUUUGCGUAUUAAAAUAUGAGAAAUGAUAAGAAGUGUCAUAGGGACACUCUUUACGAAUCUUAAAUGAGUAGUGUUAACAACACUCUUAUUAAUAUUUUCUCUAAUUUUCACUCUUUUAUUGGUUUAAAUCAUUGUGGGAUCAUUAUACUUUUCAUUGGUUUAAAUUAUUGUGAGACUAUACUUUGGAAAUAUAACUCACACAAAAUGGUGGAACAUACAUUGAUUCCAUCUAAUAAAAGAAUGAGUACGGGAGAUAGUGUUCAAAAAUGAGUAUUGCUAACAUUUCUCAUCUUAGAUACUCCCUCCGUCUUAAAAUAUAAGCAAAAAAAUCUCAUUUUCUUUGUUUCAAAAUAUAAGCAAAAAAGACAAUCUUUUAUGCUAUUAUUAUGUUUUUUUCAAACAAAUCAUCUUUUCCAAUGUAAAAUUAAAUGCAAAUUGCAUUCAAUUUGUUCUCCUUUUUAUUUUCUCCAUAAUUUUUAACCAAUGAGAAUUAUUUUUACAUCUUUCCAUGAAACUUAUUCCAACGAGAACACAAAAAAUUAUACCUCAAAUCAUUAAGUGUUAGUUUUCUUAAUAAGUGUGAAUUAGUGUUUUUUGCUUAUAAAUUAAGACGGAGGGAGUAGUUAGUUUUUAUGGAAAUUUAUGAAUUCAAUGCAUCAAAAAUUGAAGUACUUGACAUUUUUGGUAAAUAGUUUCUCAAGUCAGAAUUCUUAAAGAGUGUCGUUAGGAUACUUAUCCCUUCGUUCUAAAUUAUAUGUCAUUUUGACAAUUUUCCAUAGAUUAAGAAAUGUAAUUAAUGUGGUAUAGAGAAGAGAAAAUAUGAAUCGUUUUACUAAAAUAUCCUUCAUUAAUGGUAUAAAAAAGAUAAAUUAAAAAUAAACAUUAAUGUUUUAUUGAUAUCGUAAAUAGUAAUGACAUAAUUAAGACGAAAAUAAUUUACUAGAAUAACAUACCACUCCCUCCGUUUCAAAAUACAUGUCCAAAUCAAUCACUUCAGAUAUGUCAAUGCACAAUUUUGACUGUUAUUAUAAUUAAUUAUAUAUCUAAAGUAAAAAAUUAUAAAAUUUUAAUAUUUUGAAAAUAUUUGUCGAGACAAAUCAAUCAACAUCUUACAUGCUAAUAUUUGUAUUUAUACAUUAGUUAAAAAGUAUGGUCAAAGUAAAUCAAGUAAAUAGUGCACAUUGCAAAAAUUGGACAUGUAUUUUGAAACGGAGGGAAUAAAAUGUUGGGGAAAGAAGUAGUUAGCGAUAUAUCUCUUUAAAAUAAACAAUGGAUAAUGCACUGAUUGUUAAAUUACUUGGUUUUGAUUCUAAUCCUAACAACAUCAGAGAUCCUAUAUUGUUCUCCUAUUCAAAAAAUUCACGUUAUUCCUAAAUGCAUGCAUGCAUGCUAUUCAAAUUGAAUGGAUACAUUAAAAAAUAUAUGUUGAUUUAAUAUCAGAAACUAAAAUUUUCACUCCCUCUUCAUCUUCCUCCUUUUGUUUUUUGUUUAGUAUGGUUGAUAGGAUUUGAGAAUAUGAGUUGGAAGAAGAAAAAGAAAGAAGUCCAUGAGUCACAUGUGUAAUGUUUUUUCUGUUUCACUCUCCAUAUAUAAAAUUUCAAUCCCUUUCUUGCAUUUUAUACUAAAUAUGAAACUAGACUAAAACAACUUUUUGAAGAGGAAAAGGCCAAAUUAUGGUUCGUGCUGAAGUACUCUUCAGUCUUGAUGCAGUUUAUUUUUUUUUUGGUUACAGUCUUGAUGCAGUUUGCACCAAUGUUGUUGUACUUGUUUGAAUGCCAAGCUGUAUUAACUACUUGCAUGGAAAUGGAAAAAAUGAGAAGGCAAUGACAAAGGUUGUUUGGUCGCACUAAAUCAAGUACGAAAAGCAAUCAAACAAAAUGAAACAAGGAGUAUAGAACUAUGGUUCUUUACUUUCAUUUGUUUCUCUAUUGACUAUUAGCAUUUUGUAAUUAGGAAGGGAAUUGAAAAGAUUAUUAUUUUUUGAUAUAAACAAAUGCAAAGAUAAUAAUAGUGAUUAAUUAGGACUACAAGCUUAGUGAAUAAAUUUCUAUUUGAUAUUUUAAGGAAGUUCAUAUAUUGGCAACCCAUAUAAAAUCAAAUAUAUAUUAUUCAAUUUUUUAAAGAGGCAAAAUGAUUUUUUUCUUAAAUGAAAAUUAAUUAUGUGAUUAUCUUCUAGUGACACAACAUGAUAUCUAUAUUUCUCAACAAUUGAUCGGUCGCCUAGAGAGCACAUAUGAUUCUACUAUAUCACAUCUAUGUGGAAUUGACCAUUGACCAGUCAUCUCUAUGGAUCAAUAUUUUUAACGUGAGCAACAAUAUACAUAUCUUAGUCCUUAAAAAAAAUACAUAUCUUAUAAAUUUAAAAAACAUAAUUAUUUAUUUGUCUUACAUAUUAAUGAUUUACUUUCUUAUGUGAUAAGAAGAAGAAAAAUUAACAAUAAACUGGUAUAGGAUGGUAAGAAAUUGGACCCUUGAACAAGUAGAAAAAAAAAUGCCAAAAUGUGUUAGCACCGCUAAAGCACAUUAAUGAGUUGCAUGGAAAUGGAAAAAAAGAUAAGAAUUCAAGGACAAGUUUGUUGGAUUGCAUACUAUACUAAGUCACAUAGGUAACGUGAGAAUAGAUAAGAAUUCGAGGACAAGUUUGUUGAAUUCUAGGAUAAUCAUGGAAAUGGUAAUUUUUUUUUUUCUUAUAACAUGGAACGGAGGGAGUAUACAAUAAAAAUUUAAUUAGUAUACACUAUAGUAAUUUAAACUCGUAGAUAAAGUCUACGUGAGCUUAACUUAAUUGACAAGAACAAUGUAUAAUAUAUGUAAGGUUUGAGGUUCGAACCUCAGACACCACCAAAUAAAAAACUAAUAGAAUAAGUCACGUUCUCAUAUAAGAAAGAACGGCGGAGGAAACUGCGUUGAAGGAGAACGGAAUGCAACUUAAAUCCGUAGGUUGUAUUCCAACGUGAUUUUGUAUUAGUUUUUUUUUUAUCAUUUCCCUUGUGUUAUUAUUAUGUGUUUGUAAUUUUGCUACUUAAUUUCGCAAAGAAUAAUUUAGAGAAUAAUUUUUAUUUCUUCCUUCUCUAGUUUUAAACAUUUAAUCUACUAUUAAUACUAUGUUGUACUUCUCAUUUUAAGCUAGUUAUAGGAGGUAGCUAUUUAGUAUAAUAAAAACAACAAACAAGGUGAACAUAACUGAAAAGUGAGAAUGUUAGCAAUGAUUACUUUGCAGAAACAGAAUGUUAGCUUUAAACUUUUUUUUCCUUAAUUUCUGGUAACAUAGCUUUUACAAACAAAGUUCAAGUUCAAGCAAUGAUACACCUCAAAGUACAUCAAAGACUAAAAUUAAAAGACAAACAAACCGUUUAAGUGAAAAAUAAGAAGAAGAAAAAAAAUCCAAAAGCUUAGCACAAUAAUCAUGUGUCUAUAUAUGAUAAUCUUCUUGGUCCUUAAAUAUUAUAUUUUCAAAUAAAAUAUCAUCCAAGAGAGUAUCUAUCUACUAAUUAAUAAUAAUGCCUUCAUUUAAUCAUUUAUAUGUACAAUAUUGGCCUUUCAAUUUUUUCUUGACUCAUGCAAUGCAAGUGAAGCAACUUUGAAAGAAACACAACCCUCUCUUCUGCAUUGGCAAAAAAAAAGAAAAAGUCAUAUUAGAAAAGGAAAUUUAUAAAAUUAAUAAAACUUUUGCUAAAGAAGAAAAGAGCAAAAGUAUGAAUAAUUGAAUAUGCACUAAAUAGGUAAAGACAUUUAUGAAAGCAAAGUAGUAAAGGUAAAUGAAAAUUUAAUUUUAGUGGUUUCAAAAGCAAAAGAGGGUGUGUGGGGCUAUACUAUACCUUCCUAGUUUUGACAUAAAGAAGAUCUGGUGAAAUUUUGUACAAGUCUUCAUCAACAGGCUUUGGUGUUGGUCUUGACAUUGGAGUGGGACUUGGUGGUUCUUUCACAACAUGGCUCACCCAAUUUUGCUUUUUCACAUCCUUUUCAUGUUGGGAACGUACCUUUUCCUACAAUGUUAACAACAAAUUAAUUAAUAAUUCUAUCUUGCUUUAUAAAAAGUGACAUUUGUGGUUACAUAAGUCUAAUUAAUGUCUAGACAUGCAUGCUUUGUAUAUCUAGCACAUUGCAUGUGUCAUUAUGAAUGCAAUUUUGAUUACUUUAUCUUGUUAUCAUUCACAUGGAUUCCAUUGUCUGUAUUUUUAGUGACCCAUUAAACAUGGCCAUUACUUUUUGUACCUUAUAAAUUUCUCGCGCACCUUAUUCAGAUUUUAAAAUCUAAAAUAUUUCAACGUGUUUUUGAAGAUUUUAUUAAAUUUUUAUAAAGUUCAAAUUUUAAAAUCCAAACUAUAUAAUGCGCGUGAAAACCUCAUAAAAUAGGAAAAAAGACUCUCCAUUAACAUAGACAAUAAUAAAGCCUAAAGUUAGAUGCAUUAUUAAACAAAGUCAUGGAUAAUCCUACUUUAUCACUAUCAAAAUUUAGUAACUUGAAUAAUAGAGUUAAAAAUAACAUCACAAACAAUUUGCUGUUGUUGUCAGAAAGCUCUUGCUUUAAUAAUUUGUCACGCUAUCGCAGGAAUCAUUAAUGUCAAUACAAUAGGAGGCCCAAUUAUAAAGUAGUGUGACCUACCAUAGAGAAAUUAAUUAUUUUUCAUUAACAAUGGCAAAGUUUCUUUCUUUUUCUACUCUCACGGUCUAAAAGCCUAUAAUCACUUUGAUGCAAUACAAUUUAAUUUUUCUACUCACUUUUAUUUUCACACUCUUCCUAUUGAGGACAGCCUAGUAAAAUUAAAACUCAAAACAAAAUUCCAUAAUUAAUGAUUUAAAUCCAAUCCAAUUAAAGACAUGCAAAACAAUAAAAUAGUAGGAGUAAAAUUAGUAAGACCCAUGUAAACUUCUAAUUUGAUGUGAAGAAUAUACUCCAACAUAGAAUGAUAGAUUCUCUAACUUUGACAAUAUAUGUGAAUUGAAUUUUUAUUUCCUCUUUUAGAAAAUAAAAAAUAAAAAGAGAGAAAAACAAGGAUAAGAGAGUUAAGGUAACAUACCCUUCUACGUGGAACAACAAUCAUUGCAGGAGUAACAACAUGAUUAUCAUACAAAUCACCAGCAACAUAAAGAUCUUGAUCUUCAUUACUUUCAGAGUAACUAUAGUGUAGAAAACCACCUUGUCUUGCAGAUUCAAAGCAUUGAGUGAAUGGAAGAUUAUCAUUCCAAUCCCAGCUACCAAAUGCUGGUACAUGGUUCCUCUUGAAGUGGUAUUCCUAUUACACCCCCAAAUAAAAAACCACACCCCCCAUAAAACAUACAUUUUAGUUUUCAUAAACAAAGUUAACUUACAUAUAUAUAUCAACAAGAACAUUAACUUAAGUUAACAUAAGUGUAUAUAACAAAAGAAUUAGAGACUUACAUGAUCCAUUGUUUUGAUGAAACAAGUGUUGAGUGAUAGAAUGUAGAAGGUUAUUGACCAAGAGGUUUUGUUUCUUUUCUUUGAAGUGUGUUAUUCAGGUGGUUGGAAGCAAUAUAAAAGGAGGAGAAAGAAUGAGAGAGAGAGAGAGAGAGUAAAUGAAUGAUAAAGGUUGAAAAAGAAAGAGGUAUGAAGUGGGAGAUGAUGAAAAAGGAAAUAAGGUGAAAUGGUAAAAAAGAUAACUCGUAACAGAGUAGGAGACAGAGGAACAAAGAGGUAAGGUAUGAGAAAAGGUAAAAGACUAUAUAGAUAGAUAGAGUCAUAGAGAGUAGGGUUGAAAAGGAAAGUACUUUGUGUUAAACAUAGAAGAUAUUGGGGUGCGGAGAAUGUACAUUCGUGUUCUCUUUUUCAAAUGACCAUUUUCAUCUUUAUCUACAUACUAUACUACAUUUCCAAUUAACUUUCUACUAAUUUACUGCUACUUUACCUAAACUAGGUCUACGGUUGUUAAAAUUUACUACCUUGCUCUUUCUCCAUUUUAGUUUAAUGAAAUAUUAAAAUUUAAUGUGAACACUUUAGAAGUUGAUUGUGCAUGCUACUUUCAUCAUCAUAUUUCAUCUUCUUUUAACGCUCAUUCUAACGUUCACUCUAUUUUUAGAAUCAAUGUAGGUUCUACAUUUUCAAUAUAAAUGUCGCAUAAUGACAUAAAUGGUGGGAUAUUACAUGAACUUGAUUAAUAAGAGAGUGAUAGUUAAAGUAAAUCUUUAAAAAUGGUGGGAUAUUACAUGAACUUCAUUAAUAAGAGAGUGAUCAUUAAAGUAAAUUUUGAAAAGAAAGUAUCUCUAACACUUUUUUUUAUGUACUCUCUCUGUUAUCAAUUAUAAGUAAAUUUUUUUAUAUUUUUAGGUUCAUUGAAUUAAUGAAUGUGAUCUAUAUUAUGAACCACAUACAUCAUUAAUUGAAUGAACUUAAAAAGUCAAAAUUUGCUUAUAAGUGACAACGGAUGGAGUAUAUACUACGUUUUUAUUACCAAGUUUUGAAGUCUUACAUGUGCCUCCAUGGUUUUGAAUUUGGAUUAAGCGUAUAAAUUGUCUUAGAACCACAAUUGGCUUGAGCGUCAGAGUUCUAAAAAUUAAAUCAACGCGCCCUGCGACGAGCAACAAUUUUCCUCUACCGCAUCCAACCAACUAGGGUUUUUUUUAAUUCAAAUUGAUCCAAAAGAAAAUCACAAACCGAAACAAUAAAACCGAAAACCGCAAAUAUCAAAUAUUUUUGGAUGCGUUUGGAUGUUGUUUUGUAAAAACUGCUAGGAUCGUAUCGGAUUUUGGAUCACUUUCUCAAAACCGAACCGAACCGCAAAAGUAAAUAUUAAUACUAAUUUAUUCUUUUAUAAGUAUUAUAUAUUAAUAAAAAAAAUUACAUUGUUCCAUAAAAGUAAAUAAAAAAUAUAUAUUUUGCAUUUUAUAUUCAAAAACCAAUCCAAAUUAAACUGCAUAUAUUUGAAUCGAAUUGGUUUAAUUUUUUUAGAAUAGUCGUCGAAACCAAACCAUAUACAAUCUUUUUAUCUGAAGACAUUUUAUCUCAAAAUCGAUUCAAACUACACCACGAACACUCUACAACCAACUCCGAUUAUUGUCUUCACUCCACUCCAAUGAAUAUUUAUAUUUAUUGUCAAUAUUAAUUUCUUUCUAAUAUUAUUGGAACAGGAGUACAAGUAUUAAGUAAACAGUAAAUAAGUGAAUAAGUUAUCUCUGAUGACUUUUAUUUUAUUUUGCAUUAAACAAUAGUAGUACUUGUACUACUACUACUACUCUGCUUGAACCGAUGAACUGCUUUUGUUUUAGUUGAAUGGAUGGAGGGGUCAAUAAUCUGUGUAACAGUCAGUCCUUUGGCCUAAUAUGUCGCUGAAAUGAAGAAACAAAAACGUGAAUAUCAAUGCAAAAUGAGAAAAGUGACAAAGUUGGUUGCUUCUUUCUUGGGGAACUCCAAGCUCGAUGCCCAUAUAUAUUUACCAAUCUGCUCUGCUCGUGAGAUAGGUUUAACUUUAUUUGCAUCACAAGUCACACGCUUAACCAUAUGUGUCUUAGUGCUUUGUGCCAUAAAUUUCCAUGUGACCCUGUCUACGUCUCUCUGUGGGUUGACGUAGUAACUCUAUACCGAGCACCUAAACAAUAUUCCCCAACGACCAUCAAUCAAUCUACAUUAUUAAGCUAGCCAUUGAAAGUAGAAACUAGUCAUGUUUUCAAACUCUAAACUCGUGUAUAAUUAAUAACGAUAAAGGAAUGAGGGUAUUGGCUUAUAGUCUUAUAGCUAGACACACACAAAAGUACAAAAACAUAAGAGAAUAACUAUGAACUUUGAGAGUGAUUGACAAACUCAGCCAAAAUACGGCAUAAUUGACCUUUGAGUAAGUUAUCACUUAGACCAAAAUAUUUUCGUACAUUAUUAUUAUAAUUAGUGUGUGUUUAGUUUUAAUUUUGGAACGGUGAAUAUUGAUUCUAGAGGAAUAAAACUGGGUUUGACAUGUUUUGAUAUUUAAAGUUUAAUUGGUUUUGUUUAUUGAAUUGAUUCUAUUUGAAGUUAGAACAUUUAUAUAUAAACAUGAAUUUAAUUUGUAAAUUUUGUUAGUGUAAAAUAAUUAUACAUUGACAUAGCAUAUUAAUUAAACUCUGAACAUAUUGAAACACAAACUAUGUUACAUUUAAAUUCAUUUUUAAUUAAAAUCAAUUAUAAAAAAUCCAUUAAUUCAAAACAACUCUCAUCGUCGAAGAACCAAACACAUACUUAGUAUUAACUUAGUGUUUCAUUUUAUUUUAAUUUGUUGUUUUUAUUGUAUCAAUUUAUUAAUAAUUUAAGGACAUAAGUUAAGAAGCUAAAAAUGGAAUUAUAACAUGGAAUGCCAUAAUUUCCAAUAAAAUAUUUCUAUAUUUAUCUUUAGUUUAUUAACUUGUGCCUUAAGUUAACAUUUCCCAUAAUUUAAUCAUACUUUCAUAAUUUUGAAACAUUCAAAAUAAACGCAAGACACACUUAUAAAUUAACUAACGAAGAAUAUCUUUGUUAGCAAGUAGGCAACCACACUAGAAAUAUAAUCAAUAUAUAUUUUUUAUAUGUAAAAUAUAAUAGACUAAUAAUACUUAAAUUAAUUUUUUAUCAAAAAAUAUUUUCUUUUCACUCGUAGACGAUGCUCUUAGAUAAUUUGUUAAUGCCUUUUGACAUUAAAAAAAUCGACCAUAGCAAGACUUUUAAAAGUUACUACUAAUGUUGCAGAAUUUACCUUUUUUUUUCGAUAUAAAUGUUACAAAUUUGACUCUUGAAACUAAGGACUAUAAAUAGGCUAAUUAUAGCAUGAAAAUCGAGAACAUGCUAAUGUUCACAGACACAAUCAAUCAAAAAUUCAAUACUCCAUACAGAAUAAUUCAUAAACAAAAGUUGACAAAUUACAUUUAUUGAUGAUAAUGAUAUUUAAUCACACAAUCUCAUUUAAAAGCAUGUUGUAUUCAUGAGCAUGUGCUUGCAUUCUAUUGCUUAGCAUAAGUAAGCAAAAAAGAUACUAUCUACAUACUGCGGAUAAAAUGAGUUUUUCAGUUACAAUUUCUCAUCAGUAUCAUGUUGCUUCCAAUUUACAUUCUCACAUGUCACAACAAUCUACCUUUGGGGCAGAGCUAAGGUCAGUGCUCUAAUACAUUAUCAUGUUUCUAUUACAAAACACAAUUUCACCUUCAUUAAUUCCUUACUGAAGGGGGGCGUUAAACCAAAAACAUCCAGACAAUCUCUCUCUGUCAAACAUAUUUUUAGAAAACACUAUAUUGAAGCAAAAAGAGUAUUGAGGGUAAACCGAAAGAAAUGUUAAGUGAAAAGAAAAACUGCCCCCUUGUGCGAUAGCAGGCAUAGCUCACUUAUUAUUGUCCUCUUGAUACCUUUCCGUUUGGCUAAAAUAUCGAUCUGUAUUUAGUGGUUGGUUCCAACCUUCUGAAUCAUGAGAAUCAGCAACAGAUCCUCCAUGCAUGGGAGCAAAUGCUGCAAUGAAAUAUUGAUAGACUUUAACCCACAAAACAAAAUUGUAAACAAAACACAAUGUUCUUGAAUCAUAUAGUCAUUUCUCGCAGCAUACAAUAAGUGAUAAGAAAAAGCAACGUACAAUUAGUGACAAGAAAAAAAAAAACUCAUCAUUUAUUCCAAGCGCCUCUAUUAAAAUUUUGAAGACGAAAUGUUUGGAUUGGUGGCAUAGUCACUUAUCGCAUCAUAAAAUAAGUGAUAUGAAAAAAGAAAAAAACUCUUCAUUGAUUACCAAGUGUCUCUCUAUUAAUUUUUUUUUAAGACUGUAUGUUUGUAUUGGUGGCGUAGGGUGGAAUGUAAUAAUAUAGGUUAGUUAAAUUUUAAGAAAGAGAUGUUAUCCAAUUCCAUUUCAUUCCCAUCCAUUCUACCCUAUACCACCAAUCCAAAGAUACCAUUAGCUUUCUAGGAUCACCAAUCCAGACAUACCAUUAGCUCUCUAGGAGAUCACCAAUCCAGACAUACCUAGAGAUUGGAUUUAAAUCUCUAGGAUCUGCACCAUUAAAGGCUCACUAUGUUUUGACAUUGAUACCAUAGAAUAACAUGACAAAAAACUGCAAUAGAUAUUGUAGUAGACUUAAAUUGCUCCUUCAGUACAUAAUCAAAGAAAAUGACCAGAUUACUUUUAGAAAAACAAAUUCAUGGCAAAUUACUUUUGGCCUGCAAAAGUGAGAUUGAAAAUUUGAAAUUGGAAUAGUAUGAAAGACAGAUUUGAACAUAUUUACAAAGACUAUUCUCAAAUUGCCAAGCUUCUCUCAACACUACAGUCUACAGCUAGACUAAACACAAAUCAACCAUUAACCAAAGGCCUAAAGGUAUCUACUCUGAUAUUUAUAAUUGAUUUAACUUAGGCUACUUUGAUUUGUAGUACAUUUAGCAGAAUUUACGUUUGCAUUCAAUUCAACACACUAUAGUAUGCUUAGCUGAGCUCAGUGGAAAGUUUGUCAGUCUGCAUGUCUAACAUCGAAAACUCAGGAAAAACUGUAUCGGCUCAUCACCACAAUGAGGGCUACACCAUUACUAUAACAACAAAGUGUGUUGCCCAUUUUAAAACAUUCAAUAAAAAUGUCCAUUUAAGUGGGUUGAAUGCAGGGAUUAUAAAAUUUGUGAUGCGGUAUGAGAAUGAGCAGAAAAAUCUAGAAUCUUAACUAACCUUUCUCCCUCAUUCUUCUCUCUCUGUCAUACUCAAAUUUAUCGCGAAUGAGGUUAACUUUCUCCAAAGUAUCAGACUUUCUGUCUCUAACAAAAUUCAGGUCCUGCAUUACAAUACAGUCAUCAGACAGAAAAUACAACACAAAAAAAAUAUAGUAAAGAAAAUUCCGAUCUUAAAGAUUACAAUAAUAGUAAUAAUAAAUUACACACUGAAUAUCGUUCCUUUCCCAUCUAUCACCUCUCAAAAGAUGAUAUGCCUUAAAUUGAUCAAAAAUACAACAGUAAGCAUAAUUUCUUACGGCAAUUCAUUCUGCGCAACUCACGUAUCAAACAAUAUCAUUAGCAAACUGCUGUACUAGUCAUUAUCAAGUAUAUUCAACCAUACCUUGUUGUAUUCCAUCUGGGGUCUUCUAUUCCUGAAAUGCCAUGAAAUACCAAGAUUAGACACCAUAUCCAUGACACCCUCCCCCCCAAUCCAUCACUUAAUGAAUGAAGAAAUUUAAACCAUUUAUCUGAUUGACCAGCAAAAACAAUGCAAUGCUGUUAAAUCAAAAUAUUCAAAGAACAGAAAAUUCAGCACCAAGGGAGUACAGAGAUAAUAAAAAAAGCUCUUCAAAAUAUUCAAAGAAUAAUUGUGACGCAGUCCCUUUCUUUGGCAUGAAAAUCUCAAAUGCAGUCAAGCGACAAGCUCAUGCACAUGACAUUAAGAUCGAUUUAUAUUCUUCCAAGAAAGCAGUUAUGAACUAUGCAGAAAAGGAGAAAAACGAUGGAGGCAAACCUGUAAGGAGAGAAAUCUUCAUCAUCAUCUUCAGCAGACUCAUAGUUCGCAUGAUCCCGAGCAAGCUUGUUAGAAAAACCCUCGUCCCAAUAAAGUCUCUCCCAAUUUUCUCGAAGUUCAUUAUAUAAUUCCAUAUACCUUUUGCACCAAGGAUCAUGUUCCUUUCAAUACAAUAUGCACAUUUUAGGACAGUAACUAGGAUUCAAUUAACAGAUAUAUAUAAAAAACCAAAAAUACUUAUCACUAAUUGACAACAUUUUUUCCAACACAAACAAGUCAAUAUGGCAUAAAUAUGAACAGGCCCAUCACAUUUCUCAUUCACAUUACAAAAGAAAAUCACCACUUAAUCAUGAAAGUUUGAAACAUAGUAUACAAAGACAUUGGCAGAUUAUUAUAUCGAUUUGUGCCUUUGCCAUGUUAUUCCUUUGAUCUAGUUAUAAAGAUAAUCUCAAGCCAUAAAUAAAUUAAUUUAAAUCAACGCAAACUUACUAGAAUGGUGAAAAUACAGCAUAUAUUAAACAAUACUCAAAUAACACAUAACAAGAUAUUUAUUUUUAGGUUAAAUUGCAUGAUUGGUCCCCUACGUUUAUUUUAGGUUUCAAGUUGGUCCUCUAAGUUAACAAAAGUGUCAUGUUGGUCCCUAAUGUUACUGAUGUCAGAAUAGAUUCGUCUUUUUCGUUAAAUUUUAAGCCAACUUUGUCUAAAACGUCCAUGUGGCUAGCAAAGACGCAUACACGAAUAACUUUGAGGGGUGCCAUAGGACGUCUUAGAUGGAGUUAACUUAAAAUUUGACAGAAAGGAUGAACGUAUUCAGACAUCAGUAAUGUAAGAACCAACUUGAAACUUUUUAAACUUAGGGGACCAACUUGAAAUUAAAAUAAACAUAAUGGAUUAAAAAUGCAAUAUAACCUCAUUUUAUAUUUUUACUACUUUGCUAUGGCAUCGUUUGACCAAUGUAAUUGACCCCACUUAGUGGAAUAAGGCUUGGUCAUUGUUGUUGUUGUACUAAAGCUUCUCAAAUAUAUCAAAUUAGUCCUUAAAAAGAUACCCUGUUUUCAUACUACUCUAGAACAUCCGAAACUAGGCUAAACUAAAUAAUGUCAUGUUUGGAUAAACAACUUAACUAAGAUUUCCGUUAUAUAAGUGCUUACAUAUACACUAAUUUAAUAACAAAAGUCAAAUAGAGAUUUUUACAAUAAAAGAGCAAAUAAAGUCAAUCUGUUUUCAUAAAAGCUAUAACCCAUUUUCAUAAGCUACCCUGAAGCUGGAAACAUAUUACGCCAUGUCAUAAGUUACUUUCAAGAACUCUCUCAAAAAGGCUCGCCUCACAAGUGCUUAUGUCAAUAAAUAAGCUUACAUAAGUCAAUCCAAACAAGCCCUAAAUCCUAAAAGACAUUUUGACCUCAGCAGCACCAAUACUUCUGAUCAAAGGUGUGUCCAGUACCAGACACAUGUCCACCAACACACAUGAUUAAAUUCAAUAAUGUCAUUUUCUCAAAUUACUACGGGUCUCUCGUCUUGUCAAUGUCAGUGUGUAGCAGGUAUCAGGUGUAGUGAUUAAUAUAGUUUGAAAAUCAAAUUAAUCCUAAAUUUUCAACUAAUUAUAAAUUCAAUCACAAAACAGAAAAAAUAGAAAAGGAACAAAUUUAAGGUAAGAGAAGAGAUAAGGGACUGACAGAUUCCUUAAGAACGAGGCGAGUUCUACGCAUGAACUGUUCUCUCAACUGUUUACGUCGUUUGUUAGGGAUAUUCUCACGAGGAAUAACGAACCGUUCACGUGGCGGAACGUGAUCACCGAUUUCGUGCAUUUCGCCAUCGACGAUCCACCAUUCUGAUCUUUCCUCCGGUUUUUUGAGCGGAAGAGGCGUAGACUUGGGGCGGCGUCUGGAAUGGGUGGGGGAGGGUUGAGGAGGAGAGCGAAGUUGAUGGGAGGUGCGAGAAAGAAAGGGGGUGAGAGAGGAAAGGCGUUUGGUGAGAGAUAGCAUGGAUUGGAUUUGAAUGGAUUCAAAUGUGUUGCUUCUGAUGAUUUUGAGGUUUAGGGUUUAAGAAGAAGAUAACAACUGUGGAGAGAUUUUCAAUUUCAUUUCAUGUCUAAUUAGUGUAAAGAUUAGAGGAUAAUACAAACAUCCGUAAGAACAGAGAAAAGUUUCAUCAGUAUUUACAUUAACAAGAAAUUAUUCUAAAAUAUUUAAUUAAUUUUUUCAAUUCACUACCAAAAGAAAUUAAUUUUUUUAUUUGUACCUUAAUAAUAUUAAUACACUCUCUUUGUAUCUAAGGUUAUGUUUGGCUUUGGCCCAGCUUAAUUAAGGUAUUAAUUUUUAUCAAUUGUACUUUAUCUUUUUUCUUUUUUUGAAAGGCAAUUGUUUUUUAAUGUUUGCGAAUUACAUCCAUUAUUUUAGGAUGAAGAGAGAGUCUUUUUAAUAUUUAACUAAUCCCAAAAAAAAAAAUCUUUAAAAAAUAAAGUUAAUCCAAUAAAAAUUUCCAAAUCAACGAUAUGACAUCGGUACAAGUGAAAUUGAACACGAAUUAUUUAAUUAAGAUCUUGGAUUCGUGUAUUAUGAAUGAAAAAAAUAUGGUUGAGAGAGAAGACCCUAAACAUACCAUUAAUUAAUACUAUAAACUUAUCUUGAAAUAUGAAAAAUUAAAUUUAAUACACAUAUAAACAAAAGACAAUUUGAUAAUAUUAACACACAAAACAGACAUAUUAAUUACACUGAUAAUUUUUUUUAAGAAAUGUGAAAAAUGUAAAAGAGACUUACAUAUAAGGACAGAGGGAUAAGUGGAUUUAAGACACCCAAAAAUUAACAUUUUGCCCCAACAAAGUUAACAAAUGUUCGCUGGUAAACAAUAGUAGUAAUUUCCAUUUCAGAUCUGUCGAAUGGAACACAUAACACAUUUAUGUCUAAAUGUCGUACCAAUGAUAGUUAACUACUAUUGGAAUCUCUUGCAUAAUAAUUUUGAUCACCUAACCAUCUACCCCCGCUGUAAAAGCAUCUGUGGAGUUUGCAACUCGGGUAUUUUUUUUAGGGGAACUCAGGUAUUUAUUUGUUUCUUUGUCCGAGAAGGAUCAAUAUUCAUAUUUUAAGCAAACCCCGUUAAAUAUGAUAAAUCUCCCAAACAUUUAUUCAUUAUCUUCUACUAUUUCUUGGCCAUAAACCAGGUUACUUCUGGAUACUAUAUUUUAUGGAAUAUUCUUGCAGUGUAAAAAUUGAAAUGGGCACCGAGAGGCAUCUGAAUCUUAAUGGUGGGGCACCAUUAGAUGUAUCAUAGAAACUCUUAAAUGAUGCUUUUUAUUCUGUCAAGUAAUGUGGAGACAGCCAAUUGAAUCUGGUGUUUGAGUGGUUUCAUCAUAAAGUAAUAAAUGUUCUUUUAGUUUGAAUUUCAAAUUGGUUAUCUAGUUAUUAAAAUGGUGUGACACAAGUAUAAAUAUUUGAGUCUCACUGCUCAGGUGAUCAAAAUGUUGCAAGAGAUCCCACUUUAACUACUGUUGGAGCGAGAGUUAAUACCAGUUCUAACAUGAAUUUGUUCCUAAUUAAUGUAAUAUAAAGGUCUAGAACAGUAAUUAACUAUCAUUCACCAACGAAUGAUAAUUAACUGCCGUUGGAGUAAAAUUAUCAUUUUGAGAUGCCUGAUAACAUAACAACCCAUAUGUAUCUAAAGAGCAACCCAUAUGUAUUUAAAGAGCAAUGUUCUGAUCAUCGUCACAGUUGGUCCAUGCAUCGAUCAAUCAAAUUAGUCUUCUCGCCUUAUGCAUUUUGUUUACAGUAAUCUUAAUCAACUUUUGGAAAGACUAGCAUUUGUCACAACACAACAACAAAAAGCUGAAGUGCAUAGCAAAUAAAAUUAAUCUAAUUUAGAACUUUGAAAAAUAACCAACUAUUUUUUUUUCUUUCUUUAUUUCUUUUACCAAACAACACACCAAAUUCACUUCAUUUCUUAUAUCUUUGUUUCUUUUCGCACUUUCAUUUCUUUCUCACUUCUCACUUUUGCUUUCCCCACUUAACAACCCAGUAGGGAUUAUAAGCUAUCCAAAAUAGCUACUAUAAUUCUUCUUAAUGAAGAAGGAAAUCAUAUCUUAAAAACAAACUUUUUGCUUCCAAAAACGAGGCAUGAAACGUACGGAAACAAGGCAUUAGAAAAGCUCAAACAACAUAAUCACUCCCAAGCUAGACACUAGUUAUCUAAAGUUUGUAUACCCUUCAAUAAGAAUAACAGAUCUUACUAAGACAAUUUGAUAGAUGUCAAUAUCAGGUUGUUUCAAACACUAUGAAUGAAUGUGAUAUAGGAAGUGACUAAACUCAACCAACAUAUUUGCUGAAACUACUUGCGUGUCAUGCAAAUAGCAACACAACAAUUUAGAAAAUUUUAAAAAAUACUACAUGUGUAUAUUAGCCAACAAGGUCACACAAAAUCAGUGUUUCUGCAGCAAAAAAUAUAGGCACUUCAGUAAGGAGGAUAAGCUACAAAUUUAGAGACUUCCUUGAAGAGAAUAAUUUUAAACUUGCGCUGCGACCAGCAACUUUUUGCUUCUUUCGUUUGGGAGAGGGUGAACAGUAUAAGGAGGAACUGUAUAAAAAAGAUAAAAUUAUUAAAAUAGAUAGCAUAACUGGCAUUCAACGUGAUGAUCAUGCAAAAGUUAUUUUUCAAUGCAUAGUCCUUUUACCUUCUUCUGUCCCCAAUUGAUGUUAAUGUUUAUAGUUAUAUGAGCAGAGAAUAGUAACAUUUAGUAUUAUAUAUAAGCACGUAAUAACAAUUGUUCAUUACUUCAUUAUAGAUUGACAAUAUUCAAACUAACUACAUAUUACUGUAAGCAUUUCUUGAUUUUUUUUUUUUCAUCACUAAGAAACUAUUUUCACAUAAUCAGUACUUAGUUUCAAAGCAAACAAGGGGGCAUCAGCAGUGAGAGUGGAAAGAAACAGAAAAGAUGGAUGGCAAGAGGAGGGACAGAUGCAUCAAGUGACAAAUAAAUAUACAACAUACUUUUGUAGUCAUGCUUUCAGGAGACAAUUCUAAGGCAAGCUCAUGCUAAUAAACUGUAAGACUUGUUACCUUUGGUCUUUUUUUUUUAGAUGGCUCUAAACUUCUAGUGGAAAUUUCAAUGCAUUAAAUGAUAGCUAAAUUCAAGUGGUUACAUCUUUCACUUCUUCUCAACGAAAAGAUGGAUCAUAUUCUCUGUAUCUAUUGCUAGUAUAGCUCUAGCUUUCAGCACCAUACUCCAUAGAUAUAUCCAUGGACAAUAAUUUGCACAUUAAAUUAGACAACCACCAAGACAAUAUACAAUAUCAGAGUCAUAUAAUUUUAUUAAGUGCUUUCUCAUAUACAUUAAAGAGCUUAGUAUACAUACCCUUGGAGAAUUGGUUGUAUAUCAGCACCAACACUUGUACUUAGCUCUUCAAUAGUUGCAGAAACCUCGCUGUUACAGUUCAGUAGGUUGCAUACAUCUAAAAAAGCAGUAGAUUUCACCAUAUCUGGUACAAGAGAUGCGUCUUUUACCUCUGCUUUGAGAUUUUCCAUCAAAACAAGUGCUGCGUAAAGGUUAGUGAAAGAUUAGACGAUUCAGCAAUUUAAAACUAGCUAAUAGUUACUACAUGCAAGUUGAUUUAUUUCCAUGCACAUGAUAGUAAGAGUUUCCAUUAAAUUCAAUUCAAAAUCUCAAGAAUUCAAAUUGCAGGCACAAUUUGUGCAGUACAAAUCAGGCAGGUUAUGAUGAAUUGUGACCUUCAUACUCCAGCAGUUCAAUGUAUUUAUGCAAUAGUCACUCAGUCUGGACACGACACGGUCCAGGAUAGACCAGAGACCUUCAAUGAUUACAAAAUAUUGCGACACAGUCCAGGAUAGACCCAGGGGAUUUCAUAAGAUACAAGCAAAGAACAUUAUGAAAUAUUAAUUUAAUCAAUUCUUGAAGUACAUGGGAUUUUUUCUUUCUUCUUUCAUUUUUGAACUGAAACUUGUAGAACUCUACGGUAUCAAGAUUCAAAAUUAACAUCAUAAGACAACCAUAAAAAAUAGAUGGAUAAAACCAACAAGAUUUGCACACAUAUUUCAUAACCAAACAAAAGACCAUUAUACUCCCCCCCCCCCCCGUCUCAUAUUAGGUGCCCCAUUUGAGUUUUACAUGGGUAUUAACGAAAUGAUUAAUAGUGUUGAUUUCAAUGGUAAAAUGUGUCAUUUACUAAAACACCCUUGUUAAUUAUAGUUAAUGGAGUAGUUAUAGAGGAUCGAAAUGCAAUAAAUAAGGCAAUGUUGGUGGAAAAGAAUAAUAAAUGUUGUAUUGGUAUAUUGUAAAAGGGACAAAUAAUUUGAGACAGAUAUUUAUAAAAGAAGACACCUAAUUUGAGCCUGAGGGAGUACAUCAGAAGUUUUAAAUAGCCACGCAGAUAAGUUUUAAACAAAAGUAUAAAACAUACCAAUGGCUCUAAGCAUCUUAAGGUCGAAUUUAUUAGCCAAAUUCUUACAACCUAUCCAUUCUGCCCGCUUAAUUAUCAACAAUUUCAAGCUAAUCAGCAUAUCCUGCAAAAGUUUCAAAUUUGAAUACCAAAUGUUAAGAACAAGAACUUGUAUGAAAAAAAACCAAGAUGAAAACUAAAAUUUAGAAACACAUGUAAGUCGUAACCAAACUAUCAAUGACUGGUAAGAUCUAUUUCAGACUAGUUACUUGCAUAUUGAUUUCUUUCAUAUAGAUUCCAAAAAGUUUUAUAAACAAAAAGAGCACAGGAAAAUCAAGCCAAUGGUAAGAUCUCCUACAAAAAUAAACCAAAAGAGAACAAAUAAAAAUAUUCACAAAUGCAGCACUAUCUAAUCUCUCAGUAGUCAGGAAUGAGUCCCAGCACGUAGGAUCGCACGAUCUUACGUGCCACAGUACCUCGACCGUGCUUCGAUCCUACUUACGAACCGUGUUUUCUCUGUUUUACUCUGUUUCCUCUGUUUUCUCUGUUUUUUGGCCGCUUUCCUCUGUUUUUCUCUGUUUUAUUGCUUGGUUCCUCUGUUUUUCCUCUAAUAUCUCUGUUUUAUGCUUGGUUCCCCUGCUUUCCCUCUAUUUUCCCUAUAUAUUUCUCUCAAUUCUAUCUACAACCUAUCGAUCCUACUUACGAACCAUGUUACGUUCCUCGUGUUUACGUUCUUUCACCGGCCGACCAAUCCUAUGUAGGAACUCGUUCCUGACUACAUUACUAUCAAUGGUAACUCUGUCCUCAAAACAUGAAACAACAAUAAGCCCCUAAGAGAAUCCAUCCAUAUAUGCAAUUUUAUCCCAAAAUAUAACAGUAAAUCUAUAUCCCAUGACAUCAUAGGCAUUUCUCUAGUGCAAGAUCAUAAAAAUACUAAAACUGCUACCUGCAGUUAAAGCCACAAGUAAAAUGAGCGAAGAAAAAUUUCCCCAUGGUGAAGGGGCACACACAUCGAAUAUUCACUAGAUUUGUCAUGUAGCGGCUAUAUUGGCUCUAUAGCGCUAUAAUGUAGCGGAAUUUGAACAAACCACUAUUGGUCUGCGUCUGCAAUACCCUAUUUAGUAUAAAGUGUUGUCGAACAGCGUUUGCAGCGGCGCUAUAAUACAUUAGCAAAGAGGAAUUUGAAUAAAACACUAUUUCCUGCAAUCCAAACUCGACAACAUUGAUAUUUACCAAACAUCCAAAAACCUUAUCCAUAAGGAAAGUAGCUUACAAAAAUAUCACUAGGACAUUGUAUAAAAAAGUGUACUAAUACCGUUAACCUUUGGUUACCUUCAUUCGGAAGAAUCAUGUGUACAUGUGUCUGUUUAAACACAUUUAAUAAUUUGACUGGCAUAUUACUGAAUAGGUUUUUUUACAGAAUGAUAAAAGAAAAUUGUCAAAAGGCUAAGAAACAAUACAGGGGGUGCUAGACUCUAUUAUCAAAAUGCAAAAAAAAACGACGCAUAGAAUGAGGAGGGGCAUCUAAAGUAGUCCAAGAGAAAUCACCCAAUUGGCCUAAAAGAGAAGAACUUCAUAGCCUCAUGAUAGAUAUGACAAUGGAAGCCAAAACUUGGCAACUACGAGAAUGAAUUAAAUGAACAGAGAAAGGAGAAAAAGAAACUUACAAUUUCAGAUUCGGAAAGUGAGCAAAGCCAAGCUACAUCUUGAACCCUAGUCUCAGUAAUUUUAUCACCCUCAAUAAAAGUUUCCAAUCUUUUCUUAUAGACUUUUCCUUUAUUCAUAAUUCAACAAUUGAAACCUGAAAUCAAUAAAAGAAUAAACCGAAUGCCAAACACACAACAAUCACAGAAUAAGGGAGAAAAACCAUAAAUGAAUCAAAAAAACCCAAUUUUCUAACCUUGCUUGUUUCAAAAUUGCUAUGAAAUCUUGCUGUUAAAUGUGGAGAGAAGAACUGUUUUUGGAAGAGGAGAUAACAAUGAAGGAAAGGGUUUUCAGUUGGAAGAAGAAGAAGAAGAAGAAGAGAGAACGAUUGCAAAGGUUUUUGGUGAAAUUGGGAAUUAAAUUUUAUCUAAGGGUGUUUUUGUCAUUUAAGAGUUGUGUCACUAGAAAAAUUCUUCUGCUGUUCUGUUCGCGGGAGUCCUUGUUUUUUUCAUUUAUUGUUUAUUAUUCAUUCAUGUGGUAAUAUACUACUUUCUUAAAGAAGUAAUUCCUUUUUUAUAUUAAUCACUUAAUUCAAGUGUUAAAUACAACUCUUCAUAUUAAUUCUAUCUGUUAGCUUAUCUAACAAUACAAAGAGGCAUGACUCAAAAAAUGCUAACUAGGCAUACAAAUGAGCAAGUAUAUAUAUUGAUUAGUCAACGAACAAUUUACUUGUAAAAAGUUUGGAAAAGAGGUUAUGAUGGAACAAUCACUACAAGAAUAGUAACGAAUUUUGUCUUAUUAUUUGAUCCUUAUGCCUUAUUUCUAGUACUUUAAAUAGUGUGUGAGCUAACAUUUUCAAUUCAGCAAGAAGAGAAGGAAUUGAACCCCCUGAGCUCUAUGUAGCUCCGCCAGUUAAAUUCACUUUCUUCACUGUGUCAGUGUGUCUCUCUAUUAUAUGAUCGGUAUAUUAUUACUUCCACCCUCCAGCUUCCCCAUAUAAACCUCACUAAUAUUACUUUCUGUUAUGUUAAUAAUUGAUCAUAAGUUAGUUUUAUCUUUAUUUGCCUCAAUUGCCACCUUAGCUUGUGUAUAUAUAAUAAUCAAUACACAUGUUGCAUUAUUCAUUCUAUUGUUUUCAUAUUACUUAAUUUCAUCAUAAUUUAAGUAUUUGAUUCAUAGCUAUAUCAUUCGUUUGUACUUCACUUAAACAUUAGAGAUAUGGUUUUAAAAAAUGCUUCAGAGAACGAUUCACUAUUCCCGUGCAUCGCUAAUUCCUCGAGUUCACCUAAACGUUCAUAGAAGCCUAACAUUCUCUCCCGGUAUUUCACAGAUGGAUACACGAAAGCCAACAUUUGAUCCCCCUUCUUGCUCCGAUUCAUGUCAAACAUCUCGAGACAAUUGCUAUCUAAUCUUCACAUAAAAUUCCUAAUUUUACUGGAAUCUCAAUUUGUUAGAUUUCCUUCCUGGUGUAUUAAAAUUACAUUGUUUAAUUUUACAAUGUUUCCCAUCAAUUUAUAUUUUUUUCAAUUUAAAUAAAAAAAUGUCAAAUAGAAGAUUCUUCACUUUUCCCAUCAGAAUUAACUUAAAAGCAACCAAACAUAUUAGAACUAAUUCUACACCUCUAAAAUCAAUUUUGACCCCUCUAAAAAGUGGACAAACAUAGCUAACAGAUUCAAUUUUUGGGCUAAAAAAGAGCAAUAUGCAAAACACAUCUAUUCUUGUUGAGAAUUGAGAUACUCGUCCAUUUCCAUCUUGACCAAAUAACUGAUUUUGUCUUAUUAUUUGACCUUCAAGUUCAACCACCCCUUGAACUUACAAUAUACAUGUCCUUGUACCCAAGUUUUGCAUUUCUCCUCAGCUAGUAUACAACCCUAUCCUAUUAUUAUUAUUUAGUAGUAUAAAUACUAUCCUUUGUUAAGGAGAAGUCUCCAAAUCAAAUCAGCAACAAACAGAACAUCAAUUUUCAUCUCUGAGUGGUAAUAAUAAAUAUUUCUAAACCCAUCAUUAUAGACAUUCAACAAAACAUUUAUCCUUCCUUGGUCCCUCCUUUUUGUUCCUUAUAAUGGCUAAGAAGAUGAAUCUCUUUCUAAUUCUCAAAAGUUAAUGUUAUUUUUCAUUUGGUGAAUAAAAUUAUUGUUUUUAUAUUUCAUGAAUAAACCCUAUUUUAUUUUGUUUUCCAUCAUAUACUAGCAUAUUUUAAUAAUGAUGCAUAUAUUUUAAUACUCAUCAUAUAUUAUUUCUGUAUAUCGAAUGUAUUUAUCUUAAUCUAUUGUUCUUUUUUGUAGAAUGGAUCCUCAACUUUCUGCUGUGGGAAUAAUUCUAUAUGUGGAACCUGAAAAGGUGAACGAUGCUGUUGCCUUCUACAAGGCAGCCUUUGAUGCUGUCGAGGCGAAUGAUCCCUAUUUUGCAGCUCAGGUUAUUAUUGGUGGCACCGUCUAUUUGAUAGAGUACCACGAGGACCCUUCCGACCUGUGAGUUUGAUUUUCAUGUUUUAAAUUUAGUUUAUAUUUUGUGUCACUGUCUUUUGGAGGAUUGCUUGAGGAAAAGUGAUUAAAACUAGAUCUAAUCAUGUUUUUUCUCUCUGUUUAUUUGAUUUGAGGCCUGUUUGUUCUUGUGGUUUUUUAUUUGUUUGGUUUUUAUGGAACUUUCUAUACUGAGUUGGUGUUUGGGUAUAUUUUAAUAAUCAUAAACACAUGAAAAUAUGUUUUUAUAGUUACCAUCUAAUCAAAAAUAAAAAUAAUCAAUCUAUAGUUGCUUAUAUAUUUAGAAAUAGAGUUAUUGGUCCUUAAACGUUUUCUUAUUAAAUCUUAGGACCGGCUCUGCUACGACGGUUGGAGUGGCGGAUGUCGCAGCUACCGUACAGAAGGCUGUGAGCGCUGGGGCUGUUGAGGAAGAGCUUGAUGAAUUUGCACCUACUUAUGCUGGUCAGCACAUUGUGAAGCUGAGGGAUCCAUUUGGUUAUGUUUGGUACAUUUGUGAGGGCAAGUCCUUAGCCAAAUUGCAGUAGCAAAUGAAGGGUUGGUUGAUCCAUGCUUUGAUAUUGUUAUAUUUAUCAGUACUUUGCUACAUCCAUUUUAGUUCUAAUUAGGUGUUUAUUGCUACAAUUAUCUUUCUAUUAUCGUUUAAUUAUGACAAUUGCUGGGAUGUAAGACUAUGCUUAAAAAUUGCUGUUUUAUAUUAUCUUAUCUUGUUUGGUGCAUUUAUCCUACUUUUAUUCUUUUAGUAUUGGUCUUUGUUGGACAUAUGCUUAAAAGUUUAAAAUUCAAAUUUAAUAGUUGUAUCAUAAAUAAUUGUUACAAACAACUGAAAUUAGUUAGCUUGCUUAUGCUGGCUUUUCCAAACUCAACUAAUUGUGUUUCAAACAAAUUCAAAUUUCUUUUCUUGUCAUAGCACAACAAGGACGAAAACAUGAGACUUGUGUGAAGGCACAAAUAACUACUAGCUAUUAGCUAUAUAGGAAAAAUGAUGUACAUAGAUGCAACAGAACAUGUUAUCAAAGCUAUAAUUUUUUUUCCAUCCCUAUAAACAAAGAUUGUUUUUUCUUAGGCAAUUUUUUAUUUCUAAUCCAUUAUCCUCAUAUUAAGUGAGUCCAAAAUCGUAAUUUAUAUCAUUGCAUCGACAUUAUUGACUUCAAUACCUAUAAUAGACCACACUGUUAUUCGACAUGACUUCACCAUCAGUACAUCUAAACUGUUUUAUAAACUUGAUAUUUUUCAUAAAUUUAAAGACACUCAGUUUAUUGUAGACUUACACAAAUUCUAUUAUCACAUUUUUCAAUACUUUGUAGAGGAAUCUAUUUGUAAACCAUAACAAAGCUUCACUCUAACCAUGGUCUUAAAUUGCGGCCGUGGUCGCAAAUGCGAUCAUUGCGGUUCCCGUGACAUGCAUUGCAUUUUUGGGGCGUGAAAUAAUUUUAAAUUUUCAUAAACUAUAUAAAAUGACAUAUCAUGUGCUACUACGCUAUUUAUCCACUAUAGCAUAGUCAUAGUUUGCUUCGUAAAUGCUCAUUUGGAAAUGCGAGCAAUACACGCUUGAGAGACAAUUAAAAGUAUGUUUUUUUAUUACAUCUAAAGUAUAUUGGAAUUUGGGGUUCUGAAAUUUUAAGUUUUGUGACAAAGUUUGUACGAACAUGGCCAAAAUCGUUUAAUGUGAUUACGAAAUGGCUGUACACGUGAUUGAAGAAUUUCUUUCAUGCAAUUAAGGGCCGGGAAAUGAAGGAGCUACUCAUUGAGCACGCGUAUCACGUACUACAAAUUGAAAAGUGGAAAUUCUAUCACAAACCUAGUUGUUCAUCAUUCAAUAUUUCCUCUCCCUAACUUCCCUCAUCCAUCAAUAUGUCAUUGUUGAUAAGUCCAUUUUCCUUUGAUUCUUCUAUAUAUAUGAAAUAUAGUAUUUGGUUGACAAAUUAGCAAACUUGUAUAUCUAAACUCGAGACAAUUAUACAAUAUUUUGUUAAUUUUUGCAAUUGUAGUUGCUUACAAUGAUGUAAAAUUCGUAUGUUCUUCCAUUUAUGUUGCAAUAUAAGAAGUUAAACCAUUUUGUUUUAUUGUUUUACCGCACUACUAUACAUAACAUUUUUUAGUGAUGAAACCCAAAUGACAAAUAGUGGCGACGAGCAGCAGCAAGUCUUUUAAUCUUUGUGUGAUGGCGAACAACGCAGCAAGCCACCAACGUUUCUAGAAUCUGUUUCCAAAAUAGAUUAUGCAAAUCAAACUGCAAUGGUAUUUUUUUCUUAGAUGCAAAAAAAUAAAACUGACUAAACUCAAUUAAUUAACAUUUUGAAACUACAAACAUAUAAGAAUACAAAUAUAACAGUGGAUAUGAACGACCAAAUUAUCACAUAAUUAAUUUUAUUGAAUUUCACAUAUUCGCUAAGUGGAAAAACUAGAAGCAAAGAUAGCUAGACAUUGGAAACUUUAGGUAACUUAAUUUGGAGGCAUGCACUUGACCUGAUAUUGACAGUUACACAAAACAAAGCAUGAUUUAGCAGCCUUUAAUAUUGAUGGACUAGAAACUGGAAUUUCAUUUUUUCCUUUCAAGCCUAAAUAAAUUAUGCAAAUCAAACUGCAUUGGUGGUAUUUUAUUUUAUUUUUAUCAAAUUCUGCUUCUCCAAUAACAGCAUACCAGUCUAGAAAAUAUGUUAAACUUGAAAGUAUGUUUAAGUUACUGACCCAAAAAAUGGUAUGUUUAACUUCGUACAUUAAAUUACAUUGAAAUAAUGUACAAAAGAAACAAAAUAUCAAAGAAUAUGUAAAUUUAUCCACCAUAAAAUAUGAAAGAAUAUGUAAAUUUAUCCACCAUAAAAAUGGUAUGCUUAAUGUUUCUCUCUUCUCUUUCUCUCUCGGUUUUUAUGAGGAUAAUUUUGGGUUCGCUGAUAGGUGAUGAAGGAAGUCUCUAGAUAUGAGAUUGUAGAGAGUGUUGUUGUUGUGUGAUGAGUUUGUGGGAGAUCUUCAAGUUAAGUGGAGGUUGAAGGUGUUGAAGUGAUUUGAGAAUACAUACUUUUCUCUAUAUCAUAAACAAGGGGAAUCAUAACAAAAUCCAUGCAAUAUAAACUUACACUUAUAUUUAAAAUUAAAUCUUCGAUUCUUUCUUGAUUAUGCUUAUGAUAUUUAGACAAAACCACUAUGAACUACGAUUUAGUCUUACAUAUUCAUCUAUAAUUCAUUGUUUGUUCGCAACUUAGAUAAUGUAGUGUUGUUUGAAGGCGAAACAUGGAUAUUCAUUUUCAAUUUAAAGCAGAAAUCAAAUUUCAACUAGAAAAAACUUCACAAGACUUUUUUCAUUUAAUUUCAAUCAUAAGUAUACUUAUAUAUACAAAUAUACAUUGGGCCCAUGUAAUGAUAUUAUAUGCUUAUAUUACACAAUCAUUGGUAUGUUUUCCUUUUGCCAUUAAGGAUUGAAAGUUUCAAUGGCAAUAGCCUCAUAGCACAACUUGAAUCUUAGCUAAAAUUGUAGCCCUAACAUUGCUAAGGUCACUUAUAAAAAGGGACCUUAAGGUCGAACCUUAGAGUGAACCCGAAGCACUUGAUUGUUCCAUUUCGACAAAGAUCCAAGUACCAUAUGAAUUUUCGCAGCCAAAUCCGCAGCAAAAAGUUAUGUUCCUGCGGAUGUUCCUGCAGUGUUAAAAUCCGCAGGAAACUUAAGUAGAGAAACUGAAACCGCAGCAAAAUCCUUAGCAAUUCCGGCAGAAAGUUUUCCAUAGCAAAAUCCGCAGGUAAUUUGAGGAAUUCAGGUAAUGUUGCUAUUUCUAUGCAAAAUAUGUCCCCUCAAUGUAAGAUUGUGAUUAUUGCCACCGUCAUUAAUAUUGUUGAUGUCAUUUGGUUAUGUAGAAACAAUAACAGGUUUUAUGAUAAACACAUUCACCGGAAAGAAGACAUCGAUUCAAUCAUCUCUACUGUUUAUUUGACGAGUACUUCACUAAGGCAAGAUUUGCACACUCGAUUACUUUAGAGUGAACCCAGAGCACUUGAUCGUUCCAUUUCGACAAAGAUCAAGUGAGAAACCAUCAAAACAUAUUCACUGCCUACCGCCUCUAUCAUAAUCUUAUAAUUGUUAAUAUUAGUUAAAACAAUAUCGUGUUCUACUUCACCGGGCAUGGGAGGGUUCAUCUUAGUCGUACUAGCCACUUACAACACUAAUUAUAUUGAAUACGUAGUUAUGAUAUAACUAGUGGUGUUGGUAAUUAGUACGACAAAAAUGUCUCCCUCCCACCCUUAUAAGUAGAACACUAUGAUCCCUCUCGACAUCAACAACAAAAAAAUACCAACAAUUAUGUCAUUAUGAUGAUCAAGACAAUAGUUAAUUCAUUAGUUAGAAUAAUGUCUACGUGAAUGGUGAACUGGUUCCUAGUUCCUAGAUACUUUAGAAAAAUUAUUAGAACUUUUAGGGGCGGAGCAUCUGAUGGGUAGGUGGGCCAUGACUCACCCAAAAGAAAUCAUUUUUAAGUAUACACAUAUAGACAUAGUAUUAUAUUUAUAUUUAUAUGUGCAAUAUGAGUGAAAAAUAUUAAAGUUUCAGAUGGAGAUGAAAAUUGUUUGAGGUUUAUUGAAGUUGAAGAUGAUUCAUGGUUUUCUUUUUCUUGAGGAAAGAAUGGUUUGUGGGGUUGAUAGUAUAGAAAAAUGGGGAGAUAUAAAUGAGAAAUGGUUGUGUGAAGGAUAUGGUGAUGGUGAGUUCCUCUUUCUUAGUCUCUACUACUUCUCUUUCAUUUUACUGAUAGGAACAUACUACAUGAAGGAGAAGUAUGAGAAACUAAGAAAGAGGAGCUGAACAUUAGUUGUAUGAUUCAUGGUGUGAUCGAUUUCAUGGUCUCUCCUAAUUCUCUUCCUUCUAUGCCCUUUGUUGUUGUUAUUUAUAGCCAAAAAUUAGGUUUAAGAUCAUUGAGCUACAGAGGCAUGCAUGUGACAAGGGUUGAGUUUGCAGAAAAUGCAAAGGCGUGCGCCUAUAGUAUAAUAUGUUUGGACCACAAAAACCGUUUUUGUUUUUUACUUGGCAAUUUUGUAAAAUUGGUGAAAGAAUGUAGUUUCUUUAUACACAAUUAGUUUAGUGCUAGUAAACACAAUUAUAUUAGUUUUCUUUAUUUUAUUUGACAAGUGUAUAACUAGUUAAAAUCAUUGAUUUUGAAGGAGGAUAGGGGGCAACAUAACAUAGUCUAUUCAAUUUAACAAGAUAGACUGACUAUGCACAUGAAAGUGGUCCCAAAUACUACAUAUGAACAAUCAAAAUAUCGAUCACAUGGGUAUAAUUUGUUUGAAUUUCUAAUAUUCACAAAGCUGCAAAACUAGAAUCAAACAAAGCACAUCAAUCAUACAAGGAAGUCACAUUUUUUUCAGUGUAAAGAUAGCUAGACACUGGAAACUUUAGGUAAUUUAAUUUGGCAUGCACUUAGUUACACCAAACAACUUAUGGUUUAGCAGCCUUUAAUAUUUCUGGACUAGAAACUGGAAUUUUAUUUGUUUCUUUCAAGCCUAAAUGAAUUAUGCAAAUCAAACUGCAUUGGUGUAUUAUGGCUAAUUCUGUUUUCUAAUAACAGCAUACCAGUCUACAACUGAUUUAUUGAACAAAAUUAAGAGUCUAGAAAAGAUGUUAAACUUGAAAGUAUACUUAACUGAGUCAACUGACCAAUGCAUACUGCAUAAACCAAAGAAUUGGUAGCAUAAAAUGGAGGAUGUAAUAACGUCGUAUACAAUUCACAGCACAAGGUAAUUAAGCUGAAGCUGUCCUGUUUAUGGUAUACACACAAUAAAGAUCUUGCUUAACAAGUUUUGUGAUUUCCACUUUUAAUACCUUUCAAAUAACUAAUUUAGUUUACAAUCCAAAUCAGUUUAUUUUUUUAUAAUUCCAAGUACACUGACAAGGAACCUAGAGUUUAUAUAAGAAGGAACUUCCAAUAACGUAAGUGUGUAUAUACUAAGUUACAUUCGUUUAAAAUUAGUUGUUUGCUCGCAACUUCAAUAAUGUAGUUUUGUUUGAAGUUGAAAAAUGAAUACUCAAUCGAAUUUUAAAGCUGAAAUACAUUUGAACUAGAAACAACUUUGGAAGACUUGCAUUAAUUUAAUUUCAAUCAUAAUUUUCCUUAUACACAGUUACACAUUAAUAUUGUGCAUAUAUGUAAUCAAUUGAUAUGCUUAUAUGUUACAGAAUCAAUGUGAUGUUUUCCUCUUGUCAUAAAGAUUGGAAUGGCAAUAUUUAUAGCCUGAGAGAACAACUUGAAUUUUAGCCAAAAUACAAUUAGUUGUUGACCUCGUCAUAGCUUCUUGGAAAAGGAAUAACAUCCCUAACAUUGCUAAGUCCAGUCGUAAAAAGGACCAUAAGGUCAAACCUUAGAGUUAACCCAGAUCGCUUAACAGUUCCAUUUCAACAAAGAUCUAAGUACCAUUCAUACUUCACUCGCGGCAAACCCAACUCAGUAAUUCUGCCAAGGAAAUCAGGUUUAUUCAUAAUAAUGAACUAAGGGAUAGUAAUGAAGCAGUACCUGGAGUUUAUCACAUAAGCCGCUCCUCAUUUUGGCUGCCAGAAAUUAUAGUUCCAACCUGAAAAGAUUAUAAGAAAUAUUAAUCUAUUCUCACACAUACUGCUACAAUGGCAGUCACUUUGGGACAACAUGAUCAAAUGCUGCCACAUUUUUAUCAUCAUUAACACGAACGAACAUAGAAUGGUUUAGCUUCUUUUGGAUAACUCAAUUAUAAGUGGCUUUUUGUAGAUGGCAUCAGCUAGAAUAUAUACACCUUAGGGAAAUACUUUUAGUAUACUAAUAUAGAAUAUUGAUGAGAUAAUUAAUGAUUGAUAAAUAUAAAAUAGUUAUGUGACUUAGAGUGAGCGGGUCCAGAGCAUGAUUUUAAAGAACAACAAAAAUAUCGAAUCUAUAUUUAUAUAUAAAAGAAAAAUAAGUUUUGAUGUAGUUUUUUCUUCAAAUUUAAACUAUUUAUUUGUUAUUUUAUAUUAUUUAGUAGCAACAAGGUUGGGUCUAACGAAAGGUAUAAGACUUCCACAACUUAUAAAAUAAAUAUUUGAAUAUCAACCAGGAGUACCCUAAAUUUAUUGUCAAAUACGCAUAAAAUGUGAUUAUAGACGGUGGAGGGAUCCUAUAUGAAAAAUAAAAUAAGUGAAUUUGUCUUAGAUAUUUAUACAUCCAUAUCUAUACUUAUAAAAUAUGAUUAUUGUAAGAAGACAUUAACAAACUAAGAAAUUGUAAGCAAACUGUGACACUCUUCAUUUUGGCUUAUUUUACGUCCUCAUGUUUGCUCAAGCUUCUUGUUCUUCCUUGUCAUCUCCACCUUCUUCUACUUUUGCAUCUUCAUAUUUUAUAUCCACUUUCUUUUAAAGUGCCAUACAUUUUCCCUAAUCUUGAAAAUCUGUUGGGUAAAAAUACUUUUUUUUUUUAUUUGGCCUAAAUAAUCUUGAAACCAUUAAUAUGGCUCUUCACGGUUCCUUUAAUUAGCGAUGUUGAUAAAAUGCUUGGUCCGUCAUUAUAAGUUUGUUUUAUAAGAUAUCAAUAUAUUGUGAGAAACCAUCACAACAUCUUCAUUGCCUACCACCUCUAUCAUAAUCUUAUAAUUGUUAGUAUUUUAUUAGGUAUAAACAUAUACAUAUAUUAUUACAUUUCUCUUAUUAUUUAUGUAUAUAUUCUUGUAUGAAAGAAAAAUAUAAAAGUUUCAGUUGGAGAAGUGGUAAAGCAAAUUUUCUCUUUUUUUAAGAGGAGUGUUAAUUAUAUGUGAAGAGUGAAAAGCAAAGAAUUAAUGAUAUAACUUUUCAUAUUAUACCAUAGUUUCGAUCUUUCACUUUUUUACUCAACUGUAUGGUUUGAUUUGGCUUGUAAUUUUUUUUAACAGCCGAACUAAACCAAACCAAACCGUAAUAUAAGAAAAACAUUAAUUAAAUCUAUGCCACCUAGACCAAUACUAAUAUAAAUUCAAUGAAACUUUUUCUCUUGUUAAGUUUCUUCUUUGCAUUUUAUUUCAAAAAUGUAUUUAUGUGCUACUUGAACUUUUAGAGAAAGAAAUUUUGAUUUUGAUGAAAUUUAAAACAUUGUCGGAAACAUUGCUGAAAAUAUGUUAUGUUUUAGAUUUUUAACUCGAUUUUAAUGUUGAAAACAAAAAAUUGCAUUGUCUAAAAAAAAUGCACCAACCAAUCCAACCCAAACCGGAUCCAACUCAAACCACAUUUCUUUUUUAUCUUGCAGUUCAUAUGAUUGUUAAGCUCAAUAUAGAGAAGUGGAGAAUUGAAAGUUCGAAUCAUCAUCGUAACAUAUAAAAAUUCGGCUACCAACUUACUUGUACUUACGGGAUACACAAAUUUAUAUCAUAUUAAAAAAAAAUUAACCCACAAUCUAAAAAAAUUAUGAAAAUAAAAUUAAGAGAACUUUUUAACAAUCAAUUUUAAGUUGGAUUUUUUUUUUUAGGAAGCUAAAUUAGCCCACUUAAAUUGACACUAGAGAGAAUCGAACACACGACCUUAAUUUUUAGUUGGAUAUUUUACUAUCCUUGACAUCAUAACUUCUCAUAAAUUUUAAUUUAAAAGCAUAUACGAUAUAACAUUUAGGGUCUGUUUGGAUUAGCUUAUUUUAGAGCUUAUAUAAAAUAGCUUAUGCAAAUACAUCAGUUUUUAUGUAUUAUUAUUUAUAAGUUUUUAAGGUAGUUUAUGAAAAAAAAUUGUUAUGAAGAUACAAUUUUCGUUAGAUAGAUCUAAUAAAAGCUUAUUUAUUUUAUUUAUACAAGCUAUUUUUCAUAAGCUCAAUCCAAAUGGGAAUUUAGAUAACAUGGACAUUUUAAAACAAAAAGAAGAAAAUUCAAUGAAAAUACAAUAGAAUAUAUACACACAACGAAACACAAUAAAAAAGAAAAUAAACAAACAUGUUAAUGCUCAACUUUUUACUAGUUAAAAUAAUAAUACUCUCUUCAUCUCUUAUUAUUGGAAACUCUAACAAAAUUUCCUGAGUAUUAAGAAAGUUGUUGAAACAAUAAAUUAUAAAUCAAUGAAACAAAAAUAAAACAAAAAAACUUUGAUAAAAAAAACAUGUUAUGCUAAAAAUAAAAACACACACACACAUACAAAGAGAUGAAAGUUGUUUGAGGUUUAUUGAAGUUGAAGACGAUUCAUGGUUUUCUUUCGCUUGAGGGAAGAAUGGUUUGUGGGGUUGUGAUAGUACAGAAAAAGUGGGAAGAUAAAUGAGAAAUGGUUGUGUGAAGGAUAUGGUUAUGGGGAUUCCUCUUUUUUACUCUCUAAUACAAACCACAUCAGUUUAUUUUAUUUUAUAAUUCCAUGUACACUGACAAGGAACCUAGAGUUUAUAUAGGAAGGACCUUCCAAUAAUCUAAGUGUCUACAUACUAAGUUAUAUUCCUCUAAAGUUCGUUGUUUGCUCGGAAUUUCAAUAAUUUAGUAUUGUUUGAGGUCGAAACAUGAAUACUCAAUCGAAAUUUAAAGCUGAAAUCAAUUUGAACAAGAAAGAACUUCAGAAGACUUGUAUUAAUUUAAUUUCAAUCAUAAGUUUCCCUAUGUACAAUUAUACAUUGCGCAUACAUGUAACCAAUUGAUAUGCUUAUGUUACAGAAUCUCAGGGUCAUGUUUUCUUCUUGCCAUAAAGAUUGGAAUGGCAAUAUAUAGCCUCAGAGAACAACUUGAAUCUUAGCCAAAAUACAAUUAGUUGUUGGCCUUGUCAUAGCUUCUUGGAAAAGGAAUAACAUCCCUAACAUUGCUUAGUCCAGUUGUAAAAAGGACCAUAAGGUCAAACCUUAGAGUGAACCCAGAUCGUUUAACCGUUCCAUUUCGGCAAAGAUCUAAGUACCAUUCAUACUUCUCUCGCGGCAAACCCAACUCAGUAAUUCUGCCAUACAGUACAUAAAAAAAAAAUCAGAUUUAUUCGUAUUUUACCAUGGAAACAAAUUGAUACAUAUAACAAGAAAUACAGUUUUAAUCAUGAGUUUGCUUUUAAAGGUUCAUCAAUUAUUUGGUUAUAGAAAUCAGAGGGUUUCAAGUGCCAUAAGAAGACAAUAAUGAACUAAUGGAUAGUAAACAAGCAGUACCUCGAGUUUAUCACGGUAAGCCGCUCCUCGUUUUGGCUGCCAGAAAUUAUAGUUCCAACCUGAAAAGAUUAUAAGAAAUAUUAAUCGAUUCUCACACAUACCCCUGCAAUGGAAGUCACUUUUGGCCAUACCUUUGGGACAACAAAAUCAAACGCAGCUACAGUUUUAUCAUCAUUAACACGAACAUAGAACGGUUUAGCUUCUUUUGGAUAACUGUGAAUUAUAACUGGUUUUUUGUAGAUGGCAUCAACUAGAUAGCUGCAACGACACAGACAUAACAAUAAGUAAUAAAAGUGGUGAAGGCAAUACUUCUACUGUGUUGAAAAUCAACAAAUCCAGAACAUGAGGAUAAUAUCGACAUACCUUAGGUGAUCGGAAGUGAGUUUAAGACCUGAAUCAAACUUCGUUUUAGAUUUCUCAUCUUCAGCCUAUGAGGAGAACCAGUAACGCAAACAAACAAACAUAUUUGUUAUCUUUGAGAUAAAAAGUAAAUCAGGUGGCAAAAAUCAAAACGGAUAUAUUCAACAACAUUUGGUGAUAAAUAUACAUACCUUUAUAAAAACAUCUAAAGCUUCAUCAUAGGAAAUCAUUUCAGGGGAACCUGAUAUAAUCUGCCGAAGACGAUCAAUGCAGGUAUGGUCAAUUCUUUUGGCAACAAACUUCAUAUCUUCAGAGCAAUUUUCCAAAACCCGCUCACAGAGGUACUUGAACAAAUCAUUAGCACAGUUCAUGGAGUCCUGUAAGUAUCGCAAUGUACAUACAACAUGUAGUUAACUGAUAGAAAAACCAUCCAAACCGAAUAGAAGAAAGAAUUCGUCACAAAACUGAAACAAAUGUUACAAGUCUUGACUAAAUAGAGAUAGUUGUUAUGUGAUGAUAGUUUGAGUAACUUAUGUAAAGUAACUUUGCAAAAGAAGUGAUACCUUUAAUUCAGCAAAAGCCAUUUCAGCCUCAACCAUCCACAUUUCUGCAGCAUGUUUAGCAGAAUCUGUUUUAUCUGCAUGAAAUCUAGGUCCAAACGAAUACACAUUUCCAAGAGCACAUGCAUAACUCUCCAGAUGUAAGCGACCAGAGACAGUCAAAUAAGUUUGGGAAGAGAAAAAAUCUUUGGAGGUGUCUAAUUUUUCAUCCUUUAAUGAAGUUCCUAAUUUUUUCUUUUCUCUCACUUCCAAUUGUGACGCCAGUUCAUUAGUUUUCUUCAGAUCUUGAAUUGCUGCAGCUAGCGCUUCCCUAUUGCUUUCGCUUCUUUUUAAAGUUUCAACUAGUUUGCUUUUCUCUUUGGCAGCUUCCUUCACAAUUUCAAGGCUAACACCUUCAGUCUCAUAAAUGGUACUCAGCUUCUCCUUGACAGCUUUCUGAUUCACGGUAGUUGUAACCUGGAACAUGUUGCCAAAUCCUUCGCAGUCGGUGGUUGUUAUAGUGGGUACUUGCACGUCGAAAAAUGCAUGUUCCUUGAAAAAUGAGUGGGUUGCAAAAGAUAGAGCACUGCGAACUCGCAUGACAGUUGCCACCUAAUAUAUGAGCCAAGCAUCACUUAAUAAAAAUAAUAACAUAUCAAGGCUAAAAUUUUCUAAUUUCAUCACAAAAAACCUGUCAAAAAAAUCGAUGACAAACAUGCUAUUGGAUCAUGGGGAAGCCGUAUUAUUGAGAAAUAUGAUAGGAAAAUAAAUAGGACCUAUUUCAACCCUUACUCUAGAAUUUAAAGCAGUGGUAUGCAAGGAACCUGUAUCAACUUGUAUGUUUAUACAUGAGGAACAAGCUGCUAUGUUACUGCAUUUACUCCAAACUUUACCGAUUAUCAGAAUCAUUUUUAGGCAUUGAAAUUUUUAGAUGACAUAUUCAAAUCCUCUAGAAUGCUAAAAAUAUGGGGGUAAGGUUUAAGGUCAAGAAGAACAGAAACACGAAAAAGUGGUGUAUCAGAAAAUCUAAUGUGUAAUGUAAACUAUGAAAAUAUUCAGGUUCUGGCUACAGCAAAAGAUAAUAAGAUAUAGCGAAUGAGAAAAUAUCAAAUUGAUAUAUAAUUUCACCGUAGUUGUUCGAGGCCGAAAAUGGGAGAAAUCUCUUAACGCAUCCAGUGGAACUCGUUUCUUUGAUAAUGGAUACUUGCCAAUAUCUACUGUCCCAAUGUGAAGAACUUUGUCAGCCUUUAACUGAAUAGCGUGUUUCCCCUCAGUUGCUGGUCGUUCUAGCAGACCUUCAACUAAGAUACAGGUUCCAGUAGGCAAAAGAAGGCUAGGUGUAGUUAUUGAAGAAUCCACCACAACCUACAAAAUAUCAUAUUACAUUUAAAAAAAAUAAUCAUAAACUAAAAAAUUUCUUCAAGAAAUAUCAUAUCACACAUUUAAAUUCAUGGUUGCAAUAUAUCACAUCAUUUAUAAAUUCUAGUCAUUUUAAGAAAACAAAUGAUAAUUUAACAAAGUUAAUAAUCAUUACAGGUUUUUCUAAUCUGAUAUAUGAUAUGUCUAAUCUAAUAUAUCUCUUCAUCUUAUAAAUAUUCAAAUUUACAAAAACUAAAAUAUAAAAUUACUUGAUGGCCAAGAUACUAAUUUUUUAAGAAUGUUUGGCAAAGAUUAUGAAAGCAACCCAUGACAUGGUAAUAAACAAUUUUCAGCUUAUUUCCAUAAGCUUGUCAAAAUAACUUAUGGACCUAUCUAGAUUGACUUAUUUGAGAGUUUGUCUUCUAUCAUAAACAUUUGCAAGACUGUUUGGUAGAGCUUAUGAAAAAGAGUUAAGACAUGUUCAUAACUAGUUUCUAGCUUAUUUCUAUAAGCUCUCCAGAAUAUAUUUUGAAAACAACUUAUAACUUAUACGAAAACAACAAUUUAACAUAAGCAAAGUAAAGAAAACACGAACCUGAAGCGUGGCAACAGAUGAACCAUCAGUGAGAAGUAGAUAAACGGUGGAAGAUUUGGGAGGUAAAGUUCUAGGAAUAGGAGAAUCACGCAAUUUCUUGCGAGACACGUAACUGCUUCCACCCAAAACUUCCAUUAUAUUACGAAUCAAAGGAAUCCUAGACUGAAGAAUCUCUACACAUGACACGUCUUUCGCCGGUGUUAUAUCAUCGUCGGCCGUCAAUGCCGGCGGAGGUGGUGAAGAUUUCUCGACUUCCUUUGAUGACUUCACCCAUCCGCCCACCACCACUCUUUGUCCUAUAAACUCCGAACCGCCGUCGGUUCGGUCUAGAAAAAGUGUUUUUAAUUGAACCCGGUUGGAGUAUUUAAAAGGAGUUAAAAGACUCAAGUGUUGAGAAUUGGGUUCAACUGAACCGGGUUCUUGGGUUUGAGUUUUGGUUUGGUUUUCUUUUGCCAUGUUUUGAACCGAAUAUUAUAAUUAAAAGUGAGAGAGAGAAAAAAGUACUUUUGUGUUUGUGUUUGUUUUUGUGUUGGAAGAGAAUUGAAGAGGAACAUGUUUGUGUCCGUGUAAUAUAUACAACAGUGGAAGAAGAGAAGAGAAAGAUGCUUUGCUUGGAAUGAGAAAAUGAAGAUUGGAGGAGAAGGUAAGGGAUUGUUUGGGAGUUUCUUCUGGAUUUUGAUUUUUUUUUUUUGGAUUAAUAAAGAGAAGAGAAAUAAUGAUAAUUAAGAGGUAUUAUGUUGGGUUUGGUAUUCUUUUGUUUUAGGUAAUUAUUACUUGCUUCUAUUGUAUUUGUGUUGGUUCAUGUUGCACCAAAAUGGGUCACCUACUAAGAAACCCAACCUUGUUGCUCUUAUCAAUUAUCUUAUGAUGUUAUAAGAAUAUGAUGAAGGUAAUGGAUAAAUUAAUAUUAAUGAACUCCACGUUGGAUAAUCUUUUUAAUUAUCCAACAAUGUUGAUAGAAACCACUUUAAUUGGCUUUUGGAAUUUAGUGAUUUGAUGAAGUAUCUUUACAUUACAAAGCUUUCAUAAUUCAAAUAAAUUAUGAAACUAUUUUUUAUUCAGAUGUUUAGAUUGCAGCUUAAGAUUUUCCACAAAGGGUUCCUUUUUUUUUGUUGUUACAAAAAAUAAACUUUAUUUAAAUUUUGGAAUAACUAGAGAACAAUCAAAUUGACUAUGAAUUGGAAUAUUCAAAAGUUAAAAGUAUAUUAAGUCAAACUCUUAAUUCUAACAACCAAACUAAAUUCUUUCACAUAUGAUAAAUGAUCAAAAAUAAGGAAAGAUCCUCCGUCUUUAAUUAAUCAAGUUGAAUCACAUCUUUUUUUUUUCUUCUUAUAACUUGAAUCACAUCAUUUGAUAGCUAUUAAUUUGUAUCUAUCAUCAGUGUAUAUAUUCUAUUUUUAAAAAUAUUUAUGGGCAGGAUUUACACAUUUUAAAUGUCAAAAAUUGUGAAAUUUAGAGUUUAAACUCCAAUCCUCGCAUAGUAUUGCAUUUGUAGCUAUCAACGAAGCUACAAUUACACUAAAUCAGUGUAUAUAUUCUAUUAAUGAAUUAUUUUGAUUCUUUUGAAUCAUGUAUUAUUAUUAAAUAAAAUUCUGAAAAUUAAUUUUAAAUAAACCACUCCAUCUGAAAUUAAAUAUAUCAAAUAUUCUUUUACAGAUUUGAAUAUGGGUGUUAACUUUGGAAAAAAUUAAACCGUCAGUAUAUUUUAAUAUGCCGCCAUAAUUUAAAACAAAAGUAACAAGUAACAAAAAAGUGCAAGAUGAAGAAUAUAGAAUAACAGAACUUUUGUAUUAUUCAAGUGUCCUUUACAAUGUAAGAUGAAUCCCAUCUAUAUGACACGAAAUUUGUAAGUUAAAAGUAAUGAAUAAUACCGAAGAGUGCUUAAAUAAGAUGUUACAAGUCUAUUACUUAAAGUAAAAAAAGAUUGUAUUCCAUUACUCAGUUUACACAAAAAAGAACAAGUGAAUAAUCACAUUAACAUUGGAGUUAAACUCACUAGCAAUUAGUAAGACCAUCCCCUGAAUGAUAAAUUGAUAAUUCUAGAUCACAAUGAUUAAAGGAAUGUGGAAAAUUAAGGAAAAACUAUCUAUUAUCUACAUAGUCCAGUAGUAUUAGACUUAGUUUAGUUUUGUAACCUUAAGAUAUAAAGUUCAAAAUCUCUCAAAGACGUUGUAAAAUAGUCAUUAGUGUCAGUUUUUCUAUUUACAUCCCAUAUUUUUUAGGUUACACCCAAAUUUUCUUAAAAGUUUUUUAUAAUAUCAAAAUUGCCCUUUUAUAUAAAUUUUCUUAAAACCCUAAUUUUAUUCAUUGUCACUGAGUUUCACCCUCUUUCACCCCACAAGCGAUCAUGAGCAAACAAUUUGAUGUUCAAUAUCAAUCUCCAUGAAAAUUAAAGAGUGAAUCAAAAUAUUUUUCAUCCAUACUCAAUUGGAUAUAAGUAAUUGAAUUUCUUCUUCUAUUUGCAAGUUUCAAUUUUUUUCCUUCAACUGCACUGAUGCACUGUACGAUUACGGUUUUAAUUUACAUUGAUAAGGUUAACUUAAAUUCAGUUUAAGUAGGUUCAUGUAAACUUAGUUUACAUGAACCUACUUAAACUGAGUUUACAUGAACCUACUUAAAUUAAGUUUACAUGAACCUACUUAAACUGAAUUUACAUGAACCUACUUAAACUAAGUUUACAUGAACCUACUUAAACUAAGUUUACAUGAACCUACUUAAACUGAGUUUACAGAACAAGGAAAACACAAUCGAUUGAAGAACAAGACUUGCUAACCUGAUUUGCUUCGAAUUUUCUUUGAAAUCAUGAAUGGACGUGAGAAAGUAUGGUUUUGAAAAUCUUCGCAGAACACAAUCGAUUGAUUGGAGAAUUAUGGUUUUCGAAGAGGGGUUUUGGGGUGUAACCAAGAAAGAAGGAAUAUGCUUUUUGAAAAUCAAAUUUUAUGAAAGGGUAAUCUUGUCAUUUUGGGGUGCAACCAUGAUUAACUACGGUGCAAGUAGAAAAACUCUUUAAUUAAUAAAAAAUUUCCAAUUUCCCUAUUAUUUUUUUUAAAAUCUCUAUUAUUUAAUGGAGAAUGCUAACCAGUGCCCUAAGAACAUUGGUUAGGCAUCCAAAACAAAUAAGUUUAUAUGAAAAAGUUGUGUAAUAAUUACUUGAUCAAAAGUAACAUCUUACAUUUUCAAGACAAAAUUUCUAUUUCUGAAUUUCUUAACCAUUGCCCUGAGGGCACUGGUUAGCAAGACCCUUUUAUUUAUUUAUAAUAAUCUUGAAAAAAAAAAAAAAAAUCUAACACACUUCCAAACAAAUAGUAUUGCGGGUCUAUUGGAAUCAAUGGCAAAUAGCAAGAAUUGGAAUCACCAAAAAUUGCAAUCAGGAGGCUCACACACUCAAAAAUUGCAAUCAAUGUCAUGUGGAAAUCAGCCACGUGAAUUAAGCUUGACAGGUGUUUGAUUGAUUCUUGUUUUGUAGUUUCAUACCCAUUAAUGGAUCGAACACGCCAUCGUCCGUCUCAACGUCGCCGUUCCAUCUCCCGCCGCUGAAGUUUCCGUCGUCGAGGAAAAGAUUGAAAUCGACGUUGUGGUUGAAGAAGUUCCCAGUAUCACGAGAAUUGCGGCGAUUACCAUUGAAGUUUCAGGUGACAAAGUUACCAUUGUUUAGGGUUUCAUUUUUCCCAAUUUGAAUUUUGCAAUUUCAUAGCAAUGUUGUUUCAAUUUCUAUUUAAUUUUGUUAUUAUGGUGUUGUUGUAGUGAAGUAAAUUGAGUUAUUAGUUAUGGUUUUUGCUACUAUAAACCUAAAUUAAUUUAUGAUUUCUGCUUUUGAUUGUUCUCUCUCGAUUGUUCAGGAAGAUGAAUGAUGGUGUAGAUUCUGUUGGUGCAGAUGAUGAGGAAUUUUGUUGUAGCUGAAACAUACAAAUGGAUGAUUUUUUGGGAGAUGAAUUAUGUUGAGGAAGCAUAAAAAUAUUCAGCACUUGAUUAUGUUUAGGAAGAUGACUUUUUUUAAUGGCUUUUUUCCCUUUGAUCAGAAGCGACGCCAUGGGAACCUUCUUCCCUAGAGCUUAGGCUUUCUUUAUUUUUCUGUCUGUUUCUUUUUUCUCUUUGAAAUUGUGUUGUGGAAGAUUCGUUAUGAUUGAGAAAAUGUUUUAUGGGUUUUGAAAUUGAUUAUUUGUGAUUUUUGGAGAAGAAUAAGUUGUAGAAAAAAAUUAUAAGUUUUAAUUUAUUUUUCUGGGUAUGUUUGAAAAUUUGUAUGAAUUUAUGAAGAUGAGGAUAAGAAGAGGAAAAUGAAAAUGGAAGAAGAUGAAAAAGGGUGAAAAAUCUGGGUUUAUUUGAUGGAAGUAUAUGAAGAUUAUGAUGAACAUCAUGAACAAUGGAGGGUAGAAGAUGAAGAAAAGGAAAAAAAAUUAUGUGUUGAUGGUUCACUGUAACAUACGAUAUACCUAUAUGAUCUAGCUGUCCUCUUUUUGAAAAAAAAUAUCAAAUGGAUGAAAUUAAAAAAUUAAUAAGGUCGACGGUGGACCACCAAUGGUGUUGGUCUACCUAAUAUAUUUGGGGUUAAAGUUAACUGACUUGGAUCAAAUUGACUAACGGAGCAUAUUUAAAGGACUAAAAAGGAAAAAUUUAGAGUUAUGAGACCAAAAUGAAAACAACAAAUAAGUUGAGGGACCAAAGGUUCAAUUAAGAGGGGAGGGUAGUGUAAUUCAAGCAUCUUUGAGAUGAAGGGAGUGUAAUUUACUCUUUAUUUAUCUCCCAAAAUGUAGUAUAUUACUUUCUUUUUGACAGAUUGUAAUGUAUUUUACUUAAAAUUCUUAUCAAAAGGAAUAACUUCAAAAAUUUACUAAUCAAUCUUUUAUUACAUACAAUUCAACAAGAUCCAAGUAAUUCAUCCAUCUCUCAAGCCAAAUCCAACUUCAAUUCUGUCAUACAGUAUAGAACCAGAAAAAAGUUUAUUCCAUAUUUUACCAAGGAAAUGUGCACCAUUAUUUAACAGUAUUAUGAUAGAAAUUGAUACCAUAAAGAACUAAAAUUUAUCUAAAUAGAUAAAAAAGAAACUGAAAUACUGAAAUGUGGGGUCCAAUAAAACACUUUCAUCACACAGGUAUGUACUAAUCCAUCCACUCAAUUCAUAAUCGUAGCAGUCACUUUUGGCAACACCUUUUGGGAAAACAAGAUGAAUUGCAGCUACAUUUCCAUCAAUAUUCAUAACUGGCUUCUUGCAGAUGUCAUCAGCUAUACAUAGUUACCAUGACACAAACAGAACAGUAAGUAACUAAAAGUGGUGAAGCCAAGAAUUUUGCUCUAGUUAACAAUAAGCAUAUUUAGCCAAAGAGAAUCAUAUGCAAAGUAACAACUUAUGGAUCAAAAACAAAAAAGUCUUGUUAUAUUUUGCAUAUUCUAGAAUAAAUGCAAUAACAAAUUAAGACCAAAGACAUUUAGAGUAUGAAACAAAACAAACAGUAAAAAGGUAGUUUAUGAGGUUACAAAGAAAUCAAUCUACAAAUAAUGAAAUUCAUCUACUUUUGAAAAUCCAGAAAAUGAAAUAACAUAAACCAAAUAAAGUUAUCAUUGGUUCUAACAAGAUGUAAUGUGGGUACCUUCAUCACCAUUUUAAGAUUAUGUUUGGGAUGUGAGCAAUUUUUGCCCAUGUUGCACUUGUUUGUGUCUCACAUUCUUCAAUUAAAUCAGGACAAUCAGCAAUUUGUAGGGUCUGUAAUUUGGCAAGGCGAGGCAUUCCUUCGGGCAGCGAAGCCAAACAUUCACAGUCCAAAAGAUUGAUACGAUGAAGUGAUGAGAGGUUGCAAAUCCAAUCUGGCAAUGCCUCUAGAUCCUUACAAUCCAAAAAUGUAAUACUUUCCAAGAAAGGAAGACGGUUGGUGCCGUUCCUAAACCAAAUUCCAAUUUCUUGAAAUUUUUUAUUUAGAACCUUACGAAAACCAAGAUGCUUGAGAGAAGUCAGAAUUUGCAACCAAUCCUCUGGGAGUUUUUUCACAUUCAGAUCAUAUCCACCAAUGUGCAAGUAUUUUAGCAUAGAAAGAGGAGGGAAUUCAAUCGGACACAUUGAACCUACCAUGUUUAAUGUCGUCUCCAAUGCCUCCACUUUAGAAAAUUCUAAACUCAAUUCCUCAAGUUUUGGAAAAGUAGGCAUUUGAGUCAACUCAUCACAUCCACAAAUAUAUAACUCAGAAAGACGAGGAAAGGAUAGAUGAUAUAACUGUGAAGAGUUAUUAUCAUCAUCGACACCAUCUCUCAUUUUCCUCCAUCCUGUCAGCUUUCCACAUCCGACAAACUUGAGUUUCUUCAAAGAUGGGAAAAAUGAUUCAGAUGAAAGAGGCUCUUCAUAAUAUAUGACUUCCAAUUCUUUAAGAUGAAAUACACUAAGUGACUUAAGAAACAGGAGACAUUCCAUUGGUGGGAGAUACUGCAAACCUGGACAAUAAUUGAGAGAGAUUUGAACAAUAUUUGAGAGUGAAGACCAAUUUGAAACAAUGACACUCUUAUACUGUCCUCUCAGACCCAAUUUUCCAAAUCUAGAUGUUCUCUUCUUCUGUUCAGAUGUUUUAAAUAUUCUAUAUCAAAAUAUCUCAAACUAAUUAAUUUUGAGAUAUCUAUUGUAGAAAAUUCAACUUUACAUCUGUGCAAUAAUAGUGUUUGUAAACAAACAAGAUUGCUUAUGGAUGUCGAAAGACUUCCGACUACUUCACACUCUUGUAAGUUAAGAUAUCUCAAAUGGUUCAACUUUUCAAUUGAAUCACACAAAUUACUUAGAGAACAACGCAUAAGCUUCAAGACGCGUAAGUAUUUGAAUUUUGAAAUGACUAAUAAUUCCUUUUCAUUCAACUUUUCUGAAAAAUCAGUCAACAAAAUCAAAGUUCGCAUCUUGUUUGAACUCAAUGACUCCAAGAAACCAAUAGCAUCCCUUUUCAACAUUAUAUGCAUGGGACUUCCUACCAGUCUUUUUGUCUCACUGUCCAAGUAACAACAAUCAUUACCGGCUACUUUCAUUGAAAGGUCAUGCAUUUUGAAACUACGUAUAUCUCCAUGAUAAAUUUCAGCAUCUUGGAAAAAAGACUUCAUCAAUAAAAUCGUCACAAAUUGGUUACCGAUGUCUUCCAUGCGCUGCUUUUCAUCAGAACAUUCGAGAUAACCUUGUGCCAUCCAUAGUUGAAUCAACUCAUCCUUCUCUAUUUUCCAAUCUUUAGUAUAUAAAGAGCAGUAGGCAAAACAUUGCCGUAGUUGAGGAGACAAGUUUUGGUAACUCAGUUUCAACACCGGCAUGAUGCUUUCUUCGUCUUCACAUAAUUUCCAAAAGUCACCUUGUAAAACAUCAAUCCAUUCUCUUUCUUCAUUUUUGCCCUGCAAUAGGCCUCCUAGUGUUCUGAUUGCAAGUGGAACACCACUGCACUUUUCUGCAAUCUUCUUGCCAAUUGUUUCAAGAGUUUGGUUUACUGCUUUCGUCUCAUCCCCAUAUGUAAUAAUGUUCGUCAACAAACUCCAAGAUUUUUCUAGAGUCAAACCAUUCAAAUUAUAGGAGACGCUUACACCCAUUCUUUCUGCAACAAUUUUAGAACGAGUUGUCACUACAACCUUACUGCCUUUAGCACCAUACAUCAAAUAAGUCCUCAAUUGAGCCCAUUUUCCAAAACUCUCGUUCCAAAUGUCAUCUAGGACUAACAAGUAUUUUUUACCAGUUAGAUUUUCUCGAAGCAUGUUUUGCAAGUUUUCUAAUGAUAAUGUAUCAUUAAUUGGUUCCUUUGUUAAUGACUCCAACAUGUUCUUCACAAUAGUUUUGACAUCAAAGUUAUCAGAGACACAAACCCACAUACACUUUUCAAAAUAAUUUGUUACUUCACCAUCAUUGUAUACCAAUUGAGAAAGAGCUGUCUUUCCCAAACCACCAAUCCCAACAAUAGCAACCACAGAGACACGUUGAUUUUCAUGUGAUUGCCUCAACAUGCUUACAAUGUCAUUUUUAUCAUCAUCUCUUCCAAUGAUAUCUGACUCUAACACAAAAGAACUUUUUUCUCUCCUAACACUAUUAGUUUGCUGAACCACCACAACAUUCGGGUUUAGAUUCAACACAGACAUAUCUUUCACCACAUCAUUAAACUUCUUUUGUAUCUUUUCAACCUCAUAAGCCAUUUUACGGCUAAAAGCAAUUCUAUUCGGAGAUAAAGAAUGAAGCACCUGUGUUACUUUGUUCUUACGAGCUUCAUCCCGUUUUUGUCUCAUGUCUUCGAUAGCAAAUUCAUCUAGCAAGUCAUCAGCAGGAUGAAGUACAUCAUCUUUGAGUCUUCUUAUCCAGAUUUGUACAGCAUGACUUUUCUCUUGUUUGUCUUCAGCAUCAAGGAGCACAGCUUUGAUGGAUUCAACUGUGUUUUUAAGCCUUUCCAGUUCAUCCAUCACACCAUAAAUCCGUCCAAAUUCACGAAAGGCCGCUGAAGCCAACCUGACAAAAGAAAAUUUCCAGCAUAUAUAUCAACUAACUGUAAUUAUAACAUAUAUUGUGAAUGAAACAAUUCAAGGGAAAAAAUAGAGAAAAGGUUGGAAAAUGAAGUAAGUAACCUGUUAACGAGGCUUGCAGCAACAGCAUAAGGAAUUUGUUCAGCCAUCCUUCAAAAAGAAAAUACUACAAAUUAAACAAAUUGAAGAUUGAAAAAAGUUUGAGAGUGGCAAUGAAUAACAGGAAGGGAGGAAUAAUGAAAAUAAUGAUAAUAUUUGAUGGCUAUUUUUUUUUCUUCUUACAGUAAUAUUAGUAUGAAGUUUCUUUCUACCACCUUUUAGCUUAUGAUCUUUCUUUAAAGUCCAAGUGGACCAACCCAUUGUUGACAAGGACUAAUAAUGUUUUUUUUUAAGGGAACGGCUAAUAAUGUUUUGUUAUUCUCAACAAAAAAAAAGUAAAAAUGUAUAUUAGGUUAUUAGUAACAAAAAAAUAAAAAAAGAUAGGAGAUUUUGGGAUGCUAGAUAAUUAUUACUAUUUUACCGAGUAAAUAAGCAAUUUUACUCCUGAAAUUGUAAGUUUUGUCUAUUACCCUCUGAAAUUAACAAAACUUCAAUUACCCCCAUGAAAUUGCAUAACGUUAAUCAAUUUACCCCUCCGUCAAAUUUUUCUGUUAGUGACAUUUUUGUCCUGCAUUGUCAAUCGCUGUUAGGACCAUGAAGAUCGGAGAAAAAGUCAUUUUAACUGUUAAGCCACAAUUUAAGUAGUCUAGAAAUUAACUAAACAAGUUUUGCAAAACAAGCAUCACUACUCUUUGAGAACGGAACAUAACUAGAAAUCCUCGUAUUCUGUUAUAGAUGGAUUUGGUGACAAGGGCAGGCCAGCUCACCAUGAUGAAGCUUCAGUUCCACCUAACGCAACAUUGCAGAUCACUCUCAGGUUAGUUUCUUGGUACAAAGCAACUUUUCAUAAGCAGCUUCUCAAGGAAGGAGAAGGAGCUGAUGUACCGUCCAAAUGAGGGAGCUCUUGUGAAAUGUAAAUCAUCAUUCAUCAUUGAUUGAUUGCUAAUAUAUUAUGAUAUGAUGGCUCUUUUUUUUUAAUGGAUUUAGUGCAUCGGUUCUGAUGUGUUAUCUCCUCAUUUUGCAUUUUUGUAGUAAAACUAAUUGGUAAGCUGCAAGAUGGCACUGUAUUUUUGAACAAGGGAUAUAAUGAUGGUGAUGAUGAUGAAGCGGAUCUGUUUGAAUUUAAAACAGACGAGGGUAAUUUUAAUUUUCCCAAUGUUUCACCCUCUCACCAUCAUUUGUUUUUAAAUCAAAUAAAGUGAAUGCUUUUUGUAUUGAGCAGAGCAAGUGAUUGAUGGGCUUGAUAAAGCUGUACUGACCAUGAAGAAAGGUGAGGUAGCUUUGUUGACUAUUACGCCUGAAUAUGCUUUUGGUUCAUCAGAGUCUCAGCAGGAAUUGGCAGUGGUUCCUCCUAAUUCAACCGUGUAUUAUGAGGUUGAGCUAGUAUCGUUCGUAAAGGUAAAUAAAUAACUUGAUGAUAAUUAGCAAUUGUGCAUUGUGACAUAUUUCAUUGCUGUUUUUUAAAAUUCUAUUAUUGAAAAGGAACACUAGCAGCCGGUGUUUAACAAAGCAGAGAUCUGCCUUUUAGUUUUAUUCUACUUACUUCAAUUGCCAAGUCUGGUAUUUUUUUCUUGUCAUUUUUGUACCGUUUUUCAUUUCUUUGUUCAUUAUUUAUAAUCAGUAUCUAUUGUCAAACCUAAAUUGAAUUUCUUGACAUAAAUAUGAUUGUUGUUUGGUUGCCAUCAUCCUGGUCUAGCAAGAAUGUCCAAAUUGCUAGGCUGGACGCCGUGACCGGGGUUUGAACUCCGGCCCCAAAAAAAAAAAAAAAAAGGCAAAUGCUUAACUGUGUUUACGGGGCUCUUAUGGUUAAGGUUCCUUAGAAAUAAUGUAGCAUUGGUUAGCAGUGUUACACUUUACACUUUUCAAUAAAUAAAUAAAAGUGUUUUUUCCUUGAGUUCUGUCUCUCAAAUAAUUAUUGGUUGGAUACCAUUGCAACUUUCUUUAUGCAUUUAUACCUUGGUUCAUUGUUUGCUUUAGGCUAAGGAGGUAUCGGACAUGAACACUGAAGAGAAGAUAGAAGCUGCUCGUGAGAAGCGACAAGAAGGCCUAGCAUUAGUUUAUGCUGCUGAAUAUGCAAGAGCUUCUAAAAGAUUUCAGAAGGUAACCAGGUUACAUUAAUAUAUUUCACCAUCUACAAUGUGAUAGGGCACUUAAGCCUAUGGUCCAUUGGUGAGCUAAGCAUUAGGACAAAUCUGCAUAAGCCCAACAUCUAGGAGUGCAUGAGGGGAAGGAAGGUAGGGCUAGUGAGAUAAUAAGUUAGUUAGCGACUCCGACACGGACAUCUGACACAGCACCGACACUGACACGUUGACACCACUAAUGUAAAAAAAACAUAGGACACCGACACUACUACUUGUAUACUAAUUUAUUUAUGAAAGAUCUAAAUUGAGAAUCACGCAUGUAUCUUACUUGAGCAAUUUAUUUCAUUAAAAAAAGGUCUAUAACAAGAUACAAUAGUAUUUGGCCUUUAUUUAUCCAUCUACUAUCGAAAAAUUUAAAAACGUUGUAUUCAACUUUAUAGCCCUUCGUUGAUCAACAUUUUCCGCACGUCUUUAACUCUUGAAUAUUGUUAGAGUUGGUUACUAGAGUUUCUCUAGUUAGGAGCAUAGUGCUCUCUUUAGGAGUCUUUGACUCUGGUUUAUCUAUUUCAUUCUGUUAUUCCACCCUUGUAGAGCCUCUACACUCAUAUUUAUCAUUUGAUAGUAAUAUACAAAAUUACCUUGUUCAUUCUGCGGGUUCUAUCAGGUAUCUUUUCUGAAACUGAAACCGUAAUGCAGGCUCUGAAGUUUAUAAAGUAUGAAACUUCCUUUCCCGAUGAGGAUAGGGAAAUUGUUAGCUUGAGGUUUUCUUGUAAUCUGGGCAAUGCAUGCUGCUUGAUGGAAUUGAAAGAUUAUGAACGGGCAAAUAAAUAUUUUAAGGUAUGGCUGCUGUCUCCCAUCUUAUAGAAAAUCACAUCUCUUGUUUAAUAGAAGUAAUAAUCAGUAACUUGUUUUACACAACGAACAAGCAGGAUCUCAACUUAAAGCGCAUAGACACUAAAACGUUGGCUGCGAACCGGAAACUUUCAUGCAGGAGGAAACCGUCCAAGAAUUGUCCUGGCAUUUGCAUAUGAUGUCAAGUUGAAGUCAAAAAAAUGGAUGGUUUAUUUAAAGGGUCUCGUUAACGAGUGCCCUCGGGUCACUCUUAAGCAUCCCAUAUUUAGUAAUUAUUCUUUUAAAAAGUUAACUAUUACAAUUUCCAAUGCAUUCAUUCAAUGCACACCGUUUCAUUAAAAACUUACUAUUUAAAGUGCUUAAAGAGUGUCCGGGGGCACUCUUAACAUUUCAUUAUUUAAAUUGUCUCCGCAUCUAAUCUUGUACAUUUAUUGAGCAUGGAGAAAUUCGGGCCAAAGAUGGUACAUAUGAUGUGAAUUGUGUGUUGAUGUUUGUUUUUUUCUUGACGCAAAUGUGUUGAUGUUUCUAGAGUAACUUGGACUUGUGAGUUUAUAGUAUUUUCUAAAGGACUUGUAAUAUUCUAUCAAGUGUUUAAUUUCUAUGUAUUGACGAUGUAAAUCACUUAUUUACAUAGGCUGACUCGUGGAACACCAAUAAUGGGUGUCCCAAUAAUGUUGUUAGAAAUAUUUAUAAGAAGAAAAAAAAAUAUUGACGAUGAAAAAAAAUCAAUUUUCAAUUUGGUCACCUCGUUUAUAAAAUUUAGACAUUACUUCACACACUCUUCCAUUAUCAAAUUUUGAAAAGAAGGGCAUCAAAAGUUAACAAUUAUGAAAAUAUGGGGACCAAAAUUGCAUUUAAGCCAAAAAUAUCUUACAUGUAAGAUGUAACCCAAGAGGAAUGCAUGAUUUUACAGUAGGGUAAAAUGAUACUCUUCUUGUUUUGCAUUCUAAAGAAGCUCACGAAAAAUACGAUAUCUAGCAUUUGUAGAAAAUGACUAAUUAAAUCAGAAAUGCAAUAUAUUUGAACAAAACAUUAGUAAAAGACUAAGGGGCAGGAACAGAAUAAAUAUAAGGAUUGGACAACUAAUAUUUAAUUCUCAUUCAAAUUCGAAAGGGUUUUUUAUACCUAUUCUUACGAUUUAUUUUCAUAUAUUGGGCUAUAGCCUUUAAUGCAGAACAAGUUCUUAAACUUGUUACAAAGUUUAAUUCAAAGCUAAAGUACUUAAAUCUUGCUUUAAGGAACGUAGUAUCUUAUUGGUUUAAUUGAUCCUUUAGUCCUCUAACUUAUCGGGCUCGCUAAACAGAGGGAGAGGAUGAUAAAGACGGAUCUCAAGAAUUCUGCGCCAUGUGCCAUCAAUUAGCAGCUCUUUCACCUAUAAAGUAGGCAUAGUUAGGGCAUAGUUAGCCCAACAGAUUGAGUUAGAAUAAAAGGAAAUACUUCUGAAGGGCUUUCCUUCAACCAUUUCAACUUUGUUAUCAACAAUUCCACCAAUUGAAGGAUUUCAUUUUCGGUGAGAGACAUAAAAAUCAUGGGUCCAUGCCUUUGUAAUCUAUGAGCCAGAUCCUCCCUGACAACAUAAAAAACAUGUAGCAAAUUAUUACUAUUGAAUUAUUCCUUCAACAAGUAGCUACAUAAUGAUCAUAAAAAAUAUUGCAUAGCGAAAGGGAUAGUUAUGAAGAAAAGAACUACAAAACUAGCAAACCUGCUUCUUGAUCGGGAAAUAAGACGUGAUCCUCUAGAUGAGAAAACAAAAGUUUCCACAUCAUCCCCAAAAGAAUCAGUAGAAAAUAACUCACGCAUUUCUGAAUGAUCGGCAACCCUCUGCUUCUUCUUCUUAACGGUAGAUGUUGUUGAUGGGAUCAAACGUACACAAAAAUUAUCAUCUCCUAUAUACAAGAGUUGCACUUGUGGUAUAGAUGCUAUCACUUGGGAAAACCUUUUUGUAUCACCAGAGAUACCCAAUCUCAUCUUAAGUUCUCCGACGGGGAUUCCAUUAGGGUACGAACUCAAUACCUCCCUAACCGGCCUAUACUGUACCCUUUGACCUUCACAAGAAAACGAGGAAGGUAUAUGGAUCUCUGCAUUUUGUGAAGAUGUGGGCUCCUCAGCAGCUAAGAAGGGAUUUUUAGGACGCACCUUCCAGUUUCUAUACCACUCUGGAGGAUAUUCAAGAGGCACCCGCGCCUUAACAUACCACUCAGGAGGAUAACAGAAAUAUUUUCCAGUAAGAUAUUUCCCCUUGAGCACUGAAGACCACCGCCAUACUAUAAAUGCUCUUCUGCUGACACAAUCUUCAGCCUUUCCUGGACAUGCAAGCAAGAGGUUCUCGUUCCUCCUAUGAUAGUUCCUCCUAUGAUAGUUUCGAACCAAUAUGCAGGAGAAGUUUAUGUCUUUAUCACCAGAUAUCAAAAAGAGGUGCAUGGGCGAGGAGGGAUUUUGAGAAAACCAAUCCACAAAGCAUUUGCUCUUGUUCUUUCCACCUGUAACAGAGUAGUUAAAGGUCAUUAUUAUUUUAAAAGAUAAAGUAGAUAAGAUUGAAUGAUACAUUUCAGCAAGUCGUCGUAUGGACAAGAUUCUAAAACUGAUUUGUUAGCUGCACAUCCAUCUCAAACCAUAAGAACCAAGCUCCAUAACAAACAAGGACACUACAUUCAAAAUACAAAAGAGUCGUCUAUCUAAUUGUGAUAACUAAAGAGCAAUGUUCAACAUUUCAAAAAUUGAUUCUUGAUAUGGGUGUAUUAGAAUGGAGUUUUAAAAAACUUUUUUGGACAAAAUAAUCUUGCGGUAUUUAAUCAGGACUUUUAUAUAAUAUAAAAAAUCUUAUGGUAUUCAAUUUGGAUUUUCAAGAUUUUUUAAAGAGAGUUUCACAAAACUCAAUUGUAUUCGAGACUUUUUACAACUUAAAAUAGAAUCCGUCGGUAUUAGAAAGAAAGAAAGAAAAAAAACACAGAUUUUGAGGAAUUACUUUACUAAAUAGAUUUUGUAUAAGACUUUUUAGUACCGUUAAUAUUUAAUUAAAUAGUAAACAAUUGUAUUUACAUUGUAAAUAUAUUCUAGCUUACUUUAGGAUAAAAUAUUACGUAGAAUAUUCCUUUUGUAAUCUCCUAUAUAAUAGACCCGUAGUGUUAUUCAGACAUAGUUUUUAGCAUAUGUCUCUCUUUUUUCUCUUAUUCAACAAGUACAAUCUAUAAACACUACACCCAGCAAACAAUCCCACCUAAACUCAUGGGACUUUUAAACUCUAUCAUUCCCUGCUUGUAGACCUCUUCAAGUGAGUAUUUCUAUCUCUCUCUUCCUUUUUAUACUCAAAGUUUAUCCAUCAUUAUAACUCCUAUCCUAUGUAUUGCAAAAAAUGUGAUCAGCAACUGCUCUUUUACAACUCUUGACUCUGCUCUCAAUUUCUUAAUCUCGCUAUCAGCAAACUUUGUUAGGUGCUCUCAUUAUUUUUACCCUUGGUAUUGUAAUCAUAUAGAGAUAAUGAUCAAUGAUAACAAAAACUGAAAAACAAAAAGUAUAAGGAGAUCACAUAAAAAUAUAAAAAUAAAAAAAUAAAAAAAAGAAAGUAAAAUCCUAUUGCAAUAAUAAUCUUGAUAAGUUUUCUCUUAAUUUUUUUUGAUGAAGUUUCUUUUGAUGUAAUUGGGUUAUGCCAUAAUAAUCUUUUUACGCCUGUAAAAUCGAAACAAAAAUGUUUUGAAAGCUCGGCGGAAUCAUUAAACUCGGGAAAUUUCUCCAAAGUCUUUUAAAAUCUAUUGGACUUUUUUCCUAAUAAAACAGUCCUAUAAAAUCCAAAACCAAUACACCCCUUAAUUUCUGGUAAAGAAAGAAAAACAAUAGAACUGAAAAUGAAGAUGGUAAUAGUUUUAGAUAUAAGGUAAGAAAAAAGAACCUGGAAUGUGGUGGAGAACAAUGCCAGAUUGGAAAAAUGCUUCUUGUUUGAUCUGUGAAAGUUGAGAAACAUCGCCAUAAGCGUCAAUAUGAAUUGGGCCCUUAAUCCCGUUGGCUCUAAGAACUCCCAUAAUUGAAGGUGCUACAUUCAAAAAGCUAAUGCCGGAGGGGACGCCACAGCUAUCAAAGUCCCACCAUACUGCAACCCUAAAUUUAAAGUUAUCCCAAUGAGGUUGCAGAGGAUGACUAAGAUCCUGUUGCAGUUCUGAUGACUUGGGCUCUUCAAAAUGACUAGCACUAUGGUCUAUUUCGGACUUAGCAUUGCUUUUCCAAAAUGUCCACCAACUACUAAUCCAACUACAGAAAGUUGAAGUAAAUGGGCUACGACAAACUUCAUCAACCUCCUUUCUAGUUGGAAUCUCAUGGUUGUUUUCCAAUAUGGUGCAAUCAUUAGAAGUAGACGGAUUCUGUGAAGGGAUUAUUUUUUCAAGAAUUUCAGGAUUUCCAUCAUCAGACUUAACAACGUCAUUGUCAGAUUUUUUGGAAAUAUUGUUGUCAUCUGGAAGAAGUUGAAUCUGCGGCAAUGGUGCACGGGCCACAUCCAACUCUAAAGAUUUUUUCUGCAACUCAUUUGGAGGCUGAUGCACAAUACUGUCCAUGAACAAAGGAGUUGAUGAUUUACCAUCAGCGUAUUCCCCGAGAGGUUUUCCUUGUGAAGGGAUAGAUUGGAAUGAUUUUAAAUCAUCACCCUCACUGUUAACACACGAUGAGGAUAUUUUGGGAACCCCGUCUGCACUUCUAUCCAUAUUUUUACCGUCAUUGGGCAACUUUUGAGUUGCGGCACCAUCGUUCUGGUUAUUCUUAACAGCAGAUGUCGUUGAUGGGACCAAACAAACCCAAAAAUUAUUUCCUCCUAAAUACUGGAGUUGUACAUAUGACAUAGAUAUUAGGAAGUUGGAAAACUUUUUAUUUCCAUAGAAACGUUUAACCAAAGGCAUAUCACAGUUUGUCAACUCUGCACGAAGAUCUCCUAUGGAGAUCCCAUUUGGAUGCGAACACAAUAUUUUCAUAACCUGGCUAGAAAAUGAUUUUGAAGCUUGACUUAACUUUUUGUCCAAGGUAGGUUUGUAUAUCUCCUCCUCCGAAUUUUGUGAAGAUGUGUGCAACUCAACAACUGAGAAGGGGUUUUCAAGAGGCACAUUUGAGUUUUCAUACCAUGAAUAAGUGGGACCAUCAGGAGGAUAGUUGAAAUGUUUUCCUGUAAGGUCAUCCCCCUUGAGCAUGGAAGACCACUCCCACAUUAUAGUUGCUGCAUGGCAGAGAGCAGCAACAUGAGCCCUUCCGGGACAUGCAAGCAAGAUAUUGUAGUUGCACAUUCUUAACCGGUGCAAUAUGCCACUGCUAGAAAAGUCUCUAUUACCAAAUAUCAAAAACAGGUGUAGUGGUGGAGGAUUUGUGGAAACCCAAUCAUUGAGAUCCAUAAGAAAAUGCUUAUAGGUAUUAUUCUUUGUAUCUGCAACAAUAUAGUUGUUAUUUAUUAUUUGAAAGAGUUGUGUUAUCUAUAUGACAACUAAAAUUUUACAAAGAAAAUGAAGUAUUAACACAAAAAAUCAAAACGAGAGAGAGAGAGAGAGGAACGAACCCUUAUAUCUUUUGUCAAGGUCAAAAGGGUAAUCAUCGGAAAAGGAGUGUAGAGUAAUGUUGGUUGAAUUAAAAGCCUCUUUGUCGACAUCACCAUAAGCGUGAAUAUGAAUUGCACCCAUAAUUCCGUUAGCUCUAACGGCUGCCGUAAUUGAAGGUGCUACCUUGGAAAAGCUAAACCCAGAGGGCACGGGACAGCUGUCAAGGUGCCACCAUACUGAAACCUCGGGAGGAGAAGAAGAUGAUGAGAACCCACGCCCUUUAAACCUAAUAAAAACCUUGCGAGAAAGACGAGAAGGUAGAAAAAGAGGAAACAUUGUUAGUCUUGUUCGGAUUGGGCGGCGGUUUCAGAUUCGAUGACAGCUUGUCGGAUUCAAGCGGCCAUGGGCAAAGGGGAGAUGAAAUUGCAGUGAGGGGGAAGAAGGCGUUUGCGUUUCUGUUUGUUGACUAUUCCGCCACAAUAUGCUUUUGGUUCCUCCUAAUUCAACCUUGUGUAAAGGUAAAUAAAUAACUUAUUCAAUGUUGAUUAUUAAAAUUAUAUUAUUUUGUUUCUGUUUAUCUUUUUUUUCAGCUUUUUUUAUUUACAUGGUUUUUCGUGUUUAAAAAAAAAAAUCUGUUUUAAACUUUUAAUCCCUUUAUUUAAAAAAUCGGCCUUUAAAUUUGUCCUUGAAUUUAAAAAAAUUGGCCAAAUUUGUCCCUGAGUUUUUCAAAAUAGCUAUUUAGUCCCUUAAUUUACAAAAUGUCAAUCAAAUUAGUCCCUCUGUUAAGUUGGUAUGUUAAUAGAUGUGACAUGUAAUGUUAACCUCUUACAAGGUUUACCACGUCAGAUGUCACGCAAGCAGGGACCAAAUUGAUUGAUUUACAGAAAAUUGCCAAUGACUAAAUUGAUUGAUUUUCAGAAAAUUAUCAAGGACCAAAUUGAUUGAUUUUCAGAAAAUUGCAAAAUUCCCAACGACUCUUUCUCAUUAACGGCUAUUUCUUCCCAAAAUAUAUAAAUUUGGAACCUUGAUGUUAUAAUUUGUCACCUAGAGUUCAAAAUCCCCAAAAUUUCUUCCAUGAAUUGAUGCCAAAGUUCUUCCCCAAUUCAAAAAACUUAAAAUCUUAAUUUUUUUGAUUCAAUUCGAAAUUCAAAAAUCAGUGGAAGAUGUUGAUAGUGUUAGAGAAGAGGCUUGGAGAAGCCAAAGGAUAGUGUUAGAGAAGAGGCUUGGAGGGCAAGGUUGAUGGAUAAAGUUGAUUGUAUAGGAAGUGAGCUUAGGUUGAUUAAAAUAUUGAUAGGAGUAAUUUGUUUGAUUAAGUCGUUUAAAAUGUUAUUUUAUUGUGUCAAGUGUGUGUAAUGUUGUAAUGUUAUAAUGAAAAGAAGUUGUCAAUGAAUGAAUUCAACCCUUCUGUCAAAAAAAUUCAAUCAAAUUGGUUCUUCUAUUGUAUGUCUAUCCAUCACAUUCAUCCCCAAAUUAGUGAAAUUACCAUCAAAUCAGUUCUUGAAUUUUCACAACAUAAAUCAAUGUGAUCCUUGGUGCAUACAUCUACUGAACAAAGUAAAAAGUAAAAGACGGACCCUCUAUAUGUAUUUUUAUAUAGUUGUUAGCAAAAAAUCAGCUCAAAAUUCAAUUUCUAAGUUGACGUUUUGAUGUUUUAGUUUCUUGAGUUUUUGGUGCAUUAAAAAUUCAUAUUUAAUCCAUCCGUUUUCGAAAAAUUCUAAUUUUUUUUGUGGGAAGUAUUUUUUUUAAUGUCCUUAAUAUGUGUGCAAAAAGUAAUAAAAAAUUCAACUUCUAUAACUUUUCCAGAGGUAGAAAAAUAUUGCGGUUUUACAGGUUUCGGUAAAAAAUUCAAAAUAUAUUGAGGCUUAAUCGAAAUACUAUGUAAAUUUGCAGAUCUCUAUAUGUACUUUUUAUAGAGAUGUAUGUAAAAAAAUAAGAGAGAAAGUAAUAUAAGAUAGGCACAAAGUCACUGUGACUUCUAAGGGUGUGUUUGGUUAAAAAAAAGCUAUAAGCUAGCUGAUAACUGAAAAUUUAGCUGAUUAAAAUUAAGUGUUUGGUAAAAUUAGUUGUGGAAGUGACUAUAAAUAUAAAAAGACAUAAAAGACAUGAUUGUUUAAUUUUUUUUAAUAUCAUAUAUAUAAUUUUUAUUACUUAACGCAUUUAUUUUUAAAUAUUUAAAUAUAUUUCAAAUUAUUUUCAUCUCCAAAAUAAUAAAUGUAUUUAUGAAUUCAAUCGAAUUUUUUUAAUUAACAAUUUUUAUUUUAUUUUUAUAAAUUUUAUUUAACUAAACUUGCUUCACUAUUAUAAAUUUAUAUAAAUUAUAUAUUAUAUAAAUUAUGAGCAAAGUAAAAAAAAAAACAAAAAGUGGACAAUAAAAAUUUAAAAAGCCAUACAUGGUAAACAUGAUUAGUUUAAGGUCAUACAUGGUAAAAAUAAGUUAUAAGCUAGCUGAUGGCUGAUGACUGAUAACUGAUAGCUUUAGCUGAAAAGCUUGCUUAUUAAAAUAAUGUGUUUGGUAAAAUUAGCUGUUGAAGUGGCUGAUAAGUAUAAAAUAACAUAAAAGGACAUUUUUUAAUAUAUAUAUAUAUAGACACACUAUUUUUUUGUAAUGUAUUUAUUUUUAAUAUUUUAAUUAUAGUUAAAUAUGUUUUUGGUCCCUAUAAAUAUUCAAACUUUUGGUCUUAGUCUCCAUAAAAAAAUUCUUCGAGUGUAUUUUUAAUAUUUUUAAUUAUAGUUAAAUAUGUAUUUUUAAUUCUCCAUACACUUUUGGUCUUGGGGUUUGCUAGAACACACCCACUAGUUUUUAUGUGGGAGUGUUUUAGCAAAACUACACCUUAAGGUGUAUUUAACCACUUUUUAGUUAUUCACUUGCUAAAAUGCCUAUAAGAUUUGCUAGAACACACCCACUUGCUUUUUCUAGAAGGUGUGUUAUAGCAACAUACACCUUAAGGUGUAUUUAUUAACUUUUUAGUUAUAACUUGCUAAAACACUCCCACAUAAAAAUUAGUGGGUGUGUUCUAGCAAAUCCCUUAUAUAUAUAUAUGGGAGCCCCUAAUAUGGACCUCUUUCUUUAAGGUUCAUUCAUGGUCCUUGCUAAAUGACAUGUAAUAGUGAGUAGACACUUACUUUUCGGGUGCAAAAUCACUUGUUAAUUUUCUAACCCCCAUUUCAUACUGUACACCCUACUCCUGGUAUAUGAAUAUUUUGUUGUAACUUUUGGGUUUUAUUUUAUUUCAAAAGUUAAUGUAAUUAACUAUUUUUAUUUAAGCACAUUUACUUGUUUCCUGAGUCAAAGGCAGUUAUAUUUUUAUUCCAACGUGCACAAUUGAAUAGCUAUUAUUAAGGCUUUAUUUUGCAUAACAAAGAAUUCUUUUUACUUUCUUAGAAAAAGUCUUUUUACGGAAACAAAUAGGUGUGAAGCUUUUUCUUAAAUAGCCUUUCAUCAGUAGCAAGAAAAAAAAUCAUCUCCCAAAACCAUAAACAAAAAAUAGUUUUCUCUCCUCUCAAAAAUAUUGACUUUUUUAGGGUUACAUCUCCUCUGCUAUCUUUGAGAUAGAUUCAAGUUGUACUAAAAAAACAAUUAAACCUAAAACUAACGCCCUGAUUGGCUGCCUAUUCCUUCAGGCUAUCUGAAACAUGGUGGUCGGAUGCAUUUCAUCCUACAUCCUCCUCAAAAGAUCCCAGAAGUAUUCCACAAAGUCACCAUCAUACAGCCCCUCCUCCGUCAUGCCGUAGACGAUGUGUAUGAUAGCCAGUGUGCUAGGAUGAUCUCUCGCAUGAUCCUCCUAAAUAACGAUCUCCUUAUUAGACGGCCGAGAAGGUGGUACCUGAACAACCUCUGCUGGUGGGAUCACCUACGGAUGAGACACUCUGUAGGACCAUGUAAUGUACCUCGGUAUGUGCUGCCACAAAUCCGCUACCACCGGACCCUGCAUAAUCAAUGGUAUGACGUGAAUCACGAAGUUUUGAAAUGACUACAUUAUCUGGACUAAGCGAAGGGGAGGCACAUAUGACGUAAUUCGGGGAAUGUCCUAGACAUGACCAUGCUGUCACUUUCACCUAGGCCAACAAGUGUCGGUACUUCAUCCCUUUAUAGUUAAUUGUCGUUGUUAUAUUUAACGAGCAACAAUUAACUGUCGUUGGAGAUAAACUUUGUUGUUAUAUUGAACGGACAUCAGUUAACUUGGGGGUGUUCAAAACGAACCAAUUCAAUAGAAAAACCGUAAACCGAACAAAUCCAAAGCAAAACCUCAAAAAACCGCAUUUCGUUCGAAUGUAUUUGAAUCAUAUUUUUACUCAAGCGCAUGGUUUGGUUUGCGUUUCUUAUUUAUAAACCAAACCAAACCGCAACAUAAAAAAAACACUAAUUAAAUAUAUAUAACAUAGAUAAAUACUCAUAGAAACUCAAUGAAAACUUUUAUAAAAUAACAUUUCUUUUGACAAAACUUUAGGCUCAAAACCGAACCAAACUGCACCGCGAACACUCUAAGUUAAUUAUCGUCGGAGAUUUUGAUAAUUUCCUGGCGAGCAAUAUUUGAAGUUAAAAAAACAAGAGAAAUGAUAUUUGUACAACCACUUUUUAACAACUUUUGGAACAAUAUGUUUUUAAUCUCUCUAUUCUCCUUUCUCUCUCUAUUCUUUUUAUCCAAUAAGAAGUGAGGAAAAAUGGUUGUCAAUAAAGUUGUCUAAAAUGGGUUUGUACAUAUGUCACUUCUAAAAAACAAUUUGCAAGUUACUUUUGAGCGAUGUCCUAAUAAAGUCCCGUAUUAGUCAUUUUAGUAGUGUUUUAUCCCCUCUAAUAUAGGUCAUUUCCGGUUUUACCCCCUUUAAAAUAUUUAUUUUGGAUUUCGACCUUGUAAUUUAAAGAUUUUUGGUUUUGGACCUUGAUAAAUCUUGAACGUACAAAAUCGAAGAUAUGGUAAGGGGUAAACAGAAAUUUGCUCAAAUUAAGAGAGGUUAAACCAAAAUUUGCUCAAAUUACGAGGAAUGAAAUUUUUCAUUAAGAUUCCAAAACCAAAAAAUCUUAAAAUUACAGAUGGAAUAAAAAAAAUAAAAAUUACAUGAGGUAACCGGAAAUGACUAUGUUACCGGAAAUGACUAUUUUACGGGGUAAAAAAGAAACCUAUAUUUUAAGAAUUCCCCUCUUUCUCUCCUUCUUCAACUCCUCUUUCUCUCGGCUCUUUUUAGUAAGAAGAAAAAGAGGAAAUUGUGAAAUCAAGGGAUUUGAAACCUAUAGUCAAAUACUUGGGUUUUCUCAUAUUCUUCUUCUUCUUCAAUAUCAAGUAAGUUCUUUAAAUUUGAACUGGGUAUUAGGGUUUAAAUGAAUAUGAGUAUUAAAUGAAUGACAUGUCACUUAUUUGGAAUGUAGAUAAAUUUCAAACCUCCUAAUGAUUUAUGAAUAUUUAGGGUUUCAUCAUAUCAAUAAUCUUGAUUCCCUGUAUAAAGUGUAGAAUUGGUUUUAGUGAUAUACAAUAUUAGACCCUUGGCUGGCUUUUAAAUGCACUCAGAAUGGAUAAUUGCAGCCCUUAAAAUUAGUUUAUAAUCAAAGAAGUUGUCGAAUUUAGACUGUUUUCGAAUUUUGGUAAUUGCAGGAAAUUUGUUGUGCAAUGCAGAGCAUUCUUGUUCUGAUCCGUAUGUGAGGCGUAAGUGAUCUACACAUUUAUUAUUUUCAUAUCAUAUCACUUGAAUACAUAUUGAUUCAUUGUGUUAGUGAAGACUCUUAGAAAUGGUGAUUGAGCCUAACACAACCCCACAAAACAUCUUGUGAGGUGAGGAUUGCCCCCCACUUAUAAACACAUUGUUGGGCCAUCAUCUAUCCGAUGUGAGACUCUUAACACACCCCCUCACGACCAGCACUAUUGGGCUUGGUUCGUGGACAUAAAUGGUGGGUGUCCCGAUAGCGGAAACCUGAUAGCAGGUGGUCCAAUGCAGAGCAUUCUUGUUCUGAUCCGUACGUGAGGCGUAAGCGAUAUACACAUUUAUUAUUUUCAUAUCAUAUCACUUGAAUACAUUUGAUUCAUUGUAUUAGUGAAGACUCUUAGAAAUGGUGGUUGGGCCUAACACAACCCCACAAAACAGCUUGUGAGGUGAGGAUUGCCCCCCACUUAUAAACACAUUGUCAGGCCACCUAUCCCAUGUGAGACUCUUAACACACCCACUCACGACCAGCACUAUUGGGCUUGGUUCGUGGACAUAAAUGGUGGGUGUCCCGAUAGCGAAAACCUGAUAGCAGGUGGUCCAAUGGAUUUUGGAGAGGCUCUGAUAUCAUCUUAUAAAUGGUGGUUGAGCCUAACACAACCCCACAAAACUGGCUUGUGAGGUGAGGAUUGCCCCCCACUUAUAAAUACAUUGCCAGGCCAUCACCUAUCCGAUGUGGGACUCUUAACAAAGACUACAAUGUAGUUAGUCAUGAAUUAGACUGUUUUGGGUUUUAGUAAGAAAUUUACUGAGAUGUAAUUUUAUCCGAAUAGUAAGGAAGAAGAAGAAGAAAGGAAAUCAAAGUUUUUAAUUUAAAGUUUUGCUAAGUCGUGUUUUUGAAUUUCAUCCCUCUGUAAGUUUUUGUUUUUGGAUUAGUCCCUAUAACCUUGCCAUGGACAUCUGGAAUAACACAUAAGCCUCACUUGCCACGUCACACAUCGCCAUGUCAGCUGUCGUCAGACACAAAAGCGUUUGUGUAACAGAUGCUGACGGCAGGGACCGAAAGCAAAAUGUUUAUAACUUACAGGGUCUGUUUUAGAACAAAAAAAGAUACAGGGACGAAAACCAAAAACACGCGAACUUACAGGGACGAUUUACAUAUUUAAGCCUAUUUUAAAUUGAUUUAAAUCAUUCCAUUUAUUGAAUUUCUAGGGACCCACAUCACACAAUGGGAUUUGAUUCAAUACAAGAAGAAAGCUGCUGCUCCUACUGCUGAUGAAUAUGAUGGUAAUACUAUUCUCAAAUACAAUUAAUUAGAUGAAGGUUUUUAUUUUCUUGUGCCAUUCAAUUUAUUGAAUUGAUUGAUAUUGUUACCAUUCAUUUGGCCAGCUAGAUAUAUCAUUCCACUCAGCAAAUACAAGAAGAAAGUUAAAUAUACUAAUCCGGAGGAUAUUUGUAAGGAUGGAGGUUUGGUAAAGAAGAUACUCAAGCCCGGGGAUGACAAAUAUCAACAUGUUGAUGAUUAUGAUUAUGUUUUAGGUAUAAAUACAUUCAUGAUCGUAUUUCAUUUUUUAUUUUCUCAUUUUCUGGAUCUUAAUUGGUGUUAUUGCUCUGCAGUUAAGUACGAAGCACUUCUUGAUGAUGGAACUCUUGUUAGAAAAUCUGAUGAUGAUGGAGUUCAAACUCAACAAUGAACAGAGCAAGUGAUUGAUGUGCUUAAUAUAGCUGUAAUGACCAUGAAGAAGGGUGAGGUAGCUUUGUUGACUAUUGCGCCACAAUAUGCUUUUGGUUCAUCAGAGUCUCGGCAGGAAUUGGCAGUGGUUCCUCCUAAUUCAACCUUGUAUUAUCAGGUUGAGCUAGUAUCGUUUGUAAAGGUUACUAAAUAACUUGGUGAUAAUUUGCCAUUUUGCAUUGAGAUAUAUUCCGAUGUUGCUUAUUAAAAUUCCAUUAUUGAAAAGGAACACUAGCAGUUGUUGUUUAACAAAGCAGGGAACUGCCUUUUAUGUUUUAUACUACUUCUUCCUGCUAUUUCCAUGUUUCGUACUUUUGUUUUCAUUCUUCUACCAUUUUAAAUUUCUAUGUUCAUAAUUUAUUAUCAGUAUCGAUUGUCAAACCUAAAUUGAAUUUCUUGACAUAAAUAUGAUUGUUGUUGGUUGCCAUCUUCCUGGUUUAGCAAGGAAGUGUUGUUAUAGUUAAUUUGCAAAGCUGUUUUUCUUGGCACAAUAAAGAAGCAAAUGCUUAACUGUGUUUUCAGGGCUCUUGUGGUUAAAGGGUUCCUUAGAAAUAAUGUAGCAUUGGUUAGCAGUGUUAAACUUUACACUUUUCAAUAAAUAAAUAGAAGUGUUUUUAGGACAACGGUUAGCAGGAUUUAAGUAAAGAACGAUGUAUUUUUUUUCCUUGACUUCUGUCUCUCAAAUAAUUAUUGGUUGGAUACCAUUGCAACUUUCUUUAUGCAUUUAUACCUUGGUUCAUUGUUUGCUUUAGGCUAAGGAGGUAUCGGACAUGAACACUGAAGAGAAGAUAGAAGCUGCUCUUGAGAAGCGACAAGAAGGCAUAGCAUUAGUUUAUGCUGCUGAAUAUGCAAGAGCUUCCAAGAGAUUUCAGAAGGUAACCAGGUAACAUUAAUAUAUUUCACCAUCAUCCACUACAAUGUGAUAGGGCACUUAAGCCUAUGGUCCACGUGGUGAGCUAAGCAUUAGGACAAAUCUGCAUAAGCCCAACAUCUAGGAGUGCAUGAGGGGAAGGAAGGUGGGGCUAGUGAGAUGAUAAGUUAGUUAGCAACUCCGACACGAACAUCUGACACAACACCGACACUGACACUGACACGUUAACACCGCUAAUGUAAAAAACAUAGGACACCGACACUGCUACCUGUAUACUAAUUUAUUUAUGAAAGAUCUAAAUUGAGAAUCAAAUAUGUAUCUAACUUGAGCAAUUUAUUUCAUUAAAAAAAGGUCUAUAACAAGUUACAAUAGUAUUUGGCCUUUAUUUAUCCAUCUAAUAUCGAAAAAUUUAAACACGUUGUAAUCAACUUUAUAGCCCUUCGUUGAUCAACAUUUUCCGCACGUCUUUAACUCUUGAAUAUACUAUGUGUGUAAGCAUAGAAAAAAAUCAGACAUUUGUUUGAGUUGUCUGACAUGCCUCAUGGAGUAUAAGUUUUAUAUAGGUGUUGGGCACCAGUCCAAGGAGUGUCAAAAUAAAGGAGAAAAACAUUUAUUUAGUACACUUGUCGGACACUGCGACAUGCGUAAUCCUAGAGGUGUCCGUGCUUCAUAGGUUAGUGACUUGUGCACCAAUCUCAUGUGAGUACGGAGAUAAAAGAGAGGGGAUGGGUAGUGGAGAAGGCAUUCUGAAGUAUUAUUGGAGUUGGUUACUAGAGUUUCUCUCUAGUUAGGAGCAUAGUGCUCUCUUUAGGAGUCUUUGACUCUGGUUUAUCUCUUUCAUUCUGUUAUUCCACCCUUGUAGAGCCUCUACACUCAUAUUUAUCAUUUGAUAGUAAUAUACAAAAUUACCUUGUUCAUUCUGCAGGUUCUAUCAGGUAUCUUUUCUGAAACUGAAACCGUAAUACAGGCUCUGAAGUUUAUAAAGUAUGAUACUUCCUUUCCCGAUGAGGAUAAGGAAAUUGUUGGGUUGAGGUCUUCUUGUAAUCUGAGCAAUGCAUCGUGCUUGAUAAAAUUGAAAGAUUAUGAACAGGCAAAUAAAUAUUUUAAGGCAUGGCUGCUGUCUCCCAUCUUAUAGAAAAUCACAUCUUUUGUUUAAUAAUAAUAAUAAUAAUCAGUAACUUUGUUUUACACGACGAACAAGCAGGAUCUCAACUUAAAGCGCAUAGACACUAAAACGUUGGCUGCGAACCGGAAACUUGCAUGCAGGAGGAAACUCUCCAAGAAUUGUCCUGGCAUUUGCAUAUGAUGUCAAGUUGAAGUCAAAAAAUGGAUGGUUUAUUUAGAUUGUCUCCAUAUCUAAUCUUGUACAUUUAUUGAGCAUGCAGAAAUUCGGGCCAAAGAUGGUACAUAUGCUGUGAAUUGUGUGUUGAUGUUUCU
RNAcentral lists this long non-coding RNA (363159 nucleotides) under Medicago truncatula (barrel medic). RNAcentral's name for it is "long non-coding RNA (MTRU_LNC005846)". The stretch from base 37395 to 37591 matches the Rfam family "MIR2630 microRNA precursor family". Lineage: Eukaryota; Viridiplantae; Streptophyta; Magnoliopsida; Fabales; Fabaceae. The record is from RNAcentral.